CCAGGCCAUCCACAAUGUUGUUCAUGCUAUUAUUCUGCAUCAACAACAAAAACAACAACAACAACAACCAUCGAGCCAGGUCUCCUUCCAACAGCCUCAACAACAAUAUCCAUUAGGCCAGGGCUCCUUCCGGCCAUCUCAGCAAAACCCACAGGCCCAGGGCUCUGUCCAGCCUCAACAACUGCCCCAGUUCGAGGAAAUAAGGAACCUAGCGCUACAGACGCUACCUGCAAUGUGCAAUGUCUACAUCCCUCCAUAUUGCACCAUCGUGCCAUUUGGCAUCUUCGGUACUAACUGAGAAGAAAAUAACUCUAGUACUAGAUAUAUGAAACACCGUUUUCUCAGUCCAUGGUUUGGUCAUUGUAGCGGUGAAAAAAUAAUGUGACAUGCACUAUCAUGUAAGAACCCGAACUAUACUAGUUCAAACUUGGGAAUAAAAGACAAACACAGGUCUUGUCUACAUAUUUAUGUUGCAUUUAUCUAAAGAUAACAAAAUGAGUCUAAAAUUUGAAUUAAAUUGAAGUAUUUUCUUGGACUUUAAUUUGCACAUUAAUUAGAAAUUACUAUCCCUCGAUCUGGUAAAUCUUAACAAAUAGAAUUAUCUUGACCGUUAGAUUUAUGUAACAUAUAUAAUGCUCUGGGCCUCCAACGACUGUACGUGACACAUCUGAACGCACAUAUGUUAAAGAAAAUAUAUUUUGUAAAUGGUGGGCCUCUUUAAAAAGAGAACUUACGUACAUACACCAACUAAGAAAAACACAUACAUGUAAAUGGGAAAAGGAUGAGAUUUUCUCACGUACAUGUGUUGAUGCUUAAAAGUGGCACGAUCAUAAAGCAGCAUGCCGGGGCGAAAACCUUGCCGGGGUAAAAUCUUGCUGGUGUGAAAGCUUGCCGGUGUGAAGGCUUGCCGGCGUGGAAACCUUGCCGGCACAGAAAGAUCGCCGGUGCUUGCCGGUGUGAAAUCUUGCCGGGGGAGAAACCUUGUCAGGGAGGAACCCUUGCCGGAGUACAAACCUUGCCGGAGUGAAACCUUGCCGGUGUGAAAGCUUGCCGGGUAGAAACUUUGCCGGUGUGGAAAGCUUACUCGGAUGGAAAACUUGCCGGGUUGGAGGCUGAGAUAGUCAAUCGAACGAGAAGUUGAAGAUGGGCUCAAAAGGUUAUUCAGAUGAUCUCGGAUGGAAAAAUGAUCUACAGGGUUGUCUUCGUCUCGUCGAAACGAUCGAUUUUGAUAUAAAAAUCAUUCAAAUCCGAGUUCGUAUGCAAAAGUUAGAGCAAUCAGAGUGCAGCCCUGUCACGAGGCGAGAUGUGGCACGCCCACCAGACACAUGUCUGACGGGUAGUGUGAGGAAAUAGCCUGUGUUGCGAGACCGAUCUGACCCUCAAGAUGACCUCUGAUCAAAAAACCUUCAACAUGAAAGUUGUUCGUCUCGUCGAAACGGUCAAGAUUGCUUUUGGGCUUGUUUUCAUCCGGAAUCGUUUACCACCGCAAAAAAGACCCGCAAGGUGCAGCCAGUUUUAACCGAACAGUUUUGGAAAGUUUGGAUAAACCAGUCCGAAUUUGACUAAUGUUUUGGACGUGAAUUGAUGUAAUUUUCUUGUAAGGAAAGCCUAGAUAAAUUCUUGGCUUGUACGGGAAGUCCAGCUGCCUCUUAUAUAUGUUGGGGGUGGCGGCCGAUUGAAACAACACAUAAUCGAACAAACACAUAUACUACUUUUUCGUGUUCAUCUACUUUUUAUCUCUCCCUUGUAUCUUUCUUCUCGUUCUUCGCUAGUUCUUCAUGCUGGAGGGCUGCGGAUCCACGAGGCUCUAGGGGCGAGUGAAUCGACCUAGGGCAGCCCAUAGCCGCCGCAAUCCCUGACGGGGUCCCUCCCGGGUGCGCGGGGUUUCGGGUCUGCAAAAGCGCCCGCCGACUGCCUUGCGUAUCACGCUGUCGGUCGGGUCUCCUUCGACGUGAGCUACGGUGCAUCACCCCCGGCGUCGAGGGUAAACGUGACAUGUUCGUGUGCGAACACACUUUUUGGCGACUCCGCUGGGGACGAAGCUCUGAACAGUCUCCAGCCUGUUCUUGCUACGAGGAGAGCGUCACCAAGCGGCUGCAAUCUACAACGGUAACAUGUAUCGUCAAUCUCCUUGCGUAGAUGCAAAUAGCCAUUAUGUUGAUGUUGCUAGAUCUUUCAACGGACAUGUGAUGUCGGCCAGCCCUAAUGAGGAAAGGCCGACUAGUUAUUCCAUUGGAGAAACUUGGAAUUUACAGAAUCGUGACAUGCAACUUAUGAAUCUGAACUUUCGUGCAUCGGCAACAACUUUCAAUAUGCCGGUGAACAACACGAUUUGUUCGAGUGAUCAAUAUAGGACACCUCAUGUACAGGAGGGUAUCUCAAAGUUUUAUCCAUCGGCAGCCGGCUCGCAAUAUGCGGGUUCAUCCCCAAACAUGCCGAUGAAUGGGGGAAUCGGUCAUGCUUUUGUUAGCUAUUUGGCCGGUUAUCCUCAAACAUCAUAUACUACACCUCAUCAGAUUAAUUGUUCAAUGGCGUAUGAAACUAAAAAUAUUCAUAACUCGGCUCACGUUCACGGUCAUGGCCGAGUGAAUGGAGAUACUAUAGGAGCAUAUGUGCCUAAUAUUGCAGGAGAUGAGGUGGCUCUGGCUGCAUUAAAAAUUUUAGCCCAAAAUAAGAAGAUUAGUGCUAUUUUCCUUGAGCAACACGACAAGGGAUUGGUUCCUGAUUAUGAGGCAAUAAGAGCUAGGGUUUUGAAAGAAGACCAAGUGUUGCCGAUUGAUCAAAUUGUCGAGAGAAAAUAUUCAACAACGAUGCACAUGCCUUCACCUAUCAUUGCAGCAUGUUAUACACCCCCUGUACAAGCGCAAAAUUUCGGCAACAUUAAUUCAUUGCCGAAAGAUCCUAAAAGUAUUGGGGGGCAAGCCGAUCCAAGCAGGGUUGAGUUUAAAGAAAAAUAUCUAGCCCAAGUGGACAAGAUCAAGCCAAAGCUCACAGGGAAUAGAGUCAACGAAUUUACUACACCUACCCUUGAGGAAUUACCAGCAGAAUAUCGACAGGCCUACGAAGCACUCAAGAAGAAACGUGGAGAGGGAUAUUUGCAAGAAUACUUCAAGUGCCUUCCUCCAUGUAGCAACCAUGUUGGCCCUUCUACACUGUUGAGGCAAGAUAAAAAAAGAAGCUUUGCAAGCAAACCAGCAAAAAAGGAUUCACUCGGCUAAUACGGUGGAUUCGGUUGAAACCGGAUUGAGCAACGGGAUGUUUAAGGCCGAGUGCGUUGCAUCGUGCCAGCCGAGUGCAUCGUUCCAGACGAGUGCAUCACCAGCUAAAGCCGAGUGCAUCAAGCCAACUAUUGCCUCGUGUACGAAAAUAGAAGAUGCAAGCUUGGCUGAGCAAAGGAACAACAAACGCAACAAAUUGGUUGUGCUCGAUUUUUCUGGAUCUAAGGGAGCUUACAUGCUACCUUAUGAGUUUCGUGCUAAAGAUAUUGAUGAGCAUCAAGAACACAGUAAUGGCUGAACACAGUUCAGUUAACGAUGAACAUCAAGACCAAGAAAAUGCGGCCGAGCAAAGUUCAACUGACAAAGAGCGUCCGAGUGAAAUCCACUCGGGCAAUCCGACUGAAAUAUACUCGGGCAAUUCGAGUGAAAUAUACUCAGGCAAUCCGAGUGAUGAGGCACCAGAUCCAGAAAAAGAGGAAGAGGCAUUGGAGAAUUAUUCAUAAGUGGAGCAAUGUAUUGUUCCAGUGGUGCAACCAUCUUCUCCUUCCAAUGUCUUCACAAAGGUACACCUAGAAGAUAGUUUACUCAAUUUUCAAUUCGGUCAAAAUGAUAUUGUUGAUGUACCUAUUAGUAAGAUUCUAAUUAAUUUUGAAAGACCAAUUGAAAUGAGUAAUCUUUUUGUUAGGAAGGAUCUUGUCACUAAUCAUGAUAGUCAACACAUGGUAUCGUUCAUAGAGGCUAAUAGUGACAACUUAUCAAAACCAAAGUUGUUCUUGUCAUGCCAACUGAACUUUGUAUUCAUAUGGACAACUUUGUUUGUUUCAUGCCCGGCUAACAUUUGGACUCGUAUGAGCCGUAUAUUCUGUAAUUAUUUUAGUUGCAGAAACAUAAAGCCAGGUCCAAAGUCCUUCGAAGCCAAUUCAAAUGCAUCAGGAAAAGAAGAUGAAUCUUUCCCAAUUGAUAAAAUUGGCGAGCAAAAAUAUGGUUUUACAACAAUGCAUAUGCCUUCACCUAAUACUACAUCAUAUUAUACAGCCCCUACACAAUUGCAAAGUUUCGGCAACACCCAUGUGCCAUUGCCGAAAGAGUCUAAAAGCAAUGGGGGACAAUCGUAUCCGAAGUGGGCUGAAAAUGAGAAAAAGAUUAAAGCCAAUUUCGCCACUCGCCGCCAGAAACAAAAAGAAACAGAAUUGGCUCAAGUGAAAGAAGCAUUGCCAAUUGGUAGAAGCAAUGUAAAGAAAGAUGAUUCAGAACAUGAAAGUACUCCGGUUAAAAGAGCCGAAUCAAGAAGUAUAUAUUCUGAAUCCAUCAAAUGCAAAGAGGCAAGCAUUAUUGAGAAAGGGCAUGGCAAGCAUAGCAAAGCGACCAUACUUGAUUUUUCUAAAGUUAAUGGAACCUACUUCCUGCCCUAUGAGUUUCGUGCCAGAGAAUUUUGAUGAACUUCAAGGACAAGAACAAGUAGCCGAACAAAGUUCGGCCGACAAAAAUCUUCAAUGUAAUGAUGCACGGAAUCAAGAAAAAGAUGAUGAAGAAGCGUUGGGGGGCCAUCCAAAGGCGGAGCAAGAUAUUGUUCAAGUCACACCACCAUCGUGCUCUCCCAACAUAUUUGAAGAGGUAUGUUUAGCAAGUAAUUUACUUAUUUUCAGAUUUGGUCAGGACUUUAUUGUUGAUGCAUCUAUUGGAAAAAUCCUCAUAAGUAAUUUUGAAAGACCAAUGAAGAAGGGUAAUUUACUUGCUAGCAAUAAAGUUGUUAUUGAGCAUAUCGGUCAACCCAUUACGCCAUUUAUAAAGACCGAUAGUGACUUAUUAUUACAGCCAAAGCUUUCCCCGUUGCUUUAUCUAAAGUUCAUAUCUAUUUGGGUAGCUUUGCUUAUUUCAUACUUGGCUUGCACUUGGUCUCAAUUGAGACAUGUGUGUUCUAACUAUUUUCGUUUUAGAAAUUUAAAGCCAAGAUUAAAUUCUGUUGAGAAAACCGAUGCUAGUAUAAUAUCUUACCCAAAGACAUCGGAGAUAGAGUGCAAAACACAAUGCAUAGCCGAAUGGUGUGAUGCAAAAUCUGAACCAUUCGUUUGCUUAAUUCCAAAGCCGUUCUCACAGCAAGAUCGGCUAGAAAACAAGAAGUAUACCUUCAAUUCAAGCAUGUGUGUUCAAAUAUUUGAUUUGUUGCUGAAAAAUAAUUACAUUACAAUUCUUGAUCACCAUGUUAAGCCAUCAAUCCAAGGACGAAUGUAUUGUAAGUUGCAUGAUUCGUCCAAGCAUGAUUUUGAGGAUUGCAACAUGUUUCGUCAAAUAGUUAAAUCGGCCAUUGAAAAAGGACGAUUGAAGUUUGUUGAAACACCAAGAGAUGACCAGUCUAUUCCGAUUGGUCCCGAUGGCAAAAAGUUUUUGCAUCGGCUGCUUCGAGCCGAUCCAUUUAAAGAGAAGGUAAAAACUGCAGGUGAUGGGAUCAAGCUUUCAACUAAAGAAGUUGUUGAAGAGCAUAAUGAACAUAAUCUUGAGGGUGAGAAUUCCAUCGAAGCUACAAUGGAGACGCCAAGGACUGGGGGGCAGCAAGCAAAUCCAACGAUCGAUGAAAGCAAACCAAAAGAAAACAAAGGCCGAAAUAAGCGCAAGUGUAAAAUAUCAAAAAUCACCUUCGCUGAACUAUUGGAGAAAUAUCAAAAGAAGAGUGAAGAGAAGAAUGCUUAUCGGCCCAAUCAUGCAAAGAAACCAAAAUCACCCCCAAGGCGCAAAUAUGAGGAUCCGUAUUGGCAAAGUGAGAGUUUCAAUGCAACAUAUUCAUAUCCUUAUUUUGGGCCGCCAAUGACAAUGCCGUGGAUGCCUCCCUAUACUCAUGUAGAUCCAUGUUCAUCAUGGGACAGGUAUGAUACAAGGGCACAUUCUCCAUCUUAUUUUAGACCAUCUCACCAAUAUUAUGCAGCUCCGAGAAGAUCAACAUUUGAACAGUCACAUGUUAAAGAUCGUUUCAAUUAUAAGGAAUCGGUCCGGACACCAUGGAUGAAAAAAGAGGUGGUCAACCAAGUCUACCGCGUGAAAAGAGAUGGUCGUAAGUGUGCUACUUCAGAUUUGAUCUCAAAUAAUAAAGAGCCAAUUAAAGUGUUGACAUUGUCUACAAAAGGCAAUGAGACGAAGCAACCAAUUAUUGAGAGUCAAAGUGCCAAAUCAGAAGAAAAGAAGUUGAGAGUGCACAAGGUCAAAAAGGAAUUGCCAUUGGUCAGAACAGAAUCAUAGCCGAGAUGCCCACUCGGCUUAUCGUAUUGGCAAAAGAGGGAAUUACACAAACUUAGUGCACAAGAACUUGAAGAAAGGAACAUGGCAUGGGUUCCCAAAGGAAGUGCUCAAAAUAAGAAUUAUGUGCAUGCCUCCAUUACAAGAAGUGCGGCAAAAGUGAAGAAGGAAAAGAGUAAAAACUAUGAAGGACCAAGCCGAAGGAUUCAACAUCUUUGGUCUACACAUUAUCCAUAUUCUUCAACUAUGCCAUUAACGCCUAUGCCAUGGAAUUCGUCAUCAGGUAUGAUUGGUAACCCUCAAUGGGCUUAUUUUAAUCCAUGGAUGCAAUAUAAUUUCUUACGUCAUGAAAGGGUAUUACCAAGUCACUAUACAUUUGAUUAGCUACAAGUUUGUUGCUGAUCCAGAGGGCCGAAAUACUUGAUUUGUCAUUUCAUUUGUUUAUUUCGGCUAUAUGUGCUUUGAAUGAAGUUUACAUGGUAAUGGCCGAUGAUAUUUAUCUAUCGUCCUAAGAGUAUGUCAAUUCAUGCCCGGUGUAGUAUUCUAAUAUCAUCCUUAGUUUGAUGGAGAGCGAGACAAGGUACAUGCUCAUGAAAAUUUAUAUGUAUGCCUAUAUUAUGAUUGAAUGGAGUUGAGACAUCAUGACCGAUGUCAUUGAAUAUAUGCUGCAUAGACCAAUUCAUAGCUGCAGAAUUGGUUGGUGGGCUUAUACUUUGUUUGGAUAUGAUUUGGCUUAUGCAUCUUUGAGAUCUAUAAGAGGCCAAAUCAUAGUUGAUUUUGUUACUGAACAUCGGAUUAGUGUCAUGCAUAAUAUUAAUAUUAUCCUUGUCUCUCUAGUACUAUGGAGAUUAUGUUUUGAUGGUUCAAUUCAUAGCAAUGGCCAAAGUGUUGGUGUUGUUUAUAUAUUUCUUUAUGGUACUAUUUUUUGAAGCCUCGUGCCGCUUAGAAUAUUUUUAUGCACGAUUAAUCAAGGCCGAAUAUGCAUUGUUAUUCGGAUUGACUCUUUUACUUGCUGUAGGUGUUAUACAGAUUGAGGCUUUUGGUGAUUCGUUAUGAGUAGUGCAACAAAUAUCCAAGGAUUAUCAAUGUGUUUUGACGAAUCACUUAUAGUUUAUCUUGGGUUUGUCUAGAUGAAGAAUUUACCUUGGGUUGCAUUAAAUUUUUUCAUAUAUUUAGACAUGACAAUUGGAGAGAGUUGGCAUAGCAAGCAUCCGGCUACCAUGUCCAUCAUGUUGUAUUGCGUUUCUCUCAAUAGCCGAUGCUUAGUCUUGUCAACAUAGGUAAGGCCGAACCGAAGUCUAGAACUUCGGACACUAAUGAAAUUUUUAUGCAGGCGAAAGUAAGGAUUGGAGAAAGUUUAUUGUUGAUUGUCUACAAAAUCCUAGCAAAAGGGUGAACAAUAUGGUUCGGAGUAUGACAUUGAGAUACAUAUCUAUGGAACUUUAUCACCGGAUUGUUAAUGAAGCUGAGAAGGUUUCACCCAAGUUUGCAUCAGAAAGUUCACACAAGACAUGGCCGAUAUAUACUUAUCGUCCUAAGAACAUAUAAAUGGCCGAUGGAGUGUUGACAUCGUCCUUAGAACAAACUUGGUACAAGUAUUUUUCGGCAUGCUAGCUUUACCGAAAAACGGGAGGGCAUGUGUUGACGCUCAAAAGUGGCACGAUCAUAAAGCAGCAUGCCGGGGCGAAAACCUUGCCGGGGUAAAAUCUUGCCGGUGUGAAAGCUUGCCGGUGUGAAGGCUUACCGGCGUGGAAAGCUUGCCGGCACAGAAAGAUCGCCGGUGCUUGCCGGUGUGAAAUCUUGCCGAGGGAGAAAUCUUGUCAGGGAGGAACCCUUGCCGGAGUACAAACCUUGCCAGAGUGAAACCUUGCCGGUGUGAAAGCUUGCCGGGUAGAAACAUUGCCGGUGUGGAAACCUUACUCGGAUGGAAAACUUGCCGGGUUGGAGGCUGUGAUAGUCAAUCGAACGAGAAGUUGAAGAUGGGCUCAAAAGGUUAUUUAGAUGAUCUCGGAUGGAAAAAUGAUCUACACGGGUUGUCUUCAUCUCGUCCAAACGAUCGAUUUUGAUAUAAAAAUCGUUCAAAUUUGAGUUUGUAUGCAAAAGUUAGAGCAAUCGGAGUGCAGCCCUGUCACGAGGCGAGAUGUGGCGCCCCCCACCAGACACAUAUCUGACGGGUAGCGCGAGGAAAUAGCCUGUGUUGCGAGACCGAUCUGACCCUCAAGAUGAUCUCUGAUCAAAAAACCUUCAACAUGAAAGUUUUUCGUCUCGUCGAAACAGUCAAGAUUGCUUUUGGGCUUGUUUUCAUCCGGGAUCGUUUACCACCGCAAAAAAGACCCGCAAUGUGCAGCCAGUUUAAACCGAACAGUUUUGGAAAGUUCGGAUAAACCAGUCGGAAUUUGACUAGGGUUUUGGACGUGAAUUGAUGUAAUUUUCUUGUAAGGAAAGCCUAGAUAAAUUCUUUGCUUGUACGGGGAGUCCAGCCGCCUCUUAUAUAUGUUGGGGGUGACGGCCGAUUGAAACAACACACAAUCGAACAAACACAUCUACUACUUUUUCGUGUUCAUCUACUUUUUAUCUCUCCCUUGUAUCUUUCUUCUCGUUUUUCGCAAGUUCUUCAUGCUGGAGGGCUGCGGAUCCACGAGGCUCUAGGGCCGAGCGAAUCGACCUAGGGCAGCCCAUAGCCGCCGCAAUCCCUAACGGGGUCCCUCUCAGGUGCGCGGGAUUUCGGGUCUACAAAAGCGCCCGCCGACUGUCUUGCGUAUCGCGCUGUCGGUCGGGUCUCCUUCGACGUGAGCUGCGGUGCAUCACCCCCGGCGUCAAGGUUACAUGUGACGUGUUCGUGUGCGAACAACGUGCUCCCUGGCUCCACCCCGUUGAAAAAAUAUACAUUUGGAGGCCACUUUGUUUCCUCAUCAAAAAAAACUUACGUUAAAAAGAUUGCAUGCAUCCCAGGGAAAGUAAUCAAGAAGAAGUCGGACUCUUCCUUACAAAAACAAGGAACGUGUUAAGUUAACUUCAAAGAAAAAGGAACAUGUUAAGUUAAAAAAAAGAAGAAACAUGUUAAGUUAGAAAAAAACAAGGAACGUGUUGUCCUAGGAAAGAUAUGUGUCAAAUCUUACAAAAAAAAGAAUACACACACGUACGUUCAUGCACUUGGAAAAUAGAAAAAAAAGGAACAUCACGUAUGUAUACACUUCGGAAACUCAUUACAUGACCAUGUCUGAUAUACUCAUCUAAUGCUUAAUAUUAGUGCCUAAUAAUUUAUAUUUAAAAUUUAAUUUACUGAUCAAAUAUCCCCAAUGUUUAAAUUUUAAUUUGGCACAUUGUUUGGCUAUAGUAUGAACCUAAAUUUCCUCUUAUUAUUAUAUAUCAUGAUAAUAAUCCAAAGGCGACUAAUCUGCGCUGGUGCACCGGGGCAAUCAAUUCGGCCGGACACAGCGCGGCCUUUUGAUUAGAUUGCAUUUAACCGUCUGAUCUGGAAUUGUUUUCUUUCCAAUUAAACGGAUUCAACCAAACAGCAGAGGGGAAAACAAAGCAGCGCCGCCGCCAACACUAGCCAUGGACGAUCGAUGUAGCAAAACCUUGAAGAACCGCCGCCGGUCGCCACCCUCGCCGCUGGUGGCCGCCCUCGCCAUCGGUCACCGCCGGUCGCCGCCCUCGCCGCCUGCGUUUCUCAUCGGCUUCAUGCAUGCAACAACAUGCACUCGUGGUUGCAGGCUUGCAGCUCCGGCUCCGGGGGACAUGGCCGCAUCUCCGGUAACGCCGGCCGCCAACCAUAGCACCUGUCAUUGUGGUCGCGUUGUACCUCACCGUGUGCCCUCCCAAGGCUCUUGCUGGUUCCAACAAAAAACGAUACCUGUUGUAGCAAAAAAGUUUAUCGCUUCCAGCAAAAAAGCUUUCCGCUACAGCCCGCCAUUGUCAUUGUAGCAAAAAUGUUAACCCGAUGUAGCUUUUGUGGUUGCCGACUGCAACAAAAAAUGACAUGGUUGAAGCAAAACACAAAAGAAAAACGCCGGCCGGCCGCUGUGUAUGGUGGUAACAAACCCUAUAGCCGGUGGUAGCGAAAAACUUCAUAGUUUGCAGCAAAAAAAUGUUGUCGCCCGUCGUCGAGGUUGCAUCAUCUUCAUGAAUUAUGUCGCAAAAAAACAUUGUCGCCGGUAGUAGCAAAUGAAGCCGCCCGGUAGUAGCAAAACAAGACACUGGUUCCAGCCAAAAAAAAUCAGCGACAGAACCUUUGGUUGGUUCCAACAAAAAAACUUGUCGGUUGUAACAUCCCUCGCCGCCGGAUGUAGCAUCUCCCGGGGCUGGUUGCAACACUCUAAAAAAAAGUUGUCUAAGAGCGCAUCCAUGGCGACUGCUGCACCGUCAGCAACGAGGGGAAGAGGAGGCAAUGAAAAUCGUUCGAGUCGUAGCUCCACAGGACGCGGCUGCAGCAUGGGGAGUCCAAAAAUCUGUCACAAGCAACAUGCGCCUCGCCAUCCUCCUGCGUAGGAGAGAGAAGAAAAAGGAAUAAGAGGAAGAAGAAAGGAAACGGGAGAAAGAAAAAAGAAACGAUUGGUGGUGGGCUGAGGCAAUUAGUCAAACGAGGGGCACGCGGGGCCGCAGGAUACAGCGCAAUCGAACGAAGCACGCGCGUCCGGCCGAAGACUCGGCCGGACUGCCGGCUGGAAACGUUUCCCUAAUCCAAAGGCUUUGUCUGAAUGACAAGUCGUCUAGGUUACCGGCUAACUAGAAAAAAGAUAAAUAUGCUAGAGAAUUUCAUAAUAAUUAGAAAUAUCUAGCCUUUAAUUAUGUAAAUCAGAAAAUCACAACCGUAGGAUUUACUUUAAAGGUAAAUUUCUCUAAAUUCCCACCAUUGCCAGUAUGUAGAAACAUGUGCUGCUUCAAUUCUCCCAUAAUCACCAAUCAAUCAACAACACAAAACAUACCUCAGUUAAAAAAAACUGAACAAAAAAAAGAAAAAAAGAAGAAAGGACAAGAUACACGCAUGUACACGACAGCCUUGGCUUGAAACACAUCAGUAGAUCAAGUGUCCGCCUCCCUUACACAGAAUAAAUUCUAGGGAAGAAAAUAAUAGUGCAACCUAACCUUAUACGUACUAUUCUAUCCUCACGUCCCAUGAGGUUUACUAGCCUACCGCCGCCGCAUCAUGCCAUCCUCUCCUUUCAGCUCCCAUGCUCUCCAGCAUCCUCCUUGCCGCGCCACUACUCGCCUAGGAAUAUUGCUGCUCAGACCGCGGAGCUUAACCUGCUUCUUCUUCAGCAAAUAUGGAACUGCUUUAGGAUCCUUCUCACAUCAGCACGUAUGGGCCUCAUUAUACUGCAGCUCCUGGACCUCCUACAAUUGGUUGGCUAUGGCCAGUUGAUCGAUGUGCUGAAGUCUAGGUCUGUUUGCUGGCACAUAUGCUUUGGAAAUAGGCCACUAUGUUUGUACUUCAAAAUUGUUUCGGUAUUCUUGAGUGGUACAUCCUUUUAAGUGCCAGUUUUUUAUGUUAAUUCGACAACACUUAACCUAGCCUUUCAUGUUCACGUACUAAAUACAGGAGCAAGUAAAAAAAACAGACCACCUAAUUGCUCUGCAAGUUCUACAUAGGAAAAUUUGUCAUGUUCUACGAUCGCACCAUCCCACCCUUCUCUCUUGGUAUGGGCGCCAAUUGAGGGAUUGAUAAAACUGAAAUGAAGACGUCACAGGGCUGGAAGUACCGCUAGCCUGGUUUGCACUGCAACCUACCCAACGCCAUCAGAAACUAGCAACUGAGGCAGGUGUUGAUCGAUUCUCUCAAAUUGCUCUCAUGUAAGUACUACCCCUUGCAUGUGCGUACAUACCUUUGUUGCAUUCUCAAACAGAUAGAACAUGUAUGAUCGGUGCAUGGCUAUUUUUAGGUAUAGCGACUGCACAACUUCUUCAACUCCAUAUGAUGCUAGUGUAUUGCAUCGAAAGAAUCAACGGAUUGCUAGAGAUCAACUGAGGUAUUCUCAUAUUAUUGGCUCGCUUAUGUAUUUGACGACUGCCACGAGGCCUAACAUCUCGUUUGCUGUUAGCAAGCUGAGUCGGUUUGUGUAAAAACCAGGAGAUGAUCAUUGCCAUGCGCUUGAGAGAGUUAUGCGCUAUUUGAAAGGCACCGCGAGCAAUGGGAUUCACUACACCGGGUAUCCAAGGGUACUGGAGGGUUAUAGUGACUCAAACUGGAUAUCUGAUGCUAAUGAGAUUAAGGCCACAAGUGGUUAUGUUUUUACACUUGGUGGUGGCACUGUUUCUUGGAAGUCCUGCAAACAGACCAUCUUAAUGAGGUCAACUAUGGAAGCGGAACUCACAGCAUUAGAAACUACCACUGUUGAAGCAGAGUGGCUUCGUGAGUUCUUGAUGGACUUACCUAUAGUUGAAAAACCAAUACCCCCUAUCCCUAUGAACUGUGAUAAUCAAACUGUGAUUGUCAAGAUAAACAGUUCUAAGGACAAUAUGAAGUCCUCAAGGCAUGUGAAGAGGAGACUGAAAUCUGUCAGAAAAUUGAGGAACUCCGAAGUUAUUACGUUGGAUUAUAUCAAAACGUCGAAAAAUUUGGCUGAUCCCUUCACAAAGGGUCUAUCACGUAAUGUGAUAGAUAAUGCAUCGAUGGAGAUGGGUCUGAGACCCACCGCAUGAGUUGUCCAUAGUGGUAACCCACUCUAUGUGAUCGGAGAUCCCGUGAAGUAGAAGUGGGAGACAAGUUGUUGGUCAGCUGGGAGGAGAGUAUCCCUAUAUUACCUAUCCCACUCCCUGAAGAUGCAAUACUCUCCUAAUCUGCAUGGCAGGUUGAUACUUACCUUAAUGUGUUCCAAGUGGCUUAUUCGGGUAAGUAGAAAUGUUGUCCUGCAGAACAUCUUCUGAGGAACACACCUAUAUGAAUUUGACUGUUAACAUUGUAGUCUGUGAGAAUUGGGUGUUCUCUAAUAAAUUCAUGAAAAGGCCCUGGAGUAUGACGUAUACGCUCCACCCGCGGGGAAGCCUUGCGGCAGCCUAGUAUCGGUCAAGAAUUUGUGUGAAACUAGUCUCGCAGAAAAUUUGUAGUUCAAGGCAUAGUCCACUAUUUAAGUUGUGAUCUAGUGUAGCAUAAAUCUCUAAGUGGAAGUUCAACUUCAUAGUCUCCACUAAGCACCGGUAUAUAAACAAUGUUUUGGAACUAAAUGAUGAGAUGUUCCAAUGAGUCUUUGUGGGGGAAUUGUUGGAAUUUUGCUAGUACGCCUUUGGCCCAAAGCCCAACUAAAAUUAUGAAAUUUUCUUGGCCCAUUCAUGCAUACAUGUGAGUGGAGUGAGUGAGACUAAAGUAUAGUCCCACCCCGGAAGUUGAGAGAGAGCACCUCUUUAUAAGGUAAGCUCUUCUACCACUUGUAUGAGCAUGAGAAUAGGAGACCUACACACGCGCUCCUCCUUGCUCGCCACGCCACGCCUCGUCACGACGCGCUGCAGGUUGCGGGAUUGAGCGGAGCCGAGGACAGAGCUAUGCACGUUGUCUAUUUUUUGCUACCCGGGAAAAAUUAAUGAGUCAUUAAUUAAUAAUUAAUGGACGCGUUAAUAACUGAACCGUUUCCGAUUCUUUUGGAUCGUGACGACUCGGACAUGGGGUUUACUCCCACGACCUACCCGGCCCGCACUAUAUAGUCAGUCAGACGUCUACCCUAGCCGCCGCCGCUUCGUAUGGUUUCUCACCACCAUUCCAGAUCAUUGCGCCGCAAAGCAAGUCUUCUCCAUACCUCCUUUCGGCGUGCACUGGGAGAAGGAACAGCAGGCCUUCGGAACCCCGCCGCUCGUGAUCCUGUACGGGAGAGGGGCGAUCAGGUUUUUGGGGAGCGCACUCGCGCGACUGCUGGCAGCGACGACUUCGCGAAUGACGACUUCAUCCCGGACCUCGGCAACCUCAUCCUCGACGACAUGGGUGACAACGUCAACGCCGGCGGUGCUGCAGCCGCUGCACCGUAUGUUAUUCUAUCCUUCUUGUUCGAGAUCGUGGUAGAAUUCAGGUUUCUAGUAUGUGCCCUAGAUGUGAUCUGUUCAUCUACUCUGCUAGUUCGCAUGAUUAGUUUAAUCUCUGCUAUUGCUGUCAUGAUCUAUUUCCAAUUUAUUCGGAUUAAAUCUCGUAGUAAUUUGCUCAUUUUUCCAACAAUGCCAUCUGAUAGAUGAUGUAAUUCUCGUCAAGUUUGACGUUGUUGAGCUAAUUUACAAAAAAACCUCAUCAUUAUUGGAUGUCCUUAACAGCUCAAGAACAAGUUGGGGUCGAACUAAUGGAUUUUACACUUUUACAUUAAAGGUUUAGCUAAAGCUAGCAGGUGUUUUUAAACCUGAUUUUUUUCCUCCUAAAUUUCUUUGUAUUUUCUUAUUGACACUAUUUAUACAAUCAUCUGACAAAGAUUUGCUAAAGCUGCUUGUAGAUACGUUGAAACCUGAAAAGCUUCUUUGGUUUUCUCAUAGGUCUUAAUUCUUAUGUAAUACCAAGAUGCAUUGUGGUAGUGUACAUGUGUUAAAUUCGUGUUGUUAUUCACAAUUUGCGACAAAAUUUAGCUCACGCUACAUUUCAAUAUGUUGAAAUGUGAAAGCUCUUUUUCUUCUCCUUUCUACACCUUGCAUCGGAUUGCAUCCCUUUAGUUAUCCAACAUUUUGUACAACAUGUAGAGAUUAGGAAGUUCAUCAUAGUUUGUCUAUUUCGGUGCUAAUAAAUGUAUGAAAUCUGCAUUUCCAAGCUAUUAGGACAAGUAAAAAAUAAUAAUUUUACUAUAGGAUUCAAAAACAGCAGUUCUGAAGUGCACUUUAUUUAUUUGCGAAAGUGACCACAUUUUGUUUCAUUUUUCUAUAGACAAAUCUACUAAUACAUACUCACGAUAAAACUAUAAAAGUUCUAGUCCGCACAUUGGGCGGGCCACCCGGCUGGUUCGUCUAAAGAAAACAAAAUGAGUCUGGAAUUUGAAUUAAAUUGAAGUAUUUUCUUGGACUUUCAAAUUGAGUAUAGUUAAAGUAGUAAGGACUAUCCACAUCCUUGGCUUGCCCCUAAUCAAUUAUUUCCAGAGAAGCAUUCAAUUCAUCAAUCAAUUACAUUGAUUUUAGUGGCUGGUACUUCUCCUGAACAUCAGUAUAUUCACCGUGGCCACUCCAAAUCGGCAAGAAUGAGGUACCAGUGCUCUGGAGCAGUGCAAGCUAAUUGCUUCUCAUGUGAAGGGGUGCGGGCGCGGGAGAGGUAUUUCUGGUGGGCCAAGGGACUAAGAAGCGACCGUGGCAGCGGUACAGACGCCCGCAAAGCCCCAUAGUUUGUUUUUGAUUUACAGGAAAAUUGCACAUCCAUACUGGCCUGGGGAAUAUAGGACCGUAUUGGAUGGAAAACCAUGUCCGGAUGGUUGCGAGCGGUUUGAGGGUUAGCUUUUGUAACACCCGGUUAGUUAUGCUACAGCAAUUCCCUGCUAAUGAUGUCACGUCACCACGAUUACUGUUGUUAACCUCACAAUGAUUGAAUCCCAUUCAAAUUCAAAUUUAAAAUAAAGGCAAACAUCAAAAGUUUUCAAACAUGAAAACUAAAAUCUUUGAGAGGUGACAAAUAAUGCAUAAGUAAUUAUGGUGGAGAAACCACACUUUAAUUAAAUGUUAAAAUACUCUAAAAUGAAAAAAACAGUGGCUUAAACUAUUAUUUAAAUGCUUUUAAAAUAGUAAAAAUCUUCUAACUAAAUUAUUUGGGUACCAAACUUUUGGUGGCAGUGGUAUAUUUAGUAGAACUAAUUUAGAUGCUAAUUAUAUAAUUUACAAAAUUAGAAUAAAUUGAAAAAUAGGAUAAAACGGAAAAGGAAAGACAAAACAAAUAAAAGCAAAAAGGGGGCAACCCCUCGCUGGGCCUCGGCCUAGCUGGCCACUAGGCGAGCUAGGCUGGCCCCGCUGCCUCCCUUAACCCCCACACUCCUCAUCGAACCCAAGCCCGAUCGCCCCACUUCCCCACACCCCCUCGCCAGCCUCCCCACCCCUUGAUCCCAUCUGGAUCGGCGAGUGUAUUGCCCCCAUCGACCCCGUUGCCAUCGCUAGAUCGCCCGCCGACGUCGCCAGGCCUCCUCCCCGCCGCACGUCUUUGGCUCGCCUCUCCUCUCGCUCCUCUUCCCCGGCCCGAUCUUGAUCGUGAACGAGCAAUGAGCUUGAAGCCCCCCUUCACCGGCGCCAUCACCGUGCGCCACCACCACCGCCUGAAGACCUCACCGUCGCUGAACCUUGCGUCGCCUCCUCGUAUCCCUCCCCUACUCACGUCCUCAAGCCAGGCCGAGCCCCUUCUCGGCAACGCUGUGAGACGCCCCCGUUUCCCUCCUCUUUCCACCGCGUUCACCACGCCGCCCGCCAUGCCCCUCGCCGUGCGCAUGCCCACCACCGCACCAGCCCCCGCUCCGCGCACGACCCUACCCGCGCCCGCGACAUGAUCCCCUUUUCCGCCCUAUCUUCCUGCGCUCGCCGCGGUCCCGAUGCUCCCCCGCGCCUUCUUUCAGGGGCGCCGACUGCCCCUGUCCCGCUGCUCGCCGCCGUGCCUCGCCACCGCUCUACUGCUGCGUUACUACUGUGCUGCGGCCGCCGCCUCUUCCUGCUGCUCCGCCAGCGCCGAAGCUCCCAGUUGGCUCCACCACUGCUCACUUUAAACCGCCGGCCUAAAUGGCCUAACCCCGGCUAAUGAACCCCCACUAACCCACUGACACCGGGACCCACAUUCCCUAAUUAACCAUUUAAUAAAUUAAAACUCUUAAAUUAACAUUAGUGUAUGACAUGUGCGUCCCCUGUUAAUUAAUAAUUUUGCUGCUAGUUUUAUUAGUUUCUGUUUUUCUGCAUAUUUCUUUUGUAUUUGAACACGCUUUAUACAGUAAUAUUUAGCGUAUCAUACACAUACAAAUGUAAUCAUAGCAUAUACAUACAAAUAGUCUCAUCAAAUCAUGUCAUCAUCAUAAUCAUCAUCCAUCACAAAGUGGUCUCUCGUCAUCAUCUCGAAAAUAGCGAUACAAGUCUCGAUUACUUGCAACUACAUCGUCAUCCAUCUAAAUAAUGAUAUACGCGAGAAGAGCUAUUACUAUGAGUACGAGCGGAACUAUGCAGUACAUGAGGCUGUAUCCCUCUCUCGCAUUAGCGUGAACCUAAACUAACUACUGGCUGUUGCUCGGAAACCGGAAACCGGUACACCUAGGCUUGACACUCCGGCCACUCGUCGUAUACUCCUGGCGUAGAACUUCUUCUCCAUCGAUGAUCUAUGUGAAGGAAAUAUGCCCUAGAGGCAAUAAUAAAGUUAUUAUUUAUUUCCUUAUAUCAUGAUAAAUCGUGAUGGGAAUGGGCCGGGUCGGCCCGCUGGGUCACUGACUCGGCCCGAAAUCUCGAGGCCAAUGGGCCAGGGAGGUUGGCCUCGAAUCACAAAACGGGUCAGUGGAGCCGGCCCCGUGUGACCCGAUGGACCAGAUGGGUCGACCCAGCGCUGCCCUAGUCCUCCAUCUAUGCCGCCGCCCCCCACGAUCUCUGUAGCCGCUCCCGAUGAUUUCUUCCGCCGCCGGCCAUCUUUGCCGCCCCUGGCAUCCCCCGACCUUCUCUAUCGGCCGCUCCCGACCUGCUGCCGCCGCCGGCUGCCCCUGAACAUCUUUGCUGGCCUGCUGCCGCCGGCGUUCCUCCCGCAUCUCGUUCGUCGUCUUGGUCGCCGUCGAGCUCGCUGACCUGCGGUCCCGUCCACCAUCUACCUCGCCAUUCCGGUCGCCGUCCUCAUCGUCAUCAUCACGCAGGUGAGACUCUUGCCGGCUUCCUCCCUGUCCCAGCGCAGCUGCAAUGACUGGUCUAGUUUAGGUUCUUGGUCUUGCUGGCACUCUCUGCGUUGUCUGCAAUUGUUUCAGUAGUUGGAGCUUGGAAGAAAUAGUCAACACUCAAAAAUAGACUGUUUGAUUGUUCAGCAUGGGACUUGUUUGAUUGUUCUCAAGAAGAAAUAGUGCUUCAGUUGAGCUCCUGUGUAGCUGCAGUUUAGCAUUCAACAACAGUUUUCUUUUUUGUGCAGCAUGCCACUUUCUUUUUUGUGCAGCAGCUUAGCUGCAGUUUAGCCUUUCGGUCCUCUGAUCCGAGGAAAAGUAAUUAGUGUUACUUCCUGUUGUUGGUUACUAAAUAAACCAGAAAUAGUUGUCCUGUGAAACAAUUUUACUCUGUUUUUUUGUUGAAUCGGCAAAUUUUACUCUGCUGGUAGGAUGGAGUAGUGCAUAUGUUGAUGAUGCUCACGAAAAACCUUCCUGGAGUAGUGCAUAUGUCCAACUGUGAGUUUCUUCUAUUCCUCGAAUGGCCGUUUGGUGUGGUGUUCUCCUAAUUUGUUGCCUGACAAGCUAGGUGUUGUGGGCGUGCUGCAUAAGAAGUAACAAUGGUUAGAAGAUGUAGUUAAUGCUUAGUUUUUUAUGUGAUAUAGGGUCAUGUGACUUCUUUUUCUUGGGCUAGCUGCCAGGUUGAGUUUGCGUAUAUGCAUAUCAGUGUAGCUGAUCCAUCGACAAGUCCAGCAUUUUUUAGUGUCAGUUCAGGGGAUGCUUUACUGGCAGCGAUUUCUGUAGUGUUGCUCAAUGGGAUGCUUUGCCGACAGUGAUUAGACCGUAAACUAAACUAUCCGGUUUCUUAUCUGCAUGCAUCUGCUGUUGAUUUUGAAAGUUAAUGCUCUCUAAUGUUCAUAUAUUUCCCUCUGAUUAGAAAAAUGGAAGAGGAGGAAGGGGACCAUGAGGCAUACCAAAGUGGUGGUUCAUCGUUGAUAUCCGGUGCGAUAAUGAGAAGGGCUCAACCACCCCCAGGGGUGUCUCCUUCUUCGAUAGACAUCUGUAGAGCUUAUCAUGGUGAGUAUUGUUAAUCUUUCUUUUUAUAGGGAUGCAAAUUAAUGGUUGCUAAAAUAAAAAAUACUCAUAAUUGUAAUGUUAACACUCGUGUCCUUUGCUCAGCAGGACGUUCGCAAGACACUCGUAUGGUUGAUUUUGAAGAAGAUGAGGCUGAUGAAGAAGAUGUUGACUAUGAAGAAGCAGAGGAAGGAGAAGAAGAUGAGGAUGAUGAAGAAGAAGAAGAAGAUGAUGAUGAUGAAGAAGAAGAAGAAGAGGGAGAUAAUGUGGAUGAAGAGGGAGAGGUUGAGAUCAUUGACAUGGGAUCGUUUUCUGAACCGGGAAGAAAGUUUUUGUCGAAAGUGUGGAAAGAAUAUGAGCCUAUCCGUGUUGAUGGCAUUGUUGUAGCUGCUGAGUGCAAACACUGUGCAAGGAAUAUUUGUGCUGAGCGUAAACAUGGAACAAGUUCAUUGCGCAAACAUUUGAAGAGAUGCAGGGAAAGGAAGAAGGUUCUUAGAGUUUCUGGACAGCUGAGUGCUUCUAUCGUGAGUCCUGAUGGAGUUGCAAUGGGGCUUUGGACCUUUAAUCAGGCAUUAGCACGCCGAGAGCUGAUGAGGAUGAUAGUGUUGCAUGAAUUGGCAUUCUCAUUGGUGGAGUACGAUGGAUUUAGAAGAUUUGUCUCUAGUUUAAAUCCUAGCUUCAAGAUGAUAUGCAGAAAAACUGUGAAGGAGGACUGCAUGAAAGCAUUUAAGGAAGAGAAGAGAAUUUUGCAAAGGAUGUUCCAAAACUCCAAAUCCAAGAUUUCUUUGACUACGGACCUAUGGACAUCAAAUCAGACAGUGGGGUACAUUUGCAUCACAGCUCACUUCAUUGAUGAGGAGUGGAAGCAGCAGAAGAGGAUAGUGAAAUUUGCAGCUAUGGAGACGCCGCACACAGGAGCUGCAAUGUUCAACGUCAUGGUGAAUUUCAUAAGAGAGUGGAACAUUGAAGAUAAUCUCUUUGCUGUGACGCUAGACAAUGCAUCGAACAAUGGUGCAAUGAUGAAGCUAUUGAAGGCACAUCUCCUGCUUAAGAAGAUGUUACCUGGUGGUGGCAAGUUGUUUCACCAACGUUGUGCCGCCCAUGUCAUAAAUCUGAUAUGUCAAGCAGGAUUGAACUUCCUUGGUCCAGUGAUCAACAUGAUACGUGAAACUGUGAAAUAUAUUCGAAGCUCACCAAGUCGAAAGGAAAAAUUUCAAGAAAUUGUUGAGCAACAUGGUGUAUCAUGUAGGAGAACUCCAAUUCUUGAUGUUCCAACUCGUUGGAACUCAACCUACAUGAUGAUUGAUAUAGCAAAAGAGUAUCGUGGAGUGUUUGACUCUUUGGCCAUUCAAGAUAAACAAUAUACCUUCAAGCCAUCUUUUGAGGAUUGGGAAAAUGCUGAAGAUGUUUGCAGGCUACUGAAGGUAUUUUAUGAAGCCACUAAUGUGAUAUCCGGCACAAAAUAUCCAACUGCUAACUUGUAUUUCCAUGAAAUGUGGAAAGUGAAGCUGACCUUAGAGCAACAACAUUAUGAAGAGGAUUCUGAGAUGGGCACAACGGUCAAAUAUAUGAAGAGAAAAUUUAGAAGGUAUUGGAAGAUGACAUGGUUGAGCCUUUGUAUUCCAGUGAUUUUGGACCCACAAUUCAAGUUGAAAUAUGUUGAUUUCCGAUUUGGCCUAGAGUUUGGGAACGAAGUUGCAGCAAUGAUUGCUAAAAUAAAAAAUGUGUUCCAAGGGUUGUUCAAGGAAUACCUCCAAUUGAAUGACAAUGGAUCAGAUCCCAUGUCACAAGGAGGUGAUGAUGACAUGGCUGUAAGUGGUGAAGAUCCUAUGGCUGAUUGGGUCCAACAUGUCACCCUCACUGCUCGAUCAACAAAUUUGGAUUAUACCGAACUUGAUUCGUACUUGUCAAAGGUACCCAUCCGCCGAAGUGAUCAAUUCAAUAUCCUUACAUGGUGGCAGACGAACUCCAGUGAAUACCCAACGCUGAGUCGCAUGGCAGCUGAUAUCUUGGCGGCUCCUUCCUCUGCGGUGGCAUCCGAGUCCGCCUUCAGCACAGGGAAGAGAGUCCUAUCAGAUUUUCGAAGUCGAAUGACCGCAACGACACUUGAAGCUCUUGUUUGUUUACAAGAUUGGAUAAGGGCCAACGGUAAAGCCAUACGACACAAGUUUCUUCUUUGUUUCUUAUUAAUGCUUCAAGUUUACAAGUUUCUUUUUUUUCUGCAGCUAAUACUCAACGUAGCUUGGCUUCAGUUCAUGACAUUAUAAUGGACUUACAAGGUAUGAGAAAUCUUCUGAUGUAUAUAGUGCCAUGUAUAUGAAGUACACUUAGUAUGAAGUCUGCUUUUUAUUUAGGGAUUUCAUAUCUACAGUUUGUUCCAGGGAACUAUUUGCAAGAUGCAACCCAAACAUGUAGAUGAGUAUAUAGAGUGUUUUACACACAGAACUAGUGCUUUUAUUUUUGGUUUCCCCAAGUUGUAGUUGAUCUCUAAUAUAUAUUUCUUUUUUCUCUCAGAUAUGAAUGUGUAGUUUAGAUUCAUUUUUUUAAUCGCCAAACUAUAUUAAAAAUAUGCAUUGCUAACUACAGUAACUUGAUUAGAAUAUGUUGCGGAGUGGAUGACAGGUAGUGUAUAAUGGAUAUUUAGAAGUGUAUUUUCUUGCAAACCUGAUCAUGAAUUGGUUUUCUGGAACACGCCUUUGCUACUAAGAAUAUUCCUCUGUUCAUAAAUAUAUUAUUUAGUUUUUUUGUGGAUAAAUAUACUAUUUAGUUGAUGUGCACAGAAUUACUCUUGUAACAUUUCUUUGCAAAUACAGAUAUCGAGGACUGAUGCUUGUUGGAGCAAUUGAUGUUAAAGCUCAAGCAGAUGGUGAAGAAGAUAUGUCAGCUUUCUCUAUAACCUACUGGAUGUGAAAAGAUUAGCAUGUUGAACUUGUAAUAUUUUGAUCUUGCAUGAGUCUGUUGGAUUGAGGUCAUUAGCUUGACGUUCUUUGAAAUCUGUAAUCUUUUGGUCUUGUUCGAAUCUGUUGGAUUGAGGUCUUUUGCUUGAUGCUCUUUGAAACAUGUAAUCUCAUGAUCUUGCCAUUCUAGAAACAUUUGCUAAAUUCUGGGUCGGCCUCAUGUACCCAAUGGGUCAAUGGGGCCACAAAAUUCUGAUGAAAUGGGCCGGCCCGUGGCCUCACAUUUUGACCUUGGGGCCACGGGGCCGGGGCCGGGGCCAGGGCCGGGUCGGCCCAUUCCCAUUCUGAAUGAUAAAUGUUUAUUAUUCAUGCUAGAAUUGUAUUAACCGGAAACAUAAUACAUGUGUGAAUACAUAGACAAACAGAGUGUCACUAGUAUGCCUCUACUAGACUAGCUCGUUAAUCAAAGAUGGUUAAGUUUCCUAACCAUAAACAAAGAGUCGUUAUUUGAUUAACGAGGUCACAUCAUUAGUUGAAUGAUCUGAUUGACAUGACCCAUUCCAUUAGCUUAGCACCCGAUCGUUUAGUAUGUUGCUAUUGCUUUCUUCAUGUCUUAUACAUGUUCCUAUGACUAUGAGAUUAUGCAACUCCCGUUUGCCGGAGGAACACUUUGUGUGCUACCAAACGUCACAACGUAACUGGGUGAUUAUAAAGGAGCUCUACAGGUGUCUCCAAUGGUAGAUGUUGGGUUGGCGUAUUUCGAGAAUAGGAUUUGACACUCCGAUUGUCGGAGAGGUAUCUCUGGGCCCUCUCGGUAAUGCACAUUACACAAGCCUUGCAAGCAUUGCAACUAAUGAGUUAGUUGCGGGAUGAUGUAUUACAGAACGAGUAAAGAUACUUGCCGGUAACGAGAUUGAACUAGGUAUUGGAUACCGACGAUCGAAUCUCGGGAAAGUAACAUACCGAUGACAAAGGGAACAACGUAUGUUGUUAUGCGGUCUGACCGAUAAAGAUCUUCGUAGAAUAUGCAGGAGCCAAUAUGGGCAUCCAGGUCCCUCUAUUGGUUAUUGACCAGAGACGUGUCCUGGUCAUGUCUACAUUGUUCUCGAACUGUAGGGUCCGCACGCUUAACGUUACGAUGACAGUUAUUAUGAGUUUAUGCAUUUUGAUGUACCGAAGGUAGUUCGGAGUCCCGGAUGUGAUCACGGACAUGACGAGGAGUCUCGAAAUUGUCACACCCUAGCUAGUUUAUGCAUUAGAGUGUGCAUCAUGUUUACCUUCAUCAGAAAUUGAAAUGGGGAGAGCAGAACCCCCAGCACCCCCCCCCUGAAAUCAACGAGGGUUUACUAAAAAUAAAUUCAAUGAACCUGAAAUGCCCUUGAAAUAUGUUCACCCUCUUUGCCUUGGGUUAGAACCCUUGGGAAAAAUGGUGCAUAUAAUUUUAGGUCAACAAAAGGGGCAUUGACUUAAUUCAUAAAUAUUUGAAUUUGGGCAUUUAAAAUACUAUUAUAUAAUUCAAAUGCUCAAAUAAUGUUGGAACUAUUUUUGGGCCACUGAAAUAUUUCAGAAAGUGUCCAUAAAUAUUUUCAGGAUUUUAUAAAAUGAUUUAGUAUCUGAACUAAAUCAAAACAGAAUAACAGAAAUAGAAAAACAAAAAAAAAUAAAGAGGGAAAGACCAUGGGCCACUUACCUGGCCCAGCGCCAGGCCACUAGCGGCCCAGCCCACCAGGCCGAUGCCAGUCGUCCCCUAGCUCCUGCCAGGAGGACGAAGGGCGUGUGCCCGCGGUGCGCCAGCACGCACACGGCCACCGACGGCCACCUCCUGCUUCGGCCGCCUCCCCGACGUCGCUUUGGACGCCACGCAUCCCCCCCUGACCCCUCGCUCACUCUCUUUCAUCCUCAUCCCCUCCUCUGCUCUCUCUCCCGCGCAACCGCCAUGAGCCCGAGAGCGCCGACGAGGACCACCACGGCCACCGCCUACCCCUCGCUUCCCUGACCAGCUUAGAGGCUCCGCCUCGACCCCGUCUUCCUUCUCACCGAACCACGCCCCGCCGGAAGCCCUGCGUCAUCAAAUUCAAGCUCUUCUUCAAGCUUCGGCACCGACGAUCGCCGCCGUCGAUUCGCUUGCUCCAGUGCCUCCCCGAGCUUGCCGAGGCCACCGCUGCAACUGCUGUGAGCUCCUGUGUCGUUUCCCCCUCCCCCCUGGCUCGAUUUCUUCUUCUAACACCGAUGCCCGUCAGAACCGAGAGCUCUUCGCCGCCGGCCAUGCCGCCACCGUGACCACAGCCGUGCAAGCUCACUCCCGAGCACGGCAACGUGCUCCACACCUCACCAAGAGCACGUGGAACCCAUCAGUUUCCCCUCCCGUGCACCACAACGCCGAUCCGCUCAACUCCCGAACUCCGGCCGCCGCGCAAGUUGCCGCCGCCGUCGUUUUAGGCCACUAGGGCUGCUGCCGUGUGCACAGAUAGAUGCGGGCGAGUCCCAGCUCCGCGUAGAUGCCCUCCGCUGGCCAUUUGGUCGCCGGAGGAGGAUUUCCGAGCCCCUCCGCCGUCUCUGGCCUUGCCGGCGACGAGCCGGGGUCAACUCCGGCGUGUUUUGACCCCGGGUCGGCUGGGUUGACUCCCCCCUGACUCACUGACGUGUGGGCCCAGGCGCCUGCCUAAUUACCAUUAGUUAAUUAGAGUUAAUAAAAAUUAGCUAAUUAGUGAGCCACUGACAUGCGGGCCCCGCCCGGCUAACCAAGUUAGUUAGGGUUAACUAACUUAGUUAGUUGAUUGUGUCACUGACCAGUGGACCCCACUGGUCAUGUUUGACCUGGAGGCGCCAGUUGACCUGCUGACAUCAGGGUGAUGUCAUGCUGACGCAAUAACUCUUUUUCUGGAUUUAAUUUUAUAUAGAAAAUUCCAGAAAAUUGCCUAAACUUCAAAAAUUCAUAGAAAUUCAACCAUAACUCCAAAUGAGACAAAUUAUAUAUGAAAAAUUAUCAGAAAAAUUCAAGGAAUCCAUCUGUACCAUUUUCAUGCAUGUUUGAACAAUGCUUGUCCUCUGUUUUGGACAAAACAAAUAAAGGGCAUUUAAAUAAUCAUAUAUGGGGUUGGAAUUUGAAUCUUGUACUCAAACCAACUCCAUUUAAAUCAUAGCUAGUUGCAUAAGCUCAAGACACAUCCAUAUUGCCAUGUCAUAGCAUGCAUCAUAUUGUUGCAUAUCAUCAUGUGUUGAUUGUGCUCGGUUGUGUUCUUCGUGGUAGGUUCUGCCUCCGAGGAUAUUCACGAGUAUCCAACUGAAGGGCAGUAUCCCGUUACCACUCCAUCAGGCAAGCAACCAUUGAUCAUUCCGAUACAACCCAUGUUCUCGCUCCUACUCUUGUUUACUGCAUUAAGACAACACGAUUCAAACUGCCGUGUGCUACGGUAGUUGAACCCUUAUCCUCUGCAUGACCUGUCAUUGCCACAGUAACUAGAUGAAACCCACUAGCAUGUGUAGGAGUUGAUUGAGCCAUGUUUUGUGAUUCCUACCUUGCUAUGCCUGCUAUGCUUAGAGUUGUGUCAGGUCUGGUUCAUCUGGGGAAUGGGCUAGAGUGAAAUGCUUGUGCCAGUAAAUUGUGGGAUGUGUUGAACAUGUUUUGGUAAAGGUAUCGAUGAGAGGCCAUGUAGGAGUACAUGGUGGGUUGUUUCAUUGAAGCCGUCCCUAAGAACUGAGUUCUGUAUGCGUGAAUUAAGAUUCAGCUACUACCACACAUUGGGCCCUGAAAUAUGACCCCGCUCGACUUACCGACCCCUCUCGCCUCAGUCCAGGAGUUGCAACUAGUUUCUGGUGUUUGUAGGAUAUGUGUUGGCGGCCGUGCGUAGCGCUGACCCUAGGGGUGGGCUAUGUUGCGGUAGAUACACCGUGGCACGGUGUACUGAGUCACCCGUUUGGUGUCUCGGGAACCCUGUUCACAUCGUUCGGGGCCGUUGAGGACACCCCGGCCGGAUUUCCUUGCGGAUGGAACCUGAAUAGGCGAUGACCCUGGACUAGAGACUCGUGAGGUUAGUCAGGUCGUGGUCUACACCCACGUCGGUUUUCGCUUGAAGUCUGCCGAGCACAUUUCGUGUGCAGACGCUAAGUGGUGGAAACAUGUGUGACGAAGUACACCCCUGCAGGGUAUAAAACUAUUCGAAUAGCCGUGUCCGCGGUAAAGGACUACUUGGUUGCAUAUACAGUUCAUAGACAAGUUAAUGGAUACUACUAAAAGACUCAAGAUAAGUGUGAGUACCGAGGAUGGCUCCCUCGCAGGAUACGAGGGAGGAUCCACGGUGGAGUAUUGUGAUGGUGAGUAGUGGACUCGUGUGCAAAAACUAUUUUGCUAAAAGAUUCCGUAGGAUAGCUUAGCCAAGAGUCAAAGCUGGUUUGCUGCAUAAACCCCACCACCUUCUUGAGAAUGAGCAUGUACAGUAGGUUCUGAUGUAAGACUUGCUGAGUACCUUUGUACUCAUGUUUGCUUAUUUAUUGUUUUCAGACGACAACACUGCCCCCUCCGAUGGGUUUUACGUAGACCUUGACGUCGACGAGUGACUAGCCACCCAGGUGGUGAUCCAGGCCAUGGAGGGCCCUAUGUAGAUAGACAGGCUUCGAGAAGCCUUCUUUCUUUCUAGAGUCUGUACCCAGACUAGUUGCUUCCGCAUGUGCUUGUAUGACUGUAUGACUUGAGUGUCGGGUCAUGUGACCCCUACCUGUAUGGAUAUGUUAUGUAUGGCUCCCUGGAGCCUUUAAAUAAAGUACCUGAGUUGUAGAGUUUUGUUGUGAUGCCAUGUUGUAUGUACUCAUAUCGAGCAUAUUGUAUGUAUGAUUGAAAUGCUUGGUAUGAGUGGGAUCCGACAAUCUAGUUGUUUGUCCUUCGCAGCCUUUCUUAUGGGGAAAUGUAGUCUAGUGCUCCUCGAGCCAUAGUAGUCCGCUACAGCCCGGUUCAGCGGAGUCCUACUAGCCCAGCACUACUGUUCAGGACACUUGACUAGCCGGCAUGUGUUUCACUUCGGGGAAAUGUCACGCGGUGAUCUCCGGAGUCCUGUCUAGCCUGCUACAGCCCGGGAUCCCCCGGAGUCCUGUUAGCCCAGUGCUACAGCCCGGAAUCACUCGUUGAUGACCGACAUGUUCGUUGUGAUUCAUGUAUGCCUGUCUCCAUAGGUCUGUGCCGCUUUGGGUUCACGACUAGCCAUGUCGGCCCGGGUUCUCGGUCAUAUGGAUGCUAGCGACAUUGUCAUAUACGCGAGCCAAAAGGCGCAAACGGUCCCGGGCCAUGGUAAGGCGACACCCGUGGGAUACCGUGAGUGAGGCCGCAAAGUGAUAUGAGGUGUUACCGGCUAGAUCGAUGUGGCUUAGAAUCGGGGUCCUGACAGCGUUGGCAUCAGAGCCGGACUGCCUAUAGGUUCGUUCAGCCAAACUGGUCGAUGUCGAGUCUAGAAAUGCUUUAGUUAUAUGUAAGGGAAUUGAUUGUGGGAGGGAACGUAAGGUUCUUUUACUCCUUUACCCUAUGCUUCUGAUCUGAGUCAUUCUCUUCUCAUUCAACGUGGGUUAAGGACUAGGCUCUCUUCUUCUAUCAGGUUCACGUGUUACUAAUCCGUAGUAGUUCAUAGGAUUAUUGCUACGAGUUCCAGUCCAGUUUCUACUAUUUUAGUACGUUGCUAUUUGAAUCAGAACCUUGAUAUGAUGCUGUUGAGCGGUAUUGUGAACUGUUGUGGAUGUCUCAAAUCUUUUUCUGAGCAUUUACAACCGCUAUGCUGCCCAAUUUUCCCUAGGAAUUCUGAUGUCUUUGUCUUGUGGUUGUGCUUUCAGAUGGCCAACCAUUCUCAAAAUCAAGUGGUUCGCCUGACUAGGUGCCUCGACGUGCCCGGUCAUACUGCUAUGUUGGUCCGGGUCAUGAUCGAGACAGGAUACCGUUGGUAUCCCGAAUACACUGUUGAAGAGCAGUUCCGCGACUUUAAUCAAAGCCAGUAUUUAUGCACCGUCAGGAUAUUUCCUUCCUAUCCUGGAUCUACCGAGCCCCUUCACUGUUCCUAUGGACUCGGAGUUACCAUUGAGAUGGCUGUGCAGGAUGCUGCCUAUUUCAUGAUGACCAUCUUGCGAGUCCGGACUGGCCUGCUUCGGAACACUGACUUCCGUUACAUGCCAGCUUCACUUCCGGGAGCGCAGGGGUAUCUUCAGGCUAUCUAUGCUGACUCCACUCAGGAGGACUCAUUAACUCGUACCACCGCUGAGAUGCUCGAAGAUAUGGACCGAGAGAAUCGGGCCUUGAGGCUGGAGCUCUUUAAUACCCGUGCUGAUCAUUGGGCCACAUUGACUCGGUUUGCACCCGCGGUGCAAGCGGGAUGUAUGGAUACCAGGGAUCUGUAUCCUGUGAGAGCAGCUCUGCCAGACAUGGUGGAUUGGCGUGAUGUGGGAGGCAUCACCCCACCCCUUGGUCACCGCAGGCCACCGUUUGUGGGUCCAAGACCUUAUCCUAGCCCCUAUGGUCCACAGGCUCCUCAGGACCGUCUGUUUCCGGAUGAUCACGUUGAACUUCCAGGCUAUGGAGGUGACUUCUAUGAGGACUACUACGGAGCUAUCUGAGUUAGUAGUAGUACCACUAGUAUUGUAGUAGUUGUAUCUCCACUGUCCUGUGUGACUUGUGGAAUACGACUUGGUGUGUAAUCGAUUCCGGAGGUGUAGACAAAUAAUGUAUAGGGACUCGGAAUGCCUCCGAUGAGAUGUAACGUCUACCUUCAUAGUUGUACUGUAGCAUGGGCUUGUACUAAACUAUGUAUGACGAGUAUGACCGUUGGUGUAUAUAUGGCAGUUUUAUAUUACCAUGGCAUACGAAUGAGCAUCUCUGCAUUCCGCGUUAUCCUUUACAUUCUGCACUUCCCUGUUAAGUUUGAGCCAUCCUUGUCUAAACCGUUGUCUUGUUUCCUCCUAGGAUGGUCAACACCCGCGGAAACCCUGCUGCCCCGGAGCAGGGGGAAGCCAAUGCAGCUAGAGGUGAAAAUUUGCCUCACCCGCCUUCCCUGGCCGAAGUGAUGCUGGAGGCGGAAAGGAACAAGCGUGAGACCAACCGCCUGCUGGAGCGGAUUGAGCAGAACACUGCACGCCACCCACGAAAUGACUUGGUGUCAAUCAACGACUUUAUCAAGCUGUACCCACCAAAGUUUAACCAUUCCGUCGAGCCCCUCGACGCGGAUGAUUGGCUUCGCAGCAUCACCCACAAGCUACGUUCUGCCAACGUAGCUGAAGCCGACAAGGUUACCUAUGCUGCUUAUCAUCUUGAGGGCCCCGCUAGCCAUUGGUGGGAAAACUACGAAGCUAUGCGCCCGGUCGGCCAAAUCACUACCUGGGCUGAGUUCAGCGAGGCUUUCCGUGAGCAUCACAUUCCGGAAGGUCUCAUGGAUCGCAAGAGGGAGGAGUUCUGUAACUUCACCCAAGGAAGGCUGACUGUGGAUGCAUAUAGCCGAGAAUUUGGGAACCUGGCACGCUAUGCUCCUGAAGAGGUUUCUACUGACGCCAAGAAGCAGGGAAGGUUCCGUAAGGGACUUAGCCCUGAGCUUCGCUGCGAUCUCCGUCCGCACGAGUGCACAUCCUUCCAGAAGCUGGUCAAUAAAGCUAUCAGUGCUGAGACAGGCCAGACUGAUUAUGACGCUUCACGCAAGCACUCUCGUGAUUUUGGGUCUUCAUCCGGCUCUGGAGCUCAGAAGCGCCGGGUGUGGAUUCCAAGCACCGCACUGCCAGCCAGAUUCACCCCGAGGCCAUCCUUUGAGGCGCCUCAUCCCAACCAGCAAUUUGCACCGCCCAAGCCCUAUGGUGGCCCCGCUGCUAAUGUUGCUCCACGCCCCACUAUGGUAACAUGCUUCAUGUGUGGAGAACCGGGUCACUAUAGUCGAGAGUGUCCCCAGAACAACCCCAAUCAAGCUGGAAAGUCCGUUGGCCGUGGUAAGCCCGCGGGAAAGACUUUCUAUGCCAAGCCGGCCACUACUGCACGUGGCCAUGUAAACUACGUCUCAGCCGAAGAGGCUCAUGAGGAUCCCAACGUCGUCCUUGGUACGCUCCUUGUUAACUGCCAUCCGGCAUCUGUUCUUUUCGAUACUGGAGCAUCUCAUUCAUUCAUAUCCGAGAAUUAUGCUCGGUCGCAUAACACGACAUUCUGUGACAUGCCCACUUCCAUGGUAAUUCAAACUCCGGGUUCCAAAUGGCAAACUUCUAGGGUAAGCCAUGGGAACGAAAUUCUUGUCGAUAGGCUUGUUUUCCUUGCAUCUUUAAUAGCUCUCAAGUCCUCCGACAUAAACAUCAUCUUGGGUAUGGACUGGAUGUCGGCUCAUUAUGCCAAGAUCGAUUGUGCCACUAGAACCGUUCAACUUAUUCAUCCCUCAGGCAAGACAGUUAAUGUCUUAACUCGAGUGGCCAAGCGCCAACUUUACUCUCUCAAUGCCAACCCUCUUCCAGACCUUGAGGACGUUCCGGUAGUCCGAGACUUCCCGGAUGUGUUUCCGGAAGAACUGCCAGGUGUUCCACCUGACCGGGAUGUCGAGUUUGUGAUAGACCUUGUUCCAGGAACCGUUCCAAUUGCUAGAAGACCCUACAAGAUGGCACCCUUAGAACUAGCCGAGCUUAAGAACCAACUCGAUGAGUCCUUGAACAAAGGGUUCAUCCGUCCUAGCUCCUCUCCUUGGGCUUGCCCCGUCCUCUUCGUCAAGAAGAAGGAUGGAACGGAUCGAAUGGUUGUGGAUUACCGACCUGUCAAUCUGGUCACCAUCAAGAACAAAUACCCGCUUCCCAGGAUCAACGACCUGUAUGAUCAGCUCACUGGAUCCUCAGUCUUCUCCAAGAUGGAUUUGAGGCUGGGCUACCAUCAAAUCAAAAUCAGAAACGGGGACAUUCCCAAAACGGCCUUUGUUACUCGUUAUGGCCAAUACGGGUACACCGUCAUGUCCUUCGGUUUAACCAAUGCCCCGGCCACUUUCUCCUGGUUAAUGAACUCGGUUUUCAUGGAGUACUUGGACAAAUUCGUUGUAGUAUACCUCGAUGACAUACUCAUCUACUCCAAGAAUGAAGAGGAACAUGCCGAACAUCUAAGGCUGGUAUUGAUGAAACUUCGAGAGCAUCGCCUUUAUGCCAAAUUCUCCAAGUGUGAAUUUUGGUUGUCAGAAGUGACCUAUCUAGGCCAUGUAAUCUCUGGUAAGGGUAUUGCUGUCAAUCCCGAGCGAGUUCAAGCCGUCCUUGAUUGGACUCCACCUGAAACGGUCAAGCAAGUUCGGAGUUUCCUUGGCCUAGCGAGCUAUUGCCGCCGCUUCGUCGAGAAUUUCUCCAAGGUUGCUAAACCUCUAACUGAACUCCUCAAGAAAGAUAAAAAGUUCGAGUGGACUCCGCAGUGCGAGUUCAGUUUUCAGGAAUUGAAAAGACGCCUGACAUCUGCUCCCGUACUGGUACCACCAGAUUUCUCCAAGGACUUUAUUAUCUAUUGCGACGCCUCGCGACAAGGACUAGGUUGCAUACUCAUGCAAGAUCGUCAGGUAAUUGCCUAUGCUUCAUGGCAAUUACACCCACAUGAGGAAAAUUAUCCCACACAUGAUCUAGAGCUUGCAGCUGUAGUCCAUGCACUCAAAACCUCGCGACAUUACCUCCUCGGUAAUCGUUGCGAGAUCUUCACCGAUCACCAAAGCUUGAAAUAUAUCUUCACCCAACCAGAUUUGAAUCUCAGGCAAAGACGUUGGGUCGAGUUGAUCUCGGAUUACGACUUAGGAAUAACUUACACCCCUGGCAAAGCCAAUGUCAUGGCCGAUCCGCUAAGUCGUAAGUCCUACUGUAACAACCUGCUGUUACAACAAAGUCAACCACUUCUCCAUGAGGAAUUUCGCAAGCUUAAUCUUCACAUUGUUCCUCAAGGAUUCUUGUCUACUCUGGUGGCGAAACCUACCCUUAUGGAUCAAAUCAUAGCUGCCCAAAAGCGUGAUAAGGGCAUAUCCCGGAUUAAGGAAAACAUUGCUAGCGGAGUAGCUAAAUGUUUUUCCAUGGAUGAGCAAGGUGCUGUCUUCUUUGAGAACCGCCUGGUGGUUCCCAAGAACCAACAUCUACGCCAGAUGAUCCUUAAGGAAGCUCAUGAAUCCCCUCUCACCAUUCAUCCCAGUAGUACUAAAAUGUAUCAAGACUUACGCCAGAGGUUUUGGUGGACUAGGAUGAAGAGAGAAAUCGCUCAAUACAUUGCUAAUUGCGACGUUUGUCGUCGUGUUAAAGCAGAGCAUCAACGGCCUGCUGGCACCCUUCAACCUUUGGCUAUUCCUGAAUGGAAAUGGGACAAAAUCAGUAUGGAUUUCAUCACUGGGUUUCCCAGGACCAAGAGGGGAAAUAAUGCCAUCUUCGUCGUGAUCGACCGUCUUUCCAAAGUAGCCCAUUUUCUACCUGUUCGUGAGAGUAUCACCGCUAGCCAGCUAGCUGACCUAUACAUCUCCCGAAUAGUGUCUCUUCAUGGUGUCCCAUUGGAAAUUAACUCAGACCGUGGAAGUCUCUUCACCUCUCGAUUUUGGGAAAGUUUCCAAAAUGCUAUGGGAACUCAUCUCUCCUUUAGCACCGCCUUCCAUCCUCAAUCAAGUGGUCAAGUAGAGCGAGUAAAUCAAAUUCUGGAAGAUAUGCUCCGAGCUUCUGUUAUCUCGUUCGGAAUGAGUUGGGAAAAAUGCCUUCCAUUCGCGGAGUUUGCUUAUAACAAUAGCUAUCAAGCUAGUUUGGGCAAGGCUCCCUUCGAAGUUCUCUAUGGACGAAAAUGUCGAACGCCUCUUAACUGGUCAGAAACCGGGGAAAGGCAACUCUUUGGCCCGGAUAUGAUUCAGGAAGCAGAAGAGCAGGUUCGCGUUAUUCGUGAGAAAUUGAAAACGGCCCAAUCUCGCCAAAAGAGUCAAUAUGAUCGUAAGCAUAAGCCAAUGACAUUUGAAAUUGACGAGAAAGCUUAUCUUCGGGUUACCCCGUUAAAGGGAACCCAUCGCUUCGGUAUCAAAGGCAAAUUGGCUCCUCGUUACAUUGGACCCUUUCGCAUUCUUGCCAAACGAGGAGAAGCUGCCUACCAAUUGGAACUACCUCCGCAUCUUUCCAGAGUUCACGACGUCUUCCACGUUUCGCAACUCAGGCGUUGCUUCGCGGAUCCUAUCCGUGGAGUGGACCACGAAACGCUUGAUUUACAAGAUAACCUCUCUUAUCGGGAAUACCCCGUUCGUAUCCUUGAUCAAGCCGAGCGUACCACUCGACGUCAUAAUAUCAAGUUUCUCAAGGUUCAAUGGUCACACCAUUCCGAGGAAGAAGCCACUUGGGAAAGGGAGGAUCGUCUUCGACUCGAGUACCCCGCCUUCUUCCCAGAUGAUCCUAAAUCUCGGGACGAGAUUCUAUUGAGUGGGGGUGAGUUGUCACACCCUAGCUAGUUUAUGCAUUAGAGUGUGCAUCAUGUUUACCUUCAUCAGAAAUUGAAAUGGGGAAAGCAGAACCCCCAGCACCCCCCCUGAAAUCAACUAGGGUUUACUAAAAAUAAAUUCAAUGAACCUGAAAUGCCCUUCAAAUAUGUUCACCCUCUUUGCCUUGGGUUAGAACCCUUGGGAAAAAUGGUGCAUAUAAUUUUAGGUCAACAAAAGGGGCAUUGACUUAAUUCAUAAAUAUUUGAAUUUGGGCAUUUAAAAUACUAUUAUAUAAUUCAAAUGCUCAAAUAAUGUUGGAACUAUUUUUGGGCCACUGAAAUAUUUCAGAAAGUGUCCAUAAAUAUUUUCAGGAUUUUAUAAAAUGAUUUAGUAUUUGAACUAAAUCAAAACAGAAUAACAGAAAUAGAAAAACACAAAAAAAAAUAAAGAGGGAAAGACCAUGGGCCACUUACCUGGCCCAGCGCCAGGCCACCAGCGGCCCAGCCCACCAGGCCGAUGCCAGUCGUCCCCUAGCUCCUGCCAGGAGGACGAAGGGCGUGUGCCCGCGGUGCGCCAGCACGCGCACGGCCACCGACGGCCACCUCCUGCUUCGGCCGCCUCCCCGACGUCGCUUUGGACGCCACGCAUCCCCCCCUGACCCCUCGCUCACUCUCUUCCAUCCUCAUCCCCUCCUCUGCUCUCUCUCCCGCGCAACCGCCAUGAGCCCGAGAGCGCCGACGAGGACCACCACGGCCACCGCCUCCCCCUCGCUUCCCUGACCAGCUUGGAGGCUCCGCCUCGACCCCGUCUUCCUUCUCACCGAACCACGCCCCGCCGGAAGCCCUGCAUCGUCGAAUUCAAGCUCUUCUUCAAGCUUUGGCACCGACGAUCGCCGUCGUCGAUUCGCUUGCUCCAGUGCCUCCCCGAGCUUGCCGAGGCCACCGCUGCAACUGCUGUGAGCUCCUGUGUCAUUUCCCCCUCUCCCCUGGCUCGAUUUCUUCUUCUAACACCGAUGCCCGUCGGAACCGAGAGCUCUUCGCCGCCGGCCAUGCCGCCACCGUGACCACAACCGUGCAAGCUCACUCCCGAGCACGGCAACGUGCUCCACACCUCACCAGGAGCACGUGGAACCCAUCAGUUUCCCCUCCCGUGCACCACAACGCCGAUCCGCUCAACUCCCGAACUCCGGCUGCCGCGCAAGUUGCCGCCGCCGUCGUUUUAGGCCACUAGGGCUGCUGCCGUGUGCACAGAUAGAUGCGAGCGAGUCCCAGCUCCGCGUAGAUGCCCUCCACUGGCCAUUUGGUCGCCGGAGGAGGAUUUCCGAGCCCCUCCGCCGUCUCUGGCCUUGCCGGCGACGAGCCGGGGUCAACUCCGGCGUGUUUUGACCCCGGGUCGGCUGGGUUGACUCCCCCCGGACUCACUGACGUGUGGGCCCAGGCGCCUGCCUAAUUACCGUUAGUUAAUUAGAGUUAAUAAAAAUUAGCUAAUUAGUGAGCCACUGACAUGCGGGCCCCGCCCGGCUAACCAAGUUAGUUAGGGUUAACUAACUUAGUUAGUUGAUUGUGUCACUGACCAGUGGACCCCACUGGUCAGGUUUGACAUGGAGGCGCCAGUUGACCUGCUGACAUCAGGGUGAUGUCAUGCUGACGCAAUAACUCUUUUUCUGGAUUUAAUUUUAUAUAGAAAAUUCCAGAAAAUUGCCUAAACUUCAAAAAUUCAUAGAAAUUCAACCAUAACUCCAAAUGAGACAAAUUAUAUAUGAAAAAUUAUCAGAAAAAUUCAAGGAAUCCAUCUGUACCAUUUUCAUGCAUGUUUGAACAAUGCUUGUCCUCUGUUUUGGACAAAACAAAUAAAGGGCAUUUAAAUAAUCAUAUAUGGGGUUGGAAUUUGAAUCUUGUACUCAAACCAACUCCAUUUAAAUCAUAGCUAGUUGUAUAAGCUCAAGACACAUCCAUAUUGCCAUGUCAUAGCAUGCAUCAUAUUGUUGCAUAUCGUCAUGUGUUGAUUGUGCUCGGUUGUGUUCUUCGUGGUAGGUUCUGCCUCCGAGGAUAUUCACGAGUAUCCAACUGAAGGGCAGUAUCCCGUUACCACUCCAUCAGGCAAGCAAGCAUUGAUCAUUCCGAUACAACCCAUGUUCUCGCUCCUGCUCUUGUUUACUGCAUUAAGACAACACGAUUCAAACUGCCGUGUGCUACGGUAGUUGAACCCUUAUCCUCUGCAUGACCUGUCAUUGCCACAGUAACUAGAUGAAACCCACUAGCAUGUGUAGGAGUUGAUUGAGCCAUGUUUUGUGAUUCCUACCUUGCUAUGCCUGCUAUGCUUAGAGUUGUGUCAGGUCUGGUUCAUCUGGGGAAUGGGCUAGAGUGAAAUGCUUGUGCCAGUAAAUUGUGGGAUGUGUUGAACAUGUUUUGGUAAAGGUAUCGAUGAGAGGCCAUGUAGGAGUACAUGGUGGGUUGUUUCAUUGAAGCCGUCCCUAAGAACUGAGUUCUGUAUGCGUGAAUUAAGAUUCAGCUACUACCACACAUUGGGCCCUGAAAUAUGACCCCGCUCGACUUACCGACCCCUCUCGCCUCAGUCCAGGAGUUGCAACUAGUUUCUGGUGUUUGUAGGAUAUGUGUUGGCGGCCGUGCGUAGCGCUGACCCUAGGGGUGGGCUAUGUUGCGGUAGAUACACUGUGGCACGGUGUACCGAGUCACCCGUUUGGUGUCUCGGGAACCCUGUUCACAUCGUUCGGGGCCGUUGAGGACACCCCGGCCGGAUUUCCUUGCGGAUGGAACCUGAAUAGGCGAUGACCCUGGACUAGAGACUUGUGAGGUUAGUCAGGUCGUGGUCUACACCCACGUCGGUUUUCGCUUGAAGUCUGCCGAGCACAUUUCGUGUGCAGACGCUAAGAGGUGGAAACAUGUGUGACGAAGUACACCCGUGCAGGGUAUAAAACUAUUCGAAUAGCCGUGUCCGCAGUAAAGGACUACUUGGUUGCAUAUACAGUUCAUAGACAAGUUAAUGGAUACUACUAAAAGACUCAAGAUAAGUGUGAGUACCGAGGAUGGCUCCCUCAUGUGACCCCUACCUGUAUGGAUAUGUUAUGUAUGGCUCCCUGGAGCCUUUAAAUAAAGUACCUGAGUUGUAGAGUUUUGUUGUGAUGCCAUGUUGUAUGUACUCAUAUCGAGCAUAUUGUAUGUAUGAUUGAAAUGCUUGGUAUGAGUGGGAUCCGACAAUCUAGUUGUUUGUCCUUCGCAGCCUUUCUUAUGGGGAAAUGUAGUCUAGUGCUCCUCGAGCCAGAGUAGUCCGCUACAGCCCGGUUCACCGGAGUCCUGCUAGCCCAGCACUACUGUUCAGGACACUUGACUGGCCGGCAUGUGUUUCACUUCGUCCCUAUGUCUGUCCCUUCGGGGAAAUUUCACGCGGUGAUCUCCGGAGUCCUGUCUAGCCUGCUACAGCCCGGGAUCCCCCGGAGUCCUGUUAGCCCAGUGCUACAGCCUGGAAUCACUCCUUGAUGACCGACAUGUUCGUUGUGAUUCAUGUAUGCCUGUCUCCAUAGGUCUGUGCCGCUUUGGGUUCACGACUAGCCAUGUCGGCCCGGGUUCUCGGUCAUAUGGAUGCUAGCGACAUUGUCAUAUACGCGAGCCAAAAGGCGCAAACGGUCCCGGGCCAUGGUAAGGCGACACCCGUGGGAUACCGUGCGUGAGGCCGCAAAUUGAUAUGAGGUGUUACCGGCUAGAUCGAUGUGGCUUAGAAUCGGGGUCCUGACAGAAAUGGUCGAGACAUAAAGAUUGAUAUAUUGGAAGCCUAUAUUUGGAUAUCGGAAGUGUUCCGGGUAAAAUCGAGAUUUUGCCAGAUUACCGGGAGGUUACCAGAACCCCCCGGGAGCCAUAUGGGCCUUAUUGGGCUUUAGUGGAAAGGUGAAAAGGGCUGCCAUGGUGGGCUGCACGCCUCCCCCCUCCCCUAGUCCUAUUAGGACUAGGAGAGGUGGCCGGCCACCUCUCUCUCUCUUUCCCCCUUGGGAGUCCUAUUUGGAAUAGGAUUGGGGGGGAGUCCUACUCACGGUAGGAGUAGGACUCCUCCUGCACCCUCCUCUUUGCCGGCCAGCCCCUCCCCCUUGGAUCCUUUAUAUACAGGGGCAGGGGGCACCUCUAGACACACAAGUUGAUCAUUGAGAUCGUUCCUUCGCCGUGUGCGGUGCCCCCUGCCACCAUAUUCCACCUCGAUCAUAUCGUUGUAGAGCUUAGGCGAAGCCCUGUGUCGGUAGAACAUCAAGAUCGUCACCAUGCCGUCGUGCUGAUGGAACUCCUCCACGAAGCUUUGCUGGAUCGGAGCCCGGGGAUCGUGAUCGAGCUGUACGUGUGCUAAGAACUCGGAGGUGCCGGAGUAACGGUGCUUGGAUCGGUCGGAUCGGGAAGAAGACGUACGACUACUUCCUCUACGUUGUGUCAACGCUUCCGUUGCGAUCUACAAGGGUACGUAGAUUAGACUCUCCCCCUCGUUGCUAUGCAUCACCAUGAUCUUGCGUGUGCGUAGGAAAAUUUUGAAAUUACUACGUUCCCCAACACUAUGCACCUGCAUCGUCACAUGAGUCGAUGAUAUGCAACAUAUAUAGUUGAGCAUCAGAAAGAGAUAGACUUGGCAAAAAUAGAAGCAACAUAUCAUAAGCAUAAAUAACAAAGUUCAUCGUACCCAAAAUGCCCUAACUAGAGUGAUCUUCGGUAGUCAAGGAGGAAGGUUUAAUUACAUCACAAAUAAUGUUUCGUCGUGCAUAACUCAAAGUUCCGUCAUACAGAAGGUAUGAACUAAACGGACACAUUGUCAUAUUUCGAAAAUCACUCCAACAUGGCGUGCCAUCCAUCCAAGUCAAGGAGAUAGUGCCCGAGCUUAGUGAAAGGCUUCAGGUCGAGACGCUGAGCGGCUACGCGUGUUCGGACUCUUCCCAUGACAUUUGUCCUUCUUCAUAGAACAUCCCUGUUUUUUCGACGACCUCCAUCAUGAUGAUUUGGGCAAGUUCGCACUGGAAGUGAUAUAACUCAUCUUGAAGUCGAUGAUCCUCGAUAUCUUCUAAGUUCUUUGCCCAUUGCAGAAUAUGGGCAUGGCUGAAUUUAGGUGACAUGCAAAGGUUCUGGUGAUCCUGUCUGUACUCCAUCAUGUGGUGUAGGACAUAGAACCCAUCAUCAAGAGAAUCACUCGGUUGCUGGAUGCAGCUGAAGUCGGUCUUAUGGGCCUGCCGUCCCUUUUCUUCUUGUCCUUGACCUCUCCACCCCGUGCAUCGUAGUAAAACAUAGCACUAUCGAGAACAAACUUGAUGUGGGUGUAAUCCUUUUUGUUAAUGUUCUUCGACGAGUCCACAAUAUCGGGGGUAGAGGAUGAUGAGGACGGCGCGCCUGCCGUUGCGCAAAAUAAGUACACCUCAAAUGAAUUAAACUCCAUCGUUCAAAUGAAUGAUUGAAAUCGAAGGAAGGAUAUCUGCGCGGAUGACUUACACGGGAUGAUAAGGCACGAGAAUCGCCUCCUUGUCCUUAUUGGCAAGCAUGAAAUUGACGAUGUAUUCCUCGUGUAUUCAUGGUGCUUUGCGCGGACUCCCAAGACGCCCUCGUGCAUGAAGUACGGGUCAGCGACAUAGAUAUGAGGUAUCUGCUCAACCCCGAUGAGGUAGUUCAUGUGCAAGGCAUAAAGGCGGACAAACAUAAAAUCCAGCUUCUUUAAGUGAAACAUGUUGAAGAUGUAAUCAGAUCGAAGGAAAAACUUCUUCGAGGGGAAUGUGUCGACGUACGACAAUUGCCCGGCACGUUAACCACGUAGAGAGGGUAUCCUGGAUUUUUCGAGGCGAUGAGGCCUUUCUCUAUCCGCAACACGUCGUCAUGAAGUCUCCUUAGAUCGCCGGAUCUGGCCCCUAGCGCUGCUUUCGGUAGGAUUGGUUCACCAGGAUACGCCAUUUUGCCGCUCCGGGGACAUCUAUACGGUCUUGAACCCGAGGCUGCUGAGGCGGCUGGAUCAUAGAAGCAGCUUUGUUGGCUUUCCUCAGUGUAUUCCUAGGCUUCUUUGCUACAGGAAGGUCAUCUAUGAUAUGUUCAGCCUCCAGAGGCGGCAAUUCAGGCACCGACUCAUGACGCUCAAACCCUGAGUAGGCGCCAGUAUUGAGAUACUGUUGAGUGCCAUUGUUGUCCUCAUCUAUGGCGGUGUCACCAGCGACAAAUGGAGCCUCUUCCUCACCCCGUUCGCUAUCACCCAGCACGACAGCCGGCGCUAAUUGGGUAGGUGGGGUGUUGAUGUUCAUACCUAACUGCGUGCUCGUGUGUGUGCUCCCGGCCGUCUCCAAACAAAGUAGACUCUUUGGCCACAACAGGACCCACCCAUUGCAAUCACCAAUCCCCUGCGGGAUCUCGUCGUCAUUCCCCCUAGUACCGGAGGAGCCAAAUUCUCCUGGCCUGGUUUGACACUGGCCACGGAAACUUUGUAGACGUCCGAGGGGAUCGGUCGGCCGUGGAACAAUGGUUCCUUAGGCUUCAUUAUCGUCACCUUCCCCACGUCCACCUCCUGGUAGCGGAUGUUGUACAAUAUGGUGCACGGGGUUACAUUGGCCUGCAAAGACAUUUCUGCGAUGUGAGAUAUCCGACAGGCAACAAAAAAUGGGAGAUUAUACAUUUAUUGAAGAGGGCUGGUGUGACAGAUAUAGUGAGGGCGUCGAGCUCAUCCAAAGAUGAAGCACCGCUGAGCACGUCCGGUGUCGGAGCCGGUGCGGGAGCAGGUGCAGGUGCUGGUGCAACGCUAGUCGAGCUGCUCCCGAAGAAGUCAGCAAGGGGAAAGUCCGCUGCAUUUUUUUUCUGGAUUUUGCGUGCUCGAAUUGAAAACGGCCGAAACCAAGACAGUAGACAUAUCUGCAACCACCUGUUUUGCGGCAGCUAUCGCUGUUGCGACUGUCUCAGAUGAUUUCUUCUCAAUCGGAAUCUAAACCUUCUGGCUGAUGUUUUCUUCAGUUAACCUCCGUCUUUCCUUUCGCUCCUCCGUGGUCUCACGGUAGUACUUCUUCCACGUGGCGCCGUCUACGACACCGUCCACGCGUCCAUACGACGGCCGAUUCUCCACCAGGAGUCCUUUCAAUAUGUUCAAUACCCGGUUGAAUGGAGUCUACCACUUGGGCCUCGCCAACGCCUCAGACGGCGAGUCACUUUCGGCUGCAAUCUUGUGCUGCUCUCUCUUCAAAAGGAACAAGGAUCGUUUACAAAUAUGACUAAACGUGCAGUCGAAUUGAUCAGAAACUAAAAUUACCAGCAGUCUCGUGAACUCCGUCGUGAUCGGGUCCGUCUUAAAAACCUUCUUGACUGAGUCCCAAUGGUGCCGUGCCCCGAGGACGUCACGCUCCUGCGGGACGGUGAAGUCCGCCAAGGGGUCUGGGAUGCCCAGACGUUCGCGUUCCGCGUCCUCCUUGGCCCAUAUGGACCUCUUCCCGCCGUAACCACGGCUUCCGAGGUGGUGGCGCCCCAUGUUCCUUUGUUGAAGCCCUUUCAUGUACUUCGACUUUUUUUUGGCAGCUUCGGCCUCGCAAGCCGCCUUGAAUUUUUCAAAGUGCUCUCCCGUGAUUGUCGGAUUAUCCUUUACAAUCUCGGAGUAUGGUUCCUUUUUGUCGACAAUCCGAUGUUUCAACCUUGUUUUCCAGGUGGCCAACGUGUCGCUAAACUUGGUCAUGGCGUGUUUGUUUAUCUUCUUCAUUGCCGGGUCCUUAUUUGGAUAUUUAUAAUCCUUUUCAUUCCGGCCCGGGAACAACAAUAUCUGGUGCAGCUUCUUUAGGAGGGAGGACCUCAUAUUAUCUAUCUUCUGUAGUUUCCCAUGGUUGAUCGUGGCAGUUAUCCGUACGAUGCAGCCUAUUUGAUUGCCGUAGCACGAUCGCGCUUCCUUGGGCGCUAUUGUCUGAAAAAUACGGUCGUCCAUCUCCGUGACCACCAGUCUAGUUGUCAUGAGCUGGUUUGGGCGCCGUGGCUUCUUAGCUUUCGGUUCUAGAUCAGCUCCGCUAGUCUCGGCGCCGGUCUCAGUCUCAUCGCCGGUCUGCAUGUCGGUAUCAGUCCCCGAUGCGACAGGUCGGCCCAGCAACAACAUUCGUUGAUCGUCGGCAAGGCUCAAAAAUUCAUCUGCCGCCAGGUAGACGUGUCGCAAUCACCAGAACCCUAUCCUUCAUCAUUGCUAGCCAUGUUUCCUACGAUUAUAUCUAGUCAAUUAAUUCUAGACCUAAUAAAAUGAAUAAUGACAUAAAACAGGCCAAUGUUUUGCAGGAUUACAACUCAACCCAUUGCAGAUUAGAAAACAAUCCCGUGUGAAUGCACAGGCUGACGACUAGUAUAUAUAAAGCUUAAUGGUGCCUAAGAAAGCUCGCACAAUUUUACAGUGGCUAUGGAAAUGUGUUGCCAAACUUUGACAUAAGAUUUUCGUUUGGCAUCCAGAGUUGCAAAACGCUUGUGUUGUCCUUAAUCCAUGGCCACUCUAAUUUUUCCGGCUGGGCCUUCCCUGUGGUAUCGCGGCAAGGCUUGCGUGUGUAUAUGUUUCCUUUAACUACCACUAGCACAUAUGCCCGUGCGUGCGUUGCAACGGGAGAGAUAAUGGCGUAUCCACCAAUAUAUCUAACAGCAUGACCCAACAAUAUCCGAAUGAUGUCACCCGAUGACGGCAGGAAGGCACGCACAGAGGUCUAGUAAAAACUCAUAUCAAUUGUAAGGGCAUGGUUAAUUCGCGUGAAUUCAGGGGUGUGAGAUUAGUUAGUGUUGGUCCCACAAUUGAAUUCGGGGGGUGAUUAGUUAGUGUGGGCCCACCCUCGAAUUCACGGGGGGAGACAAAAUAAUUAGGGUGAGGAGAGAUUUACGGGGCUUGGUCCCCAGAUGCGUUGUGGCAGUCAUUAUUCGAGCAUUGCAAUGCUCGCACGUGACGAGCUCUUUUUCCAAUUGUAUAUUAAGAAGCAUGCUACAGAUACAAUGUUUUUGAUACGUUUUUUGUACAAUGAUCCUGAUCUUAAAGGGCCACCUAAUUUUUAUAUCUUAAAGGCAUUAUUUGUAAGUUGUCGUGAAAAAAAUCUCGCUAAAAGGGUUGUGUUAGACCAUCUUCAGUACAUUAGAAAUAACGAAUUAUAAUUCCUUGGCAUUUGAAGAAACAAUCGCUACUUAUUUACACAUACAAUUCUUUUGGUACGAUUUUGAAAUCUUGAAGGCAUUAUUUGUAAGUUGAAGCAAUUUUGAAAUCUCACUAAAAGGUCUGUUAGACCCUCUAGAGCUUUAGAAAUAACUAAUUAUAAUUUUGCAAAAAAAAGAAAUAACUAAUUAUAAUUCCUUAAGCAUCUGACCGAAACGACCCCGAAUUAUUGUCUGGGUAGUAAUUCCUUUGCAACAUUAUUCUCUCCUUUUUUGAAGGAGCUCUUGCCUGGGUAGUAAUUCCUAUUUGCAAGGUUAUUCUCUCCUUCAUUUUUACAGGAGCUCUCCUUCCUUAUACUAAUUGGUCAUUAUCCUCUCCUUCCUUUUUCUUUUUGCCAAACUCUCUUUCCAUACUUAUGCCGCUAACCACGCCACUCUUUUUCCUUAUUUAUGCCCUUUGAUCACGCCACACAUCUCAUGAAAUCUAAGCCAUAUCACCCAUCUUUUUUCCUUAUUCUCAAAGGCGCUUUCCUCACAAACAGUAGUUCUCUAGGAUGCUUAACGAUUUUGAAACAGAAACAUAUAUAAAUCGGUAGAACGGGUUGUCAAGCAGCGAGGUGGUACUAGUUUAUAAAGAAACAAAUUAACCUUUUCUUUUUGUGUAAUGAUGCCUUGGUUCGGCUGGUUGCUGCCUUUGCCCUUGAUGUGCAGCGUUGGGAAAAGGAUGGGCGAAGUGGACGAACCAAAAACGGACAAAAUUACGGUAGUAAGAAGCGAUAGCCCAUUUAUUAGUAGGUAUAGAUAUAGAUGUCGAGGAUGAGGAUUUACUGCACACAAGUGCGGGGGCACUCAGGUCCUGGUGCCGGCCUUUUAUUUUGGCUUCCGAUUUUCAAACUUCUAUAUCUUUUAAACGAAAAGUUCAAUUUAAGUUACGUUUUCAUAUUCGUGCUUCUCGCGGCCAGCGCUUUCAAAUAAGAUCCAUUUUGCAUACAUUUUGGCUGCUUUUGGAAACAUUGCUAAGUUUCAUUGUUUGAAACUUAGUACGAGCGACCGAUAAAAUUUAAUUAUUUUGUGUCUACGACCAACAGGAGAAAUUGCUUAAAAUUACAUCUUUGAAACUGGUCAUUUUUUUACUGUGUCCUACUUCACGAAUCACGAGGCAAAUCAAGUAGGCGGCAUGCCCUGGCCGGUGAGUGCCAUUGCACUUACUUGCCCCAGCGAUUUUCCGCGUGCAUUGUAGAAUUCUUUCUCCGAGUCCUGUGAAUUAAAGAUGGUGCAGACAAAAGUAUAUCCUAUAUGCGUACAUGUGCAUGAUCAGAACAUGUUUUUACGUGCGUCUACUAUAAAUCAUGACCAUUUUUAACACAAAUCAUGACCAUUCAUGAUUAGUGAAUCAUACUGUCUUAACUUAUGUGAAAUCAUGUGGAGUAAUAUAAUAUAAUACAAUAGAUAGACAGAUCCAUGUUGUAUUAUUUUUUGUUUACAAAAAAAUCUGUAAUUACACAUUUUGAUUUAUGCAUUUGUUUACAAAAAAACAGUAACAUUUCAUGGUGGAAAGUUUGUAUUGUUUCAUACUGAACACCAAUGUUUUCCUGUAAAAGAAAAUAAUGCCUACGCAUAUGCUUUUAUAUUAUUAUUAUUCUUUCAAACUUAUUCAUAUAGUAUUUUUGAUUGUGCAACCAUAAUUUUUAUUAUCUCUCUCGUUCCACUACAUGCUCUUACUCAAUGAUUUUCUUUAUAAUGGGUGUUUUUAUUAACUCAAAAUAUAGCAUCAAGCGGAUACAGAACAUACUGAGCCACACCCGGUCUCUGCAUAACUAAGAUGCACACAGCCAAAAGCGGAAGUCUGACAAAAAUAAGAUAAGAAAAUCGACAUAUCGACAACAGUGAGUCAUAUAGUUCCGACACUAUGCCUCUGUCGAAGGAGGGGGUGGAGCGAUCUAGAGAUUAUGCUGCCUUCCAUGUUGAGUAAACACCUCCCUGGCCACUUGUUCCAACUGCAUAGACGCCGCCACGAAUAACGGUUGGUACUCUGUUCGGUGUAGCAUACACCAUGUAGGAAGUGAGUGCUCACUCCUAGUUACUGAAUUAUGUACACACUAGUAGAAAAAGGCCCAUUUGUCCCGGUUCGUAAGGCCCAUUUGUCCCAGUUGGGGAACCGGGACUAAAGGGUCGGUACUAAAGCCCUACACCUUUAGUCCCGGUUCUUACACCAACCGAGACAGAUGGGGCUCCACGUGGCCGUUGCGGCUUACCGUGGCAGGUGGGCCUUUUGUCCCGGUUGGUAGCACCAACCGGGACCAAUAAGCUACCACGCGUCAGCAUUUGAGGGGCUANNNNNNNNNNNNNNNNNNNNNNNNNNNNNNNNNNNNNNNNNNNNNNNNNNNNNNNNNNNNNNNNNNNNNNNNNNNNNNNNNNNNNNNNNNNNNNNNNNNNNNNNNNNNNNNNNNNNNNNNNNNNNNNNNNNNNNNNNNNNNNNNNNNNNNNNNNNNNNNNNNNNNNNNNNNNNNNNNNNNNNNNNNNNNNNNNNNNNNNNNNNNNNNNNNNNNNNNNNNNNNNNNNNNNNNNNNNNNNNNNNNNNNNNNNNNNNNNNNNNNNNNNNNNNNNNNNNNNNNNNNNNNNNNNNNNNNNNNNNNNNNNNNNNNNNNNNNNNNNNNNNNNNNNNNNNNNNNNNNNNNNNNNNNNNNNNNNNGGUUAAUUUUGGAGGGUUUCAUAUAUUGUGUUAGGUAGCUAAUUAAUUAAUACAGAGAAGUGUCAUCUCUUAUCUCCGUGCUUGGUCGACGCUACGUACUAUACGUACAGAGAGGCCCUCGACACGCUAGCCAGUAAGCAAAUGAAGGAAACCAUUAAGUACAGAAGUUCGUCAUGAACAUAUGCAUACAAACUAAGUGAUAUCGACCUCUCCUUCUCUGAGAGAUAGGUCGAACAACAAGUUUCCGUAUAUCUAUCCGGCGCUACUAGCUACAUAUAUACAAUAUUAAGAUCUCUUACAAUAUAAUCCCCUAAUUAUAUAUGAACUCAGCUUUCAGAUGGUAUUCUCCGGCUUUAUUGAUGACGUGGUCAAGAAAGAAUCCCUCCAAUUCCUCUUGAAUUGCUUUGAUGCGAUCUUCUGGUAGGAGUUCAUCCCGCAUCUGCCACAUCUAAUUUGAAGAAGGGGGUCAAUCACUAGUAGAAUAACAGCCAUUUGUCCUGGUUCGUAAGGCUCAUUCGUCCUGGUUGGGGAACCGAGACUAAAGGGUCGUUACUAAAGCCCUACACCUUUAGUCCCGGUUCUUACACCAACUGGGACAGAUGGGCCUCCACGUGGCCGCUGCGGCGAGCCCAGGCAGGAGGUCCUUUGGUCCCGGUUAGUGGCACUGAUACUUCUCCAACGUAUCUAUAAUUUUUGAUUGCUCCAUGCUAUUAUGUUAUCUAUUUUGGAUGUUAAUGGGCUUUAUUUUACACCUUUAUAUCAUUUUUGGGACUAACCUACUAAUCGGAGGCCCAGCCCAAAUUGUUGUUUUUUUGCCUAUUUUAGGUUUUCGAAGAAAAGGAAUAUCAAACGAAGUCCAAACGGAAUGAAACCUUCGGGAACGUGAUUUUCUCAACGAACAUGAUCCAGGAGACUUGAAGUGUGCGCCAAGAAAGAAGGGAGGAAGGCAAGAGGCAGGGGGCACGCCUACCCCCCUUGGGCGUGCCCUCCACCCUCGUGGGCCCUCCGCUGCUCCAUCGACGUACUUCUUCCUCCUAUAUAUAUCCACGUACCCCUCGAACAUCCAGGAGCACCACGAAAACCUAAUUCCACCGCCGCAACCUUCUGUACCCGAGAGAUCCCAUCUUGGGGCCUUUUCCGGAGGUCCACCGGAGGGGGCAUCGAUCACGGAGGUCCUCUACAUCAACUCCAUGGCCUAUCCAGUGAUGUGUGAGUAGUUCACUUCAGACCUACGGGUCCAUAGUUAUUAGCUAGAUGGCUUCUUCUCUCUCUUUGGAUCUCGAUACAAAGUUCUUUUCGAUUUUCUUGGAGAUCUAUUUGAUGUAACCUUAUUUUGCGGUGUGUUUGUCGAGAUCCGAUGAAUUAUGGGUUUAUGACCCAGAUUAUCUAUGAACAAUAUUUGAUUCUCCUCUAAAUUCUUUUAUGUAUGAUUGGUUUAUCUUUGCAAGUCUCUUCGAAUUAUCAGUUUGUUUUGGCCUACUAGAUUGAUCUUUCUUGCAAUGGGAGAAGUGCUUAGCUUUGGGUUCAAUCUUGCGGUGUUUGAUCCUAGUGACAGAAAGGGAACCGAUACGUAUUGUAUUGUUGCCAUCGAGGAUAAAAAGAUGGGGUUUAUAUCAUAUCGCAUGAGUUUAUCCCUCUACAUCAUGUCAUCUUCCUUAAAGCAUUACUCUGUUCUCUUGAACUUAAUACUCUAGAUGUGUGCUGGAUUGCGGUCGAUGUGUGGAGUAAUAGUAGUAGAUGCAGAAUCGUUUCGGUCUACUUGUCUCGGACGUGAUGCCUAUAUACAUGAUCAUACCUAGAUAUUCUCAUAACUAUGCUCAAUUCUGUACAAUAUGGUGCACGCGGUUACAUCGGCCUGCAAAGACAUUUCUGCGAUGUGAGACAUCCGAAAAGCAACGAAAACGGGAGAUUAUACAUUUAUUGAAGAGGGCCGGAGUGACAGAUACCGUGAGGGUCUCGAGCUCAGCCAAAGACAAAGGACAGAUGAGCACGGCCUAUGUCGGAGCCAGUGCGGGAGCCGGUGCGGGAGCAGGUGCAGGUGCAGGUGCUGGUGCAAUGCUAGUCGAGCUGCUCCUAAAGAAGUCAACAAUGGGAAAGUCCGCUACAUUUUUUCUGGAUUUUGCGUGCUCCAAUUGAAUACAGCUGGAACCAAGACAGUAGACAUAUCUGUUGGAAAUAUGCCCGAGAGCCAAUAAUAAAUUGGUUAUUAUUAUAUUUCCUUGUUCAUGAUAAUCGUUUAUUAUCCAUGCUAGAAUUGUAUUGAUAGGAAACUCAGAUACAUGUGUGGAUACAUAGACAACACCAUGUCCCUAGUAAGCCUCUAGUUGACUAGCUCGUUGAUCAAUAGAUGCUUACGGUUUCCUGACCAUGGACAUUGGAUGUCGUUGAUAACGGGAUCACAUCAUUAGGAGAAUGAUGUGAUGGACAAGACCCAAUCCAUAUCUAGCACAAGAUCGUGUAGUUCGUAUGCUAAAGCUUUUCUAAUGUCAAGUAUCAUUUCCUUAGACCAUGAGAUUGUGCAACUCCCGGAUACAGUAGGAGUGCUUUGGGUGUGCCAAACAUCACAACGUAACUGGGUGGCUAUAAAGGUGCACUACGGGUAUCUCUAAAAGUGUCUGUUGGGUUGGCACGAAUCGAGACUAGGAUUUGUCACUCCGUGUAAAUGGAGAGGUAUCUCUGGGCCCACUCAGUAGGACAUCAUCAUAAUGAGCACAAUGUGAUCAAGGAGUUGAUCAAGGGAUGAUGUCUUACGGAACGAGUAAAGAGACUUGCCGGUAAUGAGAUUGAACAAGGUAUCGGGAUACCGACGAUCAAAUCUCGGGCAAGUAUCGUACCGAUAGACAAAGAGAAUUGUAUACGGGAUUGAUUGAAUCCUUGACAUCGUGGUUCAUCCGAUGAGAUCAUUGUGGAGCAUGUGGGAGCCAACAUGGGUAUCCAGAUCCCGCUAUUGGUUAUUGACCGGAGAGUUGUCUUGGCCAUGUCUGCAUGACUCCUGAGCUCGUAGGGUCUACACACUUAAGGUUCGAUGACGCUAGGGUUAUAGGGAAAGUAUGUACGCGGUUACCGAAUGUUGUUCGGAGUCCCAGAUGAGAUCCCAGACAUCACGAGGAGUUCUGGAAUGGUCCGGAGGUAAAGAUUUAUAUAUGGGAAGUUCCGUUUUGGUCACCGGAAAUGUUUCGGGUGCUAUCGGUAACGUACCGGGACCACCGGGAGGGUCCCAGGGGUCCAUCAGGUGGGGCCACCAGCCCCGGAGGCCUACAUGGGCCAAUAGUGGGAAGGGACCAGCCCCUAGGUGGGCUGGGGCGCCUCCCGACAAGGCCCAAGUCGCCUCCAAGAGGGGAAGGGGGCAAACCCUAGGGCAGAUGGGCCCCAAGGCCCACCCUAGGUGCGCCUCCCCCUCUCCCCCUUGUAGCCGCCACCCUAGAUGGGAUCUAGGGCUGCCGCACCCCUUGGGGUGGGAACCCUAGAGGGGGCGCAGCCCCCUCCCCUCCCCCUAUAUAUACUUGAGGUAUGGGGGCUGCCCAACAUACGAUUUGAUCUCUCUCUUGGCGCAGCCCUACCCCUCUCCCUCCUCGUCUCUCAUAGUGCUUGGCGAAGCCCUGCUGGAGUUCCGCGCUCCUCCACCACCACUACCACGUCGUCGUGCUGCUGCUGGACGGACUCUUCCCAACCUCUCCUUCUCCCCUUGCUGGAUCAAGGCGUGGGAGACGUCACCGGGCUGCAGAUGUGUUGAACGCGGAGGCGCCGUGGUUCGGCGCUUAGAUCGGAAUCAACCGAGAUCUGAAUCGCUACGAGUACGGCUCCUUCAUCCGCGUUCUUGCAACGCUUCCGCUUAGCGAUCUACAAGGGUAUGUAGGUGCACUACCCUUCCCUUCGUUGCUAGGUUACUCCAUAGAUUGAUCUUGGUGAUGCGUAGAAAAUUUUAAAUUUCUGCUACGAUCCACAACAGUGGCAUCAUGAGCUAGGUCUAUGCGUAGUUUCUAUGCACGAGUAGAACAUAAAACAGUUGUGGGCGUCAAUAUUGUCAAUUACUUGCCGUUAGUAGUCUUAUCUUGAUUCGGCGGCAUCGUGGGAUGAAGCGGCCCGGACUGACCCUACACGUACGCUUACGUGAGACUUGUUCCACUGACUGACAUGCACUAGUUGCAUAAGGUGGCUAGUGGGUGUCUGUCUUUCCCACUUUAGUCAGAUCGGAUUCGAUGAAAAGGGUCCUUAUGAAGGGUAAAUAAAAAUUGGCAUACCACGUUGUCGUUUUGGCGUAGGUAAGAAAUGUUCUUGCUAGAAACCUAUAGGAGCCACGUAAAAACUUGCAACAACAAUUUGAGGACCUCUAACUUGUUUUUGCAGCAUGUGCCGUGUGAUGUGAUAUGGCCAAAAGGAUGUGAUGAAUGAUAUAUGUGAUGUAUGAGAUUGAUCAUGUUCUUGUAAUAGGAAUCACGACUUGCAUGUCGAUGAGUAUGACAACCGGCAGGAGCCAUAGGAGUUGUCUUUAUUUAUUUAUGACCUGCGUGUCAACAUAAACGUCAUGUAAUUACUUUACUUUAUUGCUAAAGCGUUAGCCAUAGUAAUGGAAGUAAUAGAUGACAAGACAACUUCAAGAAGACACGAUGAUGGAGAUCAUGAUGAUGGAGAUCAUGGUGUCAAGCCCGUGACAACGAUGAUCAUGGAGCCCCAAAGAUGGAGAUCAUAAGGAGCAAAAUGAUAUUGGCCAUAUCAUGUCACUAUUUGAUUGCAUGUGAUGUUUAUCAUGUUUUACCUCUUAUUUUCUUAGAACGACGGUAGCUUAAAUAAGAUGAUACCUCGCAAUAAUUUCAAGAAAGUGUUUCCCCUAACUGUGCACCGUUGCGAAGAUUCGUUGUUUUGAAGCACCACGUGAUGAUCGGGUGUGAUAUAUUCUAACGUUCAAAUACAACAGGUGUAAGCCAGAUUUACACACACAAUACACUUAGGUUGACUUGAUGAGCCUAGCAUUUACAGACAUGGCCUCGGAACACGGUAGACCGAAAGGUCGAGCAUGAGUCGUAUAGAAGAUACGAUCAACAUGAAGAUGUUCACCGAUGUUGACUAGUCCGUCUCACGUGAUGAUCGGCCACGGCCUAGUUGACUCGGAUCAUGUUUCACAUAGAUGACUAGAGGGAUGUCUAUCUGAGUGGGAGUUCAUUAAAUAAUUUGAUUAGAUGAACUUAAUUAUCAUGAACAUAGUCCAAAUUGUCUUUGCAAAUAUGUUGUGGAUAAAUAGCUCACGCUUUAGCUCCCUGUUUUAAUAUGUUCCUAGAGAAAAGACUAACUGGAAAGAUAUUGUAAGCAUUAACGCUGACUAGGUCUGUUGCCUGAGGAGUGUCCUCACUGCUACACAGAAGGCUUAUGUCUUUGAUGCACCGCUCGGUGUGCCAACCCCUCCGGCGUCGUCUGUGGAUGUUGUGAACACCCGACAGACACAUCCUGAUGACUACUUGAAAGUUUAGUGCACCAUACUUUACGGCUUAGAAUCGGGAUUCCAAUGACGUUUUGAACGCCAUAAGACAUAUGAGAUGUUCCAAGAGCUGAAAUUGGGAUUUCAGGCUCAUGCCCGUGUUGAGAGGUAUGGACCUCUGACAAGUGCUUUUGCCAACAAGAUGGAGUAGAAUAGCUCAGCUAGAGAGCAUGUGCUCGGAAUGUCUGGGUGCUACAAUCACUUAAAUCAAGUGGGAGUUAAGCUUCCAGAUAAGAUAGUGAUUGAUAGAGUUCUCUAGCCACUAUCACUAAGAUACUAGAUCUUCGUGAUGAACUAUGACAUGCAAGGGAUGGAGUUGAUCCCGGAGCUGUUCACGGUGCUUAAGAUCGCAAAAGGUAGAAAUCAAGAAGGAGCAUCAAGUGUUGAUGGUUUAACAAGACCACUAGUUUCAAGAAGGGCAAGGGCUAGAAGGGAAACUUCAUGAAUGGCAAACCAGUUACCAAUCAAGUGAAGGAACCCAAGGUUGAACCCAAACCCGAGACAAAGUGCUUCUAUUGUAAGGGGAACAGUCACUGGUAGCGGAACUACCCCAAAUACAUGGUAGAUAAGAAGGAUGGCAACUUCAACAAAGUAUAUACAUGUUAUUAAUGUGUACCUCACCAGUACUCUUGGUAGCACCUGGGUAUUGGAUACCGGUUCAGUUGCUAUUAUUGGUGACUUGAAGCAAAAGCUACGGACUAAACGGAGACUGGCUAAGGGCGAGGUGACGUUGUGUGGUGGAAGUGUUUCCAAAGUUGAUAAGAUCACCAUCGCAUGCUCCAUCUGCCUUUGGGAUUAGUAUUGAACCUAGAUAAAUGUUAUCAGGUGUCUACGUUGAGGAUGAAUAUGAUUAGAUCAUGUUCAUUGCAAUACGGUUAUUCAUUUAAGAUAGAGAAUAAUGGUUAUUCUGUUUACAUGAAUAAUACCUUUCAUGGUCAUGCACCCUAUGUGAAUGGUUCAUUGAAUCUCGGUCGUGGUAAUACAGAUGUUCACGCCAAAAGAUGUAGAGUUAACAAUGAUAGUACCACUUUCUUGUGGAACUGCCGCUUAGGUCAUAUUGGCAUAAGAUGCAUGAAGAAACUCCAUGUCGAUGGAUGUUUGGAGUCAAUUGAUUUUGAAUCGCUUGACACAUGCGAGCCAUGAUUCAUGGGCAGGAUGACUAAGACCCCGUUUUCAGGUAAAAUAAAACGGGCAAGUGACUUCUUGGAAAUCAUACAUGCUGAUGCAUGUGUUCCAAUCAGAAUUGAAGCGUGCGGUGGAUAUCGCUAUUUUCUCAUCUUCACUGACGAUUUGAGUAGAUAUAGGUAUAUUUACUUAAUGAAGCACAAGUCUGAAACAUUUGAAAAGUUCAAGCGAUUUUAGAGUGAAGUUAAGAACCAUCAUAUAUAAUAAGAAGAUCAAAUUCCUACGAUCUGAUCGAUGAGAAUUUCUGAGUUAUGAGUUGGGCAAUCACUUAAGACAUUGUGGAAUUGUUUCAUAGUUGAAGCCACCUGGAACAACACAGGGUAAUGGUGUGUCCGGACGUCGUAAUCGAACCUUAUGAGAUAUGGUGCGAUCUAUGAUGUCCCUUACCGAUCUACCAUUUUCAUUUUGAGGAUAUGCGUUAGAGAAAGCUGCAUUCACUUUUGAUAGGACACCAUCUAAGUCCGUUGAGAUGACGUCGUAUGAAUAUGGUUUGGCAAGAAACCAAAAUUGUCGUUUCUUAAUGUUUGGGGCUGCGAUGCUUAAGGCUUCAGGCGGAGAAGAUCGAACCCAAAAGAGGACAAACACAUCUUCAUAGGAUACCCAAAGGUGACAGUUUGGUAUACCUUCUAUCUCCAAUCUGAGGGCAAGUUGUUUGUCGCUAAGAAUGGUUCCUUUCUCGAGAAGGAGUUUCUCUCGAAAGAAUUGAGUGGGAAGAAGAUAGAACUUGAUGAGGUUGUCGAACCUUUGUUUCAACCAGAGAGUGAUGCAACACAGAAAGAUGUUUUCUGUGGCACCUACGUCUGUUGAAGAGGAAGUUAAUGAUAGUGAUCAUGAAGCUUCGGAUCAAGUUGCUAUCGAACCUCAUAGGUCGACCAGGAUAUGUACUACUCCUGAGUGGUACGGUAAUCCUGUCUUAGAUAUCAUGUUGUUAGACAACAAUGAACCCAUGAGCUAUGGAGAAGCGAUGGUGGGCCCGUAUUCCGACAAAUGGUUAGAAGCCAUGAAAUCCGAGAUAGGCUCCAUGUAUCAGAACAAAGUAUGGACUUUGGUGGACUUGCCCGAUGAUCGGCGAGCCAUUGAGAUAAAUGGAUCUUUAAGAAGAAGACGGACGUGGGCGGUAAUGUUACCAUCUAUGAAGCUCGACUUGUGGGAAAGAGUCUUUUCACAAGUUCAAGGAGUUGACUACGAUGAGAAUUUCUCACCCGUAGCGAUGCUUAAGUCCGUCGGAAUCAUGUUAGCAUUAGCUGUAUUUUUCGAUUAUGAAAUCUGACAGAUGGAUCUCAAAACAAGUUUUCUUACCAGUUUUCGUAAGAAAAAGUUGUAUGUGAUACAAUAAAAGGUUUUGUCGAUCCUAAGGAUGCUAAAAGGUAUGCUGGCUCCAGCAAUCCUUCUAUGGACUAGAGCAAGCAUCUCGAAGUUGGAAUAUAUGCUUUGAUGGAGUGAUCAAAGCUUUUAGGUUUAUACAAUGUUUGCUAGAAACUUGUAUUUACAAGAAAGUGAGUGGGAGAACUACAACAUUUCUGAUAAGUAUAUGUGGAUGACAUAUUGCUGAUUCAAAAUAAUGUAGAAUUUCUGGAAAGCAUAAACGGUUGUUUGAAGAGUGAUUUUCAAAGGCAGACCUGGAUAAAGCUGCUUACAAAUUGGGCAUCAAGAUCUGUAGAAAUAGAUCAAGACGCCUGAUGAUACUUUCAAAGAACGCACACCUUGACAUGUUUUUGAAGGAGUUCAAAAUAGAUCAGGCAAAGAAGGGGUUCUUACCUGUGUUGUAAGGUGUGAAGUUGAGUAAGACUUGAAAGCUUGACCACGACAGAAGAAAGAGGAAGGAUGAAGGUCAUCCCCUAUGCUUUUGUCAUAGGCUCUAUACGGUAUGCCAUGCUGAGUACCACACCAGAUGAGUGCCUUGCCACAUGUCUGGCAAGAGGGUACAAAGGUGAUCUAGGAGUGGAUCACCAGAUAGCGGUCAAAAUUGUCCUUAGAGGAAUAAGGAAAUGUUUCUCAGUUACGGAGCUGAUAAAGAGUUCGACAUAAAGAGUUACGUCGAUACAUGCUUAAACACCAAUCCGGAUAGCUCUGAGUAGAGAUACCAGAUACGUAUAAUGGAGCAACAAUUUGGAAUAGCUCCAAGUGGAACGUGGUAGCAGCAUCUACGAUAUGACAUAAAGUUUUGGGAAAUACAUAGGGAUCUGAAUAUUACAGACCCGUUGACUACAACCUCUCUCACAAGCAUAACAUGAUCAAACCCAGAACUCAUUGAGUGUUAAUCGCAUAGUGAUGUGAACUAGAUUAUUGAAUCUAGUAAACUCUUUAGAUGUUGGUCACAUGGCGAUGUGACCAGUGAGUGUUAAUCACAUGGCGAUGUGAACUAGAUUAUUGACUCUAGUGCAAGUGGGAGACUGUUGGAAAUAUGCCCUAGAGCUAAUAAUAAAUUGGUUAUUAUUAUAUUUCCUUGUUCAUGAUAAUCGUUUAUUAUCCAUGCUAGAAUUGUAUUGAUAGGAAACUCAGAUACAUGUGUGGAUACAUAGACAACACCAUGUCCCUAGUAAGCCUCUAGUUGACUAGCUCGUUGAUCAAUAGAUGGUUACGCUUUCCUGACCAUGGACAUUGGAUGUCGUUGAUAACGGGAUCACAUCAUUAGGAGAAUGACGUGAUGGACAAGACCUAAUCCUAAGCCUAGAACAAGAUCAUGUAGUUCGUAUGCUAAAGCUUUUCUAAUGUCAAGUAUCAUUUCCUUAGACCAUGAGAUUGUGCAACUCCCAGAUACAGUAGGAGUGCUUUGGGUGUGCCAAACGUGACAACGUAACGGGGUGGCUAUAAAGGUGCACUACGGGUAUCUCUGAAAGUGUCUGUUGGGUUGGCAUGAACCGAGACUGGGAUUUGUCACUCCGUGUAAACGGAGAGGUAUAUCUGGGCCCACUCGGUAGGACAUCAUCAUAAUGUGCACACUGUGAUCAAGGAGUUGAUCACGGGAUGAUGUAUUACGGAACGAGUAAAGAGACUUGCCGGUAACGAGAUUGAACAAGCUAUCGGGAUACCGACGAUCGAAUCUCGGGCAAGUAUCAUACCGAUAGACAAAGGGAAUUGUAUACGGGAUUGAUUGAAUCCUUGACAUCAUGGUUAAUCUGAUGAGAUCAUCGUGGAGCAUGUGGGAGCCAACAUGGGUAUCCAGAUCCCGCUGUUGGUUAUUGACCGGAGAGUUGUCUCGGCCAUGUCUACAUGACUCCCGAGCCCGUAGGGUCUACACACUUAAGGUUCGAUGACGCUAGGGUUAUAGGGAAAGUAUGUACACGGUUACAGAAUGUUGUUCGGAGUCUUGGAUGAGAUCCCGGACGUCACGAGGAGUUCCAGAAUGGUCCAGUGGUAAAGAUUUAUAUAUGGGAAGUCCCGUUUUGGUCACCGGAAAGGUUUCGGGUGCUAUCGGUAACGUACCGGGACCACCGGGAGGGUCCCAGGGGUCCAUCAGGUGGGGCCACCAGCCCCGGAGGCCUACAUGGGCCAAUAGUGGGAAGGGACCAGCCCCUAGGCGGGCUGGGGCGCCUCCCACCAAGGCCCAAGGCGCCUCCAAGAGGGGAAGGGGGCAAACCCUAGGGCAGAUGGGCCCCAAGGCCCACCCUAGGUGCGCCUCCCCCUCUCCCCCUUGUAGCCGCCACCCUAUAUGGGAUCUAGGGCUGCCGCACCCCUUGGGGUGGGAACCCUAGAGGGGGCGCAGCCCCCUCCCCUCCCCCUAUAUAUACUCGAGGUAUGGGGGCUGCCCAACAUAUGAUUUGAUCUCUCUCUUGGCGCAGCCCUACCUCUCUCCCUCCUCGUCUCUCAUAGUGCAUGGCGAAGCCCUGCUGGAGUUCCGCACUCCUCCACCACCACCACACCGUCGUUCUGCUGCUGGACGGAGUCUUCCCAACCUCUCCUUCUCCCCUUGCUGGAUCAAGGUGUGGGAGACGUCACCGGGCUGCACGUGUGUUGAACGCGGAGGCGUCGUGGUUCGGCGCUUAGAUCGGAAUUAACCGCGAUCUAAAUCGCUACGAGUACGGCUCCUUCAUCCGUGUUCUUGCAACGCUUCCGCUUAGAGAUCUACAAGGGUAUGUAGAUGCACUCCCCUUCCCUUUGUUGCUAGAUUACUACAUAGAUUGAUCUUGGUGAUGCGUAGAAAAUUUUAAAUUUCUGCUACGAUCCCCAACAAUAUCUGCAACCACCUGUUUUGCGGCAGCUACUGCUGUCGCGAAUGUCUUAGAUGAUUUCUUCUCAACCGCAAUCUCAACCUUCUUGUCGAUGUUUUCUUCAGUUAACCUCCAUCUUUCCUUUCUCUCCUCCGUGGUCUCACAGUAGUACUUCUUCCACGUGGCCCCGUCUCCGACACCGUGAACGCGUCCAUACGACGACCUAGUCUCCACCGGCAGUCCUUUCAAUAUGUUCAAUGCCCGGGUGAAUGGAGUGUCCCACUUGGGCCUCGCCAACGCCUCAGACGGUGAGUCGCUUUCAGCCACAAUCAUGUGCUUCUCUCUCUACAAAAGGAACAAGGAUCAUUUACAAAUAUGACUAAACGUGCAGUCGAAUUGAUCAGAAACUAAAAUUACCAGCAGUCUCAUGAACUCCGUCGUGAUCGGGUCCGUCUUGAAAACCUUCUUGACCGAGUUCGAAUGGUGUCGUGCCCUGAGGACGUCAUGCUCCUAUGGGACGGUGAAGUCCGCCAAGGGGUCUAGGAUGCCAGACUUUCGUGUUCCGUGUCCUGCUUGGCCCAUAUGGACCUCUUCCUGCCGUAACCACGGCUUCUGAGGUGGUGGCGCCCCAUGUUCCUUUGUUGAAGCCCCUUCAUGUACUUUGACUUUGUUUUGGCGGCUUCGGCCUCGCAAGCCGCCUUUAAUAUUUCAAAGUGCUCUCCCGUGAUUGUCGGAUUAUCCUUUACAAUCUCGGAGUAGGGUUGAUACGUCUCCAACGUAUCUAUUAUUUUUGAUUGCUCCAUGCUAUAUUAUCUACAGUUUUGGACAUUAUUGGGCUUUAUUAUCUACUUUUAUAUUAUUUUUGGGACUAACCUAUUAACCAGAGGUCCAGCCCAGAAUUGCUGUUUUUUUGCCUGUUUUAGGGUUUCGAAGAAAAGGAAUAUCAAACGGAGUCCAAACGGAAUGAAGCCUUCGGGAAUGAGAUUUUCUCAACGAACAAGACCCGGGAGACUUGGACCCUACGUCAAGACAAAANNNNNNNNNNNNNNNNNNNNNNNNNNNNNNNNNNNNNNNNNNNNNNNNNNNNNNNNNNNNNNNNNNNNNNNNNNNNNNNNNNNNNNNNNNNNNNNNNNNNNNNNNNNNNNNNNNNNNNNNNNNNNNNNNNNNNNNNNNNNNNNNNNNNNNNNNNNNNNNNNNNNNNNNNNNNNNNNNNNNNNNNNNNNNNNNNNNNNNNNCACCGACGUACUUCUUCCUCCUAUAUAUACCUACGUACCCCCAAACGAUCAUAUACGGAGCCAAAACCCUAAUUCCACCGCCGCAACUUUCUGUAUCCAUGAGAUCCCAUCUUGGCGCCUGUUCCGGAGCUCCGCCGGAGGGGGCAUCGAUCACGGAGGGCUUCUACAUCAACAGCAUAGCCUCUCCGAUGAAGUGUGAGUAGUUGACCUCAGACCUACGGGUCCAUAAUUAUUACCUAGAUGGCUUCUUCUCUCUUUUUGGAUCUCAAUACAAUGUUCUCCCCCUCUCUUGUGGAGAACUAUUCGAUGUAAUAUUCUUUUUGCGGUGUGUUUAUUGAGAUCGAUGAAUUGUGGGUUUAUGAUCAAGUCUAUCUAUGAAUAAUAUUUGAAUCUUCUCUGAAUUCUUUAAUGUAUGAUUGUUUAUCUUUGCAAGUCUCUUCGAAUUAUCAGUUUGGUUUGGCCUACUAGAUUGAUCUUUCUUACAAUGGGAGAAGUGCUUAGCUUUGGGUUCAAUCUUGCGGUGUCCUUUCCCAGUGACAGUAGGGGCAGCAAGGCAUGUAUUGUAUUGUUGCCAUCGAGGACAACAAGAUGGGGUUUUCAUCAUAUUGCAUUAUUCUAUCCCUCUACAUCAUGUCAUCUAGCUUAAGGCGUCACUCUGUUUUUAACUUAAUACUCUAGAUGCAUGCUGGAUAGCGGUCGAUGAGUGGAGUAAUAGUAGUAGAUGCAGGCAGGAGUCGGUCUACUUGUCUCGGACGUGAUGCCUAUAUACAUGAUCAUACCUAGAUAUUCUCAUAAAUAUGCUCAAUUCUGUCAAUUGCUCAACAGUAAUUUGUUCACCCACCAUAGAAUAAUUAUACUCUCAAGAGAAGCUACUAGUGAAACCUAUGGCCCCCGGGUCUAUCUUUAUCAUAUUAAUCUCCUACUACUUAGUUAUUUCCUUUGCUUUUUCCUUUGUAUUUCCUUUGCUUUUUUCCUUUGCCUUUAUUUUACUUUUCAUCUUUAUCACAAAAAUACCAAACAUAUUAUCUUUAUCAUAUCUAUCAGAUCUCACUCUCGUAAGUGGCCUUGUAGGGAUUGACAACCCCUAUUCGUGUUGGUUGUGAGGAUUUAUUUGUUUUGUGCAAUUACGAGGGACUCGCGCGUAGCCUCCUACUGGAUUGAUACCUUCGUUCUCAAAAACUGAGGGAAAUACUUACGCUACUUUGCUGCAUCAUCCCUUCCUCUUCGGGGAAAACCAACGCAGUGCUCAAGAGGUAGCAAGAAGGAUUUCUGGUGCCGUUGCCGGGGAGGUCUACGCAAAAGUGAACAUACCAAGUACCCAUCACAUACCCUUAUCUCCCGCAUUACAUUAUUUUCCAUUUGCCUCUCGUUUUCACCUCCCCCACUUCACCCUUGCUGUUUUAUUCGCCCUCUCUCUCUAUCCGCCCUCUCUUUCUCUAUUUGCCUCUUUUUUCCCGCUUGCUUUCUGUUUGCUUGUGUGUUAGUUGCUUGCUUGUCACGAUGGCUCAAGAUAAUACUAAAUUAUGUGACUUCACAAUGGCGAAAGCCUGGUUUUCGUCUUUGGCUAAAAAUAGUAUUGAUUCAUGGAAUAAGUGCAAAGAUGCUUUUAUCUCUAAGUAUUUUCCUCCUGCUAAGAUCAUCUCUCUUAGAAACGAUAUAAUGAAUUUUAAGCAACUUGAUCAUGAACAUGUUGCACAAGCUUGGGAGAGAAUGAAACUAAUGGUACAUAAUUGCCCUGCCCAUGAUUUAAAUUUGUGGAUGAUUAUACAAAAUCUUUAUGCCGGAUUGAAUUUUGCUUCUAGAAAUCUUUUAGAUUCAGCCGCGGGAGGCACUUUUAUGGAAAUCACUUUAGGAGAAACUCCUAGAUAAUAUUAUGGUCAAUUAUUCUCAACGGCAUACUGAAAGAUCUAAUAAUAAAAUGGUGCAUGCGAUAGAAGAAAUUAAUGUUUUGAGUGGAAAGAUGGAUGAACUUCUGAAAUUAUUUGCUAAUAAGAGUGUUUCUUCUGAUCCUAAUGAUAUGCCCUUGUCUAAUUUGAUUGGGAAUAAUAAUGAAUCUAUGGAUGUGGAUUUUGUUGGUAGGAACAAUUUUGGUGACAACGCGUAUAGAGGAAAUUUCAACCCUAGGCUUUAUCCUAGUAAUCUCUCUAAUAAUGAUGGUAAUUCCUACAACAAUUCUUAUGGAAAUUAUAAUAAGAUUCCCUCUGAUUUUGAAUCUAAUAUUAAAGAAUUUAUUACUUUGCAAAAGAAUUUCAAUGCCUAGAUUGAAGAAAAAUUGCUUAAGAUUGAUGAUUUGGCUAGGAACGUUGAUAGAAUUACUCUUGAUGUUGAUUCUUUGAAACUUAGAACUAUUCCACCUAAGCAUGAUGUCAAUGAGUCUCUCAAAGCCAUGAGAAUUUCCAUUGAUGAGUGCAAAGAAAGAACCGCUAGGAUGCGUGCUAAGAAAGAUGCCUUUAUAAGAGCGUGUUCUUCUCGUUCCUAUGAAAAUAAUGAUGAAGAUCUAACAGUUAUUGAUGUGUUCCCUAUUAAAUCUUUGUUUUGCAAUAUGAAUCUUGAUAAUGAUGGGACUGAAUAUGAUCCACCUUUACCUAUCAGGCGUUCCAAGAAUUCAGAAUUUGUUGAUCUUGAUGCUAAAAUUGAUAAAGGUGGGAUUGAAGAAAUUAAAACCCUUGAUGUUGCUAAACCCACUAUUAUGGAUUUCAAGGAAUUUAACUAUGAAAAUUGCUCUUUUAUUGAUUGUAUAUCCUUGUUACAAUCCAUGCUAAAUUCUCCUCAUGCUUAUAGUCAAAAUAAAGCGUUUACUAAACAUAUCGUUGAUGCCUUGAUGCAAUCUUAUGAAGAAAAACUUGAAUUGGAAGUUUAUAUCCCUAGAAAGCUUUAUGAUGAGUGGGAAUCAACUAUUAAAAUUAAAAUUAAAUAUCAUGAAUGCUAUGCUUUAUGUGAUUUAGGUGCUAGUGUUUCCAUGAUUCCAAAGACUUUGUGUGAUUUGUUAGGUUUCCGUGAUUUUGAUGAUUGCUCUUUAAACUUGCGCCUUGCGGAUUCCACUAUUAAGAAACCUAUGGGAAGAAUUAAUGAUGUUCUUAUUGAUGCAAAUAGGAAUUAUGUGCCUGUAGAUUUUAUUGUUCUUGACAUAGAUUGCAAUCUUUCAUGUCCUAUUAUUCUUGGUAGACCUUUCCUUAGAACGAUUGGUGCAAUUAUUGAUAUGAAGGAAGGAAAUAUUAGAUUCCAAUUUCCAUUAAGGAAAGUCAUGGAACACUUUACUAGAAAGUAAAUUAAAUUAACUUAGGAAUCUAUUAUGAUAGCCACUUAUGGAUUGCCUACCAAAGAUGGCAAUACCUAGAUCUAUCCUUGCUUGUUAUGCCUAGCUAGGGGCAUUAAACGAUAGCGCUUGUUGGGAGGCAACCCAAUUUUGUUUUUAUUCCUUGAUUUUUGCUCCUGUUUAGUAAUAAAUAAUUUAUCUAGCCUCUGUUUCGGUUGUGUUCUUUGUGUUUAAUUACUGUUUGUGCCAAGUAGAACCGUUAGGAAGACUUGGGGAAAGUCUUGUUACACUUGCUGUAAAAAACAGAAACUUCAGCGCUCACGAGAACUGCUGCCAUUUUUAUUUGGAAGUGCUAUUUAGUUAAUUAUUUCUGCAGAUGAUUAAUACAUAAAUUCCUCACGUCCAGCAAUUUAUUUUAGAAUUUUUGGAGUUCCAGCUCUUGAGCUAGCUACAGAUUACUACAGACUAUUCUGUUUUUGAAAGAUUCUGUUUUUUCGUGUGUUGUUUGCUUAUUUUGAUGAACCUAUGGCUAGUAAAAUAGUUUAUAAACCAUAGAGAAGUUGGAAUACAGUAGGUAUAACACCAAUAUAAAUAAAUAAUGAGUUCAUUAUAGUACCUUCAAGUGGUCUUUUAUUUUCUUUCGCUAACGGAGCUCACGAGAUUUUCUACUUUAAGUUUUGUGUUGUGAAGUUUUCAAGUUUUGGGUAAAGAUUUGGUGGAUUAUGGAACAAGGAGUGACAAGAGCCUAAGCUUGGGGAUGCCCAUGGCACCCCCAAGAUAAUCUAAGUACACAUAAAAGCCAAAGCUUGGGGAUGCCCCGGAAGUCAUCCCCUCUUUCGUCUACUUCUAUCGGUAACUUUACUUGGAGCUAUAUUUUUAUUUGCCACAUGAUAUGUGUUUUGCUUGGAGCGUCUUGUAUUAUUUGACUUGUCAGGACCCCGAUUCCAAGCCACAUCGAUCUAGACGGUAACACCUCAUAUCACUUUGCAGCCUCACGCACGAUAUUCCACGGGUGUCGCAUUACCAUGGCCUGGGACCGUUUGCGCCUUUUGGCUCACGUAUAUGAUAGUGUCGCUAGCAUCCAUAUGACAGAGAACCCGGGCCGACAUGGCUAGUCGUGAACCCAAAGCGGCACAGACCUAUGGAGACAGGCAUACAUGAAUCACAUCGAGCAUGUCGGUCAUCAGCGAGUGAUUCCGGGCUUUAGCACUGGGCUAACAGGACUCCGGGGAACCCGGGCUGUAGCAGGCUAGGCAGGACUCCGGAAGUCACCGCGUGACAUUUCCCCGAAGAGACAGACAUAGGAACAAAGUGAAUCACAUGCUGGCCAGUCAAGUGUCCUGAGCAGUAGUGCUAGGCUAGCAGGACUCUGGUGAACCGGGCUGUAGCGGACUACUAUGGCUCGAGGAACACUAGACUACAUUUCCCCAUAAGAAAGGCUGCCAAGGAUAAACAACUAGAUUUUCGGAUCCCACUCAUACCAAGCAUUUCAAUCAUACACACAAUAUGCCCGAUAUGAGUACAUACAACAUGGCAUCACAACAAAACUCUACAAAUCAAGUACUUUAUUUAAAGGCUCCAGAGAGCCAUACAUAACAUGUUCAUACAGAUAGGGGUCACAUGACCCGACACUCAAGUCAUACAAUCAUACAAGCACAUGCGGAAGCAACCGGUCUGAGUACGGACACUAGAAAGAAAGAAGGCUCCUCGAGGCCUGUUUAUCUACAUAGGGCCCUCCAUGGCCAGGAUCACCACCUGGGUGGCUAGUCACUCGUCGACGUCAAGGUCUACAUAGAACCCAUCGGAGGGGGCGGUGUUGUCGUCUGAAAACAGUAAUUAAGCAAACAUGAGUACAAAGGUACUCAGCAAGUCUUACAACAGAACCUACUAUACAUGCUUAUUCUCAAGAAGGUGGUGGGGAUAUUGCAGCAAGCCAGCUUUGACUCUUGGCUAAACUAUCCUAUGGAACUUCUCUAGUAAAAUAGUUUUCGCACACGAGUCCACUACUCACCAACACAAUACUCCACCGGGGAUCCUCCCUCGUCAUCCUACGAGAGGGCCAUCCUCGGUACUCACACUUAUCUUGAGUCUUUUAGUAGUAUCCAUUUACUUGUCUACGAACUGUAUAGGCAACCAAGUAGUCCUUUACCGCGGACGCGGCUAUUCGAAUAGUUUUAUACCCUGCAGGGGUGUACUUCGUCAUGCACGCUUUCACCACUUAUCGCCGUUUACACGACAUGUACUCGGCAACCUUCAAGCGGAAGCCCAGUGAGGGUGUCGGCCACGGCCUACCUAAACACUUAAGUCUCUAGUCCAGGUUUAUCGCCUAUCCAGGUUCCAUCCGCAGGGAGUCCGGCCGAGGUUUCCACAUACGGCCCGAACGAUGUGAACAGGGUCCCGAGACGCCAAUCGGGCACCCGGCAUACCCGGCCACGGUGUAUCUACCGCAACAUAGCCCACCCCUAGGGUCAGCACUACGCACGGCCGCCAACACAUAACCUACAAGCACCAGAAACUAUUUGCAACUCCUGGACAGAGUACUAGGGUGAUUAAGAAGCCGAGAGGGUCAAUUAAGGAUCCCAAUGCAUGGUAGUAGCUGAAUCUUAAAUCGCACAUACAGAUCUCAGUUCUUUGGGACGGUCUCAAUGAAACAACCCACCAUGUACUCCUACAUGGCCUCUCAUCGAUACCUUUACCAAAACAUGUUCAACACAUUCCUCAUAUUACCGACAUAAUCAUAUCACUCUAGCCCAUCACCCAGAUGAACCAGACCUGACACAACUCUAAGCAUAGCAGGCAUAGCAAGGUAGGAAUCACAGACAUGGCUCAAUCAACUCCUACACAUGCUAGUGGGUUUCAUCUAGUUACUGCGGCAAUGACAGAUCAUGUAGAGGAUAAGGGUUCAACUACCGUAGCACACAGUAGUUUGAAUCGCGUUGUCUUAAUCCAGUAAACAAGAGCAAAGGCGAGAACAUGGGUUGUAUCGGAAUGAUCAAUGGGUUGCUUGCCUGAUGGAGUGGUAGCGGGAUACUGCCCUUCAGUUGGAUACUCGUGAAUAUCCUCGGAGGCAGAACCUACCACGAAGAACACAUCGGAACACAAUCAACACAUGACGAUAUGCAACAAUAUGAUGCAUGCUAUGACAUGGCUAUGGUGUUGGCCUAAUGCAAGCUAAAAUAGAAAGGGAUGAACUCAUUUGAAUCAAAGAUUCAAAUAUUAGCUCAUUAAACAUGGCCUUAAUAGUGGAUUUCCUUAUUCUGCUUAAACAGCAAGGUAAACUUGUUUUUUCAUGCAUGAAACCAUUACAUAUGGAUAGAUUGAAUUUUUCUGAUAAAUUUUUCAUAUAUAAAUUAUUUCAUUUGGAGUUACGGUUGAAUUUCUAUGAUUUUUAGAAGUUUUAAACAUUUUCUGGAAUUUCCUGAAUAAAGAUAAAUCCAGAAAAUGCAUUACUGCAUCAGCAUUGCGUCAUGCUGACCUCAGCAGGUCAAAGGCGCCAGCCCAGGUCAAACCUGACUGGUGGGCCCCUUCUGUCAGUCUCUGAGUUAAAUAACAGGAUUAGAUUAACACUAAUUAGCUGUCAGUGGGGCCUGGGCCCACAUGUCAGUGACUGAUUAAAAUAAAAUUAGUUAAAACUAAUCCUAGAUUAGUUAGCAGACCGGCCCCACCUGUCAUAGACUCAGGGGGGUCUACCUGGGCCCACCCAGGGUCAAACUGGGUCAAACUCACCGGCGUUGAGCAGCCGGCGAGGCCCGAGACGGUGGCGCAGCUCGGAAAACGCCUAUAGGGCAUGAGGGAGGCCGUUCUUGGGCUCGUUGGAGAGCUCUUGCAAUCGCGCAUCUAGUGGUGGUGGUGGCCGAGCCUACGGUGGCCGGAGACGACGACGGCGAGCUCCAAGGCGGCGGCCGGAGUUCGGCCAUGUGCGGGGUGUGGGCUGCGGUGUGCAAACGUGGAAACUGAGGCGCUAGCGAGGCACUACGCGAUGCGGCAAGCAUGUUGCGUAGCACGGGAUGACCAAAUGGUCGCCGAAGCGGCACCGGCGACAAGCUCGAGCGGAGACGAGCUUCGGCCAUGGUGGAACUAUGGCCUAGAGGGUGCAAACGCGUGGAAAAGAAGAGGGGAAAGGUGGGGGAGCUCACAGGGAGGUCGAUGAGCAGCUCAGCGGGCUUGGGGGCGACCGGAGUGAGGCGAAUCGAUGAGCGGUGUCCGGUGGGUACCGAGGUUGAAGACGAUCCGAUGGCGGCGAUGCAGGGCCUCCGGCGAUGCGUGGCUCGGUGGGGAGGGCGAGGGCGUCACGGCAGAGCUUCUGGACAGGUCUGAGAGGCGAGAGGGUGACGGAGGGCGUGACUACGGCGGUGAGAGGGCGACGGGUGCGUCGGCCAUCGCGGGAGAGGGAGAGGGAGACGCGGUGGAGAGUGAGAGAGGAUGAGAGGGGGACGUGGGGGUCGCGUGGCAUUCCCUAGACGUCUCCCGGUGUCGGCGGAAGCAGGAGGUGGCCGGCGUGUGGCCGCGGGCGUCGGCCACGCGCUCCGCGUCCUUCUGGCACGAGGAGGACGACGACUGGCAGCGCCAGUAGGCUGGGCCGAGCCAGGUGGGCUGGCCAGCACAGGUAAGGCCCAGGUGGGCUUCUCCCUCUCUUUUUUUAAUUUGUUUCUGUUUUCUAUUUAACUGUAACUGUUGGGCUUUAUUUAAAAUACUAAAACAUUUCCAAAAAUCCUGAAAAUAAUUGUGGGCUCUAUUUGGAUUAUUUCCAACAGCAAACAUUUAUUUCCAGAAUUAUUUGAGCAUCUAAAUUAUUUAAUAGCAUUUAAAUGUCCAAAUUCAAAUACUUAUGAUUUAAAUCAAUGACCUUCUGUUGACCAAGAAAAAUUGUGCACCAAUUUUGCCAGAGGUUCUAACCCAAGACAAAGAGGGUGAACUUUUUAGAAGGGCAUUUCAGGUUCAUUGAAAAUAAUUUUAGUAAACCCUAGUUGUUUCCAGGGGGGUGUUGGGGGUUUGUGCCUUCCCCAACUCAAAUUUAAGAGGAAUUUAAACAUGAUGCACAUUCUAAUGCUUGAACUAGCUAGGGUGUGACAACUCACCCCCAGUCAAAAGAAUCUCGUCCUGAGAUUUAGGAUCCUCUGGAAAGAAGGUGGGGUACUCGAGUCGAAGACGAUCCUCCCUUUCCCAAGUGGCUUCUUUCUCGGAAUGGUGUGACCAUUGAACCUUGAGAAACUUGAUAUUAUGACGUCGAGUGGUACGCUCGGCUUGAUCAAGGAGACGAACGGGAUAUUAUCGUUAAGAGAGAUUAUCUUGUAGAUCAAGCGUUUUGUGGUCCACUCCACGAAUAGGAUCCGCGAAGCAACGCCUGAGUUGUGAAACGUGGAAGACAUCAUGAACUCUGGAAAGAUGCGGAGGUAGUUCCAAUUGGUAGGCAACUUCUCCUCGUUUGGCAAGAAUGCGAAAGGGUCCAAUGUAACGAGGAGCCAAUUUGCCUUUGAUACCGAAACGAUGGGUUCCUUUUAAUGGGGUAACCCGAAGGUAAGCCUUCUCGUCGACUUCAUAAGUCAUAGGCUUAUGUUUACGAUCAUAUUGACUCUUUUGACGAGAUUGGGCUGUUUUCAAUUUCUCACGAAUAACGCGAACCUGCUCUUCCGCUUCCUGAAUCAUAUCCGGUCCAAAGAGUUGUCUUUCCCCGGUUACUGACCAGUUAAGAGGCGUUCGACAUUUUCGUCCAUAGAGAACUUCGAAAGGAGCUUUGCCCAAGCUAGCUUGAUAACUAUUAUUAUAAGGAAACUCCGCGAAUGGGAGGCAUUUCUCCCAACUCAUUCCGAACAAGAUAACAUAAGCUCGGAGCAUAUCUUCCAGAAUUUGAUUGACUUGCUCUACUUGACAACUUGAUUGAGGAUGGAAGGCUGUACUAAAAGAGAGACGAGUUCCCAUAGCAUUUUGGAAACUUUCCCAAAAUCGAGAGGUGAAGAGACUCCCACGGUCUGAGUUAAUUUCCAAUGGGACACCAUGGAGAGACACUAUUCGGGAGAUGUAUAAAUCGGCUAGCUGGAUAGCAGUGAUAUUCUCACGAACAGGUAGGAAAUGGGCUACUUUGGAAAGACGGUCGAUCACGACGAAGAUGGCAUUAUUCCCUCUCUUGGUCCUGGGAAACCCAGUAAUGAAAUCCAUACUGAUUUUAUCCAAUUACCAUUCAGGAAUAGCCAAAGGUUGAAGGGUGCCAGCAGGCCGUUGAUGCUCUGCUUUAACACGACGACAGACGUUGCAGCUAGCAAUGUAUUGAGCGAUUUAUCUCUUCAUCCUAGUCCACCAAAACCUGUGGCGUAGGUCUUGAUACAUUUUAGUGCUACCGGGAUGAAUGGUGAGAGGGGAUUCAUGAGCUUCCUUAAGGAUCAAUUGGCGUAGAUGUUGUUUCUUGGGAACCACCAAACGAUUCUCAAAGAAGACAGCACCCCGCUUAUCCAUGAAAAAACAUUUAGCAACUCCACUAGUAAUGUUUUCCUUAAUCCGGGAUAUGCCCUUAUCAUACCACUGGGCGGUUAUGAUCUGAUCCAUAAGGUUAGGUUUCGCCACCAGGGUGGAUAGGAAUCCUCGAGGAACAAUGUGAAGAUUAAGCUUACGGAAUUCCUCAUGCAGAAGUGGUUGACUUUGUUGUAACAUCGGGUUGUUACAAUAGUAUUACGGCUUAGCGCAUCAGCCAUGACAUUGGCUUUGCAUGGGGUGUAGGUUAUUCCUAAGUCGUUAUCCAAGAUCAACUCAACCCAACGUCUUUGCCUGAGAUUCAAAUCUGGUUGGGUGAAGAUAUAUUUCAAGCUUUGGUGAUCGGUGAAGAUCUCGCAACGAUUACCGAGGAGGUAAUGUCGCCAAGUUUUAAGUGCAUGGACUACAGCUGCCAGCUCUAGAUCAUGUGUGGGAUAAUUUUCCUCAUGUGGGUGUAAUUGCCGUGAAGCGUAGGCAAUUACCUGAUGAUCUUGCAUGAGUAUGCAACCUAGUCCUUGUCGCGAGGCGUCGCAAUAGAUAAUAAAGUCCUUGGAGAAAUCCGGUGGUACCAGUACGGGAGAAGAUGUCAGGCGUCUUUUCAGUUCCUGAAAGUUGAACUCGCACUGUGGAGUCCACUCAAACUUUUUAUCUUUCUUGAGGAGUUCAGUUAGAGGUUUAGCAACCUUGGAUAAAUUCUCGACGAAGCGGCGGCAAUAGCUCGCUAAGCCAAGGAAGCUCCGAACUUGCUUGACCGUCUCAGGUGGAGUCCAAUCAAGGACGGCUUGAACUCGCUCGGGAUUGACGGCAAUACCCUUACCAGAGAUUACAUGGCCUAAAUAGGUUACUUCUGGCAACCAAAAUCGACACUUGGAGAACUUGGCAUAAAGGCGAUGCUCUCGAAGUUUCAUCAAUACCAGCCUUAGAUGUUCGGCAUGUUCCUCUUCAUUCUUGGAGUAGAUGAGUAUGUCAUCGAGGUAUACUACGACGAAUUUAUCCAAGUACUCCAUGAAAACCGAGUUCAUUAACCGGGAGAAGGUAGCCGGGGCAUUGGUUAAACCGAAGGACAUAACGGUGUACUCGUAUUGGCCAUAACGAGUAACAAAGGUCGUUUUGGGAAUGUCCCCGUUUCUGAUUUUGAUUUGAUGGUAGCCCAACCUCAAAUCCAUCUUGGAAAAGACUGAGGAUCCAGCGAGCUGAUCAUACAGAUCAUUGAUCCUGGGAAGCGUGUAUUUGUUCUUGAUGGUGACCAAGUUGACAGGUCGGUAAUCCACAACCAUUCGAUCUGUUCCAUCCUUCUUCUUGACGAAGAGGAUGGGGCAAGCCCAAGGAGAGGAACUAGGACGGAUGAAACCCUUUUUCAAGGACUCAUCGAGUUGGUUCUUAAGCUCGGCUAGUUCUAAGGGUGCCAUCUUGUAGGGUCUUCUAGAAAUUGGAACGGUUCUUGGAACAAGGUCUAUCACAAACUCGACAUCCCUGUCAGGUGGAACACCUGGCAGUUCUUCUGGAAAGACAUCCGGAAAGUCUCGGACUACCGGAACAUCCUCAAGGUCUAGAAGGGGGUUGAUAUUUAGGGAGUAAAGUUGGCGCUUGGCCACUCGAGUUAAGACAUUAACUGUCUUGCCCGAUGGGUAAGUUGAACGGUUCUAGUGGCACAGUCAAUCUUAGCAUAAUGAGCUGACUUCCAGUCCAUACCUAAGAUGAUGUUUAUGUCCGAGGACUUGAGAGCUAUUAAGGCUGCAAGGAAGACAAGUCUAUCGACAAGAAUUCGUUCCCAUGGCUUACUCUAGAAGUUUGCCAUCUAGAGCCAGGGGUUUGAAUUUCCAUGGUAGAGGGCAUGUCACAGAAUGUGGUGUUGUGCAAUCGAGCAUAGUUCUCGGAUAUGAAUGAAUGAGAUGCUCCAGUAUUGAAAAGAACAGAUGCCGGAUGGCAGUUAACAAGGAGCGUACUAAGGACGACGUUGGGAUCCUCAUGAGCCUCCUCGGCUGAAACAUAGUUGACAUGGCCACGUGCAGUGGUGGCCGGCUUGGCGUAGAAUGUUUUUCCGACGGGCUUACCACGGCCAACGGACUUUCCAGUUUGAUUGGGGUUGUUGUUCUGGGGACACUCUCGGCUAUAGUGACUCGGCUCUCCACACUUAAAGCAUGUCACCACAUUGGGGCGUGGAGCAGCAUUAGCAGCGGGGCCACCAUAGGGCUUGGGCGGUGCAAAUUGCUGGUUGGGACGUGGUACCUCAAAGGAUGGCCUCGGGAUGAACCUGGGUGGCAGUGCCGUGCUUGGAAUCCACACCCGGCGCUUCUCAGCUCCAGAGCCAGAUGAAGAGCCAAAAUCACGGGAGUGCUUGCGUGAAGCGUCAUAAUCAGUCUGGCUUGUCUCAGCACUGAUGGCUUUAUUGACCAACUUCUGAAAGGAGGUGCACUCGUGCAGAUGAAGAUCGCGGCGAAGCUCAGGGCUAAGUCCCUUGCGGAACCUUGCCUGCUUCUUAGCAUCAGUAGAUACCUCUUCGGGGGCAUAACGUGCCAGAUUCCCAAAUUCACGACUGUAAGCAUCCAUAGUCAGUCUUCCUUGGGUGAAGUUGAAUAACUCCUCCCUCUUGCGAUCCAUGAGACCUUCCAGAAUGUGAUGCUCACGGAAAACCUCACUGAAUUCAGCCCAAGUAGUGAUUUGGCCGACUGGGCGCAUAGCUUCGAAGUUUUCCCACCAAAGGCUAGCAGGGCCUUCGAGGUGAUAGGCAGCAUAAGUAACCUUCUCGGCUUCGGCUACGUUGGCAGAACGUAGCUUGUGGGUGAUGCUGCGAAGCCAGUCAUCCGCGUCGAGGGGCUCGACGGAAUGGUUAAACUUUGGUGGGUACAGCUUGAUAAAGUCAUUGAUUGACACCAAGUCAUUUUGCGGGUGGCGUGAAGUGUUUUGCUCAAUCCGCUCCAGCAGGCGGUUGGUCUCACGCUUGUUUCUUUCCGCCUCCAGCAUUACUUCAGCCAAAGAAGGCAUGUGAGGCAGAUUUUCACCUCUAGCAGCACUGGCUUCCCCCUGCUCCGGGGCUGCAGGGUUGCUGCGGGUGUUGACCAUCCUAGGAGAAAACAAGACAACGGUUUAGACAAGGAUGGCUCAAACUUAGCAAGGAAGUGCAUAAUGUAAUGGAUAACACGGAAUGCAGAGAUGUUCAUCCGUAUGUCAUGGUAAUAUAAAACUGCAAUAUAUAUACCAACGGUCAUACACAUCAUACAUAGUUUAGUACAAGCCCAGGCUACAGUACAACUAUGAUGAAAGACGUUACAUCUCAUCGGAGGCAUUCCAAGAUCCUAUACAUUAUUGUCUACACCUCCGGAAUUGAUUACACGCAAAGUCAUAUUCCACAAGUCACGCAGGACAGUGGAGAUACAACUACUACAAUACUAGUGGUACUACUAUGUCACGACCGGUUUUCCAAUAAAAAUAUUUAUUGAGAAACCAAUCUUUUGAGUCCAGUAUGAGGGAAAUCCUCCUCACUGGUAGACAAAAUUCUUGAUACAAUAAGCCAGUAGCAAAGAAUAUAUUACAAGGUUGAGCUAGGGCUGCUCAACAAUUUAUAACAAGCGCGCCAACAAUUAUAUAUAAUGGCGGAUAUACCACAAUGGUGUGGUGGCAUACUACUGACUCGGGGAUAAAGUGAUGGUGGAAUAACACAGUGGGGAGUGUGAUAACAUGACUCUCAAACUGGCAUCUCAUCGAGCGUCGAGGUGAGGCUCGAUGAAUUUUAUUCGGGUUGCGGAAGCGAAUAUAAUACAUUGACCGAAUCCAGGGUCGCACGAGACUGAUUGGGACUCCUCUAGGCGUCGGACUCGCUAUCGAACUAUUCAUCCAUGAGAUCGCCUUCGUCAGCAUCUGGCCAAAUCAACAAGCCAGUGAGUACUUUGAUAGUACUCGCAAGACAGUUUGGACUUAAGAUAUAACAAAUGCAUGCAUGAAUGCGUCAUGAUUAAUUCACCAAAUGUGCAUUCCAAAAAUUAGCAUAACAAAGCAAGUAAAAGGGAAACGGCGGUAGUCCGCCUGAAAUCCCAACAAAAGCAUAAAUGAAAACCGAUCGGGUGUCUGAAGCGAUGCCUCGAAAGGUGAACAAAUAAAUAAAGGAGAAAGUCAUGCCACAGUCGGGCGUCUUCACGACACCACAUAAAGGGCUUUGAAAGAAAUGCCACAGUCGGACGUCGGGGCGACAUCACAGAAAGGGCUUUAAAAGAAAUGCCACAGUCGGACGUCGGGGCGACAUCACAGAAAGGGCUUUAAAAAAAUGCCACAGUCAGAANNNNNNNNNNNNNNNNNNNNNNNNNNNNNNNNNNNNNNNNNNNNNNNNNNNNNNNNNNNNNNNNNNNNNNNNNNNNNNNNNNNNNNNNNNNNNNNNNNNNNNNNNNNNNNNNNNNNNNNNNNNNNNNNNNNNNNNNNNNNNNNNNNNNNNNNNNNNNNNNNNNNNNNNNNNNNNNNNNNNNNNNNNNNNNNNNNNNNNNNNNNNNNNNNNNNNNNNNNNNNNNNNNNNNNNNNNNNNNNNNNNCGGACGUCGGGGCGACAUCACAAAAAGGGCUUUAAAAGAAAUGCCACAGUCGGAUGUCGGGGCGACAUCACAAAAAGGGCUUUAAAAGAAAUGCCACAGUCGGACGUCGGGGUAACAUCACAGAAAGGGCUUUAAAAGAAAUGCCACAGUCGGACUUCGGGGCGACAUCACAGAAAGGGCUGUAAAAGAAAUGCCACAGUCGGACGUCGGAGCGACAUCGCAGAAAGGGUUUUAUUCACAAGUAAAUAAUAAUCAUAAUAAAUAUUCAAUUCAUGAUAAUAAACAGGUUAGUCCAUCCACAGGAAUAACAUUUAGCCGGGCUUAGCACUCAUGGGAUUCACCGGAGUCUCUGUCAUCAAACUGAUACUGUUAGGCCAAGAUGAUACGAAUUUGGACAUGGAAUAGAUGAUUCAAGGAAUGUAUGACUCUGCAGAGUUUGUACAAAAUUUUUUCCCACAGCCAACGGAUUUCCGUAGUCACGAGGGACUAGUUCCGUUUACGGUUUUUCGGAAGAAAACACAGCUAACCAAUACACACCCAUCCUACCUCUCGAUGCCAGGACUCACCCUAGACAUCGUCCAAGAAAAACUUUUGAGACGGGGAGAUCACAAUCUCGAAUAGCAUGGGAUCAAAUUUAUAUAUGCGCGCUCUAAGGGGUGCCCCCCUCUCGGUCCCAACCGGAAACACCCAUGCCCCCUGACCGGAUGACUGGCUUUAAUCCAGGGCCAUGGAACCAUCAUCCUGGCCUCUCCUUUUGGUGUGUACCAGGAAAGCGGUUUGCAACUUACUAAGCCAUAUUCCUUGCGAAAAACAUGUGGUAGUACAGGGAAGGAAAUGGGAGGAACUGGACUGGUACGGUUUGACCCUGAAGUCAUAUAGUCUGGCAUAAGACUGGCAUGCUACAACACUGCCAUCUUACCCAUCCUCAUGCCAACACAUGGCCAUUCAUACUCACAUCCAUCCACUUAUGGAUCAUCGAACUCACUUACCUCAACAUUUCAUAAAAAAAAUAACGUUCAUCGGUAUGCUCAUCAACAUGCCAUGAAACUAACUAAAUGCAAAACAUGCCAAGACACUCAUCAUAUCAAAAGUUCAAACAUGCUUGCCUGGUUCAGAGUAGUCGGAGCCUAGCUCGGUGAAGUUCGCGGCUCCGUCACCUCCUUCGGUAUCUAUGGUAUAAAGAAAAUAUAUGCGCUAUCGUAAAUUCCAAGAGGUGCACAGAAAGUAUUCCAAAUAUUUUUCAAAUAAAUAUGAUAAAAAACUAGACAAAAAUCUGAAGAGGACAGGAAAAGAAUCACUCAAAAAUUCCUUUCUGUUAAAAAGUUAUAAGGGUUUUAAUCCAAGGACUUAUCUGUAAUGAAACAGAAAGUUUCCAGGGGCUAGUUUAUAAAAACAGAAAACGCUUCGGCAGAAACUACGCCAGCCCAGAGGGAAGGCGCAUUUGGCAGAAGGCGUUUUCAGAAAACGAUUCGCUUAGACAGGAUAGAGAGGCUGACAGCGGGUCCCGCCCGUCAGGUUUAAACUUUCAAACGGGGGGGGGGGCAGAUUUCGCCGGUGCCCGAGAGCCGCGGUGGUCGCCGGCGGCGAUCCACGGCCAGGCAGGGUGAUCGGAGAUUACCAACGUGCUCACCGUGUCCUUCCGCAAUGGUGGGUGGUGGUGUUGGUCGCCGGUGAGCACCACGUCGACGCAGAGCUUGGUCGGGAAGGUUUAGGGAGUUGGGCGUCAUCGCGAAGUUGCACCGGUUCCAUUUAGGUGCUAAGCGAGCUUGGAUUGGGGUGCUAAGGGCGAAGUCGACGGAACGGGGCGGCGCGGGCCCGUCGGCGGCAGGGAGCAUGUUUCGUGCUUGCCGGGCCGCAGUGAUGGUGCCACGGGCGUGCGCUGGCAUGCAUGAGGACAUGCGGAGAGCCAGGGAGCUUUGGGUGGCGCCGAACGGCGUUCUGCCGUGGUGUGCCUUCUGUCGGCCGCCACAGGAGGUCCCGACGCCGCAGAAGACGCCGGCGAGGGCGGGCCAGCGCGCCACUGACGCCAGGAAAGCUCCAAGCACGCGUGUGAAGCUCCGGACAAGAGGGAGGGGCUGCGAGCAUCGAGCCAAAGGCACUGUGAGCAUAUGCCUGAAACUCUGAAGAAAACGACACUGUAAAACUGAAUUUUACUGAACUUUUCUGAAAAAUGCAAAGAACAGUGCAGCUCAGGUGAUCGACAGAAUGUUUUUGGCAUCUAGGGAUUUUUCCUUGAGCUAAAACUUGGUGGAGUGGCCUCUCAUUGCUCCAGUAGGCUGCCUGAAUUUUGGUGGAAUUUUUUUGGAGAAGUGUAGAUAUGAAUUUCACCAAAUUUGGCAAAUCUGGUCCAAACUUGCAGUGAGUGAAAUUGAAAUAUUUGAAAAGAAUAAGAGUGGAUCAAGAUGGUUCUAGGUUGUGGGUACUAAAGACAAUCCAGGGAAGUUGGUUUGGGAUAAAAACUCAAAGGCAAAGUGAUACUUGCUUUGAAAAUCACUUAAGCUCAAAAUAAAUGGCAGAAAUGUUUUGGGGGAUAAAAUAAUUGAAAUAAAAUCCAAAACUUGUUUGGACUUGUUGAGACAGAGAAUUUAGAUUGUUCAAAGGUGGAGGGAUGGAUUUUGAGAGGAUUUACUAUAGGAGACAUGGUAAAACCAUGGGUGUUUUCAAAAAGAAAGAAGUCCCAAAACUCCUAGGGUUUCCUUUUUUUUGAAAAAAAUAAGUUUGAGAGGGUAACAACCAGAAGGAAAAGCUCCCAAAAACUUCAACACCAAAUUUGAAAAGGGAAAAGAAAAUCCUUGACAAAGGAAAGGAAGUUUUUAAGAGGAAGGAUUUCUGGAAAAGAAAUUUUUAAAAAACCCUCUUUUAAAAUCCAACAAGGUUUUGAUAAAAACCAAAUUAAAAUUUUGGAGUGUCACAGCACUUACCCCCUUAGGAAAAAUCUCGUCCCCGAGAUUUCAGCUGAUCCUUAAAUAAGCGAGGAUGCUCUGUCCGAAGAAAAUCCUCUCUUUCCCAAGUUGUUUCACUGUCGGUGUGAUUGCUCCACUGGACUUUGAAAAACUUGAUGGUCUUCUGUCGGGUCCUCCUUUCAGACUCCUCUAAUAUUCUUACAGGACGUUCCCGAUAAGUGAGGUCUGGCUGCACGUCGAUGUUCUCAUGGGAUACUUGUUUCUCUGGGUUGCUUACGCACUUCCUCAAUUGCGAGACGUGGAACACGUCGUGGACAUCGGAUAAUUCCUCGGGUAAGUCUAGCUGGUAGGCUACCGUGCCUCUUCGUGCCCUUAUACAGAAAGGUCCGAUGAAUCUUGGUGCUAGCUUCCCUUCAAUCUUGAACCAUUGCAAUCCGCUCAUAGGGAUACUCUUAGGUAUACGAACUCACCGGGUUCGAAGCUGACCCCACGAUGUUUCUGAUCGUAAUAACUCUUCUGUCGACUUUGAGCAGUCUUAAGUCGGUCUCUGAUUAGUUUGACUUUUUCCUCGGCUUCUCUGAGCAUGUCUGGUCCGAAGAUGCGGCUGUCUCCGGUCUCUGACCAAUUUAACGGGGUACGACAUCUUCGUCCGUAUAAGGCCUCAAAUGGUGCCAUUUGCAGGCUGGCCUGGUAGCUAUUGUUGUACGCGAACUCGGCGUAUGGCAGGCUUUCUUCCCAACUAUUUUCAUAGGUGAGGACACAUGCUCUCAGCAUGUCUUCUAAAACCUGGUUUACGCGUUCUGUUUGCCCAUCGGUCUGUGGGUGGUAUGCGGUACUGAAGGCUAGUUGGGUUCCCAGAGCCUGUUGUAAAUGCUCCCAAAAGCUCGAGACGAACUGAGUGCCUCUGUCGGACAUUAUAGUCUUCGGGACACCGUGCAGACAAACUAUGCGGGAAAGAUAAAUCCUGGCAAGCCUCUGAGUGGUGUGGGUCGUCUUUAUUGGAAUAAAGUGUGCCACUUUGGUUAACCUAUCAGUGAUGACCCAUAUGGCAUCAUUCCCGUGUCGUGACCGAGGUAGUCCGACAAUGAAAUCCAUCCCUAUUUCAUCCCAUUUCCACUCAGGUAUUUUGUUCGGUUGCAGUAGUCCGGCUGGUCUCUGAUGCUCAGCUUUUAUGCGUUGACAUGAGUCGCAGCGCGCAAUGAAGGUGGCUAUGUCCCUCUUCAUACUGUGCCACCAAAAUCUUUCCUGAAUAUCUUUAUACGUUUUGGUUCCUCCAGGGUGGAUCGAGUACGAGGCGGUGUGGGCUUCAGCUAAAAUUUGCUAUUUAAGGUCUUCUAUGUUUGGCACGCAGAGUCUGUCUCCGUACCAUAAUAUUCCUUCAUUGUCUAUGACUAAUUCCGAGGCUUUGCCCAUACUCACCUUUCUUUUGAUGCCUUCGAUGCUGGGGUGACCGGGCUGAGCUCCUUUAAUUUCCCCCACAAGGUCGGGUUGUAUUUCCAAGUUUGAUAUGGUGCCUUCUGCUACCAUCAUCAAGUUGAGCUUGGCAAAUUCUUGUUGGAAUUCGGGCCUCAAUCUGUGCAAAUUGUUGUCGUCGGAGCUGGGAUUCCGACUAAGAGCAUCGGCCACUACAUUUGCUUUUCCUGGAUGGUAAUGGAUACCAACAUCAUAAUCCUUUACCAAUUCCAACCAACGUCGUUGCCGUAAGUUUAGUUCUGGCUGUGUGAAAAUAUAUUUGAGGCUUUUGUGAUCCGUAUAUAUUUCACAUCGAUUCCCAAGUAAGAAAUGCCUCCAUUCCUUGAGUGCAUGAAUAACUGCUGCCAUUUCUAAGUCAUGAGUGGGAUAAUUUUCCUCAUGCUUACGAAGUUGCCUUGAAGCGUAGGCGACAACCUUGCCUUCCUGCAUCAACACGCAUCCGAGGCCCUUUCUGGACGCGUCACAAUAUACUUCAAAAUUCUUGUGUAUGUUGGGUACAAUUAAUACCGGUGAUGUCGUUAAUUUCCGUUUUAGCUCUUGGAAACUUUUCUCGCAGGCUUCUUUCCAUUCAAACUUCUUGUCUUUCUUGAGUAACUGUGUCAUAGGCUUGGCUAUGGUGGAGAACACUUCAAUAAAACUGUGGUAAUAUCCUAACAUUCCCAAGAAACUUCGUAUGUCCGUUACGCUGGCUAGUGACAUCCAGCCAAGUAUGGCCUUGACUUUCUCUGGGUCCACUGCGAUACCGUCUUGGGUCAGUACGUGGCCUAGAAAGCCUACUUUUCUUAGCCAAAAUUCGCACUUGCUGAACUUGGCAUACAAUUGGUGUUUUCUGAGCUCUCCUAGCACAAUCUUGAGAUGUUCUGCGUGCUCUUCUGGUGUCUUGGAGUAUACCAGAAUAUCGUCGAUGAAUACCACGACGAACUUGUCCAUAAACUUCAUAAAUACUUUGUUCAUGAGGUGAACAAAAUAUGCGGGGGCGUUAGUUAAUCCAAAUGGCAUCACUGUGAACUCGUACAGUCCAUAUCUGGAGGUGAAGGCUGUUUUGGGAAUAUCUUCUGUUCGCACCUUUAAUUGAUGGUAUCCUGACCUUAAGUCAAUUUUUGAGAAUACCUUGGCCUGAGCGAGUUGAUCAAACAAAUCGUUUAUCCUUGGCAUCGGGUAUUUGUUCUUGACUGUGACCAUGUUAAGUGCUCGAUAGUCAAUACACAAUCUCAGUGUUCCAUCCUUCUUUUGGCAAAUAAAAUUGGUGAUCCCCAAGGUGAGGAGCUGGCUCGAAUGUAUCCUUUGUCUAGCAAUUCCCUUAUUUGUUUCUUCAACUCAACUAAUUUGGAUGGUGCCAUUCGGUACGGUUUCUUGUAUAUGGGGGUGGUUCCUAGUGCGAGCUCAAUGCUGAACUCUAUCUCUCGGUCUGGUGGCAUGCCUGGUUGCUCUUCAGGGAAUACGUCUGGAAAUUCACACACUACUGGAACCUUGUUUAGCUCAGAAAUGUCCACCUUAUUCAAUCUCGGUUGGCAGGGUAUUUUUCCUUCCUUGGCUGAUACUCUUAUUGUCUUCCCUUGGUGGUGUGUGAGAAUUACGGUCCUGUUGAAACAGUCGAUAAACCCCUUGUUGGUGGUUAGCCAAUCCAUCCCUAGGAUGACAUCCAGUCCUUUAUUUUCCAACACAAUAAGAUUUGCGUGAAACUCCAAUCCUUCGAACUCAAUGACCACAUUCUGACACUAAUUCUGAGUAACUUGCUGAAUCCCAGGGGACUUGAUGAUCAUGGAUUUCUCCAAAGGAAGCAUCGAAAAAUUAUUUUGCAAAGCAAAACUUUUCAAAAUGAAAGAGUGAGAAGCUCCAGAAUCAAACAAAACCGUUGCAGGUAUUGUGUUGACAGGAAACGUACCGAGUACGAUAUCCGGAGCAUUUUGUGCCUCCUCUUUGGUUACGUGGUUCAGAUGAUCCUUCCUGUGGUUGUUGUUGGGAUUGAAAUUGUUUCGCUUGGGCACUGAAUUACUGCCGCCGUUGUUCGGCUUUGGGGUUGAGUUCCUUGGCUUGGGGCACUGUUUGGCAUAGUGCCCUUCUUCUCCACAAGUGUAACAAGUAACGCCGGGGCGAUAUGUGAACUCCUUGUCCCUUGCAUGAAAAUUCUUGAUUGGGAGUGAGACGUUGGAUGAGGAUUUGUGCGUCCCACCCUUUUUGAAAUCUGUCUUGCUCCGGUGAUUGCGAGCAAGGUUAGUCUGGUCCCUUUUUCGCUUGCGGAUAUCUUCCAGACUGCGUCUCUCAUUCUCCAGAGUAAUGGCUUUGUCCACCAGUGUUUUAAAAUCAGGAAAAGUGUGCACGACCAGUUGGCAUUUAAGCGCGGGCACCAUACCGUCAAGGAAUUUCUCCAUCUUCUUGCUUUCAGUCAUACGCUCUUCAUUGGCGUAGCGGGACAAUAGAGUAAAUUGACUGUUGUAAUCUGACACUGUCAUGUUCCUUUGCUUGAGGUCGUCGAACUCUCUCUUCUUGAUUUUCAUAAUACUCUUAGGAAUGUGUGCACCACGGAAACCUUCCUUGAAAUCAUCCCAGGUUAUGUCAUUUUCAUUGGGAUGCAUGUGCAGAAAAUUCUCCCACCACGAUGCGGCUGCUCCUGUGAGAUAGUGCGGAGUAUACAGUGCUUUUUCGGGGUCUGAACAUUUUGCAAUAUCUCUAAGCCAGUCCUCGGCUUCAAGAGGUUUGUCAGUGUGAGAAAAUGUUUGGGGACGUGUCUUCUGAAGCUUAGAUAACUUGGAUUGCUGCUGAUACUGUCCAUGGUGAUUCCCCAUGUUGAUGACUUGGUUCAUCAUUUCACGAUGUUGUUGCUGACUUUGUUCAUAUAGGCGGCACAUUUGGGAAAGUGUCGUUUCACUGUCCUGUUGACUCGACUGCCCUUGUGUGAAAUUGUUGCCUGGUUGAGUGUCAUAAUUUUCCUCUGGUGGAGUAGGCAUGGAGCGAGUCCAAGGACGAGACAUUUUUCACUAUGGGGAUAUAAUUUGCAAAACUCAUAAGAAAAGCGAAAAUGGUCGCAAAAACAAAUCCAAAAUUGCACAAGGAUGGCAAAUAAUUUAAAUGACCAAGAUCACUUAAGAAAACAAAUCGAAUUGCGCACGGAGAAGGACUGCUCAUUACAUAUCUUACACGCGGGCGAUAAUUAUACAAUACAUCACUCAGGAUAUGUGUACAUAAUCCUGACAUGUUAUUUAGGCUAGUGCACUUCUCUAGUUCCUACAUGAUGCGCAAACAAGCUACUCCUCACAACCUAUGUACAUAUCUUACAAAGCGGUACAUCGCAUGACGGGCAAGCGCACUCAGCCGGAAAUGUUGACGAUCUCCUUGGCCCUGCCAAGGGUGAGGCGCAGUGAGGCUGGGGACUCGACCUCCUCCUCACUAAUAGGCUCCAGACGUGAAGAGCUGCGUCGGGUAGAUGGAGCGGGUGCCAGGGGCGGAGCAACACGAAUAGGAGUAGGCACAACGGGUGGUGCAGUGCGCGCUGGAGUGGGCGCAAUGGCCUGGUUGAACUCCUAAGUGGUAGGCGGGCGACGAGUAGGUGCAAAAGAUGCUGAUGACAAGACCAAAGUCAGUGGCGGUGCGGCGGGUAGGAGCUCCCUCCUAUUGGUGGCACAGCCAUGGAUUGAGUCCAUGCGGGCAGCUACGAAGUCGUCCACCAGGUUGUCGAAGGCUGCCUCCAGAGCCCGGAGAUACUCAAUAAGCAUCUCAAAAGCCUCAUCUUGUUCUCCUCUGGGGCAGGAGAAUGCGUAGUGACAGGUGUAAGGCACAUGGCAUGGAAGAUAGCGGUAGCGACGAGUCUUCAUCGCGGGAAGGACAUCCCUGAGGCGAGCUAUCGCCUCACGGGCUGCCAUCUGCAUAGCAUGCCUCUCCGUAGGCAUGGCUCUUCCCACGAACCGGAAGCGGCGUAACUCACCACGCCCUCCCCUGAACUGCACCGUGACCUGGUGCAUGGUCAGAUUGUCGCUGACCUUGUGCUGGUAGAGUGUGAAGACUAGGCGCACAGACAGCCCCAUCGCGACCUGAACGAUGAAGGAGAGAAGCUUGACGAACCCAUUGGGCACGUUGGCGAAGGUUUGAGACUCGCAGCUGUUGUCGGCCAUCUACAAAAGUAGGCAAAAUUCCUGCAUGGUCAGAUCAUAAAUUUAUGCUGACUGUCAGAAAAUGACUACCAUUGCAAAAAUAUAAAUUAGCUCUAUUAUGCUAAUAACGAAUUAGCGAUCGCACCUAGUGGCUUCCUACGGUCAGCCUGACUCUGAUACCAAGCUUGUCACGACCGGUUUUCCAAUAAAAAUAUUUAUUGAGAAACCAAUCUUUUGAGUCCAGUAUGAGGGAAAUCCUCCUCACUGGUAGACAAAAUUCUUGAUACAAUAAGCCAGUAGCAAAGAAUAUAUUACAAGGUUGAGCUAGGGCUGCUCAACAAUUUAUAACAAGCGCGCCAACAAUUAUACAUAAUGGCGGAUAUAACACAAUGGUGUGGUGGCAUACUACUGACUCGGGGAUAAAGUGAUGGUGGAAUAACACAGUGGGGAGUGUGAUAACAUGACUCUCAAACUGGCAUCUCAUCGAGCGUCGAGGUGAGGCUCGAUGAAUUUUAUUCGGGUUGCGGAAGCGAAUAUAAUACAGUGACCGAAUCCAGGGUCGCACGAGACUGAGUGGGACUCCUCUAGGCGUCGGACUCGCUAUCGAACUCUUCAUCCAUGAGAUCGCCUUCGUCAGCAUCUGGCCAAAUCAACAAGCCAGUGAGUACUUCAACAGUACUCGCAAGACAGUUCGGACGUAAUAUAUAACAAAUGCAUGCAUGAAUGCGUCAUGAUUAAUUCACCAAAUGUGCAUUCCAAAAAUUAGCAUAACGAAGCAAGUAAAAGGGAAACGGCGGUAGUCCGCCUGAAAUCCCAACAAAAGCAUAAAUGAAAACCGAUCGGGUGUCUGAAGCGACGCCUCGAAAGGGUGAACAAAUAAAUAAAGGAGAAAAUCAUGCCACAGUCGGGCGUCUUUGCGACACCACAUAAAGGGCUUUAAAAGAAAUGCCACAGUCGGACGUCGGGGCGACAUCACAGAAAGGGCUUUAAAAGAAAUGCCACAGUCGGACGUCGGGGCGACAUCACAGAAAGGGCUUUAAAAAAAUGCCACANNNNNNNNNNNNNNNNNNNNNNNNNNNNNNNNNNNNNNNNNNNNNNNNNNNNNNNNNNNNNNNNNNNNNNNNNNNNNNNNNNNNNNNNNNNNNNNNNNNNNNNNNNNNNNNNNNNNNNNNNNNNNNNNNNNNNNNNNAACCGAUCGGGUGUCUGAAGUGACGCCUCGAAAGGUGAACAAAUAAAUAAAGGAGAAAAUCAUGCCACAGUCGGGCGUCUUAGCGACACCACAUAAAGGGCUUUAAAAAAAAUGCCACAGUCGGACGUCGGGGCGACAUCACAGAAAGGGCUUUAAAAGAAAUGCCACAGUCGGACGUCGGGGCGACAUCACAGAAAGGGCUUUAAAAGAAAUGCCACAGUCGGACGUCGGGGCGACAUCACAGAAAGGGCUUUAUUCACAAGUAAAUAAUACUCAUAAUAAAUAUUCAAUUCAUGAUAAUAAACANNNNNNNNNNNNNNNNNNNNNNNNNNNNNNNNNNNNNNNNNNNNNNNNNNNNNNNNNNNNNNNNNNNNNNNNNNNNNNNNNNNNNNNNNNNNNNNNNNNNNNNNNNNNNNNNNNNNNNNNNCAGAAAGGGCUUUAAAAAAAUGCCACAGUCAGACGUCGGGGCGACAUCACAGAAAGGGCUUUAAAAGAAAUGCCACAGUCAGACGUCGGGGCGACAUCACAAAAAGGGCUUUAAAAGAAAUGCCAUAGUCGGACGUUGGGGCGACAUCACAGAAAGGGCUUUAAAAGAAAUGCCACAGUCGGACGUCGGAGCGACAUCGCAGAAAGGGCUUUUAUUCACAAGUAGAUAAUACUCAUAAUAAAUAUUCAAUUCAUGAUAAUAAACAGGUUAGUCCAUCCACAGGAAUAACAUUUAGCCGGGCUUAGCACUCAUGGGAUUCACCGGAGUCUCUGUCAUCAAACUGAUACUGUUAGGCCAAGAUGAUACGAAUUUGGACAUGGAAUAGAUGAUUCAAGGAAUGUAUGACUCUGCAGAGUUUGUACAAAUUUUUUUCCCACAGCCAACGGAUUUCUGUAGUCACGAGGGACUAGUUCCGUUUACGGUUUUUUGGAAGAAAACACAGCUAACCAGUACACACCCAUCCUACCUCUCGAUGCCAGGACUCAGCCUAGACAUCGUCCAAGAAAAACUUUUGAGAUGGGGAGAUCACAAUCUCGAAUAGCAUGGGAUCAAAUUUAUAUACGCGCGCUCUAAGGGGUGCCCCCCUCUCGGUCCCAACCGGAAACACCCAUGCCCCCUGACCGGAUGACUGGCUUUAAUCCAGGGCCAUGGAACCAUCAUCCCGGCCUCUCCUUUUGGUGUGUACCAGGAAAGCGGUUUGCAACUUACUAAGCCAUAUUCCUUGCGGAAAACAUGUGGUAGUACAGGGAAGGAAAUGGGAGGAACUGGACCGGUAGAGUUUGACCCUGAAGUCAUAUAGUCUGGCAUAAGACUGGCAUGCUACAACACUGCCAUCUUACCCAUCCUCAUGCCAACACAUGGCCAUUCAUAAUCACAUCCAUCCACUUAUGGAUCAUCGAACUCACUUACCUCAACAUUUCAUAAAAAAAUAACGUUCAUCGGUAUGCUCAUCAACAUGCCAUGAAACUAACUAAAUGCAAAACAUGCCAAGACACUCAUCAUAUCAAAAGUUCAAACAUGCUUGCGUGGUUCAGAGUAGUUGGACCCUAGCUCGGUGAAGUUCGCGGCUCUGUCACCUCCUUCGGUAUCUACGGUAUAAAGAAAAUAUAUGCGCUAUCGUAAAUACCAAGAGGUGCACAGAAAGUAUUCCAAAUAUUUUUCAAAUAAAUAUGAUAAAAAACUAGACAAAAAUCUGAAGAGGACAGGAAAAGAAUCACUCAAAAAUUCCUUUCUGUUAAAAAGUUAUAAGGGUGUGAAUCCAAGGACUUAUCUGUAAUGAAACAGAAAGUUUCCAGGGGCUAGUUUAUAAAAACAGAAAAUGCUUCGGCAGAAACUACGCCAGCCCAGAGGGAAGGCGCAUUUGGCAGAAGGCGUUUUCAGAAAACGAUUCGCUUAGACAGGAUAGAGAGGCUGAUAGCGGGUCCCGCCCGUCAGGUUUAAACUUUCAGACGGGGGUGGCAGAUAUCGCCGGUGCCCGAGAGCCGCGGUGGUCGCCGGCGGCGAUCCACGGCCAGGCAGGGUGAUCGGAGAUUACCAACGUGCUCACCGUGUCCUUCCGCAACGGUGGGUGGUGGUGUUGGUCGCCGGCGAGCACUACGUUGACGGCGGUCUUGACUCCGGCGGACGAUGGUUCGGGCGUUGAUGGAUCUCGCCGAGGAGGGCUGCAAGGAUCAAAUUGAGGUGGGGGUUAGAGCACUAGGUGUAAGAGAAGGCUACGGAUGAGGUUUGGGCGCCGGAGAUGGCCUCACCGGAGUGAAUCGAGGUGGAGGCCGAGGCGGAGCGAGGCGGCCGGAGUUGGGGAAGGAGACCUCCUCGAGGUCCUCCUGGUGGCUUGGCAGGGUCCUGGAGAGGUGCAGUGAAGGUGUGGGUCUCGUGAGCGAGCUCGGGGUCCUUUUUAUAGGCGAGCCGAGGCGGUGGCCGUGAAUGGGGAUCUCCGGCGAAGGUUACGGCGGCGCAGAGCUUGGUCGGGAAGGUUUAGGGAGUUGGGCGUCAUCGCGGAGUUCCACCAGUUCCAUUUAGGUGCUAAGUGAGCUUGGAUUGGGGUGCUAAGGGCGAGCUCGAUGGAACAUGGCGGCGCGGGCCCGUCGGCGGCAGGGAGCACGUUCCGUGCUUGCCGGGCCGCGGUGAUGGUGCCACGGGCGUGCGCUGGCAUGCAUGAGGCCACGCGGAGAGCCAAGGAGCUUUGGGCGGCACCGAACGGCGUUCUGCCGUGGUGUGCCUUCUGUCGGCCGCCACAGGAGGUCCCGACGCCGCAGAACACGCCGGCGAGGGCGGGCCAGCGCGCCACCGACGCCAGGAAAGCUCCAAGCACGCGUGUGAAGCUCCGGACAAGAGGGAGGGGCUGCGAGCAUCGAGCCAAAGGCACUGUGAGCAUGUGCCUGAAACUCUGAAGAAAACGACACUGUAAAACUGAAUUUUACUCAACUUUUCUAAAAAAUGCAAAGAACAGUGCAGCUCAGGUGUUCGACAGAAUGUUUUUGGCAUCUAGGGAUUUUUCCUUGAGCUAAAACUUGGUGGAGUGGCCUCUCAUUGCUCCAGUAGGCUGCCUGAAUUUUGGUGGAUUUUUUUUUGGAGAAGUGUAGAUAUGAAUUUCACCAAAUUUGGCAAAUCUGGUCCAACUUGCAGUGAGUGAAAUUUGAAAUAUUUGAAAAGAAGAAGAGUGGAUCAAGAUGGUUCUAGGUUGUGGGUACUAAAGACAAUCCAGGGAAGUUGGUUUGGGGUAAAAACUCAAAGGCAAAGUGAUACUUGCUUUGAAAAUCACUUAAGCUCAAAAUAAAUGGCAGAAAUGUUUUGGGGGAUAAAAUAAUUGAAAUAAAAUCCAAAACUUGUUUGGACUUGUUGAGACAGAGAAUUUAGAUUGUUCAAAGGUGGAGGGAUGGAUUUUGAGAGGAUUUACUAUAGGAGACAUGGUAAAACCAUGGGUGUUUUCAAAAAGAAAGAAGUCCCAAAACUCCUAGGGUUUCCUUUUUUUUGAAAAAAAUAAGUUUGAUAGGGUAACAACCAGAAGGAAAAGCUCCCAAAAACUUCAACACCAAAUUUGAAAAGGGAAAAGAAAAUCCUUGUCAAAGGAAAGGAAGUUUUUAAGAGGAAGGAUUUCUGGAAAAGAAAUUUUUAAAAAAACCCUCUUUUAAAAUCCAACAAGGUUUUGAUAAAAACCAAAUUAAAAUUUUGGAGUGUCACAACCUACUAACUCAGAUAGCUCCAUAGUAGUCCUCAUAGAAGUCACCUCCAUAGCCUGGAAGUUCAACGUGACCAUCCGGGAACAGACGGUCUUGAGGAGCCUGUGGACCAUAGGGGCUAGGAUGGGGUCUUGGACCAACAAACGGUGGCCUGCGGGGACCACGGGGUGGGGUGAUGCCUCCCACAUCACGCCAAUCCACCACGUCUGGCAAAGCAGACCUCACAGGAUACAGAUAUCUUGUAUACAUACAUCCAGCUUGCACCGCAGGUGCAAACCGAGUCAAUGUGGCCCAAUGAUCAGCACGGGUAUUAAAAAGCUCCAGCCUCAAGGCCCGAUUCUCUCGGUCCUUAUCUUCGAGCAUCUCGGCAGUGGUACGAGUUAAUGAAUCCUCCCGAGUGGAGUCAGCAUAGAUAGCCUGAAGAUACCGUUGCGCUCCCGGAAGUGAAGCUAGCAUGUAUCGGAAGUCGGUGUUCCGAAGCAGGCCAGUCCGGACUCGCAUGAUGGUCAUCAUGGAAUAGGCAGCAUCCUGCACAGCCAUCUCAACAGUAACCCCGACUCUCGGAAUAACUGACGGUGCAGAAAUACUGGCUUUGAUUAAAGUCUCGGAAUUGCUCUUCGACGGUGUAUUCGGGAUACCAACGGUAACCCGUCUCGAUCAUGACCCGGACUAACAUAGCAGUAUGACCGGGCACGUCGAGGCACCGGGUCAGGCGAACCACUUGGUUUUGAGCACGGUUGGGCAUUUUAAAGCACAACCACAAUGCGAAGACAUCAGAAUUUCUAGGGAAAAUUGGACCGCAUAACAGCUGUAAAUGCUCAGAAAAAGAUUUGAGACAUCCACAACAGUUCGCAAUACCACUCAACAACAUCAUAUCAAGGUUCUGAUCCAAAUAGCAACAUACUAAAAAUAGUAGAAACUGAACUGGGCUUGUAACAACAAUCCUAUAAGCUACUACGGAUUGGUAACACGUGAACCUGAUAGAAGAAGAGAGCCUAGUCCUUAACCCAUGUUGAAUGAGAAGGGAAUGACUCAGAUAAGAGGCAUAGGGUAAAGGAGUAAAAGAGCCUUAUGUUCCCUCCCACAAUCAAUUCCCCUACAUAUAACUAAAGCAUUUCUAGACUCGGCAUCGACCAGUUUGGCUCAACGAACCUACAGGCAGUCCAGCUCUGAUGCCAAAGCUGUCAGGACCCCGAUUUCAAGCCACAUCGAUCUAGCCGGUAACACCUCAUAUCACUUUGCGGCCUCACGCACGAUAUUCCACGGGUGUCGCCUUACCAUGGCCCGGGACCGUUUGUGCCUUUUGGCUCACGUAUAUGAUAGUGUCGCUAGCAUCCGUAUGACAGAGAACCCGGGCCGACAUGGCUAGUCGUGAACCCAAAGCGGCACAGACCUAUGGAGACAGGCAUACAUGAAUCACAUCGAGCAUGUCGGUCAUCAGCGAGUGAUUCCGGGCUGUAGCACUGGGCUAACAGGACUCCGGGGAACUCGGGCUGUAGCAGGCUAGGCAGGACUCCGGAAGUCACCGUGUGACAUUUCCCCGAAGGGACAGACAUAGGAACGAAGUGAAUCACAUGCCGGCCAGUCAAGUGUCCUGAGCAGUAGUGCUGGGCUAGCAGGACUCCGCUGAACCGGGCUGUAGCGGACUACUAUGGCUCGAGGAACACUAGACUACAUUUCCCCAUAAGAAAGGCUGCAAAGGAUAAACAACUAGAUUGUGGGAUCCCACUCAUACCAAGCAUUUCAAUCAUACACACAAUAUGCCCGAUAUGAGUACAUACAACAUGGCAUCACAACAAAACUCUACAACUCAAGUACUUUAUUUAAAGGCUCCAGAGAGCCAUACAUAACAUGUUCAUAUAGAUAGGGGUCACAUGACCCGACACUCAAGUCAUACAAUCAUACAAGCACAUGCGGAAGCAACGGGUCUUGAAAGUGCGUUAUAUCGGCUAGGGGGGGGGGUGAAUAGGCGAUUUUUAUGGAAGUCUUCAAAACGUGGAAGUUAUGAAGACAAACAGAGUGAACAAGCCUAUCACUAUGCAGCGGAAGUUAGAUUACACAACGCAAGCCAUGGUCAAGUAUACAAUAUAGUGAAAGCACAGUGACAAAUAGCUUCAGUGUAAUGAGGAUCAGGUUGGAAGAAGUUAUGAAGCCAAACAGAUCAUACAGUCAAGUUGUGAAGACAGAAGAUAAAGCAAGCAUGCAAUAGCUUCACAAUGUGUACUGGUAAGUAAAGGGAGGCGAAGAUGAAACCAGUGACACGUUGAAGACAAUGAUAUGUUGGACCAGUUCCAGUUGCUGUGACAACUGUACGUCUGGUUGGAGCGGCUAGGUAUUUAAACAAAAGGACACACAGUCCCGGACACCCAGUCCUGAACACGCAGCUCAGGACACCCAGUCCUCACCGUUUUCUCCUUGAGCUAAGGUCACACAGACCCCGCCCAAUCACUCUGGUAAGUCUUCAAGGUAGACUCCCAAACCUUCACAGACUUUGUUCACCGGCAAUCCACAAUUCCUCUUGGAUGCUCAGAACGCGACGCCUAACUGUCUGGAGGAUGCACAGUCCUCAAGUGUAAUAAGUCUUCAGAUCACUCAGACAAGAAGACUUAAGUGAUGCCCAAUUACUCUGGCUCUGGGUGGUUAGGGCUUUUCUCCUCACUAAGGAUUUUCUCUCAAUGGCUUCGAGGUGGGUUGCUCUCAAACGACAAAAGCCGUGCACUGAAAUCUGAGCAGCCAACCGUUUAUGGUUGUAGGGGUGGACUAUUUAUAGCCGCUUGGCAACCCUGACCUGAUUUGUCCGAAAUGACCCUGGGUCACUAAGGAACUGACACGUGUACUAACGGUCGGAUUUUGAACUCUCACGGCAACUUUACUUGGGCUGCAAGUAAAGCUGACUUUUCUGACUCUGGACAAGAUUUUCUCUCAUUGUCUUCACUCGAAGACAUAGGAUUUGAAUUAGGCAUCAUUUCAGUCAUCCUGACUGGUUCUCUUGGACCCCACUUAACAGUACGGUGGUUCCUAUGACACAACAUGAAUAAAGUAAAACUACAAAGGAUCUAAGUCUUCGAGUUCCAAAGGCUUCAUGGGGAGUCUUCAUAUGUCAUUGUCUUCGACAUGAAUGUCUUCAUGAACCACCAUUGUCUUCAAUGUCUUCGUACAUUUUUCGGGGUCAUCUCUGGUAACUAAACCGAAUCAAUGAGGGACUUCUACCUGUGUUAUCCUGCAAUUCUCACAAACACAUUAGUCCCUCAACUAGGUUUGUCGUCAAUACUCCAAAACCAACUAGGGGUGGCACUAGAUGCACUUACAAUCUCCCCCUUUUUGGUGAUUGAUGACAAACUAGUUGAAGUUUUCAACGGGGAAUAUAAUUUGUGAAAUUGUAAAGGAAUUGUCUUCAUAAGCUGCAAGGGCUCCCCCUGAGGAUGUGCAUAUAAGUGAUUUGCUUUUGGAACGCGAAUGCACAUAGCAGGUUGUAUUUGUGGGAAUCCACUUCAACUUAUGAUGACAAUCCAUCAUGCAUGUAAACAUAUAAGAAGAUAAUGAUAUGCAUAAUGAAAAAUGGACGCCUGCGAAAUGAUAUAAGUGCGGAAAUUAUCGUCGUACAUGCGGAAUUUAUCUUCGCAAAAACACAGUGGCAAACAUAGUAGCAGACGACCAUCAAGUUUAAGUGUUACAACUCAAAGAACCAAAUGUAGCAAAACGAGAGUUGUAAGCACGAAGCAAAAUAUAAUAAAGCACCAGCCCUUAUUAUUGACCCGCUUGAAGACUAUAAACAUCAUAUGCUUCUCCCCCUUUUGUCAGUGAUGACCAAAAAGGUUUGAAGGCAUAGAGUUUUCUACGUGUUCCCAGGCGCAGCAGGGUCGAUGGAGGCGUUUGGUGGAGCUGGCGAGCUUGGUGCAGUGAUGAUGCGCGCUGAAGAAGGUGGUGGUGAUGUAGCAUCGUCUUCUUCCUCAAUGAUUUUUCCAGUCACUAUGGCAGCAGAGGAAGAGAACUCUGAUUCUUCAAGCGACGGAGUUCCACGCAACACAGCUCUUCUGGGGGGUGUGGAGUCAAACUUGAAUCUCUCUUUGAAGCCAUCCUCUUGCAGUUCAGCUUCAGUGCACAUCAUUGUGAGGCCUUUCCAAGUGCGGCGACAGGUUUCAUGUGCGACAAAGGCAUUCUUGGUGGCCAGAUUCCUGAUGCGAUUGACUUCUUGCAUGAUACUGCGCAUCUGCCUUUUGAGCCAGUCGUGAUGCCUAUCUUGCUUUUGGUGCAGAGCCACAAGAAGUUCACGGUCAGUGAGUGUACGAGCGCGUUUCUUGGGUCUCUGUGCAGCUGUGCUGUCAGUGGCUUCAGUUGAUGCAGGGGCACGCGUGGUGCCAGCCAUUGGAUAGACUCUGGAAAUGGCUUCAACACCUUCAUCAUGCUGAGUGAAGCUCUGGUGUUCUACAUUCUGAAGACUUAAUGGCUGCUUGGCAGGCUCAGGAUAAAUCGCUUCAGCAGAGGUGUCCACAUCAGGUAAGAAGAUUCUGUGGUUGCGGGCAGAGUGUUGAUAGGAUAUGGUAGAGUGGAGCUUGAUGAGCCUCAUAACCCAUGGAGCAUAAAUCUUCAGACCAAAGAGAUCUGAGCCAAACGCUGCUAGUUGACGUAUAAAGAGAUCCUGGGCAUUGAAGCAUUUGCCAUGCAGGAUGCAGAAGAUGAGAGUCUUCAUGGCACCUUCAACCUUGGCAUAUCGAGAGUGCCCCUUAAUGGGCCAUAGAGUCCGCCUGAUGAUGUGAUAGAUAGUUCUAGGCAGGUACUCUAAGUCUUCAACGAAGAACUCGGUUGGGUAAGGUGCGUCAGGAGGCAAUGGCUUCAUCAUUGAGAGCAUCUGACUCAUAUUUGGCUCAGGUCGCUGAAAUAUGCUCUCAACUGCUUCAGCAUGGAGUUGGCAGCCUUCUUCGAAGAGUUCGCCUGGAGUGGGUAGGCCGGUGAGCUCAAUGAUAUCAAAUGCAUUGGCUUCAUGAUGGACGUUGCCGGUCAUCCACUCCAGGACCCAAGUCUUUGGAUCUUUGUUGUAGCCUUUGAUGUGCAGUGUGGCAUAGAACUGGAGCAGAAGCUCUUCAUUCCAGUGCUCUUCAUCCGUGACAAACGGCAGCAGGCCAACUUGCUUGAAGCAGUCCAGUGCUUCUUCCAGACCAGGCAGACCAGCAAUAGCUUCAACCUCAAGGCGCUGGUGUGGAAAGAUACGGCCUUGGUUGUAGAGGACGCAGAAGUAGUAGCUGCGCUGUGGGUAGCUCCAGAACCUAUCUAACACAAUCCGUUCCCUUGAGUAAGGGUUCUUGGAGCGGUUGAAGAAGGUGUUACCUGCCCUGAAGCUAUUGACAUUAAAGGAGCCAGGAGCGGUGGCAGGACCUGGGAACCUUGGCAGUCGUGGGAUUGGCUUCUGUACCUGGGGCCUGUGCGCAACAUGAUAGUUGAACUGUGGACCGGCAGCAGACUCAGGCACAGAAGGGUCAGAGGCAGAAGCUUCAGUAUCUCUUGAAGCUGUUGGUUGGUCGGGCUCCACAAAUGCUUCAGUAUUGGGUGUGGCAGCCGCAGUGGUGUCAGCCUCAUCACGUGUAGUGAGAGGGAUGGAUUCAGGUACGUUCUCCUUGAGAACUUCUUCUUGUUGGUGUGGGGGAGAUGGAGCUUGAGGUUCUUCAUGCUCUUCUUCAUGUUCUUCGGCUGAUGCAGCCGGAAUGUCGUCAGCAGUCUGAGCCCUUGGCCCUUUGCGAAGCCUACGGAAUGCAGGCAACGCCGGUGGAGUUGCAGUGGGCUGGGGCUCAUCCUCUUCCUCCUGCGGGCGAUCUGCCCAUGAUGCAUCUUGGGUGAUUGGCGUCAAGGGACGACCAAUGCUGAUCAUUUCACUCGUUUCGAGCUGAGGAAGGACUGCAUCACCUUGCACAUUGUCUUGGAGACCAAUGUCUUCAGCAGCGUUGGAGUCGGCUGCUGGAAUGUCUUCAGCAUGCGGAGCCUUUGUGAGAGCAGGCUCAUGCACGGUCAGCUGACGAUCUUCAUGAGGAAAGCAAACGGAGAGGGGUUCGACUAUCAAGGGCUCUGUGGGAGCAGCCCGAGACUUCUUGUUCUUGCGCUUCUUGAUGGUGGGGUCUAAAGGAGAGGCUUCAGGGUGUUUCCUCUUCCUUGCUUCAGCUUCGGCUGUCCUUGUCUUCUUAACCUAUGAAGCGGUUGAGCGGUGCUUUGGCUUCGAGCCAGGCUUGGCAGUGGGGAAGACAAUCGGAACAGCUUCUUGUCGUGGGGCCUCUUGUUCAGCCACAGUGGGCUUCUUCUUUUUCUUAGCGGCCAUCCUGGGGUCGAUGCUGGGACGCCCAAGCGCCUUUCGCUUCUCGGACUCAUUGUAGGCCUGCACACAGAGAUCAGCCAAAUUCUUCAUGCGCUCACGUGAACCCUGAGCCUCUGCACGUUUCUGCAUAAAGUUUUCCUUCAACUCGUGCAGCAUGACUUUGAAGUCUUUGACUUCUUGGACGCUGAGCGUGGCCAUGUUCUGCUUGAACUGAGCCUUUUCAAAAUCUAUCUUCUGCUUCAGUUCCACUAUGCGCUGGGCAAUUGCGAGUUCUGAAGCAAUAGCUCCUUGGAAGGCUACGCUGAGGCCAAUGGGCAGCUGCAGAUCAUGGAAGCUGAUGUUGGGUGUAUCAAACCACUCAUCAAUGAAGUUGUGGAUGAUUGCUGCAUCGAACAAAGGCAGAUUGUUGAAGAUUUCAGCCUCCUCCUUGCUCUUGAUUAGCUGCUCAAGAGCGUCAUCGGCAAGAUCGUCGUCACUUGACAGAUCAAUGGCCUCGCAGCGCAGAACGGCUGCGGCAGUGAGCUCUUUGUCAGUAUGUGGCUGAUGCUUCUUGGCUUCUUGGGGCUUGGAGACUCGUGAUAAGUCUUCAGACUGCACACUUGCUUCAGGAGGUGCAGUGGCCAAUGGCUUCGCUCUGGAGAUCUUGGGAGAAGCGGCUGGCUUGGAAGCUUUUGGCUUCUUCUUCAUCUGCUUCGGCUCCGGGGCAGCAGGAGCGUCAUCAGACUCAGUGUCUACUGGAGGGUCGUUCACGGCAGUCCCUUGGACUAGAAUGCGAGUGAUGAGGCCUUUGAGAUUGGCAUACGGCCCGAUGACAUUGGGAUUUGCAUCGCGUGUGCCAUCCGCCCUUGGCUUAGAGGGACCAGGGUUGAAGUCCAGUCCAAACUCCUUCUUGUUUUGCUUCGCAGAGUUCUGAGCAAAUUGGAAGUUGCGCUUGAAGAGAUUGUCAUCGCGACACCAGAGAAGUGAUGACGGAUGUGCCUCAGCUGGCUGUGGUCCUCUGACCAUGCAUGGAUAGAAGCCUUGAGCAAUGGCUUCGUCUCUGGACCGGGGUACGAGAUUUUUGUACAAGACAUCUCCCCAUGGCCUCUGGAUGGCGCACUUCUCUGCAUAUUCCUUGGCGACGAAGCGGUAUUGGAACCACUGCUCUGCCCAAUAUCUUCGAAUCCAUUGGAUUCGUGUCUAGCGCUGACCAUAGCUCUCUUCAGGAUCAGUUUGGUACAUUUCUGCCAAAUCUUCAGGCAGAUCUUUAGACGUUUCACCACGUCUCUGUCUGCCUCCCUUCCUUGCUGGUUUUUCUGUUGCCAUGAAGCUUAACUUGGAAGGCUUCAAGAGAUUCAAAGUCUUCAAAGGCUUCCUUUUGCUUGACCAACAGGAACUUGCUUCGGGUGAAUUGAUGUGACGCUGUAGGAACUCUGCAAAUGAAUGCAGACUAUGAGAACCAAAAGAUUCUCCCACGGACAUGUACCUGUGACAGCAUUAAGGUGCGAGGGAAGGGGAAGAGGUCAUAUGCAUUCUCAAAAGAUUUUGAAGAUAAAUCAGUUUAGAAGAUAUUGACCUCAUCAUGCGAAGACAUUCACUUUAUAGAAAAGAAGUUGGUUCCAGAUUUGUACGAACCCAUAGAUCAGUACAAGUGAGGAAUCUAACUACUUCAUGAAGAACAAGUGAAUAUACUAGGCACGUUAUGAGAUACAGAUGAGAGGGAUUAAACUUUUGUGAAUGGAAACCUCUUUUGGCAGAAAGUGAUGGAGCUAUAGGAUCAAAAGAGGCUGUAAAAAGACUUGUUAUUUACCAGACUUGGAACUGCUAGACGAGGUGAGAGUUGAGGCCGAGCAGUUCGAUCCUCCGUGCCCUAACUUGGCGACGGAAGACACCUAGGGCGACGGCGGAGAGACUGAUGUCCGCUGUCGGCGUGAGAACGGCAUCGGAGAGGUUGCGGCAGUGAAGCACUUCGUCGCCGGCGUCGUUGAGAGUUAGCGGUGGCGCUAGGGUUUGUGCGAGGGUGGAAGAAGAGAUAAUGACCGCAGUGAAACGUGUAUUUAUAGGGAUAUGGGCGGCACUGCGCUAUUACUCAGGUGCCCCUGGCGAUUCGCAUCUGAUCAGUACGUGGCCAGCAUGCGGAAUUGUGGGGGCAGUUUCACCCCACGCACGCCUGGUUUGUCGGAAGCCGUUCCUACUUCUCUGGAUUUCUUGUUGAUGAAAAAACAUUAAAAUCUGUUUUAAAGUUUGUCUCUGUGUCUUCUUCUGACAAGGAUGCAGUGAAGACAUUCGACAGUUUCAAUAGAAUGCAUAGACUUGGAGAGAUAGAGUUUGAGGUAGGAAGCAUGGAGAGGUUAGGGUCCGAUCACAUUCACUUAGUUCAAAAGAUUCAAACAAGAAGACAUAGCUAUAAGUGAAUGCUGUAGAGGACAGAACACCAGUACAUAUAUAAUCAACAUAGUGAAGAUAAUCAUGAAGACAUGUUGAGAUUGAAGCUAAACCAAAUGUGAAGACAUAGCAAAUGUAAUGCCAUGAGUGAAACACUUCAAGCAGAAAAAUUUGGUGGUGGCGCUACCCACCGUAUAGGAAGUAUUGGACCCAGACACGGCGCACAAUUAUCGUGGCGCUCCGAGGUCAAAUUCCACGUUAAUGUGUUCACACUUAGAAUGUAUGUCUUCAUUGAUUGAAGAUAUACGUUACUUCGUGUGUUGCACAUCUAAGUCAUCAUCAUGCAUAAGUGUUAGGAUGUGUGCCUGAUCACAGGACAUUUGAGGAUUCCAAGAUAUUUAGCUCACACCGUAACUUGCAAAAUCUCUUCUCAUCCAAGGGCUUGGUGAAGAUAUCUGCCAAUUGCUCUUUAGUGUUGACGUGUAUGAUAUCAAUGUCUUCCUUUGCAACAUGAUCUCUGAGAAAAUGAUGACGAAUUUCAAUGUGCUUUGUCUUCGAGUGCUGAACUGGGUUGUUGGCGAUCUUGAUGGCACUUUCGUUGUCGCAGUAAAGUGGCACUUGCUUCAGAUGAAUGCCAUAAUCCUUGAGGGUUUGCUUCAUCCAUAGAAGCUGAGCGCAGCAGGAUCCAGCAGCAAUGUAUUCAGAUUCAGCAGUGGAGAGAGAUACACAGUUCUGCUUCUUUGAAGACCAACAGACAAGUGAUCGCCCAGAAAGUGACAUGUGCCUGAUGUGGACUUCCGAUCAACCUUGUCACCAGCGUAAUCAGCGUCCGAAAAUCCAACCAGAUCAAACUCUGAGCCCUUUGGAUACCAUGACCCUAGAGUUGGGGUGUGAGCCAAAUAUCGAAGAAUUCGCUUCACAGCUAAGUGAUGCGACUCCUUUGGUGCCGCUUGAAACCGAGCACACAUGUAAACACUAAGCAUAAUAUCUGGCCUAGAUGCACAUAAAUAAAGCAAAGAACCAAUCAUGGAGCGGUAUACCUUUUGAUCGAACUCUUUACCAUUGUCGUCAGGACCCAGAUGAUGUUUGGCUGGCAUUGGUGUUGUGAAGCCUUUGCAGUCUUGCAUACCGAACUUCUUCAGGCAGUCUUUGAGAUAUUUCUCUUGAGAUAUGAAGAUGCCAUUGCGUUGUUGCCGUAUCUGAAGACCGAGGAAGAAUUUCAGCUCCCCCAUCAUAGACAUCUGAUAUUGCUCUUGCAUCAUAUAUCCGAACUCCUCACUGUACUUCUGAUUGGUGCAGCCGAAGAUAAUGUCAUCCACGUAUAUUUGGCACACAAACAGUUCACCAUCAUAUGUCUUUGUGAAGAGAGUGGGAUCCAGGGAACCAGGUAUGAAGCCUUUGCUCUUCAGGAAGUAUUUGAGUGUAUCAUACCAGGCCCGAGGGGCUUGUUUGAGGCCAUAUAGUGCCUUUUUGAGCUUGUACACCAUGUCAGGAUGUUUUGGAUCUUCAAACCCAGGUGGUUGUGCAACAUACACUUCUUCUUCAAUUUUGCCAUUGAGGAAGGCACUUUUUACAUCCAUUUGAUACAGGAUUAUGUUGUGAUGAUUUGCAUAGGCCAGCAGUAUACGGAUGGCUUCAAGUCUGGCAACAGGAGCAAAUGUUUCAUCGAAGUCAAUGCCUUCGAGUUGAGUAUAUCCUUGAGCAACGAAACGAGCCUUGUUUCUGACGACUUGGCCAUGCUCAUCUUGCUUGUUGCGGUAUAUCCAUUUGGUGCCUAUUAUGUUAUGCUUCCAUGGAUCAGGACGCUUAACCAACUCCCAUACAUUGUUCAGCUCAAAUUGUUGAAGCGCUUCUUGCAUAGCUUGAAUCCAUUCAGGUUCCAUAAAGGCUUCAUCAAUUUUCCUGGGUUCUGUCAUUGAAACGAAUGCGAAGUGUCCGCAGAAGUUUGCCAGUUGAGUUGCCCUUGAAUGAGUCAGUGGACCAGGUGCAUUGAUGCUAUCAAUUAUUCUGCAAUCUGCACUUCAUUGGCAACAUGAGGAUGUAGGGGUCGAAGACUUUGCUCUUGCUGAUCUACGUUGUCAUGGGGAGGAAUGUCUUCAGGCUGAGCGUUGUCUUCAUGUGGAUCAGGUGCUGAGAUGAUAAGUUCUUCUUCAGGACGAGCUUCAGAAGGUAUAAUUUCUCCAGUUCCCAUUAGCUUGAUUGAUUCACUGGCUGGAACUUCAUCUAGCACAUCUGGUAGUUGCUCUCUUUGUGACCCAUUGGUCUCAUCGAACCGCACAUCCACUGUUUCAACCACUUUGUAGUGGAAGAGAUUGGAGACUCUGUAGGAGUGCGAAUCCUUUCCAUAUCCAAGCAUGAAGCCCUCAUGUGCUUUUGGAGCAAAUUUUUAGGUGUGGUGAGGGUCCUUGAUCCAGCAUCUUGAUCCAAAUACUCUAAAGUACCUUACAUUUGGCUUCUUGCCAGUCAGAAGUUCAUAAGAUGUCUUGUUCAGCAGCUUGUGAAGAUAUACACGGUUGAUAGUAUGGCAUGCAGUGUCAAUGGCUUCAGUCCAGAAUUUUCUUGGUGUCUUGUACUCAUCUAACAUUGUUCUGGCCAUCUCAAUGAGUGUUCUGUUCUUGUGUUCGACGAUGCCAUUCUGUUGUGGCGUGUAUGGAGCUGAGAAUUCAUGAGUGAUGCCCAAUGUAUCAAGAUAUGUGUCAAGGCCGGUGUUCUUGAAUUCUGUGCCAUUGUCACUUCUGAUGUGCUUUAUCUUGGCGCCAUAAUUGUUCAUUGCCCGAUUUGCGAAGCGUCUGAAGACAUCCUGCACUUCAGUCUUGUAAAGGAUUAUGUGCACCCAAGUAUAUCUAGAGUAAUCAUCAACAAUGACGAAGCCAUAGAGGCAAGCAGUAGUGGAGAAAGUUGAGUAGUGAGUGGGACCGAAGAGAUCCAUGUGAAGCAGUUCGAAGGGUUGAGUAGUGGUCAUGAUUUUCUUCGAAGGAUGUUUUGCCCUUGUCAUCUUCCCAGCUUCACAGGCACCGCAUAAGUGAUCUUUCUUGAACUUGACGCCCUCGAUGCCUAUGACAUGCUUCUUCUUCGCAAGGGUGUGGAGGUUCCUCAUGCCAGCAUGCCCAAGUCUUCGAUGCCAAAGCCAGCAUUCUGAAGCCUUUGCGAGAAGACAAACUGCAAGCUGUGGCCCUGCUGAGAAAUCUACCACGUACAAAUCAUCUUUUCGAUACCCUUCAAACUCUAGAGACUUGUCAGAUUCCAUUAGUACCAGACAACGAUAUUUUCCAAAGAUUACAAUCAUGUUUAAAUCGCAAAGCAUUGAGACAGACAUUAAGUUGAAGCCAAGGGACUCAACAAACAUGACUUUAUCCAUGUGUUGAUCCUUUGAGAUUGCAACUCUACCUAGACCCAGUACCUUACUUUUACCAGUGUCAGCGAAUGUGAUGUGGCUCUUGUCAGAUGGACGUAAGGUUGAGUCCAUAAAGAGACUUCUUUUGCCAGUCAUGUGAUUUGUACACCCAUUGUCAAUAAUCCAUUCUGAAGACUCUGAAGUCACUGGUGUCGUACCCUACAGUGCAGUUAGGGGGAUAGGCUUCACGAAGAGUGUUGUGAAGCAAAAACAUUUGACGAACCAGUGGAUUAUGAAAACUUAGAUCCAGGUUAGGACAAGUAGGGAGAGUAGCAUGCGAUUCAGGUAUGAAAUACAUAGUGAUGCCAUUCGGGCAUUUGAUCUUGCGCCCACAAGAUUUUUAAGGUCCCCAGCAAUAGCAUCAGAAGAUUUUGGUUUUGUGCUGGAGACCUUUCCCUGCAAAAGAGAGUUAAGCUUUCUUAACCACCCACAUCUUCAAGGGUGGCUUAGAAGCAAACAGUCUAGCAGGUGGGCAAUAGUACUCAUAAGAAUAGGCAGAAUAGUUUUUGGUCAUAUGAGAAUGACGGUUUGAAGAACCGCUCUCAUAUGCCUGAGCAUGGUUUCCCUGCAAAACAUUUGUGUUAGUGCGACUCAAAUGAGUCCUCUGCCUGUAUGAAGCCUUUGGACCAUAUAUGAAGCCUUUGGUCCGAGGUUUGUCUUCUUCAUGUGAGGUGUCAUGAGGACAUUCACAGGAAGAUUCUCAAGACACGUUUUUGGAACCCAGAUCUUCUUCAUAGGCGGUCCAUUCCUGCAGUUAGUACCAAUGUACCUGGCAAAUACUUCACCAUUCUGAUUCCUGAACAGUUUAUAGUUUGCAUCAAAGGAUUCAUCAAUGAUAAUUGGAUUAGCACAAGUGAAGCCAGAUAGAUUGGAUGGAUCUGCUGAGGAUUCCUUUGCAGCAACCCAUGUGGUUUUGGGGUACUGCUCAGGUUUCCAGUAAGAGCCAUCUGCAUUAAUUUUCCUCACGAACCCAACACCCUCCUUCCUAGGGUUUUGGUUCAGAAUCUGCUUCUUGAGGACAUCACAUAAUGUCUGAUGUCCUUUGAGACUUUUGUACAUCCCUGUUUCAAGCAAUGUCUUCAACCUAGCAUUUUCAUCAGCAAUAGCAGUGGUAUCCUCAGUAGAGGGGUUAGUUACCACUUCAACAGUUGCAACAGCAGUAGCAGUGGAACAUUCAGCAACAGAAAUAGCAUUAUCACAAUCAAUGCAUUUAAGGCAUGGUGGUUCAAAUCCUUCCUGAACAGAACUGAUCUGUUCGGCUCGAAGUGACUCGUUUUCCUUUUGAAGAUCUUCAUGAUCCGUUUUUCAAGAUGUUGCUUCUUUUGAAGAUAAUCAUAGGAAAGCUUUUCAUGAGUAGUUGAGAGAGUCUCAAGACGAUCUUCGAGUUCCUGAUACUUAACAUGAAGAUUUUUUAUGUCUUCAAUUAAGGAUUCAGAACGAGUCAUUUCAGCACCCAACAGAUCAUCGCUUCUGUCUAACAGUUUUUGAAUAUGUUCCAUGGCCUUUUGUUGUUCAGUUGCAAUUUUAGCAAGUGUUUUGUAACUGGGUUUUGAAUCACAAUCAGAGUCAUCGUCACUAGAUGUUUGAUAGUGAGUAGUGCGUGUGUUUACCUUGGCACCACGUGCCAUGAAGCAGUAGGUAGGAGUAGAGUCGUCCUUGUCAUUUGCAUCGGUGAUGGUGAUGGAGUCAUUGUCUUCAGUGUUGAAGAUGGACUUGGCGACGUAGGCUGUAGCCAGACUCGCAAUGCCUGAAUCAGACUCCUCCUCAGACUCCACCUCUGCCUCCUCAGAAGCGGACUCCUCCUCUGAAUCCAUUUCCUUGCCAACAAACGCACGAGCCUUGCCAGAUGAACUCUUCUUGUGUGAUGAAGACUUUGAGGAAGACUUGGACGAAGACUUUGAGUAUUUCUUUGUCUUCUUAUCGUCAGAGUCAUAUUCCAUGCUCUAAUUCUUCUUUCUGUUCUCAUUGUCCCACUGUGGACACUCAGAGAUGAAGUGUCCAGUUUUCUUGCACUUGUGACAUGUUUUCUUCUUGUAGUCAUGCGCAGAAGCUUCAUCAUUCCUUGAGCUUGAUCGUGAAGACUUUCUGAAGCCUUUCUUCUUGGUGAAUUUCUGGAACUUCUUCACUAGCAUUGCAAGUUCCCUUCCAAUGUCUUCAGGAUCAUCAGAACUGCUGUCAGAUUCUUCUUCAGAUGAGGACACAGCUUUUGCCUUCAAGGCACGAGUUCGCCCAUAGUUUGGACCGUAGAUAUCUCUUUUCUCAGAAAGCUGAAACUCAUGUGUGUUGAGCCUCUCAAGUAUGUCAGACGGAUCGAGUGUCUUGAAGUCUGGAUGUCAAAUGAACUGUCAAGUGAUCUUAGCAGCGUCUUAACGAUUUCAUGUUUGGUGAUCUCAGUGGCGCCGAGGGCUUGAAGCUCAUUUGUGAUGUCAGUGAGCCGGUCAAAUGUGUGAUGGACAUUCUCAUUGUCAUUUCGCUUGAAGCGGUUGAAGAGAUUGCGAAGAACACUGAUUCUCUGAUCUCUCUGGGUUGAGAUGCCUUCAUUGACCUUGGAGAGCCAGUCCCAAACCAGCUUGGAUGUCUUCAAGGCACUCACACGGCCGUACUGUCCCUUGGUCAGAUGACCACAGAUAAUAUUCUUGGCAGUGGAGUCCAGUUGAGUGAACUUCUUGACAUCAGCCGCAGUGACACCUUCUCCAGCCUUGGGAACGCCGUUUUUGACGACAUACCAUAGGUGGACGUCAAUGGCUUCAAGAUGCAUGCGCAUCUUAUUCUUCCAGUAGGGAUAUUCAGUUCCAUCGAAGACGGGGCACGCAGCGGAGACUUUAAUUAUCCCUGCAGUCGACAUAGCUAAAACUUUAGGUGGUUAAACCAAAUCACACAGAACAAGGGAGCACCUUGCUCUGAUACCAAUUGAAAGUGCGUUAUAUCGGCUAGGGGGUGAAUAGGUGAUUUUAAUGAAAGUCUUCAAAACGUGGAAGUUAUGAAGACAAACAGAGUGAACAAGCCUAUCACUAUGCAGCGGAAGUUAGAUUACACAACGCAAGCCAUGGUCAAGUAUACAAUAUAGUGAAAGCACGGUGACAAAUAGCUUCAGUGUAAUGAGGAUCAGGUUGGAAGAAGUUAUGAAGCCAAACAGAUCAUACAGUCAAGUUGUGAGGACAGAAGAUAAAGCAAGCAUGCAAUAGCUUCACAAUGUGUACUGGUAAGUAAAGGGAGGCGAAGAUGAAACCAGUGACACGUUGAAGAGAAUGAUAUGUUGGACCAGUUCCAGUUGCUGUGACAACUAUACGUCUGGUUGGAGCGGCUAGGUAUUUAAACCAAAGGACACACAGUCCCGGACACCCAGUCCUGAACACGCAGCUCAGGACACCCAGUCCUCACCGUUUUCUCCUUGAGCUAAGGUCACACAGACCCCGCCCAAUCACUCUGGUAAGUCUUCAAGGUAGACUCCCAAACCUUCACAGACUUCGUUCACCGGCAAUCCACAAUUCCUCUUGGAUGCUCAGAACGCGACGCCUAACCGUCUGGAGGAUGCACAGUCCUCAAGUGUAAUAAGUCUUCAGAUCACUCAGACAAGAAGACUUAAGUGAUGCCCAAUUACUCUGGCUCUGGGUGGUUAGGGCUUUUCUCCUCACUAAGGAUUUUCUCUCAAAGGCUUAGAGGUGGGUUGCUCUCAAACGACAAAAGCAGUGCACUGAAAUCUGAGCAGCCAACCGUUUAUGGUUGUAGGGGUGGACUAUUUAUAGCCGCUUGGCAACCCUGACCUGAUUUGUCCGAAAUGACCCUGUGUCACUAAGGAACUGACACGUGUACUAACGGUCGGAUUUUGAACUCUCACGGCAACUUUACUUGGGCUGCAAGUAAAGCUGACUUGUCUGACUCUGGACAAGAUUUUCUCUCAUUGUCUUCACUCGAAGACAUAGGAUUUGAAUUAGGCAUCACUUCAGUCAUCCUGACUGGUUCUCUUGGACCCCACUUAACAGUACGGUGGUUCCUAUGACACAACAUGAAUAAAGUAAAACUACGAAGGAUCUAAGUCUUCGAGUUCCAAAGGCUUCAUGGGGAGUCUUCAUAUGUCAUUGUCUUCGACAUGAAUGUCUUCAUGAACCACCAUUGUCUUCAAUGUCUUCGUACAUUUUUAGGGGUCAUCUCUGGUAACUAAACCGAAUCAAUGAGGGACUUCUACUAGUGUUAUCCUGCAAUUCUCACAAACACAUUAGUCCCUCAACUAGGUUUGUCUUCAAUACUCCAAAACCAACUAGGGGUGGCACUAGAUGCACUUACAGGUCUGGGUACAGACACUAGAAAGAAAGAAGGCUCCUCGAGGCCUGUCUAUCUACAUAGGGCCCUCCAUGGCCAGGAUCACCACCUGGGUGGCUAGUCACUCAUCGAAGUCAAGGUCUACAUAGAACCCAUCGGAGGGGGCGGUGUUGUCGUCUGAAAACAGUAAUUAAGCAAACAUGAGUACAAAGGUACUCAGCAAGUCUUACAACAGAACCUACUAUACAUGCUUAUUCUCAAGAAGGCGGUGGGGAUAUUGCAGCAAGCCAGCUUUGACUCUUGGCUAAACUAUCCUACGGAACUUCUCUAGUAAAAUAGUUUUCGCACACGAGUCCACUACUCACCAACACAAUACUCCAACGGGGAUCCUCCCUCAUCAUCCUACGAGAGGGCCAUCCUCGGUACUCACACUUAUCUUGAGUCUUUUAGUAGUAUCCAUUUACUUGUCUAUGAACUGUAUAGGCAACUAAGUAGUCCUUUACCGCGGACGCGGCUAUUCGAAUAGUUUUAUACCCUGCAGGGGUGUACUUCGUCAUACACGCUUUCACCACUUAUCGCCGUUUACACGACAUGUACUCGGCAACCUUCAAGCGGAAGCCCAGCGAGGGUGUCGGCCACGGCCUACCUAAACACUUAAGUCUCUAGUCCUGCUUUAUCGCCUAUCCAAGUUCCAUCCGCAGGGAUUCCGGCCGAGGUUUCCACAUACGGCCCCGAACGAUGUGAACAGGAUCCCGAGACGCCAAACGGGUGCCCGGCAUACCCGGCCACGGUGUAUCUACCACAACAUAGCCCACCCCUAGGGUCAGCGCUACGCACGGCCGCCAACACAUAACCUACAAACACCAGAAACUAUUUGCAACUCCUGGAGAGAGUACUAGGGUGAUUAAGAAGCCGAUAGGGUCAAUUAAGGAUCCCAAUGCAUGGUAGUAGCUGAAUCUUAAAUCAUACAUACAGAUCUGAGUUCUUAGGGACGGUCUCAAUGAAACAACCCACCAUGUACUCCUACAUGGCCUCUCAUCGAUACCUUUACCAAAACAUGUUCAACACAUUCCUCAUAUUACCGACAUAAUCAUAUCACUCUAGCCCAUCACCCUGAUGAACCAGACCUGACACAACUCUAAGCAUAGCAGGCAUACCAAGGUACAAAUCACAUACAUGGCUCAAUCAACUCCUACACAUGCUAGUGGGUUUCAUCUAGUUACUGUGGCAAUGAAAGGUCAUGCAGAGGAUAAGGGUUCAACUACCGUAGCACACAGCAGUUUGAAUCGCGUUAUCUUAAUGCAGUAAACAAGAGUAGAGGCGAGAAUAUGGGUUGUAUCGGAAUGAUCAAUGGGUUGCUUGCCUGAUGGAGUGGUAGUGGGAUACUGCCCUUCAGUUGGAUACUCGUGAAUAUCCUCGGAGGCAGAACCUACCACGAAGAACACAUCGGAACACAAUCAAUACAUGACGAUAUGCAACAAUAUGAUGCAUGCUAUGACAUGGCAAUAUGAAUGUGUCUUGGCCUAAUGCAAGCUAAAAUAGAAAGGGAUGAACUCAUUUGAAUCAAAGAUACAAAUAUUAUCUCAUUAAACAUGGCCUUAAUAUUGCAUUUACUUAUUCUGCUUAAACAGAAAGGUAAACUUGUUUUGUCAUGCAUGAAACCAUUACAGGUGGAUAGAUUGAAUUUUUCUGAUAAUUUUUCAUAUAUAAAUUAUUUCAUUUGGAGUUACAGUUGAAUUUCUAUGAUUUUUAGAAUUUUUAAACAUUACUGCGUCAGCAUUGCGUCAUGCUGACCUCAGCAGGUCAAAGGCGCCAGCCCAGGUCAAACCUGACUGGAGGGCCCCUUCUGUCAGUCUCUUAAUUAAAUAACAGGACUAGAUUAACACUAAUUAGCUGUCAGUGGGGCCUGGGCCCACAUGUCAGUGACUGAUUAAAAUAAAAUUAGUUAAAACUAAUCCUAGAUUAGUUAGCAGACCAGCCCCACCUAUCAUAGACUCAGGGGGGGUCUACCUGGGCCCACCCAGGGUCAAACUAGGUCAAACUCGCCGGCGUUGAGCCGCCGGCGAGGCCCGAGACGGUGGCGCAGCUCGGAAAACGCCUAUAGGGCACGAGCGAGGCCGUUCUUGGGCUCGUUGGAGAGCUCUUGCAGUCGCGCAUCUAGUGGUGGUGGUGGCGGGCCUACGGUGGCCGGAGACGACGACGGCGAGCUCCAAGGCAGCGGCCGGAGUUCGGCCAUGUGCGGGGUGUGGGCUGCGGCGUGCAAACUUGGAAACUGAGGCGCUAGCGAGGCACUACGCGAUGCGGCAAGCACGUUGCGUAGCACGGGAUGACCAAAUGGUCGCCGGAGCGGCGCCAGCGACAAGCUCGAGCAGAGACGAGCUUCGGCCAUGGUGGAACUAUGGCCUAGAGGGUGCAAACGCAUGGAAAAGAAGAGGGGAAAGGUGGCGGACCUCACGGGGAGGUCGAUGAGUAGCUCAGUGGGCUCGGGGGUGACCGGAGCGAGGCGAAUCGAUGAGCGGCGUCCGGCGGGUACCGAGGUUGAAGACGAUCCGAUGGCGGCGAUGCAGGGCCUCCGGCGAUGCGUGGGGAGGGCGAGGGCGUCACGGCGGAGCUUCUGGACAGGUCAGAGAGGCGAGGGGGUGACAGAGGGCGCGACUACGGCGGUGAGACGGCGACGGGUGCAUCGGCCAUCGCGGGAGAGGGAGAGGGGGACGUGGGGGAGAGUGAGAGAGGAUGAGAGGGGGACAUGUGGGUCGCGUGGCAUUCCCUGGACGUCUCCCGGCGUCGGCGAAAGCAGGAGGUGGCCGACGUGUGGCCGCGGGCGCCGGCCACGCGCUCCGCGUCCUUCUGGCGCGAGGAGGACGACGACGGGCAGCGCCAGUAGGCUAGGCCGAGCCCGGUGGGCUGGCCAGCACAGGUAAGGCCCAGGUGGGCUUCUCCCUCUCUUUUUUUAAUUUGUUUCUGUUUUCUAUUUAACUGUAACUGUUGGGCUUUAUUUAAAAUACUAAAAUAUUUCCAGAAAUCCUGAAAAUAAUUGUGGGCUCUGCUUGGAUUAUGUCCAACAGCAAACAUUUAUUUCCAGAAUUAUUUGAGCAUUUAAAUUAUUUAAUAGCAUUUAAAUGCCCAAAUUCAAAUACUUAUGAUUUAAAUCAAUGACCUUCUAUUGACCUAGAAAAAUUGUGCAUCAAUUUUGCCAGAGGUUCUAACCCAAGACAAAGAGGGUGAACUUUUUAGAAGGGCAUUUCAGGUUCAUUGAAAAUAAUUUUAGUAAACCCUAGUUGUUUCCAGGGGGUGUUGGGGGUUUCUCCCUUCCCCAAUUCAAAUUUAAGAGGAAUUUAAACAUGAUGGAGAUUCUAAUGCUUGAACUAGCUAGGGUGUGACAUGACUCUUUAUUUGUUAGUUUACCAUAAUCAUCCUUGCUGUACACACCUUUUGAGAGGGCCAUACAUGAUUUGGAAUUUGUUAGAAUACUCUAUGUGCUUCGCUUAUAUCUUUUGAGUUAUAUAGUUUUGCUCUAGUACUUCACUUAUAUCUUUUAGAGCACGGUGGUGGAUUUGUUUUAUAAAAACUAUUGAUCUCUCAUGCUUCACUUACAUUAUUUUGAGAUGCUUAAUAGCAUGGUAAUUUGCUUAAAAUCUUAAUAUGCUAGGUAUUCAAAGUUAGUAAAAUUUUCUUAAGAGUGUUUUGAAUACUAAGAGAAGUUUGAUGCUUGAUGAUUGUUUUGAGAUAUGGAGGUAAUAAUAUCACAGUCAUGCUAGUUGAGUAGUUGUGAAAUUGAGAAAUACUUGUGUUGAAAUUUGCACGUAUGGUAAACGUUGUGUAACAAAUUUGAAACAUGAGGCGUUAUUUGAUUGUCUUCCUUAUGAGUGGCGGUCGGGGACGAGCGAUGGUCUUUUCCUACCAAUCCAUCCCCCUAGGAGCAUGCGCGUAGUACCUAGGUUUUUGAUGACUUGUAGAUUUUUGCAAUAAGUAUGUGAGUUCUUUAUGACUAAUGUUGAGUCCAUGAAUUAUACGCACUCUGACCCUUCCAUCCUUGCUAGCCUCUUAGGUACCAUGCAUUGCCCUUUCCCACAUUGAGUGUUGGAGCAAACUUCGCCGGUGCAUCCAAACCCCGUGAUAUGAUAUGCUCUUUCACACAUAAACCUCCUUAUAUCUUCCUCAAAACAGCCACCAUACCUACCUAUUAUGGCAUUUCCAUAGCCAUUCCGACAUAUAUUGACAUGCAACUUUCCACCAUUCCGUUCAUCAUGACACAUUCAUCAUUGUCAUAUUGCUUAGCAUAAUCAUGUAGUUGACAUAGUAUUUGUGGCAAGGCCACCGUUCAUAAUUCUUUCAUACAUGUCACUAUUGGUCCAUUGCAUAUCCCAGUACACCGCCGGAGGCAUUCAUAUAGAGUCAUACUUUGUUCUAGUAUCGAGUAGAAAUUAUUGAGUUGUAAAUAAAUAGAAGUGUGAUGAUCAUCAUUAAUAGAGCAUGGUCCCAAAAAUAUAAAAAAGGAAGGGCCAAAAAAAGGCCAAAUAAAAAAAUGUAAAAAAGGGGGGCAAUGCUACUAUCCUUUUUUCCACACUUGUGAUUCAAAGUAGCACCGUAAUCUUCAUGAUAGAGAGUAUCUUGAUUUGUCAUUUUCAUCUACUAGUGGGAAUUUUUCAUUAUAGAACUUGGCCUGUAUAUUCCAACAAUGGGCCUCCUCAAGUUCCCUAGGUCUUCGUGAGCAAGCAAGUUGGAUGCACACCCACUUAGUUUCUUUUGUUGAGCUUUCAUACAUUUAUAGCUCUAGUGCAUCUGUUGCAUGGCAAUCCCUACUCCUUGCAUUAACAUCAAUCGAUGGGCAUCUCCAUAGCCCAUUGAUUAGCCUCGUUGAUGUGAGACUUUAUCCUUUUUGUCUUCUCCACAUAACUCCAGUCAUUAUAUUCUAUUCCACCCAUAGUGUUAUGUCCAUGGCAUGCAAUCAUAUAUUGCGUGAAAGUUUAUAGGUUUGAGAUCACUAAAGUAUGAAACAAUUGCUUGGCUUCUCAUCGGGGUUGUGCAUGAUGAGAGCAUUCUUGUGUGACCAAAAUGAAGCAUGAUUAAACUAUAUGAUUUUGUAGGGAUGAACUUUCUUUGGCCAUGUUAUUUUGAGAAGACAUAAUUGCUCAGUUAGUAUGCUUGAAGUAUUAUUAUUUUUAUGUCAAUAUGAACUUUUGUCUUGAAUCUUUCGGAUCUGAAUAUUCAUACCACAAUUAAGAAGAUUUACAUUAAAAUCAUGCCAACUAGCACUCUGCAUCAAAAAUUCUGUUUUUAUCAUUUACCUACUCAAGGACGAGCAGUAAUUAAGCUUGGGGAUGCUUGAUACGUCUCCAACGUAUCUAUAAUUUUUGAUUGCUCCAUGCUAUAUUAUCUACUGUUUUGGACAAUAUUGGGCUUUGUUAUCCACUUUUAUAUUAUUUUUGGGACUAACCUAUUAACCAGAGGCCCAGCCCAGAAUUGUUGUUUUUUGCCUGUUUUAGGGUUUCGAAGAAAAGGAAUAUCAAACGGAGUCCAAACGGAAUGAAACCUUCGGGNNNNNNNNNNNNNNNNNNNNNNNNNNNNNNNNNNNNNNNNNNNNNNNNNNNNNNNNNNNNNNNNNNNNNNNNNNNNNNNNNNNNNNNNNNNNNNNNNNNNNNNNNNNNNNNNNNNNNNNNNNNNNNNNNNNNNNNNNNNNNNNNNNNNNNNNNNNNNNNNNNNNNNNNNNNNNNNNNNNNNNNNNNNNNNNNNNNNNNNNNNNNNNNNNNNNNNNNNNNNNNNNNNNNNNNNNNNNNNNNNNNNNNNNNNNNNNNNNNNNNNNNNNNNNNNNNNNNNNNNNNNNNNNNNNNNNNNNNNNNNNNNNNNNNNNNNNNNNNNNNNNNNNNNNNNNNNNNNNNNNNNNNNNNNNNNNNNNNUGUUGCUCCACCGACGUACUCCUUCCUCCUAUAUAUACCUACGUAUCCCCAAACGACCAUGUACGGAGACAAAACCCUAAUUCCACCGCCGAAACUUUCUGUAUCCACGAGAUUCCAUCUUGGCGCCUGUUCCGGAGCUCCGCCGGAGGGGGCAUCGAUUAUGGAGGGCUUCUACAUCAACACCAUAGCCUCUCCGAUGAAGUGUGCGUAGUUGACCUCAGACCUACGGGUCCAUAGUUAUUACCUAGAUGGCUUCUUCUCUCUUUUUGGAUCUCAAUACAAUGUUCUUCCCCUCUCUUGUGGAGAACUAUUCGAUGUAAUCUUCUUUUUGCGGUGUGUUUGUUGAGACCGAUGAAUUGUGGGUUUAUGAUCAAGUCUAUCUAUGAAUAAUAUUUGAAUCUUCUCUGAAAUAUUUUAUGUAUGAUUGGUUAUCUUUGCAAGUCUCUUCGAAUUAUCAGUUUGGUUUGGCCUACUAGAUUGAUCUUUCUUGCAAUGGGAGAAGUGCUUAGCUUUGGGUUCAAUCUUGCGGUGUCCUUUCCCAGUGACAGUAGGGGCAGCAAGGCACGUAUUGUAUUGUUGGCAUCGAGGACAACAAGAUGGGGUUUUCAUCAUAUUUUAUGAGUCUUUCCCACUACAUCAUGUCAUCUUACUUAAGGCGUUAAUCUGUAUUUAACUUAAUACUCUAGAUGCAUGCUGGAUAGCGGUCGAUGAGUGGAGUAGUAGUAGUAGAUGCAGGCAGGAGUCGGUCUACUUGUCUUGGACGUGAUGCCUAUAUACAUGAUCAUACCUAGAUAAUCUCAUAACUAUGCUCAAUUCUGUCAAUUGCUCAAUAGUAAUUUGUUCACCCACCGUAGAAUACUUAUGCUCUCGAGAGAAGCCACUAGUGAAACUUAUGGCCCCCGGGUCUAUCUUUAUCAUAUUAAUCUCCUACUACUUAGUUAUUUCCUAUGCUUUUUUACUUUGCCUUUAUUUUACUUUGCAUCUUUAACACAAAAAUACAAAAAAAUUAUCUUUAUCAUAUCUACCAAAUCUCACUCUCGUAAGUGGCCGUGUAGGGAUUGACAACCCCUAUUCGCGUUGGUUGCGAGGAUUUAUUUGUUUUGUGCAGGUACGAGGGACUGGCGCAUAGCCUCCUACUGGAUUGAUACCUUGGUUCUCAAAACCUGAGGGAAAUACAUACACUACUUUGCUGCAUCAUCCCUCACUCUUCGGGGAAAACCAACGCAGUGCUCAAGAGGUAGCAAGGGUUCCUUUUUGUCGACGAUCUGAUGUUUCAACCUUGUUUUCCAGGCGGCCAACGCGUCGCUAAACUUGGUCAUGGCGUGUUUUUUUAUCUUCUUCAUUGCCAGGUCCUUAUCUGGAUCUUUAUUAUCCUUUUCAUUACGGUCCGGGAACAAGAAUAUCUGGUGCAGCCUCUUUAGGAGGGAGGGCCUCAUAUUAUCUAUCUUCUGUAGUUUCCCAUCGUUGAUCGUGGCAGUUGUCCAUACAAUGCAACCUAUUUGAUUGCCGUAGCACGAUCGCGCUUCCUCAGGCGCUAUUGUCUCAAAAAUACCGUCGUCCAACUCCGUGACCACCAGUCUAGUACUCAGGAGCUGGUUUGGGCGCCGUGGCCUCUUUGCUUUCGGUUCUAGACCAACUCCGCUAGUCUCGGCGCCGGUCUCAGUCUCAUCGCCGGUCUGCAUGUCGGUAUCAGUCCCCGAUGCGACAACACAGUCGCUGCAACAUGGGUAAGGGAGACCUCCGCGCGUUUGUACAUAGGCACAGGGUGAAUCCCGGUGAGAGAUGGCCAUUGGCGCAUGCAAGUAGACGACGACGUCCCCGACGAAGAGCAGCCGGCCAGCUCGCCUCACUCUCCUUUGAUUAGAAAUGAAAGAUUGGGAAGAAGCAGACUGGAGCCUGCAGGGAAAGGAUAAGGUGACGAUGCAGUCUCCACUCGUUCGGGGCGACACACGUACUGAAUGUAUGAGAAACGUGACGUGGCAGAGACCCCAAGAUACUCCCUCCAUUUAUUUUUAGUCUGCAUAUAAAGUUUGGUCAAAGUCAAGAUUUGUAAAUUUUAACUAACUUUAUAAUAAAAAAAUAUCAACAUUCACAAUAUGAAAUCAAUAUUACCAGAUGUGUCAUGAAAUGUAUUUCCAUACUAUAUAGUUUUGGUAUUGUAGAUGUUCAUAUUUUUUAUAUAAAUGGGAAGUAGAGGCACUCUUGCAUAUAAUGAAGUUUAUAAUAUAUGUGCUUAUAUUGUACUACAAUUGUUUGAAUAGCUUAGCAUAUGUUCAGAUGUAUGAUAUCUGUAAUUUAAGCGCUUGAAUUUUACAUAUAAAUAUUUAUUAAUAAAUAUGUACCCCUAUAAUAGCUAGGCCGUGCAUUUGCACGGGUAGAUGACUAGUGAUUACAAUCUUGUUUGUGUGCAAGUCAAGCUUAUCUAGUUUACACGUAACAACUUGUAGAACGUUACAAAAUUUAUGCUUGCUAAUAACUUCUAGAACACUACAACACUUGACAUGUAAAAGGAAUUUGACGAGUCAUGGCCUACUAAAGCAAGUUACAUUACUAGUCUUAUCUAUCUUAACAGACCACACAAGAUUACAAACUAAGUACCGUGACAGCCAUGCUUAUCUAGUUUAUGCGUAACAAUUUGCAGAAAAUUACAAACUUAGUUUCAGAAAAAUAGGCAAUCUAGAUUAGUGUUUGAGCUGUAAAGUGAAUAAGAUGAGUCAUGCAUGUUAUCACACCUUUUUGGUGGUGGAAUGAUAGUGCAACAACAAGGAACUUUAAUGACCAGUCCAAGAAUACACUUGUAAGUAGUGCUACCAAACAGAACAUACCAAAUGAUGAUUUUUAGAAGCAUCCAAGCACUUUCCACACAAACAAAUGCCAAUUGUGAAAGAGAUCAUUCCAUGGCAGCUAUAAAUAGCCCCAUAGCAUGACGAUCAUCCUUCCUCAUCCAUCAUUCUUAUUAGUAGAGCGCAUCAUUUAAGCCAAGCAAGCUGUGGUCAAUACAAAUCCACCAUGAAGACCUUUCUCAUCCUUGCCCUCCUUGCUAUCGUGGCGACCACCGCCACAACUGCAGUUAGAGUUCCAGUGCCACAAUUGCAGCCACAACAUCCAUCUCAGCAACAGCCACAAGAGCAAGUUCCAUUGGUACAACAACAACAAUUUCUAGGGCAGCAACAACCAUUUCCACCACAACAACCAUAUCCACAGCCGCAACCAUUUCCAUCACAACAACCAUAUCUGCAACUACAACCAUUUCCGCAGCCGCAACUACCAUAUUCGCAGCCACAACCAUUUCGACCACAACAACCAUAUCCACAACCGCAACCACAGUAUUCGCAACCACAACAACCAAUUUCACAGCAGCAGCAGCAGCAGCAACAACAACAACAACAACAACAACAACAAAUCCUUCAACAAAUUUUGCAACAACAACUGAUUCCAUGCAUGGAUGUUGUAUUGCAGCAACACAACAUAGCGCAUGGAAGAUCACAAGUUUUGCAACAAAGUACUUACCAGCUGUUACAAGAAUUGUGUUGUCAGCACCUAUGGCAGAUCCCUGAGCAGUCGCAGUGCCAGGCCAUCCACAAUGUUGUUCAUGCUAUUAUUCUGCAUCAACAACAAAAACCACAACAACAACCAUCGAGCCAGGUCUCCUUCCAACAGCCUCUGCAACAAUAUCCAUUAGGCCAGGGCUCCUUCCGGCCAUCUCAGCAAAACCCACAGGCCCGGGGCUCUGUCCAGCCUCAACAACUGCCCCAGUUCGAGGAAAUAAGGAACCUAGCGCUACAGACGCUACCCGCAAUGUGCAAUGUCUACAUCCCUCCAUAUUGCACCAUCGCGCCAUUUGGCAUCUUCGGUACUAACUGAGAAGAAAAUAACUCUAGUACUAGAUAUAUGAAACACCGUUUUCUCAGUCCAUGGUUUGGUCGUUGUAGCGGUGAAAAAAUAAUGUGACAUGCACUAUCAGGUAAGAACCCGAACUAUACUAGUUCAAACUUGGGAAUAAAAGACAAACACAGGUCUUGUCUACAUAUUUAUGUUGCAUCUAUUUAUAUAUUAAAAGUAAUAUAAGGUGAACCAGGAGCAAGGUAAAUAUGCUAGAAAAUUGCACGUUAAUUAGAAAUUACUAGCCCUCGAUCUGAUAAAUCUUAACGAACAUAUAUAAUGCUCUGGGCCUCCAACGACUGUACGUGACACAUCUGAACGAACAUAUGUUAAAGAAAAUAUAUUUGGUAAAUGGUGGGCUUCUUUAAAAAGAGAACUCACGUACAUGCACCAACUAAGAAAAACACAUACAUGUAAACGGGAAAAGGAUGAGAUUUUCUCACGUACGUGCUCCCUGGCUCCACCCCGUUGAAAAAAUAUACAUCUGGAGGCCACUUUGUUUCCUCAUCAAAAAAACUUACGUUAAAAAGAUUGCAUGCAUCCCAGGGAAAAUAGUCAAGAAGAAGUCGGACUUUUCCUUACAAAAACAAGGAACGUGUUAAGUUGACUUCAAAGAAAAAAGGAACAUGUUAAGUUAAAAAAAAACAAGAAACCUGUUAAGUUAGAAAAAAAACAAGGAACGUGUUGUCCAAGGAAAGAGGAAGAAGAAAGUUGGUUUCAGUGAGUCAUGUGAAUUGUAGAAGAAAUAGGUAAACAAGGCUAGCUCCCCUGGGGGUUGUCAUAUUACAAUCAUUUGUAUUACUUUCCUACCAAUCCUGAACUAGCUAUGACCCUUAUAGCGAGCCUCACUUUACCGUUUCAGAUAGAAACAUAUGGCAGUACUGUACGUACUCGAGAGAAGUUGCUCCCUUCCAUGACAAGGACUAGUUAAGUUUCACUAUCUCCUUUCUCAACUCACUAUAUCCCAGCGGCGGAUUAAUAUAUAUACGUUGAAAAGCAAGGGGAUAAAUUGAACGAAAUGAAGAGCAAUCCAGAAUCCUAUUUUGUAUAUGUGUCAAAUCUUACAAAAAAAAAAGAAUACACACACGUACGUUCAUGCACUUGGAAAAUAGAAAAAAAAGGAACAUCACGUAUGUAUACACUUCGGAAACUCAUUACAUGACCAUGUCUGAUAUACUCCUCUAAUGCUUCAUAUUAGUGCCUAAUAAUUUAUAUUUAAAAUUCAAUUUACUGAUCAAAUAUCCCCACUGUUUAAAUUUUAAUUUGGCACAUUGUUUGGCUAUAGUAUGAACCUAAAUUUCCUCUUAUUAUUAUAUAUCAUGGUAAUAAUCCAAAGGCGACUAAUCUGCGCCGGCGCACCGGCGCAAUCAAUUCCGCUGGACACAGCGCGGCCGUUUGAUUAGAUUGCAUUUAACCGUCAGAUCUGGAAUCGUUUUCUUUCCAAUUAAACAGAUUCAACCAAACAGCAGAGGGGAAAACAAAGCAGCGCCGCCGCCAACACUAGCCAUGGACGACCGAUGUAGCAAAACCUUGAAGAACCGCCGCCGGUCGCCACCCUCGCUGCUGGUCGCCGCCCUCGCCGUCGGUCACCGCCGGUCGCCGCCCUCGCCGCACUCGUGGUUGCAGGCUUGCAUCUCCGCCUCCGGGGGACAUGGCCGCAUGUCCGGUAGCGCCGGCCGCCGGCCGGUGCACCUGUCGUUGUGGUCGCGCUGUACCUCGCCGUGUGCCCUCCCGUGGCUCUUGCUGGUUCCAACAAAAAACGAUACCGGUUGUAGCAAAAAAAUAUCGCUUCCAGCAAAAAAGCUUACCGCUACAGCCCGCCAUCGUCAUUGUAGCAAAAAUGUUAACCCGAUGUAGCUUCUGUGGUUGCCGACUGCAGCAAAAAAUGACAUGGUUGUAGCAAAACACAAAAGAAAAACGCCGGCCGGCCUCUGUGUAUGGUGGUAACAAACCCCAUAGCCGGUGGUAGCGAAAAACUUCAUAGUGCGCAGCAAAAAAAUGUUGUCACCCGUCGUCGAGGUUGCAUCAUCUUCAUGAAUUAUGUCGCAAAAAAACGUUGUCGCCGGUAGUAGCAAAUGAAGCCGCCGGUAGUAGCAAAACAAGACACUGGUUCCAGCCAAAAAAAAUCAGCGACAGAACCUUUGGUUGGUUCCAACAAAAAAACUUGUCGGUCGUAACAUCCCUCGCCGCCGGAUGUAGCAUCUCCCGGGGCUGGUUGCAACACUCCAUAAAAAAAAGUUGUCUAUGAGCGCAUCCAUGGUGACUGCUGCACCGUCAGCAACGAGGGGAAGAGGAGGCAAUGAAAAUCGUUCGAGUCAUAGCUCCACAGGACGCGGCUGCAGCAUGGGGAGUCCAAAAAUCUGUCACAAGCAACAUGCGCCUCGCCAUCCUCCUGCGCAGGAGAGAGAAGAAAAAGGAAUAAGAGGAAGAAGAAAGAAAACGGGAGAAAGAAAAAAGAAACGAUUGGUGGUUGGCUCAGGCAAUUAGUCAAGCGAGGGGCACGCGGGGCGCAGGAUACAGCGCAAUCGAACGAAGCGCGCGCGUCCGGCGAAGACUCGGCCGGACUGCCGGCUGGAAACGUUUCCCUAAUCCAAAGGCUUUAUCUGAAUGACAACUCGUCUGGGUUACCGGCUAACUAGAAAAAAGAUAAAUAUGCUAGAGAAUUUCAUAAUAAUUAGAAAUAUCUAGCCUUUAAUUAUGUAAAUCAGAAAAUCACAACCGUUGGAUUUACUUUAAAGGUAAAUUUCUCUAAAUUCCCACCAUUGCCAGUAUGUAGAAACAUGUGCUGCUUCAAUUCUCCCAUAAUCACCAAUCAAUCAACAACACAAAACAUACCUCAGUUAAAAAAACUGAACAAAAAAAAAGAAAAAAGAAGAAAGGACAAGAUACACGCAUGUACACGACAGCCUUGGCUUGAAACACAUCAGUAGAUCAAGUGUCCGCCUCCCUUACACAGAAUAAACUCAUAGGGAAGAAAAUAAUUGUGCAACCUAACCUUAUACGUACUAUUCUAUCCUCACGUCCCAUGAGGUUUACUAGCCUACCGCCGCCGCAUCAUGCCAUCCCCUCCUUUCAGCUCCCAUGCUUUCCAGCACCCUCAUUGCCGCGCCACUACUUGCCUAGGGAUAUUGCUGCUCAGACCGUGGAGCUUAACCUGCUUCUUCUUCAGCAAAUAUGGUACUGCUUUAGGAUCCUUCUCACAUCAGCACGUAUGGGCCUCAUUAUACUGCAGCUCCUGGACCUCCUACAAUUGGUUGGCUAUGGCCAGUUGAUCGAUGUGCCGAAGUCCAGGUCUGUUUGCUGGCACAUAUGCUUUGGAAAUAGGCCACUAUGUUUGUACUUCAAAAUUGUUUCUGUAUUCUUGAGUGGUACAUCCUUUUAAGCGCCAGUUUUUUAUGUCAAUUCAUGCUGACAACACUUAACCUAGCCUUUCAUCUUCACGUACUAAAUACAGGAGCAAGUAAAAACAACAGACCACCUAAUUGCUCUGCAUGUACUACAUAGGAAAAUUUGUCAUGUUCUACGAUCGCACCAUCCCACACUUCUCUCUUGGUAUGGGCGCCAAUUGAGGGAUUGAUAAAACUGAAACGAAGACGUCACGGGGCUGGAAGUACCGCUAGCCUGGUUUGCACUGCAACCUACUCAACGCCAUCAGAAACUAGCAACUGAGGCAGUUGUUGAUCGAUUCUCUCAAAUUGCUCUCAUGUAAGUACUACCCCUUGCAUGUGCGUACAUACCUUUGUUCCAUUCUCAAACAGAUAGAACAUUUAUGAUCGGUGCAUGGCUAUUUUUCAUCACAUGACAUCCAGAUAACAAGCAUGAAAGGACUACAUUGGAGAUCAAAAAAUAUUGGUUCCUGGCUAGAGGACCACUACCUAUGGACUUGUCUCCAUAGAAUUUGUUCCCAAGAUGUUAUUUUAAUUAACCUCUUUAGCUUUCUUCCAUUGCAAACGGUGAUGUGCAUCUUGGUAUAUACGUGACCAUCUUGCACAUGUAUACACAAGAGGCUCAGACGGAGGUGCUGGAUUCUGGACGAGGGAAUAUGAAGCAGCAGUGAGCGAAGAGUAAAUAAUGGUGGGAGUACCGAUUGGUGUUAUGAAGAAAAAUGCCAUCCAAAGAUUGAUUAGUGUCAUGGAAGAUUAAUUUCUGAAUGCGAAUAUAUAUGUUACAUUGGUUUGGAUCUUUUUGAGAUAAUUGCACAUAAAUUAGGUUCUUUCUUAUUUCAUAUGUAUACCUUAUUUCAGUAAAAGUUCACAACGAACUUAGUAGGACAAAUAUAAUUUUGUUUGUUCUUUCUGUUGUCCGCCACCAAAGCUCAAUUUGAACUCUCUAGAAAUGGACAAUGAUUUAUGCAUUCUAUAUCUUCUUGAUUCAUUAGCCAUGACAAGGAAAUAAAAGGAUUGACUGAUAUAGCAUAACUUUGGAACGAUCUGUUCGUAGAGGUUACUACAAAUUAGAGUAGUGUCUGCUGGAAUUUUGCCAGUAGGUCUUUGGCCCAAAGCCCAACUAAAAUUCUGAAAUUCUCUUGGCUCAUUUAUGCACACAUGUGAGUUGAGUGAGUGAGACUAAAGUUUAGUCCCACCCCGGAGUUGAGAGAGAGUUGCACCUCUUUAUAAGGUGAGCUCUUCUACCACUUGUAUGAGCAUGAGAAGAGGAGACCUACACGCGCGCUCCUCCUCCUCGCUCGCCACGCCUCGCCGCGCCGCGCCGCGGGUUGCGGGAUUGAGCCGAGCCGAGGACGUUGUCUAUAUUUUUGCUGCUCGGGAAAAAUUAAUGAGUCAUUAAUUAAUAAUUAAUGGACGCAUUAAUUACUGAACCGUUUCCGAUUUUUUUGGAUCGUGACGAAUCGGACGCGGGGUUUACUCCCAGGACCUACCCGGCCCGCACUAUAUAGUCAGGCAGACGUCUACCCUAGCCGCCGCCGCUUCAUAUGGUUUCUCACCAUCGUUACAGAUCAUUGCGCCACCAAGCAAGUUUUCUCCAUCCCUCCUUUCGGCGUGCACCGGGAGAAGGGAUAGCAGACCUCCGGAACCCCGCCUCUCGUGAUCCUGUACGGGAGAGGGGCGAUCAGGCUUUUGGGGAGCACACUCGCACUACUGUUGGCAGCGACGACUUCGCAAACGAGGACUUCUUCCCCGACCUCGGCAACCUCAUCCUCGACGACAUGGGCGACAACGUCAACGCCGGCGGUGCUACACCCACUGCACCGUAUGUUAUUCUCUCCUUCUUGUUCGAGGUCGUGGUAGAAUUCAAAGUAUAUGUGCCCUAGAUGUGAUCUGUUCAUCUACUAUGGUAGUUCGCAUGAUUAGUUUAAUCUCUGCUAUUGCUGUCAUGAUCUAUUUCCUAUUUAUUCGGAUUAAAUCUCGUAGUAAUUUGCUCAUUUUUCCAACAAUCCAAAAACCUGAUUAAUGGAAAUUUACUCCGAGUGGUUUUGCUGCGCAUCUGAAAGCCGCUUGCCUUUAAGGGGGCGCAAUAUAAGAGGUGGCUCACAAGAGUAGUCUACUGGUUUCAGAUCAUGGGCUGCUAUGACGCCACCAAGGGCAAGCCUGAGGGCGAUCUUAAUCCAGCACAGCUGGAUGCUAUGACAACGGCAAGAACACGUGGGCUACGCUCGAGGCCAAGUUUGGUGCCUCGGACGCCGGCAGCGAGUUGUACGUCAUGGAGCAAUUCUAUGACUCCAAGAUGACUGAUGAGCGCCCUGUUGUACAGCAGGCUCAUGAGAUACAGUUGCUCGCAAAAGAACUUGAGUACUUCAUGUUGGGGAACGUAGUAAUUUCAAAAAAAUUCCUACGCACACGCAAGAUCAUGGUGAUGCAUAGCAACGAGGGGGAGAGUCUGAUCUACGUACCCUUGUAGAUCGCAACGGAAGUGUUGACACAGCGUAGAGGAAGUAGUCGUACGUCUUCUUCCCGAUCCGACCGAUCCAAGCACCGUUACUCCGGCACCUCCGAGUUCUUAGCACACGUUCAGCUCGAUGACGAUCCCCGGGCUCCGAUCCAGCAAAGCUUCGGGGAGGAGUUCCGUCAGCACGACGGCGUGGUGACGAUCUUGAUGUUCUACCGACGCAGGGCUUCACCUAAGCACUACAACGGUAUGAUCGAGGUGGAAUAUGGUGGCAGGGGGCACCGCACACGGCUAAGGAACGAUCUCAAUGAUCAACUUGUGUGUCUAGAGGUGCCCCCUGCCCCCGUAUAUAAAGGUUGCCAGGGGGAGGGCUGGCCGGCCAAGCUAUGGAGGCGCAGGAGGAGUCCUACUCCUACCGGGAGUAGGACUCCCCCCAAUCCUAUUCCUAAUAGGACUCCCAAGUGGAAAGAGAGGGAGAGAGGUGGCCGGCCACCUCUCCUAGUCCUAAUAGGACUAGGGGAGGGGGGAGGCGUGCAGCCCACCUUGGGCUGCCCCUUUCACCUUGCCACUAAGGCCCAAUAAGGCCCAUUUGGUUCCCGGGGGGUUCCGGUAACCUCCCGGUACUCCGGUAAAAUCCCGAUUUCUCCCGAAACACUUCCGAUGUCCAAACAUAGGCUUCCAAUAUAUCAAUCUUGAUGUCUCGACCAUUUCGAGACUCCUCAUGAUGUCCGCGAUCACAUCCGGGACUCCGAACAACCUUCGGUACAUCAAAAUGCAUAAACUCAUAAUAACUGUCAUCGUAACGUUAAGCGUGCGGACCCUACGGUUCGAGAACAAUGUAGACAUGACCGAGACACGUCUCCGGUCAAUAACCAAUAGCGGGACCUGGAUGCCCAUAUUGGCUCCUACAUAUUCUACGAAGAUCUUUAUCGGUCAGACCGCAUAACAACAUACGUUGUUCCCUUUGUCAUCGGUAUGUUACUUGCCCGAGAUUCGAUCAUCGGUAUCCAAUACCUAGUUCAAUCUCGUUACCGGCAAGUCUCUUUACUCGUUCUGUAAUACAUCAUCCCGCAACUAACUCAUUAGUUGCAAUGCUUGCAAGGGUUGUAUAAUGUGCAUUACCGAGAGGGCCCAGAGGUACCUCUCCGACAAUCGGAGUGACAAAUCCUAUUCUCGAAAUACGCCAACCCAACAUCUACCAUUGGAAACACCUGUAGUACUCCUUUAUAAUCACCCAGUUACGUUGUGACGUUUGGUAGCACCCAAAGUGUUCCUCCGGCAAACGGGAGUUGCAUAAUCUCAUAGUCAUAGGAACAUGUAUAAGUCAUGAAGAAAGCAAUAGCAACAUACUAAACGAUCGGGUGCUAAGCUAAAGGAAUGGGUCAUGUCAAUCAGAUCAUUCAUCUAAUGAUGUGAUCCCAUUAAUCAAAUAACAACUCUUUGUCCAUGGUUCGGAAACAUAACCAUCUUUGAUUAACGAGCUAGUCAAGUAGAGGCAUACUAGUGACACUCUGUUUGUCUAUGUAUUCACACAUGUAUUAUGUUUCCGGUUAAUACAAUUCUAGCAUGAAUAAUAAAUAUUUAUCAUGAUAUAAGGAAAUAAAUAAUAACUUUAUUAUUGCCUCUAGGGCAUAUUUCCUUCAGUCUCCCACUUGCACUAGAGUCAAUAAUCUAGAUCACAUCACCAUGUGAUUAACAUCGAUAGUUCACAUCAUCAUGUGAUUAACACCCAUAGUUCACAUCGCCAUGUGACCAACACCCAAAGGGUUUACUAGAUUCAGUAAUCUAGUUCACAUUGCUAUGUGAUUAACACCCAAAGAGUACUAAGGUGUGAUCAUGUUUUGCUUGUGAGAGAAUCUUAGUCAACGGGUCUGCCACAUUCAGAUCCACAUGUAUUUUGCAAAUUUCUAUGUCAACAAUGCUCUGCAUGGAGCUACUUUAGCUAAUUGCUCCCACUUUCAAUAUGUAUCUAGACCGAGACUUAGAGUCAUCUAGAUUAGUGUCAAAACUUGCAUCGGCGUAACCCUUUACGACGAAUCUUUUUAUCACGUCCAUAAUCGAGAAACAUAUCCUUAUUUCACUAAGGAUAAUUCUGACCGAUGUCCAGUGAUCUACUCCUAGAUCACUAUUGUACUCCCUUGCCAAAUCAGUGCCGGGUAUACAAUAGAUUUGGUAUACAGCAUGUCAUACUUUAUAGAACCUAUGGCCAAGGCAUAGGGAAUGACUUUCAUUCUCUUUCUAUCUUCUGCCGUGGUUGGGCUUUGAGUCUUACUCAACUUCACACCUUAUAAUACAGGCAAGAACUCUUUCUUUGACUGCUCCAUUUUGAACUACUUCAAAAUCUUGUCAAGGUAUGUACUCAUUGAAAAAACUUAUCAAGCGUCUUGAUCUAUCUCUAUAGAUCUUGAAGCUCAAUAUGUAAGCAGCUUCACCGAAGUCUUUCUUUGAAAAACUCCUUUCAAACACUCCUUUAUGCUUUAUAGAAUAAUUCUACAUUAUUUCCGAUUAACAAUAUGUCAUUCACAUAUACUUAUCAGAAAUGUUGUAGUGCUACCACUCACUUUCUUGUAAAUACAGGCUUCACCGCAAGUCUGUAUAAAACUAUAUGCUUUGAUCAACUCAUCAAAGCAUAUAUUCCAACUCCGAGAUGCUUGCACCAGUCCACAGAUGGAUCGCUGGAGCUUGCACAUUUUGUUAGCACCUUUCGGAUUGACAAAACCUUCUGUUGCAUCAUGUACAACUCUUCUUUAAUAAAUCCAUUAAGGAAUGCAGUUUUGUUUAUCCCUUUGCCAGAUUUCAUAAAAUGCGGCAAUUACUAACAUGAUUCGGACAGACUCAAGCAUAGAUACGAGUGAGAAGCUCUCAUCGUAGUCAUCACCUUGAACUUGUCGAAAAACUUUUGCGACAAUUCUAGCUUUGUAGAUAGUAACACUACUAUCAGCGUCCGUCUUCCUCUUGAAGAUCCAUUUAUUCUCAAUUGCUUGCCGAUCAUCGGGCAAGUCAACCAAAGUCCAAACUUUGUUCUCAUACAUGGAUCAUAUCUCAGAUUUCAUGGCCUCAAACCAUUUCGCGGAAUCUGGGCUCAUCAUCGCUUCCUCAUAGUUCGUAGGUUCGUCAUGGUCAAGUAACAUGACCUCCAGAACAGAAUUACCGUACCACUCUGGUGCGGAUCUCACUCUAGUUUACCUACGAGAUUCCGUAGUAACUUGAUCUGAAGUUACAUGAUCAUCAUCAUUAGCUUCCUCACUAAUUUGUGUAGUAGUCACAAGAACAGAUUUUUGUGAUGAACUACUUUCCAAUAAGGUAGAAGGUACAAUUACCUUAUCAAGUUUUCUACUUUCCUCCCACUUACUUCUUUCAAGAGAAACUCCUUCUCUAGAAAGGAUCCAUUAUAAGCAACGAAUGUCUUGCCUUAGGAUCUGUGAUAGAAGGUGUACCCAACAGUCUCCUUUGGGUAUCCUAUGAAGACAUAUUUCUCCGAUUUGGGUUUGAGCUUAUCAGGAUGAAACUUUUUCUCAUAAGCAUCGCAACCCCAAACUUCAAGAAACGACAACUUUGGUUUCGUGCCAAACCAUAGUUCAUAAGGCGUCGUCUCGACGGAUAUAGAUGGUGCCCCUUUUUUUAACGUGAAUGCAGCUGUCUCUAAUGCAUGACCCCAAAAACGAUAGUGGUAAAUCGGUAAGAAACAUCAUAGAUUGCACUAUAUCCAAUAAAGUACGGUUAUGGCGUUCGGACACACCAUUAUGCUGUGGUGUUCCAGGUGGCGUGAGUAGUGAAACUAUUUCACAUUGUUUUAACUGAAGACCAAACUUGUAACUGAAAUACUCUUUUCCACGAUCAGAUCGUAGAAACUUUAUUUUCUUGUUACGAUGAUUUUCCACUUCACUCUGAAAUUCUUUGAACUUUUCAAAUGUUUCCGACUUAUGUUUUAUCAAAUAGAUAUACUCAUAUCUGCUCAAAUCAUCUGUGAAGAUCAGAAAAUAAUGAUACCUAUCGCGAGCCUCAAUAUUCAUCGGACCACAUACAUCAGUAUGUAUGAUUUCCAACAAAUCUGUUGCUCGCUCCAUUGUUCAGAAGAACAAAGUCUUAGUCAUCUUGCCCAAAAGGCAUGGUUCGCAAGCAUCAAGUGAUUCCGAAAGCCCAUCAGCAUGGAGCGCUUUAUACCAAUAUGACCUAAACGGCAGUGCCACAAAUAAGUUGCACUAUCAUUAUUAACUCUGCAUCCUUUGGUUUCAAUAUUAUGAAUAUGUGUAUCACUACGAUCGAGAUCCAACGAACUUGUUUCAUUGGGUGUAUGACCAUCGAAGGUUUUAUUCAUGUAAACAGAACAACAAUUAUUCUCUGACUUUAAUGAAUAACCGUAUUGCAAUAAAUAUGAUCAAAUCAUAUUCAUGCUCAACGCAAAAACCAAAUAACACUUAUUUAAGUUCAACACUAAUCCCGAAAGUAUAGGGGAGUGUGCGAUGAUGAUCAUAUCAAUCUUGGAACUACUUCCAACACACAUCGUCACUUCACCCUUAACUAGUCUCUAUUUAUUCUGCAACUCCUGUUUUGAGUUACUACUCUUAGCAACUGAACCAAUAUCAAAUACUAAGGGGUUGCUAUAAACACUAGUAAAGCACACAUCAAUAACAUGUAUAUCAAAUAUACUUUUGUUCACUUUGCCAUCCUUCUUAUCCGCCAAUCACUUGGGGUAGUUCCGCUUCUAGUGACCAGUCCCUUUGCAGUAGAAGCACUUAGUCUCAGGCUUAGGAUCAGACUUGGGCCUCUUCACUUGAGCAGCAACUUGCUUGCCGUUCUUCUUGAAGUUCCCCUUCUUCCCUUUGCCCUUUUCUUGAAACUAGUGGUCUUGUCAACCAUCAACACUUGAUGUUUUUCUUGAUUUCUACCUUCGUUUAUUUCAGCAUCACGAAGAGCUUGGGAGUUGUUUCUGUUAUCCCUUGCAUAUUAUAGUUCAUCACGAAGUUCUACUAACUUGGUGAUGGUGACUAGAGAAUUCUGUCAAUCACUAUCUUAUCUGGAAGAUUAACUCCCACUUGAUUCAAGCGAUUUUAGUACCCAGACAAUCUGAGCACAUGCUCACUAGUUGAGCGAUUCUCCUCCAUCUUUUAGCCAUAGAACUUGCUGGAAACUUCAUAUCUCUCAACUCGGGUAUUUGCUUGAAAUAUUAACUUCAACUCUUGGAACAUCUCAUAUGGUCUAUGACGUUCAAAACGUCUUUGAAGUCCCGAUUCUAAGCCAUUAAGCAUGGUGCACUAAACUAUCAAGUAGUCAUCAUAUUGAGCUAGCCAAACGUUCAUAACGUCUGCAUCUGCUCCUGCAAUAGGUUUGUCACCUAGCGGUGCAUCAAGGACAUAAUUCUUCUGUGCAGCAAUGAGGAUAAAACUCAGAUCACGGAUCCAAUCCGCAUCAUUGCUACUAACAUCUUUCAACACAAUUUUCUCUAGGAACAUAUCAAAAUAAACACAGGGAAGCAACAACGCGAGCUAUUGAUCUAUAACAUGAUUUACAAAAUACUACCAGGACUAAGUUCAUGAUAAAUUUAAGCUCAAUUAAUCAUGUUACUUAAGAACUCCCACUUAGAUAGACAUCCCUCUAAUCCUCUAAGUGAUCACGUGAUCCAAAUCAACUAAACCAUAACCGAUCAUCACGUGAAAUGGAUUAGUUUUCAAUGGUGAACAUCAUUAUGUUGAUGAUAUCUACUAUAUGAUUCACGCUCGACCUUUCGGUCUCCGUGUUCCGAGGCCAUAUCUUUAUAUGCUAGGCUCGUCAAGUUUAACCUGAGUAUUCUGCGUGUGCAAAACUGGCUUGCACCAGUUGUAGAUGGACGUAGAGCUUAUCACACCCGAUCAUCACGUGGUGUCUGGGCACGACGAACUUUGGCAACGGUGCAUACUCAGGGAGAACACUUCUUGAUAAUUUAGUGAGAGAUCAUCUUAUAAUGCUACCGUCAAUCAAAGCAAGAUAAGAUGCAUAAAAAGAUAAACAUCACAUGCAAUCAAUAUAAGUGAUAUGAUAUGGCCAUCAUCAUCUUGUGCUUGUGAUCUCCAUCUCCGAAGCACCGUCAUGAUCACCAUCGUCACCGGCGCGACACCUUGAUCUCCAUCGUAGCAUCGUUGUCGUCUCGCCAAUCUUAUGCUUCCACGACUAUCGCUACCGCUUAGUGAUAAAGUAAAGCAUUACAUCGCGAUUGCAUUGCAUACAAUAAAGCGACAACCAUAUGGCUCCUGCCAGUUGCCGAUAACUCGGUUACAAAACAUGAUCAUCUCAUACAAUAAAAUUUAGCAUCAUGCCUUGACCAUAUCACAUCACAACAUGCCCUGCAAAAACAAGUUAGACGUCCUCUACUUUGUUGUUGCAAGUUUUACGUGGCUGCUACGGGCUUAAGCAAGAACUCAUCUCACCUACGCAUCAAAACCACAACGAUAGUUUGUCAAAUAGAUUCCGUUUUAACCUUCUCAAGGACCGGGCGUAGCCACACUUGGUUCAACUAAAGUUGGAGAGACAGUCGCCCGCAAGCCAUCUAUGUGCAAAGCACGUCGAGGGAACCGGUCUCGCGUAAGCGUACGCGUAAGGUUGGUCCGGGUCGUCUCGUCCAACAAUACCGCCGAACCAAAGUAUGACAUGCUGGUAGGCAGUAUGACUUGUAUCGCCCACAACUCACUUGUGUUCUACUCGUGCAAAUAAUAUCAAACCAUAAAACCUAGGCUCGGAUGCCACUGUUGGGGAACGUAGUAAUUUCAAAAAAUUUCCUACGCACACGCAAGAUCAUGGUGAUGCAUAGCAACGAGGGGGAGAGUCUGAUCUACGUACCCUUGUAGAUCGCAACGGAAGCGUUGACACAACGUAGAGGAAGUAGUCGUACGUCUUCUUCCCGAUCCGACCGAUCCAUGCACCGUUACUCCGGCACCUCUGAGUUCUUAGCACACGUUCAGCUCGAUGACGAUCCCCGGGCUCCGAUCCAGCAAAGCUUCGGGGAGGAGUUCCGUCAGCAUGACAGCGUGGUGACGAUCUUGAUGUUCUACCGACGCAGGGCUUCGGCUAAGCACUACAACGGUAUGGUCGAGGUGGAAUAUGGUGGCAGGGGGCACUGGACACGGCUAAGGAACGAUCUCAAUGAUCAACUUGUGUGUCUAGAGGUGCCCCUACCCUCGUAUAUAAAGGUUGCCAGGGGAGGGCUGGCCGGCCAAGCUAUGGAGGCGCAGGAGGAGUCAAACUCCUACCGGGAGUAGGACUCCCCCCCCCCAAUCUUAUUCCUAAUAGGACUCCCAAGGGGAAAGAGAGGGAGAGAGGUGGCCGGCCACCUCUCCUAGUCCUAAUAGGACUAGGGGAGGGGGGAGGCGCGCAGGCCACCUUGGGCUGCCCCUUUCACCUUUCCACUAAGGCCCAAUAAGGCCCAUUUGGUUCCCGGGGGUUCCGGUAACCUCCCGGUACUCCGGUAAAAUCCCGAUUUCUCCCGGAACACUUCCGAUGUCCAAACAUAGGCUUCCAAUAUAUCAAUCUUUAUGUAUCGACCAUUUCGAGACUCCCCGUCAUGUCCAGGAUCACAUCCGGGACUCCGAACAACCUUCGGUACAUCAAAAUGCAUAAACUCAUAAUAACUGUCAUCGUAACGUUAAGCGUGCGGACCCUACGGUUCGAGAACAAUGUAGACAUGACCGAGACACGUCUCCGGUCAAUAACCAAUAGCGGGACCUAGAUGCCCAUAUUGGCUCCUACAUAUUCUACGAAGAUCUUUAUCGGUCAGACCGCAUAACAACAUACGUUGUUCCCUUUGUCAUCGGUAUGUUACUUGCCUGAGAUUCGAUCGUCGGUAUCCAAUACCUAGUUCAAUCUCGUUACCGGCAAGUCUCUUUACUCAUUCUGUAAUACAUCAUCUCGCAACUAACUCAUUAGUUGCAAUGCUUGCAAGGCUUGUAUAAUGUGCAUUACCGAGAGGGCCCAGAGGUACCUCUCCGACAAUCGGAGUGACAAAUCCUAUUCUCGAAAUACGCCAACCCAACAUCUACCAUUGGAAACACCUGUAGUACUCCUUUAUAAUCACCCAGUUACAUUGUGAUGUUUGGUAGCACCCAAAGUGUUCCUCCGGCAAACGGGAGUUGCAUAAUCUCAUAGUCAUAGGAACAUGUAUAAGUCAUGAAGAAAGCAAUAGCAACAUACUAAACGAUCGGGUGCUAAGCUAAUGGAAUGGGUCAUGUCAAUCAGAUCAUUCAUCUAAUGAUGUGAUCCCAUUAAUCAAAUAACAACACUUUGUCCAUGGUUAGGAAACAUAACCAUCUUUGAUUAACGAGCUAGUCAAGUAGAGGCAUACUAGUGACACUCUGUUUGUCUAUGUAUUCACACAUGUAUUAUGUUUCUGGUUAAUACAAUUCUAGCAUGAAUAAUAAAUAUUUAUCAUGAUAUAAGGAAAUAAAUAAUAACUUUAUUAUUGCCUGUAGGGCAUAUUUCCUUCACUUCAAGUGUGUGUUGCCGAACAAAUUUGUUGCCGGAGGCAUCAUUGCCAAGCUUCCACCUUCGUGGAACAAUUUUGCUACUUCCCUGAAACACAAGAGACAGGAGUUUUUCGUUGCGGAUCUCAUUGGUACUCUUGAUGUUGAAGAGAAGGCGAGAGCAAAGGAUACACGUGCUCGAGUUGCUGAGGGAGGUUCUAGUGCCCACAUGGUACAGAAGAAGAUCUUCCAGCCCAACAAGUUCAAAAACAACAAGAACAAAACUUAGGGCAAAGGCAAGUUUGAUACAAAGAACAAGCCAUCACAUUCUACCAACUUCAAGAAGAACUCUCAUAAGAAGGGGAAGGGACUUUGCCAUGUCUGCGGUGAUCCUAAUCACUGGGCUCCGAAGUGUCCUAACCGCUUUGAGGAGCGCGAACAUGAGAAGAGCGGCAAGUCUGCUAAUGUUGUCAUCGGUGAUACUGAUAUGAAGGAAUCAGGGUACGGUAUUUUUCCUACCAUCCUUUCAGUAUUCCAAAUCCCUGAUUGGUUAAUUGACAUCGGUGCCAAUGUACAUGUUUGUGCUGAUGCCUCCAUGUUUUCUUCUUACCAGGCCACUUGGACUUCUCCUGUGCUGAUGGGGAACGGGUCACAUGCCAUCGUUCGAGGUGUUGGUGCGGUCAAUCUGAAGUUUACUUCGGGGAAGACCGUGCGUCUGAAGAACGUUCAUCAUGAGCCGUCCAUCAAUAAAAAUCUCGUUAGCGGUUCCCGUUUAUGUCGAGAUGGUUUUAAGUUGGUUUUCGAAUCCAAUAAAGUUAUAAUUUCUAAGUAUGGACAAUUUGUUGGAAAAGGCUAUGAGAGCGGAGGCUUGUUUCGCCUGUCUUUGUCAGAUAUUUGCACUAAAGUUAUUAAUAAUGUUUGCCACAACAAUGAGUCUGAUAUUUGGCAUUCACGACUUUGUCACAUUAACUUUGGUUGCAUGACCCGGCUAGCCAAUAUGAAUUUAAUUCCGAAAUCUCUACUGUCAAAGGCUCUAAGUGCCAAGUAUGUGUGAAAGCUAAGCAACCUCGCAAAUCCCAUAAGACUGCAGAGGCGACAGACUUGGCGCCACUAGAGCUUAUACAUUCUGAUAUUUGUGAGAUGAAUGGCGUGUGGACAAAAGGUGGAAAGAGAUACUUCAUGACGUUGAUUGAUGACUCCACUAGAUAUUGUUAUGUGUAUCUUAUGAAAUCAAAAGAUGAGGCUUUGGCUUUCUUCAAAAACUAUAAAGCUGAGGCAGAGAACCAACUUGAUCGAAAAAUUAAACGGCUUAGGUCCGAUCAUGGUGGAGAGUAUUUUUCCAAUGAAUUUGAUCUAUUUUGUGCGGAACAUGGUAUAAUCCAUGAGAGGAUGCCUCCCUACUCACCCCAGUCAGAUGCGGUAGCCGAAAGAAAGAACCAAACUCUAACUGAUAUGGUUAACACCAUGUUAGACACUUCGGGUCUAUCCAAGGAAUGGUGGGGGGAGGCGCUAAUGACUGCGUGUCAUGUCCUAAACCGAGUUCCCACAAAGCAUAAGACCAUGACUCCAUUUGAGGAAUGUUAAAGGAAAAGGUUGAAACUCUCUUACCUACGUACUUGGGGUUGUUUGGCGAAAGUCAAUAUACCAAUUCCCAAGAAGCGCAAGCUUGGACCAAAAACCGUGGGUUGUGUUCUUCUUGGGUAUGCUUUUCAUAGCAUCGGCUAUAGAUUUUUGAUAAUAAAAUCUGAGGUAUCCGACAUGCAUGUUGGUACGAUUAUGGAGUCGAAUGAUGCAACUUUCUUUGAGGACAUAUUUCCUAUGAAGGAUAUGUUGAGUUCAUCAAAUCAGGAGACACCUACUCCACCUAGUGAGGAAUUCACUGUAAUUCCUGAACCCACCAUUGCGAUGGAACACAUAGAGAAUCCUGUUGAGGGUGACAAUGGAACUCCUGUGAGGAGUAAGAGACAUAGGACUACAAAGUCCUUUGGUGAUGAUUUCAUUGUGUACCUCGUGGAUGACACACCCAGGACUAUUUCAGAAGCCUGUGCAUCUCUUGAUGCUGACUACUGGAAGGAAGCUGUACAUAGCGAGAUGGAUUCCAUCUUAGGUAACAGAACCUGGGAGAUCACUGACCGUCCUUAUGGGUGAAAACCUGUAGGAUGUAAGUGGGUGUUCAAGAAGAAGCUUAGACCUGAUGGUACGAUUGAAAAGUACAAGGCACGGCUUGUGGCCAAGGGUUAUACCCAGAAAGAAGGUGAAGACUUCUUUGAUACUUACUCACCCGUGGCUAGAAUGACCACAAUUUGGGUGCUACUAUCACUUGUUGCCUCACAUGGUCUUCUCGUUCAUCAAAUGGACGUUAAGACAGCUUUCCUCAAUGGAGAGUUGAAGGAGGAAAUUUACAUGGAUCAGCCAGAUGGUUUUGUAGUACCUGGUUAGUAAGGAAAGUUGUGCAAGUUAUUAAAGUCUUUAUAUGGCCUUAAACAAGCUCCUAAAGAGUGGCAUGAGUAGUUUGAAAGAACAUUAACUGCUGCCGGCUUUGUAGUAAACGAUGGUGACAAGUGCGUGUACUAUCGCUAUGGUGGUGGCGAAGGAGUUAUUCUUUGUCUGUAUGUCGACGACAUAUUGAUCUUUGGAACGAAACUUGAUUUAAUCAAGGAGGUUAAGGAUUUCUUAUCUCGCUAUUUUGAGAUGAAGGAUCUAGGAGUAGUUGAUGUUAUCUUAAACAUCAAGCUGUUGAGAGAUGAGAAUGAUGGGAUCACACUGCUUCAGUCUCACUAUGUGGAAAAGGUCUUGAGUCGUUUUGGGUAUAGCGACUGCACACCUUCUCCAACUACAUAUGAUGCUAGCAUGUUGCAUCGAAAGAAUCGACGGAUUGCUAGAGAUCAACUGAGGUAUUCUCAUAUUAUUGGCUCGCUUAUGAUUUGGCGAGUGCCACGAGGCCAAACAUCUCGUUUGCUGUUAGCAAGCUGAGUCGAUUUGUGUCAAAACUAGGAGAUGAUUAUUGGCAUGCGCUUGAGAGAGUUAUGCGCUAUUUGAAAGGCACCGCGAGCUAUGGGAUUCACUACACCGGGUAUCCAAGGGUACUGGAGGGUUAUAGUGACUCAAACUGGAUAUCUGAUGCUAAUGAGAUUAAGGCCACAAGUGGUUAUGUUUUUACACUUGGUGGUGGCGCUGUUUCUUGGAAGUCCUGCAAGCAGACCAUCUUAAUGAGGUCAACUAUGGAAGCAGAACUCACAACAUUAGAAACUGCUACUGUUGAAGCAGUGUGGCUUCGUGAGCUCUUGAUGGACUUUCCUAUGGUUGAAAAACCAAUACCCCCUAUCCCAAUGAACUGUGAUAAUCAAACUGUGAUCGUCAAGAUAAACAGUUCUAAGGACAAUAUGAAGUCCUCAAGGCAUGUGAAGAGGAGACUGAAAUCUGUUAGAAAAUUGAGGAACUCCGGAGUUAUUACGUUGGAUUAUAUCCAAACGUCAAAAAAAUUGGCAGAUCCCUUCACAAAGGGUCUAUCACGUAAUGUGAUAGAUAAUGCAUCGAUGGAGAUGGGUUUGAGACCCACCGCAUGAGUUGUCCAUAGUGGUAACCCACUCUUUGUGAUCGGAGAUCCCGUGAAGUAGAAGUGGGAGACAAGCUGUUGGUCAGCUGGGAGGAGAGUAUCCCUAUAUUACCUGUCCCACUCCAUGAAGAUGCAACACUCUCCUAAUCUGCAUGGCAGGUUGAUACUUAUCUUAAUGUGUUCCAAGUGGCUUAUUCGGGUAAGCAGAGAUGUUGUCCUGCGGAACAUCUUCUGAGGAACACACCUAUAUGAAUUUGAUUGUUAACGUCGCAGUCUGUGAGAAUUGGGUGUUCUCUAAUAAAUUCAUGAAAAGGCCCUGGAGUAUGACGUAUAAGCUCCACCCGCAGGGAAGCCUUGCGGCAGCCCAGUAUCGGUCAAGAAUUUGUGUGAAACUAGUCUCGCAGAAAAUUUGUAGUUCAAGGCAUAGUCCACUAUUCAAGUUGUGAUCUAGUGUAGCAUAAAUCUCUAAGUGGAAGUUCAACUUCAAAGUCUCCACUAAGCCCCGGUAUAUAAACAAUGUUUUGGAACUAAAUGAUGAGAUGUGCCAAUGAGACUUUGUGGGGGAUUGUUGGAAUUUUGCUAGUAUGCCUUUGGCCCAAAGCCCAACUAAAAUUCUGAAAUUCUCUUCGCCCAUUCAUGCACACAUGUGAGUGGAGUGAGUGAGACUAAAGUUUAGUCCCACCCCGGAAGUUGAGAGAGAGCACCUCUUUAUAAGGUGAGCUCUUCUACCACUUGUAUGAGCAUGAGAGUAGGAGACCUACACACGCGCUGCUCCUCCUCGCUCACCACGCCACGCCUGGUCACGACGCGCCGCGGGUUGCGGGAUUGAGCCGAGCCGAGGUCAGAGCUAUGCACGUUGUCUAUUUUUUGCUACCCCGGAAAAUUAAUGAGUCAUUAAUUAAUAAUUAAUGGACGUGUUAAUUACUAAACCGUUUCCGAUUCUUUUGGAUCAUGACGACUCGGACGUGGGGUUUACUCCCACGACCUACCAGGCCCGCACUAUAUAGUCCGGCAGACGUGUACCCUAGCUGUCGCCGCUUCGUAUGGUUUCUCACCACCGUUCCAGAUCAUUGCGUCGCCAAGCAAGUCUUCUCCAUCCCUCCUUUCGGCGUGCACCGGGAGAAGGGACAGCAGGCCUCCGGAACCCCGCCUCUCGUGAUCCUGUAUGGGAGAGGGGCGAUCAGGUUUUUGGGGAGCGCACUCGCGCGACUUCUGGCAGCGACGACUUCGCGAAUGACGACUUCUUCCCUGACCUCGGCAACCUCAUCCUCGACGACAUGGGCGACAACGUCAACGCCGGCGGUCCUGCACCCGCUGCACCGUAUGUUAUUCUAUCCUUCUUGUUCGAGAUCGUGGUAGAAUUCAGGUUUCUAGUAUAUGCCCUAGAUGUGAUCUGUUCAUCUACUAUGCUAGUUCGCAUGAUUAGUUUAAUCUCUGCUAUUGCUGUCAUGAUCUAUUUCCUAUUUAUUCGGAUUAAAUCUCGUAGUAAUUUGCUCAUUUUUCCAAUAGUACCAUCUAAUAGAUGAUGUAAAUCUCCUCUAGUUUGACGUUGUUGAGCUAAUUUACAAAAAAAAAACCUCAUCAUUAUUGGACGUCCUUAACAGCUCAAGAACAAGUUGGGGUCGAACUAAUGGAUUUUACACUUUUACAUUAAAGGUUUAGCUAAAGCUAGCAGGUGUUUUUAAACCUGAAUUUUUUUUUCCUCCUGAAUUUCUUUGUAUUUUCUUAUUGACACUAUUUAUACAAUCAUCUGACAAAGAUUAGCUAAAGAUGUUUGUAGAUACGUUGAAACCUGAAAAGCUUCUUUGGUUAUCCUUUUAAUAGUUCUACGUUUAAUUUCUCAUAGGUCAUAAUUCUUAUGUAAUACCAAGAUGCAUUGUGGUAGUGUACAUGUGUUCAAUUCAGGUUGUUAUUCACAAUUUGCGACAAAAUUUAGCUCACGCUACAUUUAAAUAUGUUGAAAUGUGAAUGCUCUUUUUCUUCUCCUUUCUACACCUUGCAUCGGAUUGCAUCCCUUUAGUUAUCCAACAUUUUGUACAACAUGUAGAGAUUAGGAAGUUCAUCAUAGUUUGUCUAUUUCCGUGCUAAUAAAUGUAUGAAAUCUGCAUUUCCAAGCUACUAGGACAAGUAAAAAAUAAUAAUUUUACUAUAGGAUUCAAAAACAGCAGUUCUGAAGUGCACUUUAUUUAUUUUUGAAAGUGAUCACAUUUUGUUUCAUUUUUCUAUAGACAAAUCUACUAAUACAUACUCACGAUAAAACUAUAAAAAUUCUAGUCCGCACAUUGGGCGGGCCACCCGGCUAGUUAGUCUAAAGAUAACAAAAUGAGUCUGGAAUUUGAAUUAAAUUGAAGUAUUUUCUUGGACUUUCAAAUUAAGUUUUAUUAAAGUAGUAAGGACUAUCCACAUCCUUGGCUUGCCCCUGAUCAAUUAUUUCCAGAGAAGCAUUCGAUUCAUCAAUCAAUUACAUUGAUUUUAGUGGCUGGUACUUCUCCUCAACAUCAGUAUAUUCACCGUGGCCACUCCAAAUCGGCAAGAAUGAGGUACCAGUGCUCUGCAGCAGUGCAAGCUAAUUGCUUCUCAUGUGAAGGGGUGCGGGCGCAGGAGAGGUAUUUCUGGUGGGCCAAGGGACUAAGAAGCGACUGUGGCAGCGGUAUAGAUGCCCGCAAAGCCCCAUAGUUUGUUUUUCGUUUACAGGAAAAAUGCACAUCCAUACCAACCUUGGGAAUAUAGGACCGUAUUGGAUGGAAAACCAUGUCCGGAUGGUUGCGAGCGGUUUGAGGGUUAGCUUUUGUAACGCCCGGUUAGUUAUGCUAUAGCAAUUCCCUGCUAAUGAUGUCACGUCACCACGAUUACUAUUGUUAACCUCACAAUGAUUCAAUCCCCUUCAAAUUCAAAUUUAAAAUAAAGGUAAACAUCAAAAGUUUUCAAACAUUAAAACUAAAAUCUUUGAGAGGUGACAAAUAAUGCAUAAGUAAUUAUGGUGGAGAAACCACACUUUAAUCAAAUGUUUAAAUACUCUAAAAUGAAAAAAACAGUUGCUUAAACUAUUAUUUAAAUGCUUUUAAAAUAGUAAAAAUCUUCUAACUAAAUUAUUUGGGUACCAAACUUUUGGUGGCAGUGGUAUAUUUAGUAGAAUUAAUUUAGAUGCUAAUUAUAUAAUUUACAAAAUUAGAGUAAAUUGAAAAAUAGGAUAAAACGGAAAAGGAAAGACAAAACAAAUAAAAGCAAAAGGGGCCAACCCCUCGCUGGGCCUCGACCUAGCUGCCACUAGGCUAGCUAGGCUGGCCCCGGCGCCUCCCUUAACCCCCCCCCCCACUCCCCAUCGAACCCAAGCCCGAUCGCCCCACUUCCCCCACACCCCCUCGCCAGCCUCCCCACCUCUUGAUCCCAUCUGGAUCGGGGAGGGUAUUGCCCCCAUCGACCCCGUUGCCGUCGCCGGAUUGCCCGCCGAUGUCGCCAGGCCUCCUCCCCGCCGCCCGUCUCCGGCUCGCCUCCCCUCUCGCUCCUCUUCCCCGACCCGAUCUAGAUCGUGAACGAGCAAUGAGCUCGAAGCCCCCUUCACCGGCGCCAUCACCGUGCGCCACCACCACCGCCUGAGGACCUCACCGUCGCCGAAUCUAGCGUCGCCUCCUCGUAUCCCUCCCCUACUCGCGUCCUCAAGCCAGGACGAGCCCCUUCUCGGCAACGCUGUGAGACGCCCCCGUUUCCCUCCUCUUUCCACCGCGUUCAUCGCGCCGCCCGCCGUGCCCCUCGCCGUGCGCACGCCCACCACCGCACCAGCCCCCGCUCCGCGCACGACCCUACCCGCGCCCGCGCCAUGAUCCCCUUUUCCGCCCUACCUUCCUGCGCUCGCCGCGGUCCCGAUGCUCCCCCGCGCCCUCUUUCGGGGGCGCCGACCUCCCCUGUCCCGCUGCUCGGCGCCGUGCCUCGCAAUCGCUCUACUGCUAAGUUACUACUGCGCUGCGGCCGUCGCCUCUUCCUUCUGCUCCGCUAGCGCCGAAGCUCCCGAUUGGCUCCACCACUUCUCACGUUAAACCGCCGGCCUAAAUGGCCUAACCCCGGGCUAAUGAACCCCCACUAACCCACUGACACCGGGACCCACAUUCCCUAAUUAACCAUUUAAUAAAUUAAAACUCUUAAAUUAACAUUAGUGUAUGACAUGUGCGUCCCCUAUUAAUUAAUAAUUUUACUGCUAGUUUUCUUAGUUUCUGUUUUUCUGCAUAUUUCUUUUGUAUUUGAACAGGCUUUAUACAAUAAUAUUUAGCGUCUCAUACACAUACAAAUGUAAUUAUAGCAUAUACAUACAAAUAGUCUCAUCAAAUCAUGUGAUCAUCAUAAUCAUCAUCCAUCACAAAGUGAUCUCUCGUCAUCAUCUCGAAAAUAGCGAUACUAGUCUCGAUUACUUGCAACUACAUCGUCAUCCAUCUAAACAAUGAUAUACGCGAGAAGAGCUAUCACUAUGAGUGAGAGCGGAACUAUGCAGUACAUGAGUUUGUAUCCCUCUCUCACAUUAGCGUGAACCUAAACUAACUACUGGCUGUUGCUCGGAAACCGGAAAACGGUACACCUGGGCCUGACACUCCGGCCACUCGUCGUAUACUCCUGGCGUAGCACUUCUUCGCCAUCGAUGAUCUAUGCACCUGCAUCGUCACAUGAGUCGAUGAUAUGCAACAUAUAUAGUUGAGCAACAGAAAGAGACAGACGUGGCAAAAGUAGAAGCAACAUAUCAUAAGCAUAAAUAACAAAGCUCAUCGUACGCAAAAUGCCCUAACUAGAGUGAUCUGCGCUAGUCAAGGAGGACGGUUUAAUUACAUCACAAAUAAUGUUUCGUCGUGCAUUACUCAAAGUUCCGUCAUACAGAAAGUAUGAACUAAAUGGACACAUUGUCAUAUUUCGAAAAUCACUCCCACAUGUCGUGCCAUCCAUCCAAGUCAAGGAGAUAGUGCCCGAGCUUAGUGAAAGGCUUUAGGUCAAGAUGCUGAGUGGCUACGCGUGUUCGGACGUCUUCCCACGACAUUUGUCCUUCUUCAUAGAACAUCCCUGUUUUUUCGACGACCUCCUUCAUCACUAGAAGAAAAAGGGCCUGUUGUCCCGGUUCUGGAACCGGGACUAAAGGGUCGGUACUAAUGCCCUGUCCCUUUAGUCCCGGUUCAAUCCAGAACCGGGACAGAUGGGCCUCCACGUGGCCUGUGCGCGGAGCCCAGGCAGGAGACCCUUUGGUCCCGGUUGGUGGCACCAACCGGGAACAAUAGGCAUCCACGCGUCAGCAUUUCUGUGGUUGGGGUUUUUGUUNNNNNNNNNNNNNNNNNNNNNNNNNNNNNNNNNNNNNNNNNNNNNNNNNNNNNNNNNNNNNNNNNNNNNNNNNNNNNNNNNNNNNNNNNNNNNNNNNNNNNNNNNNNNNNNNNNNNNNNNNNNNNNNNNNNNNNNNNNNNNNNNNNNNNNNNNNNNNNNNNNNNNNNNNNNNNNNNNNNNNNNNNNNNNNNNNNNNNUGGUGUUUCAUAUAUUGUGUUAGCUAGCUAUAAUUAAUAGAGAAAAGUGUCCUCUCUUAUGUCCGUGCUUGGUCGACGCUACGUACUAUACAUACGUAUAGAGAGGACUAGACACGCUAGCUAGCUAGUAAGCAAACGAAGGAAACAGAAGAUCGUCAUGAACAUAUAUGCAUACAGGACUAGACACGCUAGCUAGCUAGUAACCAAACGAAGUUCAACUAGUAAUGGCGCACCACUCCCACGGUGCGCCAUUAGUAGUUUUGAAAAAAAUUAAUUUUUUUUUUUACUAAUGGCGCACUGUGGAUGUGGUGCGCCAUUAGUAUUUGGACACUAAUGGCGUACCAACACAUGGUGCGCCAUUAGUAUAUAGUAAUGGCGCACCACAGGUCUGGUGCGCCAUUAGUGUCAAUUCCAUCUAUAGCCCUUUUCCUAGUAGUGUUAGGGACGGUCUCAAUGAAACAACCCACCAUGUACUCCUGCAUGGCCUCUCAUCGAUACCUUUACCGAAACAUGUGCAACACAUUCCUCAUAUUACCGACAUAAUCAUAUCACCCUAGCCCAUCACCCAGAUGAACCAGACCUGACACAACUAUAAGCAUAGCAGGCAUAGCAAGGUAGGAAUCACAUACAUGGCUCAAUCAACUCCUACACAUGCUAGUGGGUUUCAUCUAGUUACUGUGGCAAUGACAGGUCAUGGAGAGGAUAAGGGUUCAACUACCGUAGCACACAGCAGUUUGAAUGGCGUUGUCUUAAUGCAGUAAACAAGAGCAGAGGCGAGAACAUGGGUUGUAUCGGAAUGAUCAAUGGGUUGCUUGACUGAUGGAGUGGUAGUGGGAUACUACCCUUCAGUUGGAUACUCGUGAAUAUCCUCGGAGGCAGAACCUACCACGAAGAACACAUCGGAACACAAUCAACACAUGACGAUAUGCAACACUAUGAUGCAUGCUAUGACAUGGCAUUAUGAAUGUGUCUUGGCCUAAUGCAAGCUAAAAUAGAAAGGGAUGAACUCAUUUGAAUCAAAGAUUCAAAUAUUAGCUCAUUAAACAUGGCCUUAGUAGUGCAUUUCCUUAUUCUGCUUAAACAGCAAGGUAAACUUGUUUUGUCAUACAUGAAACCAUUACAGAUGGAUGUAUUGAAUUUUUCUGAUAAUUUUUCAUAUAUAAAUUAUUUCAUUUGGAGUUACGGUUGAAUUUCUAUGAUUUUUAGAAGUUUUAAACAUUUUCUGGAAUUUCCUGAAUAAAAAUAAAUCCAGAAAAUGCAUUACUGCGUCAGUAUUGCAUCAUGCUGACCUCAGCAGGUCAAAGGCGCCAGCCCAGGUCAAAACUGACUGGUGGGCCCCUUCUGUCAGUCUCUCAGUUAAAUAAUAGGAUUAGAUUAACACUAAUUAGCUGUCAGUGGGGCCUGGGCCCACAUGUCACUGACUGAUUAAAAUAAAAUUAGUUAAAACUAAUCCUUGAUUAGUUAGCAGACCGGCCCCUCCUGUCAUAGACUCAGGGGGGUCUACCUGGGCCCACCCAGGGUCAAACUGGGUCAAACUCGCCGGCGUUGAGCCGCCGGCGAGACCCGAGACGGUGGCGCAGCUCGGAAAACGCCUACAGGGCACGAGCGAGGCCGUUCUUGGGCUCGUUGGAGAGCUCUUGCAGCCGCGCAUCUAGUGGUGGUGGGGGCCGGAGACGACGACGGCGAGCUCCAAGGCGGCGGCUGGAGUUCGGCCAUGUGCGGGGUGUGGGCUGUGGCGUGCAAACGUGGAAACUGAAGCGCUAGCGAGGCACUACGCGAUGCGGCAAGCACGUUGCAUAGCACGGGAUGAUCCAAUGGUCGCCGGAGCGGCGCCGGCGACAAGCUCGAGCCGAGACGAGCUUCGGCCAUGGUGGAACUAUGGCCUAGAGGGUGCAAACGCGUGGAAAAGAAGAGGGGAAAGGUGGCGGAGCUCACAGGGAGGUCGAUGAGCAGCUCAAUGGGCUCGGGGGUCACCGGAGUGAGGCGAAUCGAUGAGCGGCGUCCGGCGGGUACCGAGGUUGAAGACGAUCCGAUGGCGGCGAUGCAGGGACUCCGGCGAUGCGUGGCUCAGUGGGGAGGGCGAGGGCGUCACAGCGGAGCUUCUGGACAGGUCAGAGAGGCGAGGGGGUGACGGAGGGCGCGACUACGGCGGUGAGACGGCGACGGGUGCGUCGGCCAUUGCGGGAGAGGGAGAGGGAGACAAGUGGGAGAGUGAGAGAGGAUGAGAGGGGGACGUGGGGGUCGCGUGGCAUUCCCUGGACGUCUCCCAGCAUCGGCGGAAGCAGGAGGUGGCCGGCGUGUGGCCGCGGGCGCCGGCCACGCGCUCCACGUCCUUCUGGCGUGAGGAGGACGACGACUGGCAGCGCCAGUAGGCUGGGCCGAGCCAGGGGGCUGGCCAGCACAGGUAAGGCCCAGGUGGGCAUCUCCCUCUUUUUUUUAAUUUGUUUCUGUUUUCUAUUUAACUGUAACUGUUGGGCUUUAUUUAAAAUACUAAAACAUUUCCAAAAAUCCUGAAAAUAAUUGUGGGCUCUGUUUGGAUUAUUUCCAACAGCAGACAUUUAUUUCCAGAAUUAUUUGAGCAUUUAAAUGCCCAAAUUCAAAUACUUAUGAUUUAAAUCAAUGACCUUCUAUUGACCUCGAAAAGUUGUGCACCAAUUUUGCCAGAGGUUCUAACCCAAGACAAAGAGGGUGAACUUUUUAGAAGGGCAUUUCAGGUUCAUUGAAAAUAAUUUUAGUAAUCCCUAGUUGUUUCCAGGGGGGUGUUGGGGGUUUCUGCCUUCCCCAAUUCAAAUUUAAGAGGAAUUUAAACAUGAUGCACAUUCUAAUGCUUGAUCUAGCUAGGGUGUGACAACUCACCCCCACUCAAAAGAAUCUCAUCCCGAGAUUUAGGAUCCUCUGGAAAGAAGGUGGGGUACUCGAGUCGAAGACGAUCCUCCCUUUCCCAAGUGGCUUCUUUCUCGGAAUGGUGUGACCAUUGAACCAUGAGAAACUUGAUAUUAUGACGUCGAGUAGUAUGCUCGGCUUGAUCAAGGAUACGAACGGGAUAUUCCUGAUAAGAGAGGUUAUCUUGUAGAUCAAGCGUUUCGUGGUCCACUCCACGGAUAGGAUCCGCGAAGCAACGCCUGAGUUGUGAAACGUGGAAGACAUCAGGAACUCUGGAAAGAUGCGGAGGUAGUUCCAAUUGGUAGGCAACUUCUCCUUGUUUGGCAAGAAUGCGAACGGGUCCAAUGUAACGAGGAGCCAAUUUGCCUUUGAUACCGAAACGAUGGGUUCCUUUUAACGGGGUAACCCGAAGGUAAGCCUUCUCAUCGACUUCAUAAGUCAUAGAGUUAUGUUUAUGAUCAUAUUGACUCUUUUCACGAGAUUGGGCUGUUUUCAAUUUCUCACGAAUAACGCGAACCUGCUCUUCCGCUUCCUGAAUCAUAUCCGGGCCAAAGAGUUGUCUUUCCCUGGUUUCUGACCAGUUAAGGGGUGUUCGAUAUUUUCGUCCAUAGAGAACUUUGAAAGGAGCUUUGCCCAAGCUAGCUUGAUAACUAUUGUUAUAAGCAAACUCUGCGAAUGGGAGGCAUUUCUCCCAACUCAUUCUGAAUGAGAUAACAGAAGCUCAGAGCAUAUGUUCCAGAAUUUGAUUGACUCGCUCUACUUGACCACUUGACUGAGGAUGGAAGGCGGUACUAAAAGAGAGACGAGUUCCCAUAGCAUUUUGGAAACUUUCCCAAAAUCGAGAGGUGAAGAGACUCCCACGCUCUGAGUUAUUUUCCAAUGGGACACCAUGGAGAGACACUAUUCGGGAGAUGUAUAAAUCGGCUAGCUGGCUAGCAGUGAUACUCUCACGAACAGGUAGGAAAUGGGCUACUUUGGAAAGACGGUCGAUGAUGACGAAGAUGGCAUUAUUCCCUCUCUUGGUCCUGGGAAACCCAGUAAUGAAAUCCAUACUGAUUUUAUCCCAUUUCCAUUCAGGAAUAGCCAAAGGUUGAAGGGUGCCAGUAGGCCGUUGAUGCUCUGCUUUAACACGAAUACAGACGUCACAGCUAGCAAUGUAUCGAGCAAUUUCUCUCUUCAUCCUAGUACACCAAAACCUCUCGCGUAGGUCUUGAUACAUUUUUGUGCUACCGGGAUGAAUGGUGAGAGGGGAUUCAUGAGCUUCCUUAAGGAUCAAUUGGCGUAGAUGUUGUUUCUUGGGAACCACCAAACGGUUCUCAAAGAAGACAGCACCCCGCUUAUCCAUGGAAAAACAUUUAGCAACUCCGCUAGCAAUGUUUUCCUUAAUCCGGGAUAUGCCCUUAUCAUACCGCUGGGCAGUUAUGAUCUGAUCCAUAAGGUUAGGUUUCGCCACCAGGGUGGAUAGGAAUCCUCGAGGAACAAUGUGAAGAUUAAGCUUACGGAAUUCCUCAUGGAGAAGUGGUUGACUUUGUUGUAACAUCAGGUUGUUACAACAGGAUUUACGGCUUAGCGCAGCAGCCAUGACAUUGGCUUUGCCCGGUGUGUAGGUUAUUCCUAAGUCGUAAUCCGAGAUCAACUCAACCCAACGUCUUUGCCUGAGAUUCAAAUCUGGUUGGGUGAAGAUAUAUUUCAAGCUUUGGUGAUCGGUGAAGAUCUCGCAACGAUUACCGAGGAGGUAAUGUCGCGAAGUUUUAAGUGCAUGGACUACAGCUACCAGCUCUAGAUCAUAUGUGGGAUAAUUUUCCUCAUGUGGGUGUAAUUGCCAUGAAGCGUAGGCAAUUACCUGAGGAUCUUGCAUGAGUAUGCAACCUAGUCCUUGUCGCAGAUGUCAGGCGUCUUUUCAGUUCCUGAAAGCUGAACUCGCACUGUGGAGUCCACUCGAACUUUUUAUCUUUCUUGAGGAGUUCAAUUAGAGGUUUAGCAACCUUGGAGAAACUCUCGCCGAAGCGGCGGCAAUAGCUCGCUAAGCCAAGGAAGCUCCAAACUUGCUUGACCGUCUCAGGUGGAGUCCAAUCAAGGACCGCUUGAACUCGCUCGGGAUUGACGGCAAUACCCUUACCAGAGAUUACAUGGCCUAGAUAGGUUACUUCUGGCAACCAAAAUUCACACUUGGAGAACUUGGCAUAAAGGCGAUGCUCUCGAAGUUUCAUCAAUACCAGCCUUAGAUGUUCGGCAUGUUCCUCUUCAUUCUUGGAGUAGAUGAGUAUGUCAUCGAGGUAUACUACGACGAAUUUAUCCAAGUACUCCAUGAAAACCGAGUUCAUUAACCGGGAGAAGGUAGCCGGGGCAUUGGUUAAACCGAAGGACAUAACGGUGUACUCGUAUUGGCCAUAACGAGUAACAAAGGCCGUUUUGGGAAUGUCCCCGUUUCUGAUUUAGAUUUGAUGGUAGCCCAACCUCAAAUCCAUCUUGGAAAAGACUGAGGAUCCAGCGAGCUGAUCAUACAGAUCGUUGAUCCUGGGAAGUGGGUAUUUGUUCUUGAUGGUGACAAAGUUGACAGGUCGGUAAUCCACAACCAUUCGAUCUGUUCCAUCCUUCUUCUUGACGAAGAGGAUGGGGCAAGCCCAAGGAGAGGAACUAGGACGGAUGAAACCCUUUUUCAAGGACUCAUCGAGUUGGUUCUUAAGCUCGGCUAGUUCUAAGGGUGCCAUCUUGUAGGGUCUUCUAGAAAUUGGAACGGUUCCUGGAACAAGGUCUAUCACAAACUCGACAUCCCUGUCAGGUGGAACACCUGGCAGUUCUUCUGGAAAGACAUCCGGAAAGUCUCGGACUACCGGAACAUCCUCAAGGUCUGGAAGGGGGUUGGCAUUUAGGGAGUAAAGUUGGCGCUUGGCCACUCGAGUUAAGACAUUAACUGUCUUGCCCAAUGGGUGAGUAAGUUGAACGGUUCUAGUGGCACAGUCAAGCUUAGCAUAAUGAGCUGACAUCCACUCCAUACCUAAGAUGAUGUUUAUGUCCGAGGACUUGAGAGCUAUUAAGGAUACAAGGAAGACAAGUCUAUCGACAAGAAUUUCGUUCCCAUGGCUUACUCUAGAAGUUUGCCAUCUAGAGCUAGGGGUUUGAAUUUCCAUGGUAGAGGGCAUGUCACAGAAUGUCGUGUUGUGCAAUCGAGCAUAGUUCUCGGAUAUGAAUGGAUGAGAUGCUCUAGUAUCGAAAAGAACAGAUGUCGGAUGGCAGUUAACAAGGAGCGUACCAAGGACGAGGUUGGGAUCCUCAUGAGCCUCCUCGGCUGAAACAUAGUUGACAUGGCCACGUGCAGUGGUGGCUGGCUUGGCGUAGAAUGUUUUCCCCGCGGGCUUACCACGGCCAACGGACUUUCCAGUUUGAUUGGGGUUGUUGUUCUGGGGACACUCUCGGCUAUAGUGACCCGGCUCUCCACACUUAAAGCAUGUCACCACAUUGGGGCGUGGAGCAGCAUUAGCAGUAGGGCCACCAUAGGGCUUGGGCGGUGCAAAUUGCUGGUUGGGACGUGGUGCCUCAAAGGAUGGCCUCGGGAUGAACCUGGGUGGCAGUGCCGUGCUUGGAAUCCACACCCGGCGCUUCUGAGCUCUAGAGCCGGAUGAAGAGCCAAAAUCACGGGAGUGCUUGCAUGAAGCGUCAUAAUCAGUCUGGCCUUUCUCAGCACUGAUGGCUUUAUUGACCAACUUCUGAAAGGAGGUGCACUCGGGCAGACGAAGAUCGCGGUGAAGCUCAGGGCUAAGUCCCUUGCGGAACCUUGCCUGCUUCUUAGCAUCAAUAGAUACCUCUUUAGGGGCAUAACGUGCCAGAUUCCGAAAUUCACGACCGUAAGCAUCCACAGUCAGUCUUCCUUGGGUGAAGUUGCAGAACUCCUCCCUCUUGCGAUCCAUGAGACCUUCCAGAAUGUGAUGCUCACCGAAAGCCUCACAGAAUUCAGCCCAAGUAGUGAUUUGGCCGACCGGGCGCAUAGCUUCGAAGUUUUCCCACCAAAGGCUAGCAGGGCCUUCGAGGUGAUAGGCAGCAUAAGUAACCUUGUCGGCUGCGGCUGCGUUGGCAGAACGUAGCUUGUGGGUGAUGCUGUGAAGCCAGUCAUCCACAUCGAGGUACUCGACGGAAUGGUUAAACUUUGGUGGGUAUAGCUUGAUAAAGUCAUUGAUUGACACCAAUCAUUUCGUGGGUGGCGUGCAGUGUUCUGCUCAAUCCGCUCCAACAGGCGGUUGGUCUGACGCUUCUUUAUUUCCGCCUCCAGCAUUACUUCGGCCAGAGAAGGCGGGUGAGGCAGAUUUUCACCUCUAGCAGCACUGGCUUCCCCCUGCUCCAGGGCAGCAGGGUUGCUGCGGGUGUUGACCAUCCUAGGAGAAAACAAGACAACGGUUUAGACAAGGAUGUCUCAAAUUAGCAAGGAUGUGCAGAAUGUAAUGGAUAACACGGAAUGCAGAGAUGUUCAUCCGUAUGUCAUGGUAAUAUAAAACUGCCAUAUAUAUACCAACGGUCAUACACAUCAUACAUAGUUUAGUACAAGCCCAGGCUACAAUACAACUAUGAUGAAAGACGUUACAUCUCAUCGGAGGCAUUCCAAGCUCCUAUACAUUAUUGUCUACACCUCCAAAAUUGAUUACACGCAAAGUCAUAUUCCAAAAGUCACGCAGGACAGUGGAGAUACAGCUACUACAAUACUAGUGGUACUACUACUAACUCAGACAGCUCCGUAGUAGUCCUCAUAGAAGUCACCUCCAUAGCCUGGAAGUUCAACGGGACCAUCCGGGAACAGACGGUCCUGAGGAGCCUGUGGACCAUAGGGGCUAGGAUGGUGUCUUGGACCAACAAACGGUGGCCUGCGGGAACCACGGGGUGGGGUGAUGCCUCCCACAUCACGCCAAUCCACCACGUCUGGCAAAGCAGACCUCACAGGAUACAGAUCCCUUGUAUCCAUACAUCUAGCUUGCACCGCAGGUGCAAACCGAGCCAAUGUGGCCCAAUGAUCAGCACGGGUAUUAAAAAGCUCCAGCCUCAAGGCCCGAUUCUCUCGGUCCUUAUCUUCGAGCAUCUCAGCAGUGGUACGAGUUAAUGAAUCCUCCUGAGUGGAGACAGCAUAGAUAGCCUGAAGAUACCCUUGCGCUCCCGGAAGUGAAGCUGGCAUGUAUCGGAAGUCGGUGUUCCGAAGCAGGCCAGUCCGGACUCGCAUGAUGGUCAUCAUGUAAUAGGCAGCAUCCUGCACAGCAAUCUCAACAGUAACCCCGAGUCCAUAGGAAUAGUGAAGGGGCUCGGUAGAUCCAGGAUAAGAAGGAAAUAUCCUGACAGUGCAGAAAUACUGGCUUUGAUUAAAGUCUCGGAAUUGCUCUUCGACGGUGUAUUCGAGAUACCAACGGUAACCCGUCUCGAUCAUGACCCGGACUAACAUAGCAGUAUGACCGGGCACGUCGAGCCACCGGGUUAGGCGAACCACUUGGUUUUGAGCACGGUUGGCCAUCUGAAAGCACAACCACAAUGCAAAGACAUCAGAAUUUCUAGGGAAAAUUGGACAGCAUAACAGCUGUAAAUGCUCAGAAAAAGAUUUGAGACAUCCACAACAGUUCGCAAUACCACUCAAUAACAUCAUAUCAAGGUUCUGAUCCAAAUAGCAACAUACUAAAAAUAGUAGAAACUGAACUGGGGCUUGUAACAACAAUCCUAUAAGCUACUACGGAUUAGUAACACGUGAACCUGAUAGAAGAAGAGAGCCUAGUCCUUAACCCACGUUGAAUGAGAAGGGAAUGACUCAGAUAAGAGGCAUAGGGUAAAGGAGUAAAAGAGACUUACGUUCCCUCCCACAAUCAAUUCCCCUACAUAUAACUAAAGCAUUUCCAGACUCGACAUCGACCAGUUUGGCUCAACGAACCUACAAGCAGUCUGGCUCUGAUGCCAACGCUGUCAGGACCCCGAUUCCAAGCCACAUCGAUCUAGCCGGUAACACCUCAUAUCACUUUGCGGCCUCACGCACGAUAUUCCACGGGUGUCGCCUUACCAUGGCCCGGGACCGUUUGCGCCUUUUGGCUCACGUAUAUGAUAGUGUUGUUAGCAUCCAUAUGACAGAGAACCUGGGCCGACAUGGCUAGUCGUGAACCCAAAGCGGCACAGACCUAUGGAGACAGGCAUACAUGAAUCACAUCGAGCAUGUCGGUCAUCAGCGAGUGAUUCCGGGCUGUAGCACUGGGCUAACAGGACUCCGGGGAACCCGGGCUGUAGCAGGCUAGGCAGGACUCCGGAAGUCACCGCGUGACAUUUCCCCGAAGGGACAGACAUAGGAACGAAGUGAAUCACAUGCCGGCCAUUCAAGUGUCCUAAGUAGUAGUGCUGGGCUAGCAGGACUCCGGUGAACCAGGCUGUAGCGGACUACUAUGGCUCGAGGAACACUAGACUACAUUUCCCCAUAAGGAAGGCUGCCAAGGAUAAACAACUAGAUUGUUGGAUCCCACUCAUACCAAGCAUUUCAAUCAUACACACAAUAUGCCCGAUAUGAGUACAUACAACAUGGCAUCACAACAAAACUCUACAACUCAAGUACUUUAUUUAAAUGCUCCAGAGAGCCAUACAUAACAUGUUCAUACAGAUAGGGGUCACAUGACCCGACACUCAAGUCAUACAAUCAUACAAGCACAUGCGGAAGCAACCGGUCUGAGUACAGACACUAGAAAGAAAGAAGGCUCCUCGAGGCCUGUCUAUCUACAUAGGGCCCUCCAUGGCCAGGAUCACCACCUGGGUGGCUAGUCACUCGUCGAUGUCAAGGUCUACAUAGAACCCAUAGGAGGGGGCGGUGUUGUCGUCUGAAAACGGUAAUUAAGCAAACAUGAGUACAAAGGUACUCAGCAAGUCUUACAACAGAACCUACUAUACAUGCUUAUUCUCAAGAAGGUGGUGGGGAUAUUGCAGCAAGCCAGCUUUGACUCUUGGCUAAACUAUCCUACGGAACAUCUCUAGUAAAAUAGUUUUCGCACACGAGUCCACUACUCACCAACACAAUACUCCACCGGGGAUCCUCCCUCGUCAUCCUAUGAGAGGGUGUCGGGGGUGUCUGAUCCCUCGCACACCUAUGGGGAUCAGCGGACCGAGCCCCUUUUGGUUCGGUAGGGGGCGGUGGAUGCACAAAGAGUAGAUCGAGGCGAAACACAUGAGCGAGACAAUCGAUUUACCCAGGUUCGGGCCACACGGAUGCGUAAAACCCUACUCCUGCUUUGGUGGUUGUAUUGAGUUUUUUCUCGGGAGCAGCUGGCGAGACCGAGCGUGAGAAUGGCUGUCCCCCCCCUGUUGCGCAUGGGCCUCCUUUUAUAUGUCUAAGGGGUCACCGACACGUGGCAACAGAGGUAAGGGUAAAAAUGUAAAAGGGGUGGUAGUUGGCUCCACCGCCUACAUGUCGCAUCCUACCUAACUCUGACGGCAGGGGACAAGGGCAUUAAAUGCCCGUCUGUGUCACCUUGACGGCCCAGAGAGGGACCACUAGGAACGCCACCGUUUGCCACGACGGUUCCUUGUCAGCGUCUGCUUGCCAUUGCAUGCCCCCGGCUGCACAGCCUCCCGCCACGUACGCCAGGAAUGGCCCCAGGGCGACACGUUGGUGGGUGAGCUGGAGCGCGGGCUGCGGGGUAGUGGCUUGCCGCGGCAAGUGCCUUGCCGCGGGUGUUGUCUUGUCACGUCCGGGAGCUUGCCGCUCACCGGGUCUUGUCGGGGCACGCGGUGCGCCGCAGCGAGUCUCUUGAGAUGCUUUGGUUGUCUUCCCGGCAAGCUCCUCUUGCCGGGGUCUCGUCUCCUUCCCGGCAAGCUCCUCUUGCCGGGGCCUUGUUCCCUUCCCGGCAAGCUCCUCUUGCCGGGGCCUUGUUUGGAUCUUGGAUACUUUGUUCUUGAAUGGCUCCAGAGGAACCAUGGAGGGUCUUGGCGGUCGCCCGGCAAGCCUUGCCGCGGGUCGCUGCGACUACCCAUGCACAAGUUCGGGGUACUAAGGUACCCGUACUUUAGCACACCGACAGGAGCCCCCAGGCCUGGGCCAUACACGGUGCCGAGCGCUGUUGGGCCAGGCCCAAAACAGUGCAAGGGCACGCGCGGCCUGGGUCACGCCAUAACUGAUUCCGUAUCCACCGCGCUCUCCCCAAACGGCACGCGUCAAACGCGGCAUCGUGGGAGAGAUCGUGGGCGGUUUUCGAGGUGCCCACUCCCCACGAUCACGGGGUGGGGAGAGACCGCCCCAUCCGUCGCCUCGGUUCUGCACGCCUGCCACGCGGUUCCCGUGCACUUGGGGUCGCGGGCGGCGGAAGCGGGAAACGGGGCCGUCGUGGGUCGAGGGAGUGGGUCGGCCCCGGCUCCCCGCGUCUUGAUUCGCUGAGCGGGGCGGCCGAGCCCCCACCUUGCUCCUUUAUAAAGAGCGGGAGGGGAGGACGGGAGCCUGCAUCCUCCCAUCUUCUCCUUCCUUCAGCUCCUGCUCCCCUCCCCCCAUUCGCCAUGGAGAGAGGGAACCCUGGUCCUUCGUCAGUGGCGGCAAGGGUUGCCGCCAGGCAGCGCAUCCCUCCCUCUCCCGCACCCGUGGCGGCGGAGCCAGCCAUAAGGGGAAGAGGGAGGGGGCGAAGUCGUGGACGAGGCCGUGGCGCUCGGGGAAGAGGUGGGCGAGGCGGCGCGUCGGCUUCGCCUCCGCCGGCGGCUCUUCUUCCCGCGGUGGCCCAUGCCGGGGACGACCCUUGCGAGUUAUUCGUCAGGCUGCGCCGGGCGCCCCGCCGUCGCCUCUGACUCCCGGAUCCGUUUGCGGAAGUGGUGGAGUUGGACCCGCCCGAGACGCUGAGGCUGCAGAUGAGGGCUGUGGGAUCAGCGGCACGCGGGUCCGCGCCGAAUUCCCAGCCCCCGGCGUGAUUUAUCUUGGCCGAGGGUGGAAGACGUUCGCCCGCAUCCACAGCUUGACACCGGGGCUGACCCUCCACUUCAAGUUGGUGGAGGGUGAUCUCCUCUCCGUCAAGGUCUUCGGGUGCUUCAGCGUCCGGGCCCGGUGCUGCGUGGAAAGCUCCUCCGAUAGCGAAGGCUCCUCCUCGAGCAAGAGUGACGAGGAGGGAACGACAGCGGCGACGAGGGGAGCGGGCGGCAGGAUGGCGGGUCCGACUAGGUGUCGGGCGCCGCUCCGCGCGGCACCAGCAACCCCAUCAUCCGGGUCGCCGGCUCCUUGAACUCCCCGGGGGCGUCUCCUUGGGCGGCUGGCGUAGGGAGGCUGCGAAAGAGGAAGAGGGCAGGCGGCAAGGCCGUCAGGUCGGAGUACGAUGGCGUGGUGCCCUCGACAGCGUGCUGACGUCCUGCCGCCUCGUCUUCGAGCCCCCCUUCCGGCGCUGCCAUCACCAUCCAGCCUUGAAGGCCCCCGGGAUGUUCUCUUGGUGUCUUCUGGCACCCGUAGUUCCCCUAGGCACUCCUUUUGCCCUUCUCGCCUCCUUGACCUACCUCCUGAAAAGAGGGGCAGGAAAGAGAUUACGGGCAUCUUAUCUUUUUGAUUUGUAAGCCCUCGGGCCUUAGUUGCAUCUAAAACUUGUAAUCCUCUCUUUCAUGUUUUCCAUUCUCCAUGUACUGUACCUGCGUGGAAUGUUUUAAUGAAAAGGGGAUGCUUGCCAGGUUACUCGUCUCGCGGGUAGAACCCAUGCCAAGGAGCAAAUCCUUGGUAUCUCACAGAUAGACACUCCCUCCCCAGCAACAGGCCCUGCCACAUACCCACGUCGCUCGACCUUUCUCACGCUCUUGACGGAGGCAGAGACGAGGCGGGUGCGGCCCCUCGUUUCAUCCCUUUCCCGCCGCGACUGCGACCAAAGCUUGGCCCUGGGGCCCCAGGGACCAAAGCUAAGGGAGCACGGUGGCUUUCGGGAAGAAGCGAGGUUUUGUAUUCCCAGUCCAAAAGAGAAUGCACGAAGAGGGAUGAAAGACUUAUCUGAGACUGCAGCCCCCGGCAACUCUGGCUUGCCGUGGGGUGAACCUUGGUACUUGCAGCCUCCAGCAACUCUGGCUUGCCGGGGUUCGGAUGCCGGCACGUCCUUCUUCUCCCUUUCGUCCUCACGCGGUCCGACAAGGAUAUGCAAGCCCUGCGAACCAAAGGAAACAAAGGAAGGACAAAGGGACGCACACUAGACCUCUAAGUUAGGGGUUAGCUGCUGUUAGGCACUAUCAACCCUAACCGAGGACUCGACUCGACCUAGCAUGCAUGCUGUAACUCUGGGCGCCAGCGCUUCAUUAUCUUGUGCUCAAGGUCUGUGCCUGGCUUUGUACAAAGGAUUACAUGCAACAGCGUCAAGACUUGUACAAAAGGGUGGUUGCCGGACAGGGUCCGACAACCGCGCCUUACGGGUAAAACUUACAAAGAAGCUUGAUAUUCCAGGAGUUGCUCACUAGUACGCCAUCUUCGGUCUCCAGGCGGACAGUGCCAGGCCUGGUGACUCGUUUCACCCGGUAAGGGCCUUCCCACUUCGGCGUCAACUUGUUGGAAUUCUUGGCGGACUGAACGCGCCGAAGAACAAGGUCGCCUUCCUCGAGGCUCCUAGCAUUAACUUUGCGGCUAUGAUAGCGGCGCAAAGCUUGCUGGUAGCGAGCGGCUCGCACAGCAGCCUGGAGACGAUCUUCCUCAAGGAGCAGCGCGUCAUCUUGCCGCAGCUGCUCUUGCUCAAGCUCAUCAUAGCACUCGAGGUGACCCGUAUACGAGUUCCAUGGGGAUAACUGCCUCCGCUCCAUAGACUAGAGCGAAGGGUGUCUGCCCGGUGGCUCGAUUUGGCGUCGUCCUGAUCGACCAAAGAACCACCGGCAGCUCCUUGAUCCAGUUGCGUCCGCGCUUGUGCAGCCUGUCAAAUGUUCUGGUCUUGAGCCCGUGCAGCACUUCAGCAUUCGCCCUCUUAGCUUGGCCGUUGCUUCUCGGGUGAGCGACAGAAGCAAAGCAGAACUUGGCGCCAAGAUCUUGGACGUACUGCAUGAAGGCGCGGCUUGUAAAUUGUGUACCGUUGUCGGUGAUUAUCCUGUUAGGGAUUCCGAAACGGCAAACAAUCGACCUGAAGAAUUUGAUCGCGGACUGCGCCGUCACCUUCCUCACUGGUUCCACUUCCGGCCACUUUGUGAACUUGUCGAUUGCAACGUACAAGUACUCAAAGCCCCCGACGGAUCGGGGGAAGGGGCCGAGGAUAUCGAGCCCCCAGACCGAAAAUGGCCAGGAUAAAGGGAUCGUCUGGAGAGCUUGAGCUGGCUGGUGUAUCUGCUUGGAAUGGAACUGGCACGCUUCACACUUGGUUACUUGUGCAGUUGCAUCCUGGAGGGCUGUCGGCUAGAAGAAGCCUUGUCGGAAUGCUUUUCCGACAAGAGCUCUUGCGCCAAUGUGGUGACCACAUAUGCCUCCAUGUAUCUCUGCCAACAGCUUCUGUCCAUCUUCCCGAGGAAUACACUUCAAUUUCACACCGUUGAGUCUUCUUCUGCACAGUGUGUUGUCAACAAACUGGUACAUACUGGACUGCCGGGCUACUCUUUCUGCUUCUUCUGGUUCCUCGGGAAGCUCUCCUGUCUGAAGGAAACGGACGGUCUGCUACGCCCAUGUUGGAGCCUGUGGCUCGACAACAAGGACUAAAGGCACAUCUGCUGCUGUGGGAACGCCUACUUCUACGGCAGGAGCCUGCGACUCUGCCGGAGCUUGACAUUCCCCGACAAGCUUGCCGGAGCAGAGCUUGCCGGGAGUGUCUGCUGCAAUGGAACAAACCCUGGGGCUUGCCGGAGUAGACUGCUCCUCAGCACUCUUGGCGUCGAUCUUGGGGACCUUCUUGGCGGCGUCUUCGGGGAGCUUUGCCGGGAGAUAGUCACCAGAGAUCAACUUCCUCUUCUUGCUCUGUCCACUUGAUGGUGCCACGGAUGGCUGAGUUAGCUUGAGCACAAAGGUCCCUGGUUCCACAGGUAACUUAAGUGCUGCGCACUUUGACAGGCGAUCGGCAAUGUCAUUCUCAGCUCUUGGAACAUGUUCCAUUUGCAGGCUGUCAAAGCGCUCUUCCAGCUUCCUCACUUCAUCAACGUAAGCUUCUAUCAAUGGACUUUGGUAAUCUUUGUUCACUUGGCGGACGACAAGCUGCGAGUCACCCCUAACAAUGAGCUUCUUAAUCCCAAGUUCUGCCGCGAUCCUGAGACCGGCAAGCAAGCCUUCUUACUCUGCAGUAUUGUUUGUCGCUUGCUCCUUGGGAAAGUGCAUCUGGACUAUGUACUUGAGGUGCUCCCUGGUGGGUGCGACAAGCAGUACACCAGCACCGGCGCCUUGCAGCGAGAAAGCACCGUGAAAGUACAUGAGCCACUCUUUGCUUGCUUCCUUGGCGGGGAUGCUCGUCUCCGGAAUUUCUUCGUCUGGAGUUGGCGUCCACUCUGCUAUUAACUCUGCCAAUGCUCCGCUCUGGAUUGUUGAUGUACUCUCAAACUUGAGGCCAAAGCUUGACAGUUCCAGUGCCCACUCGACAAUCCUGAAUGUUGCUUCUGGAUUUUGCAAUAUCCUUUUCAGCGGAAAGCGAGUGACAACUGUGAUCUCGUGUGCUUGGAAGUAAUGACGUAGCUUUCUCGAGGCCAUGAGGAGGCCGAAAAGCAGCUUCUGCACACUAGAGUACCUUGACCUAGCCCCCUGUAAAAGGGAGCUGACAAAGUAAACUGGGUGCUGCACCAUUUUCUUCUGUAUCUCCUCUUGUAUCUGCGCAGAUCCUUGGUUGUCGGGACCAGAGCUUGUCGGGGAAGCCCCCUGCUUGUCGCUGGAUGUGCUUGCCGCGGCCGCUGGCUCGUCGUCGGCCUCCCUUUCCGCUACUAACGCAGCACUAACCACUUGAUUGGUUGCCGCUAUGUACAGGAGCAACUUCUCUUGUGGUUUAGGCGCGACAAGUGUUCGGGUGGACGACAGGUAUCUCUUCAAGUCUUGCAGCGCAGCCUCCGCUUCCGGAGUCCAUCUCAUUGGACCUGCCUUUUUCAAAAUUUGAAAAAGGGCAGGGCGCGCUCAGCAGACCAAGGGAUAAACCUGCUAAGAGCAGCUACGCAGCCGGCAAGCUUCCGUACAUCCGUGACGCGCUUUGGUGCUUCGAUCUGCUCAAUGGCCCUGAUCUUGUCGGGGUUGGCUUCGAUUCCCCGCUGAGACACGAAGAACCCGAGAAGCUUGCCGAAAGGGACUCCAAACACACACUUCUCGGGGUUGAGCUUGAGGUUGAUCUUGCGCAGAUAUGCAAAAGUCUCUUCUAAGCCUUGGAUCAGAGUUGCCCUGUCUUUGCUUUUGACCACUAUAUCAUCCAUGUAAGCUUCUACAUUUCUGUGUAUCUAUGGCUUCAAAGCAAUAUGGACUACUCUGGCAAAUGUUGAACCAGCAUUCUUUAAUCCGAAAGGCAUCCGUACGAAACAGUACGUGCCACAUCGAGUAAUGAAUGCGGUUUUCUCCUCAUCCUCUUCCGCCAUGAAGAUCUAAUGGUAUCCUGAGUAUGCAUCAAGAAAUGAAAGCAACUCACAUCCGGCCGUGGAGUCAACAAUCUGGUCAAUGCGCGGCAAGGGAAAUGGAUCUUUUGGACAAGCUUUAUUAACAUCAGUAAAGUCAAUACAAAGCCUCCAUUUCCCAUUCGCCUUGCGCACUACAACCGGAUUGGCCAACCACAUGGGAUGGAGCACCCCUCUAACGAGGCCUGCUGCUUCCAAUUUCUUGAUUUCUUCGGCUAUGAAUUCUUGGCGCUCCACCGCCUGUUUCCUGACCUUCUGCUUGACGGGCCGCGCAUGAGGACAAACUGCAAGGUGGUGCUCAAUUACCUCCCUGGGAACACCGGGGAUGUCAGACGGUUGCCAUGCAAACACGUCGACAUUCGCCCGCGGGAAAGUAACGAGUGCGCUUUCCUAUUUAGGGUCAAGCGUGGCACUGAUGGUGAAGGUACCACCAGUGCCGUCCUCCUUGGCGGGCACCUUCUUGGUAAGUGGUGGAGCGGCCAUCGUCUUCUUACUCUUGCAGCCGGAGCUCGAUGGUGCGUCCUCGACGGCAGCGCAGCACUCCGAAGAGGUGCGCCUGCCGGAGUAGGCAUCAGAGCACUCGCCGGGCUUGGUCUUCUUCUUGCCGGUGGAGCUCGAUGGUGCGUCCUCGACGGUAGCGCAGCACUCCGAAGAGGCGCGCUUGCUGGAGUGGGUACUAGAGCUCUUGCCGGACUUGGUCUUCUUCCCCCUGGGAGCUUCAGCGGCAAGUGUCUCGCGGUCUGUCGCGGCGGCAGCUUCCCGGUAGAUCUUGUCGGCGCAGAUAAGGGCGUCCUUCUUGUCGCCAGGGACAGAGAUGACGCUUAUCGGGCCCGGCAUCUUGAGCAUGUUGUAGGCAUAGUGAUAGGCUGCCAUUAACUUGGCGAGCGCGGGACGGCCAAGUAUCCCAUUGUAGGGCAAUGGGAAAUCGGCAACGUCGAAGGUGACCCUCUCAGUCCUGAAGUUCAUCUCACUGCCGAAUGUCACCGGCAGCGCGACUUUUCCCUUCGGCUUGCUCCUUCCCGGGUUAAUUCCUUGGAAUGUACCGGUUUCUUCGAGCUCACUGUCUGGGAUCUGGAGUUUCUGGAGCACAGCGGAGGAGAUCAGAUUCAGGCCGGCCCCGCCGUCAACUAGCAUCUUGGUGACCUUGAGGUUGCGGAUUGUUGGGGAAACCAACAACGGCAAGCACCCGACCGCAGUCGUGCGAUCAGGGUGGUCCUCAAUGUCAAAGAUGAUCGGCGUGCUGGACCACUUCAGAAGCUUGCGUGAUUCGACAGGUGGCUCUGCCGCAUUAACUUCCCGGAGCCACUGUUUGAGUUGGCGGUGGGAAGUGUGCAGAGAAGCGCCACCGUCAACACACAAGACUUCUGUAGCCUUCUGAAACUCCUGCUCGCUGUUCUCAACAUCAUCCAUGUCUUCGUCGUCGUCUUCGUCUUCGUCCUUAUCGCGGCCGCGAGGAGGUCUGUCUCCUUGCCGCUGCUUGGCCUUGCCACGGCUCCCUCCCGGGCCAGCGCGGUUCUUGCCGGCUUCUCCAUCGCCUCCUUGGGCUCUCUCCUUGUCGCGCCGCUCGUACUCACCUCUUUGUUGCUGGACAAGCUGCUCGACCCUCUUGCAGUUCUGGAGAUCAUGGCCCUUGGUGCGGUGGAUCUUGCAGUACUGCUUGUCGGAGCUGCCCUGCUUGUCGGCGGCCGCCACAGCCUGGCAGUUGGUACACGCGGCAACCUCUUUGCCGGAGCUGACAACUUUGGCUUGCUUGGCGGGGCCGUCAUCGCUGGACUGCUCAACGACCAGUACCUCUUUGCCGCUCUUCUUCUUGUUGGGCCUCCGGUUUUUGCUUGCCGGGGCGGCAUCCUCACUGUCAGAUAUCCCUGCUCUAGCAUCCUCUCCGGGGAGUUUCCUCCCUUCUUCAGCGCGUGCGCACUUGUCGGCCAGGGCGUACAGCUCGCUGACGUCCUUGAUCCUGCUCAUCGCCAUCUCCUCCCGCAUCCUGCAAUUACGCAUGUUCUGAUGGAACGCGCUGAUAACCGCGGUAGGGUGGAUGUCUGGGAUGUUGCGCUGCACGCGGCUGAAUCUCUGGAUAUACUUGCGCAAAGGUUCUCCUUCCUUCUGGGCAAGCAGGUGGAGGUCACUCUCUUGGCCGUGUGGUUUGUGGCCGCCUGUAAAGGCGCCGACAAACUGGUGGCACAAAUCCGCCCAAGAGGAUAUGGAGUUGUCCGGCAAGUGCAUGAGCUAGGAUCUGACUUCGGGCUUGAGCACGAGCGGGAAGUAGUUGGCAAGGACCUUGUCGUCUCGUCCCCGGCAGCUUGCACCGCAAUGGUGUAGAUGCUGAGGAACUCCGACGGGUGUGACUUGCCGUCGUACUUCUCCGGCACGUCUGGCUUGAAAUGCUUCUGGUUGGGCCACUGGACUUGCCGCAGCUCAUGGGUGAACGCGGGACAACCCGCCGCGUACGGCAAGUUACCUGGCUCUCCGGGUGCAUGCAUGUCAACAGAGGGCCCAGCGCACAGGUCAGAUUGACGCCGCGCUUCCCUUCGGCGCUCGAUGCAUGUUCAAGUGUCUUCUUGCUGUCUCUGAUGAAGAACUUGGCGUUGAUCGCGGUGAGCUCGCGGAUCUGACGACGCGGUGGAGUAGCCGUCGAGGUGGAUCCGGUGAGUCGGCGAUCUCGGCCUUCGGGGCGGAGAGUGCACAGUGGUUGCACCCUCACCGGUCUUGUCGCCACCGGCUCGCGCCUGGCUGACUUGCCGCGGCAGCGAUGCGCUCUGCUGCCGUGGGUUGUCACCAUUGGCGCAGCCGAUGAUGCUCUGAAUAGUGGCCCUCCAGUCAUCGAUCUUCUCUAGUGCUGGAGGGUAGUCUAGGAGCAGCUGGGCACGCGCCAACGGUUCCGUCGGAGUGGUGGGCGGCGGCAGCGAACGGUGCGAGGAGCGAGAUAUGCUCGGACUCCUAACCACGUUAGAAGGAGCAACAUCCCGUCCAAGCGACCGCGCCGCGCUCGCGCCAGCACGUUGGCGUGCCUGCUGAUCCUGAGCACUUCGGGAUCCGCCAGCUUGAUCUUGGCCCAGCAGGCGUAUGGUACAGUGGGUACCAUGACGCUACUGGUCCCGCGCCUCCUGGGAUGGGCGCGGUGCGUGUACGGACACCGAGGUCUCGGAGUGCGCGCGGUCGUCGUGGGAGGCGACCGCGCUACCGACGUGCGCCGCAGCCAGGCACUUGGACCUGGCAGUGCCAUGAGUCUCCCCGUCGGCGCCCGCCCUUCCGCCGGCGCCUACUUCACCCGCCGUUCGCUCCGGCGAUGGCGGGCUCGACGCGGACGGAGCGGCUACCUCCGAAGCCUUCUUCUUCGGCGGCAUGUUGAUGAAGACGAUGAAGAUUCGGCUCGCGCGAACGCCGGAUCAGGUUCGCACUACCUCGACGCACCCCCUACCUGGCGCGCCAAAGAUGUCGGGGGUGUCUGAUCCCUCGCACACCUAUGGGGAUCGGCGGACCAAGCCCAUUUUGGUUCGAUAGGGGGCGGUGGAUGCACAAAGAGCAGAUCAAGGCGAAACACACGAGCAAGACGAUUGAUUUACCCAGGUUCGGGCCGCACGGAUGCGUAAAACCCUACUCCUGCUUUGGUGGUUGUAUUGAGUUUUUGCUCGGGAGCGGCGAGUGCUACAGUACACUCAAGCAGCUGGCGAGACCGAGCGUGAGAAUGGCUGUCCCCCUCCCCCUGUUGCGCAUGGGCCUCCUUUUAUAUGUCUAAGGGGUCACCGAUACGUAGCAACAGAGGUAAGGGUAAAAAUGUAAAAGGGGUGGUAGUUGGCUCCACCGCCUACAUGUCGCAUCCUACCUAACUCUGAUGGCAGGGGACAAGGGCAUUAAAUGCCCGUCUGUGUCACCUUGACGGCCCAGAGAGGGACCGCUAGGAACGCCACUGUUUGCCACAACGGUUCCUUGUCAGCGUCUGCUUGCCACCGCAUGCCCCCGGCUGCACAGCCUCCCGCCACGUACGCCAGGAAUGGCCCCAGGGUGACACGUUGGUGCGUGAGCUGGAGCGCGGGCUGCGGGGUAGUGGCUUGCCGCGGUAAGUGCCUUGCCGCGGGUGUUGUCUUGUCGCGUUCGGGAGCUUGCCGCUCACUGGGUCUUGUCGGGGCGUGCGGUGCGCCGCAGCGAGUCUCUUGAGAUGCUUUGGUUGUCUUCCCGGCAAGCUCCUCUUGCCGGGGUCUCGUCUCCUUCCCGACAAGCUCCUCUUACCGGGGCCUUGUUCCCUUCCCGGCAAGCUCCUCUUGCAGGGGCCUUGUUUUUCUCUUGGAUACUUUGUACUUGAAUGGCUCCAGAGGAACCAUGGAGGGUCUUGGCGGUCGCCCGGCAAGCCUUGCCGCGGGUCGCUGCGACUGCCCGUGCACAAGUUCGGGGUACUAAGGUACCCCUACUUUAGUACACCAACAGAGGGCCAUCCUCGGUACUCACACUUAUCUUGAGUAUUUAGUAGUAUCCAUUUACUUGUCUAUGAACUGUAUAGGCAACCAAGUAGUCCUUUACCGCGGACGUGGCUAUUCGAAUAGUUUUAUACCCUGCAGGGGUGUACUUCGUCAUACACGCUUUCACCACUUAUCGCCGUUUACACGACAUGUACUCGGCAACCUUCAAGCGGAAGCCCAGCGAGGGUGUCGGCCACGGCCUACCUAAACACUUAAGUCUCUAGUCCAGGUUUAUCGCCUAUCCAGGUUCCAUCGGCAGGGAGUGCGGCCGAGGUUUCCACAUACGGCCCCGAACGAUGUGAACAGGGUUCCGAGAUGCCAAACGGGCGCCCGGCAUACCCGGCCAGGUGUAUCUACCGCAACAUAGCCCACCCCUAGGGUCAGCGCUACGCACGGCCGCCAACACAUAACCUACAAACCCAGAAACUAUAUGCAACUCCUGGACAGAGUACAAGGGUGAUUAAGAAGCCGAGAGGGUCAAUUAAGGAUCCCAAUGCGUGGUAGUAGCUGAAUCUUAAAUCAACAUACAGAUCUCAGUUCUUAGGGACGGUCUCAAUGAAACAACCCACCAUGUACUCCUACAUGGCCUCUCAUCGAUACCUUUACCAAAACAUGUUCAACACAUUCCUCAUAUUACCGACAUAAUCAUAUCACCCUAGCCCAUCACCCAGAUGAACCAGACCUGACACAACUCUAAGCAUAGCAGGCAUAGCAAGGUAGGAAUCACAUACAUGGCUCAAUCAAAUCAUACACAUGCUAGUGGGUUUCAUCUAGUUAUUGUGGCAAUGACAGGCCAUGUAGAGGAUAAGGGUUCAACUACCGUAGCACACAACAGUUUGAAUCGCGUUGUCUUAAUGAAGUAAACAAGAGCAGAGGCGAGAACAUGGGUUGUAUCGGAAUGAUCAAUGGGUUGCUUGCUUGAUGGAGUGGUAGUGGGAUACUGCCCUUCAGUUGGAUACUCGUGAAUAUCCUCGGAGGUAGAACCUACCACGAAGAACACAUCGGAACACAAUCAACACAUGACGAUAUGCAACAAUAUGAUGCAUGCUAUGACGUGUCUUGGCCUAAUGCAAGCUAAAAUAGAAAGGGAUGAACUCAUUUGAAUCAAAGAUUCAAAUAUUAGCUCACUAAACAUGGCCUUAGUAGUGCAUUUCCUUAUUCUGCUUAAACAGCAAGGUAAACUUGUUUUGUCAUGCAUGAAACCAUUACAGAUGGAUAGAUUGAAUUUUUCUGAUAAUUUUUCAUAUAUAAAUUAUUUCAUUUGGAGUUACGGUUGAAUUUCUAUGAUUUCUAGAAGUUUUAAACAUUUUCUGGAAAUUCCUGAAUAAAAAUAAAUCCAGAAAAUGCAUUACUACGUCAGCAUUGCGUCAUGCUGGCCUCGGCAGGUCAAAGGCGCCAGCCCAGGUCAAACCUGACUGGUGGGCCCCUUCUGUCAGUCUCUCAGUUAAAUAACAGGAUUAGAUUAACACUAAUUAGCUGUCAGUGGGGCCUGGGCCCACAUGUCAGUGACUAAUUAAAAUCAAAUUAGUUAAAACUAAACCUAGAUUAGUUAGCAGACUGGCCCCACCUGUCAUAGACUCAGGGGGGGUCUACCUGGGCCCACCCAGGGUCAAACUCGCCGGCGUUGAGCCGCCGGCGAGACCCGAGACGGUGGCGCAGCUCGAAAAACGCCUACAGGGCACGAGCGAGGCCGUUCAUGGGCUCGUUGGAGAGCUCUUGCAGUCGCGCAUCUAGUGGUGGUGGUGGCCGGGCCUACGGUGGCCGGAGACGACGACGGCGAGCUCCAAGGCGGCGGCCGGAGUUCGGCCAUGUGCGGGGUGUGGGCUGUGGCGUGCAAACGUGGAAACUGAGGCACUAGCGAGGCACUACGCGAUGCGGCAAGCACGUUGCGUAGCACGGGAUGACCAAAUGGUCGCCGGAGCGGCGCCGGCGACAAGCUCGAGCGGAGACGAGCUUCGGCCAUGGUGGCACUAUGGCCUAGAGGGUGCAAACGCGUGGAAAAGAAGAGGGGAAAGGUGGCGGAGCUCACAGGCAGGUCGAUGAGCAGCUCAGUGGGCUCGGGGGCGACCGGAGUGAGGCGAAUCGAUGAGCGGCGUCCGGCGGGUACCGAGGUUGAAGACAAUCCGAUGGCGGCGAUGCAGGGCCUCCGGCGAUGCGUGGCUCGGUGGGGAGGGCGGGGGCGUCACGGCGCAGCUUCUGGACAGGUCAGAGAGGCGAGGGGGUGACGGAGGGCGCGACUACGGCGGUGAGACGGCGAUUAGAAAGAAAGAUUUGGUUCACUCGUACGUGAAAAAAGGAACAAGCGCUUGAUGCCUUCCUUUGCAUCGAUGCCAGACGCGGUGCUGGGAAUCGACAAGAUAACCGCCAAUCUACCAGGAUUAAAUUCCUAGCGCCUCCUUCUAGCGCCUCCCACUGAAAAUGCCCUAACGAUUUUUGAGGGAUUUUUUUACUGUGUCCUACUUCACGAAUCACGAGGCAAAUCAAGUAGGCGGCAUGGCCUGGCCGGUGAGUGCCAUUGCACUUACUUGCCCCAGCAAUUUUCCGCGUGCAUUGUAGAAUUCUUUCUCCGAGUCCUGUGAAUUAAAGAUGGUGCAGACAAAAGUAUAUCCUGUAUGCGUACAUGUGCAUGAUCAGAACAUGUUUUUACGUGCGUCUACUAUAAAUCAUGACCAUUUUUAACACAAAUCAUGACCAUUCAUGAUUAGUGAAUCAUACUGUCUUAACUUAUGUGAAAUCAUGUGGAGUAAUAUAAUAUAAUAUAAUAGAUAGAUAGAUCCAUGUUGUAUUAUUUUUUGUUUACAAAAAAUAUCUGUCAUUACACAUUUUGAUUUAUGCAUUUGUUUACAAAAAAAACAGUAACAUUUCAUGGUGGAAAGUUUGUAUUGUUUCAUACUGAACACCAAUGUUUUCCUGUAAAAGAAAAUAAUGCCUACGCAUAUGCUUUUAUAUUAUUAUUAUUCUUUCAAACUUAUUCAUACAGUAUUUUUGAUUGUGCAACCAUAAUUUUUAUUGUCUCUCUCGUUCCACUACAUGCUCUUACUCAAUGAUUUUUUUUAUAACGGGUGUUUUUAUUAACUCAAAAUAUAGUAUCAAGCGGAUACAAAACAUAAUGAGCCACACCUGGUCUCUGCAUAACUAAGAUGCAUACAGCUAAAAGCAGAUGUCUGACAAAAAUAAGAUAAGAAAAUCGACAUAUCGACAACAGUGAGUCAUAUAGUUCCGACACUAUGCCUCUGUUGAAGGACGGGGUGGAGCGAUCUGAAGAUUAUGCUGCCCUCCAUGUUGAGUAAAUACCUCCCUGGCCACUUGUUCCAACCGCAUAGACGCCGCCACGAAUAAUGGUCGGUACUCUGUUCGGUGUAGCAUACACCAUGUAGGAAGUGAGUGCUCACUUCUAGUUACUAAAUUAUGUACACACUAAUAGAAAAAGGGCCAUUUGUCCCGGUUCGUAAGGCCCAUUUGUCCCAGUUGGGGAACCGGGACUAAAGGGUCGGUACUAAAGCCCUACACAUUUAGUCCCGGUUCUUACACCAUCCGAGACAGAUGGGGCUCCACGUGGCCGCUACAGCUUGCCGUGGCAGGGGGGCCUUUUGUCCCGGUUGGUAGCACCAACCGGGACCAAUAAGCUACCACGCGUCAGCAUUUGAGGGCUAGGUUUUUUGUUUUUUUUCNNNNNNNNNNNNNNNNNNNNNNNNNNNNNNNNNNNNNNNNNNNNNNNNNNNNNNNNNNNNNNNNNNNNNNNNNNNNNNNNNNNNNNNNNNNNNNNNNNNNNNNNNNNNNNNNNNNNNNNNNNNNNNNNNNNNNNNNNNNNNNNNNNNNNNNNNNNNNNNNNNNNNNNNNNNNNNNNNNNNNNNNNNNNNNNNNNNNNNNNNNNNNNNNNNNNNNNNNNNNNNNNNNNNNNNNNNNNNNNNNNNNNNNNNNNNNNNNNNNNNNNNNNNNNNNNNNNNNNNNNNNNNNNNNNNNNNNNNNNNNNNNNNNNNCAAAUGAAGUAAACCAUUAAGUACAGAAGUUCGUCAUGAACAUAUGCAUACAAACAUAAGUGAUAUCGACCUCUCCUUCUCCGACAGAUAGGUCGAACAACAAGUUUCCGUAUAUCUAUCCGGCGCUACUAGCUACAUAUAUACAAUAUUAAGAUCUCUUACAAUAUAAUCCCCUAAUUAUAAAUGAACUCAGCUUCGAGAUGGUAUUCUCCGGCUUUAUUGAUGACGUGGUCAAGAAAGAAUCCCUCCAAUUCCUCUUGAAUUGCUUUGAUGCGAUCUUGUGGUAGGAGUUCAUCCCGCAUCUGCCACAUCUAAUUUGAAGAAGGGGGUCAAUCACCAGUAGAAUAACAGCCAUUUGUCCUGGUUCAUAAGGUUAAUUUGUCCCGGUUGGGGAACCGAGACUAAAGGGUCGUUACUAAAGCCCUACACCUUUAGUCCUGGUUCUUACACCAACUGGGACAGAUGGGCCUCCAUGUGGCUGCUGCGGCGAGCCCAGGCCGGAGGUCCUUUGGUCCCGGUUAGUGGCACUGAUACGUCUCCAACGUAUCUAUAAUUUUUGAUUGCUCCAUGCUAUUAUGUUAUCUAUUUUGGAUGUUAAUGGGCUUUAUUUUACACCUUUAUAUCAUUUUUGGGACUAACCUACUAAUCGGAGGCCCAACCCAAAUUGCUGUUUUCUGCCUAUUUUAGGUUUUCGAAGAAAAGGAAUAUCAAACGGAGUCCAAACGGAAUGAAACCUUCGAGAACGUGAUUUUCUCAACGAACAUGAUUCAGGAGACUUGGAGUGUGCGCCAAGAAACAAGGGAGGAAGGCACGAGGCAGGGGGGGCGCGGCUACCCUCUUGGGCACGCCCUCCACCCUCGUGGGCCCUCCGCUGCUCCACCGACGUACUUCUUCCUCCUAUAUAUAUCCACGUACCCCCAAACAUCCAGGAGCACCACGAAAACCUAAUUCCACCGCUGCAACCUUCUGUACCCAAGAGAACCCAUCUUGGGGCCUUUUCUGGAGGUCCACCGGAGGGGGCAUCGAUCAGGGAGGGCCUCUACAUCAACUCCAUGGCCUCUCCGGUAAUGUGUGAGUAGUUUACUUCAGACCUACGGGUCUAUAGUUAUUAGCUAGAUGGCUUCUUCUUCUCUCUUUGGAUCUCAAUAAAAAGUUCUCCUCGAUUUUCUUGGAGAUCUAUUCGAUGUAACCUUCUUUUGCAGUGUGUUUGUCGAGAUCCGAUGAAUUGUGGGUUUAUGAUCCAGAUUAUCUAUGAACAAUAUUUGAUUCUCCUAUGAAUUCUAUUAUGUAUGACUGGUUUAUCUUUGCAAGUCUCUUCGAAUUAUCAGUUCGGUUUGGCCUACUAGAUUGAUUUCUUGCAAUGGGAGAAGUGCUUAGCUUUGGGUUCAAUCUUGUGGUGUUUGAUCCCAGUGACAGAAAGGGAACCAAUACGUAUUGUAUUGUUGCCAUCGAGGAUAAAAAGAUGGGGUUUAUAUCAUAUCGCAUGAGUUUAUCCCUCUACAUCAUGUCAUCUUCCUUAAAGCAUUACUAUGUUCUCUUGAACUUAAUACUCUAGAUGCAUGCUAGAUAGCGGUCCAUGUGUCGAGUAAUAGUAGUAGAUGCAGAAUCGUUUCGGUCUACUUGUCUAGGACGUGAUGCCUAUAUACAUGAUCAUACCUAGAUAUUCUCAUAACUAUGCUCAAUUCUGUACAAUAUGGUGCACGGGGUUACAUCGGCCUGUAAAGACAUUUAUGCGAUGUGAGACAUCCGAAAAGCAACGAAAACGGGAGAUUAUACAUUUAUUGAAGAGGGCCGGUGUGACAGAUACCGUGAGGGCGUCGAGCUCAGCCAAAGACGACGGACAGCUGAGCACGGCCUGUGUCAGAGCCGGUGCGGGAGCAAGUGCAGGUGCAGGUGCUGGUGCAACGCUAGUCGAGCUGCUCCUGAAGAAGUCAACAAUGGGAAAGUCCGCUGCAUUUUUUCUGCAUUUUGCGUGCUCCAAUUGAAAAUGGCUGGAACCAAGACAGUAGACAUAUCUGCAACCACCUGUUUUCCAGCAGCUACCGCUGUCGCGACUGUCUCAGAUGAUUUCUUCUCAACCGCAAUCUCAACCUUCUUGUCGAUGUUUUAUUCGGUUAACCUCCAUCUUUCCUUUCUCUCCUCUGUGGUCUCACGGUAGUACUUCUUCCACGUGGCCCCGUCUCCGACACCGUGAACGCGUCCAUACGACGACCGAGUCUCCACCGGGAGUCCUUUCAAUAUGUUCAAUGCCCGGUUGAAUGGAGUGUCCCACUUGGGCCUUGCCAAUGCCUCAGACGGCGAGUCGCUUUCGGCCGCAAUCUUGUGCUGCUCUCUUUACAAAAGGAACACGGAUCAUUUACAAAUAUGACUAAACGUGCAGUCAAAUUGAUCAGAAACUAAAAUUACCGGCAGUCUCAUGAACUCCGUCGUGAUCGGGUCCGUCUUGAAAACCUUCUUGACUUAGUCCCAAUGGUGCCGUGCCUUGAGGACGUCAUCCUCCUACGGGAUGGUGAAGUCCGCCAAGGGGUCUGGGAUGCCAGAUUUUCGCAUUCCGUGUCCUCCUUGGCCCAUAUGGACCUCUUCCUGCCGUAACCACUGCUUCCGAGGUGGUGGCGCCCCAUGUUCCUUUGUGGAAGCCCCUUCAUGUACUUCGACUUUGUUUUGGCAGCUUCGGCCUCGCAAGCCGCCUUGAAUAUUUCAAAGUGCUCUCCCAUGAUUGUCAGAUUAUCCUUUACAAUCUCGGAGUAGGGUUGAUACGUCUCCAACGUAUCUAUUAUUUUUGAUUGCUCCAUGCUAUAUUAUCUCCUAUUUUGGACAAUAUUGGGCUUUAUAAUCGACUUUUAUAUUAUUUUUGGGACUAACCUAUUAACCGGAGGCCCAGCCUAGAAUUGUUGUCUUUUGCCUGUUUUAGGGUUUCGAAGAAAAGGAAUAUCAAACGGAGUCCAAACGGAAUGAAACCUUCGGGAACGUGAUUUUCUGAACGAACAAGACCCAGGAGACUUGGACCCUAUGUCAAGACACAAAAGAGGAGGACACGAGGUAGGGGGCGCACCUACCCCCCCCCCCCCCUCGAGGCACGCCCUCCACCCUCGUGGGGCCCCUGUUGCUCCACCGAUGUACUCCUUCCUCCUAUAUAUACCUACGUACCCCCAAACGAUCAGAUACAGAGCCAAAACCCUAAUUCCACUACCGCAACUUUCUGUAUCCACGUGAUCCCAUCUUGGGGCCUGUUCCGGAGCUCCGCCAGAGGGGGCAUCGAUCACGGUGGGCUUCUACAUCAACACCAUAGCCUCUCCGAUGAAGUGUGAGUAGUUCACCUCAGACGUACGGGUCCAUAGUUAUUACCUAGAUGGCUUCUUCUCUCUUUUUGGAUCUCAAUACAAUGUUCUCCCCCUCUCUUGUGGAGAACUAUUCGAUGUAAUCUUCUUUUUGCGGUGUGUUUAUUGAGACCGAUGAAUUGUGGGUUUAUGAUGAAGUCUAUCUAUGAAUAAUAUUUGAAUCUUCUCUGAAUUCUUUUAUGUAUGAUUGUUUAUCUUUGCAAGUCUCUUUGAAUUAUCAGUUUGGUUUGGCCUACUAGAUUGAUCUUUCUUACAAUGGGAGAAGUACUUAGCUUCGGGUUCAAUCUUGCGGUGUCCUUUCCCAAUGACAGUAGGGGCAGCAAGGCAUGUAUUGUAUUGUUGCCAUCGAGGACAACAAGAUGGGGUUUUCAUCAUAUUGCAUGAGUCUAUCCCUCUACAUCAUGUCAUCUUGCUUAAGGCGUUACUCUGUUUUUAACUUAAUACUCUAGAUGCAUGCUGGAUAGCGGUCGAUGAGUGGAGUAAUAGUAGUAGAUGCAGGGAGGAGUCGGUCUACUUGUCUCAAACGUGAUGCCUAUAUACAUGAUCAUACCUAGAUAUUCUCAUAACUAUGCUCAAUUCUGUCAAUUGCUCAACAGUAAUUUGUUCACCCACCAUAGAAUAAUUAUGCUCUUGAGAGAAGCCACUAGUGAAACCUAUGGCCCCUGGGUCUAUCUUUAUCAUAUUAAUCUCCUAUUACUUAGUUAUUUCCUUUGCUUUUUCCUUUGCCUUUAUUUUACUUUUCAUCUUUAUCACAAAAAUACCAAACAUAUUAUCUUUAUCAUACCUAUCAGAUCUCACUCUCGUAAGUGGCUGUGUAGGGAUUGACAACCCCUAUUCGCGUUGGUUGCGAGGAUUUAUUUCUUUUGUGCAAGUACGAGGGACUCGCGCGUAGCCUCCUACUGGAUUGAUACCUUGGUUCUCAAAAACUGAGGGAAAUACUUACGCUACUUUGCUGCAUCAUCCCUUCCUCUUCGGGGAAAACCAACGUAGUUCUCAAGAGCUGGCAAGAUGGAUUUCUGGCGCCGUUGCCGCGGAGGUCUACGCAAAAGUCAACAUACCAAGUACCCAUCACAUACCCUUAUCUCCCUCAUUACAUUAUUUGCCAUUUGCUUCUCGUUUUCCUCUUCCCCACUUCACCCUUGCCUUUUUAUUCGCCCUCUCUCUCUAUCCUCCCUCUCUUUCUCUAUUUGCCUCUUUUUCCCUACUUGCUUUCUGUUUGCUUGUGUGUUAGUUGCUUGCUUGUCACGAUGGCUCAAGAUAAUACUAAAUUACGUGACUUCACCAAUACCAACAACAAUGAUUUUAUUAGCACUCCGAUUUCUCCUCUUACCGAUGCUGAAUCUUGAGAAAUUAAUACUGCUUUGCUGAAUCUUGUCAUGAAAGAUCUGUUUUCCUGCCUUCCUAGUGAAGAUGCCGCUACCCACAUAAAUAGAUUCGUUGAUUUGUGUGACAUGCAAAAGAAGAAAGGUGUGGAUAAUGAUAUUGUUAAAUUGAAGCUAUUUCCUUUUUCGCUUAGAGAUCGUGCUAAAGCUUGGUUUUCGUCUUUGCCUAAAAAUAGUAUUGAUUCAUGGAAUAAGUGCAAAGAUGCUUUUAUCUCUAAGUAUUUUCCUCCUGCUAAGAUCAUCUCUCUUAGAAAUGAUAUUAUGAAUUUUAAGCAACUUGAUCAUGAACAUGUUGCACAAGCUUGGGAGAGAAUGAAACUAAUGAUACGUAAUUGACCUGCCCAUGGUUUAAAUUUGUGGAUGAUUAUACCAAAUUUUUAUGCCGGAUUGAACUUUGCUUCUAGAAAUCUUUUAGAUUAGGCCGCAGGAGGCACUAUUAUGGAAAUCACUUUAGGAGAAGCUACUAAACUCCUAGAUAAUAUUAUGGUUAAUUAUUCUCAACGGCAUACCGAAAGUUCUACUAAUAAAAAGGUGCAUGCGAUAGAAGAAAUUAAUGUUUUGAGUGGAAAGAUGGAUGAACUUCUGAAAUUAUUUGCUAAUAAGAGUAUUUCUUCUGAUCCUAAUGAUAUGCCCUUGUCUACUUUGAUUGAGAAUAAUAAUGAAUCUAUGGAUGUGGAUUUUGUUGGUAGGAACAAUUUUGGUAACAACGCGUAUAGAGGAAAUUUCAACCCUAGGCCUUAUCCUAGUAAUCUCUCUAAUAAUUAUGGUAAUUCCUACAGCAAUUCUUAUGGAAAUUAUAAUAAGAUGCAUACUGAUUUUGAAUCUAAUAUUAGAGAAUUUAUUACUUUGCAAAAGAAUUUCAAUGCUUUGAUUGAAGAAAAAUUGCUUAAGAUUGAUGAUUUGGCUAGGAACAUUGAUAGAAUUACUCUUGAUGUUGAUUCUUUGAAACUUAGAUCUAUUCCACCUAAGCAUGAUGUCAAUGAGUCUCUCAAAGCCAUGAGAAUUUCCAUUGAUGAGUGCAAAGAAAGAACCACUAGGAUGCGUGCUAAGAAAGAUGCCUUUAUAAGAGCGUGUUCUUCUAGUUCCUAUGAAAAUAAUGAUGAAGAUCAAAAAGUUAUUGAUGUGCUCCCUAUUAAAUCUUUGUUUUGCAAUACGAAUCUUGAUAAUCAUGGGACUGAAUAUGAUCCACCUUUACCUAGAAGGCGUUCCAAGAAUUCAGAAUUUGUUGAUCUUGAUGGUAAAACUGAUAAAGGUGGGAUUGAAGAAAUUAAAACCCUAGAUGUUGCUAAACCCACUAUUAUGGAUUUCAAGGAACUUAACUAUCAAAACUGCCCUUUGAUUGAUUGUAUAUCCUUGUUACAAUCCGUGCUAAAUUCUCCUCAUGCUUAUAGUCAAAAUAAAGCAUUUACUAAACAUAUCGUUGAUGCCUUGAUGCAAUCUUAUGAAGAAAAACUUGAAUUGGAAGUUUCUAUCCCUAUAAAGCUUUAUGAUGAGUGGGAACCAACUAUUAAAAUUAAAAUUAAAUAUCAUGAAUGCUAUGCUUUAUGUGAUUUUGUGUGCUAGUGUUUCCACGAUUCCAAAGACUUUGUGUGAUUUGUUAGGUUUCCAUGAUUUUGAUGAUUGCUCUUUAAACUUGCACCUUGCGGAUUCCACUAUUAAGAAACCUAUGGGAAGAAUUAAUGAUGUUCUUAUUGUUGCAAAUAGCAAUUAUGUUCCCGUAGAUUUUAUUGUUCUUGACAUAGAUUGCAAUCUUUCAUGUCCUAUUAUUCUUGGUAGACCUUUCCUUAGAACGACUGGUGCAAUUAUUGAUAUGAAGGAAGGAAAUAUUAGAUUCCAAUUUCCAUUAAGGAAAGGCAUGGAACACUUUCCUAGAAAGUAAAUUAAAUUACCUUAUGAAUCUAUUAUGAUAGCCACUUAUGGAUUGCCUACCAAAGAUGGCAAUACCUAGAUCUAUCCUUGCUUGUUAUGCCUAGCUAGGGGCGUUAAACGAUAGCGCUUGUAGGGAGGCAACCCAAUUUUAUUUUUACUCCUUGAUUUUUGCUCCUGUUUAGUAAUAAAUAAUUUAUAUAGCCUCUGUUUUGCUUGUGUUCUUUGUGUUUAAUUAGUGUUUGUGCCAAGUAGAACCGUUAGGAAGACUUGGGGAAAGUCAUGUUACACUUGCUGUAAAAAACUGAAACUUCAGCGCUCACGAGAACUGCUGCCGUUUUUAUUUGGAAAGUGCUAUUUAGUUAAUUAUUUUUUCAGAUAAAUUCCUCACAUCCAGAAAUUUAUUUUAGAAUUUUUGGGGUUCCAGCUCUUGAGCUAGCUACAGAGUACUACCGACUGUUCUGUUUUUGAAAGAUUCUGUUUUUCGUGUGUUGUUUGCUUAUUUUGAUGAAGCUAUGGCUAGUAAAAUAUUUUAUAAACCAUAGAGAAGUUGGAAUACAGUAGGUAUAACACCAAUAUAAAUAAAUAAUGAGUUCAUUACAGUACCUUGAAGUGGUCUUUUAUUUUCUUUCGCUAACGGAGCUCAUGAGAUAUUCUACUUUAAGUUUUGUGUUGUGAAGUUUUCAAGUUUUGGGUAAAGAUUUGAUGCAUUAUGGAACAAGGAGUGACAAGAGCCUAAGCUUGGGGAUGCCCAUGGCACCCCCAAGAUAAUCUAAGUACACCUAAAAGCCAAAGCUUGGGGAUGCGCCGGAAGUCAUCCCCUCUUUCAUCUACUUCUAUCGGUAACUUUACUUGGAGCUAUAUUUUUAUUCGCCACAUGAUAUGUGUUUUGCUUGGAGCGUCUUGUAUUAUUUGAGUCUUUAUUUGUUAGUUUACCACAAUCAUCCUUGCUGUACACACCUUUUGAGAGAGUCAUACAUGACUUGGAAUUUGUUAGAAUACACUAUGUGUUUCGCUUAUAUCUUUUGAGUUAUAUAGUUUUGCUCUAGUACUUCACUUCUAUCGUUUAGAGCACGGUGGUGGAUUUGUUUUAUAGAAACUAUUGAUCUCUCAUGCUUCACUUAGAUUAUUUUGAGAUUCUUAAUAGCAUGUUAAUUUGCUUAAAAUCCUAAUAUGCUAGGUAUUCAAAGUUAGUAAAAUUUUCUUAAGAGUGUUUUGAAUACUAAGAGAAGUUUGAUGCUUGAUGAUUGUUUUGAGAUAUGGAGGUAAUAAUAUCAAAGUCAUUCUACUUGAGUAGUUGUGAAAUUGAGAAAUACUAGUGUUGAAGUUUGCAUGUCCCGUAGCACGCACGUAUGGUAAACGUUGUGUAACAAAUUUGAAACAUGAGGUGUUAUUUGAUUGUCUUCCUUGUGAGUGGCGGUCGGGGACAAGCUAUGGUCUUUUCCUACCAAUCUAUCCCCCUAGGAGCAUGCGCGUAGUACCAAGGUUUUUGAUGACUUGUAGAUUUUUGCAGUAAGUAUGUGAGUUCUUUAUGACCAAUGUUGAGUCCUUGAAUUAUACGCACUCUCACCCUUCCAUCCUUGCUAGCCUCUUCGGUACCGUGCAUUGCCCUUUCCCACAUUGAGAGUUGGAGCAAACUUCGCCAGUGCAUCCAAACCCCGUGAUAUGAUACGCUCUUUAACACAUAAACCUCCUUAUAUCUUCCUCAAAAUAGCCACCAUACCUACCUAGUAUGGCAUUUCCAUAGCCAUUCCGACAUAUAUUGCCAUGCAACUUUCCACCAUUCCGUUCAUCAUGACACAUUCAUCAUUGUCAUAUUGCUUAGCAUAAUCAUGUUGUUGACAUAGUAUUUGUGGCAAGGCCACCGUUCAUAAUUCUUUCAUACAUGUCACUCUUGGUCCAUUGCAUGUCCCGGUACACCGCCGGAGGCAUUCAUAUAGAGUCCUACUUUGUUCUAGUAUCGAGUAGUAAUUAUUGAUUCGUAAAUAAAUAGAAGUGUGAUGAUCAUCAUUAAUAGAGCAUGGUCCCAAAAAGAAAAAAAGGAAGUGCCAAAAAAGGCCAAAUAAAAAAAUAUAAAAAAGGGGGGCAAUGCUACUAUCCUUUUUUUCCACACUUGUGCUUCAAAGUAGCACCGUAAUCUUCAAGAUAGAGAGUCUCUUGAUUUGUCACUUUCAUAUACUAGUGGGAAUUUUUCAUUAUAGAACUUGGCUUGUAUAUUCCAAUAAUGGGCCUCCUCAAGUGCCCUAGGUCUUCGUGAGCAAGCAAGUUGGAUGCACACCCACUUAGUUUCUUUUGUUGAGCUCUCAUACAUUUAUAGCUCUAGUGCAUCCGUUGCAUGGCAAUCCCUACUCAUUGCAUUAACAUCAAUUAAUGGGCAUCUCCAUAGCCCAUUGAUUAGCCUCGUUGAUGUGAGACUUUCUCCUUUUUGUCUUCUCCACAUAACCCCACUCAUUAUAUUCUAUUCCACCCAUAGUGUUAUGUCCAUGGCUUGCAAUCAUAUAUUGCAUGAAAGUUUAUAGGUUUGAGAUCACUAAAGUAUGAAACAAUUGCUUGGCUUGUCAUCGGGGUUGUGCAUGAUGAGAGCAUUCUUGUGUGACGAAAAUGAAGCAUGACUAAACUAUAUGAUUUUGUAGGGCUGAACUUUCUUUGGCCGUGUUAUUUUGAGAAGACAUAAUUGCUCAGUUAGUAUGCUUGAAGUAUUAUAAUUUUAUGUCAAUAUGAACUUUUGUCUUGAAUGUUUCAGAUCUGAAUAUUCAUACCACAAUUAAAAAGAAUUACAUUAAAAUCAUGCCAUGUAGCACUCCGCAUCAAAAAUUCUGUUUUUAUCAUUUACCUACUCGAGGACGAGCAGGAAUUAAGCUUGGUGAUGCUUGAUACGUCUCCAACGUAUCUAUAAUUUUUGAUUGCUCCAUGUAUAUUAUCUAUUGUUUUGGACAAUAUUGGGCUUUAUUAUCCACUUUUAUAUUAUUUUUGGGACUAACCUAUUAACCGGAGGCCCAGCCCAGAAUUGUUGUUUUUUGCCUGUUUUAGGGUUUCGAAGAAAAGGAAUAUCAAACGGAGUCCAAACGGAAUGAAACCUUCGGGAACGUGAUUUUCUCAACGAACAAGACCUAGGAGACUUGGACCCUCCAUCAAGACAUAAAAGAGGAGGCCACGAGGUAGGGGGCGUGCCUACCCCCCCCCCCCCCGGCGCGCCCUCCACCCUCGUGGGCCCCCCUGUUGCUCCACCGACGUACUCCUUCCUCCUAUAUAUACCUACUAUUGGGGAACGUAGCAGAAUUUUAAAAUUUUCUAUGCAAGAUCAAUCUAUGGAGUCAUCUAGCAACGAGGGAGAGAGGAGUGCAUCUACAUACCCUUGUAGAUCGCGCGCGGAAGCGUUCAAGAGAACGGGGUUGAUGGAGUCGUACUCGUCGUGAUCCAAAUCACCGAUGACCAAGUGCCGAACGGAUAGCACCUCCGCGUUCAACACACGUACGGUUGGGAAGACGUCUCCUCCUUCUUGAUCCAGCAAGGGGGAAGGAGAGGUUGAUGAAGAUCCAGCAGCACGAUGGCAUGGUGGUGGAUGCAGCAGGAUCCCGGCAGGGCUUCGCCAAGUGCAAGCGGGGAGGAGAGGUGUUACGGAAGGAGAGGGAGGCGCCAAGAGAAAGGGUGCGGCUACCCUCCCUCCCCCCCUCUUUAUAUAGGGGCCUUGGGGGGCGCCGGCCCUAGGAGAUGGAUCUCCAAGGGGGGCGAAGGCCAAGGGGUGGCUUCCCCCCCAAGCCAAGUGGGGGGCGCCCCCACCCCUAGGGUUUCCCAACCCUAGGUGCAGGGGAGGCCCAAGGGGGGCGCACCAGCCCACUAGGGGCUGGUUCUGCUCCCAAUUCAGCCCAUGGGGCCCUCCGGGAUGGGUGGCCCCACCCGGUGGACCCCCGGGACCCUUCCGGUGGUCCUGGUACUAUACCGGUGACCCCCGAAACCUUUCCGAUGGCCGAAACUGUACUUCCUAUAUAUAAAUCUUUACCUCCGGACCAUUCCGGAACUCCUCGUGAUGUCCGGGAUCUCCUCCGGGACUCCGAACAUAUCCUGGGUUACUACAUACUAAUAUCUCUACAACCCUAGCGUCACCGAACCUUAAGUGUGUAGACCCUACGGGUUCGGGAGACAUGCAGACAUGACCGAGACGCCUCUCCGGUCAAUAACCAACAGCGGGAUCUGGAUACCCAUGUUGGCUUCCACAUGCUCCAUGAUGAUCUCAUCGGAUGAACCACGAUGUCGAGGAUUCAAUCAAUCUGUAUACAAUUCCCUCUGUCAAUCGGUAGGUUACUUGCCCGAGACUCGAUCGUCGGUAUCCCAAUACCUCGUUCAAUCUCGUUACCAGCAAGUCACUUUACUCGUGCCGUAAUGCAUGAUCCCAUGAUCAACCACUUGGUCACAAUGAGCUCAUUAUGAUGAUGCAUUACCGAGUGGGCCCAGAGAUACCUCUCCGUCAUACGGAGUGACAAAUCCCAGUCUCGAUUCGUGCCAACCCAACAGACACUUUCAGAGAUACCUGUAAUGUUCCUUUAUAGUCACCCAGUUACGUUGUGACAUUUGGCACACCCAAGGCACUCCUACGGUAUCCGGGAGUUGCCCAAUCUCAUGGUCUAAGGAAAUGAUACUUGACAUUCGGAAAAGCUACAGCAAACGAACUACACGAUCUUUGAGCUAUGCUUAGGAUUGGGUCUUGUCCAUCACAUCAUUCUCCUAAUGAUGUGAACCCGUUAUCAAUAACAUCCAAUGUCCAUAGUCAGGAAACCAUGACUAUCUUUUGAUCAACGAGCUAGUCAACUAGAGGCUCACUAGGGACGUGUUGUCUUCUAUGUAUUCACACAUGUAUUACGAUUUCCGGAUAACACAAUUAUAGCAUGAACAAUAGACAAUUAUCAUGAACAAAGAAAUAUAAUAAUAACCAUUUUAUUAUUGCCUCUAGGGCAUAUUUCCAACAGUCUCCCACUUGCACUAGAGUCAAUGUCUAGUUACAUUGUGAUGAAUCGAACACCCUUGAAGUUCUGGAGUUGAUCAUAUUUUUCUCUAGGGAGAGGUUUAGUCAAUGGAUCUGCCACAUUCAGGUCCGUAUGUACUUUACAAAUCUCUAUGUCUCCAUUUUGAACAACUUCACGAAUGGAGUUGAAGUGACGCUUGAUAUGCCUGGUCUUCCUGUGAAACCUGGGCUCCUUGGCAAGUGCAAUAGCUCCAGUGUUGUCACAGAAUAGAGUCAUCGGGCACGGUGCAUUGGGUAUGACUCCUAGGUCGGUAAUGAACUCCUUCACCCAGACUGCUUCUUGUCCUGCCUCCGAGGCUACCAUGUACUCCGCUUCACAUGUAGAUCCCGCCACAACGCUUUGCUUGCAACUCCACCAGCUUAUUGCCCCACCAUUCAAAAUAUACACGUAUCCGGUUUCCGACUUAGAGUCAUCCAGAUCUGUGUCGAAGCUAGCAUCGACGUAACCCUUUACGACGAGCUCUUCGUCACCUACAUAAACGAGAAACAUAUCCUUACUCCUUUUUAGGUACUUGAGGAUAUUCUUGACCGCUGUCCAUGUUAGGGAACGUUGUAAUUUCAAAAAAAUUCCUACGCACACGCAAGAUCAUGGUGAUGCAUAGCAACGAGGGGAGAGUCUGAUCUACGUACCCUUGUAGAUCGCAACGGAAGCGUUGACACAACGUAGGGGAAGUAGUCGUACGUCUUCUUCCCGAUCCGACCGAUCCAAGCACCAUUACUCCGGCACCUCCGAGUUCUUAGCACACGUUCAGCUCGAUGACGAUCCUCGGGCUCCGAUCCAGCAAAGUGUCGAGGAAGAGUUCCGUCAGCACGACGGCGUGGCGACAAUCUUAAUGUACUACCGACGCAGGGCUUCGCCUAAGCACUACAACAGUAUGAUCGAGGUGGAAUUUGGUGGCAGGGGGCACCGAACACGGCUAAGGAACGAUCUCAAUGAUCAACUUGUGUGUCUAGAGGUGCCCCCUGCCCCCGUAUAUAAAGGUUGCCAGGGGGUGGGCUGGCCGGCCAAAGGAGGAGGGCGCAGGAGGAGUCCUACUCCUACCGGGAGUAGGACUCCCCCCCCCAAUCCUAUUCCUAAUAGGACUCCUCGAGAGAGAGAGAGGGAGAAGGGGGCCGGCCACCUCUCCUAGUCCUAAUAGGACUAGGGGAGGGGGGAGGCGCGCAGCCCACCUUGGGCUGCCCCUUUCGCCUUUCCACUAAGGCCCAAUAAGGCCCAUUUGGUUCCCGGGGGGUUCCGGUAACCUCCCUAUACUCCGGUAAAAUUCCCGAUUUCACCCGGAACACUUCCGAUGUCCAAACAUAGGCUUCCAAUAUAUCAAUCUUUAUGUCUCGACCAUUUCGAGACUCCUCGUCAUGUCCGUGAUCACAUCCGGGACUCCGAACAACCUUCGGUACAUCAAAAUGCAUAAACUCAUAAUAACUGUCAUCGUAACGUUAAGCGUGCGGACCCUACGGUUCGAGAACAAUGUAGACAUGACCGAGACACGUCUCCGGUCAAUAACCAAUAGCGGGACCUGGAUGCCCAUAUUUGCUCCUACAUAUUCUACAAAGAUCUUUAUCGGUCAGACCGCAUAACAACAUACGUUGUUCCCUUUGUCAUCGGUAUGUUACUUGCCCGAGAUUCGAUCGUCGGUAUCCAAUACCUAGUUCAAUCUCGUUACUGGCAAGUCUAUUUACUCGUUCCGUAAUACAUCAUCUCACAACUAACAUCUUAGUUAUAAUGCUUGCAAGGCUUCUGUGAUGUGUCUUACCGAGAGGGCCCAGAGAUACCUCUCCGACAAUCGGAGUGACAAACCCUAAUCUCGAAAUACGCCAACCCAACAUCUACCAUUGGAGACACCUGUAGUACUCCUCUAUAAUCACCCAGUUAUGUUGUGACGUUUGGUAGUACCCUAAGUGUUCCUCCGGCAAACGGGAGUUGCAUAAUCUCAUAGUCAUAGGAACAUGUAUAAGUCAUGAAGAAAGCAAUAGCAACAUACUAAACGAUUGGGUGCUAAGCUAAUGAAAUGGGUCAUGUCAAUCAGAUCAUUCAACUAAUGAUGUGACCUCGUUAAUCAAAUAACAACUCUUUGUUCAUGGUUAGGAAACGUAACCAUCUUUGAUUAACGAGCUAGUCAAGUAAAGGCAUACUAGUGACACUCUGUUUGUCUAUGUAUUCACACAUGUAUUAUGUUUCCGGUUAAUACAAUUCUAGCAUGAAUAAUAAACAUUUAUCAUGAUAUAAGGAAAUAAAUAAUAACUUUAUUAUUGCCUCUAGGGCAUAUUUCCUUCAGUCUCCCACUUGCACUAGAGUCAAUUAUCUAGAUUACACAGUAAUGAUUCUAACACCCAUGGAGCCUUGGUGCUGAUCAUGUUUUGCUCAUGGAAGAUGCUUAGUCAACGGGUCUGCAACAUACAGAUCCGUAUGUAUCUUGCAAAUCUCUAUGUCUCCCACCUGGACUAGAUCCCGGAUGGAGUUGAAGCGUCUCUUGAUGUGUUUGGUCCUUUUGUGUAAUCUGGAUUCCUUUGCUAAAGCAAUUGCACCAGUAUUGUCACAAAAGAUUUUCAUUGGACCCGAUGCACUAGGUAUGACACCUAGAUCGGAUAUGAACUCCUUCAUCCAGACUCCUUCGUUCGCUGCUUCCGAAGCAGCUAUGUACUCCGCUUCACAUGUAGAUCCCGCUACGACGCUUGUUUAGAACUGCACCAAUUGACAGCUCCACCGUUUAAAGUAAACACCUAUCCGAUUUGCAAUUUAGAAUCGUCCGGAUCAGUGUCAAAGCUUGCAUCAACGUAACCUCUUACGGUGAGCUCUUUGUCACCUCCAUAUACGAGAAACAUAUCCUUAGUCCUUUUCAGGUACUUCAGGAUGUUCUUGACCGUUGUCCAGUGAUCCACUCCUGGAUUACUUUGGUACCUCCCUGCUAAACUUAUAGCAAGGCACACAUCAGGUCUGGUACACAGCAUUGCAUACAUGAUAGAGCCUAUGGCUGAAGCAUAGGGAACAUCUUUCAUUUUCUCUCUAUCUUCUGCAGUGGUCGGGCAUUGAGUCUGACUCAACUUCACACCUUGUAACACAGGCAAGAACCCUUUCUUUGCUUGAUCCAUUUUGAACUAAUUCAAAAUCUUGUCAAGGUAUGUGCUUUGUGAAAGUCCAAUUAAGCGUCUUGAUCUAUCUCUAUAGAUCUUUAUGCCUAAUAUGUAAGCGGCUUCCCCGAGGUCUUUCAUCGAAAAACUUUUAUUCAAGUAUCCCUUUAUGCUAUCCAGAAAUUCUAUAUCAUUUCCAAUCAGCAAUAUGUCAUCCACAUAUAAUAUCAGAAAUGCUACAGAGCUCCCACUCACUUUCUUGUAAAUACAGGCUUCUCCAAAAGUCUGUAUAAAGCCAAAUGCUUUGAUCACACUAUCAAAGCGUUUAUUCAAACUCCGAGAGGCUUGCACCAGUCCAUAAAUGGAUCGCUGGAGCUUGCACACUUUGUUAGCUCCCUUUGGAUCGAUAAAACCUUCUGGUUGCAUCAUAUACAACUCUUCUUCCAGAAAUCCAUUCAGGAAUGCAGUUUUGACAUCCAUCUGCCAAAUUUCAUAAUCAUAAAAUGCGGCAAUUGCUAACAUGAUUCUGACAGACUUAAGCAUCGCUACGGGUGAGAAGGUCUCAUCGUAGUCAACCCCUUGAACUUGUCGAAAAACUUUUGCGACAAGUCGAGCUUUAUAGACAGUAAUAUUACCGUCAGCGUCAGUCUUUUUCUUGAAGAUCCAUUUAUUCUCAUUUGCUUGCCGAUCAUCAGGCAAGUCAACCAAAGUCCAUACUUUGUUCUCAUAUAUGGAUCCCAUCUCAGAUUUCAUGGCUUCAAGCCACUUUGCGGAAUCUGGGCUCACCAUCGCUUCUUCAUAGUUCGUAGGUUCAUCAUGAUCUAGUAGCAUGACUUCCAGAAUUGGAUUACCGUACCACUCUAGUGCGGAUCUCACUCUGGUUGAUCUAUGUGGUUCAGUAGUAUCUUGUCCUAAAGUUUCAUGAUCAUCAUCAUUAGCUUCCUCACUAAUUGGUAUAGGUGUCGCAGAAACAGUUUUCUGUGAUGUACUAUUUUCCAAUAAGGGAGCAGGUACAGUUACCUCGUCAAGUUCUACUUUCCUCCCACUCACUUCUUUCGAGAGAAACUCCUUCUCUAGAAAUGAUCCAUUCUUAGCAACGAAUGUCUUGCCUUCGGAUCUGUGAUAGAAGGUGUACCCAACAGUCUCCUUUGGGUAUCCUAUGAAGACACAUUUCUCCGCUUUGGGUUCGAGCUUAUCAGGUUGAAGCUUUUUCACAUAAGCAUCGCAGCCCCAAACUUUAAGAAACGACAACUUUGGUUUCUUGCCAACACUACAGGAAUCGGCUACUUUGCCAUGUGCCACGGCGGACGGCAAAGGCCCGAACGGCGGACGGCAAAGGCCUUUGCCGUCAGCGGCGGACGGCAAAAGGCUCCGGCAAAGUAGGCUUCGGUAAACAGGUUCUUUGCCGUCUACUAUUGACGGCAAAGUCUUUGCCGUCUGCGGCGGACGGCAAAGAGAGAGCAGCAGACGGCAAAGACGGCGGACGGCAAUAAUUGCGCUGUCAGUCCGUUAAGUGGCUAACGGAAGGCCUUUGCCGUCCGCCGCUGACGGCAAAAUUUCUAGGGUCUUUGCCGUCCGCCGUAUGAUGUCAUCUACACGUCACUACGUGGCAGGUUCUUUGCCGUCUGCCACUGACGGCAAAGUCUUUGCUGUCUGCCACUGUAGGCAAACUGACCAAAUGGGUCAGCUCCCAGGAAGCACAGGUGGACGCCACGUGGCUUCUUUGCCAUCCGCGGCAGACGGCAAAGAGCCCGUUGCCGUCGGUGGUAGACGGCAAAGAGCCUGCAUAUUGGCUCUUUUUUCUGUUUUUUCAUAUACCCAACCAUUUUCACAGCAAAUAGAUGAUACAUAUAUAUUUUUCACAUGGCAAGUUCACAGCAAACAUAUGAGAUAUCCAACACAUAUAAUUGCAUCAUACAUGCAUAGUUCCAUCAACCAUACAUAGCAAGUUCGACAUACAUGCAUCCAACCAUACAUAUUACAAUAGUGUCAUCCUACCAUACAUGCAUAGUUCAUAGAUACAAAGGAAACAUAGUUCAUCCAAACAAGCACUCCAUCUAUGCAAGCUUCCGUGAAGUGAAUGAAUUCUGCAAAAUGGGAAAUAAGAAAGUUAGAAGAAGAAGAUUGGAAGAAGAAGAAGUAGAAGAAGAAUAUAUAUAUAUAUAUGACAUUUAUGCGCUAAUUUAGGUGAAAUUGAUCAUUUGUGAGCUAACUUAGGUGAAAUGGAUCGUUUAUGAGCUAACCUAGGUGCAAUGGAUCGCUUAUGAGCAAACUUAAGUAAAAUGCAUCAUUUUAGAGGUAACCUAGGUAAGAUGGAUCAUUUUGGAGCUAACCUAGGUAAAAUGGGUCAUUUUAGAGCUAACUUCGGUAGAAUGGAUCAUUUAUGAGCUAGGUAAGGUUAAAUGGAUCAUUUUAGAACUAACUUAGGUAAAAUGGAUCGUUUAUGAGCUAACUUAGGUAAAAUGGAUCGUUUUUGAGCUAACUAAGGUGAAAUGAAUCGUUUUUGAGCUAACUAAGGUGAAGGGCAUCAUUUUUGAGCUAACUAAGGUGAAAUGGAUCGUUUUUGAGCUAACUAAGGUGAAAUGAAUCGUUUUUGAGCUAACUAAGGUAAAAUGGAUCGUUUUUGAGCUAACUUAGGUGAAAUGGAUCGUUUUUGAGCAAACUUAGGUGAAAUGGNNNNNNNNNNNNNNNNNNNNNNNNNNNNNNNNNNNNNNNNNNNNNNNNNNNNNNNNNNNNNNNNNNNNNNNNNNNNNNNNNNNNNNNNNNNNNNNNNNNNNNNNNNNNNNNNNNNNNNNNNNNNNNNNNNNNNNNNNNNNNNNNNNNNNNNNNNNNNNNNNNNNNNNNNNNNNNNNNNNNNNNNNNNNNNNNNNNNNNNNNNNNNNNNNNNNNNGGAUCGUUUUUGAGCUAACUAAGGUGAAAUGGAUCAUUUUUUAGCUAACUAAGGUGAAAUGGAUCGUUUUUGAGCAAACUUAGGUGAAAUGGAUCAUUUAAGAGCUAAUUUAGGUGAAAUGGAUUGUUUUUGAGCUAACUAAGGUGAAAUGGAUCGUUUUUGAGCAAACUUAGGUGAAAUGGAUCAUUUAAGAGCUAAUUUAGGUGAAAUGGAUCGUUUUUGAGCAAACUUAGGUGAAAUGGAUCAUUUAAGAGCUAAUUUAGGUGAAAUGGAUCGUUUUUAGCUAACUUAGGUGAAAUGGAUCGUUUAGGAGCUACUCUAGGUAAAUUGGGUCAUUUUAGAGCUAACUUGGAUAAACUAGAUCACUUAUAAGCUAACCUAGGUAAGAUGGGUCAUUUUGGAGCUAACUUAGGUAAAAUGGAUCGUCUAUGAGCUAACUAAGCUAAUUAUGCAAUUUUUGACAUAAGUAAGCUAAGUAUAGAUUGUUUUAGAGCUAACUUAGGUAAAAUGGAUGGUUUUGGAGGUCAGUAAGCUUAUUUAGUCAUUUUGGAGGAGAAGAAGCUAAGUCUACGUCAUUAUGGUAAGCAUUGGAGGAAAUAAAGCUAAGUCUAGGUCUUUAUGCAUGUGUUAAGCAAAACACUAGAUAAACUUACCAAGAUCCAGGAGGUGUAGGAGUGGGGUGGCUCGUGUCGGUAGCUGGAGAAGGAUCGUGCGAUGCUUGUCUGGAGUUACGCUGCACCAAAGAUCAUUUCCAAUGUCUUGUUAGCAUGAUGACACUCAAAUGUUAAGACUAGUAAGUAAUGUCCAUUCAAAUAAAACUCACCGUGGUCCCAGGAGCAAUCACUGGCAUCGGCGGAGCGGUCUGACCUGUCUUCUCGCACACAGACUGCACAUUUGGUUUUGACGACUCAGUCAUACUAGUUAGUAAUGAGACAAACACUACAUGAAUGUUUUGGCUAAUCUGCAGAUGAAACUUACCACAAGGAGCUCGUACAUGGCCCUUGCCUGCAUGUCAUUCCGUGCCCUCUCCUCCUCCACCAUCUUUGUCGUCCUCUCCUCCAACUCCCGCUGCCUCUCCGCCGCCUCCGCCAGAAGUUUCUCCGUUCUAUCUCUCUCACUCUGUAUGGCAGCCUGCAACACCACUCACAUGACAAUUUGUAAUCAUUGAUGGAAGCGCACACAAUGUAAUGGAGAAAGAUAACUGAGUAUGUAUCACUAACCUUGAUGGCGACUUGCACUGGCCGUUCACGAGGCCUUAUCUUAGGAGCGGAGCUCGACUGGCGCGCCUUGAUCUCCGAGAGAGUGCUAGGACAACGGAUAAGUCCAUCUCCAAUGGCUAUGGAGCCAUGGGACCUCCCGUCACCAGAUAUCAUCAACAGCUCUGGAUCAAUGGGACCCUGGCUCGGGUUAAAGUCCUCCCCUUUCCUCGCCUUCCCCUCAUCUCUAUAUCUCACGAGCUUGUUGUGGGAGGAGAUGUUGGUGAAGUUGUUUGCAUCAUCGAGGUCAGACUGAGAGAAAGCCUUGACUUUCUUGAAAGAGGCAGUGUGGGCCAUGGCAUACAGGUCGUACACCUCUGGCACCUUAUCCGCCUUAUUAUAGCAUGCCUGAAAGAGAGAAACAAUGAAAAUUAGUAAUUAAAGGGCUCAAGCUAGCAUGAUGAAUGAAUUGCAUGAAUCAUGAAGCAAACCACAUACCCAGUUGCGCCCGAACUGAUAUAAGUUGGAGCUGCCUUGAUGGUGUGGCACACCUUCCAUUUUUGCACGUUUGUCCUUGGCCUCCUUGUGGGGGGCUAGCCAUCGUUGUGAGCACCACUCAUCGACCAACACCUCCCAACAAUCCAUCCGAUCCGCACACCAUCUCGGAGGCGCCUAAGUUAGCAAAUAGAAACUUGAGCGCUACGGCUAAGAAUUACUAAAUGAAGGAACUUAAGUAGAGAAGGCCUUGAGAAUUACCUUCAUGUAAUGCUCCUUACUCAGGAACUUAUCGCAGCAUGCCGGCUUGGUCUUCUUGAUACCACGCAAGGCGUAGUAGUCUCGAACAGCCUGCACCCGAGCCUCGUGCCGUAAGUUCUGGAGUAGGCGCUUGCAGACGUUCUCGAUAACAUGUGCCGCGUCCUCCUCGUAUCCCUCCUCACACCUGUAGAAUGUCUGCAAUCAAAUGAGACAAUGUUGAUUAGUACAAUUAAUAACUAGCUAGUUGAAGAUUUUUAAAUGUGUAAAGGAGAAAUUACCCAGAACUUUCUGAUCACCAUGUCUGCCCUCGUGUCACACACGACACCGUCGAUAAUCUCAUUUGGCAGGGCCGGGGCAGCCACGUAGUGCUCCCAGCUCAAUCCAAGCUCUGGAAGCCGACCCUCACCAGGCAACGUGACAAACCCCGGGAAGUUUUGCCGGCAAAGAACUCCAAGGACGGAGUUGGGCCGGCGGACACUAUGAUGGUGGUCCCAACCCCUGCAGCAUGACAAGGCCAACGCAUUAGUUAUUUGAAAAAAUGUGAAUGCACAAGGUACAAAAAUAUUAAAUGCACUUACGUACCUCUCCCCAUCAGGGAAAAUCAACCACCUCUGCUCGCGGGUCACCGGCACGGACGGGAGCCGUGUAGCACCACGCUGGUAGACGGUGCCCCCCUCCUCCUCAAGAUCAGUCGGCUCCCCGCCAUCAUCAGCAUGACCACUCGGCUCCUUGGGCUGAUCCGGCCAGGUACCCCAUCCGGACGUGUGCUCCUCCGGGGUCAUGUGGGCCGAACUCUCGUGGGCUGAAGACCCGUGGACCGGAGGCUCAUGGACCGGAGUUCGUGUAGCCUCCUCCUCGGACGAGUCCACCCUAGCAGUCACGUGCUUGGGUGAAACGGUUGGGGGUGGCGGCGAGGAAGGCACCGUAGCAGUCACCCUACCUCCUCUCCCAGGACCACGUGCCCCACCUCCUCUCUUCCUACCUCGUCCCCUGCUGGGCACCAUGGUCGACGAAGAAGGGCCCGGCGGUGUGGCCAUACUGUCCAGCAACGCUCGGCGGAGAGGUGCGUCUGGAAUGGAAGACCUCAGACCACGCUCCCGACCAGUGCCCACCAUCUUUCAACACCUGCCAUGACAAACAGUAAAUGAAAUUAGUACAACAUAAAAAAGGACCGACAUGAAUAAUAAUAUGUGUAUCACUUAAGUGUAUCAUCAUCAAGUACAACAUAAAAAAAUGUAAUACCGGACACUACUAAUAAUCUCGAUCAGUAUCAUCAAUAAAUGCAUAAUCAUCAUCAUCACUAUAAUCAAUGACGGGCUCAUAGGGUUCAUUGGCAUCAACAUGUGCAAGGCCACCUUGACGUAAUCGGUCAAGCAUUGACAGGUCAUCCGCAGCAGUAACCUCUUCUUGUUCCGGCUCUUCUUGUUCCUCCUCUGGGGUGAUGUCGGAUUCAUUGUCGCUGUCUACUUCAAUGUUUUGGGGUGAAGUAUAGCGGUUCUUGAAACGCUUUUUGGAAAGACGUGUCUCUUGGAAGAAUUCUCCUUCAUAUGUGUCUGGGUUAAUGUGAGGUUCAUAAUCCUCUUCCUUUGCGGGAGAAAGUCUAGCACGUGGCGGCACUUCAUAAACGACAUCCCAACCUUUCAGAUUUGGAUUAGUUUGGCAGGCCCACGGUAGAUAGAAUACUUGGGUCGCCUGUUGAGCCAUAAUAUAGACAUCAAGAACAUCUAAACGAGUGCUUUGGUUGAUUUCAACUAGCCCUACAUGUUCAUGAGUCCUUCUAGUCUCGUUUGGCUGAAACCAAUAACAUUUGAAGACUACGACAUUUUGUGGGUUUUCACCAUAGAACAGAAGUUCAUAAAUUGCUUCAACUCUCCCAUAAUACUCGGUACCUCCUUUGCCGAUAGCAGAUACACAACAAUUUGUUGACUUUGGGUCCGCCAUAGAUAGCUCUUUGCCAUAGGUACGAAAGCGAUACCCGUUGAUGUCGUACUUGUCAAAUGAACGGACCUUAUAGUCAAAACCAUUAGCGACUUGUCUCAAUUCGGCGUCCAUAGAGUCUGGAUUAGCCUACAGGUUUAAUAUGAAAGGAUUGUUGCAUUAUGCACAAAUUAGCGAAUGAAAUGAAAUUGUCUAAUAGAAAUUACCGUUUGUUUGAACCAAGAGAUGAAACCGGGAUAGCCACCUCCUUGCUUUGCGAGAAGCUCAUACUCUUCGACAGAAUCCUUUUGGAUCUCCGCUCCAUACGAGAAUAUGGUGACGUAUCGACUGUAUGACAUAUCCAGGAAUAAGAGUAGUUCAAAGGAAAUAGAAGUUGCGAAACAAUGUAUCGAGAACUUACUCGAUGUACGGCCGCACUUCUAUCAGGUUGUUGAAGAUAUACAAUGAAAUGGUCCGCCAUUCUUUGUUAUCCAAAGAUACUGGAUGUGAAACACCAGCUGGUGCGAGAUUCCCUUUGAAUAGGCUGAGGUUGGAUCCACCCUUUUUAGGCUCGUCAGCAUUGUACCGAGGCUUCGGAUUAUGCAAAUGACGAUUUUUGGCUUCGUAGUGCGCUGUUACGAAGUUUGCCACCUCCUCUGUGAUGAAUGCCUCAGCCAUCGAUGCUUCAAUUCUACGUUUAUUUUUACAUUUUUCUCGAAGCGUGUUCUGCAUCCUCUCAGUUGGGUAGCACCAACGAUUUUGCACGGGCCCCCCCAAUCUUGCCUCGGUCGGGAGAUGCAAAAUCAAAUGCUGCAUUGGAUUAAAGAAGCCCGGUGGAAAGAUUUUCUCUAACUUGUAGAUCAACUCCGGCGCCAACUCUUCCAUUUCUUCUAGCACGCCAGGAGAUAGUUAUUUCGCACAAAGAACACGGAAGAAAUAGCUGAGUUCUGCCAGUACUAGCCAUUCAUCCUCAGGGAUGAAGCCACGCAACAUCACCGGCAUUACCCGCUCAAUCCAUAUUUGCUCCCCUCUUUAGAUUCGCUGCAUACCCAUCGGGGAACAUCAACUGCUGUUGCACCCACAAGAGAAUUUCCCUCAUAGCUGGCCUUCCAAGAUUGAACCAUGCCUUUGGCUUCGUCUAGUUCUGCUUUCCUUUCGGUUCUUUCAUGUUUUGUAACGGCCUAUCACAUAGCGCCUCCAGAUCGACUCUAGCCUUAGUAUUAUCCUUUGACUUCCCAUCCAUGCCGAACAAUGUACCAAAAAGUGCCUCGGUGAUAUUCUUCUCAGUGUGCAUCACGUCGAUGUUGUGUGGGCAAAGGAGGUCUUUGAAGUAAGGCAGAUCCCAUAAGCAUGUUUUGUGAGUCCACGCAUGCUUAGUAUUAUACCCCUUGAAGUACCCUGGACAUUGUGGAUCUGGCUCGAGAGCGUUUAACUGAUCCAGGGUCUGUUGGCCUGUCAAUGCAGGUGGUGCAGAGUUUUUGACAACUCUACCCCUGAUGAAGUUCUUCUUGUCUUCCCUGAACUUAUGGCGAGGAUCCAGGAACUGUCUAUGCAUGUCGAAGCAAGAAAACUUGCGACCGGCCUGAAGCCAACGAAACUCAAGAGCUCCCUGGCAUGUGGGGCACGGGAACCUUCCAUGCACACACCAGCCAAUGAAUAGCGCAUACGCCGGCAAGUCAUGCGUCGAGUACAUGUACUAGACACGCAUUAUGAAGUUCCGUUUGCUAAAGGCAUCGUAUGUCUUGAACCCAUUAUCCCAAGCUUCUUGCAAUUCGUCCUUAAGCGGCUGCAUGUACACAUUCAUAUUUUUGCCCGGAUAGUUGGGUCCUGGAAAUAUCAACGUUAGGAAAAUGUUCUUUCUUUGCAUAAUCUGUGCGGGGGGGAGAUUGAGUGGAAAGACAAAUACGGGCCAACAACUGUAUUGGGCUGCCAUCAUACCAAACACACUGAACCCAUCCGUGCUGAUGCCGACUCGAGAAUGCCUCGGAUCUGCCGCUUUGUCAGCAUGUAAUUCAUCAAACUUUUUCCACGCAACACCAUCCGAUGUGUGUACCAUCAUCAGAUUCCCAUCUGCAUCUAGUGCGGUUCUUUUGCCUGUUUUGUGCCAUGUCAUCUGUCUGGCCGUCUCUUUGACCAUGAAAAGACGUUGAAGUCUUGGUACAAUUGGCAUAUACCGAAGAACACUAACGGGGAUUUUGGUCUGUGUCUUCUCACCCAUACCGUUGUCUACCACAAUAUACCUGGAAGACUUGCAAAUGGGACAAUAGUUCAAGUCCGCAUAGUCAAGCCUAAAUAAGGCACAUCCUUUCUCACAGGCAUGUAUCUUCUCAUAGGGCAUCUUCAGUGCAUGGAGGAUUUUGUCCGACUGGUACAGGUUUGCAGGCAUUACAUGUCCUUUGGGUAGAAAGCGUCCAAAUACUGUCAUAAUUGCGUCAUAGCAUUCUCUACCCAAGUUGAACUGAGCCUUCAGAGCCAUUACUUGUGAGAUGGCAUCCAACUGACAAAGCUCAGUGUGCUCGCGGAGCGGACGUUUCGAAGACUCCAACAUUUCAUUGAAGGCCUUUGCAGAUUCCUCCAUCUCCUCGUCCGAAUCCCGAGCAUCAUCAUAGUCUUGCACCAUGUUUUCCAUCCCGGUACCAUGCUCGUCGGUGCGACGACGAUCCACCUCAGCUCGGUCACGUUGGGCAGACUCACCAUGAAAUGUCCAGACCGUAUAAUCGGGCGUAAAACCACUCUUCUGCAGGUGUUUGCCCAUUUCAGCCUCUCUCUUCUUUUCCCAAUUGCCGCACCGGAAAUAGGGGCACCAGGUUUUCUUUUGGCCAUUUGCAAAUGCGGCUUGCACAAACCCCUUAGUUUUUGUGAACCAUUCAGCGCUCCAUUUGUUCUGACCAGUGUGACCGGUAUACAUCCAAGCACGGUCACUCAUCUUGACUUUCAGAGCUACUGGACACACAACAAUUAUAUAUGUAAUUCACCAUGUAUAUAUUCAUCAGUUGAUCUACUGUGUCAAUUUUAUUACGUCCAUGCAACCUACACUCUAAUAGGUAAUGAUAGGUCCUAAUCCCACCCGUGUAUGUGUAGAUUGGGUUCAUUUUCCCAUGCUAUGCUCCGGAUCCGACGCAAAAUUUCGGCAGCACCUCCCCGUUAUUCUCCUGAUACACGUCUCUGCAAUAAACAGAGAGGAUGUGUACCCGGAGAACAACAGGGGAGGCACUGACGAAAUAUAUGCGUCGGAUCCGGAGCAAAGCAUAUGGGAAAACGAACCCAAUCUACACAUACUCGGGCUGUCCAUGGAUAGCGUUGGACAAUUCGAAAGAAUCAAGGUUAUAAAUAUGCAAAUGCAUGCAUAUUUAUAAAUAUGACGCUUUCGAAUGGGAGACACAUAUUGGUUACGCAUACUGAUGAUUCAAGACACAUAUAUAGCUAGCUAUCAAGUUUCAUCGGAAUAGAUCAAAUAAUUAAUGGGGGAGGAGGACUUGUCAUUUGUGCUCACCCACGAACGAAGGGCAGAGCUCGUCAAACGCACGGCGAGGUCGUCGAACACCAAACCUCGCAGCGAUGAAACAACUGCACAUUUAAAACUACACGAUCAACACAAUUAUAUAUGAUGUUUUUCAUAACUAAAUCGAAAAAUAUAUAACCUAACUAAUAAUUCACAAAUAUAUGACCCCGUCGGCCUCUGGAAGGCCGAAGAACACCUUAAUUUUCGGGAGGUGUCGGUGGUCGGGGUGCCCUGUCGGUGUCGGGGUGCCGUGUCGGGGUCGGGGUCUCGGGGUCGGGGUGUCGGGUCGGGGUGCCNNNNNNNNNNNNNNNNNNNNNNNNNNNNNNNNNNNNNNNNNNNNNNNNNNNNNNNNNNNNNNNNNNNNNNNNNNNNNNNNNNNNNNNNNNNNNNNNNNNNNNNNNNNNNNNNNNNNNNNNNNNNNNNNNNNNNNNNNNNNNNNNNNNNNNNNNNNNNNNNNNNNNNNNNNNNNNNNNNNNNNNNNNNNNNNNNNNNNNNNNNNNNNNNNNNNNNNNNNNNNNNNNNNNNNNNNNNNNNNNNNNNNNNNNNNNNNNNNNNNNNNNNNNNNNNNNNNNNNNNNNNNNNNNNNNNNNNNNNNNNNNNNNNNNNNNNNNNNNNNNNNNNNNNNNNNNNNNNNNNNNNNNNNNNNNNNNNNNNNNNNNNNNNNNNNNNNNNNNNNNNNNNNNNNNNNNNNNNNNNNNNNNNNNNNNNNNNNNNNNNNNNNNNNNNNNNNNNNNNNNNNNNNNNNNNNNNNNNNNNNNNNNNNNNNNNNNNNNNNNNNNNNNNNNNNNNNNNNNNNNNNNNNNNNNNNNNNNNNNNNNNNNNNNNNNNNNNNNNNNNNNNNNNNNNNNNNNNNNNNNNNNNNNNNNNNNNNNNNNNNNNNNNNNNNNNNNNNNNNNNNNNNNNNNNNNNNNNNNNNNNNNNNNNNNNNNNNNNNNNNNNNNNNNNNNNNNNNNNNNNNNNNNNNNNNNNNNNNNNNNNNNNNNNNNNNNNNNNNNNNNNNNNNNNNNNNNNNNNNNNNNNNNNNNNNNNNNNNNNNNNNNNNNNNNNNNNNNNNNNNNNNNNNNNNNNNNNNNNNNNNNNNNNNNNNNNNNNNNNNNNNNNNNNNNNNNNNNNNNNNNNNNNNNNNNNNNNNNNNNNNNNNNNNNNNNNNNNNNNNNNNNNNNNNNNNNNNNNNNNNNNNNNNNNNNNNNNNNNNNNNNNNNNNNNNNNNNNNNNNNNNNNNNNNNNNNNNNNNNNNNNNNNNNNNNNNNNACUAAAUCUAAACCUAAAACAAAACUAAAACUAAACCUAAAACUAAAACUAAAACUAAAUCUAAACUAAAACUAAAAAGGAAAAAAACAGAAAAAAAAUAGAAAAAAGGAGGUUGGGGCUCACCUUCUGCAGCGCCGGUGGAGGAGGGGGCGGGGCGGUGGAGGAGCUGGCUGGGGCGCGGGGCGGCCUGGGGCGGCGCGGGGCCGGGCCCGAUGCGGUGGGGCGCGGGGCGGCGGUGCGUGCGGACCCUAUGGUUCGAGAACAAUGUAGACAUGACCGAGACACGUCUCCGGUCAAUAACCAAUAGCGGGACCUGGAUGCCCAUAUUGGCUCCUACAUAUUCUACGAAGAUCUUUAUCGGUCAGACCGCAUAAUAACAUACGUUGUUCCCUUUGUCAUCGGUAUGUUACUUGCCCGAGAUUCGAUUGUCGGUAUCCAAUACCUAGUUCAAUCUCGUUACUGGCAAGUCUCUUUACUCGUUCCAUAAUACAUCAUCUCACAACUAACAUCUUAGUUAUAAUGCUUGCAAGGCUUAUGUGAUGUGUCUUACCAAGAGGGCCCAGAGAUACCUCUCCGACAAUCGGAGUGACAAACCCUAAUCUCGAAAUACGCCAACCCAACAUCUACCAUUGGAGACACCUGUAGUACUCCUUUAUAAUCACCCAGUUACGUUGUGACGUUUGGUAGUACCCAAAGUGUUCCUCCGGCAAACGGGAGUUGCAUAAUCUCAUAGUCAUAGGAACAUGUAUAAGUCAUGAAGAAAGCAAUAGCAACAUACUAAACGAUCGGGGGCUAAGAUAAUGAAAUGGGUCAUGUCAAUCAGAUCAUUCAACUAAUGAUGUGACCUCGUAAAUCAAAUAACAACUCUUUGUUCAUGGUUAGGAAACAUAACCAUCUUUGAUUAACGAGCUAGUCAAGUAAAGGCAUACUAGUGACACUCUGUUUGUCUAUGUAUUCACACAUGUAUUAUGUUUCCGGUUAAUACAAUUCUAGCAUGAAUAAUAAACAUUUAUCAUGAUAUAAGGAAAUAAAUAAUAACUUUAUUAUUGCAUCUAGGGCAUAUUUCCUUCAGUCCAGUGUUCCAUGCCGGGAUUACUUUGGUACCUUCCUACCAAACUUACGGCAAGGUUUACAUCAGGUCUGGUACACAGCAUAGCAUACAAGAUAGACCCUAUGGCCGAGGCAUAGGGGACGACACUCAUAUUUUCUCUAUCUUCUACCGUGGUCGUGCAUUGAGCCGUGCUCAAUCUCGUACCUUGCAAUAUAGGCAAGAACCCCUUCUUUUACUGAUCCAUUUUGAACUUCUUCAAUAUCUUGUCAAGGUACGUACUCUGUGGAAGACCAAUGAGGCGUCUCGAUCUAUCUCUAUAGAUCUUGAUGCCUAAUAUAUAAGCAGCUUCUCCAAGAUCCUUCAUUGAAAAACACUUGUUCAAGUAGGCCUUUAUGCUUUCCCAGAAUUCUAUAUCAUUUCCCAUCAACAAUAUGUCAUCCACAUCCAAUAUGGGAAAUUCUACAAAGCUCCCACUCAGUUCUUGUAAAUGCAGGCUUCUCCAUAAGUCUGCGUAAACCCAAACGCUUUGAUCAUCUCAUCAAAAUGAAUGUUCCAACUCCGAGAUGCUUGCACCAGCCCAUAAAUCGAGCGUUGGAGCUUGUACACCUUGUCAGCAUUCUUAGGAUCGACAAAACCUUCUGGCUGCAUCAUAUACAAUUCUUCCUUAAGGAAACCAUCAAGGACUGUUGUUUUGACGUCCAUUUGCCAUAUCUCAUAAUCAUAGAAUGCGGCAAUUGCUAACAUGAUUCGGACGGACUUCAGCUUCGCUACGGGUGAGAAAGUCUCAUCAUAGUCAACCCCUUGUACUUGCCGAUAACCCUUAGCGACAAGCCGAGCUUUAUAGAUGGUCACAUUACCAUCCGCGUCUGUCUUCUUCUUAAAGAUCCAUUUAUUUUCUAUGGCUCGCCGACCAUCGGGCAAGUCAGUCAAAGUCCAUACUUUGUUUUCAUACAUGGAUCUUAUCUCGGAUUUCAUGGCUUCCAGCCAUUUCUCGGAAUCCGGGCCCGCCAUUGCUUCUUCAUAGUUCGAAGGUUCACCGUUGUCUAACAACAUGAUUUCCAAGACAGGGUUGCCGUACCACUCUGGUGCGGGACGUGUCCCCGUGGACCUACGAAGUUCAGUAGCAACUUGAUCUGAAGUUUCAUGAUCAUCAUCAUCAACUUCCUCUCUAGUCGGUGCAGGCACCUUAGGAACAUUUUCUUGAGCUGCGCCACUUACCGGUUCAAGAGGUAAUACUUCAUCAAGUUCUACUUUCCUCCCACUUAUUUCUUUCGAGAGAAACUCUUUCUCUAGAAAGGACCCAUUCUUGGCAACAAAGAUCUUGCCUUCGGAUCCGAGGUAGAAGGUAUACCCAAUAGUUUCUUUAGGGUAUCCUAUGAAGACGCAUUUUUCCGAUUUGGGUUCGAGCUUUUCAGGUUGAAGUUUCCUGACAUAAGCAUCGCAUCCCCAAAGUUUUAGAAAUGACAUCUUAGGUGUCUUCCCAAACCAUAAUUCAUACGGCGUCGUCUCAACGGAUUUCGACGUAGCCCUAUUUAAAGUGAAUGCGGCAGUCUCUAAAGCAUAGCCCCAAAAUGACAGCGGUAAAUCAGUAAGAGACAUCAUAGAUCAUACCAUAUCUAAUAGAGUGCGAUUAUGACGUUCGGACACACCAUUACGCUGAGGUGUUCCAGGCGGCGUGAGUUGUGAAACUAUUCCACAUUUUCUUAAGUGUGUGCCAAAUUCGUGACUCAAGUAUUCUCCCCCACGAUCUGAUCGCAAGAACUUGAUUUGCCUGUCAUGUUGAUUCUCAACCUCACUUUGAAAUUCCUUGAACUUUUCAAAGGUCUCAGACUUGUGUUUCAUUAAGUAGACAUACCCAUAUCUACUCAAGUCAUCAGUGAGGGUGAGAACAUAACGAUAGCCACCACGAGCCUCAACACUCAUUGGACCGCACACAUCAGUAUGUAUGAUUUCCAAUAAGUUGGUUGCUCGCUCCAUUGUUCUUGAGAAAGGAGUCUUGGUCAUUUUACCCAUGAGGCAUGGUUCGCACGUGUCAAAUGAUUCGUAAUCAAGAGACUUUAAAAGUCCAUCUGCAUGGAGCUUCUUCAUGCGUUUGACACCUAUGUGACCAAGGCGGCAAUGCCACAUGUGGGACUAUCAUUAUCAACCUUACAUCUUUUGCUAUUCACACUAUGAAUAUGUGUAACAUUAUGCUCGAGAUUCAUUAAGAAUAAACCAUUCACCAAUGGAGCAUGACCAUAAAACAUAUCUCUCAUAUAAAUAGAACAACCAUUAUUCUCGGAUUUAAAUGAGUAGCCAUCUCAAAUUAAACGAGAUCCUGAGACAAUGUUCAUGCUCAAAGCUGGCACUAAAUAACAAUUAUUGAGGUUUAAAACUAAUCCCGUAGGCAAAUGUAGAGGCAGCGUGCCGACGGCGAUCACAUCGACCUUGGAACCAUUCCCGACGCGAAUCGUCACCUCGUACUUCGCCAGUCUCCGUUUAUUCCGCAGCUCCCGCUUUGAGUUACAAAUGUGAGCAACUGCACCGGUAUCAAAUACCCAGGAGCUACUACGAGUACUGGUAAGGUACACAUCAAUUACAUGUAUAUCACAUAUACCUUUAGUGUUGCCGGCCUUCUUGUCCGCUAAGUAUUUGGGGCAGUUCUGCUUCCAGUGACCACUUCCCUUGCAAUAAAAACACUCAGUCUCGAGCUUGGGUCCAUUCUUUGGCUUCUUCCCGGCAACUUGCUUAGCGGGCGCGGCAACUCCCUUGCCGUCCUUCUUGAAUUCUUCUUACCCUUGCCUUUCUUGAACUUAGUGGUUUUAUUCACCAUCAACACUUGAUGUUCCUUUUUGAUUUCCACCUCUGCUGAUUUCAGCAUUGAAUAUACCUCAGGAAUGGUCUUUUCCGUCCCCUGCAUAUUGAAGUUGAUCACAAAGCUCUUGUAGCUUGGUGGAAGCGACUGAAUGAUUCUGUCAAUGACCGCGUCAUUCGGGAGAUUAACUCCCACCUGAGUCAAGCGGUUAUGCAACCCAGACAUUUUGAUUAUGUGCUCACUGACAGAUCUAUUUUCCUCCAUAUUACAGCUGAAGAACUUGUCGGAGACUUCAUAUCUCUCGACCCGGGCAUGAGCUUGAAAAACCAUUUUCAGCUCUUCGAACAACUCAUAUGCUCCGUGUCUCUCAAAAUGCUUUUGGAGCCCCGGUUCUAAGCUGUAAAGCAUGCCGCACUGAACGAGGGAGUAAUCAUCAGCACGUAACUGCCAAGCGUUCAUAAUGUCUUGGUUCUCUGGGACAGGUGUGUCACCUAACGGUGCUUCUAGGACAUAAUCUUUCUUGGCAGCUAUGAGGAUGAUCCUCAGGUUCUGGACCCAGUCCGUAUAGUUGCUGCCAUCGUCUUUCAGCUUGGUUUUCUCCAGGAACGCGUUGAAAUUGAGGACAACGUGGGCCAUUUGAUCUACAAGACAUAUUGUAAAGAUUUUAGACUAAGUUCAUGAUAAUUAAGUUCAUCUAAUCAAAUUAUACAAUGAACUCCCACUCAGAUAGACAUCCCUCCAGUCAUCUAAGUGAAACAUGAUCCGAGUUAACUAGGCUGUGUCGGAUCAUCACGUGAGACGGACUAGUCAACAUCGGUGAACAUCUUCAUGUUGAUCGUAUCUUCUAGACGACUCAUGCUCGACCUUUUAGUCUUCUAUGUUCCGAGGCCAUGUCUGUACAUGCUAGGCUCGUCAAGUAAACCUAAGUGUAUUGCGUGUGUAAGUCUGGCUUACACCCGUUGUAUUCGAACGUUAGAAUCUAUCACACUCGAUCAUCACGUGGUGCUUCGAAACAACGAACCUUCACAAUGGUGCACAGUUAGGGGGAACAGUUUCUUGAAAUUAUUUCGAGGGAUCAUCUUAUUGAAGCUACCGUCGUUCUAAGCAAAUAAGAUGUAAAACAUGAUAAACAUCACAUGCAAUCAAAUAGUGACAUGAUAUGGCCAAUAUCAUUUUCUCCUUUUGAUCUCCAUCUUCGGGGGUCCAUGAUCAUCAUUGUCACUGGCAUGACACCAUGAUCUCCAUCAUCAUGUCUUCUUGAAGUUGUCUCGUCAUCUAUUACUUCUACUACUAUGGCUAACGCUUUAGCAAUAAAGUAAAGUAAUUACAUGACGUUUAUGUUGACACGCAGGUCAUAAAAAAUAAAGACAACUCCUAUGGCUCCUGCCGGUUGUCAUACUCAUCGACAUGCAAGUCGUGAUUCCUAUUACAAGAACAUGAUCAAUCUCAUACAUCACAUAUAUCAUUCAUCACAUCCUUUUGGCCAUAUCACAUCACACGACACAUGCUGCAAAAACAAGUUAGACGUCCUCUAAUUGUUGUUGCAAGUUUAUACAUGGCUGCUAUAGGUUUCUAGCAAGAACGUCUCUUACCUAUGGCAAAACCACAACGUGAUAUGCCACUUUCUAUUUACCCUUCAUAAGGACCCUUUUCAUCGAAUCCGAUCUGACUAAAGUGGGAGAGACAGACACCCGCCAGCCACCUUAUGCAACUAGUGCAUGUCAAUCGGUGGAACCAGUCUCACAUAAGCGUACGUGUAAGGUCGGUCCGGGCCGCUUCAUCCCAUGAUGCCACCGAAUCAAGAUAAGACUAGUAACGGCAAGCAAAGUGACAAUAUCCACGCCCACAACUGCUUUGUGUUCUACUCGUGCAUAGAAACUACGCAUAGACCUAGCUCAUGAUGCCACUGUUGGGGAAUGUAGCAGAAUUUUAAAAUUUUCUAUGCAUCACCAAGAUCAAUCUAUGGAGUCAUCUAGCAAUGAGGGAGAGAGGAGUGCAUCUACAUACCCUUGUAGAUCGCGCGCGGAAGUGUUCAAGAGAACGGGGUUGAUGGAAUCGUACUCGUCGUGAUCCAAAUCACCGAUGACCAAGUGCCUAACGGACAGCACCUCCGCGUUCAACACACGUCCUUUUGGGAAGACGUCUCCUCCUUCUUGAUCCAGCAAGGGGGAAGGAGAGGUUGAUGAAGAUCCAGCAGCACCACGACGUGGUGGUGGAUGCAACAGGAUCCCGGCAGGGCUUCACCAAGCGGAAGCGGGGAGGAGAGGUGUUACGGAGGGAGAGAGAGGCGCCAAGAGCAAGGUUGCGGCUGCCCUCCCUCCCCCCCUCUUUAUAUAGGGGCCAUGGGGGGGCGCCGGCCCUAGGAGAUGGAUCUCCAAGGGGGGCGAAGGCCAAGGGGUGGCUCCCCCCCCCCCAAGCCAAGUGGGGGGCGCCCCCACCCCUAGGGUUUCCCAACCCUAGGCGCAGGGGAGGCCCAAGGGGGGCGGACCAGCCCACUAGCGGCUGGUUCCCCUCCCAAUUCAUCCCAUGGGGCCCUCCGGGAUGGGUGGCCCCACCCGGUGGACCCCCGGGACCCUUUCGGUGGUCCCGGUACAAUACUGGUGACCCCCGAAACCUUCCCGAUGGCCGAAACUGUACUUCCUAUAUAUAAAUCUUUACCUCCAGACCAUUCCGGAACUCCUCGUGACGCCCGGGAUCUCAUCCGGGACUCCGAACAACUUUCGGGUUACUAUAUACUAAUAUCUCUACAACCCUAGCGUCACUGAACCUUAAGUGUGUAGACCCUACGGGUUUCGGAGACAUGCAGACAUGACUGAGACGCCUCUCCAGUCAAUAACCAACAGCGGGAUCUGGAUACCCAUGUUGGCUCCCACAUGCUCCAUGAUGAUCUCAUCAGAUGAACCACGAUGUCGAGCAUUCAAUCAAUCUGUAUACAAUUCCCUUUGUCAAUCAGUACGUUACUUGCCCGAGACUCGAUCAUCGGUAUCCCAAUACCUUGUUCAAUCUUGUUACCGGCAAGUCACUUUACUCAUACCAUAAUGCAUGAUCCCGUCAUCAACCACUUGGUCACAUGAGCUCAUUAUGAUGAUGCAUUACCGAGUGGGCCCAGAGAUACCUCUCCAUCAUACGGAGUGACAAAUCCCAGUCUCGAUUCAUGCCAACCCAAUAGUCACUUUCAGAGAUACCUGUAAUGUAACUUUAUAGUCACCCAGUUACGUUGUGACGUUUGGCACACCCAAGGCACUCCUACGAUAUCUGGGAGUUUUGUUGGAAAUAUGCCCUAGAGGCAAUAAUAAAAGCAUUAUUAUUAUAUUUCCUUGUUCAUGAUAAUUGUCUUUAUUCAUGCUAUAAUUGUGUUAUCCGGAAAUCGUAAUACAUGUGUGAAUAACAGACACCAACAUGUCCCUAGUAAGCCUCUAGUUAACUAGCUCGUUGAUCAACAGAUAGUCAUGGUUUCCUGACUAUGGACAUUGGAUGUCAUUGAUAACGAGCUCACAUCAUUAGGAGAAUGAUGUGAUGGACAAGACCCAAUCAUAAACAUAGCAUAAAGAUCGUGUAGUUCGUUUGCUAGAGUUUUUCCAAUGUCAAGUAUACUUUCCUUAGACCAUGAGAUCGUGUAACUCCCGGAUACCGUAAGAGUGCUUUGGGUGUACCAAACAUCACAACGUAACUGGGUGACUAUAAAGGUAUACUACGGGUAUCUCCAAAAGUGUCUGUUGGGUUGACACGGAUCAAGACUGGGAUUUGUCACUCCGUAUGACGGAGAGGUAUCACUGGGCCCACUCAGUAAUGCAUCAUCAUAAUGAGCUCAAAGUGACCAAGUGUCUGGUCACGGGAUCAUGCAUUACGGUACGAGUAAAGUGACUUGCCGGUAACGAGAUUGAACGAGGUAUUGGGAUACCGACAAUCGAAUCUCGGGCAAGUAACAUACCGAUUGGCAAAGGGAAUUGUAUACGGGGUUGCCUGAAUCCUCGAUAUCGUGGUUCAUCCGAUGAGAUCAUCGUGGAGCAUGUGGGAGCCAACAUGGGUAUCCAGAUCCCGCUGUUGGUUAUUGACCGAAGAGUCGUCUCGGUCAUGUCUGUCUGUCUCCCGAACCCGUAGGGUCUACACACUUAAGGUUCGGUGAUGCUAGGGUUGUAGGAAUAUGUAUAUGCAGUAACCCGAAUGUUGUUCGGAGUCCCGGAUGAGAUCCCGGACGUCACGAGGAGUUCCGUAAUGGUCCGGAGGUAAAGAAUUAUAUAUGGGAAGUGCUAUUUCGGCCAUCGGGACAAGUUUUGGGGUCACCGGUAUUGUACCGGGACCACCGGAAGGGUCCCGGGGGUCCACCGGGUGGGGCCACCUAUCUCGGAGGGCCCCAUGGGCUGAAGUGGGAAGGGACCCAGCCCAAAGUGGGCUGGGGUGCCUCUCCCCUAGGGCCCAUGCGGCUAGGGUUUGGGGGAAACCCUAAAAGGGGGCGCCCCCUUGCUUGGGGGGCAAGCCCCCCACCCCUUGGCCGCCGCCCCCCCCUCCCCCUAGGAAAAUAGAUCUCCUAGGGCCGGCGCCCCCCCCCCUUGGCCCUCCUAUAUAUAGUGGGGGAGGGAGGGCUAUUCUCUCAUGCCUUUGGUUGCCUCCCUCUCCCUCUCCGACACCUCCUCCUCCUCCAUAGUGCUUGGCGAAGCCCUGACGGAGUUCUGCAGCUCCACCAUCACCACGCCGUCGGUCUGCUGCUGGAGCCAUCUUCCUCAACCUCUUCUUCCCUCUUGCUGGAUCAAGAAGAAGGAGACGUUACGCUAACCGUACGUGUGUUGAACGCGGAGGUGCCGUCCGUUCGGCGCUAGGAUCUCUGGUGAUUUGAAUCACGUCGUGUACGACUACUUCAUCCACGUUCUUUGAACGCUUCCGCUCGCGAUCUACAAAGGUAUGUAGAUGCAUCCGAUGACUCGUUGCUAGAUGAACUCAUAGAUAGAUCUUGGUGAAACCGUAGGAAAUUUUUUGUUUUCUGCAACGUUCCCCAACAGUGGUAUCAGAGCUAGGUCUAUGCGUAGUUCUUCUUGCGCGAGUAGAACACAAUUUGUUGUGGGCGUAGAUGUUGUCAACUUUCUUGCCGCUACUAGUCUUAUCUUGCUUCGACGGUAUUGUGGGAUGAAGCGGCCCGGACCAACCUUACACGUAUGCUCACGUGAGACAGGUUCCACCGACAAACAUGCACUAGUUGCAUAAGGUGGCUAGCGGGUGCCUGUCUCUCCUACUUUAGUUGGAGCGGAUUCGAUGAGAAGGGUCCUUAUGAAGGGUAAAUAGAAGUUGAAAAAUCACGUUGUGGCUUUCACGUAGGUUAGAAAACGUUCUUGCUAGAACCCUACUUCAGCCACGUAAAACUUGCAACAACAAUUAGAGGAUGUCUAACUUGUUUUUGCAGCAAGUGCUUUGUGAUAUGAUAUGGCCAAAGUUGUGAUGAAUAAUACAUAUGUGAUGUAUGAGAUGUUCGUGCUAUUGUAAUAGGAAUCACGACUUGCAUGUCGAUGAGUAUGACAACCGGCAGGAGCCAUAGGAGUUGUCUUUAUUCUUUUAUAUGACCUGCGUGUCAUUGAGAAACGCCAUGUAAAUUACUUUACUUUAUUGCUAAACACGUUAGCCUUAGUAGUAGAAGUAAUAGUUGGCGAGCAACUUCAUGGAGACACGAUGAUGGAGAUCAUGAUGAUGGAGAUCAUGGUGUCAUGCCGGUGACAAGAUGAUCAUGGAGCUCCAAGAUGGAGAUCAAAGGAGCUAUGUGAUAUUGGCCAUAUCAUGUCACUAUUAUUAUUUGAUUGCAUUUGAUGUUUAUCAUGUUUUGCAUCUUGUUUACUUAGAACGACGGUAGUGAAUAAGAUGAUCCCUCAUAAUAAUUUCAAGCAAGUGUUCCCCCUAACUGUGCACCGUUGCGACAGUUCAUUGCUUCAAUGCACCACGUGAUGAUCGGGUGUUUGAUUCAAACGUUCACAUACAACGGGUGUAAGACAGAUUUACACAUGCAAACACUUAGGUUGACUUGACGAGCCUAGCAUGUGUAUAGACAUGGCCUCGGAACACAGAAGACCAAAAGGUCGAGCAUGAGUCGUAUAGAAGAUACGAUCAACAUGAAGAUGUUCAUCGAUGUUGACUAGUCCGUCUCACGUGAUGAUCGGACACGGCCUAGUUGACUCGGAUCAUGUUAUACUUAGAUGACUAGAAGAGGGAUGUCUAUCUAAGUGGGAGUUCAUUCAAUAAUUUGAUUAGAUGAACUUAAUUAUCAUGAACUUAGUCUAAAAUCUUUGCAAUAUGUCUUGUAGAUCAAAUGGCCAACGUAGUCCUCAACUUCAACGCGUUCCUAGAGAAAACCAAACUGAAAGAUGAUGGCAGUAACUAUACGGAAUGGGUCUGGAACCUGAGGAUUAUCCUCAUAGCUGCCAAGAAAGAUUAUGUCCUACAAGCACCGCUAGGUGAAGCUCCCGUCCCAUGGAACCAAGAUGUUAUGAACGCUUGGCAGACACGUGCUGAUGACUACUCCCUCGUUCAGUGCGGCAUGCUUUACAGUUUAGAGCCGGGGCUCCAAAAGCGUUUUGAGAGACAUAGAGCAUAUGAGAUGUUCGAAGAGCUGAAAAUGGUGUUUCAAGCUCAUGCCCGGGUCGAGAGAUAUGAGGUCUCCGACAAAUUCUUCAGUUGUAAGAUGGAGGAAAAUAGUUCUGUCAGUGAGCACAUACUCACUAUGUCUGGGUUACAUAAUCGCUUGACUCAGCUGGGAGUUAAUCUCCUGGAUGAUGCGGUCAUUGACAGAAUCCUCCAGUCGCUUCCACCAAGCUACAAGAGCUUUGUGAUGAACUUCAAUAUGCAGGGGAUGGAAAAGACCAUUCCUGAGGUAUUUACAAUGCUGAAAUCAGCAGAGGUAGAAGUCAAGAAGGAACAUCAAGUGUUGAUGGUCAAUAAAACCACUAAGUUCAAGAAGGGCAAGGGUAAAAAGAACUUCAAGAAGGACGGCAAGGGAGUUGCCGCGCCCGGCAAGCAAGCUGCCGGGAAGAAGCCAAAGAAUGGUCCCAAGCCCGAGACUGAGUGCUUUUAUUAUAAGGGAAGCGGUCACUGGAAGCGGAACUGCCCCAAAUACUUAGCGGACAAGAAGGCCGGCAAAACAAAAGGUAUAUGUGAUAUACAUGUAAUUGAUGUGUACCUUACCAGUACCCGUAGUAGCUCCUGGGUAUUUGAUACUGGUGUAGUUGCUCACAUUUGUAACUCAAAGCAGGGGCUGCGGAAUAAGCGGAGACUGGCGAAGGACGAGGUGACGAUGCGCGUCGGGAAUGGUUCCAAGGUCAAUGUAAUCGCCGUCGGCACGUUACCUCUAUAUUUACCUUCGGGAUUAGUUGUAAACCUUAAUAAUUGUUAUUUAGUACCAGCUUUGAGCAUGAACAUUGUAUUGGGAUCUCGUUUAAUUCAAGAUGGCUACUCAUUUAAAUCCGAGAAUAAUGGUUGUUCUAUUUAUAUGAGAGAUAUGUUUUAUGGUCAUGCUCCUAUGGUGAAUGGUUUAUUCUUAAUGAAUCUCGAGCGUAAUGCUACACAUAUUCAUAGUGUGAGUACCAAAAGAUGUAAGGUUGAUAAUGAUAGUCCCACAUACUUGUGGCACUGCCGCCUUGGUCACAUAGGUGUCAAACGCAUGAAGAAGCUCCAUGCAGAUGGACUUUUAGAGUCUCUUGAUUAUGAAUCAUUUGACACGUGCGAACCAUGCCUCGUGGGUAAAAUGACCAAGACUCCGUUCUCAGGAACAAUGGAGCGAGCAACCAACUUAUUGGAAAUCAUACAUACUGAUGUGUGCGGUCCAAUGAGCGUUGAGGCUCGCGGUGGCUAUCGUUAUGUUCUCACCCUCACUGAUGACUUGAGUAGAUAUGGGUAUGUCUACUUAAUGAAACACAAGUCUGAAACCUUUGAAAAGUUCAAGGAAUUUCAGAGUGAGGUUGAGAAUCAACGUGACAGGAAAAUCAAGGUUCUACGAUCAGAUCAUGGAUGCGAAUACUUGAGUCACGAAUUUGGCACACACUUAAGAAAAUGUGGAAUAGUUUCACAACUCACGCCGCCUGGAACACCUCAGCGUAACGGUGUGUCCGAACGUCGUAAUCGCACUCUAUUAGAUAUGGUACGAUCUAUGAUGUCUCUUACCGAUUUACCACUAUCUUUUUGGGGCUAUGCUUUAGAGACUGCCGCAUUCACUUUAAAUAGGGCUCCGUCGAAAUCCGUUGAGACGACACCGUUUGAAUUAUGGUUUGGGAAGAAACCUAAGCUGUCGUUUCUAAAAGUUUGGGGAUGCGAUGCUUAUGUCAAGAAACUUCAACCUGAAAAGCUCGAACCCAAGUCGGAAAAAUGCGUCUUCAUAGGAUACCCUAAAGAAACUGUUGGGUAUACCUUCUACCUCAGAUCCGAAGGCAAGAUUUUUGUUGCCAGGAAUGGAUGCUUUCUAGAGAAGGAGUUUCUCUCGAAAGAAGUAAGUGGGAGGAAAGUAGAACUUGAUGAAGUGUUACCUCUUGAACCGGAAAAUGGCGCAACUCAAGAAAAUGUUCAUGAGGUGCCUGCACCGACUAGAGAGGAGGUUAAUGAUGAUGAUCAUGAAACUUCUGAUCAAGUUGCUACUGAACUUCGAAGGUCCAUAAGGACACGUUCCGCACCAGAGUGGUACGGCAACCCUGUCUUGGAAAUCAUGUUGUUAGGCAACGGUGAACCUUCGAACUAUGAAGAAGCGAUGGCGGGCCCGGAUUCCGACAAAUGGCUAGAAGCCAUGAAAUCCGAGAUAGGAUCCAUGUAUGAAAAUGAAGUAUGGACUUUGACUGACUUGCCCGUUGAACGGCGAGCCAUAGAAAAUAAAUGGAUCUUUAAGAAGAAGACAGACGCGGAUGGUAAUGUGACCAUCUAUAAAGCUCGGCUUGUCGCUAAGGGUUAUCGACAAGUUCAAGGGGUUGACUACGAUGAGACUUUCUCACCGGUAGCGAAGCUGAAGUCCGUCCGAAUCAUGUUAGCAUUUGCCGCAUUCUACGAUUAUGAGAUAUGGCAAAUGGAUGUCAAAACGGCAUUAAUUAAUGGUUUCCUUAAGGAAGAAUUGUAUAUGAUGCAGCCGGAAGGUUUUGUCGAUCCUAAGAAUGCUGACAAGGUGUGCAAGCUCCAACGCUCGAUUUAUGGGCUGGUGCAAGCAUCUCGGAGUUGGAACAUUCGCUUUGAUGAGAUGAUCAAAGUGUUUGGGUUUACUCAGACUUAUGGAGAGGCCUGCGUUUACAAGAAAGUGAGUGGGAGCUCUGUAGCAUUUCUCAUAUUAUAUGUAGAUGACAUACUUUUGAUGGGAAAUGAUAUAGAACUCUUGGACAGCAUCAAGGCCUACUUGAAUAAGAGUUUUUCAAUGAAGGACCUUGGAGAAGCUGCUUAUAUAUUAGGCAUCCAGAUCUAUAGAGAUAGAUCAAGAUGCCUCAUAGGUCUUUCACAAAGCACAUACCUUGAUAAGAUAUUGAAGAAGUUCAAUAUGGAUCAAUCUAAGAAGGGGUUCUUGCCUGUGUUACAAGGUAUGAAAUUGAGCUCAGCUCAAUGUCCGACCAUGGCAGAAGAUAUAGAAGAGAUGAGUGUCAUCCCCUAUGCCUCAGCCAUAGGUUCUAUUAUGUAUGCCAUGCUGUAUACCAGACCUGAUGUAAACCUUGCCGUAAGUUUGGUAGGAAGGUACCAAAGUAAUCCCGGCAAGGAACACUGGACAGCGGUCAAGAAUAUCCUGAAGUACCUAAAAAGGACUAAGGAAAUGUUUCUCGUUUAUGGAGGUGACGAAGAGCUCGUCGUAAAGGGUUACGUCAACGCUAGCUUCGACACAGAUCUGGAUGACUCUAAGUCACAAACCGGAUACGUGUAUAUUUUGAAUGGUGGGGCAGUAAGCUGGUGCAGUUGCAAGCAGAGCGUCGUGGCGGGAUCUACAUGUGAAGCGGAGUACAUGGCAGCCUCGGAGGCAGCACAUGAAGCAAUUUGGGUGAAGGAGUUCAUCACCGACCUAGGAGUCAUACCCAAUGCGUCGGGGCUGAUCAAGCUCUUCUUUGACAACACUGGAGCUAUUGCACUUGCCAAGGAGCCCAGGUUUCACAAGAAGACAAGGCACAUCAAGCGUCGCUUCAACUCCAUUCGUGAAAAUGUUCAAGAUGGAGACAUAGAUAUUUGUGAAGUACAUACGGACCUGAAUGUAGCAGAUCCGUUGACUAAACCUCUCCCUAGAGCAAAACAUGAUCAACACCAGAAUUCCAUGGGUGUUCGAUUCAUCACAAUGUAACUAGAUUAUUGACUCUAGUGCAAGUGGGAGACUGUUGGAAAUAUGCCCUAGAGGCAAUAAUAAAAGCAUUGUUAUUAUAUUUCCUUGUUCAUGAUAAUUGUCUUUAUUCAUGCUAUAAUUGUGUUAUCCGGAAAUCGUAAUACAUGUGUGAAUAACAGACACCAACAUGUCCCUAGUAAGCCUCUAGUUAACUAGUUCGUUGAUCAACAGAUAGUCAUGGUUUCUUGACUAUGGACAUUGGAUGUCAUUGAUAACGAGAUCACAUCAUUAGGAGAAUGAUGUGAUGGACAAGACCCAAUCAUAAACAUAGCAUAAAGAUCGUGUAGUUCGUUUGCUAGAGUUUUUCCAAUGUCAAGUAUCCUUUCCUUAGACCAUGAGAUCGUGUAACUCCCGGAUACCGUAAGAGUGCUUUGGGUGUACCAAACGUCACAACGUAACUGGGUGACUAUAAAGGUAUACUACGGGUAUCUCCGAAAGUGUCUGUUGGGUUGACACGGAUCUAGACUGGGAUUUGUCACUCCGUAUGACGGAGAGGUAUCACUGGGCCCACUCGGUAAUGCAUCAUCAUAAUGAGCUCAAAGUGACCAAGUGUCUGGUCACGGGAUCAUGCAUUACGGUACGAGUAAAGUGACUUGCCGGUAACGAGAUUGAAUGAGGUAUUGGGAUAACGACGAUCGAAUCUCGGGCAAGUAACAUAUCGAUUGGCAAAGGGAAUUGUAUACGGGGUUGCUUGAAUCCUCGACAUCGUGGUUCAUCCAAUGAGAUCAUCGUGGAGCAUGUGGGAGCCAACAUGGGUAUCCAGAUCCCGUUGUUGGUUAUUGACCGGAGAGUCGUCUCGGUUAUGUCUGCCUGUCUCCCGAACCCGUAGGGUCUACACACUUAAGGUUCAGUGACGCUAGGGUUGUAGGAAUAUGUAUAUGCAGUAACCCGAAUGUUGUUCGGAGUCCCGGAUGAGAUCCCGGACGUCACGAGGAGUUCCGGAAUGGUCCGGAGGUAAAGAAUUAUAUAUGGGAAGUGGUAUUUCGGCCAUCGGGACAAGUUUCGGGGUCACCGGUAUUGUACCGGGACCACCGGAAGGGUCCCGGGGGUCCACCGGGUGGGGCCACCUAUCCCGGAGGGCCCCUUGGGCUGAAGUGGGAAGGGACCCAGCCCAAAGUGGGCUGGGGCGCCUCUCCCCUAGGGCCCAUGCGGCUAGGGUUUGGGGGAAACCCUAAAAGGGGGCGCCCCCUUGCUUGGGGGGCAAGCCCCCCACCCCUUGGCCGCCGCCGCCCCCCCCCCCUAGGAGAAUAGAUCUCCUAGGGCCGGCGCCCCCCCCCUUGGCCCUCCUAUAUAUAGUGGGGGAGGGAGGGCUAUUCUCUCACGCCUUUGGUUGCCUCCCUCUCCCUCUCCAACACCUCCUCCUCCUCCAUAGUGCUUGGCGAAGCCCUGACGGAGUUCUGCAGCUCCACCAUCACCACGCCGUCGUGCUGCUGCUGGAGCCAUCUUCCUCAACCUCUUCUUCCCUCUUGCUGGAUCAAGAAGAAGGAGACGUUACGCUAACCGUACGUGUGUUGAACGCGGAGGUGCCGUCCGUUCGGCGCUAGGAUCUCCGGUGAUUUGAAUCACGUCGUGUACGACUACUUCAUCCACGUUCUUUGAACACUUCCGCUCGCGAUCUACAAAGGUAUGUAGAUGCAUCCGAUGACUCGUUGCUAGAUGAACUCAUAGAUAGAUCUUGGGGAAACUGUAGGAAAAUUUUCUGCAACGUUCCCCAACAAGUUUCACAAUCUCAUGGUCUAAGGAAAUGAUACUUGACAUUCGGAAAAGCUACAGCAGAUGAACUACACGACCUUUGAGCUAUGCUUAGGAUUGGGUCUUGUCCAUCACAUCAUUCUCCUAAUGAUGUGAUACCGUUAUGAAUGACAUCCAAUGUCCAUAGUCAGGAAACCAUGACUAUCUUUUGAUCAACAAGCUAGUCAACUAGAGGCUCACUAGGGACGUGUUGUGGUCUAUGUAUUCACACAUGUAUUACGAUUUCCGGAUAACACAAUUAUAGCAUGAACAAUAGACAAUUAUCAUGAACAAAGAAAUAUAAUAAUAACCAUUUUAUUAUUGCCUCUAGGGCAUAUUUCCAACACCUACGUACCCCCAAACGAUCAUAUACGGAGCCAAAACCCUAAUUCCACCGCCGCAACUUUCUGUAUCCACGAGAUCCCAUCUUGGGGCCUGUUCCGGAGCUCCGCCAGAGGGGGCAUCGAUCACGGAGGGCUUCUACAUCAACACCAUAGCCUCUCCGAUGAAGUGUGAGUAGUUCACCUCAGACCUACGGUUCCAUAGUUAUUAGCUAGAUGGCUUCUUCUCUCUUUUUGGAUCUCAAUACAAUGUUCUCCCCCUCUCUUGUGGAGAACUAUUCGAUGUAAUCUUCUUUUUGCGGUGUGUUUGUUGAGACCGAUGAAUUGUGGGUUUAUGAUCAAGUCUAUCUAUGAAUAAUAUUUGAAUCUUCUCUGAAUUCUUUUAUGUAUGAUAGGUUAUCUUUGAAAGUCUUUUCGAAUUAUCAGUUUGGUUUGGCCUACUAGAUUGAUCUUUCUUGCAAUGGGAGAAGUGCUUAGCUUUGGGUUCAAUCUUGCGGUGUCCUUUCCCAGUGACAGUAGGGGCAGCAUGGCACGUAUUAUAUUGUUGCCAUCGAGGACAACAAGAUGGAGUUUUCAUCAUAUUGCAUGAGUCUAUCCCUCUACAUCAUGUCAUCUUGCUUAAGGCCUUAAUCUGUUUUUAACUUAAUACUCUAGAUGCUUGCUGGAUAGCGGUCGAUUAGUGGAGUAAUAGUAGUAGAUGCAGGCAGGAGUCGGUCUACUUGUCUCGGACAUGAUGCCUAUAUAUAUGAUCAUACCUAGAUAUUCUCAAAACUAUGCUCAAUUCUGUCAAUUGCUCAACAAUAAUUUGUUCACCCACCGUAGAAUACUUAUGCUCUCGAGAGAAGCCACUAGUGAAACCUAUGGCCCCCGGGUCUAUCUUUAUCAUAUUAAUCUCCUACUACUUAGUUAUUUCCUUUGCUUUUUACUUUGCCUUUAUUUUACUUCGCAUCUUUAUCACAAAAAUACGAAAAAAAUUAUCUUUAUCAUAUCUAUCAAAUCUCACCCUCGUAAGUGGCCGUUUAGGGAUUGACAACCCCUAUUCGCGUCGGUUGUGAGGAUUUAUUUGUUUUGUGCAGGUACAAGGGACUCGCGCGUAGCCUCCUACUGGAUUGAUACCUUGGUUCUCAAAACCUAUUUGAUUGCCGUAGCACGAUCGCGCUUCCUCGGGCGCUAUUGUCUCAAAAAUACCGUCGUCCAUCUCCGUGACCUCCAGUCUACUACUCAUGAGCUGGUUUGGGCGCCGUGGCCUCUUUGCUUUCGGUUCUAGACCAGCUCCGCUAGUCUCGGCGCCUGUCUCAGUCUCAUCGCCGAUCUGCAUGUCGGUAUCAGUCCCCGAUGCGACAUCACAGUUGCUGCAACAUGGGAAAGGGAGACCACGUCAGUGCUGGGGGGUCUGAAAAUCGGAACACACUUUCGCGCGUUGCGGGCCGCCUCUCAGACAGCUACUGGGGAGGCGGCGGAGUACCUGGGUGCGCGGCGAAUCCCCGGGAACUCGGUGACCAACUUCCUUCCCGUGUGGCGCAUGGAGACGACGGCGACCCCGGCGAAGAGCAGCUUAGCCGCGAGCUGCACAGCCUCGUCCACCUCCUAAGUUGGGACCUCCGUGCGAGCGUUGCGGGGCCGCCACUCGGAUGGCUUCUGGAAGGCGGUUGUACAUGGGCACAUGGUGAAUCCCGGCGAGAGCUUGCCAUUGGCGCGCUCAAGUAGACGACGACGUCCUCGACGAAGAGCAGCCCGGCCAGCUCGCCUCACUAUCGUUUGAUUAGAAAUGAAAGAUUGGGAAGAAGCAGACUUGAGCCUGCAGGGAAAGGAUAAGGUGACGAUGCAGUCUCCACUCGUUCGGGGCGACACUCGUACUGAAUGUAUGAGAAAUCUGACGUGGCAGAGACCCCAAGAUACUCCCUCCAUUUAUUUUUAGUCUGCAUAUAAAGUUUGGUCAAAGUCAAGAUUUGUAAAUUUUAACUAACUUUAUAAUAAAAAAAUAUCAACAUUCACAAUAUGAAAUCAAUAUUACCAGAUGCGUCAUGAAAUGUAUUUCCAUACUAUAUAGUUUUGGUAUUGUAGAUGUUCAUAUUUUUUUAUAUAUAUGGGAAGUAGAGGCACUCUUCUAUACUAUAUUCAGAUGUAUGAUAUCUGUUAUUUAAGCGCUUGAAUUUUACAUACGAAUAUUUAUUAUUAAAUAUGUACCCCUACAAUAGCUAGGCCGUGCAGUUGCACGGGUAGAUGACUAGUGAUUACAAUCUUGUUUGUGUGCAAGUCAAGCUUAUCUAGUUUACACGUAACAACUUGUAGAACAUUACAAAAUUUAUGCUUGCUAAUAACUUUUAGAACACUACAACACUUGACAUGUAAAAGGAAUUUGACUGAGUCAUGGCCUACUAAAGCAAGUUACAUUACUAGUCUUAUCUAUCUUAACAGACCACACAAGAUUACAAACUAAGUACCGUGACAGCCAUGCUUAUCUAGUUUAUGCGUAACAAUUUGCAGAAAAUUACAAACUUAGUUUCAGAAAGAUAGGCAAUCUAGAUUAGUGUUUGAGCUGUAAAGUGAAUAAGAUGAGUCAUGCAUGUUAUCACACCUUUUUGGUGGUCGAAUGAUAGUGCAACAACAAGGAACUUUAAUGACCAGUCCAAGAAUACACUUGUAAGUAGUGCCACCAAACAGAACAUACCAAAUGAUCAUUCCAUGGCAGCUAUAAAUAGCCCCAUAGCAUGACGAUCAUCCUUCCUCAUCCAUCAUUCUCAUAAGUAGAGCACAUCAUUUAAGCCAAGCAAGUUGUGGUCAAUACAAAUCCACCAUGAAGACCUUUCUCAUCCUUGCCCUCCUUGCUAUCGUGGCGACCACCGCCACAACCGCAGUUAGAGUUCCAGUGCCACAAUUGCAGCCACAAAAUCCAUCUCAGCAACAGCCACAAGAGCAAGUUCCAUUGGUACAACAACAACAAUUUCUAGGGCAGCAACAAACAUUUCCACCACAACAACCAUAUCCACAGCUGCAACCAUUUCCAUCACAACAACCAUAUCUACAGCUGCAACCAUUUCCGCAGCCGCAACUACCAUAUUCGCAGCCACAACCAUUUCGACCACAACAACCAUAUCCACAACCGCAACCACAGUAUUCGCAACCACAACAACCAAUUUCACAGCAUCAACAGCAGCAGCAGCAACAACAACAACAACAACAACAACAACAAAUCCUUCAACAAAUUUUGCAACAACAACUGAUUCCAUGCAUGGAUGUUGUAUUGCAGCAACACAACAUAGCGCAAGGAAGAUCACAAGUUUUGCAACAAAGUACUUACCAGCUGUUGCAAGAAUUGUGUUGUCAGCACCUAUGGCAGAUCCCUGAGCAGUCGCAGUGCCAGGCCAUCCACAAUGUUGUUCAUGCUAUUAUUCUGCAUCAACAACAACAAAAACAACAACAACAACAACAACAACAACCAUCGAGCCAGGUCUCCUUCCAACAGCCUCAGCAACAAUAUCCAUUAGGCUAGGGCUCCUUCCGGCCAUCUCAGCAAAACCCACAGGCCCAGGGCUCUGUCCAGCCUCAACAACUGCCCCAGUUCGAGGAAAUAAGGAACCUAGCGCUACAGACACUACCUGCAAUUUGCAAUGUCUACAUCCCUCCAUAUUGCACCAUCGCGCCAUUUGGCAUCUUCGGUACUAACUGAGAAGAAAAUAACUCUAGUACUAGAUAUAUGAAACACCGUUUUCUCAGUCCAUGGUUUGGUCGUUGUAGCGGUGAAAAAAUAAUGUGGCAUGCACUAUCAUGUAAGAACCCAAACUAUACUAGUUCAAACUUGGGAAUAAAAGACAAACACAGGUCUUGUCUACAUAUUUAUGUUGCAUCUAUUUAUAUAUUAAAAGUAAUAUAAGGUGAACCAGGAGCAAGGUAAAUAUGCUAGAAAAUUGCACGUUAAUUAGAAAUUACUAGCCCUCAAUCUGGUAAAUCUUAACAAAUAGAAUUAUCUUGACCGUUAGAUUUAUGUAACAUAUAUAAUGCUCUGGGCCUCCAACGACUGUACGUGACACAUCUGAACGCACAUAUCUUAAAGAAAAUAUAUUUGGUAAAUGGUGGGCCUCUUUAAAAAGAGAACUCACGUACAUGCACCAACUAAGAAAAACACAUACAUGUAAACGGGAAAAGGAUGAGAUUUUCUCACGUACGUGCUCCCUGGCUCCACCCCGUUGAAAAAAUAUACAUCUGGAGGCCACUUUGUUUCCUCAUCAAAAAAAAACUUACGUUAAAAAGAUUGCAUGCAUCCCAGGGAAAAUAGUCAAGAAGAAGUCGGCUCUUCCUUACAAAAACAAGGAACGUGUUAAGUUGACUUCAAAGAAAAAAGGAACAUGUUAAGUUAAAAAAAACAAGAAACCUGUUAAGUUAGAAAAAAACAAGGAACGUGUUGUCCUAGGAAAGAUAUGUGUCAAAUCUUACAAAAAAAAAGAAUACACACACGUACGUUCAUGCACUUGGAAAAUAGAAAAAAAAGGAACAUCACGUAUGUAUACACUUCGGAAACUCAUUACAUGACCAUGUCUGAUAUACUCCUCUAAUGCUUAAUAUUAGUGCCUAAUAAUUUAUAUUUAAAAUUUAAUUUACUGAUCAAAUAUCCCCACUGUAUAAAUUUUAAUUUGGCACAUUGUUUGGCUAUAGUAUGAACCUAAAUUUCCUCUUAUUAUUAUAUAUCAUGGUAAUAAUCCAAAGGCGACUAAUCUGCGCCGGCGCACCGGCGCAAUCAAUUCGGCCCGACACAGCGCGGCCGUUUGAUUAGAUUGCAUUUAACCGUCAGAUCUGGAAUCAUUUUAUUUCCAAUUAAACGGAUUCAACCAAACAGCAGAGAGGAAAACAAAGCAGCGCCGCCGCCAACACUAGCCAUGGACGACCGAUGUAGCAAAACCUUGAAGAACCGCCGCCGGUCGCCACCCUUGCCGCUGGUCGCCGCCCUCGCCGCCUGUGUUUCUCAUCGGCUUCAUGCAUGCAACAACAUGCACUCGUGAUUGCAGGCUUGCAGCUCCGGCUCUGGGGGACAUGGCCGCAUCUCCAGUAGCGCCGGCCGCCGGCCGCAGCACCUGUCGUUGUGGUCACGCUGUACCUCGCCGUGUGCCCUCCCAAGGAUCUUGCUGGUUCCAACAAAAAACGAUACCUGUUGUAGCAAAAAAGUUUAUCGCUUCCAGCAAAAAAGCUUACCGCUACAGCCCGCCAUCAUCAUUGUAGCAAAAAUGUUAACUCGAUGUAGCUUCUGUGGUUGCCGACUGCAGCCAAAAAUGACGUGGUUGUAGCAAAACACAAAAGAAAAACUCCGGCCGUCCGCUGUGUAUGGUGGUAACAAACCCUAUAGCCGGUGGUAGCGAAAAACUUCAUUGUUUGCAGCAAAAAAAUGUUGUCGCCCAUCGUCGAGGUUGCAUCAUCUUCAUGAAUUAUGUCGCAAAAAAACGUUGUCGCCGGUAGUAGCAAAUGAAGCCGCCGGUAGAAACAAAACAAGACACUGGUUCCAGCCAAAAAAAAAUCAGCGACAGAACCUUUUGUUGGUUCCAACAAAAAAACUUGUCGGUUGUAGCAUCCCUCGCCGCCGGAUGUAGCAUCUCCCAGGGCUGGUUGCAACACUCCAUAAAAAAAGGUUGUCUACGAGCGCAUCCAUGGCAACUGCUGCACCGUCAGCAACGAGGGGAAGAGGAGGCAAUGAAAAUCGUUCGAGUCGUAGCUCCACAGGACGCGGGUGCAGCAUAGGGAGUCCAAAAAUCUGUCACAAGCAAGAUGCGCCUUGCCAUCCUCCUGCGCAGGAGAGAGAAGAAAAAGGAAUAAGAGGAAGAAGAAAGGAAACGGGAGAAAGAAAAAAAGAAACGAUUGGUUGUGGGCUCAGGCAAUUAGUCAAACGAGGGGCACGCGGGGCCGCAGGAUACAGCGCAAUCGAACGAAGUGCGCGCGUCUGGCCGAAGACUCAGCUGGACUGCCGGCUGGAAAUGUUUCCCUAAUACAAAGGCUUUUCUGAAUGACAAGUCGUCUGAGUUAUCGGCUAACUAGAAAAAAGAUAAAUAUGCUAGAUAAUUCCAUAAUCAUUAGAAAUAUCUAGCCUUUAAUUAUGUAAAUCAGAAAAUCACAACCGUUGGAUUUACUUUAAAGGUAAAUUUCUCUAAAUUCCCACCAUUGCCAGUAUGUAGAAACAUGUGCUGCUUCAAUUCUCCCUUAAUCACCAAUCAAUCAACAACAGAAAACAUACCGCAGUUCAAAAAACUGAACAAAAAAAAGAAAAAAAGAAGAAAGGACAAGAUACACGCAUGUACACGACAGCCUUGGCUUGAAACACAUCAGUAAAUCAAGUGUCCACCUCCCUUACACAGAAUAAAUUCUAGGGAAGAAAAUAAUAGUGCAACCUAACCUUAUACGUACUAUUCUAUCCUCACGUCCCAUGAGGUUUACUAGCCUACUGCCGCCGCAUCAUGCCAUCCUCUCCUUUCAGCUCCCAUGCUCUCCAGCACCCUCCUUGCGGCGCCACUACUCGCCUAGGGAUAUUGCUGCUCAGACCGUGGAGCUUAACCUGCUUCUUCUUCAGCAAAUAUGGAACUGCUUUAGGAUCCUUCUGACAUCAGCGCGUAUGGGCCUCAUUAUACUGCAGCUCCUGGACCUCCUACAAUUGGUUGGCUAUGGCCAGUUGAUCGAUUUGCUGAUGUCCAGGUCUGUUUGCUGGCACAUAUGCUUUGGAAAUAGGCCACUAUGUUUGUACUUCAAAAUUGUUUCUGUAUUCUUUAGUGGUACAUCCUUUUAAGCGCCAGUUUUUUAUGUUAAUUCAUGCUGACAACACUUAACCUAGCCUUUCAUGUUCACGUACUAAAUACAGGAGCAAGUAAAAACAACAGACCACCUAAUUGCUCUGCAAGUUCUACAUAGGAAAAUUUGUCAUGUUCUACGAUCGCACUAUCCCACCCUUCUCUCUUGGUAUGGGCGCCAAUUGAGGGAUUGAUAAAAUUGAAACGAAGCCGUCACAGGGCUGGAAGUACCGCUAGCCUGGUUCGCACUGCAACCUACCCAACGCCAUCAGAAACUAGCAACUGAGUCAGGUGUUGAUCGAUUCUCUCAAAUUGCUCUCAUGUAAGUACUACCCCUUGCAUGUGCGUACAUACCUUUGUUGCAUUCUCAAACAGAUAGAACAUGUAUGAUCGGUGCAUGGCUAUUUUUCAUCACAUGACAUCCAGAUAACAAGCAUGAAAGGACUACAUUGGAGAUCAAAAAAUAUUGGUUCCUGGCUAGAGUACCACUACCUAUGGACUUGUCUCCAUAGAAUUUGUUCCCAAGAUGUUAUUUUAAUUAACCUCUUUAGCUUUCUUCCAUUGCAAACGGUGAUGUGCAUCUUGGUAUAUACGUGACCAUCUUGCACAUGUAUACACAAGAGGCUCAGACGGAGGUGUUGGAUUCUGGACGAGGGAAUAUAAAGCAGGAGUGAGCGAAGUGUAAAUAAUGGUGGGAGUACCGAUUGGUGUUAUGAAGAAAAAUGCCAUCAAAAGAUUGAUUAGUGUCAUGGAAGAUUAAUUUCUGAAUGCGAAUAUAUAUGUUACAUUGGUUUGGAUCUUUUUGAGAUAAUUGCACCUAAAUUAGGUUCUUUCUUAUUUCAUAUGUAUACCUUAUUUCAGUAAAAGUUCACAACGAACUUAGUAGGACAAAUAUAAUUUUGUUUGUUCUUUCUGUUGUCCGCCACCAAAGCUCAAUUUGAACUCUCUAGAAAUGGACAAUGAUUUAUGCAUUCUAUAUCUUCUUGAUUGAUUAGCCAUGACAAGGAAAUAAAAGGAUUGACUGAUAUAGCAUAACUUUGGAACGAUUAGAGGUUACUACAAAUAAGAGUAGUGUCUGUUGGAAUUUUGCUAGUAGGCCUUUGGCCCAAAGCCCAACUAAAAUUCUGAAAUUCUCUUGGCUCAUUUAUACACACAUGUGAGUUGAGUGAGUGAGACUAAAGUUUAGUCCCACCCCGGAAGUUGAGAGAGAGUUGCACCUCUUUAUAAGGUGAGCUCUUCUACCACUUGUAUGAGCAUGAGAAGAGGAGACCUACACGCGCGCUCCUCCUCCACGCUCGCCACGCCUCGUCGCGCCGCGCCGUGCCGCGGGUUGCGGGAUUGAGCCGAGCCGAGGACGUUUUCUAUAUUUUUGCUGCUCGGGAAAAAUUAAUGAGUCAUUAAUUAAUAAUUAAUGGACACAUUAAUUACUGAACCGUUUCCGAUUUUUUUGGAUCGUGACGACUCGGACGUGGGGUUUACUCCCAGGACCUACCCGGCCCGCACUAUAUAGUCAGGAAGAUGUCUACCCUAGCCGCCGCCGCUUCGUAUGGUUUCUCACCAUCGUUACAGAUCAUUGCGCCGCCAAGCAAGUUUUCUCCAUCCCUCCUUUCGGCGUGCACCGGGAGAAGGGACAGCAGACCUCCGGAACCCCGCCUCUCGUGAUCCUAUACGGGAGAGGGGCGAUCAGGUUUUUGGGGAGCGCACUCGCAUGACUGCUUGCAGCGACGACUUCGCAAACGACGACUUCUUCCCCGACCUCGGCAACCUCAUCCUCGACGACAUGGGCGACAACGUCAACGCCGGCGAUGCUACACCCACUGCACCGUAUGUUAUUCUCUCCUUCUUGUUCGAGAUCGUGGUAGAAUUCAUGUUUCUAGUAUAUGUGCCCUAGAUGUGAUCUGUUCAUCUACUAUGGUAGUUCGCAUGAUUAGUUUAAUCUCUGCUAUUGCUGUCAUGAUCUAUUUCCUAUUUAUUCGGAUUAAAUCUCUUUGUAAUUUGCUCAUUUUUCCAACAAUCCAAAAACCUGAUUAUAGGAAAUUUACUCCGAGUGGUUUUGCUGCGCAUCUGAAAGCCGCUUGCCUUUAAGGGGGCGCAAUAUAAGAGGUGGCGCACCAGAGCAGUCUACUGGUUUCAGAUCAUGGGCUGCUAUGACGCCACCAAGGGCAAGCCUGAGGGCGAUCUUAAUCCAGCACAGCUGGAAGCUUUCAAGAAGAUCAAUACCCUCUUUAAAGGCACGCUUCUGAGUGUUCUUGAUGACUCCAUUGUAGAUUCGUAUAUGUCGUUUGACAACGGCAAGAACAUGUGGGCUACGCUCGAGGCCAAGUUUGGUGCCUCGGACGCCGGCAGCGAGUUGUACGUCAUGGAGCAAUUAUAUGACUCCAAGAUGACUGAUGGGCGCCCUGUUGUACAUGGGCGACUUCUUCCCCGACCUCGGCAACCUCAUCCUCGACGACAUGGGUGACAACGUCAAUGCCAGCGGUGCUACACCCACUGCACCGUAUGUUAUUCUAUCCUUCUUGUUCGAGAUCGUGGUAGAAUUCAGAUUUCUAGCAUGUUCCCUAGAUGUGAUCUGUUCAUCUACUAUGCUAAUUCGCAUGAUUAGUUUAAUCUCUGCUAUUGCUGUCAUGAUCUAUUUCCUAUUUAUUCGGAUUAAAUCUCGUAGUAAUUUGCUCAUUUUUCCAACAGUGCCAUCCAAUAGAUGAUGUAAAUCUCCUCAAGUUUGACGUUGUUGAGCUAAUUUACAAAAAAAACCUCAUCAUUAUUGGAUGUCCUUAACAGCUCAAGAACAAGUUGGGGUCGAAAUAAUGGAUUUUACACUUUUACAUUAAAGGUUUAGCUAAAGCAAGCAGGUGUUUUUAAAACUGAAUUUUUUCCUCCUGAAUUUCUUUGUAUUUUCUUAUUGACACUAUUUAUACAAUCAUCUGACAAAGAUUAGCUAAAGCUGUUUGUAGAUACGUUGAAACCUGAAAAGCUUCUUUGGUUAUCCUUUUAAUAGUUCUACGUUUAUUUUCUCAUAGGUCAUAAUUCUUAUGUAAUACCAAGAUGCAUUGUGGUAGUGUACAUGUGUUAAAUUCAGGUUGUUAUUCACAAUUUGCGACAAAAUUUAGCUCACGCUACAUUUAAAUAUGUUGAAAUGUGAAAGCUCUUUUUCUUCUCCUUUCUACACCUUGCAUCGGAUUGCAUCCCUUUAGUUAUCCAACAUUUUGUUCAACAUGUAGAGAUUAGGAAGUUCAUCAUAGUUUGUCUAUUUCCGUGCUAAUAAAUGUAUGAAAUCUGCAUUUCCAAGCUACUAGGACAAGUAAAAAAUAAUAAUUUUACUAGAGGAUUCAAAAACAGCAGUUCUGAAGUGCACUUUAUUUAUUUGUGAAAGUGAUCACAUUUUGUUUCAUUUUUCUAUAGACAAAUCUACUAAUACAUACUCACGAUAAAACUAUAAAAGUUCUAGUCCGCACAUUGGGCGGGCCACCCGGCUAGUUAGUCUAAAGAUAACAAAAUGAGUCUGGAAUUUGAAUUAAAUUGAAGUAUUUUCUUGGACUAUCCACAUCCUUGGCUUGCCCCUGAUCAAUUAUUUCCAGAGAAGCAUUCAAUUCAUCAAUCAAUUACAUUGAUUUUAGUGGCUAGUACAUCACCUCAACAUCAGUAUAUUCACCGUGGCCACUCCAAAUCGGCAAGAAUGAGGUACCAGUGCUCUGGAGAAGUGCAAGCUAAUUGCUUCUCAUGUGAAGGGGUGCGGGCGCGGGAGAGGUAUUUCUGGUGGGCCAAGGGACUAAGAAGCGACCGUGGCAGCGGUACAGAUGCCCGCAAAGCCUCAUAAUUUGUUUUUGGUUUACAGGAAAAAUGCACAUCCAUACUGGCCCGGGGAAUAUAGCACUGUAUUGGAUGGAAAACAAUGUCCGGAUGGUUGUGUGCGGUUUGAGGGUUAGCUUUUGUAACGCCCGGUUAGUUAUGCUAUAGCAAUUCCCUGCUAAUGAUGUCACGUCACCACGAUUACUGUUGUUAACCUCACAAUGAUUCAAUCUCGUUCAAAUUCAAAUUUAAAAUAAAGGCAAACAUCAAAAGUUUUCAAACAUUAAAACUAAAAUCUUUGAGAGGUGACAAAUAAUGCAUAAGUAAUUAUGGUGAAGAAACCACACUUUAAUCAAAUGUUUAAAUACUCUAAAAUGAAAAAAAAACAGUGACUUAAACUAUUAUUUAAAUGCUUUUAAAAUAGUAAAAAUCUUCUAACUAAAUUAUUUGGGUACCAAAACUUUUGGUGGCAGUGGUAUAUUUAGUAGAACUAAUUUAGAUGCUAAUUAUAUAAUUUACAAAAUUAGAGUAAAUUGAAAAAUAGGAUAAAACGAAAAAAGGAAAAACAAAACAAAUAAAAGCAAAAGGGGGCAACCCCUCGCUGGGCCUCGGCCUAGCUGGCCACUAGGCUAGCUAGGCUCGCCCCGCCGCCUCCCUUAACCCCCCACUCCCCGUCGAACCCAAGCCCGAUCGCCCCACUUCCCCCACACCCCCUCGCCGGUCUCCCCACCUCUUGAUCCCAUCUGGAUCGGGGAGGGUAUUGCCCCCAUCGAACCCGUUGCUGUCGCCGGAUCGCCCGCCGACGUCGCCAGGCCUCCUCCCCGUCGCCCGUCUCCGGCUCACCUCCCCUCUCGCUCCUCUUCCCUGACCCGAUCUGGAUCGUGAACGAGCAAUGAGCUCGAAGCCCCCCUUCACCGGCGCCAUCACCGUGCGCCACCACCACCGCCUGAAGACCUCACCGUCGCCGAACCUUGCGUCGCUGUAACACCCUCGAUGCGACUAUAUCUCCCACGUGUCGAGGCACGACUUAGAGGCAUAAUCGCAUUGAAGGCAUAUGUCGCAAGUGAGGUAGUCUUCACACAACCCAUGUAAUAUAAUAAGGGAAAGAGAUACAUAGUUGGCUUACACUCGCCACUUCACACAAUUACAUGAAUAAAACAUUACAUCAACCAAGUACACUCAUGGUCCGACCACGGAACCAAAAUAAAGAAGAACCCCAAAAGCGACAAAGGUCCCCGAUCGACCCCAACUGGGCUCCACUACUGAUCAAUUAGAACGAAACAGCUCAACGGACAAAGUCUUCAUCGAGCUCCUCCUGAGCUUGGUUGCGUCCUGCUCGGACUCAUCGGCACCUCCAAGCUGGUUUUGGAAGUAUCUGUGAGCCACGGGGACUCAGCAAUCUCGCACCCUCGCGAUCAAGACUAUUUAAGCUUAUGGGUAAGGUAAAGGUAUGAGGUGGAGCUGCAGCAAGCGACUAGCAUAUAUGGUGGCUAACCUAUUCGCAAAUGAGAGCGAGAAGAGAAGGCAAAGCACGGUCGAUAAAAGUAUGAUCAAGAAGUGAUCCUAGACUACCUACGUCAAGCAUAACUCCAACAACCGUGUUCACUUCCCGGACUCCGCCGGAAAAAGACCAUCACGGUUACACAUGCUGUUGAUUCAUUUUAAUUAAGGUCAAUUUUAGAUUUUCUACAACCGGACGUUAACAAAUUCCCAUCUGCCCAUAACCGCGGGCACGGCUUUCGAAAGUUCAAAUCCCUGCAGGGUGUCCCAACUUAGCCCAUGACAAGCUCUCACGGUCAACGAAGGAAUAGACCUCCACCCGAGAUAUUCCGAUCAGACUCGGUAUCCCAGUACAACAAGACAUUUCGACAGGGUAAAACUAAACCAGCAACACCGCCCGAUGCGCCGACAUCCUGAUGGGAGCUGCACAUAUCUCGUUCUCAGGGCAACACUGGAUUGUCUAAACUUCCGGUAGGCCAGCCCAGAGUUGCCCCUGGUGGCCACCGGCGGCUGACGGUUUGGACCAACACUUAGACAAGCACUGGCCCGGGGGGGUUAAAAAACGAUGACCCUCAGGAGCGCGACUCCCAAGGGAAAAGAAAAGGCUAGGUGGCAAAUGGUAAAGCCAAUGUUGGGCAUUGCUGGCAAAGCUUUACUUAAGGCGAACUGUCAAGGGGUUCCCAUUAUAGCCCAACCGCGUAAGGGACGCAAAGUCCAGGAACAUAACACUGAUAUGACGGAAACUAGGGCGGCAAGAGUGGAACAAAACACCAGGCAUAAGGCCGAGCCUUCCACCCUUUACCAAGUAUAUAGAUGCAUUAAUUAAAUAAGAUAUAUAGUGAUAUCCCAACAAGUAAACAAAUGUUCCAACAAGGAACGGCCUCCAAUCUUCACCUGCAACUAACAACGCUAUAAAAGGGGCUGAGCAAAGCGGUAACAUAGCAAUUCAACGGUUUGCUAGGACAAUGGUGGGUUAGGGGCUGAACAUGGCAAUUUGGGAGGCUGACAAGCAAGUGGUAGGCAUUGUAGCAAUGGCAUAGCAAAAGAGUGAGCAUACUAGCAUAGCAAAGAUAGUAGUGACUUCGAGGGUAUGAUCAUCUUGCCUGAAAUCCCGCAAGGAAGAAGAACGAGUCCAUGAAGAAGACAAACGGGCGUAGUCGAACGGGUCCUCACAAUCACGACGUUAUCGGAACCAACCCGAAGAAGCAAUCACCGGAAAAGAAGCACACACAACAUAGUAAACACCCAACACAUCAACAUGGCAAGAUGCACAAUCGAGUAUGAUGCAUGUCCGGUUUAAAGAGGCAUGGCAUGGCAAAGUGCACAAACAACCCUACAAAUUAAGUGGAGCUCAAUAUGCAACGGUUGCAUAUUGACGAAACACCACGUCAAUUAUUUAGUUCGAUCUCGUUUAUGUACCCAACAAUAUUAAAUGUUGUUAAAACAUGGCAAGAGGGGAAACAUGAUGAAACUAUCUAAUCUAGGCAAGUUUAAAUGAGGCCGGAAGCAACGAACAACAAUUCCGGAAAAUCCUCAUGUGUAAAUAUUAGGUUAGGUCCUGAUCUGUCCUAAACACAAUUUAAGCGUUGUUUAACAUGCAAGAUGAGGCCACCACGUUAAACUAGGCAAAAUUCUACCCGAUUUACAUAUAAAGAUUAUUAAAAUCGGAGUUACGGUUAAUUAGAUAUGAAUAAAAUCAUUUUAGCAUGGCAUGGGAGCAAACUUAAACAAACAUCAUUUUAGACAUUUUUUAAUUGUUGUUAUCAUGAUGCGGAUGACAUGAACAAGUUUAACGCAAUUUUAAUUAAGACUUGACAAGAGCAUUAUCAUGAAGCAUUGUCACCGUGGUGGAAGGAAAAAGGGGGUGCCACGGCAACGAAUCCGAAAAUGAUGCCAUGGCAACAUAUCGGUUCCGGUAACUCGAUUGAGAUCCCGGUGCAAACGAAAAAAACGACGGGAGCGUGACACGCGAUAGGAGGUGGGGUGAUCCCGGAUAUCGGGUUCCCACAAUAUGGUGACAAAGCAAAAGAGGGGCGACGUGCACCGAACAACUCCGACACGGAGCAAACACGAGCAUUUCAUACAUCACACAUGCAUUCGUUCACGGGCAUCGUUCCGGCGGUUAUACCUUUGAAGCGAGCAUCAUCGAAACGGAUCGAGUUCGACGGUAGGGGUACACGUGUCGACGAGGAAGUAGUUGUACACGGGGUCGUCGUGGGAAGUAGUCAUUCUCGCGAUGGUAGUGGAAGUAGGGGUACAUGACGACGUAGAGGUGCUCGCGACGGUAGUCGUUCACGUUUGCGUUUCACGGGUCUUCGGCGACGGUUGUCGUACAUGGUCCACAAGACGUCGAUCGUUCGGGGUCCGAUUUGCGGAUCUUGCCGACAUGAAGGGGUACUUGGCGUUCUCCGGACUUGCUGGUCUCGUCGAAACGAAGGGGUACUUGGUACAAUCCUCGUAGUCGUGCACUUGUCGUCAAGGGACUAGAUGGAUCCGAGGCUUCCGGAGGCGACGGUAGUGGGACUUGGUGAAUCCGAGUUCUUCAGAGGUCGUCAUGGUACUUGGUGAAAUCCUCGGAGAUGGACUUGACGCACGAAAGGUCUUCGGUGCCACGGUACUUGUCUGAUCACACACGGAGAUGCAUCGAUGGAUCUCUGACUCGUCCUGGCGAUGGACGAACUUGGCGAAAACCCCGAAGGCGGUCUUGAGCUUCCCUGGUUACCGCACCUUGGCAGAGACCAGAGGAACGACGAGGCCAGCGGGCAGCAACCGAAGAUGCCUGAGGUCUGUGGGCGUCCAGAUCAGGUGGCCUUCUGGCUAGGCAAGGACGACGAGGAGGAUGCCGAGGCGCGGGGACGAGGUAGGAGGCGGCACGGGAGCACGGCGCGGGCGUGGGCGCUCCUGGUGGGCGCAGAGGACGACGACGGCAGGCCAUGGCAGGGGCGGAGGCGCGGUUCCCUGGACCGGUAGGGCCGCGGCGGCGCUGUGGUGCCCGGCGGCCUCGGCGACGCGGCGAGGGAGGGGAUCCGGCGGGGCGCGAGGGAGCUCGGUGGCGGCGCAGGCUGCAGUGCCCGACAGAUGGAGGAGGCGCGGCAGGGUGGCUCCGGCCAGGGCACGGCGCGGGGAGCGCAAGACGGCGGCGAGGAGGCCGAUGAGGCUCCGACCUGGUACUUGGAUCGAAGGAGGAGGGAGGAUGAGGGGAGCCGGAGGGAGAUCGAGAGGGGGGUUCGAGCAGCUGGGGAUGGGGAUCGGGCUGCGAGGGAAAAUGGGGGUCGGGCACGAGAGAGAGAGAUCGAGGGGAGAUGGCGGCGCUGCGGGAACGAGAGGGAGAUGAGUGUGGUGCAGGAGCUGGGCUUCGGGCCUUCUAGGGUUAGGAGGGAGUGGGCCAGGGAGGCCGGCCGAGGAGAGAGAGGCCCAGGUGGGCAGGGGCGCGGCCUGCGGGGAAGGAUGGGCCUAGGGAGGCCUGAGGCUGCAGCUGGGCUGGACUCUCUUUCCCUCUUUCUCUAAUUUUCUUUAGCAGCAAAUGAUUAAAGAGAAAGAAAAGAAAGAGGGGGUUAGGGAAAGGAGUCGGACACGCGGAUAAUUUUCCCGGACUCACAAAAUUGCACUUGUUCCGAGAAAAAUGAAGUGGGCAAGAUUGCAAGAAUUAAAUUCAAGGACAAUUGAAUUUAAUUAGAAAGGUUGCACAAGGACUAGGAUUUAGGAGAGUCCAAAAAUGUUGAGAAAUUAGGAGGAGCCUCAAUAAAUGGGAAAAGAGAUGUUGGCAAAGUUUGGGGACCAAACUUGAAGUAGAAAGGGAGUGGGGAUUUUUCCAGUGUGUUUUGGUUAAUUCCGAAAGAAUGGAAUAUUUUAUAAUAGCCCCACUAAUAUCGGGACGAUAUGUUAUAAAGAGAAGUCAUCCUUCCCUCGAUUUAAAUGGAUCGAAGAUCCAUAUGAAUUAUUUAGUUGAGAUGCAAAAGAUUAUGACAUGAUGACAUGAUGCAAUGCACAUGAUGACGUGACAUGGUGCAACACGCAAGCACAUGACAACGCAACAACAUCGAAUAACUGCACGACACCUGGCACAUCGGUCUCGGGGCGUUACAGUCGCCUCCUUGUAUCCCCCCCCUACUCGCAUCCUCAAGCCAGGCCGAGCCCCUUCUCGGCAACGCUGUGAGACGCCCCCGUUUCCCUCCUCUUUCCACCGCAUUCACCGCGCCGCUCGCCGUGCCCGUCGCCGUGCGUGAGCCCACCACCGCACCAGCCCCCGCUCCGCGCACGACCCUACCCGCGCCCGCGCCAUGAUCCCCUUUUCCGCCCUACCUUCACGCGCUCGCCGCGAUCCCGAUGCUCCCCCGCGCCCUCUUUCGGGCGCGCCGACUGCCCCUGUCCUGGUGCUCGCCGCCGUGCCUCGCCACCGCUCUACUGCUACGUUACUACUGCGCUGCGGCCGCCGCCUCUUCCCGCUGCUCCGCUAGCGCCGGAGCUCCCGGUUGGCUCCACCACUGCUCACGUUAAACCGCCGGCCUAAAUGGCCUAACCCCCGGCUAAUGAACCCCCACUAACCCACUGACACCGGGACCCACAUUCCCUAAUUAACCAUUUAAUAAAUUAAAACUCUUAAAUUAACAUUAGUGUAUGACAUGUGCGUCCCCUGUUAAUUAAUAAUUUUACUGCUAGUUUUAUUAGUUUCUGUUUUUUCUGCAUAUUUCUUUUGUAUUUGAACAGGCUUUAUACAAUAAUAUUUAGCGUAUCAUACACAUACAAAUGUAAUCAUAGCAUAUACAUACAAAUAGUCUCAUCAAAUCAUGUCAUCAUCAUAAUCAUCAUCCAUCACAAAGUGGUCUCUCGUCAUCAUCUCGAAAAUAGCGAUACAAGUCUCGAUUACUUGCAACUACAUCGUCAUCCAUCUAAACAAUGAUAUACGCGAGAAGAGCUCUCACUAUGAGUGAGAGCGGAACUAUGCAGUACAUGAGUUUGUAUCCCUCUCUCGCAUUAGCGUGAACCUAAACUAACGACUCGCUGUUGCUCGGAAACCGGAAACCGGUACACCUGGGCCUGACACUCCGGCCACUCGUCGUAUACUCCUGGCGUAGCACUUCUUCGCCAUCGAUGAUCUAUGCACCUGCAUCGUCACAUGAGUCGAUGAUAUGCAACAUAUAUAGUUGAGUAACAGAAAGAGACAGACUUCGCAAAAAUAGAAGCAACAUAUCAUAAGUAUAAAUAACAAAGUUCAUCCUACCCAAAAUGCCCUAACUAGAGUGAUCUUCGCUAGUCGAGGAGGACGGUUUAAUUACAUCACAAAUAACGUUUCGUCGUGCAUAACUCAAAGUUCCGUCAUACAGAAAGUAUGAACUAAACGGACACAUUGUCAUAUUUCGAAAAUCACUCCAACAUAUCGUACCAUCCAUCCAAGUCAAGGAGAGAGUGCCCGAGCUUAGUGAAAGGCUUGUGGUCGAGACGCUGAGCGGCUACGCGUGUUCGAAAGUCUUCCCACGUCAUUUGUCCUUCUUCAUAGAACAUCCCUGUUUUUUCGACGACCUCCUUCAUGAUGAUUUGGACAAGUUCGCACUGGAAGUGAUAUAACUCAUCUCGAAGUGGAUGAUCCUCGAUAUCUCCUAAGUUCUUUGCCCAUUGCAGAAUAUGGGCAUCGCUGAAUUUAGGUGACAUGCAAAGGUUCCGGUGAUCUCGUCUAUACUCCAUCAUAUGGACAUAGAAUCGAUCAUCAAGAGAAUCACUCGGUUGCUGGAUGCAGCUGAAGUGGGUCUUAUGGGCCUGCCGUCCCUUUUCUUCUUGUCCUUGACCUCUCCACCCCGUGCAUCGUAGUAAAACGUAGCACUGUCGAGAAUAGACUUGAUGUGGGUGUAAUCCUUUUUGUUAAUGUUCUUCGACGAGUCCACAGUAUCGGGGGUAGCGGAUAAUGAGGACGGCGCUGAAGGAAAUAUGCCCUAGAGGCAAUAAUAAAGUUAUUAUUUAUUUCCUUAUAUCAUGAUAAAUGUUUAUUAUUCAUGCUAGAAUUGUAUUAACCGGAAACAUAAUACAUGUGUGAAUACAUAGACCAACAGAGUGUCACUAGUAUGCCUCUACUUGACUAGCUCGUUAAUCAAAGAUAGUUAUGUUUCCUAACCAUGAACAAAGAGUUGUUAUUUGAUUAACGAGGUCACAUCAUUAGUUGAAUGAUCUGAUUGACAUGACCCAUUCCAUUAGCUUAGCACCCGAUCGUUUAGUAUGUUGCUAUUGCUUUCUUCAUGACUUAUACAUGUUCCUAUAACUAUGAGAUUAUGCAACUCCCAUUUACCGGAGGAACACUUUGGGUACUACCAAACGUCACAACGUAACUGGGUGAUUAUAAAGGAGUACUACAGGUGUCUCCAAUGGUAGAUGUUGGGUUGGCGUAUUUCGAGAUUAGGGUUUGUCACUCCGAUUGUCGGAGAGGUAUCUCUGGGCCCUCUCGGUAAUGCACAUCACAUAAGCCUUGCAAGCACUGCAACUAAUAUGUUAGUUGUGAGAUGAUGUAUUACGGAACGAGUAAAGAGACUUGCCAGUAACGAGAUUGAACUAGGUAUUGGAUACCGACGAUCGAAUCUCGGGCAAGUAACAUACCGAUGACAAAGGGAACAACGUAUGUUGUUAUGCGGUCUGACCGAUAAAGAUCUUCGUAGAAUAUGUAGGAGCCAAUAUGGGCAUCCAGGUCCCGCUAUUGGUUAUUGACCGGAGACGUGUCUCGGUCAUGUCUACAUUGUUCUCGAACCGUAGGGUCCGCACGCUUAAUGUUACGAUGACAGUUAUUAUGAGUUUAUGCAUUUUGAUGUACCGAAGGUUGUUCGGAGUCCCGGAUGAGAUCACGGACAUGACGAGGAGUCUUGAAAUGGUCGAGACGUAAAGAUUGAUAUAUUGGAAGCCUAUGUUUGGACAUAGGAAGUGUUCCGGGUGAAAUCGGGAUUUUACCGGAAUACCGGAAGGGUUACCGGAACCCCCCGGGAGACUAAUGGGCCUAUUGGGCCUUAGUGGAAAAAGAGAAAAGGGGCAGCCCAUAGCUGGCCGGCGCCCCCCCCCUUUCCCCAAGUCCUAGUAGGACUAGGAGAAGGGGCCGGCCCCCCCUCUUUCUCCUUUCCCCCCGAGAGUCCUAAUUGGAAUAGGAUUGGAGGGAGGAGUCCUACUCCCGGUGGGAGUAGGACUCCCCUGCGCCUCCCUCUCCCUGGCCGGCCGGCCCCCCUUCCUCCAACCUUUAUAUACGGGGGCAGGGGACACCCCAAGACACACAAGUUGAUCCUUGAGAUCGUUCCUUAGCCGUGUGCGGUGCCCCCUGCCACCAAAUUCCACCUCGAUCGUACCGUUACAGUGCUUAGGCGAAGCCCUGCGUCGGUAGUACAUCAAGAUCGUCACCACGCCGUCGUGCUGACGGAACUCUUCCUCGACACUUUGCUGGAUCGGAGCCCGAGGAACGUCAUCGAGCUGAACGUGUGCUAAGAACUCGGAGGUGCCGGAGUAACGGUGCUUGGAUCGGUCGGAUCGGGAAGAAGACGUACGACUACUUCCUCUACGUUGUGUGAUCGCUUCCGCAGUCGGUCUGCGUUGGUACAUAGACAACACUCUCCCCUCUCGUUGCUGUGCAUCACCAUGAUCUUGCGUGUGCGUAGGAAAAUUUUCGAAAUUACUGCGUUCCCCAACAGGCGCGCCCGCCGCUGCGCAAAAUAAGUACACCUCCAAUUAAUUACACUCCAUCGUUCAAAUGAAUGAUUGAAAUCGAAGGAAGGAUAUCUGCGCGGAUGACUUACACGAGAUGAUAAGCCAUGAGAAUCGCCUCCUUGUCCUUAUUGGCAAGCAUGAAAUCGACGAUGUAUUCCUCGCGUAUUCACGGUGCUUUGCACGGACUCCCAAGAAGCCCUCGUGCAUGAAGUACGGGUCAGCAACACAGAUAUGAGGUAUCUGCUCAACCCCGAUGAGGUAGUUCAUGUGCAAGGCAUAAAGGCGGACAAACGUAAAAUCCAGCUUCUUUAAGUGAAACAUGUUGAAGAUGUAAUCGAAUCGAAGGAAAAACUUCUUCGAGGGGAAUGUGUCGACGUACGACAAUUGCCGCGGCACGUUAACCACGUAGAGAGGGUAUCCUGGAUUUUUCGAGGCGAUGAGGCCUUUCUCUAUCCGCAACACGUCGUCAUGAAGUCUCCUUAGAUUGCCGGAUCUGGCCCCUAGUGCUGCUUUCGGUAGGAUUGGUUCACCGGGAUACGCCAUUUUGCCGCUCCGGGGAUAUCUAUACGGUCUUGAACCCGAGGCUGCUGAGGCGGCUGGAUCAUAGAAGCAGCUUUGUUGGCUUUCCUCGGUGUAUUCCUAAGCUUCUUUGCUACCGGAAGGUCGUCUAUAAUAUGUUCAGCCUCCGGAGGCGGCAAUUCAAGCACCGACUCAUGACGCUCAAACCCUUAGUAGGCGCCAGUAUUGAGAUACUAUUGAGUGUCAUUGUCAUCCUCAUCUAUGGCGGUGUCACCAGCGACAAAUGGAGCCUCUUCCUCACCCCGUCCGCUAUCACCCAGCACGACAGCCGGCGCUAAUUGGGUAGGUGGGGUGUUGAUGUUCAUACCUAACUGCGUGCUCGUGUGUGUGCUCCCGGCCGUCUCCAAACAAAGCAGACUCUUUGGCCACAAUAGGACCCACCCAUUGCAAUCACCAAGCCGCUGCGGGAUCUUGUCGUCAUUCCCCCUAGUACCGGAGGAGCCAAAUUCUCCUGGCCUGGUUUGACACUGGCCACGGAAACUUUGAAGAUGUCCAGGGGGAUCGAUCGGCCGUGGAACAAUGGUUCCUUCAGCUUCAUUAUCGUCACCUUCCCCACGUCCACCUCCUGGUAGCGGAUGCUGUACAAUAUGGUGCACGGGGUUAUAUUGGCCUGCAAAGACAUUUCUGUGAUGUGAGAUAUCCGAAAGGCAACGGAAAUGGGAGAUUAUACAUUUAUUGAAGAGGGCCGGUGUGACAGAUACCGUGAGGGCGUCGAGCUCAGCCAAAGACGAAGCACCGCUGAGCACGUCUGGUGUCGGAGCCGGUGCCGGAGCAGGUGCGGGAGCCCGUGCGGGAGCAGGUGUAGGUGCCGGUGCAACGCUAGUUGAGCUACUCCCGAAGAAGUCAGCAAGGGGAAAGUCUGCUGUAUUUUUUUCUGGAUUUUGCAUGCUCCAAUUGAAAACGGCCGGAACCAAGACAGAAGACAUAUCUGGAACCACCUGUUUUGCGGCAGCUAUCGCAGUUGUGACUGUCUCAGAUGAUUUCUUCUCAACCGCAAUCUCAACCUUCUGGUUGAUGUUUUCUUCAGUUAACCUCCGUCUUUCCUUUCUCUCCUCUGUGGUCUCACGGUAGUACUUCUUCCAUGUGGCGCCGUCUUCGACACCGUGCACGCGUCCAUACGACGGCCGAUUCUCCACCGGGAGUCCUUUCAAUAUGUUCAAUGCCCGAUUGAAUGGAGUGUUCCACUUGGGCCUCGCCAACACCUCAGACGGUGAGUCACUUUCGGCUGCAAUCUUGUGCUGCUCUCUCUACAAAAGGAACAAGGAUCGUUUACAAAUAUGACUAAACGUGCAGUCGAAUUGAUCAGAAACUAAAAUUACCGGCAGUCCCAUGAACUUCGUCGUGAUCAGGUCAGUCUUGAAAACCUUCUUGACUGAGUCCCAAUGGUGUCGUGCCCCGAGGACGUCAUGCUCCCGCGGGACGGUGAAGUCCGCCAAGGGGUCUGGGAUGCCCAGACUUUCGCGUUCCGCGUCCUCCUAUGCCCAUAUGGACCUCUUCCCGCCGUAACCACGGCUUCCGAGGUGGUGGCGCCCUAUGUUCCUUUGUUGAAGCCCCUUCAUGUACUUCGACUUUUUUUGGCAGCUUCGGCCUCGCAAGCCGCCUUGAAUUUUUCAAAGUGCUCUCCCGUGAUUGUCGGAUUAUCCUUUACAAUCUCAGAGUAUGGUUCCUUUUUGUCGACAAUCCGAUGUUUCAACCUUGUUUUCCAGGUGCCCAACGCGUCACUAAACUUGGUCAUGGCGUGUUUGUUUAUCUUCUUCAUUGCCGGGUCCUUAUUUGGAUCUUUAUAAUCCAUUUCAUUCCGGCCCGGGAACAACAAUAUCUGGUGCAGCUUCUUUAGGAGAGAGGGCCUCAUAUUAUCUAUCUUCUGUAGUUUCCCAUCAUUGAUCGUGGCAGUUGUCCGUACGAUGCAGCCUACUUGAUUGCCGUAGCACGAUCGCGCUUCCUCGGGCGCUAUUGUCUGAAAAACACUGUCGUCCAUCUCCGUGACCACCAGUCUAGUAGUCAUGAGCAGGUUUGGGCGCCGUGGCUUCUUUGCUUUCGGUUCUAGACCAGCUCCGCUAGUCUCGGCGCCGGUCUCAGUCUCAUCGCCAGUCUGCAUGUCGGUAUCAGUCCCCGAUGCGAUAGGUCGGCCCAGCAACAACAUUCGUUGAUCGUCGGCAAGGCUCAAAAAUUCAUCUGCCGCCAGGUAGACGUGUCGCAAUCACCAGAACCCUAUCCUUCAUCGUUGCUAGCCAUGUUUCCUACGAUUAUGCCUAGUCAAUUAAUUUUAGACCUAAUAAAAUGAAUAAUGACAUAAAACAGGCCAAUGUUUUGCAGGAUUACAACUCAACCCAUUGCAGAUUAGAAAACAAGCCCGUGUGAAUGCACAGGCUGACCACUAGUCUAUCUAUACCUAUACCUACCUAUACUAAUUACAGACUCCCAAGUAAUUCCCACGUUAAUUAGUAAUUAAGAGCCGUUAAUCUUGUGGGACCAAAUUAUUACGACAGUCCACGAUCUCUUUUCUCUCUGUGUAAAAAAAAAGGUCCACGAUCUCUUUUCUCCGUUGUAAAAGAUAAAGGCAACUCAGGUCCACGAUCUCUUUUCACGGUUGUGAAAGAUAAAGACAACUCCCGUCUUCUUCUAAUCUAUAGUUCUAUACCUCCACGACCCCUUCCUCUCCCCAUUUAAAAGGAACAAGCUGAACCAAUAUCUAAGCAUGCAAUUGGUUCCUGUGCGGUCUUGACCUUCCAUCCGUCCACUGCUCGAUCGGCCCUCCCUCAACUACAAGCUGACAAGCCACCAUCGCCAUCCAGCGGCACGCCACCGUUCAUGCAUGUGUUUUUGCCCUUCAAUCUGAAGGAGAUGCGUUGGCUACUCAAGUAACUCUGUUUGUUUUGUUCAAACCAAUUUCGUUAAUUCGGUUCUUUGAUUAUCUUAUUGACAUGGCCUGUGAGUUUUGUGCUAGUGAUACAGGGCCUGUCUACUAGAUUCUCUCCUUGCAACUUCUAUUGUUGUCUCGAUUUGGUGUGGUCAAGAUCCUUGCCCCACCACAAGCAGCACCUUUGCACCAUCGGGGAAAUCUGUCAUAGCAAACAGAGGUAUGUAACAUGCUUUGGUGUUUUCCUCUUUCGUUUAGAUCACUAGAGUUGCUCAACCACACCAUUCAUUGAUUAGUAGUUGGCCUGAGAAGUUGCUCGGUCACCUGCAGCGUCUGAUCCCCUUCUUGACCCUCUCAUUCUGGUCAUUAUCCACCGGCAGGUCAAUGCCAAACGGAUCGUUCGUUGCCGCCACCUUGCGGAGACCGAUGUUUGGCUGCCCUCCUGCCAUCCUGGCGCUCUGGUACCGGUCACUGUGCCGUUGUUCUAGAAGAACUAUGUCACACGAAGCGAGAUAUCUUCUUACUAAUCUGGAACAUAAGUGUUUCUUCUUACUAGGAUUCGCUCACCGGUGCAUUCAUCUCUUUUUGGAAAAUACGGCCUUCAUAUUUCACACGCCUAUACAUGGGUGCUGUCCCAACAAUAAUCCAUCUAAUCCAUGAUGCACAUUCAUGAAGACUGAUGUGACUGAAUUAAUAUAUCAAUCUGGUGCUUCCGGAUCAGCACUUGAAGAAGCAACCCCUUUAGUUCAUAAAUAUAUCAUACGAAAGUCAGGGGAGAAAUCAACUAAGUCAUGUGUGCUUUUCUAAUUAUUUACUAUACACUAAUUCCAUUUUUUCAGUAGAAGGCUAGGAUACGUGGAUUGUGGCAGCACAGAAGUAAACCGAUGAGCUACGUUGGCCGUUCACCAGUCAUCGGAUCAGCAGCCAUGUCGACCAGAGGGACGGAACAGUUCUAUAUUAGGCGAUGGAUACAUGUGGAAGCAACUAAGCAUAUGUGGAUGCAUGUGAUCGCAUAGGUAAGGCCAUAGCUGUUCAAGCCCUACAGGAUCUUUAUUGCUGGUUUUAAUUAUGAGUUUACAACACCAUCUAUACAUACUACUUAUCCAUUUAUUUCCUUACCUUCUUUGUUUCUUUCUCUCCUUGAUCCCCUGUCAAAAGGGCAUCAACAUCCAUAUGCGCAACGGCACACGCAACAAACUAUGACUUCGGUUGCAUGUCCAACGGCAACCACAGUACAUGAUGAUAUCAUGUUUGCUGCAAGACGAAGUACAAGUUCAUAAUUUGGUCUUUUGCAUGGUCCCUUAGUAAAUUCACUUCUGCUUCGGUACACCCCCCCUAAACACAUAGACGGCCCAGAUUAGUCGAUACCUCUUCAUAAGUAAGGGCAUGAUGGUCAUAUAUUAAAAACCAUUCGUCCCCUGUAUAUGUGUACAGUGAGAUGGGCCGGCCCAUCUUUCCCUUUUUUUCUGAUUUGAUCCUGACAGGAAUCGAACCAGAUAGUUCCUGGUACAUAGUUGGACGUGAUAACCAACCAGCCGACUUAGGCACCUAUGGUUAGAUAGUUCUUUCUCGUCCUUUUCUUCUUUCCUCUUUCCUCUUUCUUAUUUCCUUUUUUCUUGUUUUUUCAAACGUUGUUUUGGGUUUUCAUUUCCCUUUUUUUCUUUUUCGUUUUCUUUUCCUUUUUAUGUUCCUUUUGUUUUACCUUUUCUUUUGCAAUGUGCAAAAUUUUUCAGUUUCCUUUAUAAAAAAUUAAUGAACCUUUUUUAAUAUUGAUGAUUUUUUUUUCAAAGUCGAUGAACUUUAUUCAAGAUUGAUGAUUUUUUUCUAAAUUGAUGAACCUUUCUCAAGAUGAAUAUAGUUUUUUCAAAGUAGAAGAUUUUUUUUCAAAAUUGAUAAAAUUUUGCAAAAUCGAUGAUUUUAAAAAAAUCAUGAACUUUUUUCAAAUCCUUGUACUUUUUUUAAUCAAGAUGCAUGGGUUAUUUUUAAUUCAUGGAACUUUUAAUUUACGGACAUUUUGCCAAUCCGCUUAUUUUUUUCAAGUCCAUGAACUUUUCCAAAAGGGCGAACCCUUUUUUAUAGUCAAUGGUCAAAGGUCAAGCAUGUCAAUGGUCAACUUUUUGUCCAGGUUAACCAUGAAGAAGUUUUUUUUUGGUCGAACCACGAAGAAGCGAUCGAGCGUAUGCUCUUGGCGAGCGACAGCUGAUCGCUCCUGUAGUUUGGCCAGCCCAUGAAAGGUGGUGUUCAAGCGAUGUGUCCACUAAGUAGCGCAGAAAGCGGUGACUAGGCGCUCCCACUGUACAGGGAGUAGCGUCGCACAAACCGGCGCACACACCCCUUCGUCCAAGGUCUGGCCCAUUUUCCUUUUCUAUUUUUACCUUGAAAAAAUAGGUGCAUGAAGUAGGAUUCAAACUAUGAACCUUUGUGAUUACUUCCACCCACUAUAACAAACUAGGAUAGCUCACUUCUUGCGUCUAAUUACUUCUUUUUUAGAGCAUCUUCUCAGUCUGUUUUUUCUUUUGCUUUUGUUUGGCCUUUUUAUUCCGUUUUAUUCAUUUUUUAUUUGUCUUUGUUUCUUCUUAUUUUCAUUUUGUUAAAUUCAUGAUUUUUUAAAUCUAUGAGCUUAUUUUAAGGAUGUUGAGAAAUAACAUGCUCCCAGACAAAACCUUCUGGCCUACCGGAUACUCUUUGUAGAACAUGGUAUAGUUUUGGACAUCAUUCAAAUGAUCCCAACUUUUGUAGGAUGGUGGGCAUUUCCCGUGGUAGGCAUCAUUGACAGGUUUGAAUGACUUCUGACACCGUAUGCAAGUUGCGACACGUCCGAUCAUUUAUCGGUCUUUUUUCACCGGAAAAACUCUAGAAAAUGCAAAACUUGUUGAGAAUCCAAAAAACUUAGCUUGGUGUCUUGAAUUGGUCGUACAAGGCCAUGAAAAAAUUUGGGGCCAUUUCAAGGAUGUCAAGAAACAACGUGCUCUCAAACAGAGCCUUCUGGCAACCGAACACCCUUCAUUGAACAUGGUCUAGUUUUGGACAUUCUUGAAAUGACCCCAACUUUUUGAAGUAGAUGAGCAUGCCCAUGGUAGACAUCCAUGUCAAGUUUGAAUGAUUUCUGACACCGUAUGCAAGUCGCGACACGUCCGGCCAUUUAUCGACCUUUUUUGGCCGAGGAAACUCCAGAAAAUGCAAAAUUCAUCAAAAAACAAAACAACUUGGCAUGGUGCACUUAGUUGGCCAUACAAGGUCAUAUAAAAAAUUGGGGCAAUUUCAUGGGUGUGGAAACACAACAUGCUCUCAGACGGAGCUUUCUGACCUACCUGAUGAAGGAAAUAUGCCCUAGAGGCAAUAAUAAAGUUAUUAUUUAUUUCCUUAUGUCAUGAUAAAUAUUUAUUAUUCAUGCUAGAAUUGUAUUAACCGGAAACAUAAUACAUGUGUGAAUACAUAGACAAACAGAGUGUCACUAGUAUGCCUCUACUUGACUAGCUCGUUAAUCAAAGAUGGUUAUGUUUCCUAACCAUGGACAAAGAGUUGUCAUUUGAUUAACGGGAUCACAUCAUUAGUUGAAUGAUCUGAUUGACAUGACCCAUUCCAUUAGCUUAGCACCCGAUUGUUUAGUAUGUUGCUAUUGGUUUCUUCAUGACUUAUACAUGUUCCUAUAACUAUGAGAUUAUGUAACUCCCGUGUGCCGGAGGAACACUUUGUGUGCUACCAAACGUCACAGCAUAACUGGGUGAUUAUAAAGGUGCUCUACAGGUGUCUCCAAAGGUACAUGUUGGGUUGACGUAUUUCGAGAUUAGGAUUUGUCACUCCGAUCGUCAGAGAGGUAUCUCUCGGCCCUCUCGGUAAUGCACAUCACUUAAGCCUUGCAAGCAUUGCAACUAAUGAGUUAGUUGCGGGAUGAUGUAUUACGGAACGAGUAAAGAGACUUGCCGGUAAUGAGAUUGAACUAGGUAUUGGAUACCGACGAUCGAAUCUUGGGCAAGUAACAUACCGAUGACAAAGGGAACAACGUAUGUUGUUAUGCGGUCUGACCGAUAAAGAUCUUCGUAGAAUAUGUAGGAGCCAAUAUGGGCAUCCAGGUCCCGCUAUUGGUUAUUGACCGGAGACAUGUCUCGGUCAUGUCUACAUUGUUCUCGAACCCGUAGGGUCCGCACGCUUAAGGUUUCGAUGACAGUUAUAUUAUGAGUUUAUACGUUUUGAUGUACCGAAGGUUGUUCGGAGUCCCGGAUGUCAUCACGGACAUGACGAGGAGUCUCGAAAUGGUCGAGACAUAAAGGUUGAUAUAUUGGAAGCCUAUGUUUGGAUAUCGGAAGUGUUCCGGGUGAAAUCGGGAUUUUACCGGAGUACCGGGAGGUUACCGGAACCCCCCGGGAGAUAUAUGGGCCUUAGUGGGCCUUAGUGGAAAAGAGAAGAGGCAGCCAGAGAUGGGCCGCGCACCCCUCCCCUCCCUUGGUCCGAAUAGGACAAGGAGAGGGGGCCGGCCCCCUUNNNNNNNNNNNNNNNNNNNNNNNNNNNNNNNNNNNNNNNNNNNNNNNNNNNNNNNNNNNNNNNNNNNNNNNNNNNNNNNNNNNNNNNNNNNNNNNNNNNNNNNNNNNNNNNNNNNNNNNNNNNNNNNNNNNNNNNNNNNNNNNNNNNNNNNNNNNNNNNNNNNNNNNNNNNNNNNNNNNNNNNNNNNNNNNNNNNNNNNNNNNNNNNNNNNNNNNNNNNNNNNNNNNNNNNNNNNNNNNNNNNNNNNNNNNNNNNNNNNNNNNNNNNNNNNNNNNNNNNNNNNNNNNNNNNNNNNNNNNNNNNNNNNNNNNNNNNNNNNNNNNNNNNNNNNNNNNNNNAUCCUACUCCCGGAGGGAGUAGGACUCCUCCUGGCGCGCCUCUCCUAGGCCGGCCGCACCCCUCCCCCCCCUUGAGCCUUUAUAUACGGAGGCAGGGGCACCCCAGAGGAACACAAGUUGAUCCACGUGAUCAUAUUCUUAGCCGUGUGCGGUGCCCCUGCCACCAUAGUCCUCGAUAAUAUUGUAGUGGUGCUUAGGCAAAGCCCUGUGACAGUAGUACAUCAAGAUCGUCACCACGCCGUCGUGCUGACGGAACUCUUCCCCGACACUUUGCUGGAUCGGAGUCCGGGGAUCGUCAUCGAGCUGAACGUGUGCUAGAAUCGGAGGUGCCGUAGUUUCGGUGCUUGAUUGGUCGGGCCGUGGAGACGUAUGACUACAUCAACCAAACGCUUCCGUUGUUGAUAUACAAGGGUACGUAGAUCACAUUCUCCCCUCUCGUUGCUAUGCAUCACCAUGAUCUUGCGUGUGCGUAGGAUUUUUUUUGAAAUUACUACGUUCCCCAACACCUGAACACCCUCAUUUGAACAUGGUCAGUUUUUAGAUAUCCUUCAAAAGACCACAACUUUUCCAAAAAGGUGAGCAUGCACAUGGUAGGCAUAUAUGCCAAGUUUGAACGAUUUUUGACACUGUAUGCUAGUUGCGACACGUUCGGCAAUUUUCGCCAUUUUUUGACAAAGAAAUCUCCAGAAAAUGUAGAAUUUUUAGAAAACCAAAAAACCCUGGCAUGGUGCCUUGAAUUCUUCAUACAAGCCAGUGAAAAAAAAUAGGUCAUUUGACGGAUGUCGAGAAAAAACAUGCUCCCAAACGGAGCCUUCUUACCUACCCCUACACCCUAUGUUGAACAUGGUGAUUUUUUCUACACGAACACAAAAAAAAUGUUCGAGAAAAUUCAAAAAAUUUUCUUUCAAAUUUUUAUUCGUAUUUUUCUUGAAGUUCCAAAUUUAAUAGUGAAUUUUCCUAAAAUGUUAAAUCAAAAAUGUUCGUGUGGAAAAUUUUGUUUGCUCUUUGUAAAAAUGUUUGUGUUUUGACAUUAUGAGCAAUUUGAAAAUACAAAUACAUUCUGAGGAAUUCAUAAAUGUCGCAUUUUGAAGUAAUUGUUCGUAGUUUCAGAAAAUGUCCGUGUUUUCAGUUUUAUAUCUCUUUUAAGAAAAUGUUCGUAUUUAAAAAAAAUUGUUUGUAGUUUCAAGAAAUGUUCUCGUUUUCAAUUCUGCUCUUAUUUUUCUAAAACAAAGUUUGAGAGUCUGAAACAUUGCUCACUAAAGGUUUGAAUUUUAAAAAUAUGUUCACAGAUUUUGAAAUUUUUUGGGUUUAAAGCAUAUUUACUUUGUCAAACAGAAAUUCACAUACGGAAUUUUGAAAAAAAUAAUCGUUUUUGGACUAGUGAUGUUAUGCACUCGCGGGAGCUUGUGUGUUAGAUCCGCGCACCCAUUUUAGUAUUUGUGAAUUGGUGUUGAAGUGUUGCCGCUCUAGCUAAUUCUUUAGGUGUGACACUGCUAUUGUGUCGGUUGCGUUAGGCAGGCGAAGUGGCUAGGGCGUAAUUUUUGUUGAUUUUCCAGCCCAAAUGGAUCGGCCCAGGUUAUCUGUGCCUGUGUCCUGCGAACAUAUGGCACAUUCCAGCGUACGUACGAAAAUGGAUAGGAUUUGUCAAAAGUCUAAAUUACCCAUUAUACGCUUUGUGAGGGGGGUGUAUCGAAGCGUUUCUCCACAUAAAUUAUAUUUGUCCACAUACACCACAUACAUAAAAACAGGUAGAAGCGGUUGCAUGGUGAAAAUGUCCUCUCAAUAUGCAUGCCUAUGAAUACUAUCACCAGAAAGCCAAGGACUAACAAUUAUUCAGGGGUCAAGAUUGAAGACAGACGUCCAAGAUUGGAAGUCGGCCGGCCUAAGAGGGGCAAAACCAUUGUACAUUAUAUUGUAUGGACCUAGCAAGAUCCUAAAGAUAAGUGAUAAUGGAGAUCAUGGGGGCCACCCUUAUAACCAUAUGUCCAAAUGUUCUUAUUUGUUUAUUUUUCUUUUCUCUUUUCGGAAGAAUCCAUCCUGCCUCUAUGGUCAUCCUGACCACUUCGUAUUGUUAUCUAAUCUCCUCCCUUAAUUAAUAUAAAGAAUUACCGCAGCUGAAUUCACUAAAAAAAGUAUUCAGUUUAUUUUAAUUUAUUCAACUAUUAUGGCAUAUCAAUUGGAUUGCAAGUUCUUGGCGGUUGCAUUUGAAUCAUAUUUGAUGUGCACAAAGGCUUCAGUGUCAAGGUGGUCGGACGAGUAUUUAUGUCCAUUAUAUAUGCGUUAGCUUGAGAUCAUCAGGCACCUGUUAUGCAUCUGUCCAGUUAAAAGGAUGUUCAGACUCAGGCUUGCCCUACCAUAUAUGGCUGUGACACUCUGAACCAAGCAAGUUGGUCAUAUAUGUCGAGCACUAUUAACUCUUUGGAAGAAGAUCCACCAAGUACAGAAAACAAAUCAAAUAUCUUCUUAACCUUAUCACCAGAAAAAUUAGCAAGAGAUGAAUAGUAACAUUUUAAAGAAGAAAGAUAUGUUUGAAAAGGGAUAUAUAUUAUGGCGACGAUUAGAACAGCCCUUGACGAAUGGUGCCUAGCCUGCGAAAGUUUCUUAUGAAUAUAGUCAACACUCUAUAUCAACUGUUGUAAGAUUUUAGAAAUAUUUUUGGGGACAUAUGAUACAUGUCUAUUAUACAUAUGAUUCAACAGAAGUUUGAUUGAAUACAUAUUUAAAACGUGACUGACUUCUAUAUGGACGGAGUAUUUCACAAAGGACUCACUGCCAACUGUGUGAAUAUUCCAAGAUAGUUAGUGCACAUAAAUGUUCAAAUCCAUAGCUGCAUAAAUAUACAAAAGCAAUGUGUUAGACCACUACACAUGCUUCUGAAAGGAGGCAAAAAAAUGUAUGCUUGAUUGAUGACCGUUCAUGCAUGAAAUUAAUUUUUGAUUUCUAAUUAUUUUGGUCAUAUAAUGGAAAUAGAGACAUUAUAAAGAUCCAACAGCAUGCUAUCACACACGUGUGAACACAGACACACACAAAUAACAUUUGCCGAGCACUCACAAAUAAAAGGUGUGGCUACUCUUGGGUGUUCUACAGCUGGCUUAAAAAAACACGUAUGAAACAUGAUCCCCAAAAAUCUGAAAUUCGCAACAUAUGAAAAUCCACCCUCAAACAUAUUUCUAGUGUCUCAAUUCUUUUAGUUUCAGAUGGUAUGUCCAGCCAAAGUAGUUGUACACAUACAUUACUAUGUUCUAUUAUUUGAGAUUCUAAGAGAACAUUUAGUAACUAGCCCGUGCGAUGCACGGGUUCACGACUAGUAUAUAUAAAGCUUAAUGGUGCCUAAGAAAGCUCGCACAAUUUUACAGUGGCUAUGGAAAUGUGUUGCCAAACUGAGACAUAAGAUUUUCAUUUGGCAUCCAGAGUUGCAGACCGCUUGUGUUAUCCUUAAUCCAUGGCCACUCUAAUUUUUCCGGCUGGGCCUUCCCUGUGGUACCGCGGCAAGGCUUGCGUGUGUAUAUGUUUCCUUUAACUACCACUAGCACAUAUGCCCAUGCGUGCGUUGCAAUGGGAGAGAUAAUGGCAUAUCCACCAAUAUAUCUAGCAGCAUGACCCAACAACAUCCGAAUGAUGUCACCCGACGACGGCAGGAAGGCACGCACAGAGGUCUAGUAAAAACUCAUCAAUUGUACGGGCAUGGUUAAUUCGCGUGAAUUCAAGGGUGUGAGAUUAGUUAGUGUUGGUCCCACAAUUGAAUUCGGGGGGUGAUUAGUUAGUGUGGGCCCACCCUUGAAUUCACCGGGGGAGACAAAAUAAUUAGGGCGAGGAGAGAUUUACGGGGCUUGGUCCCCAGAUGCGUUGCGGCAGUCAUUAUUCGAGCAUUGCAAUGCUCGCACGUGAGGAGCUCCUUUUCCAAUUGUAUAUUAAGAAGCAUGCUAUAGAUACAAUGUUUUUGAUACAUUUUUGUACGAUGAUCCUGAUCUUAAAGGGCCUUCUAAUUUUUAAAUCUUAAAGGCAUUAUUUGUAAGUUGUCGUGAAAAAAAUCUCGCUAAAAGGGUUGUGUUAGACCAUCUUCAGUACAUUAGAAAUAACGAAUUAUAAUUCCUUGGCAUUUGAACAAACAAUCCCUACUUAUUUACACAUACAAUACUUUUGGUAUGAUUUUGAAAUCUUGAAGGCAUUAUUGUAAGUUGAAGCAAUUUUGAAAUCUCACUAAAAGGUCUGGUAAGCUUUAGAAAUAACUAAUUAUAAUUUUGCAAAAAAAAGAAAUAACUAAUUACUAAUUUUGGUAUGAUUUAUUGUCUGGGUAGUAGUUCCUUUGCAACAUUAUUCUCUCCUUUCUUGAAGGAACUCUUGCCUGCUCCCUCGCCAUGCUCCCAUCCAUGCUCCCACUCCAUCCUAUGGUUGUCCUUUUUUCCUUUUUCUUUCUAAACUAAUCAUCUCCCCCCCUGAUUUUAAGGGGAUGGGGCCGGGCCUUAUUUUGUUCCAAUUAAAUCAUGCCACGUAUGCGGGAGCAUUUUGUCCCUCCUUCUAGCGCCUCCCACUGAAAAUGCCCUAAAAGUUUUUGAGGGAUUUUUUUACUGUGUCCUACUUCACGAAUCACGAGGCAAAUCAAGUAGGCGGCAUGGCCUGGCCGGUGAGUGCCAUUGCACUUACUUGCCCCAGCGAUUUUCCGCCUGCAUUGUAGAAUUCUUUCUCCGAGUCCUGUGAAUUAAAGAUGGUGCAGACAAAAGUAUAUCCUAUAUGCGUACAUGUGCAUGAUCAGAACAUGUUUUUACGUGCGUCUACUAUAAAUCAUGACCAUUUUUAACACAAAUCAUGACCAUUCAUGAUUAGUGAAUCAUACUGUCUUAACUUAUGUGAAAUCAUGUGGAGUAAUAUAAUAUAAUAUAAUAGAUAGAUAGAUCCAUGUUGUAUUAUUUUUUGUUUACAAAAAAUAUCUGUCAUUACACAUUUUGAUUUAUGCAUUUGUUUACAAAAAAACAGUAACAUUUCAUGGUGGAGAGUUUGUAUUGUUUCAUACUGAACACCAAUGUUUUCCCGUAAAAGAAAAUAAUGCCUACGCAUAUGCUUUUAUAUUAUUAUUAUUCUUUCAAACUUAUUCAUAUAGUAUUUUUGAUUGUGCAACCAUAAUUUUUAUUAUCUCUCUCGUUCCACUACAUGCUCUUACUCAAUGAUUUUUUUAUAAUGGGUGUUUUUAUUAACUCAGCCAAAACAUAAUGAGCCACAUCCGGUCUCUGCAUAACUAAGAUGCACACAGCCAAAAGCAGAAGUCUGACAAAAAUAAGAUAAGAAAAUCAACAUAUCGACACCAGUGAGUCAUAUAGUUCCGACACUAUGCCUCUGUUGAAGGACGGGGUGGAGCGAUCUGGAGAUUAUGCUUCCCUCCAUUUUGAGUAAAUACCUCCCUGGCCACUUGUUCCAACCGCAUAGACGCCGCCACGAAUAAUGGUUGGUACUCUGUUCGGUGUAGCAUACACCAUGUAGGAACUGAGUGCUCACUCCUAGUUACUAAAUUAUGUACACACUAGUAGAAAAAGGGCCAUUUGUCCCGGUUCGUAAGGCCCAUUUGUCUCAGUUAGGGAACCGGGACUAAAGGGUCGGUACUAAAGCCCCACACCUUUACUCCCGGUUCUUACACCAACCGAGACAGAUGGGGCUCCACGUGGCCGCUGCGGCUUGCCAUGGCAGGGGGGCCUUUUGUCCCGGUUGGUAGCACCAACCGGGACCAAUAAGCUACCACGCGUCAGCAUUUGAGGGGCUUGGGUUUUUGUUUUUCUUCUGAAGGGGAGGGGAGGGGUGUUGGGGGUUUUGGGGGGUUUUGUAUGGUUAAUUUUGGGGGGUUUCAUAUAUUGUGUUAGGUAGUAAUUAAUUAAUAGAGAGAAGUGUCCUCUCUUAUCUCCGUGCUUGGUCGACGCUACGUACUAUACGUAUAGAGAGGCCCUCGACACACUUGCCAGUAAGCAAAUGAAGGAAACCAUUAAGUACAGAAGUUCGUCAUGAACAUAUGCAUACAAACAUAAGUGAUAUCGACCUCUCCUUCUCUGAGAGAUAGGUCGAACAACAAGUUUCCGUAUAUCCAUCCGGCGCUACUAGCUACUUAUAUACAAUAUUAAGAUCUCUUACAAUAUAAUCCCCUAAUUAUAUAUGAACUCAGUUUCCAGAUGGUAUUCUCGGGCUUUAUUGAUGACGUGGUCAAGAAAGAAUCCCUCCAAUUCCUCUUGAAUUGCUUUGAUGCGAUCUUGUGGUAGGAGUUCAUCCCGCAUCUGCCACAUCUAAUUUGAAGAAGGGGGUCAAUCACUAGUGGAAUAACAGCCAUUUGUCCAAGUUCAUAAGGCUCAUUUGUCCCGGUUGGGGAACCGAGACUAAAGGGUCGUUACUAAAGCCCUACACCUUUAGUCCCGGUUGUCGGUGUCAAAACCGGCGGAUCUCGGGUAGUUGGUCCCGAACUGUGCGUCUAGGCCGGAUGGUAACAGGAGGCAAGGAACACAAUGUUUUACCCAGGUUCGGGCCCUCUCGAUGGAGGUAAAACCCUACGUCCUGCUUGAUUAAUAUUGAUGAUAUGGGUAGUACAAGAGUAGAUCUACCACGAGAUCAAGGAGGCUAAACCCUAGAAGCUAGCCUAUGGCAUGAUUGUUGUGUAUGGAGUUGAUUGCCUACGGACUACAACCCUCCGGUUUAUAUAGACACCGGAUAGGGUUAGGGUUACAUAGAGUCGGUUACAAUGGUAGGAGAUCUUGAAUAUCCGCAUCGCCAAGCUUGCCUUCCACGCCAAGGAAAGUCCCAUCCGGACACGGGACAAAGUCUUCAAUCUUGUAUCUUCAUAGUCCAGGAGUCCGGCUACCCGAACACCCCCUAAUCUAGGACUCCCUCAGUAGCCCCUGAACCAGGCUUCAAUGACGACGAGUCCGGCGUGCAAAUUGUCUUCGGCAUUGCAAGGCGGGUUCCUCCUCCACGUCCUUCAUAGAAGAUUGUAAACACCAAGAGUAGUGUCCGGCUCUGCAAAAUAAGCUUCCACAUAUUUCCGUAGAGAGAAUAAUAUUAACACAAAUCAAAUCUGCUGACGUAUUCCGCAGUGCGUCAUCACACUGCAGCCAAGUCCUUCACUCGAAUCGUUUUCACUUUUCCACCUCAGCGUGUUUUGCGAGGCGGUUUCCUUGGCACGUCUUGUCAAAGUAGAUAUCGUGUACCCCCCUUUUACGGGAUUCUCAUCAAUACAGACAUGGGUAACCCAACCGCGCCACUUAUCUCGACGCUUGGGAGGCAAGCGAGUUUUACUAGGCAGGUGGGGACGCACAACCGCAUCUACCCAUAUAAGGGGAUAAGGAUCCACCUUUUUACCUACGCCUUCUUCCUCCUUUGCCUAUCCAUCUCCUGCGCACCCGAGCUCCAGCGCCCAAGCCCGCACUUCCCACCUCGACCUUCUCCAGCAAUGUCCGGAGCGGGAGGCAAGUGGAUGGUCUCUACCACCACGGAGGGUAAAAUCAAGAAGCUAAGGAAGGCCGGAUACCUGUCCAAGGACAUCGCGCACUGGCUUCCCGAAGAGGGGCAGCUUCUCCCCACCCCAAGGCCCCAUGAGAGGGUAGUAUUUCUCCCCCACUUCCUCCGCGGACUGGGUUUUCCACUCCACCCAUUUGUCCGGGGGCUCAUGUUCUACUACGGCCUGGAUUUCCACGAUCUGGUCCCGAACUUCAUCCUCAACAUCUCGGCGUUUAUCGUCUUUUGCGAGGCUUUUCUCCGCGUCCGCCCUCAUUUCGGCCUCUGGCUCAAGACCUUCAACGUCAAGCCCAAGGUGGUGUGCGGCAGCCAGGCGGAGUGCGGAGGCGCCAUGGUGGGCAAGAUGGCCAAUGUCAUAUGGUUCGAGGGCUCUUUUGUGGAGACCCUAAAGGGAUGGCAAUCUGGGUGGUUUUACAUCACCGAGCCGCGCGAUCCGAAAUGGACCGCAGCCCCCGAGUUCCGAUCCGGACCCCCCAAGCGGCUUGUGUCCUGGAAAGAGACGGGCCUGUCAUGGGGUGACGAAAAUGAGGUGACCGGAUUGCAAACAUGCAUCCAGUCCCUGGUGAACAAGCCAGUCUGGCUUGUUAAUGUAAUCCAGGUUAUGCUCGUCCGCCGGAUCCUCCCGUGCCAACAACGGGAUUUUAAUCUAUGGGAGUUCGACCCGGUGCAGCAUCAAACCCUCAGCAGGCUCUUCGACACGACGUACGAAGACGCCUGGAAGAUGCUAUUAAAGGGCGUCGAGGCUCCCGCAUCCGCUUCCGAGGACCGCGAAUACAGCUCGCAGCGUCACGCUAGCGAGGUAAGCCAUCUACACCUUUUAUAGGAUGUUCAAGCUUUUUUCAUAGUUUGACUCUAUGUGGGAUCUAAACUCCCUUACCUUUGAAAGGCUUGGCGGGCAAUAUCCGGACCGAUUAACUGUCCGGCUCCGCUGCCCGAAGACCCAGCCCCAGCUCUACUAGUGAAGCUGCUGGUUCCGGAGCCUUAUGUGGUGCCGAAGACGAAGGCCAAGAAGAAGAAGACCACAGGGACUCGAAAGAGUGCAUGCAACGUGGUGGUGUCGGACUCGUCAUCUGACGAGUCCAAGACGCCCUCCUCCCAUGAAAACGAGGAGGAGGAAGAAGAAAACUCCCCCCCCCCCCCAGCGGAGGGAGGAGAGAAGAGGAAGGCCGCCCCAACGGGGGAGGCCGAGGGGUCUAGGAAAAGGAAGACCCCUCCGCCAGACUACGCCCCCGACGCCGAAGAGGGCGAAGAGGAGUGGCCGAACAGGGCCAAACGUCCGGCGAAAUCGUAAGUUCGGAUAUCAGAGUAACUCAUGAUGUUCCUUUGUUGCACAGCUUUCCCUAAUGUCGAAUGUAAUUAUGCAGUCCGCCCCGGGCCAAAUUCGACGAAUCAUCGUGCGGCUCCCUGGACUCAUCGGACGUGAACUCAGUUCCGCCCGCUGUCUCCCCCCGCACUGUGGACGACGCCGAAGUGGCGUCGCGACAAGCCCCGGGGCAGGAGGAGGUGGUCCCGGAGGAGCCACAAGGCAACCUCCCGGACUCCAGGAGUGAAGGGGACAAGACCCCCCAGGGCUCCAAGUCUGGCUUUGAGCCGGACACCGCACCGGAAUCUACAACAGUUCCGGACCGCGGUAGGCGAACUCCUUCCAAGAGGAGUAAGCCUUCUGAGCCGGCGUCCUCCGUCCAGCCGAAGGCGCCGGAAAAUCUGCUGGAGGAGCUUAAGGGCGCCUCCAUCGACGAGGAGCACCAUGCCAUCAUGAGUAUGGUGGUCCAGAAGGUUCGGUCCGCCAAAAGCGGACUGACUGAAGCUUGUAAAAAUAUGUAAAAAUAUUACCGUAUAGACAGUAGCCCCUGAUGCUCUGUUUGGCGUUCGGAAAGAAAAGCUGGAUAGAGGAUCUAUUAAAUAUCGCAGGAGUCUAACUAAAAAGCAGUCAAUAUACGUAUGCAGGCUUCGCUGCUGGCCACCGCUGCACUGACUGCGGAGGUGGGUGCCCUGAAACAGGGCCUCGAGCGGACCGAGCAAGAGCUCGGCCUUGCCAAACGGCAGCUCGAGGAGAAAGAAGGUAAGAAAUACCUUACAGAAAAAGUGCCUAUAAAAAGACCUGAUUGCAAAAAAUAACAGGAUUGUACUGCUUAUUGUAGGGGCCACGACUGAGGUGGCGACCCUCAAGCAGGCGCUGUCCGAGGCCAAAAAGAAAACGGCCGUGGAGUGCACCGAGCGAGAGAAACUUGAGGCCCAGGUCAGCGAGGUGCAGCAGGAGCUUCAGGCUCUCAUGAAAAAACAUGAGAGUUUGGAGCUUGAGUCCAAGACGCAAGCGUAUGAGCUCGCGGCGGCCCUUGAGACUGCCAAGUCUGCCAAGGCCGAAGCCCAAAAGGCCCUCCAAGAGUUGGAGGAGAUGAAAAAGAUAGCGGCGGGUAAGGCAUUCUUUAUGCAAAGCAGAAGUAUAAAAGUGAAGUACUUGUUACUUACCCGAAUCCAGAGCUCUCCAGGGGCAUUCGCAGAUCUUCCCCGCGGCGUAUCUGACGCCGCUGCAUUCUACCGAGCCGAAGAGGGCAGCUCGACGGAGAAGGUGUUCUGGUUUCAGUAUGCUGAGGCCGGACACCCUGUGCCCUUGAGCGACCAGCUGAAACAGCUGGUCGAGCUCCACAAGGCGGCCGAGCAGGCCAUGAAGGGCUUCAUAGUUCGGCUGUGGCCCGGAGAGGCCCUGCCUGGGAGCUACUUCGGGUUGGUGUGGCGACUGGUGGAGGCCUGUCCAAGGCUCGAGGUCAUUAAGUGCUCCGUCUGCAUCGAAGGUGCCCGUAGGGCCCUUGCCCGUGCAAAGGUGCACUGGGGCAAGCUGGACGGUGAGAAGCUUGUGAGGGACGGGCCGCCGCCGGGGAAGGAGCAUCGCAAGCCCGAGAACUACUAUAAGGAUGUUCUAGCGGGUGCCCGCCUUGUGGCGGAUGAAUGUACCAAGGAUGUAAUUUUUUAAUGAACUCGCUCGUGUUUAUCCUGUGUGCUGAAAAGUUGUUCAUAUGCGCUAAGCAAUGCUUGUUGAAUUUAAAAUAUUACUUUCUGUGCGGCCGUUUAUCAAAAAUUGAGAGAUGGCCAGUCGGCGGCUUCUGCCCCCAUGCCACUAGUGCUGGGGUGUUCGGGAUAAACCUGAGCGCUCUUUUUCCCAUAGUUGGAUCCUUCGAGGGAGGCGCUCAGCACAACGAACCAGGCAAUCGGACUAUAAUGCUUGAACACUCUAACUUAGCCAUAGAACUCUAUAAUUUUAAAUUUCGGCGAAGCCCCUAGUUCGGAAGACCGAGUUCGGGGCGCUAUCCACGCCUUGGCCGGACAAAGCCGGCUCCUCGCUCGAAGCGGCAUAAGUCUUUAGGGACUCGAAAAACCUGUCGAACAGCGACCGGUCUCUCACCAUAUCAUGACAGUCAGUUUUACCUUUCUCCACUGAGGUGCUUAACCCAGCUCAACCGGGGCACAAUCGCAGUGGUUCUCCUAGUGCUACCUUAGCCGAUAUAGCGGAACGUAAGGCACCAAAACAUAGGAGCCAGGCAAACGCAACUAUUGACCCAAAUCAUGAUACGGAGCCGAUGCAUAUAGUGCUAUAAGUUCGGGGUGCCGUACUUGUGAAAGUGUACGGACUUCUCACGCCAUAUUUAUGGGUACUAAAGCCCCUGACGUAUUUUGCCGUACCACGGUGUACGGGUGCAACAUGUCAUAAACAUAUAUAUGAAAAGGUGAUAAUGCGAAAAAUAGACAGAAAGCUAUCCAUUGUUUAUAGAGAGGCUAUUUAUCAAAGCCGAACGAUACAAAUAGUGCGGUAAGCAAAAAAUAUUGGACUAUUUAGUAUGUCCUGACCAGGAGCAGGCCGCGGAAUUGUGUUUAAAACAGGUAUACCGCUCGUAACAGAGACCACCUGGGAGUUCCAUAAUGCGGCAUGGCUUGUCUUCCUCCCUGGAUCUUGCAUCGUUUGUGCGGCCGUCGAAUUGCCGAACAGGUCGUCCGAAGUAUGGAGUCCUGAAAGUAAGAAAAAAAUUAAAAAAAGAAUCCGGCAGCCCCUAGUACGUUUUAAGUCGUAUUUUGGGCGUGCCGUUAUUGCCCCUUCCCCUGUGCCCAUGGUAUUUCAAGGGCGUAGUUAUGUACGCGGGGUACUGGUUUCGCUAUGUCGCGAAAGCUGGGGUUGGGGCCACAUUGCUACGCUUGCUUAGAGUGUGCCAGGCGGUCCUGCUGUGGGUUACUCCAGGGGCGCCUGGCAGUGUCUGGCUUUUUAAUGGCCGGACUAGAGAAUUGCCUGAGAAGGCUACUUUGUACCUCCGCUGCGAGAGCCGCCGUAUGCUCCCCCAUAUGGAGGGAGCGUUCGGUGUUUCCGUUGACCGUAAUUACUCCUCGAGGGCCUGGCAUCUUGAGCUUGAUAUAUGCGUAGUGCAGCACCGCAUUGAACUUUGAGAAUGCAGUUCGUCCGAGCAGGGCGUGAUAGCCACUGCGAAACGGGACUAUAUCGAAGAUUAACUCUUCGCUUCGGAAAUUGUCCGGGGAUCCGAAGACCACGUCAAGUGUUACUGAGCCUGUACAGUUGGCUUCUACACCUGGUAUAAUGCCUUUAAAGGUCGUUCUUGUGGGCUUAAUCCUUGAGGGAUCUAUGCCCAUUUUCCGCACUGUAUCCCGAUAAAGCAGGUUCAGGCUACUGCUGCCGUCCAUGAGGACUCUUGUGAGAUGAAAUCCGUCGAUGAUUGGGUCGAGAACCAAUGCGACGAAGCCGCCAUGACGGAUGCUAGUGGGAUGGUCCCUUUGAUCAAAAGUGAUUGGGUAGGAGGACCAUGGGUUGAACUUUGGGGCGACUGGCUCCAUCGCGUAUAUGUCUCGCAGCGCACGCUUCCGCUCCCGCUUGGGAAUGUGGGUUGCAUUUAUCAUGUUCACCGUCCGCACUUGUGGGGGAAAGCCCUUCUGUCCAUUGUUGUUCGGCGGCUUGGGAUCCUCAUCGUCGUUGUGCAGCCCCUUUUUCUCUGUUUUUGGCCCUUAACUUGCCUGCCUGCUUGAACACCCAACAAUCCCUAUUAGUGUGAUUGGCUGGCCUUUCGGGGGUGCCAUGUAUCUGGCACAAGCGAUCGAGUAUUCGGUCCAAACUGGACGGGCCCUGAGUAUUCUUUUUGAAUGGCUUUUUCCGCUGACCGGAUUUAUAGCCUUUGAAUCCGGCAUUGACUGCCGUGUCUUCAUUGCUGUUGCUGCUAACGCGGCGUUUUUGCUUAUUCCGACGUGUCCUGCCACUUUUGUCCUUGGUAUCCGAAUUACCAGGGUUCUUUGAUAAGUUGUUACUGCGAGCUAGCCAGCUAUCUUCUCUCGCGCAAAAGCGGGUCAUGAGUGUCGUGAGGGCUGCCAUGGAUUUCGGCUUUUCCUGUCCCAGGUGCCGGGCAAGCCACUCGUCGCAGAUGUUAUGCUUCAAGGCUGCCAGGGCCUCUGCGUCCGGAUAGUCGACUAUCUGGUUUUUCUUUGUUAGGAACCAUGUCCAGAAUUGUCUGCCGAUUCCUCUGGCUGCUGAAUUAUGUGGCUUAAGUCGUCGGCAUCCGGUGGUCGCACGUAAGUGCCCUAGAAGUUGUCGAGGAAUGCGGCUUCCAGGUCCUCCCAAGAACCGAUUGAGUCUGCUGGCAAGCUGUUAAGCCAAUGCCGGGCCGGUCCUUUAAGUUUGAGCAGGAGCUAUUUGAUGGCGUGUAGAUCAUCGCCGCGUGCCAUGUGGAUGUGAAGGAGAUAAUCCUCGAUCCAUACCGCCAGAUCUGUUGUGCCAUCGUAUGAUUCGAUGUUUACGGGUUUGAAACCCUCUCGGAUUUUAUGAUCCAUUACUUCGUUCGUGAAGCAUAGCGGGUGUGCGGCGCCUCUGUAUUGGGCUAUAUCAUGACGCAGCUCGGAAGAGCUAUGUCUGUUGUGUUCGGCCCGGCCGGAUUUGUUGUAUCCGGAGUGAAGAUCAUUGUCACAUGCUGUAGGGUGGCUGCGCGAUCCGUAGAUCGAUCUUUUUUGUCUUGCCUUAUCCUCCAGUAUGUCUCGCAGAUCGGGCGCAUUUUCCCGUGCCUUAUUUACGCACCGUCGGGGCAUGGCUUGGGUGGAGGGCCGAGAGGCCUCUCUGUCGCGGCCGUGAGGUGGCCGGUCUGCCAUGUCAUUCGCUGGUGACGUAGGUACUUCCUCCUCUGAUCGGGGUAGCGGCCUGCGCUUCGGGUAACUCUUGGAGGGGCGUUCGUGUUCAUACUCUUCGGCUGCAAGGACUUCAGUCCAUCUGUCAGCUAGCAAAUCUUGGGCGGCUGUAAGCUGUUGCUGCUUUUUCUGGAGGCUGCUUGCCAUGGCUAAAAGCCUGUGUUUAAAACGCUCUUGUUCGGCGGGGUCUGAUGGUAUGACGAAUUUGUCGUCAUCGAGGCUUGCCUCGUCUCCAGAGGGAGGCGUAUAGUUAUCAUCCUCGACUUCUCGGUCUGCCGCUCUCUCAUGAGGGCUGGCUACUCCAUCUCCCUGUGCCGAAUCUUGCUGAGGUGGGUGUUCUUCGGCGUUAUCCGGGGUAGUAUUAUCUCCCGUGCCGGAAUCACCGUUUUUGCUUUGGCUGUUUCUUGGGGGCGUCAUCCCCCACUAUUCCAUCACCAUCUCCAUCUUUUGGAGUAUCCACCAUAUAUAUGUCAUAUGACGAGGUGGCCUUCCAGCGCCCUAUAGGUGUUGGUUCCUAUUCGUCUCCUACUUCGUCGUCCAUGCCGUCGAUGUCUUCGGAGCCGAAGUCACGCAUGUCGGUUAAAUCAUCGACAGUGGCUACAAAGUGGGUGGUGGGUGGGCUUUGAAUUUCCUCAUCGUCCGUAUCCCACCCUCGCUGACCGUAGUCCGGCCAGGGCUCUCUUGAUAAAGAGAGAGACUUAAGAGAAUUCCGGAUGUCACCAAAAGGCGAAUGCUGAAAGAUGUCUGCGGCGGUGAACUCCAUUAUCGGCGCCCAAUUGGAUUCGAUUGGCAGGGGCGCAGGGGGUUUGGAGUCCGGGAAGGAGUCCGGAUCCUCGGAGUCACGGGUCGUCCAGAGUGCGGGGCUAGCGUUCAGCUCGAUCGCUUUCGGGAUCGCAGCCCCUGAGGUGACGUCCAGCCACUCAUCCUCGAUUGGCGCAAUAGGCAUCGAGUUAGGGGUCAGAACCGAUGCGUGUGCGGCCUCCAGGACACUGUCCGGGGGCAGAGCUAGAUCAUGCCCCUCGAGAUAGUGCGGCGCGCUUGACCGUGGCUCGAGCCCGUCGAAGAUCAAGUCUCCGCGGAUGUCAGCCGUGUAGUUUAAGCUUCCAAACCUGACUUGAUGGCUAGGGGCGUAGCUUUCGAUCUGCUCCAGGUGGCCGAGCGAAUUGGCCCGCAGAGCAAAGUUGCCGAAGACGAAGAUCUGUUCGGGGAGAAAAGUAUCACCCUCGACCGCAUCGUUGUUGAUGAUCAAAGGAGCCAUCGGGCCUAAAGGCGACGACACAGAGGAACUCUCAAUGAAAGCACCAAUGUCGGUGUCAAAACCGGCGGAUCUCGGGUAGUGGGUCCCGAAUUGUGCGUCUAGGCCGGAUGGUAACAGGAGGCAGGGAACACGAUGUUUUACCCAGGUUCGGGCCCUCUUGAUGGAGGUAAAACCCUACGUCCUGCUUGAUUAAUAUUGAUGAUAUGGGUAGUACAAGAGUAGAUCUACCACGAGAUCAAGGAGGCUAAACCCUAGAAGCUAGCCUAUGGCAUGAUUGUUGUGUAUGGAGUUGAUUACCUACGGACUACAACCCUCCAGUUUAUAUAGACACCGGAUAGGGUUAGGGUUACAUAGAGUCGGUUAUAAUGGUAGGAGAUCUUGAAUAUCCACAUCGCCAAUCUUGCCUUCCACGCUAAGGAAAGUCCCAUCCGGACACAGGACAAAGUCUUCAAUCUUGUAUCUUCAUAGUCCAGGAGUCCGGCUGAAGGUCUAGUCCGGCUACCCGAACACCCCCUAAUCCAGGACUCCCUCACCGGUUCUUACACCAACUGGGAGAGAUGGGCUUCCACGUGGCCGCUGCGGCGAGCCCAGGCAGGAGGUCCUUUGGUCCCGGUUAGUGACACUGAUACGUCUCCGACAUAUCUAUAAUUUUUGAUUGCUCCAUGCUAUUAUGUUAUCCAUUUUGGAUGUUAAUGGGCUUUAUUUUACACCUUUAUAUCAUUUUUGGGACUAACCUACUAAUUGGAGGCCAAACCCAAAUUGCUGUUUUUUUUGCCUAUUUUAGGUUUUCGAAGAAGAGGAAUAUCAAACGGAGUCCAAACGGAAUGAAAACUUCGGGAACGUGAUUUUCUCAACGAACAUGAUCCAGGAGACUUGGAGUGUGCGCCAAGAAAUAAGGGAGGAAGGCACGAGGCAGGGGUCGCGCCUACCCCCCUUGGGCGUGCCCUCCACCCUCGUGGGCCCUCCACUGCUCCACCGACGUACUUCUUCCUCCUAUAUAUAUACACGUACCCCCCCAAACAACCAGGAGCACCAUGAAAACCUAAAUCCACCGCCGCAACCUUCUGUACCCGAGAGAUCCCAUCUUGGGGCCUUUUCCGGAGGGGGCAUCGAUCACGGAGGGCCUCUACAUCAACUGCAUGGCCUCUCCGAUGAUGUGUAAGUAGUUUACUUCAGACCUACGGGUCCAUAGUUAUUAGCUAGAUGGCUUCUUCUCUCUCUUUGGAUCUCAAUACAAAGUUCUCCUCGAUGUUCUUGGAGAUCUAUUCGAUGUAAUCUUCUUUUGCGGUGUGUUUGUCGAGAUCCGAUGAAUUGUAGGUUUAUGAUCCAGAUUAUCUAUGGACAAUAUUUGAUUCUCCUCUGAAUUCUUUUAUGUAUGAUUCGUUUAUCUUUGCAAGUCUCUUCGAAUUAUCAGUUUGGUUUGGCCUACUAAAUUGAUCUUUCUUGCAAUGGGAGAAGUGCUUAGCUUUGGGUUCAAUCUUGCGGUGUUCGAUCCCAGUGACUGAAAGGGAACCGAUAUUUAUUGUAUUGUUGCCAUCGAGGAUAAAAAGAUGGGGUUUAUAUCAUAUUGCAUGAGUUUAUCCCUCUACAUCAUGUCAUCUUCCUUAAAGCAUUACUCUGUUCUCUUGAACUUAAUACUCUAGAUGCAUGCUGGAUAGCGGUCGAUGUGUGGAGUAAUAGUAGUAGAUGCAGAAUCGUUUCAGUCUACUUGUCUCGGACCUGAUGCAUAUAUACAUGAGCAUAACUAUAUAUUCUCAUAACUAUGCUCAAUUCGAUCAAUUGCUCGACAGCAAUUCGUUUACCCACCGUAAUACUUAUGCUCUUGAGAGAAGCCACUAGUGAAACCUAUGGCCUCGGGGUCUAUCUUCUAUCAUAUUAAUCCUCCAAUACUUAGUCAUUUCUAUUUCUAUUUAUUUUAUUUUGCAUCUUUUAUUUCUCUUUAUCAUAAAAAUACCAAAAAUCUUAUCUUAUCAUAUCUAUCAGAUCUCACUGUCGUAAGUGACCGUGAAGGGAUUGACAACCCCUUUAUCGCGUUGGUUGCGAUGUUCUUAUUUGUUUGUGUAGGUUCGUGGGACUUGAGCAUGAUCUCCUACUGGAUUGAUACCUUGGUUCUCAAAAACUAAGGGAAAUACUUACGCCGAUUUAUUUCAUCACUCUUUCUUCUUCAAGGGAAAACCAACGCAAUGCUCAAGAGGUAGUGUCGGUGUCAAAACCGGCGGAUCUCGGGUAGUGGGUCCUGAACUGUGCGUCUAGGCCGGAUGGUAACAGGAGGCAGGGAACACGAUGUUUUACCCAGGUUCGGGCCCUCUUCAUGGAGGUAAAACCCUAUGUCCUGCUUGAUUAAUAUUAAUGAUAUGGGUAGUACAAGAGUAGAUCUACCAUGAGAUCAAGGAGGCUAAACCCUAGAAGCUAGCCUAUGGUAUGAUUGUUGUAUAUGGAGUUGAUUGCCUACGGACUACAACCCUCCGAUUUAUAUAGACACCGGAUAGGGUUAGGGUUACAUAGAGUCGGUUACAAUGGUAGGAGAUCUUGAAUAUCCGCAUCGCCAAGCUUGCCUUCCACGCCAAGGAAAGUCCCGUCCGGACACGGAACGAAGUCUUCAAUCUUGUAUCUUCACAGCCCAGGAGUCCGGCUGAAGGUAUAGUCCGGCUAUCCGAACACCCCCUAAUCCAGGACUCCCUCAGUAGCCCCUGAACCAGGCUUCAAUGACGACGAGUCCGGCACGCAAAUUGUCUUCGGCAUUGCAAGGCGGGUUCCUCCUCCAAGUCCUUCAUACAAGAUUGUAAGCACCAAGAGUAGUGUCCGACUCUGCAAAAUAAGCUUCCACAUAUCGCCAUAGAGAGAAUAAUAUUAACACAAAUCAAAUCCGCUGACGUAUUCCGCAGUGCGUCAUCACACUACAGCCAAGUCCUUCACUCGAAUCGUUUUCACUUUUCCACCCCAGUGUGUUUUGCGAGGUGGUUUCCUUGGCACGUCUUGUCAAAGCAGAGAUCGUGUCCCCUUUGUUUACGGGAUUCUCGUUAAUACGGACGUGGGUAACCCAACCGCGCCACUUAUCAUGGCGCUUGGGAGGCAAGCGAGUUCUACUAGGCUGGUGGGGACGCAUAGUCGCAUCCGCCCAUAUAAGGGGAUAAGGAUCCACCUUUUUACCUAUGCCUUCUUCCUCCUUUGCCUAUCCAUCUUCUGCGCACCCGAGCUCUAGUGCCCCAUCCCGCGCUUCCUACCUCAACCCUCUCCAACAAUGUCCGGAGCGGGAGGCAAGUGGAUGGUCUCCUCCGUCACGAAGGGCCAUGUCAAAAGGUUAAGGAAGGCCGGAUACUUGUCCAAAGACAUCGCGCACCGGCUUCCUGAGGAGGGGCAGCUUCUCCCCACCCCAAGGCCCCAUGAGAGGGUAGUAUUUCUUCCCCACUUCCUCCGCGGACUGGGUUUUCCUAUCCACCCAUUUGUCCGCGGGCUCCUGUUCUACUAUGGCCUAGAUUUCCAUGAUCUGGCCCCGAACUUCAUCCUGAAUAUCUCGGCAUUUAUCGUCGUGUGCGAGGCUUUCCUCUGCAUUCGCCCCCAUUUCAGCCUCUGGCUCAAGACCUUCAACGUCAAGCCAAAGGUGGUGCGCGGUAACCAGGCGGAGUGCGGAGGUGCCAUGGCGGGAGAAAUUGCCAACGUCCUAGGGCUCGAGGGCUCCUUUGUGGAGACCUUGAAGGGGUGGUAGUCAGGGUGAUUUUACAUCACCGAGCCACGCGAUCCGAAGUGGAUCGCAGCCCCUGAAUUCCGAUCCGGACCCCCUACACGGCUCACGUCCUGGAAGGAGACGAGCUUGUCGUGGGGCGACGAAGGAGAGUUGACCGGACUGCAAAAAUGCAUCCAGUCCCUGGUGAACAAGCAGCUCAAGCUUGUCAACGUAAUCUAGGUCAUGCUCGUCCGCCGGAUCCUUCCGUGUCAAGAACGGGACAUCAAUUUGUGGGAGUUCAACCCGGUGCAGCAACGAACUCUGAGAAGGCUCUUUGACACGACGUACGAAGUUGUCUGGAGGGGGCUAACCAAAGGCGCCGAGGCUCCCACAUCCGCCUCCGAUGACCGCGGAUUCAGCUCGCAGCGUCCUGCUGGCGAGGUAAGAUAUUUCCAUCUUUUACAGGAUAUUAAGUUUUUUCAUAGUUGACUCUAUGCGGGAUCUAAACUCCCUCACCUUUGACAGGAUUGGCGGGAGAAGUCCGGACAGAUUAACUGCCCGGCUCCCUUGCCAAGCCGGAGAAGAGGGCCAAGAAGAAGAAGGCCACGGGGACUCGAAAGAGUUCCUGGCAUAUGGUGGUGUCGGACUCGUCGUCCGACGAGUCCGAGAUGCACUCCUCCCGUGAAUACGAGGAGGAAGAAGAAACCUCUCCCCCUCCAGCGGGGGGAGGAGAGAAGAGGAAGGCCGCCCCAGUAGGGGAGGCCGAGGGGUCCAAGAAGAGGAAAACCCAUCCGCCGGACUACGUCCCCGACACCGACGAGGACGAAGAGGAGUGGCCGGACAGGGCCAAGCGUCCGGCGAGAUCGUAAUUCUUCGGAUACCAGAGUAACUCGUGAUAUUCCUUUUGUUGCACAGGUUUCGCUAAUGUCAGAUAUAAUCAUGCAGUCCACCCAAGGACGGGCACGACGAGUCGUCGAGCGGCUCCCUGGAUUCAUCGGACGCGAAUUCAGUUCCGCCUACUGCUUCCCCCUAUGCUGCAGAUGACGCCGAAGUGGCGUCGCGACAAGCUCCGGGGCGAGAGGAGGUGGUCCAGGAGGAGUCGCGAGGUGACCUCCCGGACUCCAGGAGUGAAGGGGACAAGACCCCCAUGGGCUCCAAGUCCGGCUUUAAGCUGGACACUGCGCCGGAAUCAUCAAUGGUUCCGGACCGCGGUAGGCGAACUCCUGCCAAGAGGAGCAAGCCUACUGAGCCGGCAUCCUCCGUCCAGCCGGAGGCGCCGCACAAUCUGGUGGAGGAGCUUAAGGGCGCCUCCAUCGACGAGGAGCAUCGUGCCGUCAUGAGUACGGUGAUCCAGAAGGUUCGGUCCGCCAAAAGCGGACUGACUGAAGCUUGUGCUAGCCUUCUAACAGGCUUCGAGGUAAGUAAAAAUAUGUAAAAAUAUUACCGUAUAGACAGUAGCCCCUGAUGCUCUGUUUGGCGUUUGUAAAGAAAAGCCAAAUAGAGGAUCUAUUAAAUAUCCCAGGAGUCUAACUAAAAAGGAGUCAAUAUACGUAUGUAGGCUUCGCUGCUGGCCAUCGCCGCACUGACUGCGGAGGUGGGUGCCCUUAAGCAGGGCCUCCAGCGGACCGAGCAAGAGCUCGGCCUUGCCAAACGGCAGCUCGAGGAGAAAGAAGGUAAGAUAUACCUUAGAGAAAAAGUGCCUAUAAAAAGGCUUGAUUGCAAAAAGAGUAACAGGAUUGUACUGCUUAUUGUAGGGGCUACGACUGAGGUGGCGACCUUUAAGCAGGUGUUGUCUGAGGCCGAAAAGAAAACGGCCGCGGAGCGCACCGAGCGAGACAGACUUGGGGCUCAGGUCAGCGAGGUGCAGCAAGAGCUUCAGGCUCUCAUGAAAAAACAUGAGAGUUUGGAGCUGGAAUCGAAGGCGCAAGCAUCCGAGCUUGCAAUGGCCCUAGAGGCUGCCAAGUCUGCCAAGGCCGAAGCCCUAAAGGCCCUCCAAGAGUUGGAGGAGAUGAGGAAGAUAGCAGCGGGUAAGGCAUUCUUUAUGCAAAGCAGAAAUAUAAAAGUGAACUACCUGUUACUUACCCAAAUCCGAAGCUCUCCAGGGGCAUUCGCAGAUCUUCCCAGCAGCGUAUCCGACGCCGCCGCAUUCUGCCAAGCUGAAGAGGGUAGCUCGACGGAGAAGGUGUUCUGGUUUCAGUAUUCUAAGGCCGGACACCCUGUGCCCUUGAGCGACCAGCUGAAACAGCUGGUUGAGCUCCACAAGGCGGCCGAGCAGGCCAUGAAGGGCUUCAUAGUUCGGCUGUGGCCCGGAGAGGCCCUACUUGGGAGCUAUUUCGGGCUAGUGCGGCGGCUUGUGGAGGCCUGUCCGAGGCUUGAGGUCAUCAAGUGCUCCGUCUGCAUCGAAGGUGCCCGUCGGGCCCUUGCCCGUGCAAAGGUGCACUGGGGUAAGCUGGAUGGUGAGAAGCUUGUGAAGGACGGGCCGCCGCCGGGGAAGGAGCAUCGCAAGCCCGAGAACUACUACAAGGAUGUUCUUGCAGGUGCCCGCCUUGUGGCGGAUGAAUGUACCAAGGAUGUGAUAUUUGAAUGAACUCGCUCGUGUUUAUCCUGUGCGCUGAAAACUUGUUCAUAUGCGCUAAGCAAUGCUUAUUGAAUUUAAAAUAUUACUUUCUGUGCGGCCAUUUAUCAAAAAUUGAGAGAUGGCCAGUCGUCGGCUUUUGCCCCCGUGCCACUAGUGCUGGGGUGUUCGGGAUAAACCUGAGCGCUCUUUUUCCCAUAGUUGGGUCCUUCGAGGGAGGCGCUCACCACAACGAAUCAGGCAAUCAGACUAUAAUGCUUGAACACUCUCACUUAGCCAUAGAGCUCUAUAAUUUUAAAUUUCGGUGAAGCUCCUAGUUUGGAAGACCGAGUUCGGGGCGCUAUCCACGCCUUGGCCGGACAAAGCCAGCUCCUCGCUCGAAGCGGCAUAAGCCUUUAGGGACUCGAAAAACCUCUCGAACAGCGACUGGUCUCUCGCCACAUCAUGACAGUCAGUUUUAGCUUUCUCCACUGAGGUGCUUAACCCAGCUGAACCGGGGCACAAUCGCAGUGGUUCUCCUAGUGCUACCUUAGCCGAUAGAGCGGAACGUAAGGCACCAAAACAUAGGAGCCGGGCAAACCCAACUAUUGACCCAAAUCAUGAUUCGGAGCCGAUGCAUAUAGUGCUAUAAGUUCGGGGUGCCGCACUUGUGAAAGCGUACGGACUUCUCACACCAUUAUGAGGGGUUCUGAAGCCCCUGGCGUGUUUGCCAUACCAUGGUGUACGGGUGCAAUCAUGUCAUUUAAUAAACAUAAAUGUGAAAAGAAGACAACGCAAAAAAUAGACUAGAAGCUAAGCAUUGUUUAUAGAGAGGCUAUUUAUCAAAGCCGGACGAUACAAAUACUGAAGUAAGCAAAAGAUAUUGGACUAUUCAGUAUGUCCUGACCAGGGGCAGGCCGCGGAAUUGUAUUUAAAACAGGUAUACCGCUCGUAACAGAGACCACAUGGGAGUUCCAUAAUGCGUCAUGGCUUGUCUGCCUCCCUGGAUCUUGCAUCGUUUGUGCGGCAGUCGAAUAUCCGAACAGGUCAUCCGAAGUAUGGAGUCCUGAAAGAAGAAAAAAUUAAAAAAAGAAUCCGGCAGCCCCUAGUACGUAUUAAGCCGUAUUUUGGGCAUGUCGUUAUUGUGCCCCUUCUCCUGUGCCCAUGGUAUUUCAAGGGCGUAGUUAUGUCCGCGAGGUACUGGUUUCGCUAUGUCGCGAAAGCUGGGGUUGGGGCCGCAUUGCUACGCUUGCUCAGAGUGUGCCAGGCGGUCCUGCUGUGGGUUACUCCGGGCGUGCUUGGCAGUGCCUGGCUUUUUAAUGGCCGGACCGGAGAAUUGCCUGAGAAGGCUACUUUGUACCUCCGCUGCGAGAGCCACCGUAUGCUCCUCCAUACGGAGGGAGCGUUCGGUGUUUCCGUUGACCGUAAUUACUCCUUGAGGGCCUGGCAUCUUGAGCUUGAGAUAUGCGUAGUGCGGCACCGCGUUGAUCUUUGCGAAUGCGGUUCGUUCGAGCAGGGCAUGAUAGCCACUGCGAAACGGUACUAUAUCGAAGAUUAACUCUUCGCUUCGGAAAUUAUCCGGGGACCUGAAGACCACAGCAAGUGUUACUGAGCCUGUACAAUUGGCUUCUACACCUGGUAUAACGCCUUUAAAGGUUGUUCUUGUGGGCUUAAUCCUUGAGGGAUCUAUGCCCAUUUUCCGCACUGUAUCCUGAUAAAGCAGGUUCAGGCUAAUGCCGCCGUCCAUGAGGACUCUUGUGAGAUAAAAUCCUUCGAUGAUUGGGUCGAGAACCAAUGCGGCAAAGCCGCCAUGACGGAUGCUAGUGGGAUGGUCCCUUCGAUCGAAAAUGAUCGGGCAGGAGGACCAUGGGUUGAACUUUGGGGCGACUGGCUCCAUCGCAUAUACGUCCCGUAGUGCAUGCUUCCGCUCCCGCUUGGGAAUGUGGGUUGCGUAUAUCAUGUUCACCGUCCACACUUGUGGGGGAAAGCCCUUCUGUCCAUUGUUGUUCGGCGGCUUGGGCUCCUCCUCGUCGCUGUGCAGCCCCUUGUCUCUAAUUUCGGCCCUUAACUUGCCUGCCUGCUUGAACACCCAACAAUCCUGUUAGUGUGAUUGGCUGGCCUUUCGGGGGUGCCAUGUGUCUGGCAUAAGCGAUCGAGUAUUCGGUCCAAACUGGACGGGCCCUGAGUAUUCUUUUUGAAUGGCUUUUUCCGCUGACCGGAUUUAUAGCCUUUGAAUCCGGCAUUGACUGCCGUGUCUUCAUUGCUGUCGCUGCUAACGCGGCGUUUUUGCUUAUUCCGACGUGUCCUGCCACUUUUGUCCUUGGUAUCCGAAUUACCAGGGUUCUUUGAUAAGUUGUUACUGCGAGCUAGCCAGCUGUCUUCUCCCGCGCAAAAGCGGGUCAUGAGUGUCAUGAGGGCUGCCAUGGAUUUCGUCUUUUCCUGUCCCAGGUGCCGGGCAAGCCACUCGUCGCAGAUGUUAUGCUUCAAGGCUGCCAGGGCCUUUGCGUCCGGACAGUCGACUAUCUGGUUUUUCUUUGUUAGGAACCGUGUCCAGAAUUGUCUGGCCGAUUCCUCUGGCUGCUGAAUUAUGUGGCUUAAGUCGUCGGCAUCCAGUGGUCGCACGUAAGUGCCCUGGAAGUUGUCGAGGAAUGCGGCUUCCAGGUCCUCCCAAGAACCGAUUGAGUCUGCUGGCAAGCUGUUAAGCCAAUGCCGGGCCGGUCCUUUAAGUUUGAGCGGGAGGUAUUUGAUGGCGUGUAGAUCAUCGCCGCAUGCCAUGUGGAUGUGAAGGAGAUAAUCCUCGAUCCAUACCGCCGGAUCUGUUGUGCCAUCGUAUGAUUCGAUGUUUACGGGUUUGUAACUCUCUGGGAUUUUAUGAUCCAUUACUUCAUUCGUGAAGCAUAGUGGUUGUGCGGGUCCUCUGUAUUGGGCUAUAUCACGACGCAGCUCGGACGAGCUAUGUCUGUUGUGUUCGGCCCGGGGCCGGAUUUGUCGUAUCCGGAGUGAAGAUCAUUUUCCCGUGCCUUAGUUGAGCGGUGUCGGGGCAUGCCUUGGGUGGAGGGCCGAGACGCCUCUCUGUCGGGGCCGCGAGGUGGCCGGUCUGCCAUGUCAUGCGCUGGUGAUGUAGGUGCUUCCUCCUCUGAUCGGGGUAGCUGCCUGCGCUUCGGGUAACUCUUGGAGGGGCGUUCGAGUUCAUACUCUUCGGCCGCAAGGACUUCAGUCCAUCUGUCAGGUAGCAAAUCUUGGGCAGCUCUAAGCUGUUGCUGCUUUUUCUUGAGGCUGCUUGCCGUGGCUAAAAGCCUGCGUUUAAACGCUCUUGUUCGGCGGGGUCUGAUUGUAUGACGAAUUCGUCGUCAUCGAGGCUUGCCUCGUCUUCGGAGGGAGGCGUAUAGUUAUCAUCCUCGACCUCUCAGUCUGCCGCUCUCUCAUGAGGGCUGGCUUCUCCAUCUUCCUGUGCCGAAUAUUGCUGAGGUUGGUGUUCUUCGGCGCUAUCCGGGGUAGUAUUAUCUCUCGUGUCAGAAUCACCGUUUUUGCUUUGGCGGGAUUUAGGGUGGCGCCGCUGGUGCCGGUGCUUUGGUUGUUUCUUGGGGGCGUCAUCCCCCACUGUUCCAUCGCCAUCUCCAUCUUUUGGAGUAUCCACCAUAUAUAUGUCAUACGACGAGGUGGCCUUCCAGCGCCCUACAGGUGCUGGUUCCUAUUCGUCUCCUACAUUGUCGUCCAGGCCGUCAAUGUCUUUGGAGCUGAAGUCAAGCAUGUCGGUUAGAUCGUCGAUACUGGCUACAAAGUGGGUGGUGGGUGGGCUUUGAAUUUCCUCAUCGUCCGUAUCCCACCCUCGCUGACCGUAGUCCGGCCAGGGCUCUCCUGAUAAAGAGAGAUACUUAAGAGAAUUCAGGAUGUCGCCAAAAGGCGAAUGCUGAAAGAUGUCUGUGGCGGUGAACUCCAUUAUCGGCGCCCAAUCGGAUUCGAUUGGCAGGGGCGCGGGUGGUUUGGAGUCCGGGGAGGAGUCCAGAUCCUCGGAGUCACCGGUCGUGCAGAGUGCGGGGCUAGCAUUCGGCUCGAUCGCUUUCGGGAUCGCAGCCCCCGAGGUGACGUCCAACCGCUCAUCCUCGAUUGGCGCAAUAGGUUCCGAGUUAGGGGUCGGAACCGAUGCGUGUGCGGCCUCCAGGACACUGGCCGGGGGCAGAGCUAGAUCAUGCCCCUCGGGAUAGUGCGGCGCGCUUGGCCGUGGCUCGAGCCCGUCGAAGAUCAAGUCUCCAUGGAUGUCUGCCGUGUAGUUUAAGCUUCCAAACCUGACUUGAUGGACAGGGGCGUAGCUUUCGAUCUGCUACAGGUGGCCGAGCGAAUUGGCUCGCAGAGCGAUGCCGCCGAAGACGAAGAUCUGUCCGGGGAGAAAAGUCUCACCCUGGACCGCAUCGUUGUUGAUGAUCAAAGGAGCCAUCGGGCCUAAAGGUGACGAGACAGAGGAACUCUCAAUGAAAGCACCAAUGUCGGUGUCAAAACCAGUGGAUCUCGGGUAGUGGGUCGCGAACUGUGCGUCUAGGCCGGAUGGUAACAGGAGGCAGGGAACACGAUGUUUUACCUAGGUUCCGGCCCUCUUGAUGGAGGUAAAACCCUAUGUCCUGCUUGAUUAAUAUUGAUGAUAUGGGUAGUACAAGAGUAGAUCUACCACGAGAUCAAGGAGGCUAAACCCUAGAAGCUAGCCUAUGGUAUGAUUGUUGUAUAUGGAGUUGAUUGCCUACGGACUACAACCCUCCGGUUUAUAUAGACACCGGAUAGGGUUAGGGUUACAUAGAGUCAGUUACAAUGGUAGGAGAUCUUGAAUAUCCACAUCGCCAAGCUUGCCUUCCACGCCAAGGAAAGUCCCGUCCGGACCCGGGACGAAGUCUUCAAUCUUGUAUCUUCAUAGCCCAGGAGUCCGGCUGAAGGUAUAGUCCGGCUACCCGAACACCCCCUAAUCCAGGACUCCCUCAGGUAGCAAGAUGGAUUUCUGGCGCCGUUGCCGGGGAGACUCGCGCCAAGUAAAGACAUACCAAGUACCCAUCACAAACCCUUAUCCCUCGCAUUACAUUAUUUUCCAUUUGCCUCUCGUUUUCCUCUCCCCCACUUCACCCUUGCCGUUUUAUGCGCCCUCUCUUUUUUCCUUCGCCUCUUUUCCACUUGCUUUGUCAUUAUGGCUAGUCCUUUAUCUACUCCUUUGUCUCCCGAGAAUGAAGUUCUUAAUUUUAAACAAAGGGAGGGAGAAAAUCUAAAAGAUGCUUGGUACAGAAUUUGCAACACGCAAAUUAGAUCUACUAGGAAACAAUCUACUUUUGUUCUUCUUCACAAUUUUUAUGUAGGCAUCACACCUAGGAAUAGAUAUAUUCUUGAUGCCAUUACCGGAGGGAAUUUCUUGGGUAGCCAUACUUUUGAUUCUUAUAAUGCUAUGAUAGAUCUGUUUGGCCCACCACCUCUUUUGGUUAAUGGAACUAUUUUAACUUUGGAACAUGUGAUGCAAUGGCUUGAAAUUAGUGAAAAUAAAGUUGCCACCAUAGAGUUAAUUGAAAAUUUGGAUAGAAAGAUCCACAACCAAAUUACCCAAUACGGAUCUAAGUUAGGAGUUGCUCUUAAAAGUUUUAAAGAAAAGGGACCUAUGGUUAAUGAAAAGAUAGAAAAAGAUUCCACUAGAAUUGUUAAAUUGAGGAUAUUAUUACCAACCUUGGGUCUUCCUUUUCUUCUAUUAUAAAUACUCUACCUAAUGCUAAGAUUGCCAAACUAAUGUAUGUUACAAAAAAUAAUGGUGAAACUUCUAAUAAGGAAAAUGCGGAUCUCAAAUCCAUAAGUGUUCACCCCAAUUUUCUCACUAUCCUGAAGGAACCUUUUGCUACAAAUGAUUUUCUUGAUUUCGUACCUAGGAGUUUGAUAAUUAAUAAAAACCAAGAAACUCCUAAAAGUUAUUGGUGUCUUAUUGAAGAAUCACCUUCCAAAGACGGCAAUACCUAGGUCUAUCUUCGCUUUUAUGCCUAGCUAGGGGCGUUAAACGAUAGCGCUUGUUGGGAGGCAACCCAGUUUUAUUUUUAUUCCUUGCUUUUUGCUCCUAUUUAGUAAUAAAUAAUUUAUGUAGCCUCUGUUUUGGUUUGUGUUUUUUGUGUUUAAUUUGUGUUUGUGCCAUGUAGAACCGUUGGGUAGACUUGGGGAAAGUCUUUUUGAUCUUGCUGUAAAAAACAGAAACGUUAGCGCUCACGAGAAUCGCUGACAUUUUUAUUUGGAAAGUGAUAUUUAGAUAAUUAUUUUUGCAGAUGAUUAAUAGAUAAAUUCCUCACGUCUAGAAAUUUAUUUUAUAAUUUUUGGGGUUACAGAAGUUUGCGUUAGGUACAGAUUACUACAGACUGUUCUGUUUUUGACAGAUUAUGUUUUUCGUGUAUUGUUUGCUUAUUUUGAUGAAUCUAUGGCUAGUAAAAGAGGUUAUAAACCGUAGAGAAGUUGGAAUACAGUAGGUUUAACACCAAUAUAAAUCAAGAUUGAGUUCAUAACAGUACCUUGAAGUGGUGUUUUGUUUUCUUUCGCUAACGGAGCUCACGAGAUUUUCUAUUUGAGUUUUCUGUUGUGAAGUUUUCAAGUUUUGGGUAAAGAUUUGAUGGAUUGUGGAACAAGGGGUGGCAAGAGCCUAAGCUUGGGGAUUCCCAUGGCACACCAAGGUAAAAUUCAAGGACACCAAAAAGCCUAAGCUUGGGGAUGCCCCGGAAGGCAUCCCCUCUUUCGUCUUCGUCUAUUGGUAACUUUACUUGGAGCUAUAUUUUUAUUCACCACAUGAUAUGUGUUUUGCUUGGAGCGUCUUGUAUGAUUUGAUUAUUUGAUUUUUAGUUUACCAAAAUCAUCCUUGCUGUACACACCUUUUGAGAGAGACUCACAUGAUUGGGAAUUUAUGAGAGUACUCGAUGUGCUUCACUUAUAUCUUUUGAGCUAUAUGGUUUUUGUUCUAGUUCUUCACUUAUAUAUUUUAGAGCACGGCGGUGGUUUUAUUUUAUAGAAAUAAUUGUUCUCUCAUGCUUCACUUAUAUUAUUUUGAGAGUCCUUUAGAACAACAUGGCAAUAAUAAAACUGUCAUACAAGUGCAUUGAAUACUAUGAGAAGUUUGAUACUUGAUAAUUGUUUUGAGAUAUGGAGAUGGUGAUAUUAGAGUCAUGCUAGUUGUGUAGUUGUGAAUUUGAGAAAUACUUGUGUUGAAGUUUGUGAUUCCCGUAGCAUGCACGUAUGGUGAACCGUUAUGUGACGAAGUCGGAGCAUGAUUUAUUUGUUGAUUGUCUUCCUUAUGAGUGGCGGUCGGGGAUGAGCAAUGGUCUUUUACUACCAAUCUAUCUCCCUAGGAGCAUGGGCAUAAUACUUUGCUUUGAUAACUUGUAGAUUUUUGCAAUAAGUAUGUGAGUUCUUUCUGACCAAUGUUGAGUCCAUGGAUUAUACGCACUCUCACCCUUCCACCAUUGCUAGCCUCUCUAAUACCGCGCACUUCUCGCCGAUAUCAUACACCCACCAUAUACCAUCCUCAAAACAGCCACCAUACCUACCUAUUAUUGCAUUUCCAUAGCCAUUCCGAGAUAUAUUGCCAUGCAACUUUUCAUCGUUCCAUUAUUAUGACACACUUCAUCAUUGUCAUAUUUGCUUGCAUGAUCAUGUAGUUGGCAUUGUAUUUGUGCAAAGCCACCGUUAAUAAUUCUUCAUACAUGUCACUCUUCAUUCACUUCAUAUCCCGGUACACCGCCGGAGGCAUUCACAUAGUCAUAUUUUGUUCUAAGUAUCGAGUUGUAAUUCUUGAGUUGUAAGUAAAUAAAAGUGUGAUGAUCAUCAUUAUUAGAGCAUUGUGCCAAGUGAGGAAAGGAUGGAGACUAUGAUUCCACAACAAGUCGGCAUGAGACUCCAGACGAAAAUAAAAAAAGAGGGGAAAAAGAGAAAGGCCAUAGAAAAAGAAGGCCCAAAAAAUGAGAGAAAAAGAGAGAAGGGGCAAUGUUACUAUCCUUUUUCCACACUUGUGCUUCAAAGUAGCACCAUCAUCUUCAUGAUAGAGAGUCUCCUAUGAUAUCACUUUCAUAUACUAGUGGGAAUUUUUCAUUAUAGAACUUGGCUUGUAUAUUCCAAUGAUGGGCUUCCUCAAAUUGCCCUAGGUCUUCGUGAGCAAGCAAGUUGGAUGCACACCCACUUAGUUUCUUUUGUUGAGCUUUCAUACACUUAUAGCUCUAGUGCAUCCGUUGCAUGGCAAUCCCUACUCACUCACAUUGAUAUCUAUUAAUGGGCAUCUCCAUAGCCCGUUGAUACGCCUGUUCCGGAGCUCCGCCGGAGGGGGCAUCGAUCACGGAGGGCUUCUACAUCAACAGCAUAGCCUCUUCGAUGAAGUGUGAGUAGUUGACCUCAGACCUAUGGGUCCAUAGUUAUUACCUAGAUGGCUUCUUUUCUCUUUUUGGAUCUCAAUACAAUGUUCUCCCCCUCUCUUGUGGAGAACUAUUCGAUGUAAUCUUCUUUUUGCGGUGUGUUUAUUGAGACCGAUGAAUUGUGGGUUUAUGAUCAAGUCUAUCUAUGAAUAAUAUUUGAAUCUUCUCUGAAUUCUUUUAUGUAUGAUUGUUUAUCUUUGCAAGUCUCCUCGAAUUAUCAGUUGGUUUGGCCUACUAGAUUGAUCUUUCUUACAAUGGGAGAAGUGCUUCGCUUUGGGUUCAAUCUUGCGGUGUCCUUUCCCAGUGACAAUAGGGGCAGCAAGGCAUGUAUUGUAUUGUUGCCAUCGAGGAAAACAAGAUGAGGUUUUCAUCAUAUUGCAUGAGUCUAUCCCUCUACAUCAUGUCAUCUAGCUUAAGGCGUUACUCUGUUUUUAACUUAAUACUCUAGAUGCAUGCUGGAUAGCGGUCGAUGAGUGGAGUAAUAGUAGUAGAUGCAGGCAGGAGUCGGUCUACUUGUCUCGGACGUGAUGCCUAUAUACAUGAUCAUACCUAGAUAUUCUCAUAAAUAUGCUCAAUUCUGUCAAUUGCUCAACAGUAAUUUGUUCACCCACCAUAGAAUAAUUAUGCUCUCGAGAGAAGCUACUAGUGAAACCUAUGGCCCCCGGGUCUAUCUUUAUCAUAUUAAUCUCCUACUACUUAGUUAUUUCCUUUGCUUUUUCCUUUGCCUUUAUUUUACUUUUCAUCUUUAUCACAAAAAUACCAAACAUAUUAUCUUUAUCAUAUCUAUCAGAUCUCACUCUCGUAAGUGGCCGUGUAGGGAUUGACAACCCCUAUUCACGUUGGUUGCGAGGAUUUAUUUGUUUUGUGCAAGUACGAGGGACUCGCGCGUAGCCUCCUACUGGAUUGAUAUCUUGGUUCUCAAAAACCGAGGGAAAUACUUACGCUACUUUGCUACAUCAUCCCUUCCUCUUCGGGGAAAACCAACGCAGUGCUCAAGAGGUAGCAAGAAGGAUUUCUGGUGCCAUUGCCAGGGAGGUCUACGCAAAAGUUAACAUACCAAGUACCCGUCACAUACCCUUAUCUCCCGCAUUAUAUUAUUUGCCAUUUGCCUCUCGUUUUCACCUCCCCCACUUCACCCUUGCCGUUUUAUUCGCCCUCUCUCUCUAUCCUCCCUCUCUUUCUCUAUUUGCCUCUUUUUUCCCGCUUGCUUUCUGUUUGCUUGUGUGUUAGUUGCUUGCUUGUCACGAUGGCUCAAGAUAAUACUAAAUUAUGUGACUUCACCAAUACCAACAACAAUGAUUUUAUUAGCACUCCGAUUGCUCCUCUUAUCGAUGCUGAAUCUUGUGAAAUUAAUACUGCUUUGCUGAAUCUUGUCAUGAAAGAUCUGUUUUCCGGCCUUCCUAGUGAAGAUGCCGGUACCCACCUAAAUAGAUUCAUUGAUUUGUGUGACAUGCAAAACAAGAAAGGUGUGGAUAAUGAUAUUGUUAAAUUGAAGCUAUUUCCUUUUUCGCUUAGAGAUCGUGCUAAACUUGGUUUUCGUCUUUGCCUAAAAAUAGUAUUGAUUCAUGGAAUAAGUGCAAAGAUGCUAUUAUCUCUAAGUAUUUUCCUCCUGCUAAGAUCAUCUCUCUUAGAAACGAUAUUAUGAAUUUUAAGCAACUUGAUCAUGAAUAUGUUGCACAAGCUUGGGAGAGAAUGAAACUAAUGGUACGUAAUUGCCCUGCCCAUGAUUUAAAUUUGUGGAUGAUUAUACAAAAUUUUUAUGCCGGAUUGAAUUUUGCUUCUAGAAAUCUUUUAGAUUCGGCCGCGGGAGGCACUUUUAUGGAAAUCACUUUAGGAGAAGCUACUAAACUCCUAGAUAAUAUUAUGGUUAAUUAUGCUCAACGGCAUACUAAAAGAUCUAAUAAUAAAAAGGUGCAUGCGAUAGAAGAAAUUAAUGUUUUGAGUGGAAAGAUGGAUGAACUUCUGAAAUUAUUUGCUAAUAAGAGUGUUUCUUCUGAUCCUAAUGAUAUGCCCUUGUCUACUUUGAUUGAGAAUAAUAAUGAAUCUGUGGAUGUGGAUUUUGUUGGUAGGAACAAUUUUGGUAACAGCGCGUAUAGAGGAAAUUUCAACCCUAGGCCUUAUCCUAGUAAUCUCUCUAAUAAUUACGGUAAUUCCUACAACAAUUCUUAUGGAAAUUAUAAUAAGAUGCCCUCUAAUUUUGAAUCUAAUAUUAAAGAAUUUAUUACUUUGCAAAAGAAUUUCAAUGCCUUGAUUGAAGAAAAAUUGCUUAAGAUUGAUGAUUUGGCUAGGAACGUUGAUAGAAUUACUCUUGAUGUUGAUUCUUUGAAACUUAGAUCUAUUCCACCUAAGCAUGAUGUCAAUGAGUCUCUCAAAGCCAUGAGAAUUUCCAUUGAUGAGUGCAAAGAAAGAACCGCUAAGAUGCGUGCUAAGAAAGAUGCCUUUAUAAGAGCGUGUUCUUCUAGUUCCUAUGAAAAUAAUGAUGAAGAUCUAAAAGUUAUAGAUGUGUUCCCUAUUAAAUAUUUGUUUUUCAAUAUGAAUCUUGAUAAUGAUGGGACUGAAUAUGAUCCACCUUUACCUAUAAGGCGUUCGAAGAAUUCAGAAUUUGUUGAUCUUGAUGCUAAAAUUGAUAAAGGUGGGAUUGAAGAAAUUAAAACCCUAGAUGUUGCUAAACCCACUAUUAUGGAUUUCAAGGAAUUUAACUAUGAAAAUUGCUCUUUGAUUGAUUGUAUAUCCUUUUUACAAUCCGUGCUAAAUUCUCCUCAUGCUUAUAGUCAAAAUAAAGCGUUUACUAAACAUAUCGUUGAUGCCUUGAUGCAAUCUUAUGAAGAAAAACUUGAAUUGGAAGUUUCUAUCCCUAGAAAGCUUUAUGAUGAUUGGGAACCAACUAUUAAAAUUAAAAUUAAAUAUCAUGAAUGCUAUGCUUUAUGUGAUUUGGGUGCUAGUGUUUCCACGAUUCCAAAGACUUUGUGUGAUUUGUUAGGUUUCCGUGAUUUUGAUGAUUGCUCUUUAAACUUGCGCCUUGUGGAUUCCACUAUUAAGAAACCUAUGGGAAGAAUUAAUGAUGUUCUUAUGGAUGCAAAUAGGAAUUAUGUGCCUGUAGAUUUUAUUCUUCUUGACAUAGAUUGCAAUCUUUCAUGUCCUAUUAUUCUUGGUAGACCUUUCCUUAGAAUGAUUGGUACAAUUAUUGAUAUGAAGGAAGGAAAUAUUAGAUUCCAAUUUCCAUUAAGGAAAUUCAUGGAACACUUUACUAGAAAGUAAAUUAAAUUACCUUAUGAAUCUAUUAUGAUAGCCACUUGUGGAUUGCCUACCAAAGAUGGCAAUACCUAGAUCUAUCCUUGCUUGUUAUGCCUAGCUAGGGGCGUUAAACGAUAGCGCUUGUUGGGAGGCAACGCAAUUUUGUUUUUAUUCCUUGAUUUUUGCUCCUGUUUAGUAAUAAAUAAUUUAUCUAUCCUCUGUUUUGGUUGUGUUCUUUGUGUUUAAUUAGUGUUGGUGCCAAGUAGAACCGUUAGGAAGACUUGGGGAAAGUCUUGUUACACUUGCUGUAAAAAACAGAAACUUCGGCGCUCAUGAGAACUGCUGCCAUUUUUAUUUGGAAAGUGCUAUUUAGUUAAUUAUUUCUGCAGAUGAUUAAUAGAUAAAUUCCUCACGUCCAGAAAUUUAUUUUAGAAUUUUUGGGGUUCCAGCUCUUGAGCUAGGUACAGAUUACUACAGAUUGUUCUGUUUUUGAAAGAUUCUGUUUUUUCGUGUGUUGUUUGCUUAUUUUGAUGAACCUAUGGCUAGUAAAAUAGUUCAUAAACCAUAGAGAAGUUGGAAUACAGUAGGUAUAACACCAGUAUAAAUAAAUAAUGAGUUCAUUAUAGUACCUUGAAGUGGUCUUUUAUUUUCUUUCGCUAACGGAGCUCACGAGAUUUUCUACUUUAAGUUUUGUGUUGUGAAGUUUUCAAGUUUUGGGUAAAGAUUUGAUGGUUUAUGGAACAAGGAGUGACAAGAGCCUAAGCUUGGGGAUGCCCAUGGCACCCCCAAGAUAAUCUAAGUACACCUAAAAGCCAAAGCUUGGGGAUGCCCCGGAAGUCAUCCCCUCUUUCGUCUACUUCUAUCGGUAACUUUACUUGGAGCUAUAUUUUUAUUCGCCACAUGAUAUGUGUUUUGCUUGGAGCGUCUUGUAUUAUUUGACUCUUUAUUUGUUAGUUUACCACAAUCAUCCUUCCUGUACACACCUUUUGAGAGAGCCAUACAUGAUUUGGAAUUUGUUAGAAUAGUCUAUGUGCUUCGCUUAUAUCUUUUGAGUUAUAUAGUUUUGCUCUAGUACUUCACUUAUAUAUUUUAGAGCACGGUGGUGGAUUUGUUUUAUAAAAACUAUUGAUCUCCCAUGCUUCACUUAGAUUAUUUUGAGAUGCUUAAUAGCAUGGUAACUUGCUUAAAAUCCUAAUAUGCUAGGUAUUCAAAGUUAGUAAAAUUUUCUUAAGAGUGUUUUGAAUACUAAGAGAAGUUUGAUGCUUGAUGAUUGUUUUGAGAUAUGGAGGUAAUAAUAUCAAAGUCGUGCUAGUUGAGUAGUUGUGAAAUUGAGAAAUACUUGUGUUGAAAUUUGCAUGUCCCGUAGCAUGCACGUAUGGUAAAUGUUGUGUAACAAAUUUGAAACAUGAGGUGUUAUUUGAUUGUCUUCCUUAUGAGUGGCGGUCGGGGACGAGCGAUGGUCUUUUCCUACCAAUCUAUCCCCCUAGGAGCAUGCGCGUAGUACCGAGGUUUUUGAUGACUUGUAGAUUUUUGCAAUAAGUAUGUGAGUUCUUUAUGACUAAUGUUGAGUCCAUGAAUUAUACGCACUCUCACCCUUCCAUCCUUGCUAGCCUCUUUGGUACCAUGCAUUGCCCUUUCCCACAUUGAUUGUUGGAGCAAACUUCGCCGGUGCAUCCAAACCCCGUGAUAUGAUACGCUCUUUCACACAUAAACCUCCUUAUAUCUUCGUCAAAAAAGCCACCAUACCUACCUAUUAUGGCAUUUCCAUAGCCAUUCCGACAUAUAUUGCCAUGCAACUUUCCACCAUUCCGUUCAUCAUGACACAUUCAUCAUUGUCAUAGUGCUUAGCAUAAUCAUGUAGUUGACAUAGUAUUUGUGGCAAGGCCACCGUUCAUAAUUCUUUCAUACAUGUCACUCUUGGUCCAUUGCAUAUCCCGGUACACCGCUGGAGGCAUUCAUAUAAGUCAUACUUUGUUCUAGUAUCGAGUAGUAAUUAUUGAGUUGUAAAUAAAACGAAGUGUGAUGAUCUUAAUUAAUAGAGCAUGGUCCCAAAAAGAGAAAAAAGGAAGGGCCAAAAAAAGGCCAAAUAAAAAAAUAUAAAAAGGGGGGCAAUGCUACUAUCCUUUUUUCCACACUUGUGAUUCAAAGUAGCACCGUAAUCUUCAUGAUAGAGAGUAUCUUGAUUUGUCACUUUCAUAUACUAGUGGGAAUUUUUCAUUAUAGAACUUGGCUUGUAUAUUCCAACAAUGGGCCUCCUCAAGUGCCCUAGGUCUUUGUGAGCAAGCAAGUUGGAUGCACACCCACUUAGUUUCUUUUGUUGAGCUUUCAUACAUUUAUAGCUCUAGUGCAUCCGUUGCAUGGCAAUCCCUACUCCUUGCAUUAACAUCAAUCGAUGGGCAUCUCCAUAGCCCAUUGAUUAGCCUCGUUGAUGUGAGACUUUCUCCUUUUUGUCUUGUCCACAUAACUCCACUCAUUAUAUUCUAUUCCACCCAUAGUGUUAUGUCCAUGGCUUACAAUCAUAUAUUCCGUGAAAGUUUAUAGGUUUGAGAUCACUAAAGUAUGAAACAAUUGCUUGGCUUGUCAUCGGGGUUGUGCAUGAUGAGAGCAUUGUUGUGUGACAAAAAUGAAGCAUGACUAAACUAUAUGAUUUUGUAGGGAUGAACUUUCUUUGGCCAUGUUAUUUUGAGAAGACAUAAUUGCUUAGUUAGUAUGCUUGAAGUAUUAUUAUUUUUAUGUCAAUAUGAACUUUUGUCUUGAAUCUUUCGGAUCUGAAUAUUCAUACCACAAUUAAGAAGAAUAACAUUAAAAUCAUGCUAAGUAGCACUCUGCAUCAAAAAUUCUGUUUUUAUCAUUUACCUACUCGAGGACGAGCAGGAAUUAAGCUUGGGGAUGCUUGAUACGUCUCCAACGUAUCUAUAAUUUUUGAUUGCUCCAUGCUAUAUUAUCUACUGUUUUGGACAAUAUUGGGCUUUAUUAUCCACUUUUAUAUUAUUUUUGGGACUAACCUAUUAACCGGAGGCCCAGCCUAGGAUUGCUGUUUUUUGCCUAUUUUAGGGUUUCGAAGAAAAGGAAUAUCAAACGGAGUCCAAACGGAAUGAAACCUUCGGGAACGUGAUUUUCUCAACGAACAAGACCCAGGAGAAUUGGACCCUCCGUCAAGACACAAAAGAGGAGGCCACGAGGUAGGGGGCGUGCCUACCCCCCCGGCGCGCCCUCCACCCUCGUGGGCCCCCUGUUGCUCCACCGACGUACUCCUUCCUCCUAUAUAUACCUACGUACCCCCAAAUGAUCAUAUACGGAGCCAAAACCCUAAUUACGCUGCCGCAACAUUCUGUAUCCACGAGAUCCCAUCUUGGUGCCUGUUCCGGAGCUCCGUCAGAGGGGGCAUCGAUCAUGGAGGGCUUCUACAUCAACACCAUAGCCUCUCUGAUGAAGUGUGAGUAGUUGACCUCAGACCUACGGGUCCAUAGUUAUUACCUAGAUGGCUUCUUCUCUCUUUUUGGAUCUCAAUACAAUGUGCUCCCCCUCUCUUGUGGAGAACUAUUCGAUGUAAUCUUCUUUUUGCGGUGUGUUUGUUGAGACCGAUGAAUUUUGGGUUUAUGAUCAAGUCUAUCUAUGAAUAAUAUUUGAAUCUUCUCUGAAUUCUUUUAUGUAUGAUUGGUUAUCUUUGCAAGUCUCUUCGAAUUAUCAGUUUGGUUUGGCCUACUAGAUUGAUCUUUCUUGCAAUGGGAGAAGUGCUUAGCUUUGGGUUCAAUCUUGCGUGUCCUUUCCCAGUGAUAGUAGGGGUAGCAAGGCACGUAUUGUAUUGUUGCCAUCGAGGACAACAAGAUGGGGUUUUCAUCAUAUUUUAUGAGUCUAUCCCUCUACAUCAUGUCAUCUUACUUAAGGCGUAAUAGUAGUAGAUGAGUGGAGUAAUAGUAGUAGAUGCAGGCAGGAGUCGGUCUACUUGUCUCGGACGUGUUGCCUAUAUACAUGAUCAUACCUAGAUAAUCUCAUAACUAUGCUCAAAUCUAUCAAUUGCUCAAUAGUAAUUUGUUCAUCCACCGUAGAAUACUUAUGCUCUCGAGAGAAGCCACUAGUGAAACCUAUGGCCCCCGGGUCUAUCUUUAUCAUAUUAAUCUCCUACUACUUAGUUAUUUCCUUUGCUUUUUUACUUUGCCUUUAUUUUACUUUGCAUCUUUAUCACAAAAAUAAAAAUAUCUUUAUCAUAUCUAUCCAAUCUCACUCUCGUAAGUGGCCGUGUAGGGAUUGACAACCCCUAUUCACGUUGGUUGCGAGGAUUUAUUUAUUUUGUGCAGGUACGAGGGACUGGCGCAUAGCCUCCUACUGGAUUGAUACCAUGGUUCUCAAAACCUGAGGGAAAUACUUAUGCUACUUUGCUGCAUCAUCCCUCACUCUUCGGGGAAAACCAACGAAGUGCGCAAGAGGUAGCAAGGGUUCCUUUUUGUCGACGAUCUGAUGUUUCAACCUUGUUUUCCAGGCGGCCAACGCAUCACUCAACUUGGUCAUGGCGUGUUUGUUUAUCUUCUUCAUUGCCAGGUCCUUAUCUGGAUCUUUAUUAUCCUUUUCAUUACGGUCCGGGAACAAGAAUAUCUGGUGCAGCUUCUUCAGGAGGGAGGGCCUCAUAUUAUCUAUCUUCUAUAGUUUCCCAUCGUUGAUCAUGGCAGUUGUCCGUACAAUGCAACCUAUUUGAUUGCCGUAACACGAUUGCGCUUCCUCGGGUGCUAUUGUCUCAAAAAUACUGUCGUCCAUCUCCGUGACCACCAGUCUAGUACUCAUGAGCUGGUUUAGGCGUCGUGGCCUCUUUGCUGUCGGUUCUAGACUAACUCCCCUAGUCUCGGCACCGGUCUCAGUCUCAUCGCCGGUCUGCAUGUCGGUAUCAGUCCCCGAUGCGACAACACAGUCGCUGCAACAUGGGUAAGGGAGACCACAUCAGUGCUGGGGGUCCGAAAAUUGGGACACACUUUCGCGCGUCGCGGGCCGCCUCUCAGACAGCUAAUGGGGAGGCGGCGGAGUACCUGGGUGCGCGGCGAAUCCCCAAGAACUCGGUGACCAACUUCCUUCCCGUGUGGCGCAUGGAGACGACGGCGACCCUGGCGAAGAGCAGCUUAGCCGCGAGCUGCACAGCCUCGUCCACCUCCUAAGUUGGGACCUCCGUGCGAGCGUUGCGGGGCCGCCGCUCGGAUGGCUUCUGGAAGGCCGUUGUACAUGGGCACAGGGUGAAUCCCGACGAGAGCUGGCCAUUGGCGCGCGCAAGUAGACGACGACGUCCCCGACGAAGAGCUGCCCGGCCAGCUCGCCUCACUCGCCUUUGAUUAGAAAUGAAAGAUUGGGAAGAAGCAGACUUGAGCCUGCAGGGAAAGGAUAAGGUGACGAUGCAGUCUCCACUCGUUCGGGGCGACACGCGUACUGAAUGUAUGAGAAACGUGACGUGGCAGAGACCCCAAGAUACUCCCUCCAUUUAUUUUUAGUCUGCAUAUAAAGUUUGGUCAAAGUCAAGAUUUGUAAAUUUUAACGAACUUUAUAAUAAAAAAAUAUCAGCAUUCACAAUAUGAAAUCAAUAUUACCAGAUGCGUCAUGAAAUGUAUUUCCAUACUAUAUAGUUUUGGUAUUGUAGAGGCACUCUUCCAUAUAAUGAAGUUUAUAAUAUAUGUGCUUAUAUUGUAUUACAAUUGUUUGAAUAGCUUAGCAUAUGUUCAGAUGUAUGAUAUCUGUAAUUUAAGCGCUUGAAUUUUACAUAUAAAUAUUUAUUAAUAAAUAUGUACCCCUAUAAUAGCUAGGCCGUGCCGUUGCACGGGUAGAUGACUAGUGAUUACAAUCUUGUUUGUGUGCAAGUCAAGCUUAUAUAGUUUACACGUAACAACUUGUAGAACAUUACAAAAUUUAUGCUUGCUAAUAACUUCUAGAACACUAGAACACUUGACAUGUAAAAGGAAUUUGACGAGUCAUGGCCUACUAAAGCAAGUUACAUUACUAGUCUUAUCUAUCUUAACAGACCACACAAGAUUACAAACUAAGUACCGUGACAGCCAUGCUUAUCUAGUUUAUGCGUAACAAUUUGCAGAAAAUUAGAAACUUGGUUUCAGAAAAAUACGCAAUCUAGAUUAGUGUUUGAGCUGUAAAGUGAAUAAGAUGAGUCAUGCAUGUUAUCACACCUUUUUGGUGGUGGAAUGAUAGUGCAACAACAAGGAACUUUAAUGACCAGUCCAAGAAUACACUUGUAAGUAGUGCCACCAAACAGAACAUACCAAAUGAUGAUUUUUAGAAGCAUCCAAGCACUUUCCACACAAACAAAUGCCAAUUGUGAAAGAGAUCAUUCCAUGGCAGCUAUAAAUAGCCCCAUAGCAUGAGGUUCAUCCUUCCUCAUCCAUCAUUUUCAUUAGUAGAGCGCAUCAUUUAAGCCAAGCAAGCUGUGGUCAAUACAAAUCCACCAUGAAGACCUUUCUCAUCCUUGCCCUCCCUGCUAUCGUGGCGACCACCGCCACAACUGCAGUUAGAGUUCCAGUGCCACAAUUGCAGCCACAAAAUCCAUCUCAGCAACAGCCACAAGAGCAAGUUCCAUUGGUACAACAACAACAAUUUCUAGGGCAGCAACAACCAUUUCCACCACAACAACCAUAUCCACAGCCGCAACCAUUUCCAUCACAACAACCAUAUCUGCAGCUGCAACCAUUUCCGCAGCCGCAACUACCAUAUUCGCAGCCACAACCAUUUCGACCACAACAACCAUAUCCACAACCGCAACCACAGUAUUCGCAACCACAACAACCAAUUUCACAGCAGCAGCAGCAGCAGCAACAACAACAACAACAACAACAACAACAACAAAAGCAAAUCCUUCAACAAAUUUUGCAACAACAACUGAUUCCAUGCAUGGAUGUUGUAUUGCAGCAACACAACAUAGCGCAUGGAAGAUCACAAGUUUUGCAACAAAGUACUUACCAGCUGUUGCAAGAAUUGUGUUGUCAGCACCUAUGGCAGAUCCCUGAGCAGUCGCAGUGUCAGGCCAUCCAAAAUGUUGUUCAUGCUAUUAUUCUGCAUCAACAACAAAAACAACAACAACAACCAUCGAGCCAGGUGUCCUUCCAACAGCCUCUGCAACAAUAUCCAUUAGGCCAGGGCUCCUUCCGGCCAUCUCAGCAAAACCCACAGGACCAGGGCUCUGUCCAGCCUCAACAACUGCCCCAGUUCGAGGAAAUAAGGAACCUAGCGCUACAGAUGCUACCUGCAAUGUGCAAUGUCUACAUCCCUCCAUAUUGCACAAUCGCGCCAUUUGGCAUCUUCGGUACUAACUGAGAAGAAAAUAACUCUAGUACUAGAUAUAUGAAACACCGUUUUCUCAGUCCAUGGUUUGGUCAUUGUAGCGUCGAAAAAAUAAUGUGACAUGCACUAUCAUAUAAGAAUCCGAACUAUACUAGUUCAAACUUGGGAAUAAAAGACAAACACAUGUCUUGUCUACAUAUUUAUGUUGCAUCUAUUUAUAUAUUAAAAGUAAUAUAAGGUGAACCAGGAGCAAGGUAAAUAUGCUAGAAAAUUGCACGUUAAUUAGAAAUUACUUGCCCUCGAUCUGGUAAAUCUUAACAAAUAGAAUUAUCUUGACCGUUAGAUUUAUAUAACAUAUAUAAUGCUCUGGGCCUCCAACGACUGUACGUGACACAUCUGAACGAACAUAUGGUAAAGAAAAUAUAUUUGGUAAAUGGUGGGCCUGUUUAAAAAGAGAACUCACGUACAUGCACCAACUAAGAAAAACACAUACAUGUAAACGGGAAAAGGAUGAGAUUUUCUCACGUACGUGCUCCCUGGCUCCACCCCGUUGAAAAAAUAUACAUCUGGAGGCCACUUUGUUUCCUCAUCAAAAAAACUUACGUUAAAAAGAUUGCAUGCAUCCCAGGGAAAAUAGUCAAGAAGAAGUCGGACUUUUCCUUACAAAAACAAGGAACGUGUUAAGUUGACUUCAAAGAAAAAAGGAACAUGUUAAGUUAAAAAAAAACAAGAAACCUGUUAAGUUAGAAAAAAACAAGGAACGUGUUGUCCAAGGAAAGAUAUGUGUCAAAUCUUACAAAAAAAAAGAAUACACACACGUACGUUCAUGCACUUGGAAAAUAGAAAAAAAGGAACAUCACGUAUGUAUACACUUCGGAAACUCAUUACAUGACCAUGUCUGAUAUACUCCUCUAAUGCUUAAUAUUAGUGCCUAAUAAUUUAUAUUUAAAAUUUAAUUUACUGAUCAAAUAUCCCCACUGUUUAAAUUUUAAUUUGGCACAUUGUUUGGCUAUAGUAUGAACCUGAAUUUCCUCUUAUUAUUAUAUAUCAUGGUAAUAAUCCAAAGGCGACUAAUCUGCACCGGCGCACCGGCGCAAUCAAUUCGGCUGGACACAGCGCGGCCGUUUGAUUAGAUUGCAUUUAACCAUCAGAUCUGGAAUCGUUUUCUUUCCAAUUAAACGGAUUCAACCAAACAGCAGAGGGGAAAACAAAGCAGCGCCGCCGCCAACACUAGCCAUGGACGACCGAUGUAGCAAAACCUUGAAGAACCGCCGCCGGUCGCCACCCUCGCCUCUGGUCGCUGCCCUCGCCGUCGGUCACCGCCGGUCGCCGCCCUCGCCGCCUGCGUUUCUCAUCGGCUUCAUGCAUGCAACAACAUGCACUCGUGGUUGCAGGCUUGCAUCUCCGGCUCCGGGGACAUGGCCGCAUCUCCGGUAGCGCCGGCCGCCGGCCGCAGCACCUGUCGUUGUGGUCGCGCUGUACCUCGCCGUGUGCCCUCCCGAGGCUCUUGCUGGUUCCAACAAAAAACGAUACCUGUUGUAGCAAAAAAGUAUCGCUUCCAGCAAAAAAGCUUACCGCUACAGCCCGCCAUCGUCAUUGUAGCAAAAAUGUUAACCCGAUGUAGCUUCUGUGGUUGCCGACUGCAGCAAAAAAUGACAUGGCUGUAGCAAAACACAAAAGAAAAACACUGGCCGGCCGCUGUGUAUGGUGGUAACAAACCCUAUAGCCGGUGGUAGCGAAAAACUUCAUAGUGUGCUGCAAAAAAAUGUUGUCACCCGUCGUCGAGGUUGCAUCAUCUUCAUGAAUUAUGCCGCAAAAAAACGUUGUCGCCGGUAGUAGCAAAUGAAGCCGCCGGUAGUAGCAAAACAAGACACUGGUUCCAGCCAAAAAAAAAAUCAGCGACAGAACCUUUGGUUGGUUCCAACAAAAAAACUUGUCGGUUGUAACAUCCCUCGCCGCCGGAUGUAGCAUCUCCCGGGGCUGGUUGCAACACUCCAUAAAAAAAGUUGUCUAUGAGCGCAUCCAUGGUGACUGCUGCACCGUCAGCAAUGAGGGGAAGAGGAGGCAAUGAAAAUCAUUCGAGUCAUAGCUCCACAGGACGCGGCUGCAGCAUGGGGAGUCCAAAAAUCUGUCACAAGCAACAUGCGCCGCGCCAUCCUCCUGCGCAGGAGAGAGAAGAAAAAGGAAUAAGAGGAAGAAGAAAGGAAACAGGAGAAAGAAAAAAGAAAGGAUUGGUGGUUGGCUCAGGCAAUUAGUCAAGCGAGGGGCACGCGGGGCCGCAGGACACAGCGCAAUCGAACGAAGCGCGCGCGUCCGGGCGAAGACUCGGCCGGACUGCCGUCUGGAAACGUUUCCCUAAUCCAAAGGCUUUAUCUGAAUGACAAGUCGUCUGGGUUACCGGCUAACUAGAAAAAAGAUAAAUAUGCUAGAGAAUUCCAUAAUAAUUAGAAAUAUCUAGCCUUUAAUUAUGUAAACCAGAAAAUCACAACCGUUGGAUUUACUUUAAAGGUAAAUUUCUAUAAAUUCCCACCAUUGCCAGUAUGUAGAAACAUGUGCUGCUUCAAUUCUCCCAUAAUCACCAAUCAAUCAACAACACAAAACAUACCUCAGUUAAAAAAACUGAACAAAAAAAAGAAAAAAAGAAGAAAGGACAAGAUACACGCAUGUACACGACAGCCUUGGCUUGAAACACAUCAGUAGAUCAAGUGUCCGCCUCCCUUACACGUACGUCCCAUGAGGUUUACUAGCCUACCGCCGCCGCAUCAUGCCAUCCUCUCCUUUCAGCUCCCAUGCUCUCCAGCACCCUCAUUGCGGCGCCACUACUCGCCUAGGGAUAUUGCUGCUCAGACCGUGGAGCUUAACCACAUCAGCAUCAGCACGUAUGGGCCUCAUUAUACUGCAGCACGUAUUGCGCCCCCUUAAGUCCAGGUCUGUUUGCUGGCACAUAUGCUUUGGAAAUAGGCCACUAUGUUUGUACUUCAAAAUUGUUUCUGUAUUCUUGAGUGGUACAUCCUUUUAAGCGCCAGUUUUUUAUGUUAAUUCAUGCUGACAACACUUAACCUAGCCUUUCAUGUUCACGUACUAAAUACAGGAGCAAGUAAAAACAACAGACCACCUAAUUGCUCUGCAUGUACUACAUAGGAAAAUUUGUCAUGUUCUACGAUCGCACCAUCCCACCCUUCUCUCUUGGUAUGGGCGCCAAUUGAGGGAUUGAUAAAACUGAAACGAAGACGUCACAGGGCUGGAAGUACCGCUAGCCUGGUUUGCACUGCAACCUACCCAACGCCAUCAGAAACUAGCAACUGAGUCAGGUGUUGAUCGAUUCUCUCAAAUUGCUCUCAUGUAAGUACUACCCCUUGCAUGUGCGUACAUACCUUUGUUGCAUUCUCAAACAGAUAGAACAUGUUUGAUCGGUGCAUGGCUAUUUUUCAUCACAUGACAUCCAGAUAACAAGCAUGAAAGGACUACAUUGGAGAUCAAAAAAUAUUGGUUCCUGGCUAGAGUACCACUACCUAUGGACUUGUCUCCAUAGAAUUUGUUCCCAAGAUGUUAUUUUAAUUAAUCUCUUUAGCUUUCUUCCAUUGCAAACGGUGAUGUGCAUCAUGGUAUAUACGUGACCAUCUUGCACAUGUAUACACAAGAGGCUCAGAUGGAGGUGCUGGAUUCUGGACGAGGGAAUAUGAAGCAGGAGUGAGCGAAGAGUAAAUAAUGGUGGGAGUACCGAUUGGUGUUAUGAAGAAAAAUGCCAUCCAAAGAUUGAUUAGUGUCAUGGAAGAUUAAUUUCUGAAUGCGAAUAUAUAUGUUACAUUGGUUUGGAUCUUUUUGAGAUAAUUCCACCUAAAUUAGGUUCUUUCUUAUUUCAUAUGUAUACCUUAUUUCAGUAAAAGUUCACAACGAACUUAGUAGGACAAAUAUAAUUUUGUUUGUUCUUUCUGUUGUCCGCCACCAAAGCUCAAUUUGAACUCUCUAGAAAUGGACAAUGAUUUAUGCAUUCUAUAUCUUCUUGAUUGAUUAGCCAUGACAAGGAAAUAAAAGGAUUGACUGAUAUAGCAUAACUUUGGAACGAUUAGAGGUUACUACAAAUAAGAGUAGUGUCUGUUGGAAUUUUGCUAGUAGGCCUUUGGCCCAAAGCCCAACUAAAAUUCUGAAAUUCUCUUGGCUCAUUUAUGCACACAUGUGAGUUGAGUGAGUGAGACUAAAGUUUAGUCCCACCCUGGAAGUUGAGAGAGAGUUGCACCUCUUUAUAAGGUGAGCUCUUCUACCACUUGUAUGAGCAUGAGAAGAGGAGACCUACACGCGCGCUCCUCCUCCACGCUCGCCACGCCUCGUCGCGCCGCGCCGUGCCGCGGGUUGCGGGAUUGAGCCGAGCCGAGGACGUUUUCUAUAUUUUUGCUGCUCGGGAAAAAUUAAUGAGUCAUUAAUUAAUAAUUAAUGGACACAUUAAUUACUGAACCGUUUCCGAUUUUUUUGGAUCGUGACGACUCGGACGUGGGGUUUACUCCCAGGACCUACCCGGCCCGCACUAUAUAGUCAGGAAGACGUCUACCCUAGCCGCCGCCGCUUCGUAUGGUUUCUCACCAUCGUUACAGAUCAUUGCGCCGCCAAGCAAGUUUUCUCCAUCCCUCCUUUCGGCGUGCACCGGGAGAAGGGACAGCAGACCUCCGGAACCCCGCCUCUCGUGAUCCUAUACGGGAGAGGGGCGAUCAGGUUUUUGGGGAGCGCACUCGCAUGACUGCUGGCAGCGACGACUUCGCAAACGACGACUUCUUCCCCGACCUCGGCAACCUCAUCCUCGACGACAUGGGCGACAACGUCAACGCCGGCGGUGCUACACCCACUGCACCGUAUGUUAUUCUCUCCUUCUUGUUCGAGAUCAUGGUAGAAUUCAUGUUUCUAGUAUAUGUGCCCUAGAUGUGAUCUGUUCAUCUACUAUGGUAGUUCGCAUGAUUAGUUUAAUCUCUGUUAUUGCUGUCAUGAUCUAUUUCCUAUUUAUUCGGAUUAAAUCUCGUAGUAAUUUUCUCAUUUUUCCAACAAUCCAAAAACCUGAUUAUAGGAAAUUUACUCCGAGUGGUUUUGCUGCGCAUCUGAAAGCCGCUUGCCUUUAAGGGGGCGCAAUAUAAGAGGUGGCGCACCAGAGCAGUCUACUGGUUUCAGAUCAUGGGCUGCUAUGACGCCACCAAGGGCAAGCCUGAGGGCGAUCUUAAUCCAGCACAGCUGGAAGCUUUCAAGAAGAUCAAUACCCUCUUUAAAGGCACGCUUCUGAGUGUUCUUGAUGACUCCAUUGUAGAUUCGUAUAUGUCGUUUGACAAUGGCAAGAACAUGUGGGCUACGCUCGAGGCCAAGUUUGGUGCCUCGGACGCCGGCAGCGAGUUGUACGUCAUGGAGCAAUUCUAUGACUCCAAGAUGACUGAUGGGCGCCCUGUUGUACAGCAGGCUCAUGAGAUACAGUUGCUCGCAAAAGAACUUGAGUACUUCAAGUGUGUGUUGGCGAACAAAUUUGUUGCCGGAGGCAUCAUUGCCAAGCUUCCACCUUCGUGGAACAAUUUUGCUACUUCCCUGAAACACAAGAGACAGGAGUUUUUCGUUGCGGAUCUCAUUGGUACUCUUGAUGUUGAAGAGAAGGCGAGAGCAAAGGAUACACGUGCUUGAGUUGCUAAGGGAGGUUCUAGUGCCCACAUGGUACAGAAGAAGAACUUCCAGCCCAACAAGUUCAAAAACAACAAGAACAAAACUUAGGGCAAAGGCAAGUUCGAUACAAAGAACAAGCCAUCACAUUCUACCAACUUCAAGAAGAACUCUCAUAAGAAGGGGAAGGGACUUUGCCAUGUCUAUGGUGAUCCUAAUCACUGGGCUCCGAAGUGUCCCAACCGCUUUGAGGAGCGCGAACAUGAGAAGAGCGGCAAGUCUGCUAAUGUUGUCAUCGGUGAUACUGAUAUGAAGGAAUCAGGGUACGGUAUUUUUCCUACCAUCCUUUCAGUAUUCCAAACCCCUGACUGGUUAAUUGACACCGGUGCCAAUGUACAUGUUUGUGCUGAUGCCUCCAUGUUUUCUUCUUACCAGGCCACUGGGACUUCUCCUAUGCUGAUGGGGAACGGGUCACAUGCCAUCGUUCGAGGUGUUGGUACGGUCGAUCUGAAGUUUACUUCGGGGAAGACCGUGCGUCUGAAGAACGUUCAUCAUGUGCCGUCCAUCAAUAAAAAUCUCGUUAGCGGUUCCCGUUUAUGUCGAGAUGGUUUUAAGUUGGUUUUCGAAUCCAAUAAAGUUAUAAUUUCUAAGUAUGGACAAUUUGUUGGAAAAGGCUAUGAGAGCGGAGGCUUGUUUCGCCUGUCUUUGUCAGAUAUUUGCACUAAAGUUAUUAAUAAUGUUUGCCACAACAAUGAGUCUGAUAUUUGGCAUUCACGACUUUGUCACAUUAACUUUGGUUGCAUGACGCGGCUAGCCAAUAUGAAUUUAAUUCCGAAAAUCUCUACUGUCAAAGGAUCUAAGUGCCAAGUAUGUGUGCAAGGUAAGCAACCUCGCAAGUCCCAUAAGACUGCAGAGGCAACAGACUUGGCGCCACUAGAGCUUAUACAUUCUGAUAUUUGUGAGAUGAAUGACGUGUUGACAAAAGGUGGAAAGAGAUACCUCAUGACGUUGAUUGAUGACUCCACUAGAUAUUGUUAUGUGUAUCUUAUGAAAUCAAAAGAUGAGGCUUUGGCUUUCUUCAAAAACUAUAGAGCUGAGGCAGAGAACCAACUUGAUCGAAAAAUUAAACGGCUUAGGUCCGAUCAUGGUGGAGAGUAUUUUUCCAAUGAAUUUGAUCUAUUUUGUGCGGAACAUGGUAUAAUCCAUGAGAGGAUGCCUCCCUACUCACCCCAGUCAGAUGGGGUAGCCGAAAGAAAGAACCAAACUCUAACUGAUAUGGUUAACACCAUGUUAGACACUUCGGGUCUAUCCAAGGAAUGGUGGGGGGAGGCGCUAAUGACUGCGUGUCAUGUCCUAAACCGAGUUCCCACAAAGCAUAAGACCAUGACUCCAUUUGAGGAAUGUUAAAGGAAAAGGUUGAAACUCUCUUACCUACGUACUUGGGGUUGUUUGGCGAAAGUCAAUAUACCAAUUCCCAAGAAGCGCAAGCUUGGACCAAAAAUCGUGGGUUGUGUUCUUCUUGGCUAUGCUUUUCAUAGCAUCGGCUAUAGAUUUUUGAUAAUAAAAUCUGAGGUAUCCGACAUGCAUGUUGGUACGAUUAUGGAGUCGAAUGAUGCAACUUUUUUUGAGGACAUAUUUCCUAUGAAGGAUAUGUCGAGUUCAUCAAAUCAGGAGACACCUACUCCAUCUAGUGAGGAAUUCAUUGUAAUUCCUGAACCCACCAUUGCGAUGGAACACAUUGAGAAUCCUGUUGAGGGUGACAAUGGAACUCUUGUGAGGAGUAAGAGACAUAGGACUACAAAGUCCUUUGGUGAUGAUUUCAUUGUGUACCUCGUGGAUGACACACCCAGGACUAUUUCAGAAGCCUGUGCAUCUCUUGAUGCUGACUACUGGAAGGAAGCUGUACGUAGCGAGAUGGAUUCCAUCUUAGGUAACGGAACCUGGGAGAUCACUGACCGUCCUUAUGGGUGAAAACCUGUAGGAUGUAAGUGGGUGUUCAAGAAGAAGCUUAGACCUGAUGGUACGAUUGAAAUGUACAAGGCACGGCUUGUGGCCAAGGGUUAUACCCUGAAAGAAGGUGUAGACUUCUUUGAUACUUACUCACCCGUGGCUAGACUGACCACAAUUGGGUGCUACUAUCACUUGUUGCCUCACAUGGUCUUCUCGUUCAUCAAAUGGACGUUAAGAACGCUUUCCUCAAUGGAGAGUUGAAGGAGGAAAUUUACAUGGAUCAGCCAGAUGGUUUUGUAGUACCUGGUUAGUAAGGAAAGGUGUGCAAGUUAUUAAAGUAUUUAUAUGGCCUUAAACAAGCUCCUAAAGAGUGGCAUGAGUAGUUUGAAAGAACAUUAACUGCUACCGGCUUUGUAGUAAACGAUGGUGACAAGUGCGUGUACUAUCGCUAUGGUGGGGGCGAAGGAGUUAUUCUUUGUUUGUAUGUCGACGACAUAUUGAUCUUUCGAACCAAACUUGAUUUAAUCAAGGAGGUUAAGGAUUUCUUAUCUCGCUGUUUUGAGAUGAAGGAUCUAGGAGUAGCUGAUGUUAUCUUAAACAUCAAGCUGUUGAGAGAUGAGAAUGGUGGGAUCACACUGCUUCAGUCACACUAUGUGGAAAAGGUCUUGAAUCGUUUUGGGUAUAGCGACUGCACACCUUCUCCAACCCCAUAUGAUGCUAGCAUGUUGCAUCGAAAGAAUCGACGGAUUGCUAGAGAUCAACUGAGGUAUUCUCAUAUUAUUGGCUCGCUUAUGUAUUUGGCGAGUGCCACGAGGCCAAACAUCUCGUUUGCUGUUAGCAAGCUGAGUCGGUUUGUGUCAAAACCAGGAGAUGAUCAUUGGCAUGCACUUGAGAGAGUUAUGUGCUAUUUGAAAGGCACCGCGAGCUAUGGGAUUCACUACACCGGGUAUCCAAGAGUACUGGAGGGUUAUAGUGACUCAAACUGGAUAUCUGAUGCUAAUGAGAUUAAGGCCACAAGUGGUUAUGUUUUUACACUUGGUGGUGGCGCUGUUUCUUGGAAGUCCUGCAAGCAGACCAUCUUAAUGAGGUCAACUAUGGAAGCAGAACUCACAACAUUAGAAACUGCCACUGUUCAAGCAGUGUGGCUUCAUGAGCUCUUGAUGGACUUUCCUAUGAUUGAAGAACCAAUACCCCCUAUCCCAAUGAACUGUGAUAAUCAAACUAUGAUCGUCAAGAUAAAUAGUUCUAAGGACAAUAUGAAGUCCUCAAGGCAUGUGAAGAGGAGACUGAAAUCUGUCAGAAAAUUGAGGAACUCCGGAGUUAUUACGUUGGAUUAUAUCCAAACGUCAAAAAAAUUGGCAGAUCCCUUCACAAAGGGUCUAUCACGUAAUGUGAUAGAUAAUGCAUCGAUGGAGAUGGGUCUGAGACCCACCGCAUGAGUUGUCCAUAGUGGUAACCCACUCUUUGUGAUCGGAUAUCCCGUGAAGUAUAAGUGGGAGACAAGCUGUUGGUCAGCUGGGAGGAGAGUAUCCCUAUAUUACCUGUCCCACUCCAUGAAGAUGCAAUACUCUCCUAAUCUGCAUGGCAGGUUGAUACUUAUCUUAAUGUGUUCCAAGUGGCUUAUUCGGGUAAGCAGAGAUGUUGUCCUGCAGAACAUCUUCUGAGGAACACACCUAUAUGAAUUUGACUGUUAACGUCGCAGUCUGUGAGAAUUGGGUGUUCUCUAAUAAAUUCAUGAAAAGGCCCUGGAGUAUGACGUAUACGCUCCACCCGCAGGGAAGCCUUGCGGCAGCCCAGUAUCGGUCAAGAAUUUGUGUGAAACUAGUUGCGCAGAAAAUUUGUAGUUCAAGGCAUAGUCCACUAUUCAAGUUGUGAUCUAGUGUAGCAUAAAUCUCUAAGUGGAAGUUCAACUUCACAGUCUCCACUAAGCCCCGGUAUAUAAACAAUGUUUUGGAACUAAAUGAUGAGAUGUGCCAAUGAGACUUUGUGGGGGAUUGUUGGAAUUUUGCUAGUAGGCCUUUGGCCCAAAGCCCAACUAAAAUUCUGAAAUUGUCUUGGCCCAUUCAUGCACACAUGUGAGUGGAGUGAGUGAGACUAAAGUUUAGUCCCACCCCGGAAGUUGAGAGAGAGCACCUCUUUAUAAGGUGAGCUCUUCUACCACUUGUAUGAGCAUGAGAAUAGGAGACCUACACACGCGCUCCUCCUCCUCGCUCGCCACGCCACCCCUCGUCACGACGCGCCGCGGGUUGCGGGAUUGAGCCGAGCCGAGGACAGAGCUAUGCACAUUGUCUAUUUUUUGCUACCCGAAAAAAUUAAUGAGUCAUUAAUUAAUAAUUAAUGGACACGUUAAUUACUAAACCGUUUUCGAUUCUUUUGGAUCAUGAAGACUCGGACAUGGGGUUUACUCCCACGACCUACCGGGCCCGCAUUAUAUAGUCCGGCAGACGUCUACCCUAGCUGCCGCCGCUUCAUAUGGUUUCUUACCACCGUUCCAGAUCAUUGCGCCGCCAAGCAAGUCUUCUCCAUCCGUCCCUUCGGCGUGCAUCGGGAGAAGGGACAACAGGCCUCCGGAACCCCGCCUCUCGUGAUCCUGUACGGGAGAGGGGCGAUCAGGUUUUUGGGGAGCGCACUCGCGCGACUGCUGGCAGCGACGACUUCGCGAAUGACGACUUUUUCCCUGACCUCGGCAACCUCAUCCUCGACGACAUGGGCGACAACGUCAACGCCGGCGGUGCUGCACCCGCUGCACCUUAUGUUAUUCUAUCCUUCUUGUUCGAGAUCAUGGUAGAAUUCACGUUUCUAGUAUAUGCCCUAGAUGUGAUCUGUUCAUCUACUAUGCUAGUUCGCAUGAUUAGUUUAAUAUCUGCUAUUGCUGUCAUGAUCUAUUUCCUAUUUAUUCGGAUUAAAUCUCGUAGUAAUUUGCUCAUUUUUCCAAUAGUACCAUCUAAUAGAUGAUGUAAAUCUCCUCUAGUUUGACGUUGUUGAGCUAAUUUACAAAAAAAACCUCAUCAUUAUUGGACGUCCUUAACAGCUCAAGAACAAGUUGGGGUCGAACUAAUGGAUUUUACACUUUUACAUUAAAGGUUUAGCUAAAGCUAGCAGGUGUUUUUAAACCUGAAUUUUUUUCCUCCUGAAUUUCUUUGUAUUUUCUUAUUGACACUAUUUAUACAAUCAUCUGACAAAGAUUAGCUAAAGCUGUUUGUAGAUACGUUGAAACCUGAAAAGCUUCUUUGGUUAUCCUUUUAAUAGUUCUACGUUUAUUUUCUCAUAGGUCAUAAUUCUUAUGUAAUACCAAGAUGCAUUGUGGUAGUGUACAUGUGUUAAAUUCAGGUUGUUAUUCACAAUUUGCGACAAAAUUUAGCUCACGCUACAUUCAAAUAUGUUGAAAUGUGAAAGCUUUUUUUUCUUCUCCUUUCUACACCUUGCAUCGGAUUGCAUCCCUUUAGUUAUCCAACAUUUUGUACAACAUGUAGAGAUUAGGAAGUUCAUCAUAGUUUGUUUAUUUCGGUGCUAAUAAAUGUAUGAAAUCUGCAUUUCCAAGCUACUAGGACAAGUAAAAAAUAAUAAUUUUACUAUAGGAUUCAAAAACAGCAGUUCUGAAGUGCACUUUAUUUAUUUUUGAAAGUGAUCACAUUUUGUUUCAUUUUUCUAUAGACAAAUCUACUAAUACAUACUCACGAUAAAACUAUAAAAGUUCUAGUCCGCACAUUGGGCGGGCCACCCGGCUAGUUAGUCUAAAGAUAACAAAAUGAGUCUGGAAUUUGAAUUAAAUUGAAGUAUUUUCUUGGACUUUCAAAUUGAGUUUUAUUAAAGUAGUAAGGACUAUCCACAUCCUUGGCUUGCCCCUGAUCAAUUAUUUCCAGAGAAGCAUUCAAUUCAUCAAUCAAUUACAUUGAUUUUAGUGGCUGGUACUUCUCCUCAACAUCAGUAUAUUCACCGUGGCCACUCCAAAUCGGCAAGAAUGAGGUACCAGUGCUCUGGAGCAGUGCAAGCUAAUUGCUUCUCAUCUGAAGGGGUGCGGCCGCAGGAGAGGUAUUUCUGGUGGGCCAAGGGACUAAGAAGCGACUGUGGCAGCGGUAUAGACGCCCGCAAAGCCCCAUAAUUUGUUUUUGGUUUACAGGAAAAAUGCACAUCCAUACCAGCCUGGGGAAUAUAGGACCGUAUUGGAUGGAAAACCAUGUCCGGAUGGUUGCGAGCGGUUUAAGGGUUAGCUUUUGUAACGCCCGGUUAGUUAUGCUAUAGCAAUUCCCUGCUAAUGAUGUCACGUUACCACGAUUACUGUUGUUAACCUCACAAUGAUUCAAUCCCCUUCAAAUUGAAAUUUAAAAUAAAGGCAAACAUCAAAAGUUUUCAAAUAUUAAAACUAAAAUCUUUGAGAGGUGACAAAUAAUGCAUAAGUAAUUAUGGUGGAGAAACCACACUUUAAUCAAAUGUUUAAAUACUCUAAAAUGAAAAAAAACAGUUGCUUAAACUAUUAUUUAAAUGCUUUUAAAAUAGUAAAAAUCUUCUAACUAAAUUAUUUGGGUACCAAACUUUUGGUGGCAGUGGUAUAUUUAGUACAACUAAUUUAGAUGCUAAUUAUAUAAAAAGGAAAAGCAAAAGGGGGCAACCCCUCGCUGGGCCUCGGCCUAGCUGCCACUAGGCUAGCUAGGCUGGCCCCGCCGCCUCCCUUAACCCCCCCCCCCCACUCCCCAUCGAACCCAAGCCCGAUCGCCCCACUUCCCCCANNNNNNNNNNNNNNNNNNNNNNNNNNNNNNNNNNNNNNNNNNNNNNNNNNNNNNNNNNNNNNNNNNNNNNNNNNNNNNNNNNNNNNNNNNNNNNNNNNNNNNNNNNNNNNNNNNNNNNNNNNNNNNNNNNNNNNNNNNNNNNNNNNNNNNNNNNNNNNNNNNNNNNNNNNNNNNNNNNNNNNNNNNNNNNNNNNNNNNNNNNNNNNNNNNNNNNNNNNNNNNNNNNNNNNNNNNNNNNNNNNNNNNNNNNNNNNNNNNNNNNNNNNNNNNNNUUGAUCCCAUCUGGAUCGGGGAGGGUAAUGCCCCAAUCGACCCCGUUGCCGUCGCGGGAUUGCCCGCCGACGUCGCCAGGCCUCCUCCCCGCCACCCGUCUCCGGCUCGCCUCCCCUCUCGCUCCUCUUCCCCGACCCGAUCUGGAUCGUGAACGAGCAAUGAGCUCGAAGCCCCCUUCACCGGCGCCAUCACCGUGCGCCACCACCACCGCCUGAAGACCUCACCGUCGCCGAACCUUGCGUCGCCUCCUCGUAUCCCUCCCCUACUCGCGUCCUCAAGCCAGGCCGAGCCCCUUCUCGGCAACGCCGUGAGACGCCCCCGUCUCCCUCCUCUUUCCACUGCGUUCACCGCGCCGCCCGCCGUGCCCCUCGCCGUGCGCACGCCCACCACCGCACCAGCCCCCGCUCCGCGCACGACCCUACCCGCGUCCGCGCCAUGAUCCCCUUUUCCACCCUACCUUCCUGCGCUCGCCGCGGUCCUGAUGCUCCCCCGCGCCCUCUUUUGGGGGCGCCGACUGCCCCUGUCCCACUGCUCGCCGCCGUGCCUCGCCAUCGCUCUACUGCUAAGUUAUUGCUGCGCUGCGGCCGUCGCCUCUUCCCGCUGCUCCGCCAGCGCCGAAGCUCCCGAUUGGCUCCACCACUUCUCACGUUAAACCGCCGGCCUAAAUGGCCUAACCCCCGGCUAAUGAACCCCCACUAUCCCACUGACACCGGGACCCACAUUCCCUAAUUAACCAUUUAAUAAAUUAAAACUCUUAAAUUAACAUUAGUGUAUGACAUGUGCGUCCCCUAUUAAUUUAUAAUUUUACUGCUAGUUUUAUUAGUUUCUGUUUUUUCUGCAUAUUUCUUUUGUAUUUGAACAGGCUUUAUAUAAUAAUAUUUAGCGUCUCAUACACAUAUAAAUGUAAUUAUAGCAUAUACAUACAAAUAGUCUCAUCAAAUCAUGUCAUCACCAUAAUCAUCAUCCAUCACAAAGUGAUCUCUCGUCAUCAUCUCGAAAAUAGCAAUACAAGUCUCGAUUACUUGCAACUACAUCGUCAUCCAUCUAAACAAUGAUAUACGCGAGAAGCGCUAUCACUAUGAGUGAGAGCGGAACUAUGCAGUACAUGAGUUUGUAUCCCUCUCUCACAUUAGCGUGAACCUAAACUAACUACUGGCUGUUGCUCGGAAACCGGAAACCGGUACACCUGGGCCUGACACUCCGGCCACUCGUCGUAUACUCCUGGCGUAGCACUUCUUCGCCAUCGAUGAUCUAUAAACCUACAUCGUCAGAUGAGUCGAUGAUAUGCAACAUAUAUAGUUGAGCAACAGAAAGAGACAGACUUGGCAAAAAUAGAAGCAACAUAUCAUAAGCAUAAAUAACAAAGUUCAUCGUACGCAAAAUGCCCUAACUAGAGUGAUCUUCGCUAGUCGAGGAGGACGGUUUAAUUACAUCACAAAUAAUUUUUCGUCGUGCAUAACUCAAAGUUCCGUCAUACAGAAAGUAUGAACUAAAUGGACACAUUGUCAUAUUUCAAAAAUCACUCCCACAUGUCGUGCCAUCCAUCCAAGUCAAGGAGAUAGUGCCCGAGCUUAGUGAAAGGCUUUAGGUCGAGACGCUGAGCGGCUAUGCGUGUUCGGACGUCUUCCCACGACAUUUGUCCUUCUUCAUAGAACAUCCCUGUUUUUUCGACGACCUCCUUCAUCACUGGAAGAAAAAGGGCCUGUUGUCCCGGUUCUGGAACCGGGACUAAAGGGUCGGUACUAAUGCCCUGUCCCUUUAGUCCCGGUUCAAUCCAGAACCAGGACAGUUGGGCCUCCACGUGGCCUGUGCGCGGAGCCUAGGCGGGAGACCCUUUGGUCCAAUAAGCAUCCACGCAUCAGCAUUUAUGUGGUUGGGGUUUUUGUUUUUUUUGAAGGGGGGGGCAUUGGGGGUUUUGGGGGGUUAAUUUUGGUGUUUCAUAUAUUGUGUUAGCUAGCUAUAAUUAAUAGAGAGAAUUGUCCUCUCUUAUGUCCGUGCUUGCUCGACGCUACGUACUAUACAUACGUAUAGAGAGGACUAGACACGGUAGCUAGCUAGUAAGCAAACGAAGGAAAUAGAAGAUCGUCAUGAACAUAUAUGCAUACAGAGAGAAGUAAUAUCGACCACCUCUCCUUCUCCGAGAGAUUGGUCGAACAACAAGUUCUCAUAUAUCUAUCCGACACUACCGGCUACAUAUAUACAAUAAUUAUCUCUUACAAAUAUAAUCAUACGGAUUCAGGGUCCACAUAGUAUUCUCUGUCUUCAAGGAUCACGUGGUCAAGAAAGAAUGCCGCCAAUUCCUCUUGAAUUGCUCGCAUGCGAGCUGGUGCUAGGAGUUCAUCCCGCUUCCGAAACAUCUAAUUUAAAGAAGGGGGUUAAUACAUAUAUACAUAUAUAUAUAUAUAUAUAUAUAUAUAUAUAUAUAUAUAUAUAUAUAUGAAUGAAUGAAACUCAACACGAAUGAUGGUAAUAAAAUAAAAUUGUGAAUGUUGUUAUUUACGUACUUCAUAUUGUUCGUCAGUGUAGCCCCGCUCAUAGGUCGUGUGGCGGAUGGACUCGCAAACGUAGUAUCCACAGAAAUCAUUCCUUUGUUCCUGCCACAACCACUUUAUAAGAAAUAGAGGUCAAUCAAACUGAUAAGCAAGAAUGCCAAAUGGUAUUGAUGAAACUUGUCAGGACCCCGAUUCCAAGCCACAUCGAUCUAGCCGGUAACACCUCAUAUCACUUUGCGGCCUCACGCACGAUAUUCCACGGGUGUCGCCUUACCAUGGCCCGGGACCGUUUGCGCCUUUUGGCUCACGUAUAUGAUAGUGUUGCUAGCAUCCAUAUGACAGAGAACCCGGGCCGACAUGGCUAGUCGUGAACCCAAAGUGGCACAGACCUAUGGAGACAGGCAUACAUGAAUCACAUCGAGCAUGUCGGUCAUCAGUGUGUGAUUCCGGGCUGUAGCACUGGGCUAACAGGACUCCGGGGAACCCGGGCUGUAGCAGGCUAGGCAGGACUCCGGAAGUCACCGCGUGACAUUUACCCGAAGGGACAGACAUAGGAACGAAGUGAAUCACAUGCCGGCAAGUCAAGUGUCCUGAGCAGUAGUACUGGGCUAGCAGGACUCCGGUGAACCGGGCUGUAGCGGACUACUAUGGCUCGAGGAACACUAGACUACAUUUCCCCAUAAGAAAGGCUGCCAAGGAUAAACAACUAGAUUGUCGGAUCCCACUCAUACCAAGCAUUUCAAUCAUACACACAAUAUGCCCGAUAUGAGUACAUACAACAUGGCAUCACAACAAAACUCUACAACUCAAGUACUUUAUUUAAAGGCUCUAGAGAGCCAUACAUAACAUGUUCAUACAGAUAGGGGUCACAUGACCCGACACUCAAGUCAUACAAUCAUACAAGCACAUGCGGAAGCAACCGGUCUGAGUACAGACACUAGAAAGAAAGAAGGCUCCUCGAGGCCUGUCUAUCUACAUAGGGCCCUCCAUGGCCAGGAUCACCACCUGGGUGGCUAGUCACUCGUCGAUGUCAAGGUCUACAUAGAACCCAUCGAAGGGGGCUGUGUUGUCGUCUGAAAACAGUAAUUAAGCAAACAUGAGUACAAAGGUACUCAGCAAGUCUUACAAAAGAACCUACUAUACAUGCUUAUUCUCAAGAAGGUGGUGGGGAUAUUGCAGCAAGCCAGUUUUCACUCUUGGCUAAACUAUCCUACAGAACUUCUCUAGUAAAAUAGUUUUCGCACACGAGUCCACUACUCACCAACACAAUACUCCACCGGGGAUCCUCCCUCGUCAUCCUAUGAGAGGGCCAUCCUCGGUACUCACACUUAUCUUGACUAUUUUAGUAGUAUCCAUUUAAUUGUCUAUGAACUGUAUAGGCAACCAAGUAGUCCUUUACCGCGGACGCGGCUAUUCGAAUAGUUUUAUACCCUGCAGGGGUGUACUUCGUCAUACAUGCUUUCACCACUUAUCGUCGUUUACACGACAUGUACUCGGCAACCUUCAAGCGAAAGCCCAGCGAGGGUGUCGGCCACGGCCUACCUAAACACUUAAGUCUCUAGUCCAGGUUUAUCGCCUAUCUAGGUUCCAUCCGCAGGGAGUCCGGGCGAGGUUUCCACAUACGGCCCCGAACGAUGUGAACAGGGUCCCGAGACGCCAAACGGGCGCCCGGCAUACCCGGCCAUGGUGUAUCUACCGCAACAUAGCCCACCCUUAGGGUCAGCGCUACGCACGGCCGCCAACACAUAACCUACAAACACCAGAAACUAUUUGCAACUCCUAGACAGAGUACAAGGGUGAUUAAGAAGCCGAGAGGGUCAAUUAAGGAUCCCAAUGCAUGGUAGUAGCUGAAUCUUAAAUCACACAUACCGAUCUCAGUUCUUAGGGACGGUCUCAAUGAAACAACCCACCAUGUACUCCUACAUGGCCUCUCAUCGAUACCUUUACCAAAACAUGUUCAACACAUUCCUCAUAUUACCGACAUAAUCAUAUCACCCUAGCCCAUCACCCAGAUGAACCAGACCUGACACAACUAUAAGCAUAGCAGGCAUAGCAAGGUAGGAAUCACAUACAUGGCUCAAUCAACUCCUACACAUGCUAGUGGGUUUCAUCUAGUUACUGUGGCAAUGACAGGUCAUGCAGAGGAUAAGGGUUCAACUAUCGUAGCACACAGCAGUUUGAAUCACAUUGUCUUAAUGCAGUAAACAAGAGCAGAGGCAAGAACAUGGGUUGUAUCGGAAUGAUCAAUGGGUUGCUUGACUGAUGGAGUGGUAGUGGGAUACUGCCCUUCAGUUGGAUACUCAUGAAUAUCCUCGGAGGCAGAACCUACCACGAAGAACACAUCGGAACACAAUCAACACAUGAUGAUAUGCAACAAUAUGAUGCAUGCUAUGACAUGGCAAUAUGAAUGUGUCUUGGCCUAAUGCAAGCUAAAAUAGAAAGGGAUGAACUCAUUUGAAUCAAAGAUUCAAAUAUUAGCUCAUUAAACAUGGCCUUAGUAGUGCAUUUCCUUAUUCUGCUUAAACAGCAAGGUAAACUUGUUUUUUCAUGCUUGAAACCAUUACAGAUGGAUAUAUUGAAUUUUUCUGAUAAUUUUUCAUAUAUAAAUUAUUUCAUUUGGAGUUACGGUUGAAUUUCUAUGAUUUUUAGAAGUUUCAAACAUUUUCUGGAAUUUCUUGAAUAAAAAUAAAUCCAGAAAAUGCAUUACUGCGUCAGCAUUGCAUCAUGCUGACCUCCGCAGGUCAAAGGCACCAGCCUAGGUCAAACCUGACUGGUGGGCCCCUUCUGUCAGUCUCUCAGUUAAAUAACAGGAUUAGAUUAACACUAAUUAGCUGUCAGUGGGGCCUGGGCCCACAUGUCACUGACUGAUUAAAAUAAAAUUAGUUAAAACUAAUCCUAGAUUAGUUAGCAAACCGGCCCCACCUGUCAUAGACUUAGGGGGGGUCUACCUGGGCCCACCCAGGGUCAAACUGGGUCAAACUCGCCGGCGCAGCUCGGAAAACGCCUACAGGGCACGAGCGAGGCCGUUCUUGGGCUCAUUGGAGAGCUCUUGCAGUCGCGCAUCUAGUGGCGGUGGUGGCCGGAGACGACGACGGCGAGCUCCAAGGCGGCGGCCGGAGUUCGGCCAUGUGCGGGGUGUCGGCUGUGGCGUGCAAACGUGGAAACUGAGGCACUAGCGAGGCACUACGCGAUGCGGCAAGCACGUUGCAUAGCACGGGAUAAUCAAAUGGUUGCCGGAGCGGCACCGGUGACAAGCUCGAGCGGAGACGAGCUUCGGCCAUGGUGGAACUAUGGCCUAGAGGGUGCAAACGCGUGGAAAAGAAGAGGGGAAAGGUGGCGGAGCUCACAGGGAGGUCGAUGAGCAGCUCAGUGGGCUCGGGGGCGACAGAAGUGAGGCGAAUCGAUGAGCAGCGUCCGGCGGGUACCGAGGUUGAAGACGAUCCGAUGGCGGCGAUGCAGGGCCUCCGGCGAUGCGUGGCUCGGUGGGAAGGGCGAGGGGGUGACGGAGGGCGCGACUACGGCGGUGAGACGGCGACGGGUGCGUCGGCCAUCGCGGGAGAGGGAGAGGGAGAUGAGUGGGAGAGUGAGAGAGGAUGAGAGGGGGACGUGGGGGUCGCGUGGCAUUCCCUGGACGUCUCCCGGCAUCGGCGGAAGCAGGAGGUGGCCGGCGUGUGGCCGCGGGCGCCGGCCACGCGCUCUGCGUCCUUCUGGCGCGAGGAGGACGACGACUGGCAGCGCCAGUAGGCUGGGCCGAGCCAGGUGGGCUGGCCAGCACAGGUAAGGCUCAGGUGGGCUUCUCCCUCUUUUUUUUAAUUUGUUUCUGUUUUCUAUUUAACUGUAAAUGUUGGGCUUUAUUUAAAAUACUAAAACAUUUCCAAAAAUCCUGAAAAUAAUUGUGGGCUCUGUUUGGAUUAUUUCCAAUAGCAAACAUUUAUUUGCAGAAUUAUUUGAGCAUUUAAAUGCCCAAAUUCAAAUACUUAUGAUUUAAAUCAAUGACCUUCUGUUGACCUAGAAAAGUUGUGCACCAAUUUUGCCAGAGGUUCUAACCCAAGACAAAGAGGGUGAACUUUUUAGAAGGGCAUUUCAGGUUCAUUGAAAAUAAUUUUAGUAAUCCCUAGUUGUUUCCAGGGGGGUGUUGGGGGUUUCUGCCUUCCCCAAUUCAAAUUUAAGAGGAAUUUAAACAUGAUGCACAUUCUAAUGCUUGAACUAGCUAGGGUGUGACAACUCACCCCCACUCAAAAGAAUCUCGUCCCGAGAUUUAGGAUCCUCUGGAAAGAAGGUGGGGUACUCGAGUCGAAGACGAUCCUCCCUUUCCCAAGUGGCUUCUUUCUCGGAAUGGUGUGUCCAUUGAACCUUGAGAAACUUGAUAUUAUGACGUCGAGUGGUACACUCGGCUUGAUCAAGGAUACGAACGGGAUAUUCCCGAUAAGAGAGGUUAUCUUGUAGAUCAAGCAUUUCGUGGUCCACUCCACGGAUAGGAUCCGCGAAGCAACGCCUGAGUUGUGAAACGUGGAAGACAUCAUGAACUCUGGAAAGAUGCGGAGGUAGUUCCAAUUGGUAGGCAACUUCUCCUCGUUUGGCAAGAAUGCGAAAGGGUCCAAUGUAACGAGGAGCCAAUUUGCCUUUGAUACCGAAAUGAUGGGUUCCUUUUAAUGGGGUAACCCGAAGGUAAGCCUUCUCGUCGAUUCAUAAGUCAUAGGCUUAUGUUUACGAUCAUAUUGACUCUUUUGACGAGAUUGGGCUGUUUUCAAUUUCUCACGAAUAACGCGAACCUGCUCUUCCGCUUCCUGAAUCAUAUCCGGGCCAAAGAGUUGUCUUUCCCCGGUUUCUGACCAGUUAAGAGGCGUUCGACAUUUUCGUCCAUAGAGAACUUCGAAAGGAGCUUUGCCCAAGCUAGCUUGAUAACUAUUGUUAUAAGCAAACUAUGCGAAUGGGAAGCAUUUCUCCCAACUCAUUCCGAAUGAGAUAACAGAAGCUCGGAGCAUAUCUUCUAGAAUUUGAUUGACUCGCUCUACUUGACCACUUGAUUGAGGAUGGAAGGCGGUACUAAAAGAGAGACGAGUUCCCAUAGCAUUUUGGAAACUUUCCCAAAAUCGAGAGGUGAAGAGACUCCCACGGUCUGAGUUAAUUUCCAAUGGGACACCAUGGAGAGACACUAUUCGGGAGAUGUAUAAAUCGGCUAGCUGGCUAGCAGUGAUACUCGCACGAACAGGUAGGAAAUGGGCUACUUUGGAAAGACGGUCGAUCACGACGAAGAUGGCAUUAUUCCCUCUCUUGUUCCUGGGAAACCCAGUAAUGAAAUCCAUACUGAUUUUAUCCCAUUUCCAUUCAGGAAUAGCCAAAGGUUGAAGGGUGCCAGCAGGCCGUUGAUGCCCUGCUUUAACACGAUGACAGACGUCGCAGCUAGCAAUGUAUCGAGCGAUUUCUCUCUUCAUCCUAGUACAUCAAAACCUCUGGCGUAGGUCUUGAUACAUUUUAUUGCUACCGGGAUGAAUGGUGAGAGGGGAUUCAUGAGCUUCCUUAAGGAUCAAUUGGCGUAGAUGUUGUUUCUUGGGAACCACCAAACGGUUCUCAAAGAAGACAGCACCCCGCUUAUCCAUGGAAAAACAUUUAGCAACUCCGCUAGCAAUGUUUUCCUUAAUCCGGGAUAUGCCCUUAUCAUACCGCUGGGCAGUUAUGAUCUGAUCCAUAAGGUUAGGUUUCGCCACCAGGGUGGAUAGGAAUCCUCGAGGAACAAUGUGAAGAUUAAGCUUACGGAAUUCCUCAUGGAGAAGUGGUUGACUUUGUUGUAACAUCAGGUUGUUACAAUAGGAUUUACGGCGUAGUGCAGCAGCCAUGACAUUGGCUUUGCCCGGUGUGUAGGUUAUUCCUAAGUCGUAAUCCGAGAUCAACUCAACCCAACGUCUUUGCCUGAGAUUCAAAUCUGGUUGGGUGAAGAUAUAUUUCAAGCUUUGGUGAUCGGUGAAGAUCUCGCAACGAUUAAGUGCAUGGACUACAGCUGCCAGCUCUAGAUCAUGUGUGGGAUAAUUUUCCUCAUGUGGGUGUAAUUGCCGUGAAGCGUAGGCAAUUACCUGACGAUCUUGCAUGAGUAUGCAACCUAGUCCUUGUCGCGAGGCGUCACAAUAGAUAAUAAAGUCCUUGGAUAAAUCAGGUGGUACCAGUACGGGAGCAGAUGUCAGGCGUCUUUUCAGUUCCUAAAAGCUGAACUCGCACUGUGGAGUCUACUCGAACUUUUUAUCUUUCUUGAGGAGUUUAGUUAGAGGUUUAGCAACCUUGGAGAAAUUCUCGACGAAGCGGCGGCAAUAGCUCGCUAAGCCAAGGAAGCUCCAAACUUGCUUGACCGUCUCAGGUGGAGUCUAAUCAAGGACGGCUUGAACUCGCUCGGGAUUGACGGCAAUACCCUUACCAGAGAUUACAUGGCCUAGAUAGGUUACUUCUGGCAACCAAAAUUCACACUUGGAGAAUUUGGCAUAAAGGCGAUGCUCUCGAAGUUUCAUCAAUACCAGCCUUAGAUGUUCGGCAUGUUCCUCUUCAUUCUUGGAGUAGAUUAGUAUGUCAUUGAGGUAUACUACGAUGAAUUUAUCCAAGUACUCCAUGAAAACCGAGUUCAUUAGCCGGGAGAAGGUAGCCGGGGCAUUGGUUAAACCGAAGGACAUAACGGUGUACUCGUAUUGGCCAUAACGAGUAACAAAGGCCGUUUUGGGAAUGUCCCCGUUUCUGAUUUAGAUUUGAUGGUAGCCCAACCUCAAAUCCAUCUUGGAAAAGACUGAGGAUCCAGCAAACUAAUCAUACAGAUCAUUGAUCCUGGGAAGUGGGUAUUUGUUCUUGAUGGUGACCAAGUUGAUAGGUCGGUAAUCCACAACCAUUCGAUCUGUUCCAUCCUUCUUGACGAAGAGGACGGGGCAAGCCCAAGGAGAGGAACUAGGACGGAUGAAACCCUUUUUCAAGGACUCAUCGAGUUGGUUCUCAAGCUCGGCUAGUUCUAAGGGUGCCAUCUUGUAGGGUCUUCUAGAAAUUAGAAUGGUUCCUGGAACAAGGUCUAUCACAAACUCGACAUCCCUGUCAGGUGGAACACCUGGCAGUUCUUCUGGAAAGGCAUCCGGAAAGUCUCGGACUACCGGAACAUCCUCAAGGUCUGGAAGGGGGUUGGCAUUUAGGGAGUAAAGUUGGCACUUGGCCACUCGAGUUAAGACAUUAACUGUCUUGCCCGAUGGGUGAGUAAGUUGAACGGUUCUAGUGGCACAGUCAAUCUUAGCAUAAUGAGCUGACAUCCAGUCCAUACCUAAGAUGAUGUUUAUGUCCGAGGACUUGAGAGCUAUUAAGGAUGCAAGGAAGACAAGUCUAUCGACAAGAAUUUCGUUCCCAUGGCUUACUCUAGAAGUUUGCCAUCUAGAGCCAGGGGUUUGAAUUUCCAUGGUAGAGGGCAUGUCACAGAAUGUCGUGUUGUGCAAUCGAGCAUAGUUCUCGGAUAUGAAUGAAUGAUAUGCUCCAGUAUCGAAAAGAACAGAUGCCGGAUGGCAGUUAACAAGGAGCGUACCAAGGACGACGUUGGGAUCCUCAUGAGCCUCCUCGGCUGAAACAUAGUUGACAUGGCCACGUGCAGUGGUGGCUGGCUUAGCGUAGAAUGUUUUUCCCGCGGGCUUACCACGGCCAACGGACUUUCCAGUUUGAUUGGGGUUGUUGUUCUGGGGACACUCUCGGCUAUAGUGACCCGGCUCUCCACACUUAAAGCAUGUCACCACAUUGGGGCGUGGAGCAGCAUUAGCAGCGGGGCCACCAUAGGGCUUGGGCGGUGCAAAUUGCUGGUUGGGACGUGGUGCCUCAAAGGAUGGCCUCGGGAUGAACCUGGGUGGCAGUGCCGUGCUUGGAAUCCACACCCGGCGCUUCUGAGCUCCAGAGCCGAUGAAGAGCCAAAAUCACGGGAGUGCUUGCGUGAAGUGUCAUAAUCAGUCUGGCCUUUCUCAGCACUGAUGGCUUUAUGGACCAACUUCUAAAAGGAGGUGCACUUGUGCAGACGAAGACCACGGUGAAGCUCAGGGCUAAGUCCCUUGCGGAACCUUGCCUGCUUCUUAGCAUCAGUAGAUACCUCUUCAGGGGCAUAACGUGCCAGAUUCCCAAAUUCACGACUGUAAGCAUCCACAGUCAGUCUUCCUUGGGUGAAGUUGCAGAACUCCUCCCUCUUGCGAUCCAUGAGACCUUCCGGAAUGUGAUGCUCACGGAAAGCCUCACUGAAUUCAGCCCAAGUAGUGAUUUGGCCGACCGGGCGCAUAGCUUCGAAGUUUUCCCACCAAAGGCUAGCAGGGCCUUUGAGGUGAUAGGCAGCAUAAGUAACCUUGUCGGCUUUGGCUACGUUGGCAGAACGUAGCUUGUGGGUGAUGCUGUGAAGCCAGUCAUCCACGUCGAGGGGCUCGACGGAAUGGUUAAACUUUGGUGGGUACAUCUUGAUAAAGUCAUUGAUUGACACCAACUCAUUUCGCGGGUGGCGUGCAGUGUUCUGCUCAAUCCGCUCCAGCAGGCGGUUGGUCUCACGCUUCUUUCUUUCUGCCUCCAGCAUUACUUCGGCCAGAGAAGGCGGGUGAGGCAGAUUUUCACCUCUAGCAGCACUGGCUUCCCCCUGCUCCGGGGCAACAGGGUUGCUGCGAGUAUUGACCAUCCUAGGAGAAAACAAGACAACGGUUUAGACAAGGAUGGCUCAAACUGAGCAAGGAUGUGCAGAAUGUAAUGGAUAACACGGAACACAGAGAUGUUCAUCCGUAUGUCAUGGUAAUAUAAAACUGCCAUAUAUAUACCAACGGUCAUACACAUCACACAUAGUUUAGUACAAGCCCAGGCUACAGUACAACUAUGAUGAAAGACGUUACAUCUCAUCGGAGGCAUUCCAAGCUCCUAUACAUUAUUGUCUACACCUUCGGAAUUGAUUACACGCAAAGUCAUAUUCCAAAAGUCACGCAGGACAGUGGAGAUACAACUACUACAAUACUAGUGGUACUACUACUAACUCAGACAGCUCCGUACUAGUCCUCAUAGAAGUCACCUCCAUAGCCUGGAAGUUCAACGUGACCAUCCGGGAACAGACGGUCCUGAGGAGCCUGUGGACCAUAGGGGCUUGGAUGGGGUCUUGGACCAACAAACGGUGGCCUGCGGGGACCACAGGGUGGGGUGAUGCCUCCCACAUCACGCCAAUCCACCACGUCUGGCAAAGCAGACCUCACAGGAUACAAAUCCCUUGUAUCCAUACAUCCAGCUUGCACCACAGGUGCAAACCGAGUCAAUGUGGCCCAAUGAUCAGCACGGGUAUUAAAAAGCUCCAGCCUCAAGGCCUGAUUCUCUCGGUCCUUAUAUUCGAGCAUCUCGGCAGUGGUACGAGUUAAUGAAUCCUCCUGAGUGGAGUCAGCAUAGAUAGCCUGAAGAUACCCUUGCGCUCCCGGAAGUGAAGCUAGCAUGUAUCGGAAGUCGGUGUUCCGAAGCAGGCCAGUCCGGACUCGCAUGAUUGUCAUCAUGGAAUAGGCAGCAUCCUGCACAGCCAUCUCAACAGUAACCCCGAGUCCAUAGGAACAGUGAAGGGGCUCGGUAGAUCCAGGAUAAGAAGGAAAUAUCUUGACGGUGCAGAAAUACUGGCUUUGAUUAAAGUCUCAGAAUUGCUCUUCGACGGUGUAUUCGGGAUACCAACGGUAACCCGUCUCGAUCAUGACCCGGACUAACAUAGCAGUAUGACCGGGCACGUCGAGCCACCGGGUCAGGCGAACCACUUUGUUUUGAGCACGGUUGGGCAUCUGAAAGCACAACCACAAUGCAAAGACAUCAGAAUUUCUAGGGAAAAUUGGACAGCAUAACAGCUGUAAAUGCUCAGAAAAAGAUUUGAGACAUCCACAACAGUUCGCAAUACCACUCAACAACAUCAUAUCAAGGUUCUGAUCCAAAUAGCAGCAUACUAAAAAUAGUAGAAACUGAACUGGGGCUUGUAACAACAAUCCUAUAAGCUACUACGGAUUAGUAACACGUGAACCUGAUAGAAGAAGAGAGACUAGUCCUUAACCCACAUUGAAUGAAAAGGGAAUGACUCAGAUAAGAGGCAUAGGGUAAAGGAGUAAAAGAGCCUUACGUUCCCUCCCACAAUCAAUUCCCCUACAUAUAACUAAAGCAUUUCCAGACUCGACAUCGACCAGUUUGGCUCAACGAACCUACAGGCAGUCCGGCACUGAUGCCAACGCUGUCAGGACCCCGAUUCCAAGACACAUCGAUCUAGCUGGUAACACCUCAUAUCACUUUGCGGCCUCACGCACGAUAUUCCACGGGUGUCGCCUUACCAUGGCCCGGGACCGUUUGCGCCUUUUGGCUCACGUAUAUGAUAGUGUCGCUAGCAUCCAUAUGAUAGAGAACCCGGGCCGACAUGGCUAGUCGUGAACCCAAAGAGGCACAGACCUAUGGAGACAGGCAUACAUGAAUCACAUCGAGCAUGUCGGUCAUCAGCGAGUGAUUCCGGGCUGUAGCACUGGGCUAACAGGACUCCGGGGAACCCGGGCUGUAGCAGGCUAGGCAGGACUCCGGAAGUCACCGCGUAACAUUUCCCCGAAGGGACAGACAUAGGAAUGAAGUGAAUCACAUGCCGGCAAGUCAAGUGUCCUGAGCUGUAGUGCUGGGCUAGCAGGACUCUGGUGAACCGGGCUGUAGCGGACUACUAUGGCUCAAGGAACACUAGACUACAUUUCCCCAUAAGAAAGGCUGCCAAGGAUAAACAACUAGAUUGCCGGAUCCCACUCAUACCAAGCAUUUCAAUCAUACACGCAAUAUGUCCGAUAUGAGUACAUACAACAUGGCAUCACAACAAAACUCUACAACUCAAGUACUUUAUUUAAAGGCUCUAGAGAGCCAUACAUAACAGGUUCAUACAGAUAGGGGUCACAUGACCCGACACUCAAGUCAUACAAUCAUACAAGCACAUGCGGAAGCAACCGGUCUGAGUACAGACACUAGAAAGAAAGAAGGCUCCUCGAGGCCUGUCUAUCUACAUAGGGCCCUCCAUGGCCAGGAUCACCACCUGGGUGGCUACUUACUCGUCGACGUCAAGGUCUACAUAGAACCCAUCGGAGGGGGCGGUGUUGUCGUCUGAAAACAGUAAUUAAGCAAACAUGAGUACAAAGGUACUCAGCAAGUCUUACAACAGAACCUAGUAUACAUGCUUAUACUCAAGAAGGUGGUGGGGAUAUUGCAGCAAGCCAGCUUUGACUCUUGGCUAAACUAUCCUACGGAACUUCUCUAGUAAAAUAGUUUUCGCACACGAGUCCACUACUCGCCAACACAAUACUCCACAGGGGAUCCUCCCUCGUCAUCCUAUGAGAGGGCCAUCCUCGGUACUCACACUUAUCUUGAGUAUUUUAGUAGUAUCCAUUUACUUGUCUAUGAACUGUAUAGGAAACCAAGUAGUCAUACACGCUAUUCGGAUAGUUUUAUACCCUGCAGGGGUGUACUUCGUCAUACACGCUUUCACCACUUAUCGCCGUUUACAUGACAUGUACUCGGCAACCUUCAAGCGGAAGCCCAGCGAGGGUGUCGGCCACGGCCUACCUAAACACUUAAGUCUCUAGUCCAGGUUUAUCGCCUAUCCAGGUUCCAUCCACAGGGAGUCCGGCCGAGGUUUCCACAUACGGCCCCGAACGAAGUGAACAUGGUUUCGAGACGCCAAACGGGCGCCCGGCAUACCCGGCCACGGUGUAUCUACCGCAACAUAGCCCACCCCUAGGGUCAGCGCUAUGCACGGCCGCCAACACAUAACCUACAAACACCAGAAACUAUUUGCAACUCCUGGACAGAGUACAAGGGUGAUUAAGAAGUCGAGAUGGUCAAUUAAGGAUCCCAAUGCAUGGUAGUAGUGAAUCUUAAAUCGCACAUACAGAUCUCAGUUCUUAGGGACGGUCUCAAUGAAACAACCCACCAUGUACUCCUACAUGGCCUCUCAUCGAUAUCUUUACCAAAACAUGUUCAACACAUUCCUCAUAUUACCGACAUAAUCAUAUCACCCUAGCCCAUCACCCAGAUGAACCAGACCUGACACAACUCUAAGCAUAGCAGGCAUAGCAAGGUAGGAAUUAUAUACAUGGCUCAAUCAACUCCUACACAUGCUAGUGGGUUUCAUCUAGUUACUGUGGCAAUGACAGGUCAUGCAGAGGAUAAGGGUUCAACUACUGUAGCACACAGCAGUUUGAAUCACGUUGUCUUAAUGCAGUAAACAAGAGCACAGGCGAGAACAUGGGUUGUAUCGGAAUGAUCAAUGGGUUGCUUGCUUGAUGGAGUGGUAGUGGAAUACUGCCCUUCAGUGGGAUACUCGUGAAUAUCCUCGGAGCCAGAACCUACCACGAAGAACACAUCGGAACACAAUCAACACAUGACGAUAUGCAACAAUAUGAUGCAUGCUAUGACGUAUCUUGGCCUAAUGCAAGCUAAAAUAGAAAGGGAUGAACUCAUUUGAAUCAAAAAUUCAAAUAUUAGCUCAUUAAACAUGACCUUAGUAGUGCAUUUCCUUAUUCUGCUUAAACAGCAAGGUAAACUUGUUUUGUCAUGCAUGAAACCAUUACAGAUGGAUAGAUUGAAUUUUUCUGAUAAUUUUUCAUAUAUAAAUUAUUUCAUUUGGAGUUACGGUUGAAUCUCUAUGAUUUUUAGAAGUUUUAAACAUUUUCUGGAAAUUACUGAAUAAAAAUAAAUCCAAAAAAUGCAUUACGGCGUCAGCAUUGUGUCAUGCUGACCUCAGCAGGUCAAAGGCGCCAGCCCAGGUCAAACCUGACUGGUGGGCCCCUUCUGUCAGUCUCUCAGUUAAAUAACAGGAUUAGAUUAACACUAAUUAACUGUCAGUGGGGCCUGGGCCCACAUGUCAGUGACUGAUUAAAAUAAAAUUAGUUAAAACUAAUCCUAGAUUAGUUAGCAGACCGGCCCCACCUGUCAUAGACUCAGGGGGGUCUACCUGGGCCCACCCAGGGUCAAACUGGGUCAAACUCGCCGGCGUUGAGCCGCCGGCGAGACCCGAGACAGUGGCGCAGCUCGGAAAACGCCUACAGGGCACGAGCGAGGCCGUUCUUGGGCUCGUUGGAGAGCUCUUGCAGUCGCGCAUCUAGUGCUGGUGGUGGCCGGGCCUACGGUGGCCGGAGACGACGACGGCGAGCUCCAAGGCGGCGGCCGGAGUUCGGCCAUGUGCGGGGUGUGGGCUGCGGCGUGCAAACGUGGAAACUGAGGCGCUAGCGAGGCACUACGUGAUGCGGCAAGCACGUUGCGUAGCACGGGAUGACCAAAUGGUCGCCGGAGCGGCGCUGACGACAAGCUCGAGCGGAGACGAGCUUCGGCCAUGGUGAAACUAUGGCCUAGAGGGUGCAAACGCGUGGAAAAGAAGAGGGGAAAGGUGGCGGAGCUCACAGGGAGGUCGAUGAGCAGCUCAGUGGGCUCGGGGCGACCGGAGUGAGGCGAAUCGACGAGCGGCGUCCGGCGGGUACCGAGGUUGAAGACAAUCCGAUGGCGGCGAUGCAGGGCCUUCGGCGAUGCGUGGCUCGGUGGGGAGGGCGAGGGCGUUACGGCGGAGCUUCUGGACAGGUCAGAGAGGCGAGGUGGUGAUGGAGGGCGCGACUAUGAUGGUGAGACGGCGAUUAAAAAGAAAGAUCUGGUUCACUCGUACGUGAAAAAAGUAGCAAGCGCUCGAUGCCUUCCUUUGCAUCGAUGCCAGACGCGGUGCUGGGAAUCGACAAGAUAACCGCCAAUCUACCACGAUUAAAUUCCUAGCGCCUCCUUCUAGCGCCUCCCACUGAAAAUGCCCUAAAGGUUUUGGAGGGAUUUUUUUACUGUGUCCUACUUCACGAAUCACGAGGCAAAUCAAGUAGCCGGCAUGGCCUGGCCGGUGAGUGCCAUUGCACUUACUUGCCCCAGCAAUUUUCCGCGUGCAUUGUAGAAUUCUUUCUCCGAGUCCUGUGAAUUAAAGAUGGUGCAGACAAAAAUAUAUCCUAUAUGCGUACAUGUGCAUGAUCAGAACAUGUUUUUACGUGCGUCUACUAUAAAUCAUGACCAUUUUUAACACAAAUCAUGACCAUUCAUGAUUAGUGAAUCAUACUGUCUUAACUUAUGUGAAAUCAUGUGGAGUAAUAUAAUAUAAUAUAAUAAAUAGAUAGAUCCAUGUUGUAUUAUUUUUUGUUUACAAAAAAUAUCUGUCAUUACACAUUUUGAUUUAUGCAUUUGUUUACAAAAAAAACAGUAACAUUUCAUGGUGGAAAGUUUGUAUUGUUUCAUACUGAACACCAAUGUUUUCCUGUAAAAGAAAAUAAUGCCUACGCAUAUGCUUUUAUAUUAUUAUUAUUCUUUCAAACUUAUUCAUACAGUAUUUUUGAUUGUGCAACCAUAAUUUUUAUUGUCUCUCUCGUUCCACUACAUGCUCUUACUCAAUGAUUUUUUUAUAACGGGUGUUUUUAUUAACUCAAAAUAUAGUAUCAAGCGGAUACAAAACAUAAUGAGCCACACCUGGUCUCUGCAUAACUAAGAUGCACACAGCCAAAAGCAGAUGUCUGACAAAAAUAAGAUAAGAAAAUCGACAUAUCGACAACAGUGAGUCAUAUAGUCCCGACACUAUGCCCCCGUUGAAGGACGGGGUGGAGCGAUCUGGAGAUUAUGCUGCCCUCCAUGUUGAGUAAAUACCUCCCUGGCCACUUGUUCCAAACGCAUAGACGCCGCCACGAAUAAUGGUCGGUACUCUGUUCAGUGUAGCAUACACCAUGUAGGAAGUGAGUGCUCACUCCUAGUUACUAAAUUAUGUACACACUAGUAGAAAAAGGGCCAUUUGUCCCGGUUCGUAAGGCCCAUUUGUCCCAAUUGGGGAACCGGGACUAAAGGGUCGGUACUAAAGCCCUACACCUUUAGUCCCGGUUCUUACACCAACCGAGACAGAUGGGGCUCCACGUGGCCGCUACAGCUUGCCGUGGCAGGGGGGCCUUUUGUCCCGGUUGGUAGCACCAACCGGGACCAAUAAGCUACCACGCGUCCGCAUUUGAGGGGCUAGGGUUUUUGUUUUUUUUCUGAAGGGGGGGGGGUGGGUUUGUAUGGUUAAUUUUGGGGGGUUUCACAUAUUGUGUUAGGUAGCUAAUUAAUUAAUAGAGAGAAGUGUCCUCACUUAUCUCCGUGCUUGGUCGACGCUACGUACUAUACGUAUAGAGAGGCCCUCAACACGCUAGCCAGUAAGCAAAUGAAGUAAACCAUUAAGUACAGAAGUUCGUCAUGAACAUAUGCAUACAAACAUAAGUGAUAUCGACCUCUCCUUCUCCGAGAGAUAGGUCGAACAACAAGUUUCCGUAUAUCUAUCCGGCGCUACUAGCUACAUAUAUACAAUAUUAAGAUCUCUUACAAUAUAAUCCCCUAAUUAUAUAUGAACUCAGCUUCCAGAUGGUAUUCUCCGGCUUUAUUGAUGGCGUGGUCAAGAAAGAUUCCCUCCAAUUCCUCUUGAAUUGCUUUGAUGCGAUCUUGUGGUAGGAGUUCAUCUCGCAUCUGCCACAUCUAAUUUGAAGAAGGGGGUCAAUCACCAGUAGAAUAACAACCAUUUGUCCUGGUUCAUAAGGUUAAUUUGUCCCGGUUGGGGAACCGAGACUAAAGGGUCUUUACUAAAGCCCUACACCUUUAGUCCUGGUUCUUACACCAACUGGGACAGAUGGGCCUCCAUGUGGCUGCUGCGGCGAGCCCAGGCCGGAGGUCCUUUGGUCCCGGUUAGUGGCACUGAUACGUCUCCAACGUAUCUAUAAUUUUUGAUUGCUCCAUGCUAUUAUGUUAUCUAUUUUGGAUGUUAAUGGCUUUAUUUUACACCUUUAUAUCAUUUUUGGGACUAACCUACUAAUCGGAGGCCCAACCCAAAUUGUUGUUUUCUACCUAUUUUAGGUUUUCGAAGAAAAGGAAUAUCAAACGGAGUCCAAACGGAAUGAAACCUUCGAGAACGUGAUUUUCUCAAUGAACAUGAUUCAGGAGAAUUGGAGUGUGCUCCAAGAAACAAGGGAGGAAGGCACGAGGCAGGGGGCGCGCCUACCCCCUUGGGCGCGCCCUCCACCCUCGUGGGCCCUCCGCUGCUCCACCGACGUACUUCUUCCUCCUAUAUAUAUCCACGUACCCCCAAACAUCCAGGAGCACCACGAAAACCUAAUUCCACCGCUGCAACCUUCUGUACCCGAGAGAUCCCAUCUUGGGGCCUUUUCCGGAGGUCCACCGGAGGGGGCAUCGAUCAUGGAGGGCCUCUACAUCAACUCCAUGGCCUCUCCGGUGAUGUGUGAGUAGUUUACUUCAGACCUAGGGGUCUAUAGUUAUUAGCUAGAUGGCUUCUUCUUCUCUCUUUGGAUCUCAAUACAAAGUUCUCCUCGAUUUUCUUGGAGAUCUAUUUGAUGUAACCUUCUUUUGCGGUGUGUUUGUCGAGAUCCGAUGAAUUGUGGGUUUGUGAUCCAGAUUAUCUAUGAACAAUAUUUGAUUCUCCUAUGAAUUCUAGUAUGUAUGAUUGGUUUAUCUUUGCAAGUCUCUUCGAAUUAUCAGUUUGGUUUGGCCUACUAGAUUGAUUUCUUGCAAUGGGAGAAGUGCUUAGCUUUGGGUUCAAUCUUGCAGUGUUUGAUCCCAGUGACAGAAAGGGAACCGAUACGUAUUGUAUUGUUGCCAUCGAGGAUAAAAAGAUGGGGUUUAUAUCAUAUCGCAUGAGUUUAUCCCUCUACAUCAUGUCAUCUUCCUUAAAGCAUUACUAUGUUCUCUUGAACUUAAUACUCUAGAUGCAUGCUGGAUAGCGGUCCAUGUGUCGAGUAAUAGUAGUAGAUGCAGAAUCGUUUCGGUCUACUUGUCUCGGACGUGAUGCCUAUAUACAUGAUCAUACCUAGAUAUUCUCAUAACUAUGUUCAAUUCUGUACAAUAUGGUGCACGGGGUUACAUCGGCCUGCAAAGACAUUUCUGCGAUGUGAGACAUCCGAAAAGCAACGAAAACGGGAGAUUAUACAUUUAUUGAAGAGGGCAGGUGUGACAGAUACCGUGAGGGCGUCGAGCUCAGCCAAAGACGAUGGACAGCUGAGCACGGCCUGUGUCAGAGCCGGUGCGGGAGCAGGUGCAGGUGCAGGUGCUGGUGCAACGCUAGUCGAGCUGCUCCUGAAGAAGUCAACAAUGGGAAAGUCCGCUGCAUUUUUUCUGCAUUUUGCGUGCUCCAAUUGAAAAUGGCUGGAACCAAGACAGUAGACAUAUCUGCAACCACCUGUUUUCCGGCAGCUACCGCUGUCGCGACUGUCUCAGAUGAUUUCUUCUCAACCGCAAUCUCAACCUUCUUGUCGAUGUUUUAUUCGGUUAACCUCCAUCUUUCCUUUCUCUCCUCCGUGGUCUCACGGUAGUACUUCUUCCACGUGGCCCCGUCUCCGACACCGUGAACGCGUCCAUACGACGACCGAGUCUCCACGGGGAGUCCUUUCAAUAUGUUCAAUGCCCGGUUGAAUGGAGUGUCCCACUUGGGCCUUGCCAAUGCCUCAGACGGCGAGUCGCUUUCGGCCGCAAUCUUAUGCUGCUCUCUCUACAAAAGGAACACGGAUCAUUUACAAAUAUGACUAAACGUGCAGUCGAACUGAUCAGAAACUAAAAUUACCAGCAGUCUCAUGAACUCCGUCGUGAUCGGGUCCGUCUUGAAAACCUUCUUGACUGAGUCCCAAUGGUGUCGUGCCCUGAGGACGUCAUGCUCCUACGGGACGGUGAAGUCCGCCAAGGGGUCUGGGAUGCCAGAUUUUCGCGUUUCGUGUCCUCCUUGGCCCAUAUGGACCUCUUCCUGCCGUAACCACUGCUUCCGAGGUGGUGGCGCCCCAUGUUCCUUUGUGGAAGCCCCUUCAUGUACUUCGACUUUGUUUUGGCAGCUUCGGCCUCGCAAGCCGCCUUGAAUAUUUCAAAGUGUUCUCUAGUGAUUGUCAGAUUAUCCUUUACAAUCUCGGAGUAGGGUUGAUACGUCUCCAACGUAUCUAUUAUUUUUGAUUGCUCCAUGCUAUAUUAUCUACUGUUUUGGACAUUAUUGGGCUUUAUUAUCUACUUUUAUAUUAUUUUUGGGACUAACCUAUUAACCGGAGGCCCAGCCUAGAAUUGUUGUUUUUUGACUGUUUUAGGGUUUCGAAGAAAAGGAAUAUCAAACGGAGUCCAAACGGAAUGAAACCUUCGGGAACGUGAUUUUCUGAAUGAACAAGACCCUGGAGACUUGGACCCUACGUCAAGACACAAAAGAGGAGGACACGAGGUAGGGGGCGCGCCUAACCCCCCCCCCCCCUCGAGGCACGCCCUCCACCCUCGUGGGGCCCCUGUUGCUCCACCGACGUACUCCUUCCUCCUAUAUAUACCUACGUACUUCCAAACGAUCAGAUACGGAGCCAAAACCCUAAUUCCACUGCCGCAACUUUCUGUAUCCACGAGAUCCCAUUUGGUGCCUGUUCCGGAGCUCCGCCGGAGGGGGCAUCGAUCACGGAGGGCUUCUACAUCAACACCAUAGCCUCUCCGAUGAAGUGUGAGUAGUUCACCUCAGACGUACCGGUCCAUAUUUAUUACCUAGAUGGCUUCUUCUCUCUUUUUGGAUCUCAAUACAAUGUUCUCCCCCUCUCUUGUGGAGAACUAUUCGAUGUAAUCUUGUUUUUGCAGUGUGUUUAUUGAGAUUGAUGAAUUGUGGGUUUAUGAUCAAGUCUAUGUAUGAAUAAUAUUUGAAUCUUCUCUAAAUUCUUUUAUGUAUGAUUGUUUAUCUUUGCAAGUCUCUUCGAAUUAUCAGUUUGGUUUGGCCUACUAGAUUGAUCUUUCUUACAAUGGGAGAAGUGCUUAGCUUUGGGUUCAAUCUUGCGGUGUCCUUUCCCAAUGACAGUAGGGGCAGCAAGGCAUGUAUUGUAUUGUUGCCAUCGAGGACAACAAGAUGGGGUUUUCAUCAUAUUGCAUGAGUCUAUCCCUCUACAUCAUGUCAUCUUGCUUAAGGCGUUACUCUGUUUUUAACUUAAUACUCUAGAUGCAUGCUGGAUAGCGGUCGAUGAGUGAAACCUAUGGCCCCCGGGUCUAUCUUUAUCAUAUUAAUCUCCUACUACUUAGUUAUUUCCUUUGCUUUUUCCUUUGCCUUUAUUUUACUUUUGAUCUUUAUCACAAAAAUACCAAACAUAUUAUCUUUAUCAUAUCUAUCAGAUCUCACUCUCGUAAGUGGCUGUGUAGGGAUUGACAACCCCUAUUCGCGUUGGUUGCGAGGAUUUAUUUGUUUUGUGCAAGUACGAGAGACUCGCGCGUAGCCUCCUACUGGAUUGAUACCUUGGUUCUCAAAAACUGAGGGAAAUACUUACACUACUUUGCUGCAUCAUCCUUCCUCUUCGCGGAAAACCAACGUAGUGCUCAAGAGCUGGCAAUAAGGAUUUCUGGCGCCGUUGCCGGGGAGGUCUAAGCAAAAGUCAACAUACCAAGUACCCAUCACAUACCCUUAUCUCCUGCAUUACAUUAUUUUCCAUUUGCCUCUCGUUUUCCUCUCCCCCACUUCACCCUUGCCGUUUUAUUCGCCCUCUCUCUCUCUCUCUAUCCUCCCUCUCUUUCUCUAUUUGCCUCUUUUUUCCCACUUGCUUUCUGUUUGCUUGUGUGUUAGUUGCUUGCUUGUCACGAUGGCUCAAGAUAAUACUAAAUUACGUGACUUCACCAAUACCAACAACAAUGAUUUUAUUAACACUCCGAUUGCUCCUCUUACCGAUGCUGAAUCUUGAGAAAUUAAUACUGCUUUGCUGAAUCUUGUCAUGAAAGAUCUGUUUUUCGGCCUUCCUAGUGAAGAUGCCGCUACCCACCUAAAUAGAUUCGUUGAUUUGUGUGACAUGCAAAAGAAGAAAGGUGUGGAUAAUGAUAUUGUUAAAUUGAAGCUAUUUCCUUUUUCGCUUAGAGAUCGUGCUAAAGCUUGGUUUUCGUCUUUGCCUAAAAAUACUAUUGAUUCAUGGAAUAAGUGCAAAGAUGCUUUUAUCUCUAAGUAUUUUCCUCCUGCUAAGAUCAUCUCUCUUAGAAACGAUAUUAUGAAUUUUAAGCAACUUGAUCAUGAACAUGUUGCACAAGCUUGGGAGAGAAUGAAACUAAUGAUACGUAAUUGCCCUGCCCAUGGUUUAAAUUUGUGGAUGAUUAUACCAAAUUUUUAUGCCGGAUUGAACUUUGCUUCUAGAAAUCUUUUAGAUUAGGCCGCGGGAGGCACUUUUAUGGAAAUCACUUUAGGAGAAGCUACUAAACUCCUAGAUAAUAUUAUGGUUAAUUAUUCUCAACGGCAUACCGAAAGAUCUACUAAUAAAAACGUGCAUGCGAUAGAAGAAAUUAAUGUUUCGAGUGGAAAGAUGGAUGAACUUCUGAAAUUAUUUGCUAAUAAGAGUAUUUCUUCUGAUCCUAAUGAUAUGCCCUUGUCUACUUUGAUUGAGAAUAAUAAUUAAUCUAUGGAUGUGGAUUUUGUUGGUAGGAACAAUUUUGGUAACAACGCGUACAGAGGAAAUUUCAACCCUAGGCCUUAUCCUAGUAAUCUCUCUAAUAAUUAUGGUAAUUCCUACAACAAUUCUUAUGGAAAUUAUAAUAAGAUGCCCUCUGAUUUUGGAUCUAAUAUUAGAGAAUUUAUUACUUUCCAAAAGAAUUUCAAUGCUUUGAUUGAAGAAAAAUUGCUUAAGAUUGAUGAUUUGGCUAGGAACGUUGAUAGAAUUACUCUUGAUGUUGAUUCUUUGAAACUUAGAUCUAUUCCACCUAAGCAUGAUGUCAAUGAGUCUCUCAAAGCCAUGAGAAUUUCCAUUGAUGAGUGCAAAGAAAGAACCACUAGGAUGCGUGUUAAGAAAGAUGCCUUUAUAAGAGCGUGUUCUUCUAAUUCCUAUGAAAAUAAUGAUGAAGAUCAAAAAGUUAUUGAUGUCCUCCCUAUUAAAUCUUUGUUUUGCAAUAUGAAUCUUGAUAAUCAUGGGACUGAAUAUGAUCCACCUUUACCUAGAAGGCGUUCCAAUAAUUCAGAAUUUGUUGAUCUUGAUGCUAAAAUUGAUAAAGGUGGGAUUGAAGAAAUUAAAACCCUAGAUGUUGCUAAACCCACUAUUAUGGAUUUCAAGGAACUUAACUAUGAAAACUGCCCUUUGAUUGAUUGUAUAUCCUUGUUACAAUCCGUGCUAAAUUCUCCUCAUGCUUAUAGUCAAAAUAAAGCAUUUACUAAACAUAUUGUUGAUGCCUUGAUGCAAUCUUAUGAAGAAAAACUUGAAUUGGAAGUUUCUAUCCCUAUAAAGCUUUAUGAUGAGUGGGAACCAACUAUUAAAAUUAAAAUUAAAUAUCAUGAAUGCUAUGCUUUAUGUGAUUUGUGUGCUAGUGUUUCCACGAUUCCAUAGACUUUGUGUGAUUUGUUAGGUUUCCGUGAUUUUGAUGAUUGCUCUUUAAACUUGCACCUUGCGGAUUCCACUAUUAAGAAACCUAUGGGAAGAAUUAAUGAUGUUCUUAUUGUUGCAAAUAGCAAUUAUGUGCCCGUAGAUUUUAUUGUUCUUGACAUAGAUUGCAAUCUUUCAUGUCCUAUUAUUCUUGGUAGACCUUUCCUUAGAACGACUGGUGCAAUUAUUGAUAUGAAGGAAGGAAAUAUUAGAUUCCAAUUUCCAUUAAGGAAAGGCAUGGAACACUUUCCUAGAAAGUAAAUUAAAUUACCUUAUGAAUCUAUUAUGAUAGCCACUUAUGGAUUGCCUACCAAAGAUGGCAAUACCUAGAUCUAUCCUUGCUUGUUAUGCCUAGCUAGGGGCGUUAAACGAUAGCGCUUGUUGGGAGGCAACCCAAUUUUAUUUUUAUUCCUUGAUUUUUUCUCCUGUUUAGUAAUAAAUAAUUUAUAUAGCCUCUGUUUUGGUUCUGUUCUUUGUGUUUAAUUAGUGUUUGUGCCAAGUAGAACCGUUAGGAAGACUUGGGGAAAGUCUUGUUACACUUGCUGUAAAAAACUGAAACUUCAGCGCUCACGAGAACUGCUGCCAUUUUUAUUUGGAAAGUGCUAUGUAGUUAAUUAUUUUUCAGAUGAUUAACAGAUAAAUUCCUCACGUCCAGAAAUUUAUUUUAGAAUUUUUGGGGUUCCAGCUCUUGAGCUAGCUACAGAGUACUACAGGCUGUUCUGUUUUUGAAAGAUUCUGUUUUUCGUGUGUUGUUUGCUUAUUUUGAUGAACCUAUGGCUAGUAAAAUAGUUUAUAUACCAUAGAGAAAUUGGAAUACAGUAGGUAUAACACCAAUAUAAAUAAAUAAUGAGUUCAUUACAGUACCUUGAAGUGGUCUUUUAUUUUCUUUCGCUAACGGAGCUCAUGAGAUUUUCUACUUUAAGUUUUGUGUUGUGAAGUUUUCAAGUUUUGGGUAAAGAUUUGAUGGAUUAUGGAACAAGGAGUGACAAGAGCCUAAGCUUGGGGGUUCCCAUGGCACCCCCAAGAUAAUCUAAGUACACCUAAAAACCAAAGCUUGGGGAUGCGCCGGAAGUCAUCCCCUCUUUCAUCUACUUCUAUCGGUAACUUUACUUGGAGCUAUAUUUUUAUUCGCCACAUGAUAUGUGUUUUGCUUGGAGCGUCUUGUAUUAUUUGAGUCUUUAUUUGUUAGUUUACCACAAUCAUCCUUGCUGUACACACCUUUUGAGAGAGCCAUACAUGAUUUGGAAUUUGUUAGAAUACUCUAUGUGCUUCGCUUAUAUCUUUUGAGUUAUAUAGUUUUGCUCUAGUACUUCACUUAUAUCUUUUAGAGCACGGUGGUGGAUUUGUUUUAUAGAAACAAUUGAUCUCUCAUGCUCCACUUAGAUUAUUUUGAGAUUCUUAAUAGCAUGUUAAUUUGCUUAAAAUCCUAAUAUGCUAGGUAUUCAAAGUUAGUAAAAUUUUCUUAAGAGUGUUUUGAAUACUAAGAGAAGUUUGAUGCUUGAUGAUUGUUUUGAGAUAUGGAGGUAAUAAUAUCAAAGUCGUUCUCGUUGACUAGUUGUGAAAUUGAGAAAUACUUGUGUUGAAGUUUGCAUGUCCCGUAGCACGCACGUAUGGUAAACGUUGUGUAACAAAUUUGAAACAUGAGGUGUUAUUUGAUUGUCUUCCUUGUGAGUGGCGGUCGGGGACGAGCGAUGGUCUUUUCCUACCAAUCGAUCCCCCUAGGAGCAUGCGAAUAGUACCAAGGUUUUUGAUGACUUGUAGAUUUUUGCAGUAAGUAUGUGAGUUCUUUAUGACUAAUGUUGAGUCCAUGAAUUAUACGCACUCUCACCCUUCCAUCCUUGCUAGCCUCUUCGGUACCGUGCAUUGCCCUUUCCCACAUUGAGAGUUGGAGCAAACUUCGCCAGUGCAUCCAAACCCCGUGCUAUGAUACGCUCAUUCACACAUAAACCUCCUUAUAUCUUCCUCAAAACAGCCACCAUACCUACCUAUUAUGGCAUUUCCAUAGCCAUUCCGACAUAUAUUGCCAUGCAACUUUCCACCAUUCCGUUCAUCAUGACACAUUCAUCAUUGUCAUAUUGCGUAGCAUAAUCAUGUAGUUGACAUAGUAUUUGUGGCAAGGCCACCGUUCAUAAUUCAUUCAUACAUGUCACUCUUGGUCCAUUGCAUGUCCCGGUACACCGCCGGAGGCAUUCAUAUAGAGCCAUACUUUGUUCUAGUAUCGAGUAGUAAUUAUUGAGUCGUAAAUAAAUAGAAGUGUGAUGAUCAUCAUUAAUAGAGCAUGGUCCCAAAAAGAAAAAAAAGGAAGGGCCAAAAAAAGGCCAAAUAAAAAAAUAUAAAAAAGGGGGCAAUGCUACUAUCCUUUUUUUCCAAACUUGUGCUUCCAAGUAGCACCGUAAUCUUCAAGAUAGAGAGUCUCUUGAUUUGUCACUUUCAUAUACUAGUGGGAAUUUUUCAUUAUAGAACUUGGCUUGUAUAUUCCAACAAUGGGCGUCCCCAAGUUCCCUAGGUCUUCGUGAGCAAGCAAGUUGGAUGCACACCCACUUAGUUUCUUUUGUUGAGCUUUCAUACAUUUAUAGCUCUAGUGCAUCCGUUGCAUGGCAAUUCCUACUCCUUGCAUUAACAUCAAUCAAUGGGCAUCUCCAUAGCCCAUUGAUUAGCCUCGUUGAUGUGAGACUUUCUCCUUUUUGUCUUCUCCACAUAACCCCACUCAUUAGAUUCUAUUCCACCCAUAGUGUUAUGUCCAUGGCUUGCAAUCAUAUAUUGCGUGAAAGUUUAUAGGUUUGAGAUCACUAAAGUAUGAAACAAUUGCUUGGCUUGUCAUCGGGGUUGUGCAUGAUGAGAGCAUACUUGUGUGACGAAAAUGAAGCAUGACUAAACUAUAUGAUUUUGUAGGGGUGAACUUUCUUUGGCCAUGUUAUUUUGAGAAGACACAAUUGCUCAGUUAGUAUGCUUAAAGUAUUAUUAUUUUAUGUCAAUAUGAACUUUUGUCUUGAAUGUUUCAGAUCCGAAUAUUCAUACCACAAUUAAGAAGAAUUACAUUAAAAUCAUGCCAAGUAGCACUCCACAUCAAAAAUUCUGUUUUUAUCAUUUACCUACUCGAGGACGAGCCGGAAUUAAGCUUGGGGAUGCUUGAUACAUCUCCAACGUAUCUAUAAUUUUUGAUUGCUCCAUGCUAUAUUAUCUACUGUUUUGGACAAUAUUGGGCUUUAUUAUCCACUUGUAUAUUAUUUUUGGGACUAACCUAUUAACCGGAGGCCCAGCCCAGAAUUGUUGUUUUUUGCCUGUUUUAGGGUUUCGAAGAAAAGGAAUAUCAAACGGAGUCCAAACGGAAUGAAACCUUCGGGAACGUGAUUUUCUCAACGAACAAGAUCUAGGAGACUUGGACCCUCCAUCAAGACAUAAAAGAGGAGGCCACGAGGUAGGGGGCGUNNNNNNNNNNNNNNNNNNNNNNNNNNNNNNNNNNNNNNNNNNNNNNNNNNNNNNNNNNNNNNNNNNNNNNNNNNNNNNNNNNNNNNNNNNNNNNNNNNNNNNNNNNNNNNNNNNNNNNNNNNNNNNNNNNNNNNNNNNNNNNNNNNNNNNNNNNNNNNNNNNNNNNNNNNNNNNNNNNNNNNNNNNNNNNNNNNNNNNNNNNNNNNNNNNNNNNNNNNNNNNNNNNNNNNNNNNNNNNNNNNNNNNNNNNNNNNNNNNNNNNNNNNNNNNNNNNNNNNNNNNNNNNNNNNNNNNNNNNNNNNNNNNNNNNNNNNNNNNNNNNNNNNNUGGGCCCCCCUGUUGCUCCACCGACGUACUCCUUCCUCCUAUAUAUACCUACUAUUGGGGAACGUAGCAGAAUUUUAAAAUUUUCUACGCAUACCAAGAUCAAUCUAUGGAGUCAUAUAGCAACGAGGGAGAGAGGAGUGCAUCUACAUACCCUUGUAGAUCGCGCGCGGAAGCGUUCAAGAGAACGGGGUUGAUGGAGUCGUACUCGUCGUGAUCCAAAUCACCGAUGACCAAGUGCCGAAUGGACAGCACCUCCGCGUACAACACACGUACGGUUGGGAAGACGUCUCCUCCUUCUUGAUCCAGCAAGGGGGAAGGAGAGGUUGAUGAAGAUCCAGCAGCACGACGGCGUGGUGGUGGAUGCAGCAGGAUCCCGGCAGGGCUUCGCCAAGCGCAAGCGGGGAGGAGAGGUGUUACGGAAGGAGAGGGAGGCGCCAAGAGCAAGGGUGCGGCUGCCCUCCCUCCCCCCCCUCUUUAUAUAGGGGCCUUGGGGGGGCGCCGGCCCUAGGAGAUGGAUCUCCAAGGGGGGCGAAGGCCAAGGGGUGGCUUCCCCCCCAAGCCAAGUGGGGGGCGCCCCCACCCCUAGGGUUUCCCAACCCUAGGCGCAUGGGAGGCCCAAGGGGGGCGCACCAGCCCACUAGGGGCUGGUUCUGCUCCCAAUUCAGCCCAUGGGGCCCUCCGGGAUGGGUGGCCCCACCCGGUGGACCCCCGGGACCCUUCCGGUGGUCCUGGUACAAUACCGGUGACCCCCGAAACCUUCCCGAUGGCCGAAAUUGUACUUCCUAUAUAUAAAUCUUUACCUCCGAACCAUUCCGGAACUCCUCGUGACGUACGGGAUCUCAUCCGGUACUCCGAACAUAUCCUUGGUUACUACAUACUAAUAUCUCUACAACCCUAGCGUCACCGAACCUUAAGUGUGUAGACCCUACGGGUUCGGGAGACAUGCAGACAUGACAGAGACGCCUCUCCGGUCAAUAACCAACAGCGGGAUCUGGAUACCCAUGUUGGCUCCCACGUGCUCCACGAUGAUCUCAUCGGAUGAACCACGAUGUCGAGGAUUCAAUCAAUCUGUGUAGAAUUCCCUUUGUCAAUCGGUACGUUACUUGCCCGAGACUCGAUCGUCGGUAUCCCAAUACCUCGUUCAAUCUCGUUACCAGCAAGUCACUUUACUCGUGCCGUAAUGCAUGAUCCCAUGAUCAACCACUUGGUCACAAUGAGCUCAUUAUGAUCAUGCAUUACCGAGUGGGCCCAGAGAUACCUCUCCGUCAUACGGAGUGACAAAUCCCAGUCUCGAUUCGUGCCAACCCAACAGACACUUUCGGAGAUACCUGUAAUGUACCUUUAUAGUCACCCAGUUACGUUGUGACGUUUGGCACACCCAAGGCACUCCUACGGUAUCCGGGAGUUGCCCAAUCUCAUGGUCUAAGGAAAUGAUACUUGACAUUCGGAAAAGCUACAGCAAACGAACUACACGAUCUUUGAGCUAUGCUUAGGAUUGGGUCUUGUCCAUCACAUCAUUCUCCUAAUGAUGUGAACCCGUUAUCAAUGACAUCCAAUGUCCAUAGUCAGGAAACCAUGACUAUCUUUUGAUCAACGAGCUAGUCAACUAGAGGCUCACUAGGGACGUGUUGUCGUCUAUGUAUUCACACAUGUAUUACGAUUUCCGGAUAACACAAUUAUAGCAUGAAAAAUAGACAAUUAUCAUGAACAAAGAAAUAUAAUAAUAACCAUUUUAUUAUUGCCUCUAGGGCAUAUUUCCAACAGUCUCCCACUUGCACUAGCGUCAGUAGUCUAGUUACAUUUUGAUGAAUCCAACACCCAUGAAGUUCUGGAGUUGAUCAUGUUUUGCUCUAGGGAGAGGUUUAGUCAAUGGAUCUGCCACAUUCAGGUCCGUAUGUACUUUACAAAUCUCUAUGUAUCCAUUUUGAACACUUUCAUGAAUGGAGUUGAAGUGACGCUUGAUAUGCCUGGUCUUCCUGUGAAAUCUGGGCUCCUUGGCAAGUGCAAUAGCUCCAGUGUUGUCACAGAAUAGAGUCAUCGGGCCCGGUGCAUUGGGUGUGACUCCUAGGUCGGUAAUGAACUCCUUCACCCAGAUUGCUUCUUGUGCUGCCUCCGAGGCUGCCAUGUACUCUGCUUCACAUGUAGAUCCCGCCACAACGCUUUGCUUGCAACUCCACCAGCUUACUGCCCCACCAUUCAAAAUAUACACGUAUCCGGUUUCCGACUUAGAGUCAUCCAGAUCUGUGUCGAAGCUAGCAUCAACGUAACCCUUUACGACGAGCUCUUCGUCACCUCCAUAAACGAGAAACAUAUCCUUAGUCCUUUUUAGGUACUUGAGGAUAUUCUUGACUGCUGUCUAGUGUUCCAUGCCGGGAUUACUUUGGUACCUUCCUACCAAACUUACGGCAAGGUUUUCAUCAGGUCUGGUACACAGCAUAGCAUACAUGAUAGACCCUAUGGCCGAGGCAUAGGGGAUGACACUCAUCUUUUCUCUAUCUUCUGUCGUGGUCGUGCAUUGAGCCUCGCUCAAUCUCGUACCUUGCAAUACAGGCAAGAACCCUUCUUUUACUGAUCCAUUUUGAACUUCUUCAAUAUCUUAUCAAGGUAUGUACUCUGUGAAAGACCAAUGAGGCGUCUCGAUCUAUCUCUAUAGAUCUUGAUGCCUAAUAUAUAAGCAGCUUCUCCAAGAUCCUUCAUUGAAAAACACGUGUUCAAGUAGGCCUUUAUGCUUUCCAAGAAUUCUAUAUCAUUUCCCAUCAACAAUAUGUCAUCCACAUCCAAUAUGAGAAAUGCUACAAAGCUCCCACUCACUUUCUUGUAAAUGCAGACUUCUCCAUAAGUAUGCGUAAACCCAAACGCUUUGAUCAUCUCAUCAAAACGAAUGUUCCAUCUCCGAGAUGCUUGCACCAGCCCAUAAAUCGAAUGUUGGAGCUUGUACACCUUGUCAGCAUUCUUAGGAUCGACAAAACCUUCCGGCUGCAUCAUAUACAAUUCUUCCUUAAGGAAACCAUUAAGGAAUGUUGUUUUGACGUCCAUUUGCCAUAUUCAUAAUCAUAGAAUGCGGCAAUUGCUAACAUCGUAGUCAACCCCUUGAACUUGCCGAUAACCCUUAGCGACAAGCCGAGCUUUAUAGAUGGUCACAUUACCAUCCGCGUCUGUCUUCUUCUUAAAGAUCCAUUUAUUUUCUAUGGCUCGCCGAUCAUCGGGCAAGUCAGUCAAAGUCCAUACUUUGUUUUCAUACAUGGAUCUUAUCUCGGAUUUCAUGGCUUCCAGCCAUUUGUUGGAAUUCAGGCCCGCCAUCGCUUCUUCAUAGUUCGAAGUUCACCGUUGUCUAACAACAUGAUUUCCAAGACAGGGUUGCCGUACCACUCUGGUGCGGGACGUGUCCCCGUGGACCUACGAAGUUCAGUAGCAACUUGAUCUGAAGUUUCAUGAUCAUCAUCAUCAAUUUCCUCUCUAGUCGUUGCAGGCACCUUAGGAACAUUUUCUUGAGCUGCGCCACUUACCGGUUCAAGAGGUAAUAAUACUUCAUCAAGUUCUACUUUCCUCCCACUUAUUUCUUUCGAGAGAAACUCUUUCUCUAGAAAGGACCCAUUCUUGGCAACAAAGAUCUUGCCUUCGGAUCUGAGGUAGAAGGUAUACCCAAUAGUUUCUUUAGGGUAUCCUAUGAAGACGCAUUUUUCCAAUUUGGGUUCGAGCUUUUCAGGUUGAAGUUUCCUUACAUAAGCAUCGCAUCCCCAAACUUUUAGAAAUGACAUCUUAGGUGUCUUCCCAAACCAUAAUUCAUACGGUGUCAUCUCAACGGAUUUCGACGGAGCCCUAUUUAAAGUGAAUGCGGCAGUCUCUAAAGCAUAGCCCCAAAAUGACAGCGGUAAAUCGGUAAGAGACAUCAUAGAUCGCACCAUAUCUAAUAGAGUGCGAUUAUGACAUUCCGACACACCAUUACGCUGAGGUGUUCCAGGCGGCGUGAGUUGUGAAACUAUUCCACAUUUUCUUAAGUGUGUGCCAAAUUCGUGACUCAAGUAUUCUCCCCCACGAUCUGAUCGCAAGAACUUGAUUUGCCUGUCACGUUGAUUCUCAACCUCACUUUGAAAUUCCUUGAACUUUUCAAAGGUCUCAGACUUGUGUUUCAUUAAGUAGACAUACCCAUAUCUACUCAAGUCAUCAGUGAGGGUGAGAACAUAACGAUAGCCACCGCGCCUCAACACUCAUUGGACCGCACACAUCAGUAUGUAUGAUUUCCAAUAAGUUGGUUACUCGCUCCAUUGUUCCUGAGAACGGAGUCUUGGUCAUUUUACCCAUGAGGCAUGGUUCGCACGUGUCAAAUGAUUCGUAAUCAAGAGACUUUAAAAGUCUAUCUGCAUGGAGCUUCUUCAUGCGUUUGACACCUAUGUGACCAAGGCGGCAAUGCCACAAGUAUGUGGGACUAUCAUUAUCAACCUUACAUCUUUUGGUAUUCACACUAUGAAUAUGUGUAACAUUAUGCUCGAGAUUCAUUAAGAAUAAACCAUUCACCAAUGGAGCAUGACCAUAAAACAUAUCUCUCAUAUAAAUAGAACAACCAUUAUUCUCGGAUUUAAAUGAGUAGCCAUCUCAAAUUAACCGAGAUCCUGAUACAAUGUUCAUGCUCAAAGCUGGCAGUAAAUAACAAUUAUUGAGGUUUAAAACUAAUCCCAUAGGCAAAUGUAGAGGCAGCGUGCCGACGGCGAUCACAUCAACCUUGGAACCAUUCCCGACGCACAUCGUCACCUCGUCCUUCGCCAGUCUCCGUUUAAUCCGCAGCUCCUGCUUUGAGUUACAAAUGUGAGCAACUGCACCGGUAUCAAAUACCCAGGAGCUACUACGAGUACUGGUAAGGUACACAUCAAUUACAGGUAUAUCACAUAUACCUUUAGUGUUGCCGGCCUUCUUGUCCGCUAAGUAUUUGGGGCAGUUCCGCUUCCAGUGACUACUUCCCUUGCAAUAAAAACACUCAGUCUCGAGCUUGGAUCCAUUCUUUGGCUUCUUCCCGGAAACUUGCUUAGCGGGCGCGGCAACUCCCUUGCCGUCCUUCUUGAAUUCUUCUUACCCUUGCCUUUCUUGAACUUAGUGGUUUUAUUCACCAUCAACACUUGAUGUUCCUUUUUGAUUUCCACCUCUGCUGAUUUCAGCAUUGAAUAUACCUCAGGAAUGGUCUUUUCCAUCCCCUGCAUAUUGAAGUUGAUCACAAAGCUCUUGUAGCUCGGUGGAAGCGACUGAAGGAUUCUGUCAAUGACCGCGUCAUUCGGGAGGUUAACUCCCAGCUGAGUCAAGCGGUUAUGCAACCCAGACAUUUUGAUUAUGUGCUCACUGACAGAACUAUUUUCCUCCAUCUUAUAGCUGAAGAACUUGUCGGAGACUUCAUAUCUCUCGACCCGGGCAUGAGCUUGAAAAACCAUUUUCAGCUCUUCGAACAUCUCAUAUGCUCCAUGUCUCUCAAAAUGCUUUUGGAGCCCCGGUUCUAAGCUGUAAAGCAUGCCGCACUGAACGAGGGAGUAAUCAUCAGCACGUAACUGCCAAGCGUUGAUAAUGUCUUGGUUCUCUGGGACAGGUGCGUGACCUAACGGUGCUUCUAGGACAUAAUAUUUCUUGGCAGCUACGAGGAUGAUCCUCAGGUUCCGGACCCAGUCCGUAUAGUUGCUGCCAUCGUCUUUCAGCUUGGUUUUCUCUAGGAACGCGUUGAAAUUGAGGACAACGUGGGCCAUUUGAUCUACAAGACAUAUUGUAAAGAUUUUAGACUAAGUUCAUGAUAAUUAAGUUCAUCUAAUCAAAUUAUACAAUGAACUCCCACUCAGAUAGACAUCCCUCCAGUCAUCUAAGUGAAACAUGAUCCAAGUUAACUAGGCUGUGUCGGAUCAUCACGUGAAACGGACUAGUCAACAUCGGUGAACAUCUUCAUGUUGAUCGUAUCUUCUAUACGACUCAUGCUCGACCUUUCGGUCUUCUGUGUUCCGAGGCCAUGUCUGUACAUGCUAGGCUCGUCAACUAAACCUAAGUGUAUUGCGUGUGUAAAUCUGGCUUACACCCGUUGUAUUCGAACGUUAGAAUCUAUCACACUCGAUCAUCACGUGGUGCUUCGAAACAACGAACCUUCGCAACGGUGCACAGUUAGGGGGAACACUUUCUUGAAAUUAUUUCGAGGGAUCAUCUUAUUUAAGCUACCGUCGUUCUAAGCAAAUAAGAUGUAAAACAUGAUAAACAUCACAUGCAAUCAAAUAGUGACAUGAUAUGGCCAAUAUCAUUUGCUCCUUUUGAUCUCCAUCUUUGGGGCUCCAUGAUCAUCGUUGUCACCAGCAUGACACCAUGAUCUCCAUCAUCAUGUCUUCUUGAAGUUGUCUCGUCAUCUAUUACUUCUACUACUAUGGCUAAUGCUUUAGCAAUAAAGUAAAGUAAUUACAUGACGUUUAUGUUGACACGCAGGUCAUAAAAAAAUAAAGACAACUCCUAUGGCUCCUGCCGGUUGUCAUACUCAUCGACAUGCAAGUCGUGAUUCCUAUUACAAGAACAUGAUCAAUCUCAUACAUCACAUAUAUCAUUCAUCACAUCCUUUUGGCCAUAUCACAUCAGACGGCACAUGCUGCAAAAACAAGUUAGACGUCCUCUAAUUGUUGUUGCAAGUUUUUACAUGGCUGCUAUAGGUUUCUAGCAAGAACGUGUCUUACCUACGCCAAAACCACAACGUGAUAUGCCAAUUUCUAUUUACCCUUCAUAAGGACCCUUUUCAUCGAAUCCGAUCUAACUAAAGUGGGAGAGAUAGACACCCGCCAGCCACCUUAUGCAAGUAAUGCAUGUCAAUCGGUGGAACCAGUCUCACGUAAGCGUACGUGUAAGGUCGGUCCGGGCCGCUUCAUCCCACGAUGCCGCCGAAUCAAGAUAAGACUAGUAACGGCAAGCAAAGUGACAAUAUCCACGCCCACAACUGCUUUGUGUUCUACUCGUGCAUAGAAACUACGCAUAGACCUGGCUCAUGAUGCCACUAUUGGGGAAUGUAGCAGAAUUUUAAAAUUUUCUACGCAUCACCAAGAUCAAUCUAUGGAGUUAUCUAGCAAUGAGGAAGAGAGGAGUGCAUCUACAUACCCUUGUAGAUCGCGCGCGGAAGCGUUCAAGAGAACGGGGUUGAUGGAGUCGUACUCGUCGUGAUCCAAAUCACCGAUGACCAAGUGCCGAACGGACAGCACCUCCGCGUUCAACACACGUCCGGUUGGGAAGACGUCUCCUCCUUCUUGAUCCAGCAAGGGGGAAGGAGAGGUUGAUGAAGAUCCAGCAGCACGACGGCGUGGUGGUGGAUGCAACAGGAUCCCGGCAGGGCUUCGCCAAGCGCAAGCGGGGAGGAGAGGUGUUACGGAGGGAGAGAGAGGCGCCAAGAGCAAGGGUGCGGCUGCCUUCCCUCCCCCCUCUUUAUAUAGGGGCCAUGGCGGGCGCCGGCCCUAGGAGAUGGAUCUCCAAGGGGGGCGAAGGCCAAGGGGUGGCUCCCCCCCCCAAGCCAAGUGGGGGGCGCCCCCACCCCUAGGGUUUCCCAACCCUAGGCGCAGGGGAGGCCCAAGGGGGCGCACCAGCCCACUAGGGGCUGGUUCCCCUCCCAAUUCAGCCCAUGGGGCCCUCCGGGAUGGGUGGCCCCACCCGGUGGACCCCCGGGACCCUUCCGGUGGUCCCGAUACAAUACCGGUUACCCCCGAAACCUUCCCGAUGGCCGAAACUGUACUUCCUAUAUAUAAAUCUUUACCUCCAAACCAUUUCAGAACUCCUCGUGACGCCCGGGAUCUCAUCCGGGACUCCGAACAACUUUCGGCUUACUACAUACUAAUAUCUAUACAACCCUAGCGUCACCGAACCUUAAGUGUGUAGACCCUACGGGUUUCGGAGACAUGCAGACAUGACUGAGACGCCUCUCCAGUCAAUAACCAACAGCGGGAUCUGGAUACCCAUGUUGGCUCCCACAUGCUCCACGAUGAUCUCAUCGGAUGAACCACGAUGUCGAGCAUUCAAUCAAUCUGUAUACAAUUCCCUUUAUCAAUCAGUACGUUACUUGCCCGAGACUCGAUCGUCAGUAUCCCAAUACCUUGUUCAAUCUCGUUACCGGCAAGUCACUUUACUCAUACCAUAAUGCAUGAUCCCGUGAUCAACCACUUGGUCACAUUGAGCUCAUUAUGAUGAUGCAUUACCGAGUGGGCCCAGAGAUACCUCUUCAUCACGCGGAGUGACAAAUCCCAGUCUCGAUUCAUGCCAACCCAAUAGACACUUUCGGAGAUACCUGUAAUGUACCUUUAUAGUCACCCAGUUACGUUGUGACGUUUGGCACACCCAAGGCACUCCUACGGUAUCCGGGAGUUUCACAAUCUCAUGGUCUAAGGAAAUGAUACUUGACAUUCGGAAAAGCUACAGCAGAUGAACUACACGACCUUUGAGCUAUGCUUAGGAUUGGGUCUUGUCCAUCACAUCAUUCUCCUAAUGAUGUGAUCCCAUUAUCAAUGACAUCCAAUGUCCAUAGUCAGGAAACCAUGACUAUCUUUUGAUCAACAAGCUAGUCAACUAGAGGCUCACUAGGGACGUGUUGUGGUCUAUGUAUUCACACAUGUAUUACGAUUUCCGGAUAACACAAUUAUAGCAUGAACAAUAGACAAUUAUCAUGAACAAAGAAAUAUAAUAAUAACCAUUUUAUUAUUGCCUCUAGGGCAUAUUUCCAACACCUACGUACCCCCAAACGAUCAUAUACGGAGCCAAAACCCUAAUUCCACCGCCGCAACUUUCUGUAUCCACGAGAUCCCAUCUUGGGGCCUGUUCCGGAGCUCCGCCAGAGGGGGCAUCGAUCACGGAGGGCUUCUACAUCAACACCAUAGCCUCUCUGAUGAAGUGUGAGUAGUUCACCUCAGACCUACGGUUCCAUAGUUAUUAGCUAGAUGGCUUCUUCUCUCUUUUUGGAUCUCAAUACAAUGUUCUCCCCAUCUCUUGUGGAGAACUAUUCGAUGUAAUCUUCUUUUUGCGGUGUGUUUGUUGAGACCGAUGAAUUGUGGGUUUAUGAUCAAGUCUAUCUAUGAAUAAUAUUUGAAUCUUCUCUGAAUUGUUUUAUGUAUGAUAGGUUAUCUUUGCAAGUCUCUUCGAAUUAUCAGUUUGGUUUGGCCUACUAGAUUGAUCUUUCUUGCAAUGGGAGAAGUGCUUAGCUUUGGGUUCAAUCUUGCGGUGUCCUUUCCCAGUGACAGUAGGGGCAGCAAGGCACGUAUUAUAUUGUUGCCAUCGAGGACAACAAGAUGGAGUUUUCAUCAUAUUGCAUGAGUCUAUCCCUCUACAUCAUGUCAUCUUGCUUAAGGCGUUAAUCUGUUUUUAACUUAAUACUCUAGAUGCUUGCUGGAUAGCGAUCGAUUAGUGGAGUAAUAGUAGUAGAUGCAGGCAGGAGUCGGUCUACUUGUCUCGGACGUGAUGCCUAUAUACAUGAUCAUACCUAGAUAUUCUCAUAACUAUGCUCAAUUCUGUCAAUUGCUCAACAAUAAUUUGUUCACCCACCGUAGAAUAUUUAUGCUCUCGAGAGAAGCCACUAGUGAAACCUAUGGCCCCGGGUCUAUCUUUAUCAUAUUAAUCUCCUACUACUUAGUUAUUUCCUUUGCUUUUUACUUUGCCUUUAUUUUACUUUGCAUCUUUAUCACAAAAAUACGAAAAAAAUUAUCUUUAUCAUAUCUAUCAAAUCUCACUCUCGUAAGUGGCCGUGUAGGAAUUGACAACCCCUAUUCGCGUUGGUUGCGAGGAUUUAUUUGUUUUGUGCAGGUACGAGGGACUCGCGCGUAGCCUCCUACUGGAUUGAUACCUUGGUUCUCAAAACCUGAGGGAAAUACUUACGCUACUUUGCUGCAUCAUCCCUUCCUCUUCGGGGAAAACCAAGGCAGUGCUCAAGAGGUAGCAAGGGUUCCUUUUUGUCGACGAUCCGAUGUUUCAACCCUGUUUUCCAGGUGGCCAACGCGUCGCUAAACUUGGUGACGGCGUGUUUGUUUAUCUUCUUCAUUGCCAGGUCCUUAUCUGGAUCUUUAUUAUCCUUUUCACUGCGGUCUGGGAACAAGAUUAUCUGGUGCAGUUUCUUAAGGAGGGAGGGCCUCAUAUUAUCUAUCUUCUGUAGUUUCCCAUCGUUGAUCGUGGCAGUUGUCCGUACGAUGCAACCUAUUUGAUUGCCGUAGCACGAUCGCGCUUCCUCGGGCGCUAUUGUCUCAAAAAUACCGCCGUCCAUCUCCGUGACCGCCAGUCUACUACUCAUGAGCUGGUUUGGGCGCUGUGGCCUCUUUGCUUUCGGUUCUAGACCAGCUCCGCUAGUCUCGGCGCCUGUCUCAGUUUCAUCAUCGGUCCGCAUGUCGGUAUCAGUCCCCGAUGCGACACCACAGUUGCUGCAACAUGGGUAAGGGAGACCACGUCAGUGGUGGGGGGUCUGAAAAUCAGAACACACUUUCGCGCGUCGCGGGCCGCCUCUCAGACAGCUACUGGGGAGGCGGUGGAGUACCUGGGUGCGCGGCGAAUCCCCGGGAACUCGGUGACCAACUUCCUUCCCGUGUGGCGCAUGGAGACGACGGCGACCCCGGCGAAGAGCAGCUUAGCCGCGAGCUGCACAGCCUCGUCCACCUCCUAAGUUGGGACCUCCGCGCGAGCGUUGCGGGGCCGCCACUCGGAUGGCUUCUGGAAGGCGGUUGUACAUGGGCACAUGGUGAAUCCCGGCGAGAGCUGGCCAUUGGCGCGCGCAAGUAGACGACGAUGUCCUCGAAGAAGAGCAGCCCGGCCAGCUCGCCUCACUAUCCUUUGAUUAGAAAUGAAAGAUUGGGAAGAAGCAGACUUGAGCCUGCAGGGAAAGGAUAAGGUGACGAUGCAGUCUCCACUCGUUCGGGGCGACACUCGUACUGAAUGUAUGAGAAACGUGACGUGGCAGAGACCCCAAGAUACUCCCUCCAUUUAUUUUUAGUCUGCAUAUAAAGUUUGGUCAAAGUCAAGAUUUGUAAAUUUUAACUAACUUUAUAAUAAAAAAAUAUCAACAUUCACAAUAUGAAAUCAAUAUUACCAGAUGCGUCAUGAAAUGUAUUUCCAUACUAUAUAGUUUUGGUAUUGUAGAUGUUCAUAUUUUUUUAUAUAUAUGGGAAGUAGAGGCACUCUUCUAUAUAAUGAAGUUUAUAAUAUAUGUGCUUAUAUUGUACUAUAAUUGUUUGAAUAACUUAGCAUAUAUUCAGAUGUAUGAUAUCUGUAAUUUAAACGCUUGAAUUUUACAUAUGAAUAUUUAUUAAUAAAUAUGUACCCCUAUAAUAGCUAGGCCGUGCAGUUGCACGGGUAGAUGACUAGUGAUUACAAUCUUGCUUGUGUGCAAGUCAAGCUUAUCUAGUUUACACGUAACAACUUAUAGAACAUUACAAAAUUUAUGCUUGCUAAUAACUUCUAGAACACUACAACACUUGACAUGUAAAAGGAAUUUGAUGAGUCAUGGCCUACUAAAGCAAGUUACAUUACUAGUCUUAUCUAUCUUAACAGACCACACAAGAUUACAAACUAUGUACCGUGACAGCCAUGCUUAUCUAGUUUAUGCGUAACAAUUUGCAGAAAAUUACAAACUUAGUUUCAGAAAGAUAGGCAAUCUAGAUUAGUGUUUGAGCUGUAAAGUGAAUAAGAUGAGUCAUGCAUGUCAUCACACCUUUUUGGUGGUGGAAUGAUAGUGCAACAACAAGGAACUUUAAUGACCAGUCCAAGAAUACACUUGUAAGUAGUGCCACCAAACAGAACAUACCAAAUGAUGAUUUUGAGAAGCAUCCAAGCACUUUCCACACAAACAAAUGCCAAUUGUGAAAGAGAUCAUUCCAUGGCAGCUAUAAAUAGCCCCAUAGCAUGACGAUCAUCCUUCCUCAUCCAUCAUUCUCAUAAGUAGAGCACAUCAUUUAAGCCAAGCAAGUUGUGGUCAAUACAAAUCCACCAUGAAGACCUUUCUCAUCCUUGCCCUCCUUGCUAUCGUGGCGACCACCGCCACAACUGCAGUUAGAGUUCCAGUGCCACAAUUGCAGCCACAAAAUCCAUCUCAGCAACAGCCACAGGAGCAAGUUCCAGUGGUACAACAACAACAAUUUCUAGGGCAGCAACAACCAUUUCCACCACAACAACCAUAUCCACAGCCGCAACCAUUUCCAUCACAACAACCAUAUCUGCAGCUGCAACCAUUUCCGCAGCCGCAACUACCAUAUUCGCAGCCACAACCAUUUCAACCACAACAACCAUAUCCACAACCGCAACCACAGUAUUCGCAACCACAACAACCAAUUUCACAGCAGCAGCAGCAGCAGCAGCAGCAGCAACAACAACAACAACAACAACAACAACAACAACAACCACAACAAAUCCUUCAACAAAUUUUGCAACAACAACUGAUUCCAUGCAUGGAUGUUGUAUUGCAGCAACACAACAUAGCGCAAGGAAGAUCACAAGUUUUGCAACAAAGUACUUACCAGCUGUUGCAAGAAUUGUGUUGUCAGCACCUAUGGCAGAUCCCUGAGCAGUCGCAGUGCCAGGCCAUCCACAAUGUUGUUCAUGCUAUUAUUCUGCAUCAACAACAAAAACAACAACAACAACAACAACAACAACAACCAUCGAGUCAGGUCUCCUUCCAACAGCCUCAGCAACAAUAUCCAUUAGGCCAGGGCUCCUUCCGGCCAUCUCAGCAAAACCCACAGGCCCAGGGCUCUGUCCAGCCUCAACAACUGCCCCAGUUCGAGGAAAUAAGGAACCUAGCGCUACAGACACUACCUGCAAUUUGCAAUGUCUACAUCCCUCCAUAUUGCACCAUCGCGCCAUUUGGCAUCUUCGGUACUAACUGAGAAGAAAAUAACUCUAGUACUAGAUAUAUGAAACACCGUUUUCUCAGUCCAUGGUUUGGUCGUUGUAGCGGUGAAAAAAUAAUGUGGCAUGCACUAUCAUGUAAGAACCCAAACUAUACUAGUUCAAACUUGGGAAUAAAAGACAAACACAGGUCUUGUCUACAUAUUUAUGUCGCAUCUAUUUAUAUAUUAAAAGUAAUAUAAGGUGAACCAGGAGCAAGGUAAAUAUGCUAGAAAAUUGCACGUUAAUUAGAAAUUACUAGCCCUCAAUCCGGUAAAUCUUAACAAAUAGAAUUAUCUUGACCGUUAGAUUUAUGUAACAUAUAUAAUUCUCUGGGCCUCCAACGACUGUACGUGACACAUCUGAACGCACAUAUGUUAAAGAAAAUAUAUUUGGUAAAUGGUGGGCCUCUUUAAAAAGAGAACUCACGUACAUGCACCAACUAAGAAAAACACAUACAUGUAAACGGGAAAAGGGCUCCACCCCGUUGAAAAAAUAUACAUCUGGAGGCCACUUUGUUUCCUCAUAAAAAAAAACUUACGUUAAAAAGAUUGCAUGCAUCCCAGGGAAAAUAGUCAAGAAGAAGUCGGACUCUUCCUUACAAAAACAAGGAACGUGUUAAGUUGACUUCAAAGAAAAAAGGAACAUGUUAAGUUAAAAAAAACAAGAAACCUGUUAAGUUAGAAAAAAACAAGGAACGUGUUGUCCUAGGAAAGAUAUGUGUCAAAUCUUACAAAAAAAAGAAUACACACACGUACGUUCAUGCACUUGGAAAAUAGAAAAAAAAAGGAACAUCACGUAUGUAUACACUUCGGAAACUCAUUACAUGACCAUGUCUGAUAUACUCCUCUAAUGCUUAAUAUUAGUGCCUAAUAAUUUAUAUUUAAAAUUUAAUUUACUGAUCAAAUAUCCCCACUGUUUAAAUUUUAAUUUGGCACAUUGUUUGGCUAUAGUAUGAACCUAAAUUUCCUCUUAUUAUUAUAUAUCAUGAUAAUAAUCCAAAGGCGACUAAUCUGCGCCGGCGCACCGGCGCAAUCAAUUCGGCCCGACACAGCGCGGCCGUUUGAUUAAAUUGCAUUUAACCGUCAGAUCUAGAAUCAUUUUAUUUCCAAUUAAACGGAUUCAACCAAACAGCAGAGGGGAAAACAAAGCAGCACCGCCGCCAACACUAGUCAUGGACGACCGAUGUAGCAAAACCUUGAAGAACCGCCGCCGGUCGCCACCCUCGCCGCUGGUCGCCGCCCUCGCCGCCUGCGUUUCUCAUCGGCUUCAUGCAUGCAACAACAUGCACUCGUGAUUGCAGGCUUGCAGCUCCGGCUCCGGGGGACAUGGCCGCAUCUCCGGUAGCGCCGGCCGCCAGCCGCAGCACCUGUCGUUGUGGUCACGCUGUACCUCGCCGUGUGCCCUCCCAAGGCUCUUGCUGGUUCCAACAAAAAACGAUACCUAUUGUAGCAAAAAAGUUUAUCGCUUCCAGCAAAAAAGCUUACCGCUAUAGCCCGCCAUCAUCAUUGUAGCAAAAAUGUUAACUCGAUGUAGCUUCUGUGGUUGCCGACUGCGGCCAAAAAUGACGUGGUUGUAGCAAAACACAAAAGAAAAACGCCGGCCGUCCGCUGUGUAUGGUGGUAACAAACCCUAUAGCCGGUGGUAGCGAAAAACUUCACUGUUUGCAGCAAAAAAAUGUUGUCGCCCGUCGUCGAGGUUGCAUCAUCUUCAUGAAUUAUGUCGCAAAAAAACGUUGUCGCCGGUAGUAGCAAAUGAAGCCGCCGGUAGUAACAAAACAAGACACUGGUUCCAGCCAAAAAAAUCAGCGACAGAACCUUUUGUUGGUUCCAACAAAAAAACUUGUCGGUUGUAACAUCCCUCGCCGCCGGAUGUAGCAUCUCCCAGGGCUAGUUGCAACACUCCAUAAAAAAAGUUGUCUAUGAGCGCAUCCAUGGCAACUGCUGCACCGUCAGCAACGAGGGGAAGAGGAGGCAAUGAAAAUCGUUCGAGUCGUAGCUCCACUGGACACGGCUGCAGCAUGGGGAGUCCAAAAAUCUGUCACAAGCAAGAUGCGCCUCGCCAUCCUCCUGCGCAGGAGAGAGAAGAAAAAGGAAUAAGAGGAAGAAGAAACGAAACGGGAGAAAGAAAAAAAGAAACGAUUGGUUGUGGGCUCAGGCAAUUAGUCAAAUGAGGGGCACGCGGGGCCGUAGGAUACAGCGCAAUCGAACGAAGUGCGCGCGUCCGGCCGAAGACUCAGCUGGACUGCCGGUCCAGCUGGAAAUGUUUCCCUAAUACAAAGGCUUUUCUGAAUGACAAGUCGUCUGAGUUAUCGGCUAACUAGAAAAAAGAUAAAUAUGCUAGAUAAUUCCAUAAUAAUUAGAAAUAUCUAGCCUUUAAUUAUGUAAAUCAGAAAAUCACAACCGUUGGAUUUACUUUAAAGGUAAAUUUCUCUAAAUUCCCACCAUUGCCAGUAUGUAGAAACAUGUGCUGCUUCAAUUCUCCCUUAAUCACCAAUCAAUCAACAACUGAAAACAUACCUCAGUUAAAAAAACUGAACAAAAAAAAGAAAAAAAGAAGAAAGGACAAGAUACACGCAUGUACACGACAGCCUUGGCUUGAAACACAUCAGUAGAUCAAGUGUCCGCCUCCCUUACACAGAAUAAAUUCUAGGGAAGAAAAUAAUAGUGCAACCUAACCUUAUACGUACUAUUCUAUCCUCACGUCCCAUGAGGUUUACUAGCCUACUGCCGCCGCAUCAUGCCAUCCUCUCCUUUCAGCUCCCUCCUUGCGGCGCCACUACUCGCCUAGGGAUAUUGCUGCUCAGACCGUGGAGCUUAACCUGCUUCUUCUUCAGCAAAUAUGGAACUGCUUUAGGAUCCUUCUGACAUCAGCGCGUAUGGGCCUCAUUAUACUGCAGCUCCUGGACCUCCUACAAUUGGUUGGCUAUGGCCAGUUGAUCGAUGUGCUGAAGUCCAGGUCUGUUUGCUGGCACAUAUGCUUUGGAAAUAGGCCACUAUGUUUGUACUUCGAAAUUGUUUCUGUAUUCUUCAGUGGUACAUCCUUUUAAGCGCCAGUUUUUUAUGUUAAUUCAUGCUGACAACACUUAACCUAGCCUUUCAUGUUCACGUACUAAAUACAGGAGCAAGUAAAAACAACAGACCACCUAAUUGCUCUGCAAGUUCUACAUAGGAAAAUUUGUCAUGUUCUACGAUCGCACCAUCCCACCCUUCUCUCUUGGUAUGGGCGCCAAUUGAGGGAUUGAUAAAACUGAAACGAAGACGUCACAGGGCUGGAAGUACCGCUAGCCUGGUUCGCACUGCAACCUACCCAACGCCAUCAGAAACUAGCAACUGAGUCAGGUGUUGAUCGAUUCUCUCAAAUUGCUCUCAUGUAAGUACUACCCCUUGCAUGUGCGUACAUACCUUUGUUGCAUUCUCAAACAGAUAGAACAUGUAUGAUCGGUGCAUGGCUAUUUUUCAUCACAUGACAUCCAGAUAACAAGCAUGAAAGGACUACAUUGGAGAUCAAAAAAUAUUGGUUCCUGGCUAGAGUACCACUACCUAUGGACUUGUCUCCAUAGAAUUUGUUCCCAAGAUGUUAUUUUAAUUAACCUCUUUAGCUUUCUUCCGUUGCAAACGGUGAUGUGCAUCAUGGUAUAUACGUGACCAUCUUGCACAUGUAUACACAAGAGGCUCAGACGGAGGUGCUGGAUUCUGGACGAGGGAAUAUGAAGCAGGAGUGAGCGAAGAGUAAAUAAUGGUGGGAGUACCGAUUGGUGUUAUGAAGAAAAAUGCCAUCCAAAGAUUGAUUAGUGUCAUGGAAGAUUAAUUUCUGAAUGCGAAUAUAUAUGUUACAUUGGUUUGGAUCUUUUUGAGAUAAUUGCACCUAAAUUAGGUUCUUUCUUAUUUCAUAUGUAUACCUUAUUUCAGUAAAAGUUCACAACGAACUUAGUAGGACAAAUAUAAUUUUGUUUGUUCUUUCUGUUGUCCGCCACCAAAGCUCAGUUUGAACUCUCUAGAAAUGGACAAUGAUUUAUGCAUUCUAUAUCUUCUUGAUUGAUUAGCCAUGACAAGGAAAUAAAAGGAUUGACUGAUAUAGCAUAACUUUGGAACGAUCUGUUCGUAGAGGUUACUACAAAUUAGAGUAGUGUCUGUUGGAAUUUUGCUAGUAGGCCUUUGGCCCAAAGCCCAACUAAAAUUCUGAAAUUCUCUUCGCUCAUUCAUGCACACAUGUGAGUGGAGUGAGUGAGACUAAAGUUUAGAGAGAGUUGCACCUCUUUAUAAGGUGAGCUCUUCUACCACUUGUAUGAGCAUGAGAAGAGGAGACCUAUACACGCGCUCCUCCUCCUCGCUCACCACGUCUCGUCACGCCGCGCCGCGCCGCGGAUUGCGGGAUUGAGCCGAGCCGAGGACGUUGUCUAUAUUUUUGCUGUUUGGGAAAAAUUAAUAAGUCAUUAAUUAAUAAUUAAUGGAUGCGUUAAUUACUGAACCAUUUUCGAUUCUUUUGGAUCGUGACGACUCGGACGUGGGGUUUACUCCCACGAUCUACCCGGCCCACACUAUAUAGUCAGGCAGACGUCUACCCUAGCCGCCGCCACUUCGUAUGGUUUCUCACCACCGUUACAGAUCGUUGCGCCGCCAAGCAAGUUUUCUCCAUUCCUCCUGUCGGCAUGCACUGGGAGAAGGGACAGCAGGCCUCCGGAACCCCGCCUCUCGUGAUCCUGUACGGGAGAGGGGCGAUCAGAUUUUUGGGGAGCGCACUCGCACGACUGCUGGCAGCGACGACUUCGCAAACGACGACUUCUUCCCCGACCUCGGCAACCUCAUCCUCGACUUCUGCACCGUAUGUUAUUCUAUCCUUCUUGUUCGAGAUCGUGGUAGAAUUCAGAUUUCUAGCAUGUUCCCUAGAUGUGAUUUGUUCAUCUACUAUUCUAAUUCGCAUGAUUAGUUUAAUCUUUGCUAUUGCUGUCAUGAUCUAUUUCCUAUUUAUUCGGAUUAAAUCUCGUAGUAAUUUGCUCAUUUUUCCAACAGUGCCAUCUAAUAGAUGAUGUAAAUCUCCUCAAGUUUGACGUUGUUGAGCUAAUUUACAAAAAAAACCUCAUCAUUAUUGGAUGUCCUUAACAGCUCAAGAACAAGUUGGGGUCGAAAUAAUGGAUUUUACACUUUUACAUUAAAGGUUUAGCUAAAGCAAGCAGGUGUUUUUAAACCUGAAUUUUUUUCCUCCUGAAUUUCUUUGUAUUUUCUUAUUGACACUAUUUAUACAAUCAUCUGACAAAGAUUAGCUAAAGCUGUUUGUAGAUACGUUCAAACCUGAAAAGCUUCUUUGGUUAUCCUUUUAAUAGUUCUACGUUUAUUUUCUCAUAGGUCUUAAUUCUUAUGUAAUACCAAGAUGCAUUGUGGUAGUGUACAUGUGUUAAAUUCAGGUUGUUAUUCACAAUUUGCGACAAAAUUUAGCUCACGCUACAUUUAAAUAUGUUGAAAUGUGAAAGCUCUUUUUCUUCUCCUUUCUACACCUUGCAUCGGAUUGCAUCCCUUUAGUUAUCCAACAUUUUGUACAACAUGUAGAGAUUAGGAAGUUCAUCAUAGUUUGUCUAUUUCCGUGCUAAUAAAUGUAUGAAAUCUGCAUUUCCAAGCUACUAGGACAAGUAAAAAAUAAUAAUUUUACUAUAGGAUUCAAAAACAGCAGUUCUGAAGUGCACUUUAUUUAUUUGUGAAAGUGAUCACAUUUUGUUUCAUUUUUCUAUAGACAAAUCUACUAAUACAUACUCACGAUAAAACUAUAAAAGUUCUAGUCCGCACAUUGGGCGGGCCACCCGGCUAGUUAGUCUAAAGAUAACAAAAUGAGUCUGGAAUUUGAAUUAAAUUGAAGUAUUUUCUUGGACUAUCCACAUCCUUGGCUUGCCCCUGAUCAAUUAUUUCCAGAGAAGCAUUCAAUUCAUCAAUCAAUUACAUUGAUUUUAGUGGCUGGUACUUCUCCUCGACAUCAGUAUAUUCACCGUGGCCACUCCAAAUCGGCAAGAAUGAGGUACCAGUGCUCUGGAGCAGUGCAAGCUAAUUGCUUCUCAUGUGAAGGGGUGCGGGCGCGGGAGAGGUAUUUCUGGUGGGCCAAGGGAUAAGAAGCGACCGUGGCAGCGGUACAGACGCCCGCAAAGCCCCAUAAUUUGUUUUUGGUUUACAGGAAAAAUGCACAUCCAUACCGGCCUGGGGAAUAUAGCACUGUAUUGCAUGGAAAACCAUGUCCGGAUGGUUGUGAGCGGUUUGAGGGUUAGCUUUUGUAACGCCCGGUUAGUUAUGCUAUAGCAAUUCCCUGCUAAUGAUGUCACGUCACCACGAUUACUGUUGUUAACCUCACAAUGAUUCAAUCCCGUUCAAAUUCAAAUUUGAAAUAAAGGUAAACAUCAAAAGUUUUCAAACAUUAAAACUAAAAUCUUUGAGAGGUGACAAAUAAUGCAUAAGUAAUUAUGGUGAAGAAACCACACUUUAAUCAAAUGUUUAAAUACUCUAAAAUGAAAAAAAAACAGUGACUUAAACUAUUAUUUAAAUGCUUUUAAAAUAGUAAAAAUCUUCUAACUAAAUUAUUUGGGUACCAAACUUUUGGUGGCAGUGGUAUAUUUAGUAGAACUAAUUUAGAUGCUAAUUAUAUAAUUUACAAAAUUAGAGUAAAUUGAAAAAUAGGAUAAAACGGAAAAAGGAAAGACAAAACAAAUAAAAGCAAAAGGGGGCAACCCCUCGCUGGGCCUCGGCCUAGCUGGCCACUAGACUAGCUAGGCUGGCCCCGCCGCCUCCCUUAACCCCCCACUCCCCAUCGAACCCAAGCCCGAUCGCCCCAUUUCCCACACACCCCCUCGCUAGUCUCCCCACCUCUUGAUCCCAUCUGGAUCGGGGAGGGUAUUGCCCCCAUCAACCCCGUUGCCGUCGCCGGAUCGCCCGCCGACGUCGGCAGGCCUCCUCCCCGUCGCCCGUCUCCGGCUCACCUCCCCUCUCGCUCCUCUUCCCCGACCCGAUCUGGAUCGUGAACGAGCAAUGAGCUCGAAGCCCCCCUUCACCAGCGCCAUCACCGUGCGCCACCACCACCACCUGAAGACCUCACCGUCGCUGAACCUUGCGUCGCCUCCUUGUAUCCCUCCCCUACUCGCAUCCUCAAGCCAGGCCGAGCCCCUUCUCGGCAACGCUGUGAGACGCCCCCGUUUCCCUCCUCUUUCCACCGCGUUCACCGCGCCGCCCGCCGUGCCCCUCGCCGUGCAUGAGCCCACCACCGCACCAGCCCCCGCUCCGCGCACGACCCUACCCGCGCCCGCGCCAUGAUCCCCUUUUCCGCCCUACCUUCACGCGCUCGCCGCGAUCCCCAUGCUCCCCCGCGCCCUCUUUCGGGGGCGCCGACUGCCCCUGUCCCGGUGCUCGCCGCCGUGCCUCGCCACCGCUCUACUGCUACGUUACUACUGCGCUGCGGCCGCCGCCUCUUCCCGCUGCUCCGCUAGCGCCGAAGCUCCCGGUUGGCUCCACCACUGCUCACGUUAAACCGCCGGCCUAAAUGGCCUAACCCUCGGCUAAUGAACCCCCACUAACCCACUGACACCGGGACCCACAUUCCCUAAUUAACCAUUUAAUAAAUUAACAUUAGUGUAUGACAUGUGCGUCCCCUGUUAAUUAAUAAUUUUACUGCUAGUUUUAUUAGUUUCUGUUUUUCUGCAUAUUUCUUUUGUAUUUGAACAGGCUUUAUACAAUAAUAUUUAGCGUAUCAUACACAUACAAAUGUAAUCAUAGCAUAUACAUACAAAUAGUCUCAUCAAAUCAUGUCAUCAUCAUAAUCAUCAUCCAUCACAAAGUGGUCUCUGGUCAUCAUCUCGAAAAUAGCGAUACAAGUCUCGAUUACUUGCAACUACAUCGUCAUCCAUCUAAACAAUGAUAUACACGAGAAGAGCUCUCACUAUGAGUGAGAGCGGAACUAUGCAGUACAUGAGUUUGUAUCCCUCUCUCGCAUUAGCGUGAACCUAAACUAACGACUGGCUGUUGCUCGGAAACCGGAAACCGGUACACCUGGGCCUGACACUCCGGCCACUCAUCGUAUACUCCUGGCGUAGCACUUCUUCGCCAUCGAUGAUCUAUGCACCUGCAUCGUCACAUGAGUCGAUGAUAUGCAACAUAUAUAGUUGAGCAACAGAAAGAGACAGACUUGGCAAAAAUAGAAGCAACAUAUCACAAGUAUAAAUAACAAAGUUAAUGUUUUGCAGGAUUACAACUCAACCCAUUGCAGAUUAGAAAACAAGCCCGUAUGAAUGCACAGGCUGACGACUAGUCUAUCUAUACCUAUACCUAUACCUAUACCUAUACCUACCUAUACUAAUUACAGACUCCCAAGGAAUUCCCACGUUAAUUAGUAAUUAGGAGUCGUUAAUCUUGUGGGACCAAAUUAUUACGACAGUCCACGAUCUCUUUUCUCUCUGUGUAAAAAAAGGUCCACGAUCUCUUUUCUCGGUUGUAAAAGAUAAAGGCAACUCAGGUCCACGAUCUCUUUUCACGGUUGUGAAAGAUAAAGACAACUCCCGUCUUCUUCUAAUCUAUAGUUCUAUACCUCCACGACCCCUUUCUCUCCCCAUUUAAAAGGAACAAGCUGAACCAAUAUCUAAGCAUGCAAUUGGUUCCUGUGCGGUCUUGACCUUCCAUCCGUCCACUGCUCGAUCGGCCCUCCCUCAACUACAAGCUGACAAGCCACCAUCGCCAUCCAGCGGCACGCCACCGUUCAUGCAUGUGUUUUUGCCCUUCAAUCUGAAGGAGAUGCGUUGGCUACUCAAGUAACUCUGUUUGUUUUGUUCAAACCAAUUUCGUUAAUUCGGUUCUUUGAUUAUCUAAUUGACAUGGCCUGUGAGUUUUGUGCUAGUGAUACAGGGCCUGUCUACUAGAUUCUCUCCUUGCAACUUCUAUUGUUGUCUCGAUUUGGUGUGGUCAAGAUCCUUGCCCCACCACAAGCAGCACCUUUGCACCAUCGGGGAAAUCUGUCAUAGCAAACAGAGGUAUGUAACAUGCUUUGGUGUUUUCCUCUUUCGUUUAGAUCACUAGAGUUGCUCAACCACACCAUUCAUUGAUUAGUAGUUGGCCUGAGAAGUUGCUCGGUCACCUGCAGCGUCUGAUCCCCUUCUUGACCCUCUCCUUCUGGUCAUUAUCCACCGGCAGGUCAAUGCAAAACGGAUCGUUCGUUGCCGCCACCUUGCGGAGACCGAUGUUUGGCUGCCCUCCUGCCAUCCUGGCACUCUGGUACCGGUCACUGUGCCGUUGUUCUAGAAGAACUAUGUCACACGAAGCGAGAUAUCUUCUUACUAAUCUGGAACAUAAGUGUUUCUUCUUACUAGGAUUCGCUCACCGGUGCAUUCAUCUCUUUUUGGAAAAUACGGCCUUCAUAUUUCACACGCCUAUACAUGGGUGCUGUCCCAACAAUAAUCCAUCUAAUCCAUGAUGCACAUUCAUGAAGACUGAUGUGACUGAAUUAAUAUAUCAAUCUGGUGCUUCCGGAUCAGCACUUGAAGAAGCAACCCCUUUAGUUCAUAAAUUUAUCAUACGAAAGUCAGGGGAAAAAUCAACUAAGUCAUGUGUGCUUUUCUAAUUAAUUACUAUACACUAAUUCCAUUUUUUUCAGUAGCAGGCUAGGAUACGUGGAUUGUGGCAGCACAGAAGUAAACCGAUGAGCUACAUUGGCCGUUCACCAGUCAUCGGAUCAGAAGCCAUGUCGACCAGAGGGACGGAACAGUUCUAUAUUAGGCGAUGGAUACAUGUGGAAGCAACUAAGCAUAUGUGGAUGCAUGUGAUCGCAUAGGUAAGGCCAUAGCUGUUCAAGCCCUACAGGAUCUUUAUUGCUGGUUUUAAUUAUGAGUUUACAACACCAUCUAUACAUACUACUUAUCCAUUUAUUUCCUUACCUUCUUUGUUUCUUUCUCUCCUUGAUCCCCUGUCAAAAGGGCAUCAACAUCCAUAUGCGCAACGGCACACGCAACAAACUAUGACUUCGGUUGCACGUCCAAUGGCAACCACAGUACAUGAUGAUAUCAUGUUUGCUGCAAGACGAAGUACAAGUUCAUAAUUUGGUCUUUUGCAUGGUCCCUUAGUAAAUUAUAUUUGUCCACAUACACCACAUACAUAAAAACAGGUAGAAGCGGUUGCAUGAUGAAAAUGUCCUCUCAAUAUGCAUGCCUAUGAAUACUAUCACCAGAAAGCCAAGGACUAACAAUUAUUCAGGGGUCAAGAUUGAAGACAGACGUCCAAGAUUGGCAGUCGGCCGGCCUAAGAGGGGCAAAACCGUUGUACAUUAUAUUGUAUGGACCUAGCAAGAUCCUAAAGAUAAGUGAUAAUGGAGAUCAUGGGGGCCACCCUUAUAACCAUAUGUCCAAAUGUUCUUAUUUGUUUAUUUUUCUUUUCUCUUUUCGGAAGAAUCCAUCCUGCCUCUAUGGUCAUCCUGACCACUUCGUAUUGUUAUCUAAUCUCCUCCCUUAAUUAAUAUAAAGAAUUACCGCAGCUGAAUUCACUAAAAAAAGUAUUCAGUUUAUUUUAAUUUAUUCAACUAUUAUGGCAUAUCAAUUGGAUUGCAAGUUCUUGGCGGUUGCAUUUGAAUCAUAUUUGAUGUGCACAAAGGCUUCAGUGUCAAGGUGGUCGGACGAGUAUUUAUGUCCAUUAUAUAUGUGUUAGCUUGAGAUCAUCAGGCACCUGUUAUGCAUCUGUCCAGUUAAAAGGAUGUUCAGACUCAGGCUUGCCCUACCAUAUAUGGCUGUGACACUCUGAACCAAGCAAGUUGGUCAUAUGUGUCGAGCACUAUUAACUCUUUGGAAGAGGAUCCACCAAGUACAGGAAACAAAUCAAAUAUCUUCUUAACCUUAUCACCAGAAAAAUUAGCAAGAGAUGAAUAGUAACAUUUUAAAGAAGAAAGAUAUGUUUGAAAAGGGAUAUAUAUUAUGGCGACGAUUAGAAGAGCCCUUGACGAAUGGUGCCUAGCCUGCGAAAGUUUCUUAUGAAUAUAGUCAACACUCUAUAUCAACUGUUGUAAGAUUUUAGAAAUAUUUUUGGGGACAUAUGAUACAUGUCUAUUAUACAUAUGAUUCAACAGAAGUUUGAUUGAAUACAUAUUUAAAACGUGACUGACUUCUAUAUGGACGGAGUAUUUCACAAAGGACUCACUGCCAACUGUGUGAAUAUUCCAAGAUAGUUAGUGCACAUAAAUGUUCAAAUCCAUAGCCUGCAUAAAUAUACAAAAGCAAUGUGUUAGACCACUACACAUGCUUCUGAAAGGAGGCAAAAAAAUGUAUGCUUGAUUGAUGACCGUUCAUGCAUGAAAUUAAUUUCUGAUUUCUAAUUAUUUUGGUCAUAUAAUGGAAAUAGAGACAUUAUAAAGAUCCAACAGCAUGCUAUCACACACGUGUGAACACAGACACACACAAAUAACAUUUGCCGAGCACUCACAAAUAAAAGGUGUGGCUACUCUUGGGUGUUCUACAGCUGGCUUAAAAAAACACGUAUGAAACAUGAUCCCCAAAAAUCUGAAAUUCGCAACAUAUGAAAAUCCACCCUCAAACAUAUUUCUGGUGUCUCAAUUCUUUUAGUUUCAGAUGGUAUGUCCAGCCAAAGUAGUUGUACACAUACAUUACUAUGUUCUAUUAUUUGAGAUUCUAAGACAACAUUUAGUAACUAGCCCGUGCGAUGCACGGGUUCACGACUAGUAUAUAUAAAGCUUAAUGGUGCCUAAGAAAGCUCGCACAAUUUUACAGUGGCUGUGGAGAUGUGUUGCCAAACUGAGACAUAAGAUUUUCGUUUGGCAUCCAGAGUUGCAGACCGCUUGUGUUAUCCUUAAUCCAUGGCCACUCUAAUUUUUCCGGCUGGGCCUUCCCUGUGGUACGGCAGCAAGGCUUGCGUGUGUAUAUGUUUCCUUUAACUACCACUAGCACAUAUGCCCGUGCGUGCGUUGCAAGGGGAGAGAUAAUGGCGUAUCCACCAAUAUAUCUAGCAGCAUGACCCAACAACAUCCGAAUGAUGUCACCCGACGACGGCAGGAAGGCACACACAGAGGUCUAGUAAAAACUCAACAAUUGUACGGGCAUGGUUAAUUCGCGUGAAUUCAAGGGUGUGAGAUUAGUUAGUGUUGGUCCCACAAUUGAAUUCGGGGGCUGAUUAGUUAGUGUGGGCCCACCCUUGAAUUCACCGGGGGAGACAAAAUAAUUAGGGUGAGGAGAGAUUUACGGGGCUUGGUCCCCAGAUGCGUUGCGGCAGUCAUUAUUCGAGCAUUGCAAUGCUCGCACGUGAGGAGCUCUUUUUCCAAUUGUAUAUUGAGAAGCAUUGCUACAGAUACAAUGUUUUUGAUACGUUUUUGUACGAUGAUCCUGAUCUUAAAGGGCCUUCUAAUUUUUAAAUCUUAAAGGCAUUAUUUGUAAGUUGUCGUGAAAAAAAUCUCGCUAAAAGGGUUAUGUUAGACCAUCUUCAGUACAUUAGAAAUAACGAAUUAUAAUUCCUUGGCAUUUGAACAAACAAUCCCUACUUAUUUACACAUACAAUACUUUUGGUAUGAUUUUGAAAUCUUGAAGGCAUUAUUUGUAAGUUGAAGCAAUUUUGAAAUCUCACUAAAAGGUCUGUUAGACCAUCUAUAGCUUUAGAAAUAACUAAUUAUAAUUUUGCAAAAAAAAGAAAUAACUAAUUAUAAUUCCUUAAGCAUCUGACCGAAACGACCCCGAUUUAUUGUCUGGGUAGUAAUUCCUUUGCAACAUUAUUCUCUCCUUUCUUGAAGGAACUCUUGCCUGGGUAGUAAUUCCUUUGCCCACGUAUUUGCAAGGUUAUUCUCUCCUUCAUUUUUACAGGAGCUCUCCUUCCUUAUACUAAUUGGUCAUUAUCCUCUCCUUCCUUUUUCUUUUUGCCAAACUCUCUUUCCAUAUUUAUGCCGCUAACCACGCCACUCUUUUUCCUUAUUUAUGCCCUUUGAUCACGCCACACAUCUCAUGAAAUCUAAGCCAUAUAUAUCACCCAUCUUUUUUCCUUAUUCCGGUGCUUUCCUCACAAACAGUAGUUCUCUAGGAUGCUUAACGAUUUUGAAACAGAAACAUAUAUAAAUCGGUAGAACGGGUUGUAAAGCAGCGAGGUGGUACUAAUUUAUAAAGAAACAAACCUUUUCUUUUUGUGUAAUGAUGCCUUGGUUCGGCUGGUUGCGUUGGGAAAAGGACCGGCGAAGUGGGCGAACCAAAAACGGAUAAAAUUACGGUGGUAAGAAGCGAUAGCCCUUUUAUUAGUAGGUAUGAGGAUGUCUAGGAUGUCUAGGAUGAGGAUUUACUGCACACAAGUGCGGGGGCACUCAGGUCCUGAUGCCGCCUUUUUAUUUUGGCUUCCGAUUUUCAAACUUCUAUAUCUUUUAAACAAAAAAUUCAAUUUAAGUUACGUUUUCAUAUUCGUGCUUCUCGCGGCCAGCGCUUUCAAAUAAGAUCCAUUUUGCAUACAUUUUGGUGGCUUUUGGAAACGGGCGAAUAGCUCCUAUGCGACGUUGUUGGUGUGUAUUGUCUCUCAUGCGACGUUGUUGGCUGUAAUAGCUCUCAUGCGACAUCUGCGUUGGAAAAAAUAGCUCCCAUGCGACACACCAUUUACGCGGCUAGUUGGCUGUUAGUUAGGCUGAGGUUUGGUUAGGACACUGGGGGUUAUGUGCUCUGACUGGUGGGGUCCACCUAUGGUCACGUAGACAAGAGUCAACCGUCCACGACUCGACCUGGGACUGUGUGACCGUGCUCGACUCACCCGUGCUGGACUGAGUGAGCGGUGCCGCCGUAAGCAUCUUCUCCGACAGCGGUUUCUUCUCCGCGGUGGUGGAGCGCAUUUCUCGGCAGCGGCAGAGCUAUUGCGAGGUGAGCCCGAAACCCUAGUCCCACUCCCCAGAAUUUUGGGGGAUCUGUGGCCUCAUGCUGCCCUCUGUUUCUUGGCGAUUUAGAAUCGGGCUCCAUUGGAUCCGGGGGUUGUUUCUUCUCCGUGGCCCGGUGGUGGAGCGCCUAUCUCUGUAGCGGCUAUUGCGAGUGAGUAUUUUCCAAACACUACUCGCAUUCCACUAAAUUUUGGAUAAAUCUGUGGCCUCAUGCUGCCCCUAUUUCUUGGCGUUUUAGAAUCUCGAUUGGAUAGGAGAUGGAGCGAGGGCUGGAUGAGAUGGAGCGAGGAGACAGUGCUUCAAAUCGGUAAUGCCACACUCUUUUCUUGGCGAUUUAGAAUCGAACUCGAUUUGGUAGUGACUGCCGCCGCUGCCUGCCAUUGACAAAACAGGGGAGGUUCAAGUUCUGCCACCACAUUCACAAUUAUAGUGGAAUUUUUUCCCUGUAAAGCCAAGCUCAGUGAUGGCAGUGUCCAAGACAUUGAUAGAGAUACCACCGUGAGGUUCGAUGUCGAAUUUGCAGAUGUUGAUCCCCAGGAAUUGGAGAGCAUGAAGGAGAAGGCCGUGGGCAAUUUGGUGGAGAGAAUUGGGGAGAAUAUUGUUUGGGGUCCAGAACAAGAGGUAUGUCUGCAACGUUUCGAUAACUAUAAUGGUGAAUAUGUGAGAAUUGAAGAUGGAGAAUCCAUGGUUGCUGAAAUUGAUCAGCAAGAAGGGUGGGCAACUAAACAAGUAACAUUUUAUGCAGAGCUAAUUGAUCUACAAACUCAUUCCAGAGUUGGUUAUGUGCAAUCAAAGAGGGCUGCACAGAUGGAAGAUGAUGAGUGGGUUUCACAAAAGAAGAUGUUGGCAUUGUUGACUGAACCGACUGUAGUAGCUGAAGAUACAGGGAUUGAUGCAGAUGGAGAGGAGGGAACCCAUGGUGCUAGGAAGAUUGUUGUUGACUGGAAUGUAGUAGAGUUGAAUGAAAAAACAGAUUUGGUCAUUACACCAAUAUCUGACAUUGAUAUGGCCGAAAUGUUUGGCAUUCAAGUUGAUGACAAAGAUAAGGAGAAGGAUGACAGUUCUUUGCCUGCUGAAGGAACAUAGGCCCUAGAAAUGCAAAUGAGGAUGAAGAACAGCUGAUGAGAGAGGCUGCAGAUGAUGUGGAUGAUGCAGAUGAUAAUGAGUUGGUUUGUUUGUAUGACAAAGAGAACCCAGUUAUUGAGGUGGGAAAGUUGUGGCCAAGCAUGAAGGAGUUUAGGAUGUCUUUCAGGACCUAUGCAGUGAAAAAGAGUUUGAUGCCAAGACUAUGUGGACUGAUUGAAAGAAAUUUUAUGCUCGGUGCAAAGGUUAUGAUGGUGGUGGCAAUCCUUGCAAAUGGUACUUGUCUGCCAGACUACAACCUGAUUGAAGUACAGUAAGGGUAAAUCAAAUACCACACCAGCAUACAUGUAUGACCACUUCACAGAGAGUUUCAAAGAUGACAUCACAGCUUUGGGUUACAGAGAAGAUUACUCCUAUUUUAGCCAAGACUCCAAACACUACUGCAAAGAGGCUUAAAGUUGACUUGGAGAAGCUGUACCCCAUCCAGCUGCAAUAUACCACAGUGUGGAAAGCAAAACAAAGGGCCAUGAAAUCAUUGUAUGGUGACUGGGCAAAUACAUUUAGGAUGUUGUAUAGUUUUAAAGCAGAGGUGGAGAAGAGGUCACCUGGGAGUGUGGUGGAGAUAGAUACAGAGGUAACAGAGGAUGUCAUGGUUUUAUUCAGCAAGUUUUUUAUGUGUUUGAAGCCAUGCAUAGAUGGAUUCAAAGCAGGUUGUCGUCCAUAUUUGAGCAUAGACUCAUCUUUUUUGACUGGAAAGUGGAAUGGUCAGUUGGCUGCAUGCAAUGCUCUAGAUGGACGCAACUGGAUGUUCCCAAUUGCAAUAGGAAUGUUUCAAUCAGAGACAGAGGCAUCAUGGAUAUGGUUCAUGAUGCAACUGAAAAGAUGUAUAGGGCCAGUUUCUCCUUUAGCCAUCCACACAGAUGCAUGUAAAGGGUUCGAAAAUGCAGUAAAAAAUGUUGUCCCCCAUGCUGAGCAGAGGGAGUGCUUUGGACAUAUGUGGAUGAAUCUGAUAAAAAAAUUAGAGGAGAUGAAUUUGGGCGCAUGUGGCCAGCAGCAAGAUCCUACACCAGACAGACACAUUCCUAUCACCUUGGUAAGAUAUUGGCAUCAUGUAGUGAUAAUGAAUUUGCUUCAUGGUUGAACACCCGCCAUUCUCUGUUGUGGUAUAGAUCAGGUUUUAAUACUGCCAUAAAAUGUGAUAAUAUCAAUAACAACUUGGCAGAAAGUUUUAACAACAAAGUGAAGGAUUUGAAAGACUUGCCUGUGCAUGACAUGGUGGACCAAAUAAGGAUCAUGAUCAUGCGUUUGUGGGAGUUGAGAGGAAAAAUUGCUAAUAUUUUGGAAGGGGACAAGCUUCCAGCAGUGGUACAAUAGGUGGUCAACAGGAGUAGAAAUCUUUCACAUCUAUCUGUUGAGAAAUCUUCCUUGUGGGGUGCUGAAGUUAGAGAUACAAAGAGUGGCAAGAGGCAUGUGGUAAAUACUGAGUUGCAUGAGUGUACUUGCCGAGAGUGGCAACACACUGGAAAACCAUGUGAGCAUGCCAUACUUUUUUUGGCAUCUAAACCCAGGUUAAAUAUGCACCCAUAUUUGCAUGAGUAUUAUUCAGUACAAAAAUUCAAAGCUGCAUAUGCAAGUCCAAUUCCUGCACUGACUGACCAAUCUCAGUGGCCUGAGGUGGAAAUAGAAUUUACCUUGUGUCCCCUGUCACUAGAAGAAAGGCUGGGAGGCCUAAACAGAGCAGAUUCAAAGCUUGGUUUGAGAAAGGUGGUUGUAGUAAGAAGGGGAAAAAAGAAAAGAAAAAGAAUGAUAAGCCCAAAAGGGCUCAAAAAGGUAAGAAAAAUAGGUGCAAGUUGUGUGAGGUACUUGGGCACAGAAUUGGUUCAUCCAAGUGCAUCUAUACUCCUCAGAGGACAAAGUAUGUUCAUGUUACUGUUUUUACAAGUUUUUGAUUUUGUUACUUGUUCUAGUAUCUAACCAAGUCAAAUGCUUUAUUUUUUAGGAGGAAGCGUGCAGAAAAAGCCCCACCUCUUGUUGUUGAACAAUGCUGGCCAGUGAAAAAAGCAAGACUCAAUGGCUAUAUAGAAGGAAGAGCACUAAGCAGAUAAUGUUUGGUGACAAAGAUAUGGAGCUAACUGAAACUGUUACUGCUGAACAUGAGCUAAGUGUUUCUGUUUUGGACGAUGUGAUGCAUACUGAAUCUGUUUUGCAGACGCUAGGGCAAUCUGAAACUGUUGCAGAUGAAGCAACGGUUGUGCUGCCAUGCGAAUCUGCUUUGACAACUGUGUUGCCAUGUUUGGAGGUUGUGCUGCCAAGUGUUGAGUUGCAAACUGAAGUAGUUGAACAAUUUGUGCCAUCUACUCAAUCUGCAGAAGUGCAAACUGAAGAAGUGCAAACUGAAGAAGUGGGACAUGGUCAGGUGAAAAAGUUGAGGGGGCCUAGUGGAGUUUGCAAGGGGCCAAAAAGCAAGAGCAUCAACAUCAACAAACUAUGCGCCGUGGAACCAAACGAUGGAAAAAAGCAGAAGAAAUCGAGUGGUAGAAAGAAGCAAAAGAAAUAGAGUCGAAAUCAUUCAAAUUUGAUGUGAAAACUUAAGUUUGUUGUCAUUUGAUGUGAAAACUUAUGUUCUUUCAUGUGAAAACUUAUGUGCUAUGAUGUUGAUUUGACUUGAAAUAAAAUUCAAAUUUGAACCGACAUUCAAAUUUGAACCUAUCUCCAAAUUUUUUUGAGUUCAUUUGUUUGUUCUGUGAUGUUGCAUCGUUUUAUGUACUACUAUGCACUUUGUGAAGUCCAACUCAUAGUCACUGAAAAUGCUGUACAAACAGGCUCCAAAGUAAGGGAAAACGGCCCCAUUUCUAAGCAAGUUUUUUUCGAUCUUCUCAAAAUCACCCAAAAAAGAUUUUCUUAGCUUAUAUUAUACCUAUAUAGGAUCAAUACAAAGUCUCACCUUUUUUGAAUAAGUAUUCAUAUUAUUUAAUUUAUUUUUGAAAAAACACCCUUUAAUACAAAGUCAGCAAUAAAACAAGUUUAAAAAUUUUAAAUGCAAAAAUAACUUCAGAUCCUCCUUAGUCACUCUAAAAUGAAGCUAAGGUGAUGUUUUUUGAUUUUUUUGCAUUUUCAAAACCUCAAACCCUCUUCUCACUCCUUUGAACUCUAUGCAACCUCAGUCGAGAUAGUCCAAUUUGUGAAGGUUUUUUCAUGCAAAGAUCAUUAGAUCAAGUUUAUCAUUUUAUAUCAUAACUAUGUAACAUAAAAAGGCUAUAUGCGCAGGUUUUUCAUUUUUUAGAUUUUUUUGAAUUAGUUAUACACAUUUGAAUGUUCGGUCAAACCUUUCAAAACCCCGUUGACUGCCUCAAAACCCCAUGUAACCCUAGCGCCAAACGUCCACCGUCGAUCUAACCCUAACGCCAAACUGCGGCCGUCGGAUGGGACUUCUAGAAGGAUUCCGCGGGGGCGAUCCAUGGGCUCCAAUCUGAUUGGCCAUUGUUUUUUCUCUCUGACGAACAGAUAACGUUGAGCGGGGGAGCAUCUAAGUGACCGUUGGGCCGAGUGGAUUGGGCCUGGCAAAGCCUGGCGUGCGUGCACACGGCUGUUGAGAGGGGGGAUGGGCUGCAUGCGAGCGGGUCAAUGACAUGUGGGCCAUCCUUGUCCCAUGCAUGCCAUGCAACGUCGCAGCCUAGCUAUUCUUUGCUCGUGAAAGCCUAGCCAUUUGCAUGCGGGCUUGCAUGCACGCAUCGACGCAGAGUACGGCAAGGGUGCAGCGUAUAGGUACGUCGCAUCUAAGCUAUUUUAACAAAUGCAUGUUUGAACGAGAUGGACGCGUCGGUGGUGCAGCUCCUUUUUCAGUGUCACGCGCGGAUGAACGGGCCUGUUUCCCAUGCGGCAUCACCGCCGAUGCAAGUGCCCGUGCCUCUUUGGAUGCUCUGGCCGCCGUUUUUUGAAUUAAUGCCCGCAAUUACUUAUGCCAUGCGAACGGAGAAGAGAAAAAGAUCGAGAAGGGGCACCGUGUACACAUUGACCAUGGUUGCAAUGCGGCUAUAAAAGGGCACCAUUUCCUCAUCCUCUCACACUCAUCUCUCAAGCCUCCUCCCCUUCUUCUUUUCGAGCCAAAUCCACCACUCGAGCCACCAUGCAGUUCAACGGCCCUACCUACCGUCGCCCUUGCACCGUGCCGGAGAGGCAGUACCCAGCCGGAGUCGUCGUGGAGAACAGCCUGAGGGUGUGGGCCAUCUCUAGGUGGAGGGGCCCUAGAGAGUUGGCUCGCUUCUUCCUCCAAGCUGGCUACCGCCACCUCCCUCCGGGCACUCCGCCCAUGUUCCACCUCCACGAGCAGUACGAUGGCAAUGCCGGCCCCGACGGCUUCGUCAUCGGCCUCUAUGUCACCUUCACCAACCCCUACGACGCUCACCACCUCCCCGGGGAGGUGUUCUGGUGUGGAUGCGAGUUUAUCGCGUUCACGACCUACAACAUCUUCACCAACUUCCACCACAUCUUCCCUCACCACAACGGCAUGCACACCCUCCCCUAUCAGAUGCCGGAGGACGACGAGUGAGGGGCCCAAGGAGGAGGGUCCAAGGAGUGGCAAGGAGGAGGGGCCAAGGAGUUGUUCAAGCGGCGAGUCUUCUAUCUAUCUAGUUUGGGGCUCUAGUUUGUGUUUGUGUUGGUUCGGGCGUGUGUGCCCGUGUCUUUUAUAUAUCUAGUUUUAAUUAUUUUACUUUCAUGUUUUAUGAACUAUAUGUAGUGGGGGGAUGCCCCUCUAUAAGUUUUAUCUAUCUAUGCUACUAGGGUACCCGAUGCCCCUCUAUCUAUCUAUAUGUUUUUUCGGUCCUAAAGUUUCUCCAUUGCAUUUUAUUUAUGUGGCCAUGUGUACUAAAAAACAAUUGAUCUGGUAUCUAAAAUGUACGUUACCAAGAAAUUGACAAUAAAGAUUAUAUACUGUACUACAUAAUCAUACAGUUGGUAUACAAUGCAUUUGAAGACAAUGGGCAAGAAAAAUGCUAAUUAUCUGGUGCUGGUGACAUGCGUAAGUGUUGUCUGAUGUUUAAAUCAUGCUUGCUAUGUCAUUUUUUGCUGCCAAACAUGGCAUUAGCGAGAAAGGUCAUUUGGGCACUGAAUGUAUUAAAGUAUACACCAUAUAUAAAAAUGUCUAGCCAAAAGAUUUGGGUGUACAACUGUACACCAAUGACCAAGUAUGGAUCCGCCCCUGGUUGUAAGGGGAUGCCCCUCUAUGUUGUAAGGAGAUGCUACUAGGGGCACACUAGAUGUCUUCUUUUUUUGAGAGAGGCACAACCUUUUUCGGUUGAAACACACGAGUAAAAACUUUGAAAACACCAUAGCACAAGUAAAAAAAUAUAUUAAGAAAUGGUGCUUGGUUGAAAUAAACUAGAACCAAACAAUUGCAACUUUCUUGGUUCACAAAGACUGCUCAAAUAAUUAUCUCAAAUAGCUUAUGCAUAAAAAUAUCUCAAAUAAUUAUUAGAUGAGUUAUCUCAAAAAAGGUGACUGCAGGAAACUUAAAAUUUGUGAAAUGAUCUAAAGCCGAAAAGAUAUAUCGAUGAAUUAUCUCAAAUAGCUUAUGCAUAAAAAUAUCUCAAAUAAUUAUUAGAUGAGUUAUCUCAAAAAAGGUGACUGCAGGAAACUUAAAAUUUGUGAAAUGAUCUAAAGCCGAAAAGAUAUAUCGAUGUCAAUGACCGUGUGCACUUUUUUUGCACUCCUUUUAUCAAUGGGCCUGGAUAUGUUCUAUUCGGCCCUGCCUAACUUCUAUAUGGGCCUGGCCUUUUCGGGCAACUAUGGACGAACCUUUUUUUUCCUUUUCUCCCUCUACCACUGAAACUGAAACUGAUGACGAACUGAAGAACUAAAAAACGGGGCCGAAACAGAGUGGAGAGGACAUGCUGAAUUCGUACAACGCAACACUUUUAUUCAAAUAUACAUAUCAUUAGGAUUACAAAUGAUGCCCAAUCUAUUCACUUACGACUAAUUAUCAUCACAUAAACAAAUGCGAGAGCAAUUACACAAACAUAAAAAAGUCCGGCCAUCAGCCCCAUCAAAUUGCCCUGCUUCUGCAAUUUGAUGAGUUUCUUCAUCUGCUUGUUUAGCUUCUUCAGCUCUGCCGUCACUACUGCAUCCCCCACAGUAGCCCCAAUGGAAUGGGCACAUCCAGGGGCCCCAGAUCCAGAAGCGCCCGAUCCAAACUUGCCCAACUUCUCCACCUCCAGCGGUAAAUCGAGCUCCCCUGAUGCACCCUCCAGUUGAAUCCGCUCUAUGUACUCAUUUAGCCACUCAAAAUGGGUGCAUUGCUUCAAUUUCUGAAAUUGGAAAGAUGAACCCUAAAUCCCAAAUCCGAUGAAAAAUGGGGAAAAAUUGUGAUAUGAAAUUGGGAUACAAAAACCAAAAUUGGCAUAUUGAGAAGUAAAAUCUCACCUUUCCCUGCUCUGGUUUGCUCUCGCAUUUCACGAAUUCCCGCCCAAGGUUGCCAUUCUUGUCGGUCGUUGUGACUAGCCGCUUCAGGGGUGUGAUACGUGGGCCUGCAGGGCACCUUGUCAUGGGCACUGCGCCAUAGCGCGGCCAUGAGCGGCGGGAGGCUGAAGCGGAGCUCGACAUUGCUAGGUCGCGGCCCGGAACGGCGUUGCUGCGCGUCGUCGCCGGAGAAGAAGAACAACAACGGUCGGGGAGGGGGGGUGGGGGCGGGGGCGAGGAUGGGCCACGGCUCGGGCCACGGCUCGGUGUCCUCUUGUACCAAUGCUGACCUGGAUAAGUUAGUGGGUCCCACGCAGUGGGUCCCGCUCACCUGACCAAUGCUGAGUUGGAUAAGUUAGUGGGUCCCGCGCUGUGGGUCCCGCUCACCUGAUUCGAGUUUUAAACAUGUGUCUUUGGAUUAGACAGCAGUGUCGCAUGGGAGCUAUUUUUUCCUAUGCAGAUGUCGCAUGAGAGCUAUUACAACCAACAACGUCGCAUGAGAGACAAUACACACCAACGAUGUCGCAUAGGAGCUAUUCGCCCUUUGGAAACAUUGCUAAGUUUCAUUGUUUGAAACUUAGUACGAGCGACCGAUAAAAUUUAAUUAUUUUGUGUCUACGACCAACAGGAGAAAUUGCUUAAAAUUACAUCUUUGAAACUGGUCAUUUUUUGAUGCAAAAAUGUAAGUUUCAUCAUUGAAACUUAAGGGCAUGUCCAAUGCUGGAUGCUUAUCCAGGCGCUUAUCGUGUGGAAAAAAAAAAUGCCACGAAGUUAGCUCUCGCUUGUCCAACAGCCAAUGCUAACAACGGGCGCUAACCACGGCUGGAGCUAUAGAUUAGAAAGAAAGAUCUGGUUCACUUGUACGUGAAAAAAGGAGCAAGCGCUCGAUGCCUUGCUUUGCAUCGAUGCCAGACUGAGGUGCUGGGAAUCGACAAGAUAACCGCCAAUCUACCAGGAUUAAAUUCCUAGCGCCUUCUUCUAGCGCCUCCCACUGAAAAUGCCCUAAAGGUUUUUGAGGGAUUUUUUUACUGUGUCCUACUUCACGUAUCACGAGGCAAAUCAAGUAGGCGGCAUGGCCUGGCCGGUGAGUGCCAUUGCACUUACUUGCCCCAGCGAUUUUCCGCCUGCAUUGUAGAAUUCUUUCUCCGAGUCCUGUGAAUUAAAGAUGGUGCAGACAAAAGUAUAUCCUAUAUGCGUACAUGUGCAUGAUCAGAACAUGUUUUUACGUGCGUCUACUAUAAAUCAUGACCAUUUUUAACACAAAUCAUGACCAUUCAUGAUUAGUGAAUCAUACUGUCUUAACUUAUGUGAAAUCAUGUGGAGUAAUAUAAUAUAAUAUAAUAGAUAGAUAGAUCCAUGUUGUAUCAUUACACAUUUUGAUUUAUGCAUUUGUUUACAAAAAAAACAGUAAAAUUUCAUGGUGAAAAGUUUGUAUUGUUUCAUACUGAACACCAAUGUUUUCCCGUAAAAGAAAAUAAUGCCUACGCAUAUGCUUUUAUAUUAUUAUUAUUCUUUCAAACUUAUUCAUAUAGUAUUUUUGAUUGUGCAACCAUAAUUUUUAUUAUCUCUCUUGUUCCACUACAUGCUCUUACUCAAUGAUUUUUUUAUAAUGGGUGUUUUUAUUAACUCAAAAUAUAGCAUCAAGCGGAUACAAAACAUAACGAGCCACGUCCGGUCUCUGCAUAACUAAGAUGCACACAGCCAAAAGCAGAAGUCUGACAAAAAUAAGAUAAGAAAAUCAACAUAUCGACAACAGUGAGUCAUAUAGUUCCGACACUAUGCCUCUGUUGAAGGACGGGGUGGAGCGAUCUGGAGAUUAUGCUUCCCUCCAUUUUGAGUAAAUACCUCCCUGGCCACUUGUUCCAACCGCAUAGACGCCGCCACGAAUAAUGGUUGGUACUCUGUUCGGUGUAGCAUACACCAUGUAGGAAGUGAGUGCUCACUCCUAGUUACUAAAUUAUGUACACACUAGUAGAAAAAGGGCCAUUUGUCCCGGUUCGUAAGGCCCAUUUGUCUCAGUUAGGGAACCGGGACUAAAGGGUCGGUACUAAAGCCCUACACCUUUAGUCCCGGUUCUUACACCAACCGAGACAGAUGGGGCUCCACGUGGCCGCUGCGGCUUGCCAUGGCAGGGGGGCCUUUUGUCCCGGUUGGUAGCACCAACCGGGACCAAUAAGCUACCACGCGUCAGCAUUUGAGGGGCUUGGGUUUUUGUUUUUUUCUGAAGGGGGGGAGGGGGGUUGGGGGUUUUGGGGGGUUUUGUAUGGUUAAUUUUGGGGGGUUUCAUAUAUAGUGUUAGGUAGUAAUUAAUUAAUAGAGAGAAGUGUCCUCUCUUAUCUCCGUGCUUGGUCGACGCUACGUACUAUACGUAUAGAGAGGCCCUCGACACGCUUGCCAGUAAGCAAAUGAAGGAAACCAUUAAGUACAGAAGUUCGUCAUGAACAUAUGCAUACAAACAUAAGUGAUAUCGACCUCUCCUUCUCCGAGAGAUAGGUCGAAGAACAAGUUUCCGUAUAUCUAUCCGGCGCUACUAGCUACAUAUAUACAAUAUUAAGAUCUCUUACAAUAUAAUCCCCUAAUUAUAUAUGAACUCAGCUUCCAGAUGGUAUUCUCCGGCUUUAUUGAUGACGUGGUCAAGAAAGAAUCCCUCCAAUUCCUCUUGAAUUGCUUUGAUGCGAUCUUGUGGUAGGAGUUCAUCCUGCAUCUGCCACAUCUAAUUUGAAGAAGGGGGUCAAUCACUAGUGGAAUAACAGCCAUUUGUCUAGGUUCGUAAGGCUCAUUUGUCCCGGUUGGGGAACCGAGACUAAAGGGUCGUUACUAAAGCCCUACACCUUUAGUCCCGGUUGUCGGUGUCAAAACCGGCGGAUCUCGGGUAGUGGGUCCUGAAUUGUGCGUCUAGGCCGGAUGGUAACAGGAGGCAGGGAACACGAUGUUUUACCCAGGUUCGGGCCCUCUUGAUGGAGGUAAAACCCUACGUCCUGCUUGAUUAAUAUUGAUGAUAUGGGUAGUACAAGAGUAGAUCUACCACGAGAUCAAGGAGGCUAAACCCUAGAAGCUAGCCUAUGGCAUGAUUGUUGUGUAUGGAGUUGAUUGCCUACGGACUACAACCCUCCGGUUUAUAUAGACACCGGAUAGGGUUAGGGUUACAUAGAGUCGUUUACAAUGGUAGGAGAUCUUGAAUAUCCGCAUCACCAAUCUUGCCUUCCACGCCAAGGAAAGUCCCAUCCGGACACAGGACGAAGUCUUAAAUCUUGUAUCUUCAUAGUCCAGGAGUCCGGCUGGACGUAUAGUCCGGCUACCCGAACACCCCCUAAUCCAGGACUCCCUCACCGGUUCUUACACCAACUGGGAGAGAUGGGCCUCCACGUGGCCGCUGCGGCGAGCCCAGGUAGGAGGUCCUUUGGUCCCCGUUAGUGACACUAAUACGUCUCCAACGUAUCUAUAAUUUUUGAUUGCUCCAUGCUAUUAUGUUAUCCAUUUUGGAUGUUAAUGGGCUUUAUUUUACACCUUUAUAUCAUUUUUGGGACUAACCUACUAAUCGGAGGCCUAGCCCAAAUUGCUAUUUUUUGCCUAUUUUAGGUUUUUGAAGAAGAGGAAUAUCAAACGGAGUCCAAACGGAAUGAAACCUUCGGGAACGUGAUUUUCUCAACGAACAUGAUCCAGGAGACUUGGAGUGUGCGCCAAGAAAUAAGGGAGGAAGGCACGAGGCAGGGGGGCGCGCCUACCCCCCUUGAGCAUGCCCUCCACCCUCGUGGGCCCUCCACUGCUCCACCGACGUACUUCUUCCUCCUAUAUAUAUCCACGUACCCCCCAAACAACCAGGAGCACCACGAAAACCUAAUUCCACCACCGCAACCUUCUGUACCCGAGAGAUCCCAUCUUGGGGCCUUUUCCGGAGGGGGCAUCGAUCACGGAGGGCCUCUACAUCAACUGCAUGGCCUCUCCGAUGAUGUGUAAGUAGUUUACUUCAGACCUACGGGUCCAUAGUUAUUAGCUAGAUGGCUUCUUCUCUCUCUCUUUGGAUCUUAAUACAAAGUUCUGCUCGAUUUUCUUGGAGAUCUAUUCGAUGUAAUCUUCUUUUGUGGUGUGUUUGUCGAGAUCCGAUGAAUUGUAGGUUUAUGAUCCAGAUUAUCUAUGGACAAUAUUUGAUUCUCCUCUGAAUUCUUUUAUGUAUGAUUCGUUUAUCUUUGCAAGUCUCUUCGAAUUAUCAGUUUGGUUUGGCCUACUAAAUUGAUCUUUCUUGCAAUGGGAGAAGUGCUUAGCUUUGGGUUCAAUCUUGCGGUGUUCGAUCCCAGUGACUGAAAGGGAAGCGAUAUGUAUUGUAUUGUUGCCAUCGAGGAUAAAAAGAUGGGGUUUAUAUCAUAUUGCAUGAGUUUAUCCCUCUACAUCAUGUCAUCUUCCUUAAAGCAUUACUCUGUUCUCUUGAACUUAAUACUCAAGAUGCAUGCUGGAUAGCGGUCGAUGUGUGGAGUAAUAGUAGUAGAUGCAGAAUCGUUUCGGUCUACUUGUCUGGGACCUGAUGCCUAUAUACAUGAGCAUACCUAUAUAUUCUCAUAACUAUGCUCAAUUCUAUCAAUUGCUCGACAGCAAUUCGUUUACCCACCGUAAUACUUAUGCUCUUGAGAGAAGCCACUACUGAAACCUAUGGCCUCGGGGUCUAUCUUCUAUCAUAUUAAUCCUCCAAUACUUAGUUAUUUAUAUUUCUAUCUAUUUUACUUUCCAUCUUUUAUUUCUCUUUAUCAUAAAAAUACCAAAAAUCUUAUCUUAUCAUAUCUAUCAGAUCUCACUGUUGUAAGUGACCGUGAAGGGAUUGACAACCCCUUUAUCGCGUUGGUUGCGAUGUUCUUAUUUGUUUGUGUAGGUUCGUGGGACUUGAGCGUGAUCUCCUACUGGAUUGAUACCUUGGUUCUCAAAAACUAAGGGAAAUACUUACGCUAAUUUACUUCAUCACUCUUUCCUCUUCAAGGGAAAACCAACGCAAUGCUCAAGAGGUAGUGUCGGUGUCAAAACCGGCGGAUCUCGGGUAGUGGGUCCCGAACUGUGCGUCUAGGCCGGAUGGUAACAGGUGGCAGGGAACACGAUGUUUUACCCAGGUUCGGGCCCUCUUCAUGGAGGUAAAACCCUACGUCCUACUUGAUUAAUAUUGAUGAUAUGGGUAGUACAAGGGUAGAUCUACCACAAGAUCAAGGAGGCUAAACCCUAGAAGCUAGCCUAUGGUAUGAUUGUUGUAUAUGGAGUUGAUUGCCUACGGACUACAACCCUCCGGUUUAUAUAGACACCGGAUAGGGUUAGGGUUACAUAGAGUCGGUUACAAUGGUAGGAGAUCUUGAAUAUCCGCAUCGCCAAGCUUGCCUUCCACACCAAGGAAAGUCCCGUCCGGACACGGAACGAAGUCUUCAAUCUUGUAUCUUCAGAGCCCAGGAGUCCGGCUGAAGGUAUAGUCCGGCUAUCCGAACACCCCCUAAUCCAGGACUCCCUCAGUAGCCCCUGAACCAGGCUUCAAUGACGACGAGUCCAGCGCGCAAAUUGUCUUCGGCAUUGCAAGGCGGGUUCCUCCUCCAAGUCCUUCAUAGAAGAUUGUAAGCACCAAGAGUAGUGUCCGGCUCUGCAAAAUAAGCUUCCACAUAUCGCCAUAGAGAGAAUAAUAUUAACACAAAUCAAAUCUGCUGACGUAUUCCGCAGUGCGUCAUCACACUACAGCCAAGUCCUUCACUCGAAUCGUUUUCACUUUUCCACCUCAGCGUGUUUUGCGAGGCGGUUUCCUUGGCACGUCUUGUCAAAGCAGAGAUCGUGUCCCCCUUGUUUACGGGAUUCUCGUUAAUACGGACGUGGGUAACCCAACCGCGCCACUUAUCACGGCGCUUGGGAGGCAAGCGAGUUUUACUAGGCUGGUGGGGACGCAUAGUCGCAUCCGCCCAUAUAAGGGGAUAAGGAUCCACCUUUUUACCUACGCCUUCUUCCUCCUUUGCCUAGCCAUCUUCUGCGCACCCGAGCUCUAGCGCCCCAGCCCGCGCUUCCUACCUCAACCCUCUCCAACAAUGUUCGGAGCGGGAGGCAAGUGGAUGGUCUCCUCCGUCACGGAGGGCCAUGUCAAAAGGUUAAGGAAGGCCGGAUACUUGUCCAAAGACAUCGCGCACCGGCUUCCUGAGGAGGGGCAGCUUCUCCCCACCCCAAGGCCCCAUGAGAGGGUAGUAUUUCUUCCCCACUGCCUCCGCGGACUGGGUUUUCCUCUCCACCCAUUUGUCCGCGGGCUCAUGUUCUACUAUGGCCUAGAUUUCCACGAUCUGGCCCCGUACUUCAUCCUCAAUAUCUCGGCGUUUAUCAUCGUGUGCGAGGCUUUCCUCUGCAUUCGCCCCCAUUUCGGCCUCUGGCUCACGACCUUCAACGUCAAGCCAAAGGUGGUGCGCGGUAACCAGGCGGAGUGCGGAGGUGCCAUGGCGGGCAAAAUUGCCAACGUCCUAUGGCUCGAGGGCUCCUUUGUGGAGACCUUGAAGGGGUGGCAGUCAGGGUGGUUUUACAUCACCGAGCCACGCGAUCCGAAGUGGAUCGCAGCCCCUGAAUUCCGAUCCGGACCCCCUACGCGGCUCAUGUCCUGGAAGGAGACGAGCUUGUCGUGGGGCGACGAAGGAGAGUUGACCAGACUGCAAAAAUGCAUCCAGUCCCUGGUGAACAAGCAGCUCAAGCUUGUCAACGUAAUCUAGGUCAUGCUCGUCCGCCGGAUUCUUCCGUGUCAAGAACGGGACUUCAAUUUGUGGGAGUUCAACCCGGCGCAACACCGAACUCUGAGAAGGCUCUUCAACACGACGUACGAAGAUGUCUGGAGGGGGCUAACCAAAGGCGCCGAGACUCCCACAUCCGCCUCCGAAGACCGCGGAUUCAGCUCGCAGCGUCCUGCUGGCGAGGUAAGAUAUUUCCAUCUUUUACAGGAUGUUAAGCUUUUUCAUAGUUGACUCUAUGCGGGAUCAAAACUCCCUCACCUUUGACAGGAUUGGCGGGAGAAGUCCGGACAGAUUAAAUGCCCGGCUCCCUUGCCCGAAGACCUAGCCCCUGCUCUCCUAGAGAAGCUGCUGGUUUCGGCACCUUAUGUGGUGCCGGAGAAGAGGGCCAAGAAGAAGAAGGCCACGGGGACUCGAAAGAGUUCCUGGCAUAUGGUGGUGUCGGACUCGUCGUCCGACCAGUCCGAGACGCACUCCUCCCGUGAAGACGAGGAGGAAGAGUGUCGGACUCGUCGUCCGACGAGUCCGAGACGCACUCCUCCCGUGAAGAGGAGUGGCCGGACUACGUCCCCGACGCCGACGAGGACGAAGAGGAGUGGCCAGACAGGGCCAAGCAUCCGGCGAGAUCGUAAGUGUUCGGAUACCAGAGUAACUCGUGAUAUUCCUUUUGUUGCACAGCUUUCCCUAAUGUCGGAUAUAAUCAUGCAGUCCGCCCAAGGAUGGGCUCGACGAGUCGUCGAGCGGCUCCCUGGAUUCAUCGGACGUGAAUUCAGUUCCGCCUACUGCUUCCCCCUGUGCUGCAGAUGACGCCGAAGUGGCGUCGCGACAAGCUCCGGGACGAGAGGAGGUGGUCCAGGAGGAGUCGCGAGGUGACCUCCCGGACUCCAGGAGUGAAGGGGACAAGACCCCCCUGGGAUCCAAGUUCGGCUUUAAGCCGGACACUGAGAUGGAAUCAUCAACAGUUCCGGACUGCGGUAGGCGAACUCCUACCAGGAGGAGCAAGCCUACUGAGCCGGCAUCCUCCGUCCAGCCGGAGGCGCCGGACAAUCUGCUGGAGGAGCUUAAGGGCGCCUCCACCGACGAGGAGCACCGUGCCGUCAUGAGUACGGUGAUCCAGAAGGUUCGGUCCGCCAAAAGCGGACUGACUGAAGCUUGUGCUGGCCUUCUAACAGGCUUCGAGGUAAGUAAAAAUAUGUAAAAAUAUUACCGUAUAGACAGUAGCCCCUGAUGCUCUGUUUGGCGUUUGUAAAGAAAAGCCAAAUAGAGGAUCUAUUAAAUAUCGCAGGAGUCUAACUAAAAAGGAGUCAAUAUAUGUAUGCAGGCUUCGCUGCUGGCCACCGCCGCACUGACUGCGGAGGUGGGUGCCCUGAAGGAGGGCCUCCAGCGGACCGAGCAAGAGCUCGGCCUUGCCAAACGGCAGCUCGAGGAAAAAGAAUGUAAGAGAUACCUUACAGAAAAAGUGCCUAUAAAAAGGCUUGAUUGCAAAAAGAGUAGCAGGAUUGUACUGCUUAUUGUAGGGGCCACGACUGAGGUGGCGACCUUUAAGCAGGUGUUGUCUGAGGCCGAAAAGAAAACGGCCGCGGAGCGCACCGAGCGAGACAGACUUGGGGCUCAGGUCAGCGAGGUGCAGCAAGAGCUUCAGGCUCUCAUGAAAAAACAUGAGAGUUUGAAGCUGGAGUCGAAGGCGCAAGCAUCCGAGCUUGCAACGGCCCUAGAGGCUGCCAAGUCUACCAAGGCCGAUGCCCUAAAGACCCUCCAAGAGUUGGAGGAGAUGAGGAAGAUAGCAACGGGUAAGGCAUUCUUUAUGCAAAGCAGAAAUAUAAAAGUGAACUACCUGUUACUUACCCGAAUCCGAAGCUCUCCAGGGGCAUUCGCAGAUCUUCCCUGCAGCGUAUCCGAUGCCGCCGCAUUAUACCAAGCUGAAGAGGGUAGCUCGACGGAGAAGGUGUUCUGGUUUCAGUAUUCUGAGGCCGGACACCCUGUGCCCUUGAGCAACCAGCUGAAACAGCUGGUUGAGCUCCACAAGGCGGCCAAGCAGGCCAUGAAGGGCUUCAUAGUUCGGCUGUGGCCUGGAGAGGCCCUACCUGGGAGCUAUCUCGGGCUGGUGCGGCGGCUGGUGGAGGCCUGUCCGAGGCUUGAGGUCAUCAAGUGCUCCGUCUGCAUCGAUGGUGCCCGUCGGGCCCUUGCCCGUGCAAAGGUGCACUGGGGUAAGCUGGACGGUGAGAAGCUUGUGAAGGACGGGCUGCCGCCGGGGAAGGAGCAUCGCAAGCCCGAGAACUACUACAAGGAUGUUCUUGCAGGUGCCCGCCUUAUGGCGGAUCAAUGUACCAAGGAUGUGAUAUUUGAAUGAACUCGCUCGUGUUUAUCUUGUGCGCUGAAAACUUGUUCAUAUGUGCUAAGCAAUGCUUAUUGAAUUUAAAAUAUUACUUUCUGUGCGGCCAUUUAUCAAAAAUUGAGAGAUGGCCAGUCGUCGGCUUCUGCCCCCGUGCCACUAGUGCUGGGGUGUUCGGGAUAAACCUGAGCGCUCUUUUUCCCAUAGUUGGGUCCUUCGAGGGAGGCGCUCAGCACAACGAACCAGGCAAUCGGACUAUAAUGCUUGAACACUCUCACUUAGCCAUAGAGCUCUAUAAUUUUAAAUUUCGGUGAAGCCCGUAGUUCGGAAGACCGAGUUCGGGGCGCUAUCCACGCCUUGGCCGGACAAAGCCGGCUCCUCGCUCGAAGCGGCAUAAGCCUUUAGGGACUCGAAAAACCUCUCGAACAGCGAUCGGUCUCUCGCCACAUCAUGACAGUCAGUUUUAGCUUUCUCCACUCAGGUGCUUAACCCAGGUGAACCGGGGCACAAUCGCAGUGGUUCUCCUAGUGCUACCUUAGCCGAUAGAGCGGAACGUAAGGCACCAAAACAUAGGAGCCACGCAAACCCAACUAUUGACCCAAAUCAUGAUUCGGAGCCGAUGCAUAUAGUGCUAUAAGUUCGGGGUGCCGCACUUGUGAAAGUGUACGGACUUCUCACACCAUUAUGAGCGGUACUGAAGCCCCUGGCAUGUUUGCCAUACCAUGGUGUACGGGUGCAAUCAUGUCAUUUAAUAAACAUAAAUGUGAAAAGAAGAUAAUGCAAAAAAUAGACUAGAAGCUAAGCAUUGUUUAUAGAGAGGCUAUUUAUCAAAGCCGAACGAUACAAAUAGUGCGGUAAGCAAAAGAUAUUGGACUAUUCAGUAUGUCCUGACCAGGGGCAGGCCGCGGAAUUGUAUUUAAAACAGGUAUACCGCUCGUAACAGAGACCACCUGGGAGUUCCAUAAUGCGUCAUGGCUUGUCUGCCUCCCUGGAUCUUGCAUCGUUUGUGCGGCAGUCGAAUUGCCGAACAGGUCGUCCGAAGUAUGGAGUCCUGAAAGAAGAAAAAAUUAAAAAAAGAAUCCGGCAGCCCCUAGUACGUAUUAAGCCGUAUUUUGGGCGUGUUGUUAUUGUGCCCCUUCCCCUGUGCCCAUGGUAUUUCAAGGGCGUAGUUAUGUACGUGAGGUACUGGUUUCGCUAUGUUGCGAAAGCUGGGGUUGGGGCCGCAUUGCUACGCUUGCUUAGAGUGUGCCAGGCAGUGUCUGGCUUUUUAAUGGCCGGACUGGAGAAUUGCCUGAGAAGGCUACUUUGUACCUCCGCUGCGAGAGCCGCCGUAUGCUCCUCCAUAUGGAGGGAGCGUUCGGUGUUUCCGUUGAACGUAAUUACUCCUUGAGGGCCUGGCAUCUUGAGCUUGAGAUAUGCGUAGUGCAGCACCGUGUUGAUCUUUGCGAAUGCGGUUCGUCCGAGCAGGGCAUGAUAGCCACUGCGAAACGGUACUAUAUCGAAGAUUAACUCUUCGCUUCGGAAAUUGUCCGGGGAUCGGAAGACCACAUCAAGUGUUACUGAGCAUGUACUGUUGGCUUCUACACCUGGUAUAACGCCUUUAAAGGUCGUUCUUGUGGGCUUAAUCCUUGAGGGAUCUAUGCCCAUUUUCUGCACUGUAUCCUGAUAAAGCAGGUUCAGGCUACUGCCGCCGUCCAUGAGGACUCUUGUGAGAUGAAAUCCGUCGAUGAUCGGGUCGAGAACCAAUGCGGCGAAGCCGCCAUGACGGAUGCUAGUGGGAUGGUCCCUUCGAUCGAAAGUGAUCGGGCAGGAGGGCCAUGGGUUGAACUUUGGGGCGACUGGCUCCAUCGCAUAUACGUCCCGUAGCGCAUGCUUCCGCUCCCGCAUGGGAAUGUGGGUUGCGUAUAUCAUGUUCACCGUCCACACUUGUGGGGGAAAGCCCUUCUGUCCAUUGUUGUUCGGCGGCUUGGGCUCCUCGUCGUCGCUGUGCAGCCCCUUGUCUCUGUUUUCGGCCCUUAACUUGCCUGCCUGCUUGAACACCCAACAAUCCCUGUUAGUGUGAUUGGCUAGCCUUUCGGGGGUGCCAUGUAUCUGGCACAAGCGAUCGAGUAUUCGGUCCAAACUGGACGGGCCCUGAGUAUUCUUUUUGAAUGGCAUUUUCCGCUGACCGGAUUUAUAGCCUUUGAAUCCGGCAUUGACUGCCGUGUCUUCAUUGCUGUCGCUGCUAACGCGGCGUUUUUGCUUAUUCCGAUGUGUCCUACCACUUUUGUCCUUGGUAUCCGAAUUACCAGGGUGCUUUGAUAAGUUGUUACUGCGAGCUAGCCAGCUGUCUUCUCCCGCGCAAAAGCGGGUCAUGAGUGUCGUGAGGGCUGCCAUGGAUUUCGGCUUUUCCUGUCCCAGGUGCCAGGCAAGCCACUCGUCGCAGAUGUUGUGCUUCAAGGCUGCCAGGGCCUCUGCGUCCGGACAGUCGACUAUCUGGUUUUUCUUUGUUAGGAACCGUGUCCAAAAUUGUCUGGCCGAUUCCUCUGGCUGCUGAAUUAUGUGGCUUAAGUCGUCGGCAUCCGGUGGUCACACGUAAGUGCCCUGGAAGUUGUCGAGGAAUGCGGCUUCCAGGUCCUCCCAAGAACCGAUUGAGUCUGCUGGCAAGCUGUUAAGCCAAUGCCGGGCCGGUCCUUUAAGUUUGAGCGGGAGGUAUUUGAUGGCGUGUAGAUCAUCGCCGCGUGCCAUGUGGAUGUGAAGGAGACAAUCCUCGAUCCAUACCGCCGGAUCUGUUGUGCCAUCGUAUGAUUCGAUGUUUAUGGGUUUGUAGCCCUCUGGGAUUUUAUGAUCCAUUACUUCAUUCGUGAAGCAUAGCGGGUGUGUGGCGCCUCUGUAUUGGGCUAUAUCACGACGUAGCUCGGAAGAGCUAUGUCUGUUGUGUUCGGCCCGGCCGGAUUUGUUGUAUCCAGAGUGAAGAUCAUUUUCCCGUGCCUUAGUUGAGAGGUGUCGGGGCAUGGCUUGGGUGGAGGGCCGAGACGCCUCUCUGUCGCGGCCGCGAGGUGGCCGGUCUGCCAUGUCAUGCGCUGGUGAUGUAGGUGCUUCCUCCUCUGAUCGGGGUAGCGGCCUAUGCUUCGGGUAACUCUUGGAGGGGCGUUCGAGUUCAUACUCUUCGGCCGCAAGGACUUCAGUCCAUCUGUCAGCUAGCAAAUCUUGGGCAGCUCUAAGUUGUUGCUGCUUUUUCUUGAGGCUGCUUGCCAUGGCUAAAAGCCUGCGUUUAAAAAGCUCUUGUUCGGCGGGGUCUGAUGGUAUGACGAAUUCGUCGUCAUUGAGGCUUGCCUCGUCUUCGGAGGGAGGCGUAUAGUUAUCAUCCUCGACCUUUCCGUCUGCCGCUCUCUCAUCAGGGCUGGCUUCUCCAUCUUCCUGUGCCGAAUCUUGCUGAGGUGGGUGUUCUUCGGCGCUAUCCGGGGUAGUAUUAUCUCUCAUGUCGGAAUCACCGUUUUUGCUUUGGCGGGAUUUAGAGCGGCGCCGCUGGUGCCGGCGCUUUGGCUGUUUCUUGGGGGCGUCAUCCCCCACUGUUCCAUCGCCAUCUCCAUCUUUUGGAGUAUCCACCAUAUAUAUGUCAUAUGAUAAGGUGGCCUUCCAGCGCCCUACAGGUGCUGGUUCCUGUUCGUCUCCUACAUUGUCGUCCAUGCCGUCGAUGUCUUUGGAGCUGAAGUCAACCAUGUAGGUUAGACCGUCGAUAAUGGCUACAAAGUGGGUGGUGGGUGGGCUUUGAAUUUCCUCAUCGUAUGUAUCCCACCCUCGCUGACCGUAGUCCGGCCAGGGCUCUCCUGAUAAAGAGAGAGACUUAAGAGAAUUCAGGAUGUCGCCAAAAGGCGAAUGCUGAAAGAUGUCUGUAGCGGUGAACUCCAUUAUCGGCACCCAAUCGGAUUCGAUUGGCAGGGGCGCGGGGGGUUCGGAGUCCGGGGAGGAGUCCGGAUCCUCGGAGUCACGGGUCGUGCAGAGUGCGGGGCUAGCGUUCGGCUCGAUCGCUUUCGGGAUCGCAGCCCCCGAGGUGACGUCCAACCGCUCAUCCUCGAUUGGCGCAAUAGGUUCCGAGUUAGGGGUCGGAACCGAUGCGUGUGCGGCCUCCAGGACACUGGCCGGGGGCAGAGCUAGAUCAUGCCCCUCGGGAUAGUGCGGCGUGCUUGGCCGUGGCUCGAGCCCGUCGAAGAUCAAGUCUCCGUGGAUGUCAGCCGUGUAGUUUAAGCUUCCAAACCUGACUUGAUGGCCAGGGGCGUAGCUUUCGAUCUGCUACAGGUGGCCGAGCGAAUUGGCUCAUAGAGCGAUGCCGCCGAAGACGAAGAUCUGUCCGGGGAGAAAAGUCUCACCCUGGACCGCAUCGUUGUUGAUGAUCAAAGGAGCCAUCGGGCCUAAAGGCGACGAGACAGAGGAACUCUCAAUGAAAGCACCAAUGUCAGUGUCAAAACCGGUGGAUCUCGAGUAGUGGGUCCCGAACUGUGCGUCUAGGCCGGAUGGUAAUAGGAGGCAGGGAACACGAUGUUUUAUCCAGGUUCGGGCCCUCUUGAUGGAGGUAAAACCCUACGUCCUGCUUGAUUAAUAUUGAUGAUAUGGGUAGUACAAGAGUAGAUCUACCACGAGAUCAAGGAGGCUAAACCCUAGAAGCUAGCCUAUGGUAUGAUUGUUGUAUAUGGAGUUGAUUGCCUACGGACAACAACCCUCCGGUUUAUAUAGACACCGGAUAGGGUUAGGGUUACAUAGAGUCGGUUACAAUGGUAGGAUAUCUUGAAUAUCCACAUCGCCAAGCUUGCCUUCCACGCCAAGGAAAGUCCCGUCCGGACACGGGAUGAAGUCUUCAAUCUUGUAUCUUCAUAGCCCAGGAGUCCGGCUGAAGGUAUAGUCCGGCUACCUGAACACCCCCUAAUCCAGGACUCCCUCAGGUAGCAAGAUGGAUUUCUGGCGCCAUUGCCGGGGAGAUUCGCGCCAAGUCAAGACAUACCAAGUACCCAUCACAAACCCUUAUCCCUCGCAUUACAUUAUUUUCCAUUUGCCUCUUGUUUUCCUCUCCCCCACUUCACCCUUGCCAUUUUAUGCGCCCUCUCUUUUUCCGUUCCCCUCUUUUCCACUUGCUUUGUCGUUAUGGCUAGUCCUUUAUCUACUCCUUUGUCUCCCGAGAAUGAAGUUCUUAAUUUUAAACAAAGGGAGGGAGAAAAUCUAAAAGAUGCUUGGUACAGAAUUUGCAACACACAAAUUAGAUCUACUAGGAAACAAUCUACUUUUGUUCUUCUUCACGAUUUUUAUGUAGGCAUCACACCUUGGAAUAGAUAUAUUCUUGAUGCCAUUACCGGAGGGAAUUUCUUGGGUAGCCAUACUUUUGAUUCUUAUAAUGCUAUGAUAGAUCUGUUUGGCCCACCACCUCUUUUGGUUAAUGGAACUAUUUUAACUUUGGAACAUGUGAUGCAAUGGCUUGAAAUUAGUGAAAAUAAAGUUGCCACCAUAGAGUUAAUUGAAAAUUUGGAUAGAAAGAUCCAUAACCAAAUUACCCAAUACGGAUCUAAGUUAGGAGUUGCUCUUAAAAGUUUUAAAGAAAAGGGACCUAUGGUUAAUGAAAAGAUAGAAAAGGAUUCCACUAGAAUUGAUAAAAUUGAGGAUAUUAUUACCAACCUUGGGUCUUCCUUUUCUUCUAUUAUAAAUACUCCGCCUAAUGCUAAGAUUGCCAAACUAAUGUAUGUUACAAAAAAUAAGGGUGAAACUUCUAAUAAGGAAAAUGCGGAUCUCAAAUCCAUAAGUGUUCACCCCAAUUUUCUCACUAUCCUUAAGGAACCUUUUGCUACAAAUGAUUUUCUUGAUUUCAUACCUAGGAGUUUGAUAAUUAAUAAAAACAAAGAAACUCCUAAAAGUUAUUGGUGUGUUAUUGAAGAAUCACCUUCCAAAGACGGCAAUACCUAGGUCUAUCUUCGCUUUUAUGCCUAGCUAGGGGCGUUAAACGAUAGCGCUUGUUGGGAGGCAACCCAGUUUUACUUUUAUUCCUUGAUGUUUGCUCCUAUUUAGUAAUAAAUAAUUUAUGUAGCCUAUGUUUUGGUUGUGUUUUUUGUGUUUAAUUUGUGUUUGUGCCAUGUAGAACCAUUGGGUAGACUUGGGGAAAGUCUUUUUGAUCUUGCUGUAAAAAACAGAAACGUUAGCGCUCACGAGAAUCGCUGACAUUUUUAUUUGGAAAGUGAUAUUUAGAUAAUUCUUUUUGCGGAUGAUUAAUAGAUAAAUUCCUCACGUCCAGCAAUUUAUUUUAUAAUUUUUGGGGUUACAGAAGUUCGCGUUAGGUACAGAUUACUACAGACUGUUCUGUUUUUGACAGAUUCUGUUUUUCGUGUAUUGUUUGCUUAUUUUGAUGAAUCUAUGGCUAGUCAAAGAGGUUAUAAACCGUAGAGAAGUUGGAAUACAGUAGGUUUAACACCAAUAUAAAUCAAGAUUGAGUUCAUAACAGUACCUUGAAGUGGUGUUUUGUUUUCUUUCGCUAACGGAGCUCACGAGAUUUUCUGUUUGAGUUUUUUGUUGUGAAGUUUUCAAGUUUUGGGUAAAGAUUUGAUGGAUUAUGGAACAAGGAGUGGCAAGAGCCUAAGCUUGGGGAUUCCCAUGGCACACCAAGGUAAAAUUAAAGGACACCAAAAAGCCUAAGCUUGGGGAUGCCCCGAAAGGCAUCCCCUCUUUCGUCUUCGUCUAUUGGUAACUUUACUUGGAGCUAUAUUUUUAUUCACCACAUGAUAUGUGUUUUGCUUGGAGCGUCUUGUAUGAUUUGAUUAUUUGAUUUUUAGUUUACCAAAAUCAUCCUUGCUGUACACACCUUUUGAGAGAGACUCACAUGAUUGGGAAUUUAUGAGAAUACUCUAUGUGCUUCACUUAUAUCUUUUGAGCUAUAUGGUUUUUGUUCUAGUUCUUCGCUUAUAUAUUUUAGAGAAUGGCGGUGGUUUUAUUUUAUAGAAAUAAUUGUUCUCUCAUGCUUCACUUAUAUUAUUUUGAUAGUCCUUUAGAACAACAUGGCAAUAAUAAAACUGUCAUACAAGUGCAUUGAAUACUAUGAGAAGUUUGAUACUUGAUAAUUGUUUUGAGAUAUGGAGAUGGUGAUAUUAGAGUCAUGCUAGUUGUGUAGUUGUGAAUUUGAGAAAUACUUGUGUUGAAGUUUGUGAUUCCCGUAGCAUGCACGUAUGGUGAACCGUUAUGUGACGAAGUCAGAUCAUGAUUUAUUUGUUGAUUGUCUUCCUUAUGAGUGGCGGUCGGGGAUGAGCAAUGGUCUUUUACUACCAAUCUAUCUCCCUAGGAGCAUGGGCAUAAUACUUUGCUUUGAUAACUUAUAGAUUUUUGCAAUAAGUAUGUGAGUUCUUUCUGAGCAAUGUUGAGUCCAUGGAUCAUACGCACUCUCACCCUUCCACCAUUGCUAGCCUCUCUAAUACCGUGCACUUCUCGCCGAUAUCAUACACCCACCAUAUACCAUCCUCAAAACAGCCACCAUACCUACCUAUUAUCACUAGUGCAGAACCGGGCAAUAGCACCGGUUCGUAAGGCCCUUUAGUGCCGGUUUAGGAACCGGCACUAUUAUUUCGGCACUAAACCCCCCCCCCUUUAGUACCGGUUCAGCACGAACCGGUGCUAAAGGGGUACCACGUGGCACGAGCCAGCUCCGGGGGCCGGGAGCCCUUUAGUACCGGUUGGUAAAACCAACCGGUACUAAAUGGUUGUGGGUUUUUGUUUUAUUUUGUAUUUUUCAAUUAAAUUUGUGUUAUCAAUUUAAAUUAGGAUUGUUUUACGUUAUAAUGAGUUGUAGUCGUCAUCAUCAUCAUCAUCAUCGCAUAUUAAUAAAUAAAUAAACUCUAGCUAGCUAAAAAUCAUCGUGGUCGUCUAAUUACCACUAUUUAAUCAUCAUAGUCAUUACCGCUAGCUAUGUAAUCAUCAUCAACGUUGGCUAGCUUAAAGAGGAAACAUUCACUUUGUAACAGAAGCAAAGAGAUAUCAUCAAGUUCAACAUAAUCAUCACCAACAUCGAAGUUCAGGACACGGAUCCAUGAGACGAGUACUAAUUAAGAGCAUGAAGUAGUAGCUACUGAUCCUGCUUCUCCCUCUCAGGUAGAAUAGCACAGAACAUGUAUAGCUCUCCUGAUUCAUCAUACUGAAGCAUGCAGAUGAAUCUGUCUCCUAAUCUUGGGUUGCGCUUCUCCUUACUGCCCCCUAGUACUUCUCUGCGAUCGUUAACAAUUUUGCUCCAAUCUUUCACUAUUAAGCAUUCUUCGCUUUUAGAAAUCCUGAAUGCACUCAUGUGCAAUGUAGGAAAUCUUGGUCGUAAGCUAACCAUUGACAUGCGACCUUUUGUCUCGAUCCACUAAGGCACAACUGUCAUCGGAAGUCCCUGUUGAACAACAUCGUAUAGUAAUUAAUAUACUAAGCAAUGAAAGUUUAGCUUUAAAAAUAAUGUACGCAAAAGAUGCACUAAUUAAGGACAAAUAUUUAAAAUCUUACCAUCUUUUGAUUAUAGAUGUGACCGUAGUUCAAGGCGAUCACCAUUGGUCGCACGUUUUGAGUACUAACAUUUCUAAGUUUAGAAAAAAAAUUGUCUUGACAGUAUUAAGAUCCUCAAGCCAUGAAACACAAUGACUUAUUUCCUCGCAGUUUAGUUGAGCCCCGAGGUAGUAGUAGGUCCUGUCUACCAAGCGCCGGACAUGUUUGCUUGAACCGAAAUAAGCUGACAAUACACAUCAGUUGUCAACUAUUUUUGAAUAAACUGUACGAAAGACAUAAACGUAUAUAUGCAUGCAUGGUUGAGAAAAACUCACCAAAUGGUAGAACUGGAGGCGUUUGCACAUCGACCCAGAUGUCUAUAUUACCUUCAAUAUCAUCUUCCGGACGAAUAUCAAAGGUGAUAACCAUAUCAGGCUCAAAUGCAUAAGCCUUGCAUAGUGCUUGCCAAGUUUUGCAUUCAAAAUGGGUGUAUGUGCCUCCAUUAUAUAAUUUGACGUUGAAAGUAUACCCAUGCUCCGUCUUCAAGUAAACUCUCUUUACCUCCAUAUCAUCUAUAGCACUAAAACCUAUCUUAUAUAAUACAAAAAUUCUUGUAUGGCAGGGGAUGCGCUAGUAGAAUAGUGAAAAUUUAAAAUUAUAAGUUGAAGCAAAUGAAGCAUAAGUUUUGCAUUCAAAUAAUAAUUGACAAAGUGGCUUACUGUAUCAACUUCAAAUGUCUCAUCCAGCUUGAUGUUGAAGCGCCUACCAUCAACAAGGAAAUUUUGGUCGCACAGGCCGCGCUGGUCUUCACAGUGUUCGCACAUAAUAAAAUCUUUUUAGUUGUCAGAUGACAUUUCCUAUGUUCAUAUAGGUGAAACAUUAAACACCUAUAUCUAGCCAAAUAUAUAUUCAUCUAACAUUUGACAUUAAUAUAUCUAACUAUAUAUUCAAUUGACAUUACUAUAUAUUUAACUUUUCUAUCUAAUUCAUCUAACAUUCGACAUUAAUCUAACAUUUAUAUAAACUCAAAAUAUAUAAAAAAUUAAAUAAACAGAAAAACUCAUUAACAAAUAAUAUUUUAAUUAGAUCAUCAAAUCUCAUAUACCUAAAUUUUCUUACUAAAAAUAAACUAGUUAUAUUAAUUAUUCAACUAGUUCUAAUCUNNNNNNNNNNNNNNNNNNNNNNNNNNNNNNNNNNNNNNNNNNNNNNNNNNNNNNNNNNNNNNNNNNNNNNNNNNNNNNNNNNNNNNNNNNNNNNNNNNNNNNNNNNNNNNNNNNNNNNNNNNNNNNNNNNNNNNNNNNNNNNNNNNNNNNNNNNNNNNNNNNNNNNNNNNNNNNNNNNNNNNNNNNNNNNNNNNNNNNNNNNNNNNNNNNNNNNNNNNNNNNNNNNNNNNNNNNNNNNNNNNNNNNNNNNNNNNNNNNNNNNNNNNNNNNNNNNNNNNNNNNNNNNNNNNNNNNNNNNNNNNNNNNNNNNNNNNNNNNNNNNNNNNNNNNNNNNNNNNNNNNNNNNNNNNNNNNNNNNNNNNNNNNNNNNNNNNNNNNNNNNNNNNNNNNNNNNNNNNNNNNNNNNNNNNNNNNNNNNNNNNNNNNNNNNNNNNNNNNNNNNNNNNNNNNNNNNNNNNNNNNNNNNNNNNNNNNNNNNNNNNNNNNNNNNNNNNNNNNNNNNNNNNNNNNNNNNNNNNNNNNNNNNNNNNNNNNNNNNNNNNNNNNNNNNNNNNNNNNNNNNNNNNNNNNNNNNNNNNNNNNNNNNNNNNNNNNNNNNNNNNNNNNNNNNNNNNNNNNNNNNNNNNNNNNNNNNNNNNNNNNNNNNNNNNNNNNNNNNNNNNNNNNNNNNNNNNNNNNNNNNNNNNNNNNNNNNNNNNNNNNNNNNNNNNNNNNNNNNNNNNNNNNNNNNNNNNNNNNNNNNNNNNNNNNNNNNNNNNNNNNNNNNNNNNNNNNNNNNNNNNNNNNNNNNNNNNNNNNNNNNNNNNNNNNNNNNNNNNNNNNNNNNNNNNNNNNNNNNNNNNNNNNNNNNNNNNNNNNNNNNNNNNNNNNNNNNNNNNNNNNNNNNNNNNNNNNNNNNNNNNNNNNNNNNNNNNNNNCGGCGGCGGGGACAGCGACGAUGACGACGGACGACGGUACGGGCGACGGGCGGCGACGACGGGAUCGAGCGGUCCGCGCGGCGGAGGUGGGAGACGAAGUGGGGAGUUGAAACUGAAAUUUUCGUAAGUGCUAUAUAUAUAUAUAUAUAUAUAUAUAUAUAUAUAUAUAUAUAUAUAUAUAUAUGAUUGGCCUUUAGUACCGAAUCGUGGCUCCAACCGGUACUAAAGGCCUAUUUUCGCCAGGCCAAGCGGCGGGAAACGAAGGCUUUUAGUACCGGUUGGAGCCACCAACCGGUACUAAAGGGGGGCCUUUAGUACCGGUUGGAGCCACCAACCGGUACUAAAGGCCUUGCGCUGCCACCCCAAAAUUUAGUCCCACCUCGCCCGGCGAAGGGCAGCCGCACUGGUUUAUAAACCUAGCCGCGGCUACCUCUUCGAACUCCUCUAUAUAGCAGCCUUCUGGGCCUAAUUAAUUAGGGCGCGCUGCCAUGUGAGUCUGCUGGCCCUUCUGGGCCUGCAUUUGCACACCCUAGGUCUGGUAGACCCACAGGGCAGUGCGCCAACAAAUUUUUUAUAUAGUUUUAUCUUUUCUGCAUUACUUAUUUUCUUUUAUUUAUUUUUGAGUAGUUUUUUAUAUAGUUUUUGUUUUCUGCAUUAUUUAUUUUCUUCUAUUUAUUUUUGAGUAAUUUUUUUGUAUAGUUUUUUUAUUUUCUGCAUUACUUAUUUUUGCAUAGUCCGAAACCCUGAUACUCGGAAAGAGUUUGUCCAGUUUGUACACGAAGUGCGUCCAGUUUUUGCCGUGACCCUCUCUACUCUUUCGCGCAUGCUAUGCGGGUGAUACGAUGAUACCAUGCCAAGUUUCAACAUUUUCAGGAUUCAUUUUGUAGUGAUUUUCAAUUUCACGGUCAUUUAGCUCUCUAAACAAUUAGGUAAAUGACUGAAAAACAACAAAUGAUGUCAGAACAUGUUGAAAAUUGAUGACGUCGCUUUAAAUGCUGCAUACUGAACACAAAAGAAGUCCGGAGUACAAAUAAGUUUAAAAAACAUUGAAGUGGCCAUGUAACAGAUGAGUUCUCGUCCGAAACCCUGAUACUCGGAAAGAGUAUGUCCAUUUUGUACACGAAGUGCGUCCAGUUUUUGCCGUGACCCUCUCUACUCUUUCGCGCAUGCUAUGCGGGUGAUAUGAUGAUACCAUGCCAAGUUUCAGCAUUUUCAGGAUUCAUUUUGUAGUGAUUUUCAAUUUCACGGUCAUUUAGCUCUCUAAACAAUUAGGUAAAUGACCGAAAAACAACAAAUGAUGUCAGAAUAGACUGCACUGCACAUAGCUCAGUGUAGACUACACUGCACAUAGCUCAGUGCAAUCUAUGUUAUUCCGCAAGGCUUGAAGCUAAUCAACAUGUAGAUGAGCAUUGCAAUUCUUCGUCAUUGUCUGUGCACUCACGGCUUAUAAACCGCUCAUACUGCCUCUCUCUUGGCGAGGUGGGACUAAAAACAACUUGCCAUAACCUCAUCAAUUUCCUCUUGAAGCUUGUCCUUGCCUUUUUGCUUGUAUUCUUGUGGUGGAAGAUCAUCUUGAGCUUGUGUCCCCUUGAAGGAAGUAGGAUACUUCUCUUGUUGAGGAACAAACUUUGUCUUGGGGUAUUGAUCUUCUUCCCACUCAACUCCAUUGGCAUUGAACUUUCGUUCAAAACCAACACCUUGAUUCUUCCAGUGCCUUCCUUGCUUGCGCACAAUUUCCUCGAAUUGCUUACUCCCGGCAAGGCUUUUGUACAUUCCUUUCUCUAUAAUUCCCUUCAAUAAGCUAUUUUCUUGCUCAAGUGUAACUUGGCUAAGAGAAUCAUUAGUGGAAUCAAGAGAACUACUAGAAGCAACAAUGUUAGAUCUUAUGUCACAAAAAAGAAGUCGUAUCAAACCUUUUAUGUCGGAUCUAGAACAAACCAAUCGGUAUCGCCAUCAUACAGCCCUACCGUGGCUUGUGAUGCAUAUAUAUAUGCAUAUCAAAUGCACGGUUGGGCGUAUGAUGGCGAAUCCGAAUGAUUUGUAUUCAGUCGAUGAACUGGUAGAUGUAUGCAGUCGAUGAACUGGUAGAUGUAUGUAGUCGAUGAACUGAAAGACUUAUGCAGGGAAGGCGAGAGAUGGGCUAUAUAUAGGGUCGUCUGGCUCACAAAGUGAUUGUGGUAGUUUCGAUCCAACGACUCACAUGAGCUAGGAAGAAGCACACCCUUGAUCCAACGACUCGCAAGAGCUAUAAAGAAACACACGAUCCAUGUGAUUCUUCCUGAUUGGUGGGAUGCACAUUAGUAUCGGUUUGUGCCAUGAACUGGUGCUAAAGAUUGGCAAUGAACCGGUACUAAUGGUAGCAGCCCGCCUAGCCGUUGGAAUCGGCACUAAUGGUCACAUUUGUGCCGGCUCAAAUUCAAACCGGCACUAUAAUGUGCUUCACAUUUGACUGUUUUUCUACUAGUCAAUAGAGUUUGCCAAACUUGAGUUUCCCAAGUCACUUACACAAAAAGCUAUGAUUCAUGGUUGUCAAAUCCAUAAUUUACAAACCACAACAACCUUGAGGCAUAACAAGCUUUAAAUGCUGCAUACUGAACACAAAAGAAGUCCAGAGUUUAAAUAAGUUAUUAAAAAUAAAAAAGAGGUGCAAUGCUGGUUAAUUUGCUUCAAGCUAUUCGGAAUAGUGUAGAUUGCACUAAGCCACUGCACAUAGCUCAGUGCAAUCUAUGCUAUUCCGCAAGGCUUGAAGCUAAUCAACAUGUAGGUGAGCAUUGCAACUCUUCGUCAUUGUCUGUGCACUCACGGCUUAUAAACCGCUCAUACUACCUCUCUCUUGGCGAGGUGGGACUAAAAACAUCUUGCCAUAACCUCAUUAGUACUGGUUCAUGGUACGAACCGGCACUAAAUGGUGAUGGUGGGGCCAUAGCCUGACCGCAGGCUGACACAGCCUCUUUAGUACCGGUUCGUGGCAUGAACCGGUACUAAAGGUUCGCCACGAACCGGUACUAUUGAUCGCCGCCACGAACCGGCACUAAUGUACACAUUAGUGCCGGCUCUAAUUCAAACCGGCACUAAUGUGCUUCACAUUUGACCCUUUUUCUACUAGUGUAUGGCAUUUCCAUAGCCAUUCCGAGAUAUAUUGCCAUGCAACUUUCCAUCGUUCCAUUAUUAUGACACACUUCAUCAUUGUCAUAUUUGCUUGCAUGAUCAUGUAGUUGGCAUCGUAUUUGUGCAAAGCCACCAUUCAUAAUUCUUCAUACAUGUCACUCUUGAUUCACUGCAUAUCCCGGUACACCGCCGGAGGCAUUCACAUAGAGUCAUAUUUUGUUCUAAGUAUCGAGUUGUAAUUCUUGAGUUGUAAGUAAAUAAAAGUGUGAUGAUCAUCAUUAUUAGAGAAUUGUCCCAAGUGAGGAAAGGAUGGAGACUAUGAUUCCACAACAAGUCGGCAUGAGACUCCGGACGAAAAUAAAAAAAGAGGGAAAAAAGAGAAAGGCCAUAAAAAAGAAGGCCCAAAAAAUGAGAGAAAAAGAGAGAAGGGGCAAUGUUACUAUCCUUUUUCCACACUUGUGCUUCAAAGUAGCACCAUCAUCUUCAUGAUAGAGAGUCUCCUAUGAUAUCACUUUCAUAUACUAGUGGGAAUUUUUCAUUAUAGAACUUGGCUUGUAUAUUCCAAUGAUGGGCUUCCUCAAAUUGCCCUAGGUCUUCGUGAGCAAGCAAGUUGGAUGCACACCCACUUAGUUUCUUUUGUUGAGCUUUCAUACACUUAUAGCUCUAGUGCAUCCGUUGCAUGGCAAUCCCUACUCAAUCACAUUGAUAUCUAUUAAUGGGCAUCUCCAUAGCCCGUUGAUACGCCUGUUCUGGAGCUCCGCCAGAGGGGGCAUCGAUCACGGAGGGCUUCUACAUCAACAGCAUAGCCUCUCCGAUGAAGUGUGAGUAGUUGACCUCAGACCUACGGGUCCAUAGUUAUUACCUAGAUGGCUUCUUCUCUCUUUUUGGAUCUCAAUACAAUGUUCUCCCCCUCUCUUGUGGAGAACUAUUCGAUGUAAUCUUCUUUUUGCGGUGUGUUUAUUGAGAUCGAUGAAUUGUGGGUUUAUGAUCAAGUCUAUCUAUGAAUAAUAUUUGAAUCUUCUCUGAAUUCUUUUAUGUAUGAUUGUUUAUCUUUGCAAGUCUCCUCGAAUUAUCAGUUUGGUUUGGCCUACUAGAUUGAUCUUUCUUACAAUGGGAGAAGUGCUUAGCUUUGGGUUCAAUCUUGCGGUGUCCUUUCCCAGUGACAGCAGGGGCAGCAAGGCAUGUAUUGUAUUGUUGCUAUCGAGGACAACAAGAUGAGGUUUUCAUCAUAUUGCAUGAGUCUAUCCCUCUACAUCAUGUCAUCUAGCUUAAGGCGUUACUCUGUUUUUAACUUAAUACUCUAGAUGCAUGCUGGAUAGCGGUCGAUGAGUGGAGUAAUAGUAGUAGAUGCAGGCAGGAGUCGGUCUACUUGUCUCGGACGUGAUGCCUAUAUACAUGAUCAUACCUAGAUAUUCUCAUAAAUAUGCUCAAUUAUGUCAAUUGCUCAACAGUAAUUUGUUCACCCACCAUAGAAUUAUUAUGCUCUCGAGAGAAUCUACUAGUGAAACCUAUGGCCCCCGGGUCUAUCUUUAUCAUAUUAAUCUCCUACUACUUAGUUAUUUCCUUUGCUUUUUCCUUUGCCUUUAUUUUACUUUUCAUCUUUAUCACAAAAAUACCAAACAUAUUAUCUUUAUCAUAUCUAUCAGAUCUCACUCUCAUAAGUGGCCGUGUAGGGAUUGACAACCCCUAUUCGCGUUGGUUGCGAGGAUUUAUUUGUUUUGUGCAAGUACGAGGGACUCGCGCGUAGCCUCCUACUGGAUUGAUACCCUUGGUUCUCAAACUGAGGGAAAUACUUACGCUACUUUGCUACAUCAUCCCUUCCUCUUCGGGGAAAACCAACGCAGUGCUCAAGAGGUAGCAAGAAGGAUUUCUGGUGCCAAUGCCGGGGAGGUCUACGCAAAAGUCAACAUACCAAGUACCCGUCACAUACCCUUAUCUCCCGCAUUACAUUAUUUGCCAUUUGCCUCUCGUUUUCACCUCCCCCACUUCACCCUUGCCAUUUUAUUCGCCCUCUCUCUCUCUCUAUCCUCCCUCUCUUUCUCUAUUUGCCUCUUUUUUCCCGCUUGCUUUCUGUUUGCUUGUGUGUUAGUUGCUUGCUUGUCACGAUGGCUCAAGAUAAUACUAAAUUAUGUGACUUCACCAAUACCAACAACAAUCAUUUUAUUAGCACUCCGAUUGCUCCUCUUACCGAUGCUGAAUCUUGUGAAAUUAAUACUGCUUUGCUGAAUCUUGUCAUGAAAGAUCUGUUUUCCGGCCUUCCUAGUGAACAUGCCGGUACCCACCUAAAUAGAUUCAUUGAUUUGUGUGACAUGCAAAAAAAAGAAAGGUGUGGAUAAUGAUAUUGUUAAAUUGAAGCUAUUUCCUUUUUUGCUUAGAGAUCGUGCUAAAGCUUGGUUUUCGUCUUUGCCUAAAAAUAGUAUUGAUUCAUGGAAUAAGUGCAAAGAUGCUAUUAUCUCUAAGUAUUUUCCUCCUACUAAGAUCAUCUCUCUUAGAAACAAUAUUAUGAAUUUUAAGCAACUUGAUCAUGAACAUGUUGCACAAGCUUGGGAGAGAAUGAAACUAAUGGUACGUAAUUGCCCUGCCCAUGAUUUAAAUUUGUGGAUGAUUAUACAAAAAUGUUAUGCCGGAUUGAAUUUUGCUUCUAGAAAUCUUUUAGAUUCGGCCGCGGGAGGCACUUUUAUGGAAAUCACUUUAGAAGAAUCUACUAAACUCCUAGAUAAUAUUAUGGUUAAUUAUGCUCAACGGCAUAGUAAAAUAUCUAAUAAUAAAAAGGUGCAUGCGAUACAAGAAAUUAAUGUUUUGAGUGGAAAGAUGGAUGAACUUCUGAAAUUAUUUGCUAAUAAGAGUGUUUCUUCUGAUCCUAAUGAUAUACCCUUGUCUACUUUGAUUGAGAAUAGUAAUGAAUCUAUGGAUGUGGAUUUUGUUGGUAGGAACAAUUUUGGUAACAACGCGUAUAGAGGAAAUUUCAACCCUAGGCCUUAUCCUAGUAAUCUCUCUAAUAAUUAUGGUAAUUCCUACAACAAUUCUUAUGGAAAUUAUAAUAAGAUGCCCUCUAAUUUUGAAUCUAAUAUUAAAGAAUUUAUUACUUUGCAAAAGAAUUUCAAUACCUUGAUUGAAGAAGAACCGCUAGGAUGCGUGCUAAGAAAGAUGCCUUUAUAAGAGCGUGUUCUUCUAGUUCCUAUGAAAAUAAUGAUGAAGAUCUAAAAGUUAUUGAUGUGUUCCCUAUUAAAUCUUUGUUUUUCAACAUGGAUCUUGAUAAUGAUGGGAUUGAAUAUGAUCCACCUUUACCUAUAAGGCGUUCCAAGAAUUCAGAAUUUGUUGAUCUUGAUGCUAAAAUUGAUAAAGGUGGGAUUGAAGAAAUUAAAACCCUAGAUGUUGCUAAACCCACUAUUAUGGAUUUCAAGGAAUUUAACUAUGAAAAUUGCUCUUUUAUUGAUUGUAUAUCCUUUUUACAAUCCGUGCUAAAUUCUCCUCAUGCUUAUAGUCAAAAUAAAGCGUUUACUAAACAUAUCGUUGAUGCCUUGAUGCAAUCUUAUGAAGAAAAACUUGAAUUGGAAGUUUCUAUCCCUAGAAAGCUUUAUGAUGAGUGGGAACCAACUAUUAAAAUUAAAAUUAAAUAUCAUUAAUGCUAUGCUUUAUGUGAUUUGGGUGCUAGUGUUUCCACGAUUUCAAAGACUUUGUGUGAUUUGUUAGGUUUCCGUGAUUUUGAUGAUUGCUCUUUAAACUUGCGCCUUGUGGAUUCCACUAUUAAGAAACCUAUGGGAAGAAUUAAUGAUGUUCUUAUUGAUGCAAAUAGGAAUUAUGUGCCUGUAGAUUUUAUUGUUCUUGACAUAGAUUGCAAUCUUUCAUGUCCUAUUAUUCUUGGUAGACCUUUCCUUAGAACGAUUGGUGCAAUUAUUGAUAUGAAGGAAGGAAAUAUUAGAUUCCAAUUUCCAUUAAGGAAAGUCAUGGAACACUUUACUAGAAAGUAAAUUAAAUUACCUUAUGAAUCUAUUAUGAUAGCCACUUAUGGAUUGCCUACCAAAGAUGGCAAUACCUAGAUCUAUCCUUGCUUGUUAUGCCUAGCUAGGGGCGUUAAACGAUAGCGCUUGUUGGGAGGCAACGCAAUUUUGUUUUUAUUCCUUGAUUUUUGCUCCUGUUUAGUAAUAAAUAAUUUAUCUAGCCUCUGUUUUGGUUGUGUCCUUUGUGUUUAAUUAGUGUUGGUGCCAAGUAGAACCGUUAGGAAGACUUGGGGAAAGUCUUGUUACACUUGCUGUAAAAAACAGAAACUUCAGCGCUCACGAGAACUACUGCCAUUUUUAUUUGGAAAGUUCUAUUUAGUUAAUUAUUUCUGCAGAUGAUUAAUAGAUAAAUUCCUCACGUCCAGAAAUUUAUUUUAGAAUUUUUGGGGUUCCAGCUCUUGAGCUAGGUACAGAUUACUACAGACUGUUCUGUUUUUGAAAGAUUUUGUUUUUCAUGUGUUGUUUGCUUAUUUUGAUGAACCUAUGGCUAGUAAAAUAGUUGAUAGACCAUAGAUAAGUUGGAAUACAGUAGGUAUAACACCAAUAUAAAUAAAUAAUGAGUUCAUUAUAGUACCUUGAAGUGGUCUUUUAUUUUCUUUCGCUAACGGAGCUCACGAGAUUUUCUACUUUAAGUUUUGUGUUGUGAAGUUUUCGAGUUUUGGGUAAAGAUUUGAUGGUUUAUGGAACAAGGAGUGACAAGAGCCUAAGCUUGGGGAUGCCCAUGGCACCCCCAAGAUAAUCUAAGUACACCUAAAAGCCAAAGCUUGGGGAUGCCCCGGAAGUCAUCCCCUCUUUCGUCUACUUCUAUCGGUAACUUUACUUGGAGCUAUAUUUUUAUUCGCCACAUGAUAUGUGUUUUGCUUGGAGCAUCUUGUAUUAUUUGACUCUUUAUUUGUUAGUUUACCACAAUCAUCCUUCCUGUACACACCUUUUUUAGAAUACUCUAUGUGCUUCGCUUAUAUCUUUUGAGUUAUAUAGUUUUGCUCUAGUACUUCACUUAUAUCUUUUAGAGCACGGUGGUGGAUUUGUUUUAUAAAAACUAUUGAUCUCUCAUGCUUCACUUAGAUUAUUUUGAGAUGCUUAAUAGCAUGGUAAUUUGCUUAAAAUCCUAAUAUGCUAGGUAUUCAAAGUUAGUAUAAUUUUCUUAAGAGUGUUUUGAAUACUAAGAGAAGUUUGAUGCUUGAUGAUUGUUUUGAGAUAUGGAGGUAAUAAUAUCAAAGUCGUGCUAGUUGAGUAGUUGUGAAAUUGAGAAAUACUUGUGUUGAAAUUUGCAUGUCCCGUAGCAUGCACAUAUGGUAAACGUUGUGUAACAAAUUUGAAACAUCAGGUGUUAUUUGAUUGUCUUCCUUAUGAGUGGCGGUCGGGGACGAGCGAUGGUCUUUUCCUACCAAUCUAUCCCCCUAGGAGCAUGCGCGUAGUACCGAGGUUUUUGAUCACUUGUAGAUUUUUGCAAUAAGUAUGUGAGUUCUUUAUGACUAAUGUUGAGUCCAUGAAUUAUACGCACUCUCACCCUUCCAUCCUUGCUAGCCUCUUCGGUACCGUGCAUUGCCCUUUCCCACAUUGAGUGUUGGAGCAAACUUCGCCGGUGCAUCCAAACCCCGUGAUAUGAUACGCUCUUUCACACAUAAACCUCCUUAUAUCUUCCUCAAAACAGCCACCAUACCUACCUAUUAUGGCAUUUCCAUAGCCAUUCCGACAUAUAUUGCCAUGCAACUUUCCACCAUUCCGUUCAUCAUGACACAUUCAUCAUUGUCAUAUUGCUUAGCAUAAUCAUGUUGUUGACAUAGUAUUUGUGGCAAGGCCACUGUUCAUAAUUCUUUCAUACAUGUCACUCUUGGUCCAUUGCAUAUCCCGGUACACCGCUGGAGGCAUUCAUAUAGAGUCAUACUUUGUUCUAGUAUCGAGUAGUAAUUAUUGAGUUGUAAAUAAAUAGAAGUGUGAUGAUCAUCAUUAAUAGAGCAUGGUCCCAAAGAGAGAAAAAAGGAAGGGCCAAAAAAGGCCAAAUAAAAAAUAUAAAAAAGGGGGGCAAUGCUACUAUCCUUUUUUCCACACUUGUGAUUCAAAGUAGCACUGUAAUCUUCAUGAUAGAGAGUAUCUUGAUUUGUCACUUUCAUAUACUAGUGGGAAUUUUUCAUUAUAGAACUUGGCUUGUAUAUUCCAACAAUGGGCCUCCUUAAGUGCCCUAGGUCUUCGUGAGCAAGCAAGUUGGAUGCACACCCACUUAGUUUCUUUUGUUGAGCUUUCAUACAUUUAUAGCUCUAGUGCAUCCGUUGCAUGGCAAUCCCUACUCCUUGCAUUAACAUCAAUCGAUGGGCAUCUCCAUAGCCCAUUGAUUAGCCUCGUUGAUGUGAGACUUUCUCCUUUUUGUCUUCUCCACAUAACUCCACUCAUUAUAUUCUAUUCCACCCAUAGUGUUAUGUCCAUGGCUUGCAAUCAUAUAUUGCGUGGAAGUUUAUAGGUUUGAGAUCACUAAAGUAUGAAACAAUUGCUUAGCUUGUCAUCGGGGUUGUGCAUGAUGAGAGCGUUGUUGUGUGACAAAAAUGAAGCAUGACUAAACUAUAUGAUUUUGUAGGGAUGAACUUUCUUUGGCCAUGUUAUUUUGAGAAGACAUAAUUGCUCAGUUAGUAUGCUUGAAGUAUUAUUAUUUUUAUGUCAAUAUGAACUUUUGUCUUGAAUCUUUCGGAUCUGAAUAUUCAUAUCACAAUUAAGAAGAAUUACAUUAAAAUCAUGCUAAGUAGCACUCUGCAUCAAAAAUUCUGUUUUUAUCAUUUACCUACUCGAGGACGAGCAGGAAUUAAGCUUGGGGAUGCUUGAUACGUCUCCAACGUAUCUAUAAUUUUUGAUUGCUCCAUGCUAUAUUAUCUACUGUUUUGGACAAUAUUGGGCUUUAUUAUCCACUUUUAUAUUAUUUUUGGGACUAACCUAUUAACCGGAGGCCCAGCCCAGGAUUGCUGUUUUUUGCCUAUUUUAGGGUUUCGAAGAAAAGGAAUAUCAAACGGAGUCCAAACGGAAUGAAACCUUCGGGAACGUGAUUUUCUCAACGAACAAGACCCAGGAGACUUGGACCCUCCGUCAAGACACAAAAGAGGAGGCCACGAGGUAGGGGGCGUGCCUACCCCCCGGGCGCGCCCUCCACCCUCGUGGGCCCCCUGUUGCUCCACCGACGUACUCCUUCCUCCUAUAUAUACCUACGUACCCCCAAAUGAUCAUAUACGGAGCCAAAACCCUAAUUACACCGCCGCAACAUUUUGUAUCCACGAGAUCCCAUCUUGGCGCCUGUUCCGGAGCUCCGCCGGAGGGGGCAUCGAUCAUGGAGGGCUUCUACAUCAACACCAUAGCCUCUCCGAUGAAGUGUGAGUAGUUGACCUCAGACCUACGGGUCCAUAGUUAUUACCUAGAUGGCUUCUUCUCUCUUUUUGGAUCUCAAUACAAUGUGCUCCCCCUCUCUUGUGGAGAACUAUUCGAUGUAAUCUUCUUUUUGUGGUGUGUUUGUUGAGACCGAUGAAUUUUGGGUUUAUGAUCAAGUCUAUCUAUGAAUAAUAUUUGAAUCUUCUCUGAAUUCUUUUAUGUAUGAUUGGUUAUCUUUGCAAGUCUCUUCGAAUUACCCGUUUGGUUUGGCCUACUAGAUUGAUCUUUCUUGCAAUGGGAGAAGUGCUUAGCUUUGGGUUCAAUCUUGCGGUGUCCUUUCCCAGUGACAGUAGGGGCAGCAAGGUACGUAUUGUAUUGUUGCCAUCGAGGACAACAAGAUGGGGUUUUCAUCAUAUUUUAUGAGUCUAUCCCUCUACAUCAUGUCAUCUUACUUAAGGCAUUAAUCUGUUUUUAACUUAAUACUCUAGAUGCAUGCUGGAUAGCGGUCGAUGAGUGGAGUAAUAGUAGUAGAUGCAGGCAGGAGUCGGUCUACUUGUCUCGGACGUGAUGCCUAUAUACAUGAUCAUACCUAGAUAAUCUCAUAACUAUGCUCAGUUCUGUCAAUUGCUCAAUAGUAAUUUGUUCACCCACCGUAGAAUACUUAUGCUCUUGAGAGAAGCCACUAGUGAAACCUAUGGCCCCCGGGUCUAUCUUUAUCAUAUUAAUCUCCUACUACUUAGUUAUUUCCUUUGCUUUUUUACUUUGCCUUUAUUUUACUUUGCAUCUUUAUCACAAAAAUAAAAAUAUCUUUAUCAUAUCUAUCAAAUCUCACUCUCGUAAGUGGCCGUGUAGGGAUUGACAACCCCUAUUCACGUUGGUUGCGAGGAUUUAUUUGUUUUGUGCAGGUACGAGGGACUGGCGCAUAGCCUCCUACUGGAUUGAUACCUUGGUUCUCAAAACCUAAGGGAAAUACUUACGCUACAUUGCUGCAUCAUCCCUCACUCUUCGGGGAAAACCAACGCAGUGCGCAAGAGGUAGCAAGGGUUCCUUUUUGUCGACGAUCUGAUGUUUCAACCUUGUUUUCCAGGCGGCCAACGCAUCGCUCAACUUGGUCAUGGCGUGUUUGUUUAUCUUCGUCAUUGCCAGGUCCUUAUCUGGAUCUUUAUUAUCCUUUUCAUUACGGUCCGGGAACAAGAAUAUCUGGUGCAGCUUCUUUAGGAGGGAGGGCCUCUGGUGCAGCUUCUAUAGUUUCCCAUCGUUGAUCAUGGCAGUUGUCCGUACAAUGCAACCUAUUUGAUUGCCGUAGCACGAUUGCGCUUCCUCGGGUGCUAUUGUCUCAAAAAUACCGUCGUCCAUCUCCGUGACCACCAGUCUAGUACUCAUGAGCUGGUUUAGGCGUCGUGGCCUCUUUGCUUUCGGUUCUAGACUAACUCCGCUAGUCUCGGCGCUGGUCUCAGUCUCAUCGCCGGUCUGCAUGUCGGUAUCAGUCCCUGAUGCGACAACACAGUCGCUGCAACAUGGGUAAGGGAGACCACAUCAGUGCUGGGGGGUCCGAAAAUCGGGACACACUUUCGCGCGUCGCGGGCCGCCUCUCAGACAGCUACUGGGGAGGCGGCGGAGUACCUGGGUGCGCCGCGAAUCCCCGGGAACUCGGUGACCAACUUCCUUCCCGUGUGGCGCAUGGAGACGACAGCGACCCCGGCGAAGAGUAGCUUAGCCGCGAGCUGCACAGCCUCGUCCACCUCCUAAGUUGGGACCUCCGCGCAAGCGUUGCGGGGCCGCCGCUCGGGUGGCUUCUGGAAGGCGGUUGUACAUGGGCACAGGGUGAAUCCCGACUAGAGCUGGCCAUUGGCGCGCGCAAGUAGACGACGACGUCCCCGACGAAGAGCUGCCCGGCCAGCUCGCCUCACUCUCCUUUGAUUAGAAAUGAAAGAUUGGGAAGAAGCAGACUUGAGCCUGCAGAGAAAGGAUAAGGUGACGAUGCAGUCUCCACUCGUUCGGGGCGACACGCGUACUGAAUGUAUGAGAAACGUGACGUGGCAGAGACCCCAAGAUACUCCCUCCAUUUAUUUUUAGUCUGCAUAUAAAGUUUGGUCAAAGUCAAGAUUUGUAAAUUUUAACUAACUUUAUAAUAAAAAAAUAUCAAUAUUCACAAUAUGAAAUCAAUAUUACCAGAUGCGUCAUGAAAUGUAUUUCCAUACUAUAAAGUUUUGGUAUUGUAGAGGCACUCUUCCAUAUAAUGAAGUUUAUAAUAUAUGUGCUUAUAUUGUACUACAAUUGUUUGAAUAGCUUAGCAUAUGUUCAGAUGUAUGAUAUCUGUAAUUUAAGCGCUUGAAUUUUACAUAUAAAUAUUUAUUAAUAAAUAUGUACCCCUAUAAUAGCUAGGCCGUGCAGUUGCACGGGUAGAUGACUAGUGAUUACAAUCUUGUUUGUGUGCAAGUCAAGCUUAUCUAGUUUACACGUAACAACUUGUAGAACAUUACAAAAUUUAUGCUUGCUAAUAACUUCUAGAACACUACAACACUUGACAUGUAAAAGGAAUUUGACGAGUCAUGGCCUACUAAAGCAAGUUACAUUACUAGUCUUAUCUAUCUUAACAGACCACACAAGAUUACAAACUAAGUACCGUGACAGCCAUACUUAUCUAGUUUAUGCGUAACAAUUUGCAGAAAAUUAGAAACUUAGUUUCAGAAAAAUACGCAAUCUAGAUUAGUGUUUGAGCUGUAAAGUGAAUAAGAUGAGUCAUGCAUGUUAUCACACCUUUUUGGUGGUGGAAUGAUAGUGCAACAACAAGGAACUUUAAUGACCAGUCCAAGAAUACACUUGUAAGUAGUGCCACCAAACAGAACAUUCCAAAUGAUGAUUUUUAGAAGCAUCCAAGCACUUUCCACACAAACAAAUGCCAAUUGUGAAAGAGAUCAUUCCAUGGCAGCUAUAAAUAGCCCCAUAGCAUGACGAUCAUCCUUCCUCAUCCAUCAUUCUCAUUAGUAGAGCGCAUCAUUUAAGCCAAGCAAGCUGUGGUCAAUACAAAUCCACCAUGAAGACCUUUCUCAUCCUUGCCCUCCUUGCUAUCGUGGCGACCACCGCCACAACUGCAGUUAGAGUUCCAGUGCCACAAUUGCAGCCACAAAAUCCAUCUCAGCAACAGCCACAAGAGCAAGUUCCAUUGGUACAACAACAACAAUUUCUAGGGCAGCAACAACCAUUUCCACCACAACAACCAUAUCCACAGCCGCAACCAUUUCCAUCACAACAACCAUAUCUGCAGCUGCAACCAUUUCCGCAGCCGCAACUACCAUAUUCGCAGCCACAACCAUUUCGACCACAACAACCAUAUCCACAACCGCAACCACAGUAUUCGCAACCACAAGAACCAAUUUCACAGCAGCAGCAACAACAACAACAACAACAACAAAUCCUUCAACAAAUUUUGCAACAACAACUGAUUCCAUGCAUGGAUGUUGUAUUGCAGCAACACAACAUAGCGCAUGGAAGAUCACAAGUUUUGCAACAAAGUACUUACCAGCUAUUGCAAGAAUUGUGUUGUCAGCACCUAUGGCAGAUCCCUGAGCAGUCGCAGUGCCAGGCCAUCCAAAAUGUUGUUCAUGCUAUUAUUCUGCAUCAACAACAAAAACAACAACAACAACCAUCGAGCCAGGUCUCCUUCCAACAGCCUCUGCAACAAUAUCCAUUAGGCCAGGGCUCCUUCCGGCCAUCUCAGCAAAACCCACAGGACCAGGGCUCUGUCCAGCCUCAACAACUGCCCCAGUUCGAGGAAAUAAGGAACCUAGCGCUACAGACGCUACCUGCAAUGUGCAAUGUCUACAUCCCUCCAUAUUGCACCAUCGCGCCAUUUGGCAUCUUCGGUACUAACUGAGAAGAAAAUAACUCUAGUACUAGAUAUAU
Molecule: long non-coding RNA, 377931 nt
Filed under: Triticum aestivum (bread wheat)
Lineage: Eukaryota; Viridiplantae; Streptophyta; Magnoliopsida; Poales; Poaceae
Description: long non-coding RNA (TAES_LNC009704)
Source: RNAcentral